RNAcentral lists this long non-coding RNA (549774 nucleotides) under Triticum aestivum (bread wheat). RNAcentral describes it as "long non-coding RNA (TAES_LNC023068)". The stretch from base 124 to 258 matches the Rfam family "MIR1120/MIR1122 microRNA precursor family". Lineage: Eukaryota; Viridiplantae; Streptophyta; Magnoliopsida; Poales; Poaceae. The record is from RNAcentral.
AGAGUCCCAAUCAACUUAGGUUUGCAUGGCUACUGAAAUUUUUAUCAUUCAUAUACCUCUGAGAAAAGAUUAAACCAUUCUCAUAACCAUAUACUUCAUCAGACAAAGAUGAUAGCCAGGAGUUCAAUACUCCCUCCGUCCGGAAAUACUUGUCAUCAAAAUGAAUAAAAGGGGAUGCAUCUAGACGUAUUUUAGUUCUAGAUACAUCUCUUUUUAUCCAUUUUGAUGACAAGUAUUUUCAGACGGAGGGAGUAUUUUCUUACUCCGAUGCCAUAGUUACACCGGAUUAAAUGGUGUGUAUGGAUGUGCCAGGGCACUCCAUCAGAAUUGUAGGUGCAGGGAUUGAGAUCGCUAGGAGGGUGGCUUUGGGUUGAUCCAUGUAUCUGCUUCGUUAGAUUGUGAAUAAUUUAAUAAAGAUGGUUGUAUGCAUCGAUUGAUACAGAGGCCGAGCGUAACCCUCCUUUUCAAAAAAAAAAUUACGCCGCCCAUAAGCAUAUAUAAAAUCAUGUACAGAACAGAUGUGCUAGAGAAAACACAUCGGCACAAAAGCCACCUUCAGAUCAGAAGGCCAGAUGAACUACAACAUAACUCGGUACCCUCCACAUUUCACUUAUAUAGACAUAGUCGAGCUGAGCUAUGAGAUUACCCACAAAGCCAGCCAUUCACUAGGAACUAAGUUAACUAGAUCCAAGCAGAAAUGAACAUCCCAGAAAUAAGUACUCACAUCCUCCACCUACUCAAAUCCUACUGUUAGAACGACCUCCUCUACACCAGAGAAGGAGCAUCGCCAGCUUCUGGAGCGCUGUCCCCUGAGCUCCCUGACCCUGAACCUGUAAACAGAGUCAAAUGGGAAACAAUGUAUCUAGGACAAGUAUUUCCGGACGGAGGGAGUAGGAAGUUUAGUUCAUGAAGAAUAAACGAUGUUUGAUAAAAAGGGAAAGAAUAAACAGUGGGUUCGACGGUACCACUGGAUGAUGAAUAAACGGUGUUUCUCAAAGAGGAAAAGAAGAAACCGUCGCUUCGACAGUAUCACUGAUCAUGAUGAAGAACUACCAGAGACACUCGUUUCCUCAGCACCAUUCUUGGCCUCCACUGAUUGGUAAGUCAGCGGUCUCAUCCUUAAUAUCUACAUACUCAUCCACCUGCUCAGCCACCACUACAUUCGCCUUCUCAGGAUUCUCGCUCUCCUGUAAAAAAACUAAACAAAACAGAACAACUGGGAGUCCAAUUUGCAUAUGCACUAACUGAAAACGAGAACAACACAUGUAGGAACAGCACCAUUCGCAGCCUCAGAGCGCCAGCGCCAUCGUCGGCCUCGGCAAUGUCCUUCUGCAGUAAGGAUCUGGCCGCAGCGCUUCCUCAUAGCCGCCCGGAGCUUCGCCGGAGGCGGGGGGAGGUUCCUGCUGCAGCGUGUAGAUUAGAUGGACAGCGGGAGGAGGGCGCGGACCUGGCCGAGCCCGCCCCCGAGGCGUCCCGGUCCCGGAACGCACUGGCAUCGCGUUGGGCUAACCUCGCGGGCCGGAACGUGAGGCAACCGGGCGGCGGCGAGCUGUCCAGAAUGUAGCAGAAAGGAAGAGCUGAGAAGACAAGUGGAACCACAGAACCACCAUCCCUCUCCCCUCCCGCGUCGCCCCCCGCAGCCGAGCAAACCCCCUUCCCGCCUUCUCUCCUCCCUGCCGCCGCCACGGGGCGCGACCAGGCGAAGCCUGGCCGGCGCAGGCGGCGGCGGUACUUCUCGCCCUCGAUGGGCCUAGGCGCCGCAGUCUGGUGGGAUCAUGCGAUCCAGGUUAGUUUUCAGACCUUUUUUUUUUCUAUGUAGAUUUUCUGGUCGUUUUUCAUAUUCUGUUUUUAUCCCUUUUAUUUUAUUUUCUUCUCUUCUGAUUUUUUCUGAUCUUAUUUUUGUUUUUUCAAAUUCUUGAACAUCUAUUUGACAUUUCUUCUAUGUGUUGUUCCCCGGGCUUCUGGUUUUUAUGGGUUUUCUAUUUUUCUCCAUCACCUUUUUUUCCGAAAAACUGUUCAAUUGUGCAUUCUAAUAAUGUUUGGUGUGUAUUAGAAAAGUUCACCCUAUAGUAAAAAGAUCAUCAUAUAUUAGAAAUACCAAUUUUCUAUAGAUGUUUGUUCGUACAUACAAAAUUUCAUUGUAUAUACAGAAUUUCUAUUCUAUAUUAGAAAUUUGUUCGGUGUGUAUAUUAAAAAUGUUCACCAUAUAUUAACUAAUGUUCAAUGUAUAUUAUAAAAAGUUCACCGUAUAUUAGAAAUCAACAGAGAGACCGUGCUUUCGGUCUUCGGGUCGAGGGAUCAAUCGUGAACGGUUCUAGGGACUUCAUCAAUGAUCUAACCAACUCUUCUUCCACUACAACUCGAAGUUGGUAACAAUUCGAUCAAAGCUUGUUUGCAUCUUCAUAGUGAUUCGGGAGUAUGAUCCAUAGGACGAAUUUUCUUUGUUUUCUACUACGUUUCCCAAUAUAUAUUUGGUUGAAUGGUCCUCUGGGCCACCUCCCUAUGGUGUUUUUGAUCGCACCCACGUGCCAUGUCUCAAGCGCUGCCCCGCGCGCUGCGGGAGAUCCGAGUCGCCCUAUCAGCGUCCUUCGGCCCUGGACAGGUUGCUUCGCUCACGCCAGCUAGGCUCGCACGUACACCCGACUCGGCUUGUGACCGUCCCCUCGGCCGAUGGGCGAGCCGGGUCUCCCUGUUAGCAUCCUUCGGCCCCAGCAGUGGUGCUUCACUCGCGCUAGAUGGGGCCGCGCGUGCGCCCUACUCGGCGUAUGACCAUCCAUCUAGCCAACCCUAAUGGCCAUCCGGCCAUGGGUUGUGGAGGUGAGAGGGCGAGCAACUAGAGGAUGUUUCACUGUCACAAGCUUCGUGUGUGGGGCCUGCCCGACUGUGUGCGCAUUUGCCUGCCGGUGAUUAUGUCUCAACGUGUUUAUAAUUUUUGUUGUUUCAUGCUAUUAUAAUAUCACUUUUGUAUACUUUUAUGGCAAAUUUUUAUUAUUUUUCUAGACUAACCUACCCAGAGCCAAUUGUUUUUUACAUGUUUUAGGGCCUAUUUGGAUCAGUGCCAAAACCUGCCCAGCCAAUUUAUUGGCGUUGACUGCUGAGCGGGCAACUGUGGAACGAAGCCAAUUUUUUGGUGCGCCCUCGCUCGCACAUCCUUUCGGUUCACUUUCGCAUGGAUUUUGACGCCAAUCAUGGGUGAAUCGUGGGCGGCGCGGGCUUUGCCAAUUUUUUGGCGUGCCCAAUCAUUGGUAGUGCUAGCUCGGGUUAAAUCCAAACACACCCUUAGACUUUUCAGAAAAUAAAUAUAUGUGUAGCUCAAAAUACCACAGGGAUUUACGAUGAUUUUUUUUCCAAGUUAUGAAGAUUCCAGAAAGUGCUUGGAGGGGCCAUGGGGCCACACCAGCCCCCCCACUCGCCCAGGUGGUGUGGCUUAGGCUCCAUCCGUGUGGGCAGGCUAUGUGGGGCCACAUGGCACCACAUUACGUUGAUAUUUCUUUCGCCUAUAAAUCCUAUAAUUCGAGAAACCCUCUGUACCAUUUUUCGCGAUUUGUUUUGCGGCCGCAAGUUUCUGUUCCGGGGAGGUCCAAUCUAGAGGCUUGUUUCGACACCUUGCCGGAGGGGAAAUUCAUCACCGGAGUCAUCUUUAUCAACCAUGCUGCUACCAUGACCGUGUGUGAGUAGUUUUCCUAGGACCUUAGCGUCCAUAGCAGCAGCUAGAUGACAUCCUCUCUCUGUCUUGUGAGUAGUUUUCUUAGGACCUUAGGAACUCAAUCGAGGUGAAGUAAUCUAGCAAUAAGUAUUUUCCUCGGUAAAGAAAUAAGGUUUAUCGCACCAAAAGGAGUGCUUUCAGCAAACAAAGUCACUAGUACAUGUGCACAAAACACGACACAAACUUGUCUCUAACAUGUCAAGAAUGUUGUCAAGCUUCUUAAUAGAUAGAUAAAUUAAAAGAAACGAUACAACUAAGAAUACUAUUUUUGAUGAGGUUUUCAAUCAUAGAGAAUAGACCCGGGGGGGCAUAGAUUCACUAGUGGCAUCUCAUAAGCAUACAAGUGUGACGAACAAAUUACAGUUGGGCACCGAUUAAGUUGCAAUAUUUAUAUUUAUGAGUAUGAUCAUUCGUAGUAUAAUCUUAUAUAGGCAUUACGUCUGUGAUAUGUAGAACGUUAUCCAACUGCAGCUACAACUAAUAUUCACAGAAUGCUCAAUGGAGCUCUGCCUUCAGGGAGGCCAAAUUUGAAAUGAUCAAAAUUGAAAUUUGCAUGUUUCGAAGAAAAAUAUACAUACACUUAGAGACAUAAUGCACAAGUGUGUAAAUUUUCAGGACAAAAACAUUAAAAUGAGUUCUACAAAAAAAAACUAAGCUACUUUAGUAGAUGCGCUAUUCAUUCUGAAAGUCCAUGAAUUUGUCUUUUUUGCAUAGAUUGCAUUUUAAGGUAUUUAAUCCUAAAGUUUUACACGCAUACACAUCACAUCCUUGUUUACUUGUAUAAAUUUGUUUCAGAUUUUUUUUUGAAACUGGAAAGUUUAAAAAGAAUUGAUUUUCUUUUUCAAAAAAUUCAGCCUCCAUAGAGGUCAUGCCAACGACGCUAUAUUUCAAGUGUGUCUGCAUAAUAGAGUUCCCUGAAAAAAGGUGUGUUUGCAUAAACGGUUGGAUCACUUGCUCUCAAUUUUUAAAGUGUGUCGUCAGCAAAGCGCCACUACUAGUACGUGUAUCUGUGUAAAAAAAGGGGCAGCAACCAUUGCAGGUCAGCCGUACCAUUUGCACAAGCACGUUGGGAAACCGGAAACCGAGCGUUCGGUUCUGGUUCCUCGUGACGCGGUGACGGACAGAGAAGGCGACGGUCGCCUGGUGGACCCACAGCAUCCACUCACUUUCUCCAUAUCCGCAUGCCUUUGUGACGAUGCUGUUGAGUAUUGACUAUCAUACUCGGGUGGCACCCUGUGUGCCAAUCAGCUUUGGCCACGCCCAUAAACCAAAAAUGACCUUGAUCGGUUCUGGUUUGAGUCGGCUCGGUUAUGGUUCGGGCUUCAGACACGGCCAGGUUCGUUGUCGCUGUCCCACAAGUAAACAAGAGACUGAAACUUGUACAAUAGUCUACAAGGCUACAUGUACAGUUGCGGACCUCCCUUCUUAUUAGAUUAUAUAUCUUUGACGAGAAAAAGAAACUACUUUCCUACCCCUAUUCAUGUUAUUGUUCUUGAGAUGUGCAUAUACCUGUUUCAUCUUAUUAUUAGACUUUAUAAAUGUAUUUCCGUACUGGUGAUAUUUGUGCAAAACGACCAAGAAGUAACAAUUCUGAAAGGAAAAUCUAAGAGGGAACAAAGUCAUUUAUCUAGUACUACACUAAUACUGAAGCUAGUAGUAAUAAAGUGUCACGGAGUAAACAACCAAAACACAUGGUAAAGUGUCACUUCUCGGCACGCGGAUUGUUUACUAGAGGAGUUAACGACGCCAUGUUUUCAUUAGAGAAGCCCUCGCGUCGCUCCCUUCCCAGGGGCGACACAGGCGGCGACCAAGCAGCCAAGGCCUCCGGCCGCCCCACUCCAGCCACUCACUCGUCGUCGCCGGCGCCUCCCGGGGGCAAAGCUCGCGCGGAGCAGGCGGCGGCGGGGCGAAGGGCGGCGGGUGGCGCAGCGGCGGAGGACGGCGGAUGGCGCCGCGUCUNNNNNNNNNNNNNNNNNNNNNNNNNNNNNNNNNNNNNNNNNNNNNNNNNNNNNNNNNNNNNNNNNNNNNNNNNNNNNNNNNNNNNNNNNNNNNNNNNNNNNNNNNNNNNNNNNNNNNNNNNNNNNNNNNNNNNNNNNNNNNNNNNNNNNNNNNNNNNNNNNNNNNNNNNNNNNNNNNNNNNNNNNNNNNNNNNNNNNNNNNNNNNNNNNNNNNNNNNNNNNNNNNNNNNNNNNNNNNNNNNNNNNNNNNNNNNNNNNNNNNNNNNNNNNNNNNNNNNNNNNNNNNNNNNNNNNNNNNNNNNNNNNNNNNNNNNNNNNNNNNNNNNNNNNNNNNNNNNNNNNNNNNNNNNNNNNNNNNNNNNNNNNNNNNNNNNNNNNNNNNNNNNNNNNNNNNNNNNNNNNNNNNNNNNNNNNNNNCGACUUCGCCGGACUGUUGGCGCUGGUGGCGGAUGUGCGGCGCCGGCGGCUGCUCGCUUUUGGAAAACGGAUCCGCUCGGAUCUGGCUUCCCUGCAGCGGCUGCGCCUUGCUCGCCGGCGAUGGAAUGCUGGGGCGGCGGCCCCAGGACGUGGUGGUGUCGACGUGCACCUCCCUCACGGAGGUUGUCCGGGGGUAGCCUGCGAGGCGGUGGAUUUGGGGCCCUUGUGCCCGGAUCUGGUGGUGAGGCGGGCCGUCGGCCUGUGGCGGCGGUUCGGCAGAGGCGUGCCUGCUCCGGUCCACUGGGGGUGACGGGGAGGUGCGUGGGGUCAGGGCAGCGGUGGUGUUGCCCUGCGUGCUGGGCGGCCGCGGUCUCGACGACGCCGUUGUGGAGGGAGGUGGACUGCAGUGGUUUCUGCAGCCGGUGGUGGUUGGCGGCGAUGUGCUGCCUUGUUAGCUUGGUCAUGUGGCUGGGCGAGGACAGUCGGCAUGAUGCCGGAGACAGUUUGCUGGGCAGGCUGCGGUGAGGAUGGAUUUGGUGAGUUCCAGGCGAAAGCCUAGCUCGACCUUGGUCGUUGCCGGCGUCGACGGCGUCCUCGGACAUCGUUCCCUCCUUGGAGGCGUCGUCGUGGAGCCCCUUCACCACCACUGUCGCCUCGGUCUCGGGCUCUCCGGGUGAAAACCCAAGUUUCGACCUUGGUCGGAACGGGCGUCGGCGACAUUCUUGUCACUUCCCUCUUGGGGGCGACGCCUUGGAGGUCUGGUCCUCGUCAGCUCGCGGUGGCUCGGGUGGCUUUGUGGGUUCUUCGUCAGCCAGGUGUGUGCGCGGCCUCGGGGCCGGUGAGGAAGUCAGAGCGGCGGCUCCGAAAAACUUUGUCGUGGAGUGUCUGAUCUGGUCGCGUGGGCGGCAACAUCAGCAGCUCAGGUGGAGCGUGGCCUCGGGGCUGGCGGGGAAGUCGGAGCGGCGGCUCCGGAGAGCACCCCUGUGCCGUGGGGUGUCGGUUCUGGUCGUAUGGACGGCAGAGUCGUCGACUCGUAUGGAGUGCGGCCUCGGGGCCGACGUGUGUGAGUUUUUUGUGGUUUGUAAGCCGGAGUGGCGGCUCCGGGUCGUGUGGUGGAGUGGCAACUCUGGUUGUUUGGGCAACAGGAGAGUCGGCUCGUUAGGGACGUAGCCUCGGGGCUUGAAAAAAAAAGUUAACGACGCCAUACGCUCUGAAGCUUUGUUUAAGCAAUAAAGCAUCAUGAUCCGUUCAAGCCUUACAGCAUGGCAUGCGCUUACCCAAGGGUUGGAAAACCAAAAUGUGUGGUUCGGUUCGGCUCUGGUUCUGGUUCGGUUCGGCUCUGGGUUCUUGGGGCUGUAGAAGUCAUGUGCUGAUGUGCCGCUUUCCGCGUCUAAAGUCUGGGGCCAUGUAUAAAUCCUUCACCAUCUCCGACCUGUAAACCUCAAACACAAACCCAUUUCCCCAGCAAAGACCACCACCCAAGAGACGAACAAUGGGGUUCUUGGCCGCCUUCUGGAACCUACUUGCCUUGAUUUCCGCCGGAUGUAGCAAUGCGGAGAAGCUGCCGGCUGCUCUCAUCUCCUGCGGCGUCGUCGAAGCAGCCGCGGCGCUCUGCCUCGUCAUAUCCAAGGCGCCCGGAGGUAUAUUUCUCCACCACGGCAAAGCACCCUUCUUCUUGUACUACGGCAUGCUCAUCGCCGUGUUCAUCUUCGGGCUCCUCGAGGCGUCAGUCGGCUUCUGGGUGUCGGGGAAUGUGCGCGGACGAGGUGCCGCCGGGAAGACGAUCCUCUGGUUGGGCCUCCUGCCCAUCGUCUUCGUGGCUGCGCUUGGAGGCUUUGUCGUUCUGAGCAUGAAAUAGUUCAUCCUGCGUCAGUUGUGUGUGCGCACGCCUGUACGUGCGUGUGUCAGUGAGUGAGCUUGAUGUACCAUUUGCUUCCACCUGUUAUCCGUUUUACUCCUUCCGUUCCAAAAUAGAUGACCCAACUUUGUACUAAAGUUAGUAUAAAAUUGAGUCAUCUAUUUUGGAACGGAGGGAGUAUAUGUUUGUGGCAAUGAGGCUCUUUUAUGGAAACGGAGAGUUUCAGGUUUUGUUGGUAACAGAGUUUCAGGGUCUGCCCUGCUUUCGAUGUGAGAUUGUCAUUGAUCUGGUCUCUGCCUUGUUACGAACGGGAAUUCGUCUGUUGCAUUUUGGCACAUAUUUGUUCCCCUCUCAGAAAUCAGAGGAAAGUGGCAGUCAACGACUGCCUUUCUUCAGUAUCGUCCGGGCAAUUCAUACGCCCGAAUCGCCCCCUGCAGCCACGGCCCGUCGGGCCGGGAGAAAACGCCUUGAGUUCUUGAGUGCACGUGGAAAGUUCGUUGCCCUAUACCUCAGUUUCCCUAAAAAAAACCUGGGUGAAGUUCUAAGGCUGGCUAUAGUGGGGGUAACAUAACCGGUAACAUGCACUUGGGACUAGCAAACAUGCUUAUGUGACACACAAUUAAAGAAGAGAGAGGGGGUUAGAGUAACAUAAGUAGAUACCGUAUCAUGUUAAAUGAUAUGCUACUUUGUGUCAUGCAUGGCAAUAAAUAUGACCACCUAUGAAACUACUUUAUGAUACUAUGCACUAUGAAGGUACUAUCAUACACUAGUAUCAUAUGCAUGAUACUAGUAUAUGAUACUCCCCACUAUGACUAGUCUAAGACUAGCCACAAUGGUCAGUAACAUACACUAGUAACAUACACAUAUCCCUAGACUAUGUUACUAUCUUCAUAGUGAGUAGUAACAUAAGUGUGGUAACAUGCGAAGCUUCAUUUACUAGUUAUAAACUCAUAUUGCAUUGGGCAUGUGAUGUUAUAGUAACUAGCUAAGUUACUAUAACUACCUCUCUCCUCAUUAACUCAUUGCCACAUAAUCAAAUUUGCUGAGUUGGACUCGAUGUUACUGCCGAAGUUACUCCCAUUGUGGCUAGUCUAAGGGCAUCUCACGCCUGAUAUUCAGUUUUUCCCUUUUUUUGCGAGAUCUCGGAUAUUCGAGUGUUUGACAAAAAAACUACCACAAUUGGGGCUUCCGUCCCACAAAACUACCACUUUUUAAAAAUGACUGAUAACUACCAAAAAAUUGGAAGCGCAUGACUAAAAACUACCAAGUUGACGAUUUGACCGUUUUAGAGCGUUUAAACCCGUUUUUGACAGCCGUGGCCUACAUGUCAGGUGGACGACAGCGGUAACGGCUAACGGCGCUCUGUCCCAGCCGUUAGAGUCGGCCGUCGCGGUCGCACCUGGUCGGACCAGGACUAAGCUGGCCGACCGGGCUGCUCGUCCCCACGCUCCCUCACUCUCCCCCGAGCUCUUCUCCUAACCCUAGCCGGCGGCGUUCAUGGCGGCGGUGGAUGCAAACUCCGGCGCCGAAUCGCUUGGAGGCAUCCCCCCGACGUGGUGGGAGGCGAAGUUGCCGGCUUCUCGGAGGUUGAUAACUGGCUAGGCAGCACAAGCUUCGUGGUUCCACAGCCUUCCCAACCGCAAUCUCAGCCGUCCCAGAUGUCGGUGAGGCCGCCUCCCGUUGUAGUACCGUCGACGAGAAGAAGCGUAGGUCGAGGCCGGUGCAAGCUUCCUCGUCGUGCUGGCAGAGCGAGGUAUGGCAUCUGAUUUCUCAUAAUGUUUAUGUACUUUUAGGUUAAUUUAGAAGCAUGAUAUAUAGGCUAGUUGCACACUUAGAUUCAGAUUACAACCCUGUUUGUGCACAAUGGUAAAUUGAAAUUUGUUCGCAACCUUAACAUUGCAUUGUGUUUUUAGUGAAUCCAAGCUGUCAGAGAACUGAAAAACAUUUAACUGUCAGAAAUCUUAAUAUUGUCCAGGCUGUUUAAUUAUAACUAUCUUAAUCUAUGUUGCAGUAUUGAUGACCCAAAGUGGGAAAUUUGGUUUCAUUUCCUAGCCAGAGAAUCUGUGGUUAGAAGAAUUUACCUGUCAGACAUAUCAUAUAUUACUCUGAUUUCUCUUACUGCGUCUGAGGGCUGUGGAGCUGAUGAUUAUAUGUACUAUGUUGUUGAUGUGGAGAAAGGAAUAGAAGGUCUAGAGCAUGUUGAUUGUGAAGAUGAUGUGCAGCAGAUGUUGAUCCAAUUAGAUAAGGAAAAGAUUGUGAACAUACGAGUUGUUAGAGUAGAUGAGCCUUCUAAUGCAGAUGAAAAUAGAGAUAGUUAUUUUGCUGAACAUUGCAUUAACACACAACAAAGUUGCACGAAGCUGGUAGAUGCAACCAAAGACAGAAAGGAUGAGCUUAAGAACAACAAUCUUCAGAGAGAAGCUGACCUGAACCAUUUUGAAGGUGACACUGAUGUGUCUGAAUUUCUUUCUGAUGAAGAUGGCAACAAUGUGGAAUUACAUACAGGCUCCUCCUCUGAAGAAGAAGCUGCAAAACAAAAUAGAUCAAUGGUCCAGAAGCUGAAGGCAGUGAGAAAUCCUGGUCCAACAAGUAGAUCACACCAUGAGGUUGAGAAGAAGGAAAAACCAUGAAGCAGAUGAAUUUUGUUUUCCUGGUGAUCCUGGAAUUAGUGAUGAAGAAGAUGAGAUUAAAGGAGCUUUCAAACUACCAAGUGGUAGGAAGAGAAGGUUGAAGAAGAUGAAGGAAAGGGUAUGGUUCAAUGAAAAGCUUCCAGAUCCACAAGAACAGUUUUGUAAGGGACUGUGCUUCACCAAUGUUUAUGUGUUCAGAGAUGCACUUAGGGAUUUUCACAUCAGGACUUUGAGGAAUUUCCACUAUCACAGAAAUGCCCCUGAUAGGAUUAUUGUUUGGUGCUCAGAGAGAGCACAUGGAUGUGAUUUUUAUAUAUGUGCCUCUAAGAUAGCUCAUGAGCGAACUUUCUGCAUCAAGAAGUGUGAUAUGCUGCACACUUGUGGAGCAUGUGCAGAGAACACAAAGGUUACUACAAAGUGGUUGUCCAAAUCAGUACAACCAGCAUUGAGAGAAGACAUUAGAGCUCAUGUGGAUGCAUUAAUAAAAAAGACUAAGACUAAGUUUUCAAUUGACGUUUCAAGAAGUGUGGCAUAUAGGGCAAGGAGGAAGGCUGUUGAUGUGGUGCAAGGUGACCACAAGAAACAAUACUUGAGACUGAGGGGUUAUUUUCAAGCUGUUCUUGACACAAACCCUGGGAGAAGAUGUAUUGUAACAACAUUUGUUGACCCAGAAAAUCCUGCACCCACUCCUAGAUUCAAGUACAUGUUCUAUUGUCUGGCAGCAUCAAAGGAAGGGUUUCUGAAUGGUUGUAGACCAUUUAUAGGUAAUUGUUGUUGAAUUUACUGUUCUGAAUUUUGGGUCAUAUUUGGCCUGUAGCUAAUGUUUUACGGCAUCCGGGGCUUGAUGGGUGUUUCAUCAGGUUAACCACUGGACAGCAAAUUCUUGCUGCCACAGGAAGGGAUGGCAACAACAACAUCUACCCCAUAGCUUUUGAUGUGGUUGACAAGGAAGAUGGAGAUAGUUGGACUUGGUUUUUAACUCAGCUGAGAUGCUGCAUUGGUUGUGGUAACAAAUUUGGAACAUACACAAUAAUAUCUGAUAGGCAAAAGGUUAGCAAGUAAAUCAUUGAUCAUUGUUGCUAUAGUAUAGUACUUCAUGGAAUUAUUUCAGUGUGUUCAUGUGUGACCCUGUUUUCUGAAUGUAUAGGGGUUACUUAAGGCAAUAGAUGAGGUGUUCCCUGAUUCACCUCAAAGAUUCUGUCUUAGGCACAUAUAUGCAAACUUCCAAGCAGCUGGGUAUAGAAGCAAAGAACUAAAGCAGUGUGUUGACCAGGCUAGCUACUCCUACACUAGGCAUGGGCAUGAAUUAGGGAUGGCAGCUCUAAAAGCAGAGUCUGAGGAUGCCUGGAAAUGGCUUAAAAAUAUAGAGGUCUCUGCUUGGGCUAGGUAUGCUAUGGAUCAUACUUGCAAAACAGAUCUAGUUGUGAACAACCUUAGUGAAGUCUUCAGCAAGAUGAUACUUGAUGUUAGAUCCAAACCAAUAAGGAUAAUGUUUGAAGGGAUUAGAACCAAGUAGAUGAUAAAGAGGCAGCAAACUAGGGAGAAGUUGCAGACAUGCAGGUGGACAAUCACACCAAAUUACUCAGAGAUUUUAGAAGAGAACAAAAAGUAUGCCAAGCACUACCAGGCUGGCAGAGCCGGUGAGACAAUUUGGCAAGUAACAAGACUCUAAGUCCUAGGCUUCAGAUGAGAAAGACAGGACAUCAGGUAAUUUUUCUGAACCUGUUACAACAAUUUCAGUUCCUCUAGACAUACUUUUUCAUCCAAAAAUAUUUUUUAAAAGAAAUGUUAUGUGUUACAAGCAGGAAAACAGGGCAGUUUAUGAAGACAUAGCUGGUUCAUCUAGAACAGUUCCUCUUGCAACUGCAAGAACCACAAUAGUUCUUGCUGCAACUCCAUCUACAUCUGCACCAGCCCGUCCCACAUCUGGCCCAGGCCCUUCUGCAUCUGCACCAGGCCCUGCACCAAGAGCUAAAAGAGGUAGGCCUGCAGGUAGAGGGAGGACUCAUGGAUUCACUGCUCCAAGAGCUGCAACCACUUCAGAUAAUCAAGUUGGGACCAAGAGGAAGAGAAUGGCAAGCUCCAAAUUAAAAGGUUAUUUCUAUUGCAGUGGUAACUACUGAAGUGACAGGUAAGCAGAGAUGAAACAUGUUCUGUGGUCAAGUUGUCUGAACCUAUUCUGUGGUCUGAAACCUGUUUGGCAGUUUCUUUAUUUGUCUGAACCUAUUAUGUGGUCUGAACCCUGUUUGGCACAUUCUGAAUUUGUGUGAACCUGUUUUGUGCUCUGAAACAUGUUUGGCUAUUUCUGAAUUUGUCUGAACCUAUGAAAAUGGGCCUUUGAUUGGGCUUUGUUAUUGGAUCAAACUCCCGUAGCCUUCUUUGUUGUCUAUAAGAAGGCGAACCCUCUCUCCCCCUACCCAAAACCUAGCUGCCAGCACCACUACAACCCAGCCGCCAGCCAAAGAGAUGGAUCCCAGCCAUGGAGAAGUUGUUGAUGACCAGGAGGAGUUGGGUAGGGCAGCAAGAAGGGCUGCAAGAGAAUAAAGGAGGGCCCAUCGACAUGAGCGACGGCGACGGCUGGCUGCCAGAAUCAUGACAGAACGCAACUCCAACGACGUGAGGCAGUUCAAUGAGGUGUUACCAGCUGGAACCAACAUCACUGAUGAGCUGGUCAUUUGGUGGGCUAGAGAGAGGGCAAACAUCCAUCAAUAUCAAGUCACCAGGGCAAGGUGGAGUAGAAUUCUUGAUUCGGCGUGGUGAAUCUAUUCUCACUAAUGCUUGCUGUGGAUUUCUCUCUUGAAUAAAUGUCAGCUUGUAUGAAUUCUUAUCAAUUUCUCCGAAUGUAUGCGAAGUUAACUGAAUUUUCUUAAUUUGUGCUCUGUAAUUGUUUGUGCGUGGUGGUUCAUGGUAGUUAAUGUAGGUCUAGAAGCAUCCACACACAAGUAGUAGCCAGCCAUAUCUUUAAAGACAACACCCAAAACGUGUAGUCUCCACUUCUCCGCUCUUUCUUUCUACUCGACCAUUAGCCUAUCCAACUUCCCAUCCAAAAAACCACCUUCACGCCGGUGAUGGCAUUUGGAGAGGGUUGGCAUAGGGCCCUGUCGGUGUCAAAACCGGCGGAUCUCAGGUAGGGGGUCCCGAUCUAUGCGUCUGAGGCUAAUGGUAACAGGAGGCAGGGGACACGAUGUUUUACCCAGGUUCGGGCCCUCUCGAUGGAGGUAAAACCCUACUUCCUGCUUGAUUGAUCUUGAUGAUAUGAGUAUUACAAGAGUUGAUCUACCACGAGAUCGUAGAGGCUAAACCCUAGAAGCUAGCCUAUGCUGAUUAUGAUUGUCCUUGUCCUACGGACUAAACCCUCUGGUUUAUAUAGACACCGGAGGAGGCUAGGGUUACACAGAGUCGGUUACAAAGAAGGAGAUCUAAUAUAUGAAUCACCAAGCUUGUCUUCCACGCAAAGGAGAGUCCCAUCCGGACACGGGACGAAGUCUUGAGUCUUGUAUCUUUACGGUCCAAUAGUCCGGCCAAAGUAUAUAGUCCGGCCGGCCGAACACCCCCUAAUCCAGGACUCCCUCAGUAGCCCCUGAACCAGGCUUCAAUGACGAUGAGUCCGGAGCGCAGUUUGUCUUCGGCAUUGCAAGGCGGGUUCCAUCUCCGAAUACUCGAAAGUACAUGUUGUAGCAAACAGUGUCCGACUUCCCAUCAAUGUUGUACUCCUCGGCUUCUGUGCUUCAAUAAUGGCCAUCUCCACGUGUCAAGCGAAUACGAGGAGCCAGAGCAUUUUACAUUUGCCACCCCGACCCUGCAGGCAAACCAUCUAUUUAAGGAGAUGGGGACCCUUAGAUCCAAAUCUCUCCUUCUUCCCUUGAGCAAGCAUUCAACAGAGCGUAUCCGGAAGAAACCAUUCCAUCAUGGCCGGUUGCCGCAGCUCCUCUUCUUGCUCCCGUAGCUCUAAUCCAGGUGAUUGCACUACAAAAAAAUACACUUCCGUGAUGAUACGUGUUUGUCACAGUAGGUCGCGUUUUUUGUCAUGCAUGUACAUCCAUGACAAAUUUAUGACAGAAUCAAGAUAGUCAUACCUGUGCUGUCGUAGAAGUGUUCCAUGACAUUACCAAAAUUAUCAUCACGGAAGUGUCCACUUCCAUGACGAUAAAUCGCGCGUCACAGAAGUGCUUUCGUCAAGGGUGACCGACACAUGGCAUCCACCGUAACGGAACGCCGUUAAGCUAUCGGGUCGGGUUUUGGAUCCUAUAACCCGUUAACAGCCCCGACCAAUGGGGAUUUUCCACAUGUAAAAUCAACAUUGGCUGGAGGAAACACGUGCCGGCUCACCGUUGGGACAGAUGUCAUCCACUCAUUGGACAAAAGGCGCCUAUGAUACGUCGACACGUGGCACGACCCAACAGAGGCCCAUUCCUGUGAAAAGGCCGGCCCGUUUGACUUGGUCAAAAGGUGGCGGGCCGACCCAUGUAAAGCCUAUUAACGGCCUGUUCGCAUAUAGCCCAUUUACAGCCCGCUAACCCAAGGCCCGAUACACCCUAUCCGAAUUAGGCCCAAUAGCGUCAUCUAGGCCACCCAAUAUGAUUCCAGCCCAUUUUCACUUCUGGCCCAUGUAUGGCCCAUGACGUCUUUCGGCCCAUAUGAGGCCCUAUGUAACUCUUGGCCUAUUAUCGGCCCGUGGUGAAACUGGCCCGUAAUAAACAGUGUACUACUUUACACUCAUUAACGGCCCGUGCAGAAACUGGCCCAUAAUGAACAGUGUAUCACUUUAUACCCAUUAAGGGCCCGUUAUUCCGUUGGGCCGUUUCCAGCCCAUGUUAUCUUUCGGCCUUCUCAGAGCCCAUUUAUUCUUGGGCUCAUUUCCAGCAUUCGUUUACUUACGACCCAUUACUGUCAUUUUCUGCUUAUGGGCCAAAUUCAGCCCGUGGUUAUAGUCGGCCCGUUUGUGGUCCAUUAACACGUUGGGCCGUUUUCAUAGCGUCAUGAAAUACGACCUAUUAACGAUGGCCCGUUAUGGUCGGCCCAUGAACGGACGAUUCCAACUCUAGCCCGUUUACGGCCAUUAUGCGGCCUGUUAUUGGCCCAUGUUUGGCCAAUCGAUCAUACUGCCCGUAUAAGGCCCAUUGAUGAUACGUCCCGUAGAAGGCCCAUUGUUUAUGCGGCCCGUAGAAGGCCCACUAUUUAUACGGCCCAUAGAAGGCCCACUGUUUAUAUGGCCCGUAGAAGGCCCACUGUUUCUACGGCCCGUAGGUCCAGUGUCACUACAGUAAAUAUUAGCGCAUGGUUAUUAUGGCCUAGUUUUAGGUUAUUGCAGCCACUAGCAAACCGCAGGAAAAGAACUGCACUGUCUACAAGCAAACAAAUAAACAAGACAAAAAGGAAAUAAAUAAGCAAGCAACUUACACUAGGCUAUCACGGCUAUUACACAUAUUACAUCCACUGGGCAUGAAAGUUCGCCACCGGUGCAAAUAUAGGGAACACAACAGCAUAUAAACGCUGCAACAAAACAAGUCCAGAACUGAAACCACUUCAGAAGAGCUCCAGAAACAAUAUCCUGGGUACCCAUAAUGCUGUCAAGAUGCUUAGCAAGCUUAUUAACUUUCUCUUGUUUGGCGCUUAAGUCCUCCAGCGCUUGCUGUUGCACCAGAAAGUAUGCAUUUGAAUUCUGUAGGGACUUCCUCAGUCCUUCGGCUUCCUGUCGCAUAACAUCUGAUCGAUGUCUUUCAACUUGAAGUUGAGACUCAAGAAGCCGAACUGAUUCAGGCAACGAGUUCGAAGAGCUGGUGCCAGCAGUGGUAGCCAGUAACUCGAACACUACAUCAAGACAUGACUUUGUGGUUGUCUCAGUGUCCUCAAUAUAGUUUUUAUCAGCUUUCUUGGAGACCAACAGGGAUGUCUCACUAUCUUGAACAUUAUCUGCAUUACUUCCUUUACCAUUGCAUAACAGGGUACUCUUCUCCAAUAUUUUAUCCGCGUUCUAAAAGAGAAACAAACAAACACAUCUCAGGUUUACAAUGUAGUAUAUGAAACUCAUUUUGGUAAACCAGUUCAGUAGUAAGGUGGACAGGAUAACAGCAUGAAACAAACAUAUAUCUAUGUAGUAUGGUCACUGUAUGGUCUAUAUCAUUCUAGUUUAUGUUGCCAAAUCAAGAUAGAUACAGUUCGAAUCAUAUCUAUUUAAGACAAAGCAGCAUAGAUAGAAUAUAAGUGUGGGAAACUACACAGCAAUAACAACACUUGUAAUGUGCAUGGCAUGAGAACAUAACUGUUUACUCAAUUGAAACUGAAAUCAACAUAGAGCAAGUUACAACAGCAAACAACCAAACACGUUGAAGAAACAGGUUUAAAACAUACCUGUUGCGCCAUUGGAGUUUCAAUUGCAUCCUUCAAAUUUGAAAUUGGUUGGUAUCAGUAAAUACAGUGAUGCAAGAGCAAAGUAGUAUGAACCAUAGCUACGGAACCUGACCUGAGAACAAUUCUUCUUCUUCUUUAAGUGUUGACUUCGGGUUCGGAGUGGUGGUCCUCGUGAUUUGGGCACUGCAGUUGCCUUACUAACUGCUCGUGUUUGGGUGCUCUGUGGUGGAGACAGUGUUGUGUCAACGGGAACUGGGUGUCUAUCUGCUGGGGUUGGGGUUAGAAGGGGUGUAGCUGGUUCUCUGUCCAACUGGGUAGGGGUACAAUCUGCAUGAGUGUGGGUUAUGUGUGGUGGGGCUGAUUCUUGGGCAAGUACAACCGUGGUUCUAUCUGCAUCGACAGGUAGCACGAUCUUUUCUGAAGACCGUGUUUUUACUCCCACAUAUACUGCCAUCACUUCCUCCAAUUGAAAUGGCUGAUAAACAAGAAAAGUAAUUGAAUGUACAGACAUUGUAAGAUAGACAGGUGCAAUGGAUAGUAGGAAAGAAAACAGGGCAUGAAAUAAUUCACAUUUAUGUUGUCUAAGCAAACAGAAUAGCAGGACAUAAUUUCACAUAUAUGAUGGCUGAUUAAACAGGAUAGCAUGACACAAUUUCACAUGUAUGAUGGCUAACUAAACAGGAUAGAAUGACAUACUUCAAAAUAUGAUGACUAUGUAAACAGGAUGACAUGAUAUAAAUAUAUGAUGUGUCUAUUAAAGUGGUUGGCAUGCCAUAAAUCACAAACAUGCUGUCGAUGGAAACAUGAUUGCAUGAUAUAAUUCACGGAUAGAAUGACAUAAUUUAAAAUAUGAUGAUUAUGUAAACAGGAUGAGAUGAUAUAACUAUAUUAUGUCUUUAGAAAAUGGGUUGGCAUGCCAUAAUUCAGAUACAUGCUGUCUAUGUAAACAUCAUGGCAUGACAUAAUUCAAAUAUAUGAUUUAUAUACUAAGGAAGUGAGCAGAGGGCAAUUGCAUAUAUGAUGUGUCAACUAAGGAGAUGGCAUUCAAUAUUGUGUAUAUGAUGUAAAAACUAAGCAUUGCAAUACAACAUAUGCAUUAUAUGAGUAAUAUAACCCUGCCAAGUUUGAGCAUACACCUCAGGGGGAUAAUAGGACUGGUCAUCUGCCUCUGAAUCCUCCUCUGAAGAGCUAUCUGUAACCAGCAAGAUAUCUGCUUCAGCAGGUAGCAUUGUAUGCUCUGAAGACCUUGUUUUCACUCCAGAUUUCUCCAUCACCAAUUCAAAUGGCUGAUGCACAGGAAGAGCAGUUGAAUAUACAAACAUUGUCGACAAAAGCAAUGAGAAAUACAAAAAAGGACGACAUGAUAUAAUUCACAUAUAUGACGCUUGCCUAAACAACAUGGUAUUGCAUAAUUCACAUACAUAAUGCCUUGCAACAAGAUAACAUUGCAUCAUUCACAUAUAUAAUGUCUUGCAACAAGAUGGCAUUGCAUAAUUCACAUAUAUGGUAAUUAGACACUAAACAUGUGGCAUUCACACAAAGCAUGUCUAAACUAAGCAAAUGACAUAGCAAUGCAAGAUACCAUACGCACGAUAUGAGUAACAUAACCCUGCCAAGUUAGGGCAUGCACCUCAGGGGGAAAUAUGAUUGGUCACCUGUCUCUGAAUCCUCCUCUGAGGAGCUAUCGGUAACCAGCAAGACAUGCGCUUCGUCGGAUAGCAUUGUCUGCUCUAAAGACCUUGUUUCCACUCCAGAUUUUUCCAUGACCGUGUCGAAUGGCUGAUGCACAGGAACAGUAAUUGAAUGUACUAAAAUUGUUGACAAAUUUAACACAUAAUAAAAAAAUGAUGGCAUGAUAUAAUUCACAUAUAAGAUGACUGGCUAACCAAGGUGGCAUUGCAAAAUUCACAUAUAUGAUGCCUGGCUAGACAAGAUGGCAUUUCAUGAUUCACAUAUAUGAUAAAGAAACUAAACAGAUGGCAUUGACACAAAGCAUGUCUAAACUAAGGAGAUGACAUCUUUAAUGUAUAAAGUAAGCAAUGCAAGGCACCAUAUGCAUGAUAUUACCAACAUCAGCAUGCCAAGUUAGAGUGAAGACCUCAUGGGGUAAAUAGGAGUGGUCUUCUCCUUCUGAAUCCCCCUCAGAAUAGUUAUCUUCCUCUUGAUUACGAUCUGAAAUGGGUGGAGGGGGGGGGCUGCCUUUGCGCCCACCAUGGAACGACGUCUGCAUGAAAUUUUAUCGCCACGCAAGGCUUGUCUCUUUUGCUCUACAUGAUAAGUUCCAUUGUGUACAAUAACUAGCAUGCAUAGGAAUAAAACAUAGUGAGAUUAUGUAAGGAGUGCAUGCACAAAUCCAGAGUGAUGGUAGAAAACUGUGGAUAGACCCAAAACCAAUGAUAGCAGGAAGAUAAUAGCUUUAGUUAAAAUACAGAUAAUGGCUCCUUUAAUGUUUGUUUGCACCCAACAUGAAACUCAUAGUAGACACCGGAGAUUAACCAGAUAGUAGACAGAUAGUACUGAUUGCUGCCCCAAUAUGUACCCCACAACCAUUUAAAUACUCAAGUUUCAGCAUUAGUUUGGACCUGACUCGGAGUCUAAUAGGUGAACACGAUGAUAAUGUAGCAUGUCAUCAUAUUAAGCGACGCAUAACGUAAGCAGACACGGAAGAGUGCGACCUCUCUUGCGGACCCGUGUAGUCCUCAAGGUCAUCUACUCAGUUGAUGAUGGUAAUGUAGUUGUCGUGGCUGCCAGCGGUGGGGAAGAAGAUCUGAGGCGGCGAAAGACAGUCUGGAGAGCGGAUCCCUGCUGUGGUGAACCCUUCCAUCAUUGGAGCAGCUGAGCUGGGGUGGAACACAACGCCGCAGGAGCAGGACAAACCACACAAGGUUUUCGUUGACACAUAUCUGUAACAGAAGUAAUUGAGUAAGGGCUUGUUUGAAUUUGACAUUCUAACAAUGCAGGGAUAGGAAAUAGACAGGAAUAGGAUAGGAAUGCACGGGCAAAACUGAGAAUUUAAAAACACAGGAUUUCUGCCAACCUGGGUGUUUGAUUCACAACAAUUGGAAGAUCACAGGAUGCAAAAAAGCAUGGUGAGAUUAAGUCAAACCACAAUAAAAUGUACAGUUAUAAUGCUAUUGUGCUACUAUCUCUUAGUCUUGUGCUUGAUGAAUAAGAAUAUGAAAAGGAGGAGAAGUGGAAAUUAGAAUUCCUACGGUUUUUCUUUCAAGGAGACACUAAAGGAACAAAUCCUAUAGUUUUCCUUUGCUCCAUUCCUUUGCACCAAAUUCAUGAAAAAUAGUACCAUAGGAAACUUUUGGAAUCUUAUGUUUUUCAUUCACUUUUCCUUUCAAGCACUGGCGAUUCUAUUAGGCAGGCUUGAGCAAGGAAAAUCCUACACUAAAAAAAUGUUUUUGUGCUACUUCUAUUACUUUGGACCCAGGCCACUGCCAUACUAGCUCAACUCCCAGGCCCAUCGACAAAUGCACAGCUCAAACACGCAGAGAUAAAUAAUGAUGGCGUUCAAGAGAGUCCAUCACGGAUAGCUAAGUUGCCUGGUACCUCACUGCUUGUCAUAUAGUAGGAUAGAAUAAUUGUAUUUCCCGUUACUACGAGUGCUCAGUGGACAAUAUAUAUAACAUGUAGAGUAAAAAAGAGAUGCAACAAGUGUACAACCUCUUUGGCGAAGCCAUGUCGAUCUCAGCAUGAUUGGGUUGGCUGGUGAGGAUGCUCCGGCUGACUUUGCUGUCGAAGGAGGGGAAGAAGAUCUUAGGCGUCUGGAGAUGGAGCCCGAGGUACUGCUCCACUGUGAUGGAGGGUUUUGUCGUUGGAGCAGCUCCAGUGAGUUGUACAACGCCGAGGCUGAAGCAGGACAAGAGAGACAACGAACAACAUUAACCUGAGUGGAAUUCUAAUAGCAUCUCCAAUACAUGACAUAAAAUACAUAACCACAAAGUGCUAGAUGUAAAAUACAUCAGCCGCUCAUCUCUGAACUUAACUGUCGAAACUGAACUUAACUGUCGAAACUGAACUUAACUGUCGAAACUGAACCUAACUAUCGAAACUGAAUUUUGCUGUCGAAACUGAACGCACUAGCAAGGUGAGGCUACACGUCGAUCGACUGAUUUCAUCUCUGGUCAGUCGAUUUUGUAGCCGUUGGAUACAAAAUCAAGGGCCUGCGGUUCAUCUUCAACCUCCACCCCCCUGAGCCGCUAGCCACCACCGGCCAAACAGCAGCCCCCCGCUGCCCGCGGCCGGCGGUGCGCCGCCCCGCCCGCCCCUCCCCACCGCCGGUACGCCGCCGCCCCGGCCAUCCCUCUAGGCCCCCCCGUGCCGAGCUUUUUCUCCGGCGAUCCCCACGCCACCGUCCCGCCAACGCCCCGCCACCGUCGGCGACCAUCAUCCCCAUCCUGAACCCUAAGAUAGAUAGUGGGGUACCUCUCCGGCGAGCCCCCCUCCCCGCUGCGGCUGGUUCUUCCUUCACCCCGGCGAGCCCACCCCUUGAAAAUCGACUGACCCAAAAGUUGAUUCAGUCGACUAAAGUGUAGCCAAAUCGGAGCAGCAUCGCAAGCAAGAGCAAGAGCGAGAGCAGCAGUGCGAGCAAGAGCAAUAGCAAGAGCAGACCAGGCAGGGGACCGAGAGCAAGAGCAGAGCAGCAGCGCGAGCGAGAGCUAAAGCAGCAGCAGCACCUAUUGAUGUGGACGUCGUCGCCGAGGGAGAGACACCAUGGAGGAAGUGCCCGGCGACGCCGCCGUGGAUGGAGCCACGCCGUGUCGGCUCGGGACCGAGCGCCGGCAGCACCGUGAGAUCGAAUCAAUUAGAAAAUGCGGCGAUUAGUGUACAACCUCUUUGGUGGCGCCGAUUAGGCCACAGCUUCAUCCGAGGAAACGGUGAUGAUGAUGCUGUUCCAGUGGUGCAGGUGAAGACGACAGUGUGGGAAUGGAGGUGGCGCGAAAGACGAGGGGAACAUCGUGGUAGUUCCUUGGAGGUGGAGGACGGGGUGGCUGAACCGGUGGUACGAUGAGAAUGACGACGGAUCCUCAUCCGGUACGGUGGAUGAGGGACGUCGAGGUGUUGCUGUGGACGACGUCGUCGGGGAAGAGGCUCCGGCUGGGUGGCGGACGGAGCAGGGUGUGGGGUUUUGUCGUGGGUUUUUGCGGCCUCGGUGUACGAAUGGGUGGGCGGAUGGGAUGGCAGUGGGGAACCAUGGCUUAGGUACGCGCUUGUCCGAAAUGUGGGGUAAGUUAUGAAAGUACCCCCCACCGAUUUGAGGCGGUUCUUUCGGUUCAGGGGUACCACGGGCAUUUCACGUGUCGAGAUUUCACAGGAGGUGGGAGUUUUCGCGCGUGUUGUAAUUUCGGAAUAGCAAGGCCCGGAUUGAGAUGGAGGGAGUUGUCGGAGCACAACCAGACAAAGAUAUAUCUUAAAUAUUUCGGGCUAACAAGGCGCGGGUUGAAGAGGCGGGAGUUUCGCAACACGAUAGACAGAGACGCUAGCUUCAAUUUUCGGCAUAACAAGGCGCGGCUUGAAAUUUCAGAAGAACAAGCUUAACGUGUACCCAAAAAAAGACAAUUUGCACCUCAACACGCACAACACACACACAAACACCAUUUAGACUAGAGUAAGGUACACGUGCAUUGCACGCAUGAGAUUUGGCAACCAAAUUAUGAAUAAAUACCACAUUAUAACAUGCAAGCUUUGAGUCAUAUAUGCAUGAUGUAGAUGUUCGUUUAAUUCUUAUAGUUCAUUUCAUUCAAAAUCAUCUAGUUUUUAUAAGAAAGCUAAUCUAUUUUAAGAUUCAUGUAAUUGUGCGUUGUAAGACAUAAAGUAAAAACAAAUAAUGGCAAAUCAUGUAGAAAAACAUUUGGGCAAUUCUGAUACGGAAGAUUCUAGAACAAAUAAGAAGUGCUUGUGUUUUGAUGUUUGUGCAUUAUGCUUAAGUUCAACUAUGGAGUCUUCUAGAUUAUACAUGUGGCAAAAUCUGGUGGAAUCUAGAUGAUAUCCAACGGCCUAUAGUGCUCAAAUUUGCCAUCCUUGGACCAUCGGAUUCGCCUCAUCCAACGACCAUCUUUCACAGUUAAAGUUACCCGCACACAAUAUAAACCACACCGCGCAGAUCUCCGUUAUAUUCAUGCAUGCAUGGGUUUCAAACAUCAGGAUCUCUUAUUCAAAUAUUUGAAUUCAACUUUACAUUGAUUAUGACCUCAACUAUUCUUUUACACCCACACAGUAGUUUUCUCUUUAUAAUCGUACCACUAACUUUCUCUCGUGCAUGCAUGCACACACACUACCAGUCGGCAUUAUCUAUCACACGCAUGCAAUCUUUUUCUUCAGGUCGGUCUCCCAUGAAGGCACACACCCACACAUAUCCCCCUCUCCAUCAUACACGGCAUUCUUUAUCUCUCAUGCGUGCAUGCGCAACGAUCGAUGUUCCUCUAUGUAUGUGUGUAUAUAGCUAGGUCUUUCAUAGUUUUCCAUACAAACUGAUCAAUCGAUAUAUCCAGUGAGGUCUCACCCUCUUUCCCACGUCCACAUCGAUCAAUCUAUACCUCUCUAUAUAGGAUUAACAUAAAUAGCUAAUACACCCACAUUAAUUAUAUAUCCAACGUCCCCCUCUCAUCAUCCAUGCCUCCCGCUUCAUCUCUCACACGCGCGCACAAUGGCGAAGACAGGGGGCAGUAAGGGCCCUGCCCCCCCUAACAUCACUAUAUAUCGAGGCUAAUAUGAAUGUGAUCAUUAGACAAUUGCUGCUAAAAAAGGUUUAAUUUCAUGAAUUGACCCUCCCCAUAAAGGAUUAGCAAUGCUUGGCCCCCUAGCUCAUUUAUUUUUCAUGGCUCCACCGCGUGCAACAGCGCACGUGUUCGCCCCCUCUCUCUAAAUAUCGAUCUCGCACUUGUGCAUUUCUUCAUAGUCUCCCUCCACUCGGCCCCUCACACCAUCUUCUAGCCCCCACCGGAUUUUGCCACAUGCACAAUCUAGCAGACUCCAUGGUUGAACUUAAGCAUAAUGCACAAACCUCAAAACGGCAGUGGUUCUCUUUUGUUUUAGAAUCUUCCGUAUCAUAACUGCCCAAACUUUUUUUCUAGUUGAAUUUCCAUUAUUUGUUUUUACUUUAUGCUUUACAACGCACAAUUCCAUGAAUCAUAAAAUAGAUUAAGGGCUUCUUUGAUUCAAAGGAUUCUCAAAGGAAUUUUGGAGGAUUCUAAUCAUUAGGAAUUUUUCUUAUCUUGGUUGUUUGAUUCGUAGGAUUGUAAACCAUAUGAAUUUUUCCAUAUGAUUCAUUUUCACUAGAUUUCAUAGGAAACAUCCAUCCACUCAAACCUCUUUAAAAGAAUUAUGCGUUUUUUCUAUGCACAAUCAAACACUCGUACAAUCCUGUAGGAUUCAAGAAGACAUUCCACUAUAAUCCCAUGUUUUCCCUAUUCACGCGUUCUUAGCUUAUUUAUAAAAACUAAUUGAUUUUGAAUGAGAUGAACUAUAAGAAUUAAACGAAGGGCUACAUCACGCAUAUAUGACUCAAAGCUUACAUGCUAUAGUGUGGUAUUUAUUCAUAAUUUGGUUGCAAAAUCUGAUGGAUGCAAUGCACGUGUACCUUACUAGUACUUGAGUAUACCGCACGGUUCUUUGCUCCUCCUCGAUUAGGUCAUCGGCGCAUUUAUACGAGCAGUCAAAUCACAAGACCCCGCCUUCCAGCACUAAUGAGCCGUCAAAUCACAAAGGCCCUCGCCUCUUGUGAAACCGACCAAGCUAGACUGCCCCGCCCUCUAGCCUUUUAAAAAACGUAUACAUUUGUACAGCAGUAGUAUCGAUGGAUUGUGCCAUGGAGCAAAACUUGAAAUAAAAAAGGGUGGUACAUAUAGAGAGCGCUCGUCGCCAAAUUAUGCAUAUAGUACUAUUAAAAAGGCUAGUCACAAUAAUGGUGUCCAGCACAACCCACCCCUCAAAUAAAACUAAGCACCCUGGAAUUCUUUGAAAAAACUAAGCACCCUGAAAUUCUUUGACAACUAAACUGCUGGGUAUAUGAUGUUGGCCAUAUAUAUUGUACGUAUAUAAUGUGAAGAAACGAGUGGUAGUACUAUACCAACUAAAAGAUGAAAUGUAAGAAAUACUAGUAUGUACUUACUUAAGAGUUAAAGUAAAAAGAAGAAACAUAACAUAGUUCUGCUGGGGGCUUAGCACAACACACCCCUCAAAUUAAAUUAAGCACACGUGAAAUUAAACUUUGCAACUAUUCCGGUAGACGCUUCAUUAGAACCACUGUCGGGGGGAUGAACCCCAGGCAGGCAACGGAACCCGGAUCUAUUUCAAAAACAGCGGGGCCCGCAUCGCCUCGCAAAACCGGCGCGUGCCAGGCCGGGUCGCUCGACCCGGCAAGGCGCGCAACCCGGCCAAGACCCUCGACUCGGCAAGGUACGUCGACCCGGCCACAGUGGCCGACGCAAGGAAACUCAACCCGGCGCAACCCUGGCUUCCCCAACCAGCCAACCCACCCGUGGCGUCCACGGCAAUCCAGCCACGGGUCAGCUCCCGUCCCAUCCAGGCCGUACGAUGGGACGAGACCGCAAUCACCGAUGACCAAGACUACAGUGCCCGCGCCCACGCCCGUGGUCAGCCAGAGCGUGGCAACAGUGGCCCUUACCUACCCGCUGACCAGGGCUGGCACGGCAAUAAUGUCCCCGCCUUCACCGCUGACGAUAGCAAGCGGCGGCCUGACGGAGAACACUAUGCGCGGCUCGACUCGGCCACUCCAUGACAAUAGACAAGACGGUGCACGGUCCCCCUAGGAACGCAGGGCCCGCACCUAGGGGAACCCUGCGAACCACAAGCCCCCAAGCGGGACCCAGCCCAGUGUCCCGGACGCCGACAAUACAGACCCACUGACUCGGCAUAUUACCAUUGUAACCCUGGGUGGGUUGAUCUAUAAAACCCCCCAGGAGUCCAUGCCCGCAGGGGCACGGCAUGAUAUGUAAGAUCCCCGACAUGCAAAAGCAAGCAAGAUAGGACUAGCCACUACAUAGCAACACCAGGGAGAAGGAGCAGCCCGAGCCUCGGCCAGCCUCCUUCCUCCUCGAUACAGCUCCAGGAGCGACAUUGUACUAUCGACCAUCCAACUAAACUCGGUAGGACUAGGGGUGGUAUCUCUCUGGAGAGCCCCAAACCUGGGUAUGUCCGGCGUCCCGCGCCCGCGUAUAUCAACCUCGCCUCCCAAGCCCACCAGUGCCCUCGAGCCUCCUCCUCUCUUUAGCCAUCCCUUGGCAUCUGCUGUGCGCCCACCAUGACAGUUGGUGCCCACCGUGGGGCAGCUCGAGGAGCUGCCCGGAAGCAUGCUUCGGACGGGGCCCUUCUCCUACUCCGACGAGUCCAUCGCUCUGGCGGACGACGUCAUCGGAGCGCUCGCCGUCUCCUUCACCGUGCGGCACAUCUCCGACGCGCUCAUGGCCGACGAGUACCCCAGCGACGUGCUCAGCUACUCCAACUCCCCACUCCCUCUCAGCGGCGGAUUCACUACCGGGGUGAUGGACGCCCGCGUGGAGGUCUUCGUCACCGGCGAUGGCGCCUCUUCCUCGUCGAGCAAGGCAAGAAGAGUCGCUGAAGCCGCGGCCGCCACGGCAUGGACGGAGCCGUCCGACCCGCUGCACGCCGCGAUGCAGCGCCUCCGCAUCCCCAUCGGCACCAACGUCGACGCCACCAACGUCGCUGAAGCCCGAACUCAUCUCGAGGACAGGCGCCAGCAGAUGCUGGACUUGUCCGAGACGCUGGCCGCCACUAGGCGCCACCUGGAAGCUGCUCAGAUGGAGCACGACGCCGCCCACGGAUUCACGCCCGCCGCGGCCGAGCCAAGACAGGUCGAUACUCGCGCUCGGGGAGGAGCAAUCGGCUGGGCCUUCGGUGCCGUCCGGACGGUCUACGAAACCCCAGUCAAGAACAUGCGCGCUGCCGAGGCAGCCGCGGUCGUCCUCAACCAAAUUGCGGCCGAGGAGCUCAAGGAGCACAUCGGGCGGAUGCGCGAGCUCCUCCACGCCGUCAACACCCAGCAGGAUCGCCUCAACCAGCUCGCCAAGCCGGCGGGGUCCGGCUCCGCCCGCCCUGGCGGACCCGACAAACUCCUGCACACGGCCUCCUCGCCGCCCGACGAGGCGCACUCCGGACAAGCCCGGAUCCGGCGCAACCCGACCGGCACCGCCGCCGAUGCUCUGGGCAACGAGCCCAGCCCAGAGACCCAGCACGGACCCGGCCAGCCUGGCCGACGUCCGGCUCCAGCCGACCCGGCCCCUCGGGGCCUGGCCGCCAGUCGACUCGGCCCGUGCGCCAUCGACGACGUCGACGCACGCCACCGCAUCGAUCGGCUCGCUCGCUCCCUGGAGGUGGAGGAGAGCGGUGCUAUCGGGCCGACGUGUUUCGGCCCAUGCAUCCGGGAGGAGCCCUUCCCCAAGGGAUUCGUACUUUCCCACGACACCCCCAAGUACAAUGGGACUGUGAAGCCAGAAGACUGGCUCACCGACUACACCAUGGCCAUUGGCAUCACCGGUGCCAAUCAUCGUCUCGCCGUGCGCUACGCACCGCUCAUGCUCCAAGGAUCGACCCGCACAUGGUUGAACAGCCUGCCGAUGGGCAGCAUCAACGCAUGGGUCGAUUUCGAGGAAGCGUUUGUCCGCAACUUCACGGGGACGUACAGACGGCCUGGUCGCCCCAGCCAGCUCGCCAUGUGCGUGCAGGGGCCGACGGAGACCGGCCGGGAGUACCUCGCAUGCUGUACCGAGCUCCGGAACAGCUGCGAGGGCGUCCAUGAAGUCCAGGCGAUCCAAUACUUCGUCAGCGGGUGCCGAGACGGCACCCUCCUCAAGCACAAGCUUCUACGCUCCGAGCCGGCUACCAUGGCCGCGCUCAUGGUGACGGCGGACAAGUACGCCAACGCUGACUCCGCCAUGAAGAUCCAAGUGGCGCUGGAUGAGGCCGGCAAGGCGAAGCCGGUCUCUCCUCAUAAGCCGGCCGGCGAAAGCAGCGGGUAGCAGCACCACCAGAACAACAAGCGCAAGGCCGAGCAGCCGGCGCAACGUCACGACAACCGGCUCGUCGUGGCCGCCGAGCCCGCGGCGGACCCGGCAGCGAAGCGCCGGCAGACCGGCAAGAUGGCGUGGCAACCCGCCAUGAGCUUUGGAGAGAUGCUCGACGCCCCAUGCACCACAGCAGAGCAAGACCCUCCACGCACACGCUUCGACAGUGCGCCAUCACCAAGCGCAUCAUGAGGGGCGACGUUCCGCCUCCUCCGGCUCCGGCUCCGGCUUCGGGCGCAGGGCAGCCGCCUCCGCCUCCACCGCCGCCUCCCGCCGGCGGCAUGAUGCGGAACGACGCCUGCCCGGACCAGAACGCGGCCUACAUCAUCUUCACCAGCCUCGGCGAUGACAAGAACAGCGAGCGCCUCCUCCGGCAGGACGUGAACACCAUCGUCCCGGCCAAGACGGAUUUCAUGCAUUGGUCGGAUCGCCCGAUCACAUGGACCCGGGAGGAUCACCCGGCAGUCAUGCCGAGUCCGGGCGGAUACGCCCUCGUCCUCAACCCUACCAUCGUCGCGCGGCGCACCUGCAAGUUCUCCCGAGUCCUCAUCAACGACGGCAGCAACAUCAACAUCCUCUACCGCGACACGAUGACCAAGCUCGGCCUCAAGGCCGAGGACCUGGAGCCGACCCGGACCGUCUUCCACGGCAUCGUACCCGGCGUCUCCUGUUCACCCAUUGGCCAGGUCCGGCUCGAUGUCCUGUUCGGCGACAGCAGCCACUUCCGACGUGAACCAAUCUGGUUCGAGGUGGUGGACCUGUCCAGCGCGUAUCAUGCGCUGCUGGGCCGGCCCGCACUCGCCAAGUUCAUGGCGGUCCCCCACUACGCGUACCUGAAGAUGAAGAUGCCGGGUCCCAAGGGCCUCAUUACCGUCACCGGCGACUACCGCAAGUCUCUAGAGUGCGCCCGAGAUGACGCCAAGCUGGCCGAGUCGCUGGUCAUUGCCGAGGAGCGGCGCCAGCUCGACCGGAUCGUCGCCCUGGCCGGCGAGGCUUCCGACGCGUCGAUCCCGACCCAGGACCCAGCAGAUGAGGCCGCCUUCAAGCCCUCCAAGGAAACCAAGAAAGUGAAGCUGAACCCUGAAGACCCUAGCUGCAGCAAGUACGUUGUCGUAGGCGCACGCCUCGACAACAAAUAGGAGCUCGUCGACUUCCUCCGUGAGAAUCGGGAUAUCUUCGCAUGGACCCCCAAAGACAUGCCUGGUAUCCCGAGGAAGUACGCCGAGCACAAACUCCACGUCCGCAAGGACGCCAAGCUUGUCUAUCAACCCCUCCGUUGAUUUUCCGAAGAGAAGAGAAGAACCAUUGGUGAAGAGGUCGCCAAGCUCUUGGCGGCGGGCUUCAUAAUGGAAGUGUUUCACCCUGAGUAGCUGGCCAACCCAGUCCUCGUCCUGAAGAAGAACAAGACCUGGCGCACGUGUAUCGACUACACCAGCCUCAACAAGGACUGUCCCAAGGAUCCGUUUGCCCUCCCACGAAUCGACCAAGUCAUCGACUCGACCGCCGGGUGCGAGCUGCUAUACUUCCUGGACGCCUACUCCGGCUAUCACCAGAUCAAGCUGGAUCCGGCCGAUGCUCUGAAGACGUCCUUCAUCACGCCCUUCGGGGCGUACUGCUACAUCACCAUGUCGUUCGGGUUGAAGAAUGCCGGUGCCACCUUCCAACGCUGCAUGCAGAAAUGCUUGCUACCGCAACUCGGCAAGAACAUCCACGUGUACAUGGACGAUAUCGUGGUGAAGACCAAGCAGCACCUCACACUCCUCGACGAUCUGAAGGAAACAUUCACCAACCUUCAUGAAUACAAGGUCAAGCUCAACCCGGAAAAGUGCAUCUUCGGCGUCCCAGCCGAAAAGCUGCUCGGCUUCCUCAUCUUGGAACGCGGCAUCGAGGCGAACCCGAAGAAGAUCAAGGCCAUCGAGCGCAUGCGCAAGCCAACCCGGCUGCACGAUGUCCAGAAGUUCACAGGCUGCCUGGCCUCGGUCAUCCAGUUUCUGAGCCGGCUGGGCGAGAAGGCACUGCCCCUGUACCAGCUAAUGAAGAAAACAAGCCCGUUCGAGUGGAACGGCAAGGCGGAUGAAGCCUUCCAAGACCUCAAGCGCAUGCUCUCCACCGCAUCCGUCCUUGCCGCACCGACCGACAAGGAGCUGUUGUUGCUCUACAUAGCCGCGACCUCACGGGCGGUUAGCACGGUGCUAGUGGUCGAGCGACCGGAGAGGGGCAAGAUCCAGGCCGUUCAGCGACCGGUAUACUACCUGAGCGAAGUGCUCUCCACCUCCAAGCAGAACUACCCGCACUACUAGAAGAUGUGUUACGGCGUGUACCUCACCGCCAAGAAGCUGAAGCAGUACUUCCAAGAGCACGUCGUCACCGUCGUCAGCACGGCGCCGAUCGGAGAAAUCAUCGGGUGCCGGGACGCCUCUGGCCGGGUCGCCAAAUGGGCGAUCCAGCUAGCCGACCACACCAUCCUCUACGAGCCCCGCACCACGCCCUGGACGAUUUCCUCGUCGACUGGACCGAGACACAGUACCUGCCGCCGCCUCCCGACUCAACGCAUUGGAGCAUGCACUUCGACGGGUCCAAGAUGCGACUCGGAUUAGGGGCUGGCAUCGUACUGUCAUCUCCGAAGGGCGACCGACUCUGCUACGCGCUCUAGAUCCACUUCGCCGCCUCCAACAACAUCGCUGAAUACGAAGCCCUUGUGCACGGCCUCCGGCUCGCCAAGGAACUCGGCAUCCGGCGCAUCCUGUGCUAUGGCGACUCGGACUUAGUGGUGCAGCAGUGCUCCGACAAGUGGGACGCCCGUGACUCCAACAUGGCAAGCUACCGCUUCCUCAUCCAGAAGCUGUCCGGAUCCUUCGAUGGCUGCAAGUUCAUCCACGUCCCGCGCGUGGAGAAUGAGGCAGCUGACACGCUCGCCAAGAUCGCCUCGUCACGUCAAGCCAUCCCAUCCGGCGUCUCCCUCGAGCACUUGCGCAGGCUGUCCGUCAAGCCGUCACCGGACUCCGAGUCCAUCCACGUCCCAGAAGACCCGGCCGUCGCCAUCACCAACCCGGGGACUACUGAACCCGGCCCGGGGACAGUUGGACCCGGCCUAGGGGCUACUAUGCUCAACCCGGCCACCUUCUCCUCGGACCCGGCCGUCGCCGUCGCAGACCCGGGGGCUGCUCAACCCGGCCCAGGAGCCGCCGACUCGGAACCCACCUAGGUGGCCGUCUUCACCGCUGUCACGGCCCCGUCUUGGGCCCUGUCGAUAUCAUAAUGGCUGGAGAACGGGGUUCUCCCCUUGGACGAGACCGAGGCUUAGCAAGUUCAGCGCCGGGCGUCCGCCUACAGCAUCAUCAACAACGAGCUCGUCAAGCACAGCUCUACCGGUGUGUUCCAGCGCUGCGUCGAGCAGGACCGCGGCAUCGACAUCCUCCUCGACAUUCACCAGGGCGAGUGCGGGCACCACGCCGCAUCUCGAUCCCUCGUGGCCAAGGCGUUCCGCCACGGCUUCUACUGGCCAACGGCCCUCGAAGAUGCCGAGUCGCUCGUCCUCAAGUGCGAAGGAUGCCAGCGCUUCAGCAAGCGCAGCCACCAGCCGGCGUCAGCACUCCGCACCAUACCGAUCGCCUGGCACUUCGCGGCCUGGGGAAUCGACAUGGUGGGACCCUUCAAAACCGCUCGAGGUGGCAUGAUGCACUUACUGGUGGCAGUGGACAAGUUCACCAAAUGGAUCGAGGCAAGACCAAUCAAGAAACUAGAUGGGCCAACAGCCGUCCGGUUCAUGAAGGACAUAGCGGUGCGCUACGGCAUGCCGAACAACAUCAUCACCGACAACGGCACCAACUUCACCAAGGGCGCGCUCGAGCAAUACUGCUCUGUCUCCGGCAUCCGCCUCGACCUGGCCUCCGUGGCACAUCCGCAGUCCAAUGGGAAGGUCGAGCGGGCCAAUGGACUCAUCCUGUCCAGCAUCAAGCUGCGACUCAUCGAGCCACUCGUCCGCUCACCUGGCAAUUGGCUCGACGAGUUGCCCGCCAUUCUCCGGAGUCUGCGCACAACACCAAACCGGUCGACCGGGUUCACCCCGUUUUCCUUGUCUAUUGAUCCGAAGCCGCCAUCCCGACCGACGUCGAGUUCGACUCGCCGCGCGUCACAAUGUACACCGAAGUAGAAGCAAGAGAAGCACGCGAAGACGGUGUCGACCUGCUCGAAGAGGCGCGCCUUCUGGCACUUAGCCGCUCGGCUAUCUACCAGCAAGGCCUGAGGCACUACCACAGCAAGAAGAUCAAGCCUCUCGUAUUCCGCAAAGGCGACCUCGUCCUCCGACUCGUCCAAGAGCAGGCAGGCCAACACAAGCUGUCCUCUCCAUGGGAAGGCCUGUUCAUCGUGAGCAGGGCUUUGCGCGACCGCAACACCUACUACCUCAUCGACGCAUGCAAAUCGAAGAAGCGCAAGAGGGACACCGCCGGUGAAGAAACGACCAGGCUGUGGAACACGGAACUCCUCCGUCCGUUUUACAGUUAGCCGCACGAAUGUACGUAUCAACGCCUUUUGUAAGCAUAUGAAACUAUGGGGUCCCCGAACGAGACUCGGGGGCUGCCCUUUGCCGACCAAUUUAUUGCGUCCAUAUUUCACAACACUUUAUUAUCGAACCCGGCCGCCGGCUCGACUAGCUCGACCCGGGGGCUCGGGGGCUGGCCGGCUUGAUCACCACCCCGUCGCUUUACUUGGUGAUUCCUAAUAAAGUUAGGAUGCCGCGGUCACCCACUUCGCCCUAAAACCGCAGAUCCAGCUCUGGCUGACGGCGGGAAAGCACAACGGGCUAAAGCUCCCCUACGAUUCAUACACUAAGUCAAAGCCGCCGGGUCGACCAACCCGGCCCAACGCUCGUCAACCAAGUUAGCCGCACGACCGGCUGCUCACCAACCGGCCAAGCCGGAUUGCCGCCAGCCGGCCCAGUGGGUGUUUCGCUCGCGCUCAAAGCUUCUAAGGACCCAACUCCUGCGGCCGCCUCUCGAAGAGCCGAACUCCUUGUCACGGANNNNNNNNNNNNNNNNNNNNNNNNNNNNNNNNNNNNNNNNNNNNNNNNNNNNNNNNNNNNNNNNNNNNNNNNNNNNNNNNNNNNNNNNNNNNNNNNNNNNNNNNNNNNNNNNNNNNNNNNNNNNNNNNNNNNNNNNNNNNNNNNNNNNNNNNNNNNNNNNNNNNNNNNNNNNNNNNNNNNNNNNNNNNNNNNNNNNNNNNNNNNNNNNNNNNNNNNNGAAAUAAGUUCGAAAAAAGCAGAAGGCAAAAAGCAAAUAAACACUCACAACAUUUACACAUAAAUGUUUCAAGCAAAGGCCCACGGCCCGCGUUCAUUACACCCUGAAAACCCCCAGUGGGUGGGUGGACCUGCUACUUAACAGAAUUGUCUACAAAGAUUCUCAGGCAUUCCCAGCGCCGCGUCGCGACGUUGAUGCCCCCCCCGGCCGGCCUCCGGGUCCAGCGAAGCACCGGUGUAUUCUUCGGCUUCUGCGUCGCCGUAGACGCCCGUCUCCUCCGAGCUGCCCUCCGGGUCGUGAAGAAGCAAGCCAUAGUCAUCGCCAUCCACGACCGGGCCGUCUUCCGUCAGCUCCGGAUGGAACUCGUCGUGGAAGGCGAACUCGGCGAUAUAGCUGGCCCGGGAGGCGAUCCGGCCGUCCUGCUCCUGCAGCAACUUCUCCGAGCCAGUGCGCUGACCCAUCAGCGCGUCCAGCUGAAGUUCCGGGUGCCAAGACAGCGCGAUUCGGAGCGCCAUCUCAGCACCGGCACGGGCGGCGGAAACACGCCAGUCGCUAAGACGAUUCGGGCCCAUCUCCAACCAGCAUGCCAGGCGCGAGCAGCUGUGCGGAUGGACGGAGUCCGGUCAGAAGGUCGCCGUCAUCGCAGUGCCGACUCGAGACAGCCGCUCCAUCUGCGUCCCCAAGACCCACAGCCGGGCCUCAGCAGCGGCAAUGAUCUCCAGGAAAGUCCAGGCCGUUAGCGGAUCCAUUCCGGACCCAACAACACCGGUCGGGUCGCGCUGAUAGCGGACGGCUUCCUCCGCCAGCCGCUGCGUCUCCGGAAAGGCCCCUGCAGCCAAAAAAGAAGCAAGUCAGAAGAGAAACAAAGAAGAAAGGGCCGGGUCCCAACCCGGCAAACGACAAAGAAGCAACACUUACUAGAGAAAGACUCUUCCAGGUGCUGCGCCUCGAGCAACGUACCACGUCGCUCCCGCUCCAAGACACGGUCCCGCUCCCCGAGCGCCUUCUCCAGUUCGGCCGCCUUAGGAAGAGCCGCUUUCAGCUCGGCAUCCCUAUCUUCGGCCGCCUUGCGGCAGCGAGCCUCGGCCUGGCGGGCCUCCUCAGCCGUGGUGGCCUGCUCCCGCAAACGCACCACCUCGGCCUGGAGCCGGCCCUUGUCGUCAACCAGCUGGCCGCGCUGCUGGUCCGCCUCGACCAGGGCCUGCUACGUCUCCACCACCUUGGCAGCCUCCGCCUUAAGAAGCUCCACCUCGGCCUCGAGGCAGCUCUUGUGGCCUGCCAACUGCUCGUGCAGCCGGUUGGCCUCGUCAAGAGACCGCCGGGCCGCGGCCGCCUCCACUUUCGCCUGCGCCGCCUCGACACCAAGACGGCCGGAAUCAGCAACAAGCCGGUCAUAGUGAUGACCAGCCCGGAACAGCCGGGUCCGCCAAGACAGCACCUCGGCUGCGAAGAAGAUGAACUCAGCAGAAAGAAAACGACAAGACCUAAGAUUUGGCCCAACUGUUACACAGUUGGUCCGAAUCUCGGGGGCUACACCCAGUGGGUGCGCUAGCGCGCCCCCACUAGAAGAAAAGAACACAAAAAAGCACCUGCGGCGAUGCGAAGCUCCUCCUCCUUGGCAGCGAGCUGCUCCUUGAGCUCCCGAUGCUUGCCCAGGAGCCGGUUGAAGGCAGCAACCCGGAAGGCGUCACGGUGCUGAAAAAGAAGACCAAAGUCAACACAAGGCCAACGCUCGUAAGGUUCGACCCAACUACUACAUAGUUGGCCCGAACCUCGGGGGCUACACCCAGUGGGUGCGCUGGCGCGCGCCCACAAAGUUGAAAUCACAAGAAAGAAGAAGAGGAAGAAGGACGACAGAGAAGGUCUCUGCUCAAAGCCGCGGGUGCAGCUGUGUGUCGGUGGCAAGAAGCAGAGCGAGAGCAGGGGGGUAGGAGGGCGCGAGCGAGAAUAAUGUCCGCCACCCCCUUGCCCCCCCGAUUUAUAACCCCUAAUUCAAACAUGGGGAAGUGAGAUCGUCUGCACGCGCUCGUUCCACUAUCCUGCAAUAAGUGCGCACGUACACAUGCACUAACUGCACGGGGAAGUGCAACCGGCCCCCAGACGCCACAAUAAAUCUGCGCGCGUGGCCUGUGGCGCGCGGCGGCGGGCCCCGGCCCGUCACCCAGUCCCGUCACGAGCGUGGCCUGUCAGGCCCGUCCGACUUCUGGGCACCACGUGGCGCCUGCGCAAAGCCCGAGGGAUCACCUCAAUAUUCGACGGACUCCUCGGUUCCCUCCACGGCCGGGAUGCCGCGAUCCGGUUUCCGAGAAAACCGGCACACAAUGGGUGUUGCCGGACACGGCGUUCGUAGAUUCCUCCUUGCUCAAGGGGGAAGUUGCGAAGGCCCACUCAUCCAAAGACGGCGGACCUUCACAGCUUUGGGGACUACUGUCGGGGGGAUGAACCCCAGACAGGCAACGGAACCGGAUCUAUUUGAAAAACAGCGGGGCCCCAUCGCCCCGCAAACCGGCGCACGCCAGGCCAGGUCGCUCGACCCGGCAAGGCGCGCAACCCGGCCAAGACCCUCGACUCGGCAAGGUACGUCGACCCGGCCGCAGUGGCCGACGCAUGGCAACUCAACCCGGCGCAAUCCUGGCUUCCCCAACAAGCCAGCCCACCCAUGGUGUCCACGGCAACCCAGCCACGGGUCAGCUCCCGUCCCAUCGAGGCCUUACAAUGGGACGAGACCGCAAUCACCGAUGACCAAGACUACAGUGCCCCCGCCCAUGCCCGUGGUCAGCCAGAGCGUGGCAAUAGUGCCCCUUACCUACCAGCUGACCAGGGCUGGCACGCAACAGUGUCCCCGCCCUCACCGCUGACGACAGCAAGCGGCGGCCUGACAGAGAACACUGUGCACGACUCGACUCGGCCACGCCAUGACGAUCGACAAGACGGCGCAUAGUCCCCCUAGGAACACGGGGCCCGCACCUAGGGGCACCCGGCAAACCACAAGCCCCCAAGCGGGACCCAGCCCGGUGUCCCGGACGCCGACAAUACGGACCCACCGACUCGGCAUAUUACCAUUGUAACCCUGGAUGGGUUGAUCUAUAAAACCCCCCAGGAGUCCACGCCCACAGGGGCACGGCAUGAUAUGUAAGAUCCCCGACAUGCAAAAGCAAGCAAGAUAGGACUAGCCACUACAUAGCAACACCAGGGAGAACGAGCAGCCCGAGCCUCGACCAACCUCCUUCCUCCUCGAUACAGCUCCAGGAGCGAUCUUGUACUAUCGACCAUCCAACUAAACUCGGCAGGACUAGGGGUGUUAUCUCUCUAGAGAGCCUCAAACCUGGGUAUGUCCGGCAUCCCGCGCCCGCGCAUAUCAACCUCGCCUCCCAAGCCCACCAGUGCCCUCGAUCCUCCUCCUCUCUUUAGCCAUCCCUUGGCAUCUGCCGUGCGCCCACCACGACAACCACCAUGAGCAACGACACUGCCACCUUACUUGGAGUCCUCGUCCACAUCCUCAACUUCGUGCUUGUCCCUCUUCCUCUUGGCCGAUACUUCUUUGCUUGAACCGCCAACUUGGCUGUUGCUCUUCAUCCAACCCUUGUAGAUAUUGAAACAAAGGUAGCCAUCCAUUGCAGCGUACUAGAUGUGGUCUAUAUCUAUUACACUCCACUACCAUGCAUGACGAUGAAACGUGUAUGGAGGUUUCUCCAGUUUACCGUAUGAAGGAUGAACCAUGGCUCCUGCUAGGGUCAGCAUUGAAGGCUGACGAGAGGACACCAGCCGAUUCUUUUGGAGGUCGAAGGUGUUGUGUCACACCCUAGCUAGUUCAUGCAUUAGAGUGUUGCAUCAUGUUUAUUCUUUCAUCAGAAACCUGAAAUGGGGAUGACAGAACCCCCAGUCCCCUCUGAAACCAAUUAGGGUUUACUAAAAACUUUUUCAAUGAACCCGAAAUGCCCUUCUAAAAUGCCCAUCAUUUUUGUCUUGGUUCAGAACCUCUGCCAAAAGUGAUGCACAUUUUCCUAGGCCAUCUUAGGGUUUUUGAAUUAAAUCAUAAAUAUUUGAAUUUGGGCAUUUAAAAUUAUAUAAAAUAUUUAAAUGCUCAAAUAUCUCCAAACUAAAAUGUUUCAUGUUGGAAAUAUUCCAACUAUGGACCAGGAGUAGUUUGGUGAUUUUAGGAGUUGCCUAAGUAUUUUAUUUAAUUCAACAAAGUUGCAGAAGUAUUAAAAAACAGAAAACAGAAAGAAAAUGGAAAAACUUACCUGACGCCUGCUCCCGGCCCACCUGCCGGCCCAGCCCAGCGCCGCUCCAGCGAGCUGCUUGCCGGCCAGGCAGGCAGGCAGGUGCCCGACGGCGACCGCAGCGCGCGCCACGCACCUGGUCGCCGCCUCGCCGCUCCCCUCGCCCGGUGACGUCGUGGAUCGGCCUCCCUCGCUCCCCCGAACCCCCCAGACUCCCUCUCUCCUCUCCAGCUCCUCCCCCUCGCGCUCCCCUGCCAUGACCGACGCCACCAUCGCCGUGCCUUCGUCGUAGCCGUGCUCCCCGCCACCCGUGCGUCCUCUCAUCGUGUCCAGGAGCUCCGCCGCUGUCCACUCCAUCGAGCAAGCCGAGCCCCGAGCGCUCGCAACGCCCGAAUCCACCGCAACGAACUCGCCCGAACCGCCGUCGCCGGAGAUCCCCUUCAACGCUGCCGUCGCUUCGGUCCAUCCCCGGCCGCACCAAGGGCUUCGUCGCACCCACUGUGAGCUUAGCCAUCUUCCCCCCUCCUUUUCUUGCUCCCGAGCUGUGUAGCAACCUCCCGGAGCUCAACCGCACCCACCGCCGUGGAGCUCGUCGCCGACGUGCUCCCGGUCACCCUUCGACCACUCCACGGUGUCCAUCAUGCUCACCGUGUCACGUAGCACCUAGCUAGCUACUCCCCGCGCCUCACCGACCCCUCUAGCGUCAAGUUCGUCUUCGGCCGAACCCCGGUGGCCGCCAAAGUCGUCGCCGGCGCCAACUCCGGCCACCCCGACCCCAACGGACUCCACCAAGAGCUGCGGCUCAUCCUCAGCUCCACUCCGGUGGUCUCCGCGACCCAUUUGGCGGCCGAAACAGCCAAAACCACUUCCGCCGCCGCGUCGGGCUCGCCGGCGGCUAAACGCCGGUGCAGCCGACCUGGGUUUGACCACGGGUGGGCCCUGGUUGACUCUCCUGAGUCAAUGACAGGUGGGGCCCAGCCCUGUUAAUUAAACAGGUUUAGUUUUAUUUAAACUUUAAUUAAAUUAAUCACACUGACACGCGGGACCCACUGUCAGGUUUGACCCGGAUGUGUCCCGUUGACCUGCUGACGUCACACUGACGUCAGGCUGACGCAAUAAUUGAUUUUCUGGAAUUAAUCUAAUAUAGGAAAUUCCAGAAUAUAGUUUAAACUUUAAAAAUUCAUAUCUUUUAUUCUGUAACUCCAAAUCAGACAAAUUAUAUAUGAAAAAUGAUCAGAAAAAUCCAAUCUAUCCAUCUGUACUAUUUUCAUGCAUGAUUAAACAAGUUAACCUGAUGUUUAAUGCAGAACAAGGAAAAACACCUUAAAGGGCCAUGUUUGAGUUUGAAAUUUGAAUCUUUGAUUCAAAUUGGUUCAAACCCUUCUGGUCUUAGUUGCAUUAGCCCAACACACUCAUAUUGCUAUGUUUCAUGCAUGCAUCGUAUUUUUGCACAUUGUUUGGUGAUGGUUGUGUAUCGGUGUUCUUUGCGGCAGGUUCUGCCUCCGAGGAGUACCGUGAUUACCCUAACGAAGAACCGUAUCAGUGCAUCAAACCAUCAGGCAAGCAACCAACCAUUUGAUCAUAUCGAUACAAUCCCAUGUUCUAGCUCCUGCUCUCUUUUACUGCAUUAAGACAACGCGUUUCAAACUGCUGUGUGCUACGGUUGAACCCAUUUCCUCUGCAUGACCUGUCAUUGCCACAGUAACUAGAUGAAACCCACUAGCAUGUGUAGGAGUUGAAUGAGCCAUAUGUAUGUGUUGUUCCUACCUUGCUAUGCCUGCUAUGCUUAGAGUCGUGUCAGGUCUGGUUCAUCUGGGUGAUGGGCUAGAGUGAAAUGAUUAUGUCGGUAAUGAGAGUGGUGUGAUGAACAUGAUUUGGUAAAGGUAUCGAUGAGAGGCCAUGUAGGAGUACAUGGUGGGUUGUUUCAUUGAAGCCGACCUUAAGCACUGAGAUCUGUAUGUGUGAUUUAAGAUACAGCUACUACCAUGCAUUGGGCCCUGAAAUAUGACCCCGCUCGACUUCUUAUUCACCCUAGCUCUCUGUCCAGGAGUUGCAGGUAGUUUCUGGUGUUUGUAGCCUACUAGAGGCCGUGGACAGCGCUGACCGUAGGGGUGGGCUGUGAUGUGGUAGGUACGUGGCCGGGUGUACCGAAUACCCGUUAGGUAUCUCGGGAACCCUGUUCACAUCGUUCGGGGCCGUAUGGGAAACCUCGGCCGGACUCCCUGCGGAUGGAACCUGAAUAGGCGAUAAACCUGGACUAGAGGCUUAGGUGUUUAGGUAGGUCGUGGUCUACACCCACGUCGGCUUUCGCUUGAAGUCUGCCGAGCACAUGUCGUGUGCAGACGCUAAGUGGUGGAAACAUGUAUGAAGAAGUACACCCCUGCAGGGUUAUCAUGAUCUAUUCGAAUAGCAGCGUCCGCGGUAAAGGACUACUUGGUUGCCUAUACAGUUCAUAGACAAGUAAAUGGAAACUACUAAAAGCCUCAAGAUAAGUGUGAGUGCCGAGGAUGGCUCUUCCGCAGGAAGACGGAGGUGGAUCCUCGGUAGUGUAUUGAAUUGGUGAGUAGUGGACUCGUGUACGCAAAACCAUUUCAAGUUGGACUCUCGUAGGUUAGCCUAGCCAAGAGUCAAAGCUGGCUUGCUGCAACAACUCCACCAACCCUUCUUGAUGAUAUGCAUGUAUGUAGGAUCUGAUGUAAGUCUUGCUGAGUACCUUUGUACUCAUGUUGCUAUAAUUUACAUUUUUAUAGAAGACGCCGCAACCCCUUCUGAUGGGUUCUACGUAGACGUUGACAUCAAUGAGUAGGCUAAGGCCCAGGUGGUGAUCCUGAGCUUGUGAAGGACCACGUAGUAUAGCUAGGCUUUCCAAGCCUCUUUUAUUUACUAGUUGUCUGUACUCAGACAAGUUACUUCCGCUGCUGGUUUGUAUGACUGUAUGACUUGAAUGCUGGGUCGUGUGACCCGUACCUGUGUGUAUGAUUAUGUAUGGCUCCCUGAAACUUAAAUAAAGUACUUGUGUCGUAGAGUCAUGUUGUGAUGUCAUGUUGUAUUUGCACAUAUCGAGCAUACUGUGUGUAUGUUAUUGAAAUGCUUGGUAUGUGUGGGAUCUGACUAUCUAGCUGUUUAUCCUUAGUAGCCUCUCUUACCGGGAAAUGUCUCCUAGUGUUACCACUGAGCCAUGGUAGCUUGCUACUUCUCUGGAACACUUAGGCUGGCCGGCAUGUGUCCUUCUUCGUUCCUGUGUCUGUCCCUUUGGGGAAAUGUCACGCAUUGAGUACCGGAGUCCUGUUAGCCCGCUAUAGCCCGGUUUACCGGAGUCCUGCUAGCCCAGUGCUACAGCCCGGACCCACUUGCUGAUGACCGACACGUUCGUUGCUGGGUCAUGGAUGCCUGUCCCUGUAAGCCUGUGCCACUUUGGGUUUACAACUAGUCAUGUCAGCCCGGGCUCCUUAACAUAUGGAUGCUAGCGACACUAUCAUAUACGUGAGCCAAAAGGCGCAAACGGUCCCGGGCAAAGGUAAGGCGACACCCAUGGGGAUACCGUGCGUGAGGCCGCAAAGUGAUAUGAGGUGUUAUAGGCUAGAUCGAUGUGUCAUCGAGUCGGGGUCCUGACAGCGUUGGCAUCAGAGCCGGACUGCCUGUAGGUUCUCCAAGCCAAACUGGUCGAUGUUGAGUCUAGAAAUUCUUUAGUUAUAUGUAGGGGAAUUGUUUGUGGGUGGAACGUAAGGCUCUUUUUACUCCUUUAUCUUAUGACAUUCUGAUCUGAGUCAGUCUAUUCUUCCACCGGGGGUUAAGGAAUUAGGAUCUAUUUCUCUCUAUCAGGAUCACGUGUUACUAAUCAGUAGUACCUUAUAGGUUUGAUGGAUACAAGCCUAGUUCAGUUCUACUACCACAUUAUGUUGUUAGGAUGGACUCAGAACCUUGAUAUGAUGAUGUUGAAUGUGUAUGAAAUCCUUUGUCAAAUGUCUCAAAAUCCUUCUUGAGCAUUUACAGCUGUUAUGCAGCCGAAAUUUUGCCAGAAAUUCUAAUGCCUUUGCAUUAUGAUUGUGCUUUCAGAUGGCCACUCGCGACCUCAAUCAAGUGGUUCGUCUGACUCGAUGCCUAGAUGUACCCGGCCAUACUGCCAUGUUGGUCAGGGUAAUGAGUGAGGCUGGAUACCGUUGGUAUCCUGAGUACACGGUCGAAGAGCAAUUCCGAGACUUUAAUCAAAGCCAGUAUCUCUGCACUGUCAGGAUAUUUCCAUCUUAUCCUGGGUCCACCGAGCCCCUUCACUGCUCCUAUGGACUCGGGGUUACUAUUGAGAUGGCUGUGCAGGACGCCGCCUACUCUAUGAUGACCAUCAUGCGAGUCAGGUCUGGCCUAUUUCGGGACUCUGAUUUCCGAUAUAUGCCAGGAUCACUUCCGGGAGCACAAGGGUAUCUCCAGGCUAUCUAUGCUGACCCCACUCAGGGGGAUUCACGGACUUGCACUACUGCUGAGAUGCUCGAGGAUAAGGACCGUGAAAAUCGGGCCUGGAGGUUAGAGCUCUUCAAUACCCGUGCUGACCAUUGGGCCACAUUGACUCGGUUUGCACCGGCGGUGCAAGCUAGAUAUUCGGAUAUGCACGAUCUCUAUCCUGUGAGAUCUGCUCUGCCAGACGUGAUGGGUUGGCGUGAUGUAGGAGGCAUCACCCCACCUCACGGUCCCCGCAGGCCACCGUCUGUUGGUCCAAGACCUCAUCCUAGCCCCUAUGGUCCACAAGCUCCGCGAGAUCGUCUGUUUCUGGAGUAUCAUGUUGAGCUUCCAGGCUAUGGAGGUGACUUCUACGAGGACUACUACGGAUCGGUCUGAGUUAGUGGUAGUAUCACUAGUUCAUGUUAGCUGUGUCGUCUAUCGUCCUGCGUGACUCGUGGGAUAUGACCUAGUUUGUAUCGCCUUCCGGAGGUGUAGAAAAAUAAUGUAUAGGAGCUUGGAAUGCCUCCGAUGAGAUGUAAUCCUCUUUUCACCGUAAUAGUACCUUUUUUGGUCUUGUACUAAACCCUGUAUGGUGUGUAUGACGAUGGAAUAAAGAAGCAGUUUCUGUAUCUACCAUGUCAUACGGAUGAUCAUCUUGCAUUCCGAGUUAUUCCUUACAUUCUGUAUCCUAUGUCGGAAUUUUAUCAUUCUGACUAAAUCAUUGUCUUGUUUACCUAGGAUGGUCAACACGCGCACUAACCCUGCUCCUCAAGAGCAGGCCGAAGGCAGUGAAGUCAGGAAUGCAAAUCUGCCUCAUCCUCCUUCCCUAGCCGAGGUUAUGAUGGAAGCCGAAAGAAACAAGCGGGAGACCAACCGUUUGUUGGAGCGUAUUGAACAGAACACAGCACACCAUCAGAGGACUAACGUGGUGUCACUCAGUGAUUUCAUCAAGUUACAUCCACCCACGUUCCACCACUCCGUCGAGCCUCUCAACGCUGAUGACUGGCUUCGCAGUAUCUCUCACAAGCUGCGUUCCGCGCUAGUAGUUGAGGCUGACAAGGUCACCUUUGCUGCAUAUCAUCUUGAAGGCCCCGCCAGUCUAUGGUGGGAGAAUUAUGGAGCUAUGCGUCCAGCGGGCCAUGUCACUACUUGGGCUGAAUUCAGCGAGGCUUUCUGUGAACAUCACAUUCCGGAGGGUCUCAUGGACCGUAAACGUGAGGAAUUCUGCAGUUUCACUUAGGGCUGACUCUCUGUGGAUGCUUACAGCAGGGAGUUCGGUAACCUCGCACGAUAUGCAUCUGAGGAAGUUUCUACUGAUGCCAAGAAGCAAGCAAGGUUCCGUAAGGGACUUAGUCCUGAGCUUCGCCGCGACCUCCGUCUGCAUGAGUGCACAUCUUUUCAGAAACUUGUUAACAAGACCAUCCGUACUGAGACCGGUCAGAUUGAUUAUGACGCAACACGCAAGCAUGGCCGUGACAUGGGUUCCUCAUCUGGUGCUGGUCCUCAGAAGCGCCGCGUGUGGGUGCCCAACACCGCCCUGCCACCCAGGUUCACACCGAGGCCAUCCUUCCAGACGCCUCGCCCCGUUCAACAGUCUGCACCAGCCAAGCCCUAUGGUGGUCCAACCAACAGUGCUCCUCCACAAACCAGUUCCGUGACUUGUUUCAAGUGUGGGGAAUCUGGCCACUAUAUGCGUGAGUGUCCCCAGACCAACCCCAACCAAUCUGCUAAAGCUGUUGGCCGUGGCAAGCCGACAGGGAAAGUGUUCCACGCCAAGCCGGCCACCGCUACACGUGGCCAUGUCAACUGUAUCUCUGCCGAAGAAGCUCAAGAGGAUCCCAACGUCGUUCUCGGUACGCUCCUUGUUAAUUGCCACCCAGCAUCUGUUCUUUUCGAUACAGGAGCCUCUCAUUCAUUUAUAUCCGAGAACUAUGCUCGUUUGCAUAACACCGCAUUCUGUGACAUGCCAUCCACUAUGGAAAUUUCUACUCCCGGUUCUAGAUGGCAGACCUCCAGGGUAAGUUAUGGAAAUGAAAUCCAAGUCGACAGACUUGUUUUCCUUGCAUCUUUGAUAGCUCUCAAAUUUUCAGAUAUUAAUAUCAUUUUGGGUAUGGACUGGAUGUCAGCUCAUCAUGCCAAAAUUGAUUGCUUCUCUAGGACUGUUCAACUCACUCAUCCUUCGGGCAAGAUAGUCAAUGUCUUGACCCGAUUAGCCAAGCGACAAUUAUAUUCUCUUAACGCCAGCCCUUUGCCAGACCUUGAGGACGUUCCGGUAGUCCGUGACUUCCCGGAUGUUUUCCUAGAGGAAUUGCCAGGUGUUCCACCUGACAGGGAUGUUGAGUUCGUAAUAGACCUCAUUCCAGGAACCGUUCCGAUUGCUAGAAGACCCUAUAAGAUGGCACCACUAGAACUAGCCGAGCUUAAGAAACAACUCGAUGAGUCCUUGAAAAAGGGUUUCAUCCGACCUAGUUCAUCUCCGUGGGCUUGCCCCGUCCUAUUCGUCAAGAAGAAGGAUGGUACGGACCGGAUGGUUGUAGAUUAUCGACCUGUUAAUUUGGUCACAAUCAAGAACAAAUAUCCGCUCCCCAGGAUCAACGACCUGUAUGAUCAGCUCGCUGGAUCCUCAGUCUUCUCCAAAAUGGAUUUGAGGUUGGGCUACCAUCAAAUCAAAAUCCGAAACGGGGACAUCCCUAAAACGGCCUUUGUUACUCGUUAUGGCCAAUACGAGUACACCGUCAUGUCCUUCGGUUUAACCAAUGCUCCAGCCACCUUUUCUCGGUUAAUGAACUCAAUCUUCAUGGAGUAUUUGGAUAAAUUCGUCGUGGUUUACCUCGAUGAUAUACUCAUCUACUCCAAGAACGAGGAAGAACAUGCCGAACAUCUAAGGCUAGUGUUGAAGAAACUUCGAGAGCAUCGCCUUUAUGCCAAAUUUUCUAAAUGUGAAUUCUGGUUGUCAGAAGUGACCUAUCUGGGUCACGUAAUAUCAGGUAAAGGUAUUGCUGUUAACCCUGAGCGAGUUCAAGCCGUCCUUAAUUGGACUCCACCUGAAUCGGUCAAGCAAGUUCGGAGUUUUCUAGGCUUAGCGAGCUAUUGCCAUCGCUUUGUAGAAAACUUCUCCAAAGUUGCUAAACCUCUAACCGAACUCCUCAAGAAAGAUAAGAAGUUCGAAUGGACUCCACAAUGUGAGCACAGCUUUCAGGAACUGAAAAGACGCCUGACUUCUGCUCCCAUACUGGUACCGCCAGACUUCUCUAAGGACUUUGUUAUCUACUGCGACGCCUCGCGACAAGGACUAGGUUGCAUUCUCAUGCAAGAUCGACACGUAAUUGCUUACACUUCACGGCAAUUGCACCCACAUGAGGAGAAUUAUCCUACUCAUGAUCUAGAGCUUGCAGCCGUAGUCUAUGCACUUAAGACCUGGCGACAUUACCUCCUCGGUAACCGUUGCGAAAUAUUCACUGAUCAUCAAAGUCUGAAGUACAUUUUCACCCAACCGGAUUUGAAUCUCAGGCAAAGACGUUGGGUUGAGUUGAUCACAGAUUUCGACUUAGGGAUAACCUACACCCCAGGGAAAGCCAACGUCAUGGCUGAUGCGCUAAGUCGCAAAUCUUAUUGUAACAACCUGAUGAUACAACAAAGUCAACCGCUUCUCCAUGAGGAAUUUCGGAAGCUUAACCUUCACAUUGUUCCUCAAGGAUUUCUUUCCACCUUGGUAGCGAAACCUACCCUUACAGAUCAAAUCAUCGCUGCCCAAAAGCGAGAUAAGGGAAUAUCUAAAAUCAAGGAGAACAUUGCUAGCGGAGGUGCUAGUUGUUUCUCCACAAAUGAUCAUGGUGUUGUGUACUUUGAGAACCGUUUAGUGGUUCCCAAGAACCAGCAUCUACGGCAGUUGAUCCUUAAGGAAGCUCAUGAAUCUCCUCUCACCAUUCAUCCCGGUAGAACCAAGAUGUAUCAGGACCUACGCUAGAGGUUCUGGUGGACUAGGAUGAAGAGAGAAAUUGCUCAGUAUAUUGCUAACUGCGAUGUCUGCCGUCGUGUAAAAGCAGAGCAUCAACGGCCUGCUGGCACCCUUCAACCCUUAGCUAUUCCUGAAUGGAAAUGGGAUAAAAUUGGUAUGGACUUCAUUACCGGUUUUCCCAGGACCAAAAGAGGGAAUAAUGCUAUCUUCGUCGUUGUUGAUCGUCUUUCCAAAGUGGCCCAUUUCUUACCUGAUCGCGAGAGUAUAACCGCUAGUCAGCUGGCAGACUUAUACAUCUCCCGAAUAGUGUCUCUCCAUGGUGUUCCCUUGGAAAUUAACUUGGAUAGAGGAAGUCUUUUCACCUCUCGAUUUUGGGAAAGUUUCCAAAACGCUAUGGGAACCCGCCUUUCCUUUAGCACCGCUUUUCACCCUCAAUCGAGUGGUCAAGUGGAACGCGUCAACCAGAUCCUAGAAGACAUGCUUCGAGCCUCUGUUAUCUCAUUCGGAAUGGAUUGGGAGAAGUGCCUUCCAUUUGCCGAAUUCGCUUACAACAACAGCUAUCAAUCUAGCUUGGGUAAAGCCCCUUUUGAAGUCCUCUAUGGACGACGGUGUCGAACACCCCUUAACUGGUCAGAGACCGGGGAAAGACAAUUCUUUGGCCCAGAUAUGAUUCAGGAAGCAGAAGAGCAAGUUCGCAUCGUUCGUGAAAAGUUGAAAACAGCCCAAUCUCGUCAAAAGAGUCAAUAUGACCGAAAACAUAAGGCUAUGACUUUCGAGGUUGACGAGAAGGCUUACCUUCGGGUUACCCCUCUGAAGGGAACCCAUCGUUUCGGUAUCAAAGGCAAAUUGGCUCCUCGUUACAUUGGACCUUUUCGCAUUCUCGCUAAACGAGGAGAAGUUGCCUACCAGUUGGAACUACCUCCGCACCUCUCCAGAGUCCACGAUGUCUUCCACGUUUCUCAACUCAGGCGUUGCUUCUCGAAUCCUAUCCGUGGAGUGGACCACGAAACGCUUGAUCUCCAAGAUAAUCUUACAUAUCGAGAGUACCCCAUUCGUAUCCUCGAUCAGGCCGAGCGUACCACUCGACGUCAUAACAUCAAGUUUCUCAAAGUACAAUGGUCGCACCAUUCUGAGGAUGAAGCAACUUGGGAAAGGGAGGAUCGUCUUCGACUUGAGUAUCCUGCCUUCUUUCCGGAGGAAACCAAAUCUCAGGACGAGAUUCUUUUGAGUGGGGGUGAGUUGUCACACCCUAGCUAGUUCAUGCAUUAGAGUGUUGCAUCAUGUUUAUUCUUUCAUCAGAAACCUGAAAUGGGGAUGACAGAACCCCCAGUCCCCUCUGAAACCAAUUAGGGUUUACUAAAAACUUUUCAAUGAACCUGAAAUGCCCUUCUAAAAUGCCCAUCAUUUUUGUCUUGGUUCAGAACCUCUGCCAAAAGUGAUGCACAUUUUCCUAGGCCAUCUUCGGGUUUUUGAAUUAAAUCAUAAAUAUUUGAAUUUGGGAAUUAAAAAUUAUAUAAAAUAUUUAAAUGCUCAAAUAUCUCCAAACUAAAAUGUUUCAUGUUGGAAAUAUUCCAACUAUGGACCAGGAGUAGUUUGGUGAUUUUAGGAGUUGCCUAAGUAUUUUAUUUAAUUCAACAAAGUUGCAGAAGUAUUAAAAAAACAGAAAACAGAAAGAAAAUGGAAAAACUUACCUGACGCCUGCUCCCGGCCCACCUGCCGGCCCAGCCCAGCGCCACUCCAGUGAGCUGCUUGCCGGCCAGGCAGGCAGGCAGGUGCCCGACGGCGACCGCAGCGCGCGCCACGCACCUGCUCGCUGCCUCGCCGCUCCCCUCGCCCGGUGACGUCGUGGAUCGGCCUCCCUCGCUCCCCCGAACCCCCCAGACACCCUCUCUCCUCUCCAGCUCCUCCCCCUCGCGCUCCCCUGCCAUGACCGACGCCACCAUCGUUGUGCCUUCGUCGUAGCCGUGCUCCCCGCCACCCGUGCGUCCUCUCAUCGUGUCCAGGAGCUCCGCCGCUGUCCACUCCAUCGAGCAAGCCGAGCCCCGAGCGCUCGCAACGCCCGAAUCCACCGCAACGACCUCGCCCGAACCACCGUCGCCGGAGAUCCCCUUCAAUGCCGCCGUCGCUUCGGUCCAUCCCCGGCCGCACCAAGGGCUUCGUCGCACCCACUGUGAGCUUAGCCAUCUUCCCCCCUCCUUUUCUUGCUCCCGAGCUGUGUAGCAACCUCCCGGAGCUCAACCGCACCCACCGCCGUGGAGCUCGUCGCCGACGUGCUCCCGGUCACCCUCCGACCACUCCACGGUGUCCAUCAUGCUCACCGUGUCACGUAGCACCUAGCUAGCUACUCCCCGCGCCUCACCGACCCCUCUAGCGUCAAGUUCGUCUUCGGCCGAACCCCGGUGGCCGCCAAAGUCGUCGCCGGCGCCAACUCCGGCCACCCCGACCCGAACGGACUCCACCAAGAGCUGCGGCUCGUCCUCAGCUCCACUCCGGUGGUCUCCGCGACCCAUUUGGCGGCCGAAACAGCCAAAACCACUUCUGCCAACGCGUCGGGCUCGCCGGCGGCUAAACGCCGGUGCAGACGACCCGGGUUUGACCACGGGUGGGCCCUGGUUGACUCUCCUGAGUCAAUGACAGGUGGGGCCCAUCCCUGUUAAUUAAACAGGUUUAGUUUUAUUUAAACUUUAAUUAAAUUAAUCACACUGACACGCGGGACCCACUGUCAGGUUUGACCCGGAUGUGUCCCGUUGACCUGCUGACGUCACACUGACGUCAGGCUGACGCAAUAAUUGAUUUUCUGGAAUUAAUCUAAUAUAGGAAAUUCCAGAAUAUAGUUUAAACUUUAAAAAUUCAUAACUUUUAUUCUGUAACUCCAAAUCUGACAAAUUAUAUAUGAAAAAUGAUCAGAAAAAUCCAAUCUAUCCAUCUGUACUAUUUUCAUGCAUGAUUAAACAAGUUAACCUGAUGUUUAAUGCAGAACAAGGAAAAACACCUUAAAGGGCCAUGUUUGAGUUUGAAAUUUGAAUCUUUGAUUCAAAUUGGUUCAAACCCUUCUGGUCUUAGUUGCAUUAGCCCAACACACUCAUAUUGCUAUGUUUCAUGCAUGCAUCAUAUUGUUGCACAUUGUUUGGUGAUGGUUGUGUAUCGGUGUUCUUUGCGGCAGGUUCUGCCUCCGAGGAGUACCGUGAUUACCCUAACGAAGAACCGUAUCAGUGCAUCGAACCAUCAGGCAAGCAACCAACCAUUUGAUCAUAUCGAUACAAUCCCAUGUUCUUGCUCCUGCUCUCUUUUACUGCAUUAAGACAACGCGUUUCAAACUUCUGUGUGCAACGGUAGUUGAACCCAUUUCCUCUGCAUGACCUGUCAUUGCCACAGUAACUAGAUGAAACCCACUAGCAUGUGUAGGAGUUGAAUGAGCCAUAUGUAUGUGUUGUUCCUACCUUGCUAUGCCUGCUAUGCUUAGAGUCGUGUCAGGUCUGGUUCAUCUGGGUGAUGGGCUAGAGUGAAAUGAUUAUGUCGGUAAUGAGAGUGGUGUGAUGAACACGAUUUGGUAAAGGUAUCGAUGAGAGGCCAUGUAGGAGUACAUGGUGGGUUGUUACAUUGAAGCCGACCUUAAGCACUGAGAUCUGUAUGUGUGAUUUAAGAUACAGCUACUACCAUGCAUUGGGCCCUGAAAUAUGACCCCACUCGACUUCUUAUUCACCCUAGCUCUCUGUCCAGGAGUUGCAGGUAGUUUCUGGUGUUUGUAGCCUACUGGAGGCCGUGGAUAGCGCUGACCGUAGGGGUGGGCUGUGAUGCGGUAGGUACGUGGCCGGGUGUACCGAAUACCCGUUAGGUAUCUCGGGAACCCUGUUCACAUCGUUCGGGGCCGUAUGGGAAACCUCGGCCGGACUCCCUGCGGAUGGAACCUGAAUAGGCGAUAAACCUGGACUAGAGGCUUAGGUGUUUAGGUCGGUCGUGGUCUACACCCACGUCGGCUUUCGCUUGAAUUCUGCCGAGCACAUGUCGUGUGCAGACGCUAAGUGGUGGAAACAUGUAUGAAGAAGUACACCCCUGCAGGGUUAUCAUGAUCUAUUCGAAUAGCCGCGUCCGCGGUAAAGGACUACUUGGUUGCCUAUACAGUUCAUAGACAAGUAAAUGGAAACUACUAAAAGCCUCAAGAUAAGUGUGAGUGCCGAGGAUGGCUCUUCCGCAGGAAGACGGAGGUGGAUCCUCGGUAGUGUAUUGAAUUGGUGAGUAGUGGACUCAUGUACGCAAAACCAUUUCAAGUUGGAGUCUCGUAGGUUAGCCUAGCCAAGAGUCAAAGCUGGCUUGCUGCAACAACUCCACCAACCCUUCUUGAUGAUAUGCAUGUAUGUAGGAUCUGAUGUAAGUCUUGCUGAGUACCUUUGUACUCAUGUUGCUAUAAUUUACAUUUUUACAGAAGACGCUGCAACCCCUUCUGAUGGGUUCUACGUAGACGUUGACAUCAAUGAGUAGGCUAAGGCCCAGGUGGUGAUCCUGAGCUUGUGAAGGACCACGUAGUAUAGCUAGGCUUUCCAAGCCUCUUUUAUUUACUAGUUGUCUGUACUCAGACAAGUUACUUCCGCUGCUGGUUUGUAUGACUGUAUGACUUGAAUGCUGGGUCGUGUGACCCGUACCUGUGUGUAUGAUUAUGUAUGGCUCCCUGAGCCUUAAAUAAAGUACUUGUGUCGUAGAGUCAUGUUGUGAUGUCAUGUUGUAUUUGCACAUAUCGAGCAUACUGUGUGUAUGUUAUUGAAAUGCUUGGUAUGUGUGGGAUCUGACUAUCUAGCUGUUAUCCUUAGUAGCCUCUCUUACCGGGAAAUGUCUCCUAGUGUUACCACUGAGCCAUGGUAGCUUGCUACUGCUCUGGAACACUUAGGCUGGCCGGCAUGUGUCCUUCUUCGUUCCUGUGUCUGUCCCUUUGGGGAAAUGUCACGCAUUGAGUACCGGAGUCCUGUUAGCCCGCUACAGCCCGGUUUACCGGAGUCCUGCUAGCCUAGUGCUACAGCCCGGACCCACUUGCUGAUGACCGACACGUUCGUUGCUGGGUCAUGGAUGCCUGUCCCUGUAAGCCUGUGCCACUUUGGGUUUACAACUAGUCAUGUCAGCCCGGGCUCCUUAACAUAUGGAUGCUAGCGACACUAUCAUAUACGUGAGCCAAAAGGCGCAAACGGUCCCGGGCAAAGGUAAGGCGACACCCGUGGGGAUACCGUGCGUGAGGCCGCAAAGUGAUAUGAGGUGUUACAGGCUAGAUCGAUGUGUCAUCGAGUCGGGGUCCUGACAUGUUGCCUACAACGAGGCCUAUCCGACGUAGGACUUCUUUGUCGUUACCAAAGUCUACAGUAACGAAUUUGACUAGGUUGCUCUUGAGGAAGUCCUUAAAAUCCUGGCACUCAACGUCGGCAUGGCAUAUGUGGUAGACCAAGCAUAAGUCAUGCACGCAAACCUGGAUCAAGGUGGGCUUCUUCCUCUCUUCGUCCUUUAGAUCCUUCUCUCGUCCCACGACUGUGGUGUACUCAACAUCUAGCCCAGCGACCCACUCAUCAUCUGAGUCUUCGAACAUGCGUCUGAAGCGAGAAAGGCAUCCUUUCACCGUCGCGGAAGAACGGGUGCAGAUGACGUCGAACUCAUCACCAGUGAUGAUUCUAACCUUGUACUCACCGCCGAUCGGGGAGAUUUGGAACGCCAUGGAUUUGGGAGGAGGGUUAGGAUUAGUGGAACUGCCGUAAUGUACAAAUGUGAAUGGACGGGAUGACUAGGAGCGAACCGCCAUAGUAUUAAAGGACGUGUGGGGACGAGUAGGAGCGAACUGCCAGCGUGCGAACGGCAGGGUAGUGGCUUUCCGUUCUCCCAUGAAACGGCUUCCAAGAGCCCUUGGAUCGGAGAUCGAACGGUUGCAUGGCGUGAUUCUAGACCUAUGGGUGAAUAUCCUAUCCUGGAGGGUUAUUCCGCAAAUUUUCAGCAACUUAGCAUGCGGCCGUUUGAUCUCAAAUCCAAGGGCUGCUAGCAGCCCGCAUGAUGGUCGCGCCUACCACGACCGUCGCGUCGCUCGCAUGGUCGUGCCCUUGGAGAUUUAACACGGUGCGGUAGGCUGUCUGAUUUUGGCAUGUAAUACAUAGUCAUCACUUAGUCACUCAUACUACAACAAGGUUGGCUAUAAGGUUGGCUAUAAGUGUAUUUUUUUUACUCCUCUCUAUCACUUUCUUCGUACUCCCUCCGUCCCAUAAUAUAAGAAUGUUUUUGACACUAGCUAGUGUAGUGUCAAAAACGUUCUUAUAUAAUGGGACACAGGGAGUACUAGUAUUUAUUGCAUUUGCCAAGGAGUGACCUCUUCCAAGAAAUGGUGUUGCUAAGUUUGCUUAAUUUAAUUAGCUAUAGACUCAAAAUUGUCUUUUCACCUAGGUACACGCGCUUAGCACCGUUUCUUUCUUGGGUCACCAAACUAGUCUCUCUCUUCUUGAUUAACUUGCCACAUCAGACUUUAUGCCUAUGUGGCAAGCUUAAGCACCUGUUGGAGCAAGUAAGUACAAUAUUGCGCUUUACAUGGCAUUUUUGCAUAUGUGGAGGAAAGAGAGGCAAGGAAAAAGUGGAUAAGUGGGCUCUCAUGCAAGAGCCAGCCUCUACUACAUGGUGGAGCAUUGGGAGAGGCACCUGUAUGAAGGUGGUCAUGAAUCGGGAGACUCACGCCGGUCGUAGCGCCGCAGUUAAAAUGAUAAUGGAAAGUCAAAUCACGGGCCCCCACGUGUCCAGCAGUAACUCACUGUCAAAUCACACAGCCCUACGUUUGUAGUAGCCUACUCCCUCAUCUUCUCGCGUCUCUGUCGAACCGACUAGGCGGAACUGUCCCGCCGCCUACCGGGCUGGAAAAGCCCCGCCCUCGACUUUAAAUAGUAUAAAAAUUCUAAUUUUGUAUCCAUGGAUUGCGCCCGCGCCAUGGAGCAAAGCGUCUAGAAAAUGGCGGUACACAUGUACGGAGUAUACAACACACCCUCGCGUUUGCGUCGCACCCCAAACGGUCGGUCGGUCUGGCACGCUGCUCUCCGAAUGGAGCGCGCGUCAUAUUGUGUUCGCACACACAUGUGGGACGGCAAUUGAGAACCGAGUAUAGGCACACUCCUCGGCCCCGCAAGUCGGGUGACUUAAUAGAAGAGGGAGACGAGCGAUAGUACUAGAGAAGUGUUGUACUAUGUUGGUGCCUGGACAAUCCCUGCAAGACAUGGAAGAUCAGUUCGUCCAUGCAUGUGACCAGACUCCAGCAGACACGCCUGGUUUGGCUAUCGUCUACAUAUUGUGUAGGCUGUGUUGUACAUGGCUGUAGUUGUGGUGAGAAAUCUAAAAAAAGGUUUCUUGUCAUCUCGAAAAAUUAUGUGUCAUGUGCUUCGUAUCACUGCGAGGGUUAAACAGUGGCAACUGAGUUGGGCUAGUCAUUGGGGGCACAUGCACGAAUAGUGACUACUCGGCUGCCAUCUAGGUCAAGCCAGCUAUGUUAAUUAGGACAUCUAUCGACGGACCCCUUUUCUACGAGUUUAUCUUUAAUUUGAGCUUUGUUCUUCAUCUAGUUUGUCCGUCGGGAUUCAUGUUGUCUCCUUUGGGCAGUGAGGUUAUGAUUUCUUGUCAUGUGGCAUUUUUUCAUGUUAUAUGUUAUAAUCCGGCGCUUCAGAUCAAAAUGACGACAACUGCGCCUCCGGGCCACGUGCAUGAAGACUUCUCGACAGUCAUUGAUGAGGUCAAGCCGGCUCCGAUAGACAAAAGAAAACUAAGUACUACUCCACUAUAUAGGCAGGAGCCUCCGCGCUUGCUUGCUAGUGUUGCUCUCUUCACACUGUCUCGGCCUCUCCAGAUCUAAACAUGACAACGGUGGCCACUCUCUCUCUCUCUCUCUGCUCACUGCUGGUCACAUAUCCAGCCGGAUCCUCUCCACCGGGGAAGGUGAGAAGGUGCAAUGUUCACGCGGUCGUCCUCGGCGACGGCUCUUACCCACUGCUGGGCGCGUCCCGAUCAGCCUGCCUUGCUGUUCUCUCCCAAGCACCGCUGGCGAGGGAGGGCCUCCGACCCCUGCUUCCUCGCUGCCAUAGUGUGGGCAGAUACGACCUCCCGCCGCCCACCUAGUGACAUCCUAGCGACCAUCAGGUAUAACUUCCUUCGAAACUGGCCUUGCUCUACUUCCCGAGCUCCUGACGUCGCUGCAUUUGUAACUUUUACUAUUUCUCAGGCCCCUCGUAGAUAGGAUCGAUCGGCUGUUCGAAAACCACCUAAUUUUUUUAUGUUUAAGAGGUAAAACUAGUUCAUGCACUCGAAUAUAGUACUACUUGGUUCAAACAAGGAAUAAAGGGGGUGGGAGUGGGGGAGGAUUUGUUACCUGAAUCUAGGACUUGGUCGAAAGAGGAAAUAAUGGGGGCGAAAAGUAGGAGAGACUGGCUAUCCAACUAGUCUCUAGGUCUAAUAGGGAAAUAAAGGGAAACACAGUACAAACUCAAUAUAAACCCGAUCUAUUGGUUGAAAAAGGAAAGAAAGUGGGGACCGGGGGACAAGUCAACAGAGUAAGUCCAGCACUAGAUUUGCUAGCUUCACAUGGUAUAAGGUGGCUAUACCGAACAAAAAUGGGACCAACCCAGAUAUCCUGUUCUGAUGUUUGUUGCCCCGAGCCACUCUUAUGUAAUGCCACUGGUAAAAUGUAGCAGUCGCACUGCUAAAAGUAAGGACACGUUAAACCAAUGUUGUUUUCAGUGUAAUGCCUCCAGUAAUAUGAAUCAAUGGCACUUCUUUACAUGUCCUGCUAAAAUUUCCCAUUAAGAUAAGUUGGUUUUUUUCGUUAGAAAUGCAACUGUCCUGGUCCGCCUACUCUCCCGUGCCCAAAGUAAUGUCGUAUUUAACGAUUGUCAUAGUUAAUCCUAAUGCUCACACUAAUAUCUAGCAAUGCCACUGCUUUAGAAAUUGCUACUGUCCUUGUAGGAUUGCCAUUCAGAUAAGGAACAUGCUUCUUUUCAUUUGAUGCAUGUUUCAUCACUUGUUAGUCACCCUCCUUUCCACCUUUUUUGUGCACACAGAGAUAUACAUUUCACGCUCGAUCUUAGUUGAACUGCACAAAUGAUAUCCAAAUUAUAGUUGAGCAUUCCAGGAGCUUCAUAACCAACCUUGAUGUUGCUCAAUUUUAUUGCAACUAAUGAAGAAGAAGCUCUGUGGGUUUCGUUUUCUGAUGGAAAUGGAACCGGGGCAGGAGCCCUUUUCUUAAUUUUUUUUUUGAAGAAGCUGCUAGCUCACAGGACAUUGCUUCAUUUUAGGUGAACUGCACCGAAAGGUCCCAUGAAUUGAAUCAUCCAUGUUGGUGACUGAAAGAGCCAGCUUUAGCAUCCCAGUCUAAGCAGCCCCGGUGUAACGCCCCGGAUUCGAUGCGCCAGGUGUUUGCCAGUUAUUCGCCGUCUUUGCCAUGUCAUUUGCUUGCGUGUUGCAUUUUAUCAUGUCAUCAUGUGCAUUGCAUUGCAUAUGUGUUCGUCUCAUGCAUCCGAGCAUUUUCCCCGUUGUCCGUUUUGCAAUCCGGCACUCCUACGCCCUUCGGCGUCCCCCUUUUUGUCUCUUGUUGUGAGCGGGUGUCAAACUUUCUCGGAAUGGCCCGAGGCUUGCCAAGUGGCCUUGGUACACCACCGGUAGACCGCCUGUCAAGUUUCGUGCCAUUUUGAGGUCGUUUGGUACUCCAACGGUUAACCGCGUAGCCCGAAACCCCCCUUUCUCUUUGCAGCCCAACACCCUUCCAAACUGGCCCAAAACCCAUCCUAACCUCCUCCAUGCUCUCGGUCGUUCCAUCACGAUCGCGUGGCCGAAAACCGCUCCUCAUUUGGACUCUCCUAGCUCCCAGAAACUAUAAAUAUGCCCCUCCCCCCGAAAUUCGCGGAUGAAUUCUCCCCUGAAACCCUAGCUCCACCCUCCUCUGCGCUGCCGGACACGCCCGUCCCGCGGCGGACAUGUCCGCCCACCGCCCCGACGAAUCGCAGGCCGCCAUGUGUCCCCGCCGGCCUCUCUCUCUCCNNNNNNNNNNNNNNNNNNNNNNNNNNNNNNNNNNNNNNNNNNNNNNNNNNNNNNNNNNNNNNNNNNNNNNNNNNNNNNNNNNNNNNNNNNNNNNNNNNNNNNNNNNNNNNNNNNNNNNNNNNNNNNNNNNNNNNNNNNNNNNNNNNNNNNNNNNNNNNNNNNNNNNNNNNNNNNNNNNNNNNNNNNNNNNNNNNNNNNNNNNNNNNNNNNNNNNNNNNNNNNNNNNNNNNNNNNNNNNNNNNNNNNNNNNNNNNNNNNNNNNNNNNNNNNNNNNNNNNNNNNNNNNNNNNNNNNNNNNNNNNNNNNNNNNNNNNNNNNNNNNNNNNNNNNNNNNNNNNNNNNNGCCGCCGUGUUCCGCGAGCUCCGGCCAUCGCCCGCCCGACCUCGCCUCUGCCGACCCCGUUGCUCCUCCGCGCCGUCCGCGCCAGCUCCGGCCGGAUCCGGCCAGAUCCGGUUCGGCCCGGCCUCGCCAGCGUCCUCCCCGGCCCUCCGACCAUCUUCUUCUCCAUCUCCGGCGAGUUCUUCGGCCAUCCUCGUCUCCCCGCCGCCGUUGACUUUUCUGAGAUGGUAAUAAUUUGGCUAAGUCCCGAAAUAUUUUGACAUUAUCAUGCCAUGUUCAUCGCAUCAUAUCUCUGCAUCCGUAGCUCCGUUUUGUGCGUGUAAUAUGUCAAAUUGUUCGUCUCAAUGAGUGCUUCAUUUCAUUCCAUUGCACCAUGUUCAUUUGAGCUAAUCUUGAUGCCUGAAUCAUCGUUGCAAGAGUGCUUCAUAAUGUUGUCUGUUAACAGAACAUGCUCAUUUGUCAUUUUUGCCUUGUUUGAUGUGUGCAUCCUAUGAGGUUGAUGUCUACAUGUGUUUUGAACUAUGCCAUGCCAUCUUUACAGUGGUGUAUGCCAUGUAUUUUUGUGAUCAAUAUGGUGACUAGCACAAGCAUGCAAACUAGGCUUCGUGGUAUUGCUGAUUUUAGUCCCUGUUCUGCUGUUAUUUUUAUGCCAUGUAAACAUGAUGCUACAGAGAGAUCCAUGCAUAUUUUGAGAUAAUUCAGUAACUAUGUUUUGAACAUAUGGUUGUUCUUUAUCCAUUCAUGCCCCUGUUUGCAAUUAUGGAGUAGUCUAGCAUGUCAUUUUCGUGCUCUACUUUUGCUACAAAAUGUUUCCUGGCAGCUUGUUUACAUGUUAUUCAAUUUUGCCAAGGUUGUUGUAGUUGAUACUUGCAUGUUAUGAACUUGUUCUUGCCUUGUUUAGCUUCAUAAACAUGUCUUCUUGAUGAUGCUAUGAUUAUCUUGUCAUGCAAUGACUUGUGAGUGAAUCGAGCUUGUUAAGUAGGGUACAUGCUGUUGCUGUUUUGCUAGGCUGAAUCUGUUAUUUCAUGAUGCUACGUAAACCUGCUGCUAUAAGUCAUUCUAUGCAUAAUCUGGAGAUGUUCACUAAGGGUGUUUUGUUCUACAUGUUAUGCUCUAUCCAUCCAUGCCCCUGGUUGCAAUUAUAGCCUGCUGUAGCUUGUUGUUUUCUUGCUCCAAAGUUGCUAAAUAAUGUUGUUGUCAGCCUGUUAACAUUAAGUUCAGUUGUUGCCAUGAUUGUUGCUAGUGUUCCAUGCACCCUAUGAACUUGCUCUUGCCAUGCUUAGCUUCAUAAUCAUGUCUUCUUACUGUUGGUUGCCUUGCCAUGCCAUGUAUUGCUCUGUGGUGAGUGGUACAAGCUCAUCAACAUGCCUACUUAUUGUUGUUCCUGCCAUGUAUGAAUCUGUUAACGAAACUUGCUAUGUUUACAUGCGUGCCAUCAUAUCUUCUGAUCCUUUUUGGCUCAUGGUCAGUAAGGGACUUUUGAUCUAUGAUUUAAGUAGUUUCAUGCCAUGCCUUUGUUUGCCAUGAUAAGUUCUUGUAACAUGUUGUUUGAUAGCUCUAAACAUUGCAACCUGAUGUUAUUUUCUUCAAAGUCUGAACUGUUAUUAUUUGCAAUCUUGCCAUGUGUGUUUGAGCAUGUUCUAGUGAUUUUUGGAGAUAGCGCAGUGUUCAUGUUUUGUUAUGCUUUACCUGUACAUCACGCACAUGUAUUUUGUUUUCUUGUUGAGAUGCUGUAACAUGUUGUUUUGAUGCUAGCAGUAUGCCUAGUUGCUGUUUUGGACAGCUUGUCCUUAUAACUUGUUUAGAGUGUAUGCGUUGAACCGUCGCUCCGUUUUGAGUGUGCUCUAUAUGAAACUUGCUUGAUUUUGCAUGUAGUUUCAUAUUAUCAUGUUGCACCCUUGUUUUGGUGUGUUUGCUUGAUGUUUGAAUGCAUUUUGCAUCAAUACCAUGUUUAACUUGUUUUGCUCAUAUCUUCUAGGUCGUAGCUCCGAACUAAAUGAACUUUAUAUGUAACUUGACUAGAAUCUCGUGUAGAUCAUCUUUGUGUAUCUUAACUUGCUGUUUAACAACUUGAACAUAAGGUUUAUUCAGAUCUGGACCAACUUCGAAAUUUGCAUAUGAGGACAUACCGGAAUUGUUAUAUGUUGUUCCCGGCCUCAUUUAAACUUGCCUUGAUGUGUUGCUCUUGUUUGCAUCAUCUCUUGCCAUGAGUAGCUUCAUGUAGAUUUGUCAUGCAUCAUGCGUUGUUCAUGUGUGGUGUGUUUACCUUGUUGUGUACUUCUUCUCGAUAGUUCCUGUUUUGUUGCGAUCGUGAGGAUUCGUUCGUCUACGCUUGGUUCGGCUUCAUCCAUUCAUCUUCUUCAUGGACUCGUUCUUCUUCCUUGCGGGAUUUCAGGCAAGAUGACCGUCACCCUGGAUCUCACUACUAUCAUUGCUAUGCUAGUUGCUUCGUUCUAUCGCUAUGCUGCGCUACCUAUCAUUUACUCUUCAAGCCUCCCAGAUUGCCAUGAACCUAUAACCUUUGACACCCUUCCUAGCAAACCACUGUUUGGCUAUGUUACCGCUUUUGCUCAGCCCCUCUUAUAGAGUUGCUAGUUGCAGGUGAAGUUGAAGAUUGCCCCAUGAUGGACAGGAUUAUGUUGGGAUAUCACAAUAUCUCUUAUAUUAUUUGAUGCAUCUAUAUACUUGGUAAAGGGUGCAAGACUUGGCCUUAUGCCUGGUGUUUUUUUCCACUCUUGCCGCCCUAGUUUCCGUCAUACCGGUGUUAUGUUCCCGGAUUUUGCAUUCCUUACGCGGUUGGGUGAUUUAUGGGACCCCCUUGACAGUUCGCUUUGAAUAAAACUCCUCCAGCAAGGCCCAACCUUGGUUUUACAAUUUGCCUCACCUAGCCCUUUUUCCCUUGGGAGUCGCGCUCUCGAGGGUCAUCUUUAUUUUAUCCCCCCGGGCCAGUUGUCGUCGUGAGUGUUGGUCCAACCUGUCAACCGCCGGUGGCCACCAGGGGCAACUCUGGGGUGGCCUACCGGAAGUUUGGACAAUCCGGUGUGCCCUGAGAACGAGAUAUGUGCAACUCCUAUCAGGAUUUGUCGGCACAUUCGGGCGGCUUUGCUGGUCUUGUUUUACCAUUGUCGAAAUGUCUUGUAAACCGGGAUUCCGAGUCUGAUCGAGUCUUCCUGGGAGAAGUUAUAUCCUUCGUUGAUCGCGAGAGCUUAUUAUGGGCUAAGUUGGGACACCCCUGCAGGGUAUAAUCUUUCGAAAGCCGUGCCUGCGGUUAUAGGCAGAUGGGAAUUUGUUAAUGUCCGGUUGUAGAUAACUUGACACCAGAUACGAAUUAAAACGCAUCAACCGCGUGUGUAGCCGUGAUGGUCUCUUUUCGGCGGAGUCCGGGAAGUGAACACGAUUUUGGGUUAUGUUUGACGUAAGUAGGCGUUCAGGAUCACUUCUUGAUCAUUGCUAGCUUCACGAACAUUCCGCUUGCUCUCUUCUCGCUCUUAUUUGCGUAUGUUAGCCACCAUAUAUGCUUAGUCGCUGCUGCAGCCUCACCACUUUACCCCUUCCUUUCCUUUUAAGAUUUGCUAGUCUUGAUACCCAUGGUAAUGGGAUUGCUGAGUCCUCGUGGCUCACAGAUUACUACAACAACAGUUGCAGGUACAGGUUAGGUGAUGAUCAGGACGCGAGAGCGAUGUUUUCUUGGAGUUCUUCUUCUGCUUCUUCUUCGAUCAGGGGAUAGGUUCCAGGUCGGCAUCCUAGGCUAGCAGGGUGGAUGUCGUUUGAGUUUUUGUUUGUGUUUCAUCCGUAGUCGGAUGUUGCUCUUAUGUCUUGUGAUGUUGUACUCGUGUGGCAUUGUAUGCCUCUUGUAUGUAUCCCCAUCUAUUAUGUAAUGUUGAUGUAAUGAUAUCCACCUUGCAAAAGCGUUUCAAUAUGCGGGUCUAUCCUUGGUGGGACCUUCGAGUUCCUUUUGGAUAGGGUCGCAUAUUGGGCGUGACAAGUUGGUAUCAGAGCCUCGACCGACCCUAGGAGCCCCUUGAUUGAUCGUGUAGUUUGGCCGAUGUUGAGUCUAGAAUAAAACUGUUUUUCAGAGUCUAGUUAUAUCGAAGAGUAGGAAUUCUUUUUACUCCUCAGCCCCUUUCGUCGCUCUGGUAAGGAAUCUUGACGUAGGUGUUUUGAAUUACUCCUCUUCCCCUUCAAAAAUUUUCUUUAGGAUCACGCGGUUUGUUUUUGGUCGUUGGUUCUCGUCUCUUUUCAUCCGGUGCAUUUCUUGUCAAGUCAACUCGAGCCUCUUCAUCAUUGCCAAGUUCAAUCCUCAGUUGUCUUCUUUUCCCACCCGCCCACCCCUUCUUCUUCUUGGAACCGGAGUACAUAAUCGAGUAUCCAUCCUACUCAUGCGAAGCCUUUGCUUUCUUUCAACCGGUGUUUCCUCUUGAAGUUAUUCGUCGGUUCCCCCUCCCAAGUUGCCUUUGUUUUCCCNNNNNNNNNNNNNNNNNNNNNNNNNNNNNNNNNNNNNNNNNNNNNNNNNNNNNNNNNNNNNNNNNNNNNNNNNNNNNNNNNNNNNNNNNNNNNNNNNNNNNNNNNNNNNNNNNNNNNNNNNNNNNNNNNNNNNNNNNNNNNNNNNNNNNNNNNNNNNNNNNNNNNNNNNNNNNNNNNNNNNNNNNNNNNNNNNNNNNNNNNNNNNNNNNNNNNNNNNNNNNNNNNNNNNNNNNNNNNNNNNNNNNNNNNNNNNNNNNNNNNNAGUCUGAGUCUCUUGUGACCAUCAAUUUCAUUUGUGCAGAGUAUCUUCAGUCUUUCCUCAAUUAUUUCAACCGUUGAAUUCUCGUCUCGUUCGUCAUUCUUCAUCCCUUUCUUUUUCCGGUGCACUCUAUUCAAGUUUUUCGGGAGAUCACAUUCUUUUCCUUGGUUAAAGUAUUCUCCUUGCUCGUUCGCCUCUCGCCAUUCAAUCAUUCCGGAGUUCAGAAGACAUCUCAGGAGAUUUGUUUGUGUUCCAAUUAAUUCGAGGUUGUCACCUCAUUCAAAUAUUUCAAUUGUUCCGGUGCAUCAUCUAUCUACUCAACAUCCUUUCCAACGGUGUUUUUCUCUUCAGUGGGCCCUAACCCACAGGUCUUUUCCCAGGAUCUUACCCGACUCUUCUAAUUAUUCUGAAGCCAUUCCAAAUUCUUUUCAAGUGUGACGUAAGAAUGAAUUUCAUCAGUCACAUGCCUUCUCCAAGAUCGUUUUCAAAUUAUUUUCAUUGUUGGCUCAACCUCUUCGCUUUUCAUUCUCCCGGAGUAUCUCAGUAAUUUUGGUGGUAUUUCUUGUCAUCAUUUGAAGAUCGAAGAAGAGCCUCUCAAUCAUGUCCGUUCUCUCGAAGAUUCAUGGCUCUAGCUUCAUGUUAUCCUUGCAAAUUAUUCCAUUUGUCAGAUAUUCUUUUCUUACCCAUCCGGAGUAUGUCAGAAGUUGUUUUCCCGUUUCUUUUCACCGGAGGCCAUCUUUCCAUAAGAAUUCUUCGUCCUCACAUUUCAGUUACCGUUAUCCAAUUAUCCCGGUGCUUCCGUUCAAGUGUUCUUUAAUCAUCUCAUUAUCUCUUCGUUCUUUUGCAUCUAAAUCCCCUCUUGCUUAUUGGUUCUUAUAAUUCAUCCCGGUGAUUAAGUCUCUUGCAUCACUCAUUUCGAAUUCUUACGAUGGUUCCUUCAAAUUAUUUUUCUUUGAUUAUCAUAUUAAUCCAUUCGUUCUUUCGAAUCCUACCGGUGGCUCAGGAAGACCUUCUCAAGUUUGCGAUAUGUCACUUCUCAAUCCUUUUCAACAAGAAUAAGUAGUAUGAAAAAUCCAUUGCGUGUCAUCAAUUUAAUUUGAUGAAGGAUAAUCAUACAAUAAAUCUUACUCUUAUUUCAUCCAAGUGAGUAAUCCCUUCCUUCGGAGUUUGUUCUUGAUGAAUAAAUUCUAGGCCCAAGUGUUUUCAUAUUUUCUUUUCCGGAGUUCAAAUUUCCUCGGCCAUUUCGUCAGAACCACCAUCUAAAUCAUCGUAAGGCUCAUCUUAUUCUUUAUUCCUUCAUUCUGUCUCAUCGUGUUUUGUCACCGGAGUUCUUCAUGGUGGUUCUUCACGAUUUAAUUCAUUCCUCAAGUGUUCAUCAAGAUUCUUGUAGGCGAAGCUCAAGUUUUCUUCUUCUUGCUUCGCGAGGUGCAUUUAAUUCUCCGUUUUCUUUUGAAAUGGAGUUUUGCAUUUCUUCUUUCUUCCCAGUUAUUUUAUCUUUUCUGCUCGUGGUUGGUUAUCACCUCAUAAUUUCUGAGAUGUUAUCCAUAAGUCCACGACAAGCUUAUUCUUUUCGUUGUUGAAUUUUCUCAACAACUCCAUUCAAUCUUUUCUUCUAAGGUUGCUUUCUAUUUCAUUCGCGGCAUAAGAGUCAUUUUCUUCUCCGUUCUUUUCAUUCAACUCUUUAAUUCUUUCCAGAGGUUUUGUGUCAUGUCUUCAUCAGGUAUCAUUCCAUCCCCUCAAGUUCAUGUUCUUUUCCUUCCAUUUUCAGCCGGAGUGCUGCCUAAAUCCUUUCAGUCUUAUUCGUUUCUUAUCUCGUUCUAACCAGAGUGCUUUCAUAGUCUAUCUGAUUCAGUGAGCUUUCGAUUCUCGUCAUUCUCGUCGUUCCUCUCUUAUUCUCGAGUGCUCUCGAUUCUUUGCUUCUUCUCUUCAGUUCUUGCUUCACCUCAUCCUUUUCCCUUCCGUCUCGGUCCUAAGAUCUCGGGACGAGAUCUCUUGUUAGUGGAGGAGUGUUGUAACGCCCCGGAUUCGAUGCGCCAGGUGUUUGCCAGUUAUUCGCCGUCUUUGCCAUGUCAUUUUCUUGCAUGUUGCAUUUUAUCAUGUCAUCAUGUGCAUUGCAUUGCAUACGUGUUCGUCUCAUGCAUCCGAGCAUUUUCCCCGUUGUCCGUUUUGCAAUCCGGCACUCCUACGCCCUUCGGCGUCCCCCUUUUUGUCUCUCGUUGUGAGCGGGUGUUAAACUUUCUCGGAAUGGCUCGAGGCUUGCCAAGUGGCCUUGGUACACCACCGGCAGACCGCCUGCCAAGUUUCGUGCCAUUUGGAGGUCGUUUGGUACUCCAACGGUUAACCGCGUAGCCCGAAACCCCCCUUUCUCUUUGCAGCCCAACACCCUUCCAAACUGGGCCAAAACCCAUCCUAACCUCCUCCAUGCUCUCGGUCGUUCAAUCACGAUCGCGUGGCCAAAAACCGCUCCUCAUUUGGACUCUCCUAGCUCCCAGAAACUAUAAAUAUGCCCCUCCCCCCGAAAUUCGCGGAUGAAUUCUCCCCUGAAACCCUAGCUCCACCCUCCUCUGCGCCGCCGGACACGUCCGUCCCGCGGCGGCCAUGUCUGCCUGCCGCCCCGAUGAAUCGCAGGCCGCCAUGUGUCCCCGCCGGCCUCUCUCUCUCUCCUCCCGCCGCCGCCNNNNNNNNNNNNNNNNNNNNNNNNNNNNNNNNNNNNNNNNNNNNNNNNNNNNNNNNNNNNNNNNNNNNNNNNNNNNNNNNNNNNNNNNNNNNNNNNNNNNNNNNNNNNNNNNNNNNNNNNNNNNNNNNNNNNNNNNNNNNNNNNNNNNNNNNNNNNNNNNNNNNNNNNNNNNNNNNNNNNNNNNNNNNNNNNNNNNNNNNNNNNNNNNNNNNNNNNNNNNNNNNNNNNNNNNNNNNNNNNNNNNNNNNNNNNNNNNNNNNNNNNNNNNNNNNNNNNNNNNNNNNNNNNNNNNNNNNNNNNNNNNNNNNNNNNNNNNNNNNNNNNNNNNNNNNNNNNNNNNNNNNNNNNNNNNNNNNNNNNNNNNNNNNNNNNNNNNNNNNNNNNNNNNNNNNNNNNNNNNNNNNNNNNNNNNNNNNNNNNNNNNNNNNNNNNNNNNNNNNNNNNNNNNNNNNNNNNNNNNNNNNNNNCAGCGCCGCGCCCCAGCGCCUCCCCUCGUCGGCGCCGUCCGCGCCGCCGCGUGCCGCGAGCUCCGGCCGUCGCCCGCCCGACCUCGCCUCCGCCGACCCCGUCGCUCCUCCGCGCCGUCCGCGCUAGCUCCGGCCGGAUCCGGCCAGAUCCGGUCCGGCCCGGCCUCGCCAGCGUCCUUCCCGGCCCUCCGGCCAUCUUCUUCUCCAUCUCCGGCGAGUUCUCCGGCCAUCCUCGUCUCCCGCGCCACCGUUGACUUUUCUGAGAUGGUAAUAAUUUAGCUAAGUCCCGAAAUAUUUUGACAUUAUCAUGCCAUGUUGAUUGCAUCAUAUCUCUGCAUCCGCAGCUCCGUUUUGUGCGUGUAAUAUGUAAAAUUGUUCGUCUCAACGAGUGCUUCAUUUCAGUCCAUUGCACCAUGUUCAUUUGAGCUCAUCUUGAUGCCUGAAUCAUCAUUGCAAGAGUGCUUCAUAAUGUUGUCUGUUGUUUGUUAACAGAACAUGCUCAUUUGUCAUUUUUGCCAUGUUUGAUGUGUGCAUCCUAUGAGGUUGAUGUCUACAUGUGUUUUGAACUAUGCCAUGCCAUCUUUACAGUGGUGUAUGCCAUGUAUUUUUGUGAUCAAUGUGGUGACUAGCACAAGCAUGCAAACUAGGCUUCGUGGUAUUGCUGAUUUUAGUCCCUGUUCUGCUGUUAUUUUUAUGCCAUGUAAACAUGAUGCUACAGAGAGAUCCAUGCAAAUUUUGAGAUACUUCAGUAAGGAUGUUUUGAACAUAUGGUUGUUCUUUAUCCAUUCAUGCCCCUGUUUGCAAUUAUGGAGUAGUCUAGCAUGUCAUUUUCGUGCUCUACUUUUGCUACAAAAUGUUUCCUGGCAGCUUGUUUACAUGUUAUUCAAUUUUGCCAAGGUUGUUGUAGUUGAUACUUGCAUGCUAUGAACUUGUUCUUGCCUUGUUUAGCUUCAUAAACAUGUAUUCUUGAUGAUGCUAUGCUUAUCUUGUCAUGCAAUGACUUGUGGUGAGUGAAUCGAGCUUGUUAAGUAGGGUACAUGUUGUUGCUGUUUUGCUAGGCUGAAUCUGUUAUUUCGUGAUGCUAUGUAAACCUGCUGCUACAAGUCAUUCUAUACAUAAUCUGGAGAUGUUCACUAAGGGUGUUUUGUUCUACAUGUUAGGAUCUAUCCAUCCAUGCCACUAGUUGCAAUUAUAGACUGUUGUAGCUUGUUGUUUUCUUGCUUGAAAGUUGCUAAAUAAUGUUGCUGUCAGCCUGUUAACAUUAAGUUCAGUUGUUGCCAUGAUUGUUGCUAGUGUUCCAUGCACUCUAUGAACUUGCUCUUGCCAUGCUUAGCUUCAUAAUCAUGUCUUCUUACUGUUGGUUGCCUUGCCAUGCCAUGUAUUGCUCUGUGGUGAGUGGUACAAGCUCAUCAACAUGCCUACUUAUUGUUGUUCCUGCCAUGUAUGAAUCUGUUAACGAAACUUGCUAUGUUUACAUGGGUGCCAUCAUAUCUUCUGAUCCUUUUUGGCUCAUGGUGAGUAAGGGACUUUUGAUCUAUGCUUUAAGUAGUUUCAUGCCAUGCCUUUGUUUGCCAUGAUAAGUUCCUGUAACAUGUUGUUUGAUAGCUCUGAACAUUGCAACCUGAUGUUAUUUUCUGCAAAGUCUGAACUGUUAUUAUUUGCAAUCUUGCCAUGUGUGUUUGAGCAUGUUCUAGUGAUUUCUGGAGAUAGCCCAGUGUUCAUGUUUUGUUAUGCUUUACCUGUACAUCAUGCGCAUAUCUUUUGUUUUCUUGUUGAGAUGCUGUAACAUGUUGUUUUGAUGCUAGCAGUAUGCCUAGUUGCUGUUUUGGACAGCUUGUCCUUAUAACUUGUUUAGAGUGUAUGCAUUGAACCGUCGCUCCGUUUUGAGUGUGCUCUAUAUGAAACUUGCUUGAUUUUGCAUGUAGUUUCAUAUUAUCAUGUUGCAUCCUUGUUUUGGUGUGUUUGCUUGAUGUUUGAAUGCAUUUUGCAUCAAUGCCAUGUUUAACUUGUUUUGCUCAUAUCUUCUAGGCCGUAGCUCCGAACUAAAUGAACUUUAUAUGUAACUUGACUAGAAUCUCGUGUAGAUCAUGUUUGUGUAUAUUAACUUGCUGUUUAACAACUUGAACAUAAGGUUUAUUCAGAUCUGGACCAACUUUGAAAUUUGCAUAUGAGGACUUACCGGAAUUGUUAUAUGUUGUUCUCGACCUCAUUUAAACUUGCCUUGAUGUGUUGCUCUUGUUUGCAUCAUCUCUUGCCAUGAGUAGCUUCAUGUAGAUUUGUCAUGCAUCAUGCCUUGUUCAUGUGUGGUGUGUUUACCUUGUUGUGUGCUUCUUCUCGAUAGUUCCUGUUUCGUUGUGAUCGUGAGGAUUCGUUCAUCUACGCUUGGUUCGGCUUCAUCCGUUCAUCUUCUUCAUGGACUCGUUCUUCUUCCUUGCGGGAUUUCAGGCAAGAUGACCGUCACCCUAGAUCUCACUACUAUCAUUGCUAUGCUAGUUCCUUCGUUCUAUCGCUAUGCUGCGCUACCUAUCAUUUACUCUUCAAGCCUCCCAGAUUGCCAUGAACCUCUAACCUUUGACACCCUUCCUAGCAAACCACUGUUUGGCUAUGUUACCGCUUUUGCUCAGCCCCUCUUAUAGCGUUGCUAGUUGCAGGUGAAGUUGAAGAUUGCCCCAUGAUGGAUAGGAUUAUGUUGGGAUAUCACAAUAUCUCUUAUAUUAUUUAAUGCAUCUAUAUACUUGGUAAAGGGUGGAAAACUCGGCCUUAUGCCUGGUGUUUUGUUCCACUCUUGCCGCCCUAGUUUCCGUCAUACCGGUGUUAUGUUUCCGGAUUUUGCGUUCCUUACGCGGUUGGGUGAUUUAUGGGACCCCCUUGACAGUUCGCUUUGAAUAAAACUCCUCCAGCAAGGCCCAACCUUAGUUUUACCAUUUGCCUCACCUAGCCCUUUUUCCCUUGGGAGUCGUGCUCUCGAGGGUCAUCUUUAUUUUAUCCCCCAGGCCAGUGCUCGUCGUGAGUGUUGGUCCAACCUGUCAACCGUCGGUGGCCACCAGGGGCAACUCUGGGCUGGCCUACCGGAAGUUUGGACAAUCUGGUGUGCCCUGAGAACGAGAUAUGUGCAGCCCCUAUCAGGAUUUGUCGGCACAUUCGGGCGGCUUUGCUUGUCUUGUUUUACCAUUGUCGAAAUGUCUUGUAAACCGGGAUUCUGAGUCUGAUUGGGUCUUCCUGGGAGAAGGUAUAUCCUUCGUUGAUCGCGAGAGCUUAUCAUGGGCUAAGUUGGGACACCCCUGCAGGGUAUAAUCUUUCGAAAGCCAUGCCUGCGGUUAUAGGCAGAUGGGAAUUUGUUAAUGUCCGGCUGUAGAUAACUUGACACCAGAUACGAAUUAAAACGCAUCAACCGCGUGUGUAGCCGUGAUGGUCUCUUUUCGGCGGAGUCUGGGAAGUGAACACGGUUUUGGGUUAUGUUUGACAUAUGUAGGCGUUCAGGAUCACUUCUUGAUCAUUGCUAGCUUCACGACCGUUCCGCUUGCUCUCUUCUCGCUCUUAUUUGCGUAUGUUAGCCACCAUAUAUGCUUAGUCGCUGCUGUAGCCUCACCACUUUAGCCCUUCCUUUCCCUUUAAGCUUUGCUAGUCUUGAUACCCAUGUUAAUGGGAUUGCUGAGUCCUCGUGGCUCACAGAUUACUACAACAACAGUUGCAGGUACAGGUUAGGUGAUGAUCAGGACGCGAGAGCGAUGUUUGCUUGCUUGGAGUUCUUCUUCUGCUUCUUCUUCGAUCAGGGGAUAGGUUCCAGGUCGGCAGCCUGGGCUAGCAGGGUGGAUGUCGUUUGAGUUUCUGUUUGUGUUUCAUCCGUAGUCGGAUGUUGCUCUUAUGUAUUGUGAUGUUGUACUUGUGUGGCAUUAUAUGCCUCUUGUAUGUAUCCCCAUCUAUUAUGUAAUGUUGAUGUAAUGAUAUCCACCUUGCAAAAGCGUUUCAAUAUGCGGGUCUAUCCUUGGUGGGAUCUUCGAGUUCCUUUUGGAUAGGGUCGCAUAUUGGGCGUGACACCCGGCCUCCAUCCUUGCGACGCACGGUACACCUCGUUUGCCACCUGCUUGACCCUAGUGUCACUGAUAAAAUGAAGUAAUAAUACAGUUAAAAUAGAGCGAGUGUCAUCUCUAUCAUUUCAUUUCCAAUGUAGAGAAAGAAAGUGCUUCUCUUUGUUAAAGUAUGUUUCAUCAACUAGUCCCAUUGUUAAUGUUUAAGCGUUUCUGCAAACUGGGGUGCUUAAUUUUAGUUGAUAUGUACAAAAAUAGAGAUUUGAAUGUCUCAAGGCGUCUCCUUGUACUACUGAUGUACACUGAUGUUCAUCACUGGCAGAUGGUGUAUCUGGGAGACUUGGGACGAUGUCCAGUAUGAGGCGUACCGUACGAGGCGUCGCAGGGCCCAUCUCGCCCUCGCAGCAUGGCAUACUAUGAUACUAUCGCAAUAUUUUCUUCUAUUUAUUUUGUGUUUCAUCAACUAGUGUCACUGUAAUGUAAUCACACUUUUUCAUUAUCUGUGCAAACAGGGUUAUUCAGCUGCACUUUGGUGGAACUACAAAAAUGUACGUAUGGAACUGGCAUAUAUGCAGAGUGCGAGGUGUGCCAAGUAAAAAUUACCGACACCAACCAUGCUGCAUGCACGUAUUGGCAUCCACCACCACCAGUGGGAUGUGUGGCGCUCUCUGUGGAUGGAUCUUUCUCGGCAGCAAAUCCUCUUACCAAAUAAUAGUAGCUUAUAUUGGUAGUUUUCUAGGGAGUACUCUUUUUUGAAAGAAGCACCAAUCUAUUUUUCUUUAUUUGUACACUGUGUCACAACUUUGACCCAAAGGUCCAGAGCUAUUUUAGGGUGAUUGGCAUAGUACUAGGAGACCGAUUGUAAGCAUGAUUUUCAUUAGCUGUCACACUGAUUGUAAGCAUGAGCAGGUGGAAGAUUAGGUUAGUCCGAAGCUUACCUUAAACCCUACCACCAUUGUUGAAACGAGGCGAGCGUCGAGGGAACCAUGGAGAACGGCGGGGAAGCGACGCCGCGCCAUCCGGCCUCCUCUUGCGGUGGGAGAAUGAAUACUCCUGUGGCUUCGGCUGGCUCUGCACCCUCACGAACGGCACACCAUACUCGAUCGAUUCAUUAUCCUCUGGGUGCUCGACCUUCGACCUGUACACCCACCACCUCCGCCUGACUGUCGCCUCGGGCGAAUCUGUCUGCUCCAUCACCCAUUGGAGAUACUCGAUGAACUCGGAGGACUGCGGCGUGACUGCCGCCGAGGAGUACAUGUACAUCGCCGCCCUCAUCGCUGCCGUCUCGCUCUUUCGCAUACAUUGCCACAUGGCCCGCACCGUCCUCAAAAUCUCCCACUCAUUGUCAAACAAACUAAGGAUCUCCUUCAACCUGGCUAACUUUGCCUGGUCGCCGCCGGUGAUCUUCCUGAUUCGCUGCUGCAUCCUCUCCAUAGAUGUCGUUCUGAGUGGUCCGGUGCUAGCUUUGGAAGAUGGGAGGAGAGACGGUGGUCUUGCAAUAGAGAAGAGGGAGAGGAGAGGAGGUGGUUUUGGAAUGGAGAUGAUGAAGAGGAGAGGAGGUGGUUUUGCAAUGGAGAGAAGAUCAGAAGAGGGAGAGGCGAGAUGGUGGUUUUGGAAUGGAGAUGAUGGAGAGGAGAGGAGGUGGUUUUGGAAUGGAGAUGAUGGAUAGGAGAGGAGGUGGUUUUGCAAUGGAGAAGAUCAGAAGAGGGAGAGGCGAGACAGUGGUUUUGGAAUGGAGAUGAUGGAGAGGAGAGGAGGUGGUUUUGCAAUGGAGAAGAGGGAGAGGAGCGUGCGGCAGCGAUUUAGGAUUGGGCGAGAGGACCGGCGCACUGUGACUGGAUCAAAAUCAAAAUCAAUUUACCCUUCAAUUAAGAAAGCGACCCCACAUUAACUAGUCUCCCUUUUAUUCUGGGUCAUAAUUGACCAUGAUUUUCGCACAUAAAAUAUAUUUUAUACGUUGCAAAAAUAAUAUAAUUUGAAAGUACAUUCAGAUACGAACCAAACGAUACAAUUUUUGGUGACAUGCAUUCACAUUUUGCUUGUCACAUACAGUACGUGGUCAAACUUUGACCCAAAAUACGCAAAACAACAAAAAAAUACUUCCAAGACCAGCGCCGCUCUUCCGCUCUUAUCCUCUUAAACCACCGCCGCUCCUCUCCUGUUCCAAUCUAAAUCCAGCGCCACUCCUCUCCUCUUCCAUUUCAAAACAACUGCCCCUCCUCUCCUGUUCCAGUCCAAAACCAGCGUCGCUCCUCUCCCGUUCUAAUCCAAAACCAGUGCUGCUCCUCUCCUCUUCCAUUCAAAAACCACCACCGGCGAGUGAAGGUGCUGUGGAGAAGUAGAUCGAUGGAGGAGUACAACCGAUACGUGAGGAUCGCAGACGGCGACCCUGUGAAGCUAGCUAGGAUGUUGGAGAUACAAUCUUGGUUUGACAACAAGGACCAACUAGCGGCGACGGCGACAUCCAUGGCCAAAUAUCUACAACAGAGCGAAAAGGCAGCGAUACUCCCGGAGGGAGUCGCGCUGGAGUACAUAGAGCUGCUCCUCUGGGCCAUGGAGCAAACAGAUUCACCGAAUCCGAUCGUGACGGAGCGGUGGUGGGAGUAUCGAUCCCAGAUGGAGCAUCCACCAGAGAUUGAAGGAUCGAGCAUCUACAGGGUGCCGUUUGUGAGGGUGUCCUGCCAGAGCGAGGCGGUGGAGUCUUCGUCGAUCGAACCCAACUGCAAGAGUAGAAAAGCAGUUGGCCCGACGACGCUUCCCCGCCAUUGUCUCCCUCGCCGUUCACAUCGUCUCACGGGGCGGCUGUCUGCCGCCGCGGAAUAGGAGGGGGCUGCCCUCAACCCCCAGCCCAAUAGUCGGGCAGGUUGUGAAUUGUCAGGAGGAGCUUAGGGUUGUCAGUAUUUGCAUGUCGUGAAUUGUGUUUUGUGUUGUGUAUUUUGAGAGUACUUUUAGAUAUGAAUGUGUUUUGAAUUUCAGAUUUGCAGUAUUGAGCAUAUGAAGAAUUUUAUGAAUUCUAGAGAUCUAUUUUUAGCACUUAAAAAAUGUAGUUUCAUAGGAGUAUAAAAGUGCAGACGAGAAGAAACUGCAAGUUUCAGUUUCAGAUAAGAAACUGCAAGUUCAGUUUCAGAUAAGAAACUGCAACUUUCAGAGGCAGAGCAUUUAUAUUAACACGGCCUUUUCAAACAGGGUUAACAUCAUGUUGGAAGUUUUAUUCAUGGUCGAAAAUGGAACUACCAGCCAGUUAACAUCAUGCUGAUCAACAUUCAUGCAUAGCACAUCUUCAUAUGAUGCACAGUCAAAAUGCCCACACAAUGUCGAGUGUGCGAAACACAGAGAAAACGAGGGACAAAGUUUUGGCAAGUUUUGGACGUGGUUUUGGGCUGCCCCGUCUAGGCUUUCAUUUUUAACAUCCACAGCCCACGACCUCGGAUGGGAAGGCCUGUUUGUAUUUUCUUAGGGCCGUCAUGUAUCGACAGCGGUCAUUGGACCUCCCAUCCGAGGUUUUAUUUUUGGCAGCCCAAUUUAUGUAUUUUUUUUGAAGAAAACACAGAGGUCUGUUCUAUUUUUCUAUAUAAGAAUAGGAACACCAGGUACAACUUAUGUUUCCCUUCUAACUAUAUUAUAUAUGUUUAGAUUAUUUUAUAUGUUAUUAUAUAUUAUUUUUAUUGUCAUCAUAUAUUUAACAUAUACUUACAUAUGUAAGAAAACAAUAUCCCACAUCUUAUUAACUUAUAAAAAUAAUUUCUUAACAAAUAAAAUCCUGGAUUGUUUUGGCACGAAAAUCCUAGUGAUUGUGUACAAAAUCUUGUUAAUAUUUAAAUACGAAUGUAAUAAUAUCACUUAUUAUUUAAAUAUAUUUAUAACAAAAUGCUCAGCCCUUUUUUACUUUUUGAUAACAUUGCUGGCCCAACCCAACAUUAUAAUUAGAAUCAGCCCAGCAAAAUCAUGUAUCUAGAUAAAGUGCAAAUGGCCUGUAAUUUUUUAGGAAAUAAAAUAAAUGGGCCGCAUGGAUGCUACAUUAAUUGUUCACCCAACCCAGCUAAUGGCUAUAAUUCAAAAAAAAUAUAUCAAAUUGACUGUAAAUUCUACCACGCAAAAAAAGACUGUAAAUUCUGAAAAGAUGGGUUGAAUACGUGCCACAUUUUUGGAGGCUGAAACGUGGGCCAAUAGGUCGAAGCCAACGCAAGUCGUUGUCAAUUUAGUCAACAAAUGAUUCUGACAUGUUAGCCGUUGGAUUUAUAUCUAAUGACCGGCAUCCAUCUUCAAUCUCUCGUCUUCUUCCCCUAGCGCCGCCGGGACCACCUCCCGCCUCCUGCUGCUAGCAGCUCUGCUUAGCACGCUUCGCUAUGAAGCGCUACUCCAGCGUUGGCCAGGCCAUCCCUCCACCCCUCCACACCUCCUGUUCUUCUCCACCGACUGCCGAACCACACCGCACUAGAACCAGUUAACCCUCGUACACCUCUUCGUCUGCGACUCUACUCCUGCGUCUUCCCAUCUCUGGGUCGUCGCUGUCCGGGGCCUCGCCGUCAUCCACCACCUUGGAUGCGCUCGGCACGGCGUGGUCAACGUGGUCAACGAAAGACACCAUCGGAAGUAGACUGUGCAUGGAGAGGCUGACAGCUGGGUCCACGGCCGCACACAAGGAAAUGCCUCCUUAUUACGCGCAAAAUAAUGAUUCCUCCAUCUGAUAUCUGGGACCCACCGGAAGGGCCUCUGUAUUUCGCGAAAAAAACGUGCCCCCCGCUGACUUGUCGGACCCACCAGCUAUAUUCGCACGCAAGAAAGUGCCUUCUUAUUACGCACAAAAAAAUGAAUACUCCCCCUGCCAGCUGGAACCCAGCAUACUGGGAGGCUGACUUGUGGGCCUACCAAGUUGACGGGGAUGGAGGGCUUUGUCAACUUAGUCAAUAUGAACGAUUCUAGCUCCCGUUACCGUACGAUGUUCAUCCAACGGUUGUAGUGCUUCUUCAACCUCUGGUCUUCUUGCUCCAGCCGCCCAAACCAGCGCCGGUCGUACCGCGUGCUCCUGCCUCCCGUGGCCGGCUUUGAUGCCGUGGAGGCCUCACCACCCCCUACAACUCCCACCGCUGGCCAGGCCAUCCCUCUACUCACCCACACCCCCUAUUAUUCUGCGGCGACAGCAGCCUCAUACCGCAGCCAAACCAGUGAACCCUCGUACUCCUCUUCGCGUGCACGUCCACUGCUGCGUCUUCCCCGGCUCCGAGUCGUCCCCUUCCUAGGCCUCGCCGUCGUCCACCGCCGUGGUGCUCUCGGCACGGCGUGGUUAACAUGGUCAAGGAACGACUUCCAUCGGACGUGGACUGUACGUGGAGAGGCUGACAGCUGGGUCCACGGCCGCAGCAAGGAAGUGCCUCCUUAUUACGCGAAAAAUAAUGAUUCCUCCACAUGACAGCGGGGACCCACCGGAUGGGCCACCGUAUUUCGUGAAAAAAAAGUUUCCCCCUGACUGGUGGGACCCGCCAGCUACAUCUUCGCACGCAAGGAAGUGCGUCCGGGAAAAAAAAAACGAUUUGCCCCCUGACUGCUGGGACCCACCAGCUACAUCUUCACAUGCAAGGAAGUGCGUCCGGGCAAAAAAAACGAUUCACCCCCCUGACUGCUGGGACCCACCAGCUACAUCUUCGCAGGCAAGGAAGUGCCUGAUAGUCGGGACUCACCUGGUCGAAGCGUACGUAGCGUUAUCAUUCUGGUCGCGAACGUGUACGUACAUACUGGUCGAUGUAGAGGUGUGCACGUGUCGUAGUAGAGGCGCGCACGUGUCGUAGUAGAGGCGCGGACGUAGCAUGUACACGUACGUACAGUGGCGAGGGUGCAAGAAAGAAAAUAUGUCCACGUACGUACAUACGGGAAGGAUCUCGAACGCCUACUCACGCAUACGUACAUGGCUGGGUCGGAACGGAGAAACAACAUCGUCGUCGUGUUCAUGGGGAGCCAACAGGCUGGGUCGGAACGGAAUGCGUGGUCGUGUUCAUCGGGAGGGCUGGAUGGAACAGGCGAUGGAAAUGAGGUCUGGCGUACCGCACAACGGAGGAAACGGAUCUCCUACGUUCGGAACGGGGUCCUGUUGAUUGGGAGGGGUGUGGCGUACCGCAAAACGGAGGAAACGGACCUCCUACGGUCGAAACGGGGGUCCUGUUGAUCGGGAGGGGUGUGGCAUACCGCAAAACGUACGAAACGGACCUCCUACGGUCGAAAGAGGGGUCCUGUUCAUCGGGAGGGGUGUGGCGUACCGCAAAAUGAGACUCCACGGGAUACUGUUCAUCUCCACCGUCGACCUCCUCCAGCCACCAUGGGCUACCGUCGACCUCCUCCAGCCUCCACGGGCUCCUGUUCAUCCAGCCUCCACCGCACGCUACUCCACCGGCUACUGUUCAACCACCCCUCCACGGGCACGCCUCCACCAUGUACUAUUCAUCCAGCCCUCCACCACACCACGGGGUCUUGUUCAACNNNNNNNNNNNNNNNNNNNNNNNNNNNNNNNNNNNNNNNNNNNNNNNNNNNNNNNNNNNNNNNNNNNNNNNNNNNNNNNNNNNNNNNNNNNNNNNNNNNNNNNNNNNNNNNNNNNNNNNNNNNNNNNNNNNNNNNNNNNNNNNNNNNNNNNNNNNNNNNNNNNNNNNNNNNNNNNNNNNNNNNNNNNNNNNNNNNNNNNNNNNNNNNNNNNNNNNNNCAAUCGAUCGGCUUAAGUUAGCAGCAGUAGCGAAGGAGUCGCUCCAUCUGGUUCAGUUAACAGCCAUCGAUCGAUCGCUCGGGUUCAGUAACGCAUAGCCUACAGUGCCAUCGCUCGGGUUCAGUUAGAGCCCAAUGCCUCGCUCGGGUUCAGUUAGAGCCAAUGCCUCGCACACACGCGCAUACGUGUAUGAGGGAAACGCACAUCGCUCGGCCCCCGACCUCCCACCGUAACCGGCAACUCCCCGAAAUUUUCCUCCCCCUCGCUUCUACGAUGGUUUUUUCCGUCAUGGACGCCCCAAAGAAUGUCAUGCAGCUGCGUCUCCGGCCCCCCAAGACGAAAAGACCAUUUUCUGUCAUGAUUUUGUGUCAUAGAAGUAGGAGCCCACCACAUCUAUGAUGAUACCGGGUUUUGUCACAAUUAUCGUCAUAGAAGUGUCAUAUGUAUGACAGAAAAAAAUUUCGUUUGGCCCAAAAUGUCACGGAUGUGUCUUUUUUUUGUAGUGUUGGGAAGAAUGUUCUAUUCCCCAUAGCCGUUUAGUAGAGUUGCAGACCCAAGGGUUUCUUCCAUCAGCGUACAUGGUCCUCGUCUGAGCCGGACUAGCCACCUACAAUGGCGGGGAGCAAGCGGAGAGAUCUCCUAACCCAUCUUAGGGGGAGCGAGUAUGCCUCAUCCCAUAUUUGCUAAGAGGUGUCGGGUUUCCAAUACACCCAUUCCUUCGUGGGCUCCUGGAGUUCUAUGGCCUCCAGUUACGCAACUUCACCCCCGCCUCCGUGCUGCACAUCGCAGGAUACGUCGCCCUUUGUGAAUUAUUCCUGGGCUGCGAGGCUCACUUUGAGUUAUGGAAGAAGUUAUUCUUCCUCAUUCCUCGCAAUCAAGGGGAAUCUAUAUAUCAAGUGGGCGGAGCCGAAAUAUGGCGCGUCACCCAUACCGGAUACCUGUCCGGCACUCCAAAGAAGGCAUCCGAAGACUGGCCCUCGGAGUGGUUUUAUGUUGAUGACGUUCCCCUUCCGGAUCCAAUCCGGACGGGCCUCCCUGAGUUUAAUAACGCUCCGUUGAAGAAACACCAAAGUUGGCGCCCUCGGAGCCCUCAGGAGGAAGAUACCAGAGAAGUCCACUUCCCGAUGAGCAGGAUAAAGACACUGGCCCAAUCAGGACUGACAAUAGUCGAGGUUAUAUCAAUAUGCAUAAUGCGGGGGGUGCAUCCACUUCAAUAUCGGCGGAAGCCUAUGUGGCACUUCAACAGGGAAGACGAUGCCACCCGCUGUGGUCGUAAAGUUCUGGACUCCACCAGUGCUCUGGCGAGAAUAUUAUCUGAUUCAUAUAAAAGAUAAGAAGAGGAGUUCCUCCGCAUCAAACCGCGGGAUGGAUUUUCCAUGUACAACCCCCCAAGCUGGGUGUGCCUUUACUCUUUACUCAACUUUAUCCAUUCUUGCGCCCUUCAUCACAAUCAUUUACCUUGAUAUUUCUAAGCAGGAACCGAGGCAGGCCGUAAAAUAGUUCAACAGCCCUCCUCCAUAGCCAGAGGAUCCUGGCCGGGCCUUCGACCCCGGACUUGAAGAAGAUCCGGAUAUAUCUGUGGAGCUUGUCAACGGGACGUUUUAUCAGGCAAGCCGUGACGGCACCUUUGUGGCUAUUAUUGCCGAUUAUCUCGGACUGCUCCCUGCGUCGCGCGUAAGCAAAGCUAAAGCUUUCUGAAGAAGACUCCUUCCUUACGCCAUGCCUUAUGCACAAAUAUCUUAUUUUUAUAGAGACGACCAUCAGAAUGUGGCGCCAAGCCCCUGGGGGCUCAUCAGCAAAGGGCGUCCGGGCCAGGCAGGCUCAAGAGGAAGAAGGUUAGGGUCGAAACACCGCCGCAGAGGUAUAGUUAAAAUAUGCUUUCUAAUUAUGAUGUGUGAAAUGUAACAGCAUCCAUCGUGUCCUGGCAGAAAGAGUAGUCGCUGGACUAGAUCCGGAGAUCCUGCCGGUCACGCCUCCACCAGCAGGAUUCGAGAGCCGGCUUCGAGGGAGGAGGCCAAUGCGGGGACGAUGCCGAAUUGUCCUCCGACAGAGGAUGCAGAUAGGCUCUCCGCCACAAAUUCCGAAGUAGAGAGUGCCAUGAAUCACCGGCACCGACGGGCCUUACUUCGCAAUAGUAUCUUUUCCGAAGAGGCAUUCAAUGCUUUCAAUUCUGGAGACGCAUACAUCCGAGCUGCCCAAGACGGGCUCGCCCGAGCGAUGGACCAGUAUGCGAAAUAUAUACGGGUAAGAAAAUUUAAUAAGCAUGUAUAGCAGUAGCCCCUGAAACUUGAAACAGUUGGGACAACUGAUUUAAGGAUCAUUGUAUGCACAUGUUCUUGUAGAGAAGAAUACCCAUUUGUCUCAAGAGCUGGAGGAGUGCAAGACCCAGCUGAGGGCCGCGGUUGCCAAACAAGAGGAAUCCCAGAAGGCCUCAUCUGGUAACAUUUGUCUCAAUAGAGAAAUUUUAAGGAAAUAUACCAGUUAGUAAUUGGCUUGCUUUAUAAGUCUAACAGAAAAUUCUGCAGACAAUCCCGGGGAGAAUCCGGAGAUUGUAAGAGAUAGUGAGUCACAUAUACAAAGACAACUAAAGGCUGGAGAGAGUGUGCUUAUGCAAGUUAGGCAGGAGAAAAACAAUCUCCAAGAUGCCAACGUCCGGCUGGGCGUCGAAUUAGCAAAUGUUCGAGCUCAGCUAGUGGACUCCGUGAAGGAGAACAGGAGGCUUCAUCGCGGCAUUUAUGGUAAGUGCCUAAACGAACUGCAGUAUAGUUCGGGAGUAAGCAUUUUAAAAGAGUAUAUAUCUGUAGGUAUGCUGAUGGGCCGUCCUGAAGAGGAGAUGCCCGGGUCCGAAGGCGAUUUACUGCAAGAUCUCUCACAGCUGCACAAACGAGUUCGGCAGGUGAUGCAGGGUAUUGCCCAGGCCUUUUGGCCAUCCACUUCCCUGCCAGGAGGCAUGGGGGAGCUCGUGGAUAUGCUCCAAGAUCUCUCACAGCUACAUGAACGUUGUGGAAGGUAUCAGCCUACCGACAAGGUGAAAGGGAAGCCUGGGCCAUGGUGAAGACGCGAUACACCAAGCUUGACCCGAACCAUAUGGCCGAAGUGGGACCGGCGGGGCCAGAUGAGCAAGAGAUUCCCGUGAGUCUGGUGUAUGACCAGGUAGCGUUAGCCGCAAAGUAUUCCCAAUAGGAUUGCAAGCUAGAUAGCAUGUUGGAUGGUAUGGAGGAAGAAUAUAGCCAGUCCAAGUGACUAUGUAAUUCAAUGGACACAUGUAGUCCCUAGCCGGAUUAAAAAUCUUUUGUCAUGGCGGACCUUUUCGCUUCAGCCCCCGGAUCCGACAGUCCAGGGUGUAUCCGAACACCCGCUCAGUUAUGCAAAACCGGGGUAUGCGUGGAAACCAGGCGUAGGGGUCAUAAGUGCUUGAACAGACAAGUACCCAACUAGUUAUGUUAUAUUAUAUGGGUAGUAAGAAACAUCUUCCAGGGAGAAUAGUUCCGUUAGGGGUUGCUUUCCCUAGGUACGCAUGCAUCGAUGUGCAUGUCUGAACUGUGAACAGAAACGCAUGAUACAAAAUAUCUGGGGAUUCAUGUUGUAAUAAACGAAAGAAACAUCUUUUGUUCACCGACCGAAUAUUCCCUUAAGAACGCUAGCUUUCGGCUUCACCCAGUCUGAGGUACACAUCCGGCUGAACCGGCAGUAACAAUCGCAGAGGUGCUCCCCUUAUGCCCUAGCCGAAUUAUCGAGAACGUAGGGCAUAAAUACAAGAGCCAGGCAACGCAGCAUGGCCACAUCUUAAGUCAUAUCGAUGCAUAUAAUGGUGAAGAAAAGGGCACAUAUGGAAAAAGGGCGCAUAUGUGGUAGGUGGGAAGCCAUAAAAGUAAUUAUAUUUAGCUUUCGUAUAGGAAGCCCCCAGGUAUUGUGAGCACACAUAGUGCGGCCGGAGUGAUCCGAGCAUCCGCACUGUAUUUAAUACUUUGUGUGAAGAAGGUAAAAAGGGCGAGAAACGAAAAAGGGAGAACAUAAUUAAAAGAGCGAGGGUAAGGAGACGAACACUAAGGUCGACACUAGGCGUAGAAUCUCCGGAGUCUGGCCGCGUUCCAUGGGUUCGGCUCGAGUCUGUUAUUGGAUGCAUUGCGCAGGCGGUACGCUCCUCCGGUGAGAACUUUAUCAAUGAUGAAGGGACCCUCCCACUUAGGUUUGAGCUUGUCCUUCUUCUCCGAUAGGCGUAGAACGAGUUCGCCAACGUUAUAAGUUUUGGCCCGCACUUCUCUGCUUUGAUACCUUCGAGCCUGCCGCUAAUAGAAUGCGGAACGGGCUUUUGUGACGUCGCGCUCCUCCUCCAGGGCAUCUAAGUUGUCCUGCCGAUCUAGCUCGGCUUCCUUCUCUUCGUACAUGCGCACGCGAGGUGAGUCAUGGAUUAUGUCGCAGGGUAGUAUUUCUUCUGCGCCGUACACCAUAAAAAAUGGUGUAUAUCCGGCGGUACGAUUCGACGUGGUCCGCAGCCCCCAGAGUACGGAGUCGAGCUCCUCUACCUAGUGCGUGUCCGAUUCUGUCAAGGAUCGCACUAGUCUGGGUUUGAUGCCGCUCAUGAUGAGACCAUUUGCACGUUCGACCUGUUCGUUUGUUUGGGGGUGAUAGACGGAGGCGUAAUCGAUUUUAAUGCCCAUGUUGCCGCACCAAGUUUUCACUUCAUUGACUGUAAAGUUUGAGCCAUUAUCAGUGAUGAUGCUUUGGGCGACGCCGUAAUGGUGUACAACCCCUGAUAUGAAGUCUAUCGCUGGUCCGGAUUCAGCCAUUUUAACUGGUUUGGCUUCUAUCCAUUUGGUGAACUUGUCCACCAUGACCAAUAAGUAUUUUUUCUUAUGGCUUACCCUUUAAGGGGUCCGACCAUGUCCAGCCCCCAGACGGGGAAGGGCCAAGUUAUGGGGAUUGUUUGGAGAGCGGUAGGAGGCAUAUGGCUCUGAUUGGCAAAGAGCUGGCAACCGACGCAGUGUUGGACAAGGUCUUGUGCAUCUACCCGGGCUGUCGGCCAAUAAAAACCUAUACUAAAGGCUUUGCUGACAAGUGCCCGAGCCGCGACGUGGUGCCCGCCGAGUCCGGCAUGGAUUUCAGCCAAGAGCUGCCGCCCUUCCUCUUUGGAGAUACAUCUUUGGAGCACUCCGGUGGCACUUUUCUUAUAGAGUUCUCCCUCAUGGACUUUGUAGGCCUUGGAACGCCGCACAAUACAGCGUGGUUCAUUUUGGUCCUCGGGGAGCUCCUGCCUAUUUAGGUAGGCCAAGAAAGGCUCGGUCCAUGGGGCGAUUACAGCCAUGAUUUCGUGGGCCGAAGGUGUUAUUUCGGUGGUGGAGCCCCGAUUACGUCAGAUGGUUCGGAAUCUGGGGUUGUAUUCCGAGCCGGACUAGUGUUGCUGGACCCCCCUUCCCAUACCAUGGAUGGCUUGAACAACCUUUCCAAGAAUAUAUUAGGUGGGACAGGGUCGCGUUUGGCACCGAUGCGGGCGAGGAUAUCCGCCGCUUGAUUGUUUUCUCGAGCCACAUGGUGGAAUUCGAGCCCCUCGAACCGAGCUGACAUUUUGAGGACGACAUUACGGUAGGCCGCCAUUUUCGGAUCCUUAGCAUCAAAAUCUCCGUUUAUUUGUGAUAUUGCGAGGUUUGAGUCCCCGCGCACUUCUAGGCGUUGAAUGCCCAUAGAGACUGCCAUCCGAAGACCAUGCAACAGAGCCUCAUAUUUGGCUGCGUUGGUGGAGUCUGUGUAUAAUAUAUGGAGUACGUAUUGGACGGUGUCUCCGGUGGGGGAUGUCAGGACUACACCCGCUCCCAAUCCGGCCAGCAUUUUAGAGCCGUUGAAGUGCAUGAUCCAAUUGGAGUACGCGCCGUACUCUUUAGGGAGUUCGACUUCUGUCCAUUCGGCGACAAAGUCAGCCAAUACUUGCGACUUAAUGGCCCGCCGUGGUUUGUAUGUCAUGUCGAAAAGAAGGAGCUCGAUAUCCCACUUAGCAAUUCGUCCUGUGGCGUCGCGGUUGUUUAUUAUGUCGUUGAGUGGUACUUCAGAGGCCACCGUAAUCGAACACUCUUGAAAGUAGUGUCGUAGCUUCCGGGACGCCAUGAAGACCGCGUAUGCUAUCUUUUGAUAGUGUGGGUAUCGGGAUUUGCAUUGAGUGAGGACAGUGGACACGUAAUAUACCGGCUUUUGGAGCGGGGACUUGUAUCCGUCUGCUUCUCGUUCGACGACGAGCACUGCGCUUACAACUUGAUGUGUUGCAGCUAUGUACAAUAGCAUAGGUUCACCAAUAUUUGGCGCGGUCAGGACUGGGUUGCUGGCCAAUAGGGUCUUUAUUUCAUCCAGUCCAGCCGCGGCCGCAUCCGUCCACACGAAGUGUUCGGUGCGUCGAAGAAGGCGGUAAAGAGGUAGUGCCUUUUCUCCUAAUCGGGAGAUAAAGCGGCUUAAGGCAGCCACGCAUCCAGUUAGUUUCUGGAUAUGCUUGAGGUCUGUUGGGAUAGCCAACUACGACAGAGCUUGGAUUUUUGCCGGAUUUGCUUCGAUUCCUCUAUUGGAAAUGAUGAACCGAGCAACUUCCUAGAGGGUACGCCGAAAACACAUUUUUCAGGGUUGAGCUUGAUGUCAUAUGUUUGGAGGUUGUCGAACGUGAGUCUCAAGUCAUCUAUUAAAGUUUCGACGUGUCUUGUUUUUAUGACCACGUCGUCCAUGUAUGCCUCCACUGUUUUGCCGAUUUGCUUCUCCAGGCAUGUCUGAAUCAUACGUUAAUAGGUUGCGUCGGCAUUUUUGAGCCCAAAAGGCAUAGUGUUGAAACAGAAGGGGCCAUAUGGCGUUAUGAAGGCCGUUGCGGCUUGGUCGGAUUCCGCCAUCUUUAUUUGAUGGUAUUCGGAGUGUGCGUGGAGGAAACAUAGUGAGUCGUGUCCUACGGUGGCGUCGAUGAUUUGGUCAAUGCGAGGGAGGGGGAAGGGAUCCUUGGGGCAGGCUUUGUUGAGGUCUUUGAAAUCGACACAUAGGCGCCAGGAUUUAUCCUUCUUUGGUACCAUUACUAGAUUUGCCAGCCAAUCCGGAUGUUUUAUAUCUCUGAUGAAUCCAGCCUCAAGUAGCUUGGCUAGCUCUUCUCCCAUGGCUUGCCGUUUAGGCUCUAAGAAGCGCCUAAGAGUCUAUUUGACUGGCUUGUAUCCUUUCAGUAUAUUGAGGCUGUGUUCGGCCAGCCUGCGUGGGAUGCCCGGCAUGUCUGAAGGAUGCCAGGCGAAAAUGUCCCAAUUCUCGCGUAGGAAUUCUCGCAGUGCGGCGUCCAUUGUGGGGCUCAACUGUGUCCCGAUGGAAGCUGUCUUUGUGGGGUCCGUGGGUUGGACCUGGAAUUUGACUAUCUCGUCCGCGGGAUUAAAUGAGGUAGACUUGGGUCGUUUUUCGAGUAUCACGUUGUCCCUGUCCACUAUGGCGCGCAUGGUUUUUAGUUCUUCGGCCGCUAGGGCUUCAGAUAAUGCUUGCAGGGCUAGUGCUACAGUUUUAUUUUUGGCGUGGAGUGCGACGUCCGGAUCACUGGCUAGAGUGAUGAUUCCAUUGGGUCCGGGCAUUUUAAGCUUCAUGUGCCCGUAAUAGGGUAUAGCUUGAAAGCUCGUGAAUGCAUUCCGCCCUAAAAGGGUGUAGUAUCCGCUGCUGAAAGGGGCCACAUGGUACGUGAUUUCUUCGGAACUAUAAUUCUCCGGGGUGCCGAAUACCACAUCGAGUGUGAUUUUUCCCGCCCUUCGUGCCUCCCGACUAGGGAUGAUUCCCCUGAAGGUCGUGCCGCUUUGCUCAAUGCGGCUUUUAUCAAUUUCCAUCUUGUUGAGCGUUUCUUCACAGAUCAAGUUUAAUCCACUUCCACCGUCCAUGAGUACUUAAGUGAGCCGAAAGCCGUCCACGAUUGGGCUAAGGACCAAGGCGGCUGGUGCCCGGACUGUCUGGAAUUGAGAUUCAUCACUGGCACUGAAGGUUAUAGCAGUGUCGCUCCACGGUUUUAUUUUUACCACGUGGCAGAUUUCAGCGAAAUUUCAAUGAGUUCGCUUGCGCCUAUUAUUUGAGGCGAAAGUCUUGAAGACUGUCAGCACUGCAUUGUUGUCUUCGGCGGGAUGUUGCUCUGCUUUAUGGUUUACAAGAAGAUCCUCGCCGCUUUUUGCUACCUGCCGGAGUAUCCAACAUGCUCUAAGGCUAUGUGUUGGCGUAGUAGCCGACGUGCUGUGAAUUUUGCAUGGACCAUUGAGCCAUUCUUCCAAUAUGGUUCCACGCCCUGGAGUGGGCUUUGGUUUCUUGGGAAUUGGAUCAGGCAACUUACGAUAGUUUGCCCUUUUAGUUUGGACGAAGGGUUUAUUGAGAGCCGGAUUAUCCCAGAAGUCUGUUUGGGUUUUCCAGGCGCUUUCCAUCGCAUAGUACUUCUGUACUAUGGCUGCUAAGUCGGCAAAGUGUACUAUGUCACAGCGACUUACAGCAUUAAGGAUCCCUUUGUUCGUGCAGUUUUGGCAGAAAAGUGAGAUUGCGUCCUCCUCACGACAGUCCUUGACCCUAUUUAUCACAAGGAGGAAUCUGGCCCAGUAGCGAUGUACUGUCUCUUUGGGCUCUUGUAUGAUAUGGGAAAGACAGCAUAAUUCAGGGUGGGUGGGCGUAGUUAAGUCCGAAUUCUGACCCAAUUUGACAUCCAGGGGCAGAGGAGCUUCCAGGCUUGGCAGCUCGGACUCCGGGAUGUUGCCCAAUUUUUCUGGCCCGUUACCUGAUUCUGAGUCCAGGGUCUGGGUCAUGUCCUCUAGCGAGCGGGUAUCCGGCUCAGAGAGCUUAGUAAUCCGGACAUAGUUCGUCCUCAAAGUAGAGGGAUAAUCCAUGUGUGGCCCUUCCACUACCGCUAUCUCAUGGGUGACCGGUGGGGAUUUGAUGUCCCUUUGGUCGGGUUUAAACCCAAUCUGAUCAUAGUCUGUAGUGACUCCCAGAGCGGCAAUGCGAUCCAAGAGCUCAUUAAGGGAGGAGAGCUCCAUUGGAUCCAUCUGUUCGGCGAGUUCCGAAUUGAUGUGGAGGUUGUUUUUGAUGACCCAAGAGGUCAUCAUCGGCGUGGCAGCCGGUCGGGCGGUCAUGACGAAGCCGCCUAGUCAGAGAGUUUGGCCUACCGCCAGGGCUCCCCCAGAGGUGAUGUUUUCCUUGACAACGAGAUGAGCCAUCGAGCCUUGUAGUGACAACACAGAGGAACUCUCAGUGAAAGCACCAAUGUCGGUGUCAAAACCAGCGCAUCUCGGGUAGGGGGUCCCAAUCUGUGCGUCUAAGGCUAAUGGUAACAGGAGGCAGGGGACACGAUGUUUUACCCAGGUUCGGGCCCUCUUGAUGGAGGUAAAACCCUACUUCCUGCUUGAUUGAUCUUGAUGAUAUGAGUAUUACAAGAGUUGAUCUACCACAAGAUCGUAGAGGCUAAACUCUAGAAGCUAGCCUAUGAUGAUUAUGAUUGUCCUUGUCCUACGGACUAAACCCUCCGGUUUAUAUAGACACCGGAGGAGGCUAGGGUUACACAUAGUAGGUUACAAAGAAGGAGAUCUAACAUCCGAAUCGCCAAGCUUGUCUUCCACGCAAAUGAGAGUCCCAUCCGAACACAUGACGAAGUCUUGAUUCUUGUAUCUUUACGGUCCAACAGUCCGGCUAAAGUAUAUAGUCCAGCCGUUCGGACACCCCCUAAUCCAAGACUCCCUCAGGCCCUACGGGAGCUGUGUGCCGGCGACGCCAAGAAGCUGGAGUAUGCGCGUGAGGUCAGUUCUUGGUUCAGCAGCCCUACCAUGCUGCAGAACCAAGCGCGCGCCGUCAGGGCAGCCGCCACAGACAAGGAGAGGGAGCGCCUGCCUGACCUCCAUCGCCCCUUGAUUGAAAACCUCAUCUGGGCAAUGGGUGAAGCUAGGGAUUCGCCGGACCCUUUUCAGCGAGCCCGUUAGUAUACGUACCAAGACCGCCUGAAUCUGCGUCUGGUGGACCACCUAGUUGAAUGCAUAGUGCCAGUGCUGCCCCUCAUGAGGAUGAUGGAGAUGCAGCAAGAGCAGGUGCUGCCGGAGCUGGAGCGGCCACCAGUGUAGGAGGAGGAAGCAUGCUCAUCUAGCAAGAAAAACAAGGCCAAAAAACAGAGCUUCCAAGGUCCUGUUCGUCGUUCAAAGCAUCUUCGUCUGUUGCGUUAGUACUGAGGAUGCUACAAUGUAGAUGAUGAUGCUGCAGUGUAUGAUCUACCUGUUUUAAGUUUAGCAACUUAGAUCAAUGUAUGUGAUCCUGCGAAGUACUAUGUUUCAAGUUAGCAUGGUUGGUCUAUGUGAAUGAAACCUGCUCUGAAGUACCUCUGAAUCUGAAUUAUUGUGCACUGCCUCUGAAUCUGCACAAGUUUCUGUCAACUUUAAACAGCACAAGUUUCACCAUGCAAUAACUACAGCACAACUACCACCAAGUCUCACUGAAUUCAACUUCUUUACUGCAUCACUCCACCUCUCUUUACUACAUCUCCUCUUUCUUCAACUACUUGACAUCAUCCUCACUGGAUCUCCACAACUUCACCUCACUCGCCACUUCUCUCACAACCACAUCCUCUCUGCACCCAUGGCUGGUUCCUCCUCCACACCAGACCCAUGGCUCAACCCAUUCCCCACUGGCAAGGGCUGGGUUGCCAUGCUAUUUGGUUCGGCGCGCGGUGACCAGGAUCUAUUCCUGGACUACAUGAAGAUAGCUACGAGAUACAACAAUGUGGAUGGACUAGUAGAUGUUGCUGACCUAGUCCAGAAGAAGGCGACGCCUCAAGAGAAGAAGUGCAUGCAGCAGAGCUAUGGAACUAAAGGUAAGGGUAUUGUCGGUGUCAAAACCGGCGGAUCUCGGGUAGGGGGUCCCGAACUGUGCGUCUAGGCGGAUGGUAAUAGGAUACGAGGGACACGAUGUUUUUACCCAGGUUCGGGCCCUCUUGAUGGAGGUAAAACCCUACGUCCUGCUUGAUUAAUAUUGAUGAUGUGGGUUACAAGAGUAGAUCUACCACGAGAUCAAGGAGGCUAAACCCUAGAAGCUAGCCUAUGGUAUGAUUGUUGUUCAUCCUACAGACUAAAGCCAUCCGGUUUAUAUAUACACCGGAGAGGGCUAGGGUUACAUAGAGUCAGUUACAAUGGUAGGAGAUCUACAUAUCCGUAUCGCCAAGCUUGCCUUCCACGCCAAGGAAAGUCCCAUCCGGACACGGGACGAAGUCUUCAAUCUUGUAUCUUCAUAGUCUUGGAGUCCGGCCGACGAUGAUAGUUCGUCUAUCCGGACACCCCCUAGUCCGGGACUCCCUCAGAAGCCCCUGAACCAGGCUUCAAUGACAACGAGUCCGGCGCGCAUAUUGUCUUCGGCAUUGCAAGGCGGGUUCCUCCUCCGAAUAAUUUAUAGAAGAUUGUGAACACCAGGAGAGUGUCCGGCUCUGCAAAAAUAAUUUCCACAUACCACCGUAGAGAGAAUAAUAUUUACACAAGUUCAAUCUGCUGACGUAUUUCGUGGUGUGACGUCACACCACAACCAAGCCUUUACUUGAAUCGUUUUUAUUGUACCACCUCAGCGCGUUUAGCGAAGCGGUUUCCUUGGCACAUCUUGUCGAAGCAGAGAUCAUGUUCCCCUUAUUCCGGGAUUCCCAUCAAUACGGACGUGGAUAACCCAACCGCGCCAUCAAUCGCGGCGCUUGGGGGAUAAGCGAGUUUUACCAGGCCGGUGGGGACACAUGUUUUUGUCCGCCCAUAUAAGGGGAUAAAGAUCCAACCCUUUUACCUGCGGCUUCUUCCUCCUUAGCUUAUCCAUCUCUGCGAACCCGAGCUCCAGCGCCCAAGCCCGCACAUCCCACCUCAACCUUCUCUGAUCAUGUCCGGAGUGGGAGGCAAGUGGAUGGCUUCCUCCGUCACGGAGGGGCAGAUCCAGAAGCUGCGCAACGCCGGAUACUUGUCCAGCGACAUCGCGCAUCGGCUCCCCGACGAGGGAGUGCUCAUCCCCACCCCUAGGCCCCAUGAGAGGGUAGUAUUUCUUCCCCAUUUCCUCCGCGGACUGGGCUUCCCACUACAUCCCCUUCUCCGGGGGCUCAUGUUCUACUACGGCCUAGAUUUCCAUGAUCUGGCCCCGAAUUUCAUCCUCAACAUCUCGGCGUUCAUCAUCGCGUGUGAGGCUUUCCUCUGCAUCCAGCCCCACUUCGGCUUGUGGCUCAAGACCUUCAGUGUCAAGCCGAAGGUUGUGAAGGGCAGCCAAGCGGAGUGCGGAGGCGCCAUGGUGGGCAGGAUGUCCCAUAUUACUUGGCUCGAGGGCACUUUCAUGGAAACCAUCAAGCGGUGGCAAUCGGGGUGGUUCUACAUCACCGAGCCGCGUGACCCUAAAUGGGCAGCGGCCCCCGAAUUCAGAUCUGGCAUCCCCACACGGCUCACCUCCUGGAAAGAGAGUGGCCGGAUCUGGGGUGAUUCAGAGGAGCUAACCGGACUCCAAGCCUGUGUCCAGAAGCUGGUGGACAAGAAGCUCAAGCUUGUCAACAUAGUCUAGGUCAUGCUCAUCCGCCGGAUCCUCCCGUGCCAACGACGGGGCUUCAACAUGUGGGAGUUUGAUCCGACGCAGCACCAGACCCUGAGCGGCCUCUUCGACACUACGUACGAAGAGGUCUGGAAGGUGCUGUUCAAGGGCGCCGAGGCUCCCGCAUCCGCUACCGAAGAUCGCGGAUUCAGCUCGCAGCGUCCAGCUGACGAGGUAAGUGAUUUCAUCCUUUACAGAAUGCUCGUUUGCCAUAGUUUGACUCUAUGUGGGAUCUAAACUCCCGCUUUCCUUUGACAGGACUGGCUGGCGAAGGCCGAACAGACUAUCUGUCCAGCCCCAUUGCCAGAGGACCCAGUGGACGCCCGUCUAACGGGGCUGCUGGCUUCGGCACCCCAUGUGGUGCCGGAGAAAAAGGCCAAGAAGCAGGCCACGGGUACUCGGAAAAGUUCCCGUUUUCAGGUGUUAUCGGAUGAUGACUCCGAGGCCGAAUCCUCCCACCAAGGCGAGGAGGAGAAGAAGAAAGCCUCUCCCCCAGCGGGGGGAGGGAAGAAAAGGAAGACUUCCCCUACGGGGGAGGCCGAAGGGUCCAAGAAGGGAAAAACCCUUCCCCCGGACUACUCUGCCGACGUCAGUGAUGACGACGAGGACUGGCCUCCAAGGACCAAGCCCCUGCCGAGAUCGUAAGUAUCCGGGAUCCUGAGUAACUUUAUGGUUUUCUUUUUCGCCACACAGUGUCUUUCUAAUGCCGCAUACAACCCUGCAGUCCGCCCAAGGAUGAUCUUCCCGCUUCGUCGAGCGGGUCCCUAGGUGCGUCGGAUAUGGAUUCCCUUCCGACCGCCUCCUCCCCUCGUGACGCGGACGAUGCCGAGGUGGGAUCCCGGGAAGGGACCCACCAGGAGGAGAAGGCCCCAGAGGUGUCGCAGGACAACCUCCCGGACUUUGCACCGGACUCGGCGCCGGAGCCCCUAGUGGCUCCAGAGUCCGGCGGGCGACCCCUUCACAAGAAGGGCAAGACCGUGACGCCGACAGCUUCCGUCCAACCGGAGGCGCCGGAUAGAUUGCUGGAGGCGCUCAAUGGCGCCUCCAUUGAAGAGGAACACCGCACUGUUAUGAGUGCGGUGAUUCAGAAAGUUCAGCUCGUCAAGAGCGGGCUGACCGAAGCCUGCAGCAGCCUUCUAACAGGCUUUGAGGUAAGAAUUUUGAUAUAUGUAAAAUAGUACCGCAUAGACAGUAGCCCCUGAUGCUCGGUUCGGUGUUCGGAAAGAAAAGCCGGACCGAGGAUUUAAAAAGAUAUAUGCAGGAGUCAUAAAAAAUAUGUCAAUAUGGGAUUGCAGGCUGUGCUGCUGACCUCUGCCGCACUGACUGCGGAGGUCAAUACUUUGAAGGAAAACCUCGAGCGGUCCGAGAAUGAGCUCGGCCGUGCCAAGAAGCAGCUCGAGGACAAGGAAGGUGAGUAACACCUUAUUAAAAUUGUACCUUGCAGAAAAGGAUUUGGUUGCAAGAAAAAUUACAAGGAUAACGUGGAUAUGGCAGGGGCCACUAAUGAGGUGGUGACCCUGAAAGAGGCGGUGGCCGCGGCCGAACGCAAUGCGGCCGCGGAGCGCACCGAGCGAGAGAAGUAGGAGGCGCGGGUGGCGGAGGUACAGAAAGAGCUCCAGGCUCUCAUGAAAAAACAUGAGGGUUUGGAGCGUGACUCGAAGACCCGAGAGUCCGAGCUUGCAACGGCUCUUGAGAGUGCCAAAGCCGCUAAGGCCGAAGCCUACAAGGCCCUACAGGAAAUCAAUGAGUUGAAGAAAAUAGCAGCGGGUAAGGCAUUUUUCAUGCAAAGUAAGCAUGUGAGUGUUAAUUACCUGUUGCUUACCCGAAUUUGGAGCUCUCCAGGAGCGUUCGCAGAUCUUCCUUGCAGCGUGUCCGAUGCUGCCACGUUCUACCGGGCCGAGGAGGGGAGCUCGACAGAGAAGGUCUUCUGGUCUCAGUAUGCUGAGGCCGGACAUCCGGUGCCCCUUAGCGACCAACUGAAGCAGCUAGUCGAGCUCCACAAGGCGGCCGAACAGGCCAUGAAGGGCCUCAUAGUUCGGCUGUGGCCCAAGGAGGCCAUGCCUGGGAGCUACUUCGGCCUGGUACGGCGGCUGGUGGAUGCGUGCCCGUGGGUUGAAGUCAUCAAGCACUCCGCCUGUAUUGAAGGUGCCCGUCGGGCCCUUGCCCAUGCAAAGGUGCACUGGGGCAAGAUGGAUGCCCAGAAGCUAGUGACGGACGCGCCACCGCAGGGCAAGGAGCAUCGUACGCCCGAAAUGUAUUAUAAAACUGUCCUGAAGGGUGCCCGCAUUAUUGCGGGUGAGUGCUCCAAAAAAGAAAAUUUUGAGUAGACUCGCGUUUUGUUAUCCCGUGCGCUGAAAACUAAGUUCAUAUGCGCGAAGCAACACUUGUUAAUUUAAAAUAUUACCUUCUGUGCGGCUGUUUCUCAAAUCUGAGAGAUGGCAAGUCGUCGGCUUCAGCCCCCAUGCCACGAGUGCUGGGGUGUUCGGGAUAAAUUUGAGCACUCUUGUUCCCAUAUUUGGGUCCAUCGAGGGAGGCGCUCAACACAACGAACAAGGCAACCGGACUUAUAGUGCUUGAACACUCUCACUUAGCCAUAGAAUUCUAUAAUUUUAAAUUUCGGCGAAGCCCCUAGUACUCAGAAGGCCGAAUUUGGGGCGCUAUCCACGCCUGGGCCGGACAGAAUCCGGCUCCUCACUCGAAGCGGCAUAAGUCUUUAGGACUCGCAAAAAACCUCUCGAACAGCGACCAGCUCUUGCCUCAUCAUGACGGUCAGUUUUAGCUUUCUCCACUGAGGCGUUAACCCAGCUCAACUGGGGCGCAAUCGCAGUGGUUCUCCCAGUGCUACCUUAGCCGAUAAAACGGAAUGUAAGGUACCAAAACAUGGGAGCCGGGCAAACCCAACUAUUGACCCAAGAACACGAUUUGGAGCCAGUGCAUAUAAUGCUAUAAGUUCGGGGUGCCGCACUUGUGAAAGUGUUCGGACUUAUCACACCAUAAUGCGGGAAACAUAAGCCCCUGGUGUAUUUAGCCGUACCAAAACGUACGGAUGCAACAUGUCAUAGAUGAACAUAUGUAUAAGAAAGGAAUGCGAUUGGAAGCAAAAAGGUGCUGCAUUGCUUUAUUCAAUAAAAACUGCUGUAAGUGCAGAACGAUACAAAUGGUGCGGUAAACAAGGGAUGGGACUGUUAAACAUGUCCCCCUCCAGGGGUAGGCUACGGAAUAAUGCAUAAAACAGAUUUAAUGCUCAUAAUGGAGACCACCUGGAUAUUCGUUGUAGCCUUUCUCCUUCCCUGGCUGUUGCAUCGUGGGUUCGGCAUGUCUGCUGUCGGACAGGGCCUCUGACAAACGGAGUCCUGUGGGUAAAAAGAAAAUAAAAAAAAGAACGACACACUUGAGAGCCCCUGGUGUGGUUGAGCCGCAGUCUGGGCCUAUCGUGGUCGCGCCCCUUUCCCCAUGCCCAUGGUAUCUUCAGAGCGUAAUGGUGUACGCGAAGGGUCUGUCUUGACGUUUUACAGGGGUUGGGGUUGGGGCCGCACUGCUACACGUGCUCGGAACGUGCCAGGUGGUCAUGUUGUAGGUUACUCCGGGCGCGCUUAGCUGUGUCCGGCCGCUUAGCGGCCGGACUCGAGAAUUGCCUUAAGAGGCUGCAUUGUACUUCUGCCGCGAGAGCCGCUGUAUGUUCCUCCAUUCGGAGAGAAUGUUCAGUGUUUCCGUUGACCUUGAUGACUCCUCGAGGGCCUGGCAUCUUGAGCUUGAGGUAUGCAUAGUGCGACACCGCGUUGAACUUUGCGAACGCGGUACGUCCGAGCAGAGCAUGAUAUCCGCUGCGGAACGGAACUAUGUCGAAGAUUAACUCCUCGCUUCGGAAGUUAUCCGGGGAUCCAAAGACCACUUCCAGUGUAACUGAGCCUGUACAAUUGGCUUCUACACCUGGUAUGACGCCUUUAAAGGUCGUCUUGGUAGGUUUAAUCCUUGAGGGGUCAAUGCCAUUUUGCGCACUGUAUCCUGAUAAAGCAGGUUCAGGCUGCUGCCGUCGUCCAUCAGGAGUCUGGUGAGGUGAAAUCCAUCGACGAUUGGGUCUAAAACCAAUGCAGCCAAUCCACCAUGACGGAUGCUGGUGGGGUGGUCCCUUCGGUCGAAAGUGAUCGGGCAGGAGGACCAUGGGUUGAACUUCGGGGCAACUGGCUCCAUCGCGUAUACAUCCCUGAGUGCGCGCUUCCGCUCCCUUUUGGGUAUGUGUGUUGCGUAUAUCAUGUUCACCGUCCGCACCUGUGGGGGGAAACCCUUCUGUCCUCUAUUGUUCGGCGGUCGGGUUUCUUCCUCGUCAUCGCUAUGCAGCCCCUUGUCAUUGCUCUCGGCAAUUAACUUCCCUGCCUGCUUGAAUACCCAGCAGUUCCUGUUGGUGUGGUUGGCUGGCUUUUCGGGGGUGCCGUGUAUCUGGCACGAGCGGUCGAGUAUUCGGUCCAAGUUGGACGGACUCGGAGUAGUUCUUUUGAAUGGCUUUUUCGUUGAGCGGGUUUAGAGCCUCUGAAUCCGGCAUUGACUGCCAUAUCCUCACUGUUAUCGCCGUUAAUGCGGCGUUUGUUUUUGUUGCGACGCGACCUGCCAUUAUGGUCCUUGAUAUCCGGACUGCCAGAAUUUUUGCUGAGGUUGUUGCUGCGUGCUAGCCAGCUGUCCUCACCCGCGCAGAAGCGGGUCAUGAGUGAUGUAAGGGCUGCCAUGGAUUUCGGCUUUUCCUGUCCCAGGUGCCGGGCAAGCCACUCGUCGCGGAUGUUAUGCUUGAAGGCCGCGAGGGCCUCGGCAUCCGGACAGUCGAUGAUUUGAUUUUUCUUGGUUAAGAACCGUGUCCAGAAUUGUCUGGCCGAUUCGUCUGGCUGCUGAAUUAUGUGGCUUAGGUCAUCUGCAUCUGGUGGUCGCACAUACGUGCCUUGGAAGUUAUCGAGGAAUGCGGCUUCCAGGUCCUCCCAACUCCCGAUUGACUCUGCUGGCAAGCUGUUAAGCCAGUGCCGGGCUGGUCCUUUAAGUUUGAGUGGGAGAUAUUUGAUGGCGUGGAGAUCGUCACCGCGGGCCAUGUGGAUGUGGAUGAGAUAGUCCUCGAUCCAGACCGCGGGGUCUGUUGUGCCAUCAUAAGAUUCAAUAUUGACGGGUUUAAACCCUUCGGGGAUUUGAUGAUCCAUUACCUCAUCUGUGAAGCACAGUGGGUGUGCGGCGCCUCUGUACUGGGCAAUAUCACGACGGAGCUCAAGAGAGCUUUGUCUAUUUUGUUCGGCCCGGCCGGACUUAUUGAGUCCGGCGCGACGGCCGUCGUCAUGUGUGAUGGGGCGCCCACGCGAUCUGUAGAUCGAUCUUGAUUGUCUUGCCUUAUCCUCCAAUAUGUCCUGCAAGUCCGGAGCGUUCCCCUGUGGCCUUGUGCUUUUCGAGCGAUGUCGGGGUACGGGUCUAGUGAAGGGCCUACAUGCCUCUCUGUCGCGACCACGGGGUGGUCGGCCAACCGUAUUGUCUCUUGGUGAUGCGGGUUCAUAUGCCUCCUCCUCUAAUCAGGGGAGCAGCUUACGUUUAGGGUAGCUUUUGGAGGGGCGUUCGAGCUCAUGCUCUUCGGCCGCGAGGACUUCAGUCCAUCUGUCAGCUAGCAGAUCUUGAUCAGCUCUAAGCUGCUGCUGCUUUUUCUUGAGGCUGUUUGCCGUGUCCAUAAGCCUGCGUUUAAAACGCUCUUGUUCGGCGGGAUCCUCAGGCACGACGAAUUCGUCAUCGUCGAGGCUUGCCUCGUCUCCGGAGGGAGGCAUGUAGUCCUCUACCUCUUCUUCUGCCGCUCUCUCAUGAGGGCUGGCAUCUCUGUCCUCCUGUGCUGAAUCUUGCUGGAGUGGGUUGUCUUCGGCACUAUCUGGGGUGUUAUUAUCUCCGGUGCUGGAAUCUUCAUUCUUGCUGUGGAGGGAUUUAGAGCGGCGCCGCUGACGCUGGCGCUUGGGCUGUUUCUUGGAGGGGUCAUCCUCCGCUAUUCCUUCGCCAUUCCCAUCCUUUGGGAUAUCCACCAUGUAUAUGUCAUAUGAAGAGGUGGCUUUCCAGUGCCCGGUGGGCGCUGGUUCUUGGUCGUCUCUGGCAUCGUCGUCCAUACCGUCGAUGUCCUCGGAGUCGUAGUCCAGCAUGUCGGUUAGAUCGUCGACAGUGGAUGUCAAGUGGGUGGUGGGUGGGCUUUGAAUUUCUUCGUCGUCCGCAUCCCAACCGUCCUGACCGCAGUCCAGCCAGGGCUCACCUGAUAACGAGAGGUACUUUAGCGAACUCAAGAUGUCGCCAAAAGGUGAGUGUUGAAAGAUGUCCGCCGCGGUGAACUCCAUGAUCGGCGCCCAAUCGGAUUCGACCGGAGGGGGCGCGGGAGGUUCGGAGUCCGGCGAGGAGUCCGGCACCUCGGAGUCACGAGAUUCAUGAGGGACAAGGUCAGUGUUUGGCUCUAUCGUCGUAGAGGUUGCAGCCCUCGAGGCGGUGUCUAGCCAUCCGUCCUCGAUCUACGCAGCCGACUCCGAAUCAAAGAUCGGAGCGGGCUCGAGUGCGGCCUCCAGGGUACUGUCCGGCUGCAGAGCUAAAUCAUGCCCAUCGUGACAGUGCGGCACGCUCGGCUGUGGCUCGAAUCCAUCGAGGAUCAAGUCCCCGCGGAUGUCAGCCGUGAAGUUCAAACUUCCAAAUCUGACCUGAUGGCCAGGGGCGUAGCCUUCGAUCUGCUCCAGUUGGCCAAGCGAAUUGGCCCGCAGUGCAAAGCCGCCGAAUACGAAGAUCUGUCCGGGGAGGAAGGUCUCACCCUGGACUGCAUUGUUGUUGAUGAUCGAAGAAGCCAUCGAGCCUAUCGGUGACGACACAGAGGGACUCUCAAUGAAAGCACCAAUGUCGGUGUCAAAACCGGCGGAUCUCGGGUAGGGGGUCCCGAACUGUGCGUCUAGGCGGAUGGUAACAGGAGACGAGGGACAUGAUGUUUUUACCCAGGUUCGGGCCCUCUUGAUGGAGGUAAAACCCUAUGUCCUGCUUGAUUAAUAUUGAUAAUGUGGGUUACAAGAGUAGAUCUACCACGAGAUCAAGGAGGCUCAACCCUAGAAGCUAGCCUAUGGUAUGAUUGUUGUUCGUCCUAUGGACUAAAGCCAUCCGGUUUAUAUAGACACCGGAGAGGGCUAGGGUUACACAGAGUCGGUUACAAUGGUAGGAGAUCUACAUAUCCGUAUCGCCAAGCUUGCCUUCCACGCCAAGGAAAGUCCCAUCCGGACACGGGACGAAGUCUUCAAUCUUGUAUCUUCAUAGUCUUGGAGUCCGGCCGACGAUGAUAGUUCGGCUAUCUGGACACCCCCUAGUCCGGGACUCCCUCAGGUAUCCUGCCCAUCGACACUCUACUAUGGGCAAUGAGAGAGGCAGACUCCUCCGAUGAUGUCCAGCAUAAGCGACGGGAAGCCCAUCGCUAUGUUGCUCCGGCAAAAGCUGCAACUGAUGUAGCAGUGCAGGAAGAGGAUGACGACGACUUGCAGAUAGUUGCGCCACCUGCAGAGCAGGCUCACCGCCGUCCCCUCCCAUCAUCGUCAUCGAUGAAGAUGAUGAAGAGGAGGAAGUGAAAAAGCAGAUAGAUCCAAGGCAGAUCAAGCAAAUCAAGCGUCGCUCUGCACGCUUAGCAAAUCCUAAAGAUGAGCAGUACAUCCAAUGUUAUUUAAGUUGCCUAAGUGAACCUAUCUCUGAAACCUGCUCUGAAAUUAGUGUUAGCUAAUUCAGUUUCGUCAGUGUGCACAAGUUCAGUAUCGUCAAUUAUGUUUAACUGAAACUUGAUUUGCAUGUAUGUGCCUUCUAUGUUAGAGAGACUAUGUGCUAUCUAUGUUACAGAGAAUAUGUGCUAUCUCUGGUGUAUCCAAGAUCAGAUAAUUCUAUGUGCUAUCUAUGUGCUAUAUAUAGGUCAGUACUGGAUGCAACAGAUUACAAUAACAAAUAUAUAAAUUUAACAUCAUCAUGGACUAUAGUUCAUAAGCUAACUUACUAUCCAUACUUAGCAUUACAACUUGGAGUUCAUAGGCAGUUAAUAUCUUAAAGCAUUACAGAUCACAUGCAGUGCCAUGGGCACCACAAAACAAAUCCCCAAAAUGAUCUGAAACCAGGACAGUUCAUAUCUAGUAUUAUAGCUAGCUAAGAUGCAUAUUUGCAUCAGAUAACAUAGCAAGGCCAGUUAUAUAUAUAGGCCUCAUAUAUACUUACCAUCCAGAGCUGCCACUUCGCUCCUCCAUCACAACUUCCUUGAUCUUGUCCAGCUUUUCCUUGCACCGACCAACCUUCAGUAGCUCAGCGAUGACAUUCUCCAGCUUCUUAUUCUCUUCUUUAAGGUGGUCUCUGUCCACCUCUAUCUCCUUCAUGGCCUUCCUUGUGUUUUGGAUUACAUCAGCUUGACUCUAAAGGAUGCAUCUCUGUUCUUUUUUGAGAUUAAGCUUCUCCAUCUCAAGCUCAAUCUUUGCCUGCUCCUCAAGUUGCUUCUUCUUCUCCUUCAGUUCAUUCAUUGCCUGGCUUGUGCAAUCCAUGUCAUGAGAUUUGAUUCCAUCCUGAUAAUCAAACAACUUGGACACAUCAUCCACCAGCUGGCUAUACUGAUUGGUCAGAGAAUCAAGCUCCUUCUAUAGUUUUGCAACCUCUGUCCCAUGAGCCUCAUUUUCCUGGGCUCUCCCAAGGUUCUGCUCAUGAUACAUAUCCCAGAGCUUGGUUAAGCACCUUUGCAGAAUUAUAGGCUAGGGGAAUCUACCCACUCCAGAACACCACAGUGCACACCAUCCUGAAAAUCAAAUUAUAUUUGCAGUGAACACCAUAGAUAACAAGCAAAUUCAGAAUCACAAAUCAUAAACACAUGUCCUAUACAUAGGUACACUAGCUAGCUCUAUACUAAAAAUACAACACAUCAAUAUGUUUCCAGUGCUCUCUGCUACCACUACUAGGGAAAUCCCUAGUAGUAGCGCGGGUUUUGAGGCUAUCAGCAGCGCGGGCACCCAUGCUACCAAUAAGGCGCUACACCUAACUAUUAAUAGUAGCGCUGUUUGUACCCGCGCUACUACUAUUGACUAUAUCAGCAGCACAUUUUCGGAACGCGCUACUAUUAGUUAGUUGUAGUGAUUUCCUGAGCCCGCGCUACUGUUAUAUCUUUCACCAUUUCCCCAUUCCAGCUUCAAUAAACUGCAAUUUCCAGAUACUAGGUACUACUAGAUAUCAAUUUCAUAAAGCAUUAUAGGUACUAGGUAGUACUCCCUCGGUUCCAAAUUACUCGUCGUGGUUUUAGUUCAAAUUUGAACUAAAACCACGACGAGUAAUUUGGAACCGAGGGAGUACUAGAUAACAAUUUCAUAUAUACUCAACAUGCAUCCUCAAGAAGUACAAGGUGACAUCGACGACGAUCAUCAUAUUUAGUUCUAGAUGAUAUCGAUGACGAUCAUCAUAUGUAGUUCUACAUGAUAUCGACGAUGAUCAUCAUAUGUAGUUCUAGAUGAUAUAGCCACACACACAUAUGUAGUUCUAGAUGAUAUCGACGACGAUCAUCAUCCUCAAGCCUGGGCGGUGGGUGUUCCUGAUAGUAAUUAGGAUGGCCUGUCCAACACGAAGAUUCUUUCCAACGAGGAAUCUUUUCCACCCAACCGUGUUUAAGUGUGUGCGACCGUCUGUGUCCAUGCGGUAAGUACAUGUGGUGAUGGAGCCCCUUGCGGUAAGGCGUAGUCCAGCUGAGCCUUCUUCAUCAGGCUCGAUACCACAACUCACAGAUAGGUUCUUUGGCAAUUUCUGAAUAAGAAAAACAUAUCAAUUAAUAAAUAGCCUCACACAUACUCUUGCAAAUAUAUUUCUAUUAAGUCUAGAUGUCUACACUAUCAAAAGACACAGUACUACGCAUUUGUACUAAUUAAUCAUGAAUUCUACUAAUAAGUAUAUAUGGAUUAUCUACACUAUUAAUAGUUCCUUGGAUUCUACACUAAUAAGCAUGUGAUCAGACUCUACACUAAAGCAUAUCGACGACUAGAUUCCACACAACUUAUCAUUGGACUCUACACUAAGCAUAUCAUCGGAUAAUUUGCAUUUGUAAGUAUAACAUACCAUAUCAUGUCGAUCGACCAUGGUACUUGUCAGGCGGGUCAUGAAUGGCACCCCGACAAAGUUAGCAUUGGGUGGAAUUAUGUCCCAUAGGUUGCACACCUCCUUCUCGCUCAACCUCAUUCUUUGAGCUACGAUGGCUUCAUGAAGUGGGUUCUCAUCAUCUUCAUCGAGUGGGUCCUCAUUAUCUUCAUCAUCUUCUUCAUCUGCAUCAUCUUCGUCAUCUUCAUCAUCUUCGUCAUCUUCAUCAUCUUCCACCAAGUUGAGAUAAAUGACAGCCAGCUUGGGUCUUUCUGCUUUGAAGGAGAAGCUGAUCAACUCACCACCAGUAAGACGCAUGCGGGCAAGGAAACGGGCCCAUCCAUCUCCUCCAAUCUGUGACAUAUUGCGUCCUUUCUCGACCUCCAUAGUGUACGGCCCCCCAGGAGCCUCAAAUGUCACAGUGUCUCCUGUCAGCUUGUUGAAUGUCAACCUCACAUUGCAUGGGACGGUCUGUGUAAGAAAAGAAAAAUGACACAAUGCAGUAAUGCCAACACUAAAAAUAAAAUAGUUGUUACAUUUCAUCUAAUUUCUUACCGCCGCAUGACGAAAACUCGGCUGGAGGUAGAUGCCAAACAGCUUGCCAGUUGCAAGGCUGCUGGCGCACCUUGACUUGCACAGUCGACAUAGUGGUGGUGGUGGUGGCGCCAUUUUCCUAAAGCAAUAUGAGCAAAGGAUUAAUGAUUCACUUCACAGGAAAGAAAAACAGUAGCAUGUGAUAUUUUUGGUGCUUUCGUGAGAAGCAAUUUUAUGGACAAUUAUAAUCCUAAGAUCUAAUAACUUAUUAGAUGACAAGGUACCACGUACCAAAGCAUUUCGGUGGCACCUAUUUCAGAAAAAAUAACAAUAAAAUGGUGCAUACUAAAUCAACUAAAUCAACUAGCAUACUAAACCCACUAGCAUACUAAAUCAACUAAAUCAAAAUGUUCUAAAUCAACUAAAUCAACUAGCCUACUAAAUCAACUAAAUCAACUAGCCUACUAAAUCAACUAAAUCAAAAUGUUCUAAAUCAACUAGCCUACUAAAUCAACUGAAUAAUAUCAACUAAAUCAGAAUGUUGCAUAUGAACUAGCCUACUAAAUCAAAAUGUAGCAGGGAGGAGGGAGAAGGAGGGGCGACUCGAGGAGGGAGAAGAGAGUAGGACGGAGGAGGAAGGCGGAGCGAGGAGGGGCUGGCCGGUGGCGAGUGGAGGGAGAAUGGAGGAGGAAGGCAGAGCGAGGAGGGGUCGGCCAGCGGCGACUGGAGGGAGGACGAAGGAGGAGGCCGGUAUCGAGUCCACCGAGGAGGAUGAGGUGACGGCAGCACAGAUCAGAGGAGGGGCGACGGGGGAGGACUGGCGGCGCGGGGGUUGAGGGGGAGAUCGAGUGUGUGUGUGAGUGUGAUCUGGAUCAGAUAGGUGAGUGGGGGAGAUGGAAUGGCUUAGCAGUAGCGCGCUAUAGCAAAAUGGGCUACUGCUAAACGACCUAUCAGUAGCGCCUUUCGCCGAGAACGCGCUACUGCUAUGUUAGACAUAGACAUAAAAAAUACAUUCAUCAUCAAUUGUCUUUUUGUGUACAAUCUGAUUUGUCAAUAGAAAUCCUCGACGGUUGGUUUAAGAACAGGCGAGGAUGCCUAUUGCGGCCACAGAUCCUACACAUAGAGUUCAAUGAAGACCAAGUGCUUGUGAAAGUUGUAGAAGUAACAUAUUUAAGGUGGUACAAACUCCCUUCAGUAGUAACCUUAGUAGCAGCGAUUAUUGCGUAAAUGCGCUACUGCUAUGAUCCGUAGCAGUAGCGCUUUUUGUUUUAAUGCGCUGCCGCUAUAAUAGGACUCACGGCGGCGUCCUGGGAAUUUUAGCAGUAGCGCGUCUUAGAGUGUGCGCGCUACUGAUAAACUUGUUUCAGCAGCGAAUUUUGAGAGCAUGCGCUACUGCUACGUAGCAGCAGCGCCUGAUUUUAAAGCGCGCUGCUAGUAAGAUUCUGUGUAUAGGCUUUUCCCUUGUAGUGUACAAAUACAAUAUUCAGACAUACAUAAGUUUUCACACAUAAGGAAAAUUCAGAAAUACGACAACUAAACGCUACUCUGUUUCCACUACAUAGCAGAUCCGAUGAAUCUCCUGCCAGUGUCAGUGCCUUCAAAUGCCACAAACUUGCCUGCCCUCUGCCUGUGCGGGAUGCACAUUCUGUCAGAUUCAGUCACAAGCCCACAAAAGCUUGAGUCUAUCACAGUGUCAGGAGUUUGCUGCAGCAGUAAAAACAUAUAUGUAUCAACUACAGCUCACAUAUAUGAACUUAAAUGGAAGAAAUCUCAAUUAUCUUCAAACCCUAACCCUAACCCUAAAACACACAGAAAGGAGAGGAGAGGAUAGAGUUAGCUGACUUACGAAAUACUCCAUCUGCAUGCUGCUGAACUCGCUCAUGAGCUCGUCAUCGUCGUCCAAGGUCAUGUUACUAUUGGGCCAGGACGUCAUGGUCGGUCGUGGUGUCGCCGGAGAGCGAGAAGAAGCAGAGGAGAGCAGGGUGGGGAGUGAGCUCAGGGGAGAGUGAGGGAGCAGGUGGGAACGAGCCCGGUCAGCCAGCUUAUACCUGGUCCGAUGCGGCCCGGUCGGCCCGGUCGACCAGGUGCGACCGACGAGCGAGCAGCUCUAACGGCUGGGGCGGAGCGCCGUUAGCCGUUACCGCUGUCGUCCACCUGACAUGUGGGCCACUGCUGUCAGAAAUGGGUUUAAACGCUCUAAAACAAUCAAAUCGUCAACUUGGUAGUUUUUAGUCACGCGCUUUCAAUUUUUUGGUAGUUAUCAGCCACUUUUAAAAAAGUGGUAGUUCGGUGGGACGGAAGCUCCAAUUGUGAUAGUUUUUUGUCAAACACUCCGGAUAUUUAGUUAAUCAAUUGGGUACCCGUCAUCCAGUCGUAUCCCUAAAAAAUAUCCGUCCCCUCCUUUUUAUAUUCCAAAUGUUAAAAUUUUCUGCAGUAAGGAUCUGGUAGCAGCAGCUCUUCCUCAUAGCCGCCCGGACCAUCACUGGAGGCGGGGCGAGGUACUCCUGCGGUGCCCUGCUGCUGCUCCUGCGGCAGCGUGUAGAUUAGAUGGAUAGCGGGAGGAGGGCACGGACUUGCCCGAGCCCACCCCGAGGCGUUCCGGUCCCGCAACGCACUAGCAUCGCGUUGGGCUAACCUCCUCGGCCGGAACGUGAAGCAACCGGGCGGCGUCGAGCCACCGGCAUAUAGGAGCUGUCCAGAAUGUAACAAAAAAGGGUCGGAGAAACCAACUAAUAUCUAUCGCCUGUUGUGAUACAUAUCAGGCCAUCGCCCACGCGAGUCAGACGUGGACCGAGGCCCAGAUAAGCAGUUUUCUGGAGGUUUUCACACGAUAUUUCUUCUGUGUUGGUUUUCAGUUCGUUUUUCAUUAUCUCUUUUACAUUGUUUAUAUUCUGCAUUUUUCUGUUAUUUAAAAAAAAUUCUUGAACAUCUCUUUGAAUUCACAAACAUCUAAGAAAAUUCGCAAACAUAUCUUCUAUGUGUUUUUCCCCAGUUUUCUGGUUUUACAGGUUUUCUAUUUUUCUCUAUUCAUCUUUUCUUCGGAAAAAUGUUCAAUUGUGCAUUUAAAAAAUGUUCAGUGUGUAUUAGAGAAAAGUUCGAGCUAUAUUAAAAAAAGUUCAUUAUACGUUGGAAAAACUUCACUGUAUAUAAAAAAAUUCCAUUGUACAUUAGAAAUUAGAUUAGUGUGUAUAUUAAAAAUUGUUCUCUGUAUAUUAAAGCGAGUUCACCGUACAUUAAAAAGAGUUCACUGUAUAUACAAAUUAUUUUUUACAUAUUACAAACUUGUUUAGUGUGUAUUUGAAAAAUUGUUCACCUUAUAUUAAAUAAAGUCCAAAGUAUAUUAAAAAAAGUUCAUUGUAUAUAAAAAAAUGUUUAUUGUAUAUUACAAAUUUGUUCAGUGUGUAUUUGACAAAAAAUCACCGUAUAUUAAAAAAUGUUCAAUGUGUAUUUGAAGAUGUUUAUAAUAUUGAAAACUUUUAAAAAUGAAAAAAUAUUAAAAACCCAAAGAAUGCCACAAAAACACCAUGCCGUAAGAGAGAGAAAACACAAAUCAUAAGUACUCCAUCCGUCCAAAAAAGCUUGUCCCAAGCUUGUCCUUCAAAUGGAUGUAUCUAGCACUAGUGCUAGAUACAUCCAUUUGGGGGACAAGCUUUUUCGGACGGAGGAAAUGGUACGCUAGGCUAUAGGAGCUACCGAAAGAAUUUAACAGGCCGGCCCACAUAGAGUGAGAGUGAUGAGCUACCUGAGUGAUCCCUCUAUAUAUAUAUAUAUUGGGUCAAGCGAUACAUAUCGAUCCCCAGAGAAUGGCAGAAGGCCAUGGCUUGGGUCUAAAUCCCCAUUUAUCGUGCCAAAGCCCAAGAGUGAUACAUUUGGAUCGCUUUCUCAAUUCCCUGCAAAGAACUCGAAUUCACCCCUAAAAAAUGCAAGAGCCAGAAUUCUCAACAGACAUUAGAAAGACAAAUGCAUCAUAAAAACAUGGAGGAUACAAAUGUGUGCUCGGUAUGCCAAUGCAUGCAGAAUUCUUGGAGACACACUCAAUGUUAGAGUGCAUGAUGGUAAGAUGUAUAUGGGUUUUGGUAGACGAAGAGUUGCACAAACAAGCAUCUUUGUGUACGGAGCCAAGGGAAAAAAUGGCUAUUUGAGAUGGAUGAAUAUCUUACUGAACAACAAUAUAUCAAGUUAAUAGUAAAAAUGUGGGCGAUCUGGAAGGCGACGCGAGAGUUUAUACAUGAAUAAGUAUAUCAUAGCCCUUUUGCCACUUGAGGAUUCAUCAUGAACUGAAGGAAUUACGAGGAACACGAAAUUCAUAUGAGGGGAUCUCGGGCCGGGUGGAUUGUGCCACCCCUGGGUGAUGUUAAAUAUAAUGUCGAUGGUGCCAUAUCAGUGGAUAACUGCCAUGGCGCUACAAGUGUAAUUUUUAGGGUGGGUGGUCCAAAAUGCUUUGAGGUUAUCGCGUGUAGAGAAGCUAUGUGUUUGAGGAUGGACUAGCAUGUAGGUGCUGAUGUGAUUGCAUCAGAUUGCAUGGCUAUUGUGCGGGAAAUUGCAAGUGCUUCUAUGGGAUAACAUGCUAUGAUAAUAAAUGUGAUAAGGAGAAUGAAGGAGGAGGCCAGUAAUAUUGCUUUUCGUCACGAGUAUAGACAGUCCAAUGAGGAUGCUCAUACUAUAGCUAGAAAUUCUCUAGUUUUAGCACUUGGACGCCAUGUUUGGCUGAUGGAGUCCCUGCACUAUGUAAACCCUAUGAUUAUUGAUUAAUAAAUCUUGGGUAUUUACCCCUAAAACAUAGUAGCUUUUAGGGUCUACCAAAAAAUUUAACUUUCAGGGUGUGUUGUACAACUGGUACAUGUGAUCCUUUCUCAACUAAGUUUUGUGAUAAAUUUUGCAGAUUAGGUUAUCCUGGUAUGGAGAUUUGAAGAUAUUCAACUAAUUUAACCUGCCUUUUUGAUAGAUGCAAUUGCUAAAUCUUCAAUAGGACUAGUCAAGCUACCGGACAAUGUAUGUGAGACUGCCAUCAUGAUCACCUGCAAAGAGGUUCGACGGUUAUAAAUGUCAGCAGGCAGAAGUGCAAAGAAUAACACCAAUGGGAUAAAUUGUAAUGCACACACCUAGAUACAAAAUGCCACCAACAAAAGAAUGACAAAAUGGUAAACCAUGGAAACAUGCGUCCACCUAGAUCCUCUAUAGAUAACAUUUGCAAAUAGUGCAAACGAUGUGCAUAUGCAUUGAAUAAUAAUAAUGGAAUGAAAAUUAUCAUGGUGGCAUACUGCUUACGCACAUGCCACAUCACAAGAACAUCCUAUGCGCAGUAGAGCACUUCAAAAGCAAAGUAAGUGUGGGGAACGUAGCAUGCAAUUUCAAAAAAAAAUCCUACAAUCACGCAAGAUCUAUCUAGGAGAUGCAUAGCAACGAGAGGGGAGAAUGUUUCCACGUACCCUCGUAGAGCGAAAGUGGAAGCGUUAGUUAACACGGUUGAUGUAGUCGAACGUCUUCAUGAUCCAACCGAUCCAAGUACCGAACGUACAUCACCUCCGUGUUCAGCACACGUUCAACUCGAUGACGUCCCUCGAACUCUUGAUCUAGUAGAGGGUCGAGGGAGAGUUCCCUCAGCACGACGGCGUGGUGACGGUGUUGAUGAUGUGAUCCGCGCAGGGCUUCGCCUAAACACUAUGAUGCUAUGACCGGAGGAGUAAACUGUGGAGGGGGGCACCGCACACGGCAAAGAGAAUAAUUGAUGUGCCUUUGGGGUGCUCCCUGCCCACGUAUAUAAAGGAGGGGGAGAGAGAGGUCCGCGGCCAGGAGGGGCGCGCCAUGGGAGGAGUCCUACUUGGACUCCUAGUCCAAGUAGGAUUCGCCCCCCCCCCUUUACCUUUUUCCACCGGAGGGAAUAGAAAGGAGAGGGAGAGUAAGGGAAGGGGGCGCCGCCCCCUCCUCGUUGUCCUAUUCGGACUCCCUAGGAGGGGGGCGCGUGACCACCCCCCGCGGGCUUCCCUCUCUCUCCCUUAGGCCCAUGUUGGCCCAACACUUCCCCGAGGGGUUUCGGUAACCCCUCGGUACUCCAGAAAAAUAUCCGAAUCACUCGGAACUAUUCCGAUGUCUGAAUAUAACCUUCCAAUAUAUGAAUCUUUACCUCUCGACCAUUUAUAGACUUCUCGUCGUGUCCCUGAUCUCAUCCAGGACUCCGAACAAACUUCGGUCACCAAAACACAUAACUCAUAAUACAAAUCACCAUCGAACGUUAAGCGUGCGGACCCUACGGGUUCGAGAACUAUGUAGACAUGAUCGAGACACAUCUCCAAUCAAUAACCAAUAGCGGAACCUGGAUGCUCAUAUUGGUUCCUACAUAUUCUACGAAGAUCUUUAUCGGUCAAACCGCACAACAACAUACAUUUUUCCCUUUGUCAUGUUAUGUUACUUGCCCAAGAUUCGAUCGUCGGUAUCUUCAUACCUAGUUCAAUCUCGUUAUCGGCAAGUCUCUUUACUCGUUCCAUAAUGCAUCAUCCCGUAACUAACUCAUUAGUCACAUUGCUUGCAAGGCUUAUAGUGAUGAGCAUUACCGAGAGGGCCCAAAGAUACCUCUCCGAUACACGGAGUGACAAAUCCUAAUCUCGAUCUAUGCCAACUCAACAAACACCUUUGCAGACACCUGUAGAGGAUCUUUAUAAUCACCCAGUUACGUUGUGACGUUUGAUAGAACACAAGGUGUUCCUCCGGUAUUCGGGAGUUGCAUAAUCUCAUAGUCAAAGGAACAUGUAUAAGUCAUGAAGAAAGCAAUAGCAAUAAAACUUAACGAUCAUUAUGCUAAGCUAAUGGAUGGGUCUUGUCCAUCACAUCAUUCUCUAAUGAUGUGAUCUUGUUCAUCAAAUGACAACACAUGUCUAUGGUCAAGAACCAUAACCAUCUUUGAUUAACGAGCUAGUCAACUAGAGGCAUACUAGGGACACUUUGCUUUGUAUAUGUAUUCACACAUGUACUAAGUUUCCGGUUAAUACAAUUCUAGCAUGAAUAAUAAACAUUUAUCAUGAUAUAAGGAAAUAUGAAUAACAACUUUAUUAUUGCCUCUAGGGCAUAUUUCCUUUAGUCUCCCACUUGCACUAGAGUCAAUAAUCUAGUUCACAUCGGCAUGUGAUUUAACACCAAUAGUUCACAUCUGUAUGUGAUUAUCACCCACAGUUCACAUCACGAUGUGACCAACACCCAAAGGGUUUACUAGAGUCAAUAAUGUAGUUCACAUCGCUAUGUGAUUAGCACCCAAAGAGUAUUAAGGUGUGAUCAUGUUUUGCUCGUGAGAGAAUUUUAGUCAACGGGUAUGAUACAUUCAGAGUCGUAUGUAUUUUGCAAAUUUUCUAUGUCUACAAUGCUCUGCAUUGAGCUACUCUAGCUAAUUGCUCCCAUUUCAGUAUGUAUCCAGAUUGAGACUUGGAGUCAUCUGGAUCGGUGUAAAAGCUUGCAUCGAUGUAACUCUUUACGAUGAACUCUUUAUCACCUCCAUAAUUGAGAAAUAUUUCCUUAGUCCUCUUAGGUAACUAAAGAUAAAUUUGACCGUUGUCCAGUGAGGCACUCCUGGAUCACUAUCGUACCCCCUUGCUAAACUCAUUAUAAGGUACACAAUAGGUCUGGUACACAGCAUAGCAUACUUUAUAGAACCUAUGGCUGAGGCAUAGGGAAUGACUUUCAUUCUCUUUCUAUUUUCUGCUGUGGUCGGGUUUUGAGUCUUACUCAACUUUACACCUUGCAAUAUAGGCAAGAACUCCUUCUUAGACUGUUCCAUAUUGAACUACUUCAAAAACUUGUCAAGGUAUGUAAUCAUUGAAAAAUCUUAUCAAGUGUCUUGAUCUAUCUCUAUAGAUCUUGGUGCCCAAUAUGUAAGCAGCUUCACUGAGGUCUUUGUUCGAAAAUCUCCUUUCAAACUCUCCUUUAUGCUUUCCAGAAAAUUCUACAUCAUUUCCGAUCAACAAUAUGUCAUUCACAUAUACUUAUCAGAAAGGCUGUAGUGCUCCCACUCACUUUCUUGUAAAUGCAGGCUUCUCCAAAAGUUUGUAUAAAACCAUAUUCUUUGAUCACAUUAUCAAAGCGUAUAUUCCAACUCCGAGAUGCUUGCACCAGUCCACAGAUGGAUCGCUGGAGCUUUUACACUUUGUUAGCACCUUUAGGAUGGACAAAACCUCCUGGUUGCAUCAUAUACAACACUUCUUUAGUAAAUCCAUUAAGGAAUGCAGUUUUUGACAUCCAUUUGCCAGAUUUCAUAAAAUGCGGCAAUUGCUAACAUGAUUCGGACAGACUUAAGCAUCGAUACGAGUGAGAAAAUCUCAUCGUAGUCAACACCCUGAAUUUGUCGAAACCUUUUGCGACAAUUCGAGCUUUGUAGACAGUAACAUUAUCGUCAGCGUCAGUCUUCUUCUUGAAGAUCCAUUUAUUUUCUAUGGCUUGCCGAUCAUCAGGCAAAUCCACCAAAGUAAACACUUUGUUCUCAUACAUGGAUCCCAUCUCAGAUUUCAUGGCCUCAAGCCAUUUCACAGAAUCUGGGAUGAUCAUCGCUUCCUCAUAGCUCAUAGGUUCAUCAUGGUCUAGUAACAUGACUUCCAGAAUAGAAUUACCGUACCACUCUGGUGCGGACCGUAAUCUGUUUGACCUACGAGGUUCGGUAGUAACUUGAUCUGAAGUUUCAUGAUCAUCAUCAUUAGCUUCCUCACUAAUUGGUGUAGGAAUCACUGGAACUGAUUUCUGUGAUGAACUAUUUUCCAAUUCGAGAGAAGGUUCAAUUACCUCAUAAAGUUCUACUUUUCUCCCACUCACUUCUUUCGAGAGAAACUCUUUCUCUAGAAAGGAUCCAUUCUUAGCAACGAAUAUCUUGCCUUCGGAUCUGUGAUAGAAGGUGUACCCAACAGUUUAUUUUGGGUAUCCUAUGAAGACGCAUUUCUCUGAUUUGGGUUCGAGCUUAUCAGGUUGAAGCUUUUUCACAUAAGCAUCGCAGCCCCAAACUUUAAGAAAUGACAACUUGGGUUUCUUGCCAAACCACAGUUCAUAUGGUGUCGUCUCAACGGAUUUAGAUGGUGCCCUGUUUAACGUGAAUGCAGCUGUCCCUAAAGCAUAACCCCAAAACGAUGGCGGUAAAUCAGUAAGAGACAUCAUAGAUUGCACGAUAUCUAAUAAAGUACGGUUAUGACAUUCGGACACACCAUUACGCUGUGGUGUUCCAUGUGGCAUGAGUUAUGAAACUAUUCCACAUUGUUUCAAAUGAAGACCAAACCCGUAGCUCAAAUAUUCACCUCCAUGAUCAGAUCAUAGAAACUUUAUUUUCUUGUUACGAUGAUUUUCCACUUCACUCUAAAAUUCUUUGAACUUUUAAAAUGUUUUAGACUUAUGUUUCAUUAAGUAGAUAUACCCAUAUCUGCUCAAAUCGUCUGUGAUGGUUAGAAAAUAACGAUACUCGCCGCAAGACUCAACACUCAUCAGACUGCAUACAUCGGUAUGUAUAUUUCCAAUAAGUCAAUGGCUCGCUCCAAUUGUUCUGGAGAACGGAGUCUUAGUCGUCUUGCCCAUGAGGCAUGGUUCGCAAGCACCAAGUGAUUCAUAAUCAAGUGAUUCCAAAAGACCAUCAGCAUGGAGUUUCUUCAUGUGCUUUUUACCAAUAUGACCUAAAUGGAAGUGCCACAAAUAAGUUGCACUAUUAGUACUAACUUUGCAUCUUUUGGCUUCAAUAUUAUAUGAAUAUGUGUAUCACCUCGAUCGAGAUUCAACAAAAAUAGACCACUCAUGAAGGGUGCAUGACCAUAAAAGAUAUUACUCUUAUAAAUAGAACAACCAUUAUUCUCUAAUUUAAAUGAAUAACCAUCUCGCAUCAAACAAGAUCCAGAUAUAAUGUUCAUGCUUAACGCUGGCACGAAAUAACAAUUAUUUAGGUCUAAAACUAAUCCCGAAGGUAGAUGUAGAGGCCACGUGCCGACGACGAUCCAUCGACCUUGGAACCAUUUCCGACGCGCAUCAUCACCUCGUCCUUAACAAAUCUUCAUUUAAUUCGUAGCCCCUAUUUUGAGUUGCAAAUAUAAGCAACAGGACCAGUAUCAAAUACCCAGGCGCUACUACGAGCAUUAGUAAGGUACACAUCAAUCACAUGUAUAUCAAAUAUACCGUUCACUUUGCCAUCCUUCUUAUCCGCCAAAUACUUGGGGCAAUUCCGUUUCCAGUGACCAGUCCCUUUGCAGUAGAAGCACUCAGUUUCAGGCUUAGGUCCAGACUUGGGCUUCUUCCCGGGGGUAGCAACUUGCUUGCUAUUCUUCUGGAAGUUCCCCUCCUUCCCUUUGCCCUUUUUCUUGAAACUAGUGGUCUUGUUAACCAUCAACACUUGAUGCUCCUUCUUGAUUUCUACCUCCGCAACCUUUAGCAUUGCGAAGAGCUCGGGAAUUGUCUUCUCCAUCCCUGGCAUAUUAUAGUUCAUCACGAAGCCUUUAUAGCUUGGUGGCAGUGAUUGAAGAACUCUGUCAAUGGCACUAUCAUCAGGAAGAUUAACUCCCAGCUGAGUCAAGUGGUUAUGGUACCCGGACUUUCUGAGUAUGUCUUCACUGACAGAACUAUUCUCCUCCAUCUUGCAGCUAUAGAACUUGUUGGAGACUUCAUAUCUCUCAACUCGGGCAUUUUCUUGAAAUAUUAACUUCAACUCUUGGAACAUCUCAUAUGCACCAUGACGUUCAAAACGUCUUUGAAGUCCUGGUUCUAAGCCGUAGAGCAUGGUGCACUAAACUAUCAAGUAGUCAUCAUAUUGACCUAGCCAAACAUUCAUAACGUCUGCAUCUGCUCCUGCAAUAGGUCUAUCACCUAGCGGUGCAUCAAUGACAUAAUUCUUCUGUGCAGCAAUGAGGAUAAACCUCUGAUCACGAACCUAGUCCGCAUCAUUGCUAUUAUCAUCUUUAAACUUAGUUUUCUAUAGGAACAUAUAAAAAAUAUAGGGAAGCUACAACGUGAUCUAUUGAUCUACAACAUAAUUUGCAAAAUACUAUCAAGACUAAGUUCAUGAUAAACUAAAGUUCAAUUAAUCAUAUUACUUAAGAACUCCCACUUAGAUAGACAUCCCUCUAGUCAUCUAAAUGAUCACGUCAUCCAUAUCAACUAAACCAUGUCCGAUCAUCAUGUGAGAUGGAGUAGUUUUCAAUGGUGAACAUCUCUAUGUUGAUCAUAUCUACUAUAUGAUUCAUGUUCGACCUUUCAGUCUCAGUGUAUUGAGGCCAUAUCUGCAUAUGCUAGGUUCGUCAAGUUUAACCCGAGUAUUCUGCAUGUGCAAAACUGGCUUGCACCCGGUGUAUGUGAAUGUAGAGCUUAUCACACCUGAUCAUCACGUGGUGUCUCGGCACGAUGAACUGUAGCAAUGGUGCAUACUCAGGGAGAACACUUAUACAUUGAAAUUUAGUGAGGGAUCAUCUUAUAGUGCUACCACCGUACUAAGCAAAAUAAGAUGCAUAAAAGAUAAACAUCACAUGCAAUCAAAAUAUGUGACAUGAUAUGGCCAUCAUCAUCUUGUGCCUUUGAUCUCCAUCUCCAAAGAACCACCAUGAUAUCCAUUGUCACCGGCUUGACACCUUGAUCUCCAUCGUAGCAUCCUUGUCGUCUUGCCAACUAUUGCCUCUACGACUAUCGCUAUCGCUUAGUGAUAAAGUAAAGCAUUUACAUGGCGAUUGCAUUUCAUACAAUAAAGCGACAACCAUAUGGCUCCUGCCAGUUGCCCAUAACUUUGUUACAAAACAUGAUCAUCUCAUACAACAAUUUAUAUCACAUCAUGUCUUGUCCAUAUCACAUCACAACAAGCCCUGCAAAAACAAGUUAGACGUCCUCUACUUGUUGUUGCAAGUUUUACAUGGCUGCUACGGGCUUCUAGGAAGAACCAUUCUUACCUACGCAUCAAAACCACAACGAUUUUUCGUCAAGUGUGCCAUUUUAAACUUCAACAAGGACCGGUCGUAGUCAAACUCGAUUCAGCUAAAGUUGGAGAAACAGACACCUGCCAGCCACCUGUGUGCAAAGCACGUCGGUAGAACCAGUCUCAUGAACAUGGUCAUGUAAUGUCGGCCCGGGCCGCUUCAUCCAACAAUACAGCUGAAUCAAAGUAAGACGUUGGUCGUAAGCAGUAUGACUAUUAUCGCCCACAACUCUUUGUGUUCUACUCGUCCAUAUCAUCUACGCAUAGACCUGGCUCGGAUGCCACUGUUAGGGAACGUAGCAUGCAAUUUCAAAAAAAUUCCUACGAUCAGGCAAGAUCUAUCUAGGAGAUGCAUAGCAAUGAGAGGGGGAGACUAUGUCCACGUACACUCAUAGACCAAAAGCGGAAGUGUUAGUUAACGCGGUUGAUGUAGUCGAACGUCUUCACGAUCAACCGAUCCAAGUACCGAACACACGACACCUCCGUGUUCAGCACACUUUCUGCUCAAUGACGUCCCUCGAACUCUUGAUCCAGUAGAGGGUCGAGGGAGAGUUCCGUCGGCACGAUGGCAUGGUGACUGUGUUGAUGAUGUGAUCCGCGCAGGGCUUCGCCUAAGAAGUACGACACUAUGACCAGAGGAGUAAACUGUGGAGGGGGGCACCGCACACGGAAAAGAGAACAAUUGAUGUGCCUUUGGAGUGCUCCCUGCCCACGUAUAUAAAGGAGGGGGGAGAGGCCGGCGGCCAGGAGAGGUGCACCAUGGGGGGAGUCCUACUUGGACUCCUAGUCCAAGUAGGAUUCGUCUCCCCUCCCUUUACCUUUUACGACCAGAGGGAAUAGGAAUGAGAGGGAGAGGGAAAGGGAAGGGGGGCGCCGCCCCCUCCUCCUUGUCCUAUUCGGACUCCCUAGGAGGGGGACACACAACCACCCCCACGGGCUUCCCUCUCUCUCCCUUUGGCCCAUGUUGGCCCAACACUUCCCCGGGGGGUUCUGGUAACCCCUCGGUACUUCGGAAAAAUAUCCGAAUCACUCGGAACUAUUUUGAUAUCCGAUAUAACCUUCCAAUAUAUGAAUCUUUACCUCUCGACCAUUUCAAGACUCCUCGUCAUGUCCGUGAUCUCAUCCGGGACUCCGAACAAACUUCGGUCACCAAAACACAUAACUCAUAAUACAAAACAUCAUUGAACGUUAAGCGUGCGGACCCUACGGGUUCGAGAACUAUGUAGACAUGAUCGAGACACAUCUCCGAUCAAUAACCAACAGCGGAACCUAGAUGAUCAUAUUGGUUCCUACAUAUUGUAUGAAGAUCUUUAUCGGUCAAACCGCACAACAACAUGCAUUGUUCCCUUUGUCAUCGGUAUGUUACUUGCCCGAGAUUCGAUCGUCGGUAUCUUCAUACCUAGUUCAAUCUCGUUACCGGCAAGUCUCUUUACUCGGUCCGUAAUGCAUCAUCCUGUAACUAAGUCAUAUGAGCAUUACCGAGAGUGCCCAGAGAUACCUCUCUGAUAAACAGAGUGAGAAAUCCUAAUCUUGAUCUAUGCCAACUCAACAAACACCUUCGAAGACACCUAUAGAGCAUCUUUAUAAUCACCCAGUUACGUUGUGACGUUUGAUAGAACACAAGGUGUUCCUCUGGUAUUCGGGAGUUGCAUAAUCUCAUAGUCAGAGGAACAUGUAUAAGUCAUGAAGAAAGUAAUAGCAAUAAAACUUAACGAUCAUUAUGCUAAGCUAACGGAUGGGUAUUGUCCAUCACAUCAUUCUCUAAUGAUAUGAUCCUGUUCAUCAAGUGACAACACAUGUCUAUGGUCAGGAAACAUAACCAUCUUUGAUUAACGAGCUAGUCAAGUAGAGGCAUACUAGGGACACUUUGUUUUGUCUAUGUAUUCACACAUGUACUAAGUUUCCGGUUCAUACAAUUGUAGCAUGAAUAAUAAACAUUUAUCAAGACAUAAGGAAAUAUAAAUAACAACUUUAUUAUUGCCUUUAGGGCAUAUUUUCUUUAGUAAGAACAAUGAACAUGGUAAGAAAACAAGAAUAGUACAGAAGAAUUUAAACCAUGGUUGUAAUCAACAAAGUCGGUUUGGUAAGAGCAGUAAACUGGUUGUAAAAAAUGUGGUACUAACUUAAUGCCAAUAAUACUAGCUAACUCUAAUUUUGCAGAGAAUCAACUUGCAGUGUUGUGAAAAUGAAAUGUGCAAAGUGAGGCUAACUAAAGGAAGGGUGGAUCAGAAGUGGCCUCAAAAAAUAUUAUGCAGAAAUGUGGAAUUGGCCCAAAAGGGUAGUACUAAUAUUUAUGGGAAGAAUGGAAGAUAAUGAAAACUACUCCCUCCAUCCCACAAUAUAAGAGCGCUUGGCAAGCUAACAUAGCUUACAUAAUGCUCUUAUAUUGUGGGACGGAGGAGUAAUAAACAAGAGGUCAUUAAAGCAAGAUAUAUCUUUUGGAUAAAAGAGUGACCGUCCUUUAUAGAAAAGUUGAGGUAGAUCAUCUUGACUCGCGUCUGGCGAAGCUUCCAUAGAUUCCUCUGAAGAUCAGGUAAGUUCCAUCUUUUACUAUAGCUUAACCAAGCUAGUGAUCAACAUUAAGUUAUGCACCAUAGUUGAUGCAUAAAUGAGCUGGUAUAUACGCAAAUGAAAAGGAGCAGAGUAGAGUCUAGCCUAACCUAUAAAUAUACCAUCCAUUCCUUUGCUUUGCGGAAUAAUGCUGCCAUUUGAAAAAAAAGACAAGAUUAUUAACAACAAAUGAACAAAUGCACAUCCAUAGAAUUACAUGGAAGAUAAAGUAAACACCAUGAGGGCAUAUAAAUAAAUUACAGGGUACACAGAUUAAAUGUCAGAAGGGCAUAUAGCCGCUUGACUUGUACAUUUUGUGUCCUUUAAAGAACAAUUUCAUGGAUUAAUUGCACAGACUAAUCGUACUAGUUUGGAUGUUUUGUAAACUUACUAUGAUAAGUAACCACUUCGAAGGUUGCAAGAUUAGUCUGUGAGACUGGAGUAACCAGACAACCUACCAUGAGUUCAACAGUUAGAAAUGGUAGCAUGUAGGCAGGCAAACCAAUUAUGUGUGCCAAAGAAUGUAGCAUCAUGAUGUAUUAUAGGUGCAUAUCAGUCCACAAAAUCAACGUGGUAAGAGCAAAGAACUUGUUACAAGUUUGCAAUAGAGAUAAAUCAGGGCACUCUAGUGACAAAGUAAAUGAGAGAUGCAAGCCAACGUUGUCGUUGUGAAUUAUUACAUUCAAGUUUUGUGACUAUGUAAGAUCCAGAGGCAUGGUUGCGUACAUAUGACCAACAAUGCAGCAAGGAUUCAAAAAAAAUAUUACUGCCAGAAAAUAUUCGAAAUAGAAAGUGGAGGCAAUGAGAAUAAACUGAAGUAUUUUUAUGGACAAAACUGAAGGGUUUCUUCAAGUGAAAAUAUAACUUAGCUAAAUGUUUGUUGGACGGAGAGAGAGUGAAGUUACCUUUGUCAGAGCUAGAUUGAGUCAGUUCCUCUUCAUUUAUCUUACCGGCUUCCAAACUUGUCUCUGAAUUAGAUCACAUAAGUUCAUCGGUUGUUGUCUUAUGGAGUUACAAACUCGUAAAUGAGAAGUUUUACAUACCAACAAGAUGCACUCUUACAUCCAGUUGCAUAUGGUGUCGGAAAAGUAAAUUUAUGUGAUAGUCUCCUUAUCAGACACGCUUUACAAUCGUGCACUGUUUGUGAUGGGGCGCGCAUCGUAAACUUUGCACCAUAGAAUAGCGCGUGUGAUGGUACUGCCAACCCAUACACUUAGUUCUACAAAAUGUAUGCAUUCUUACUCCCUAUCACUGACGAUUUCUUGGUCUUGUCGGAUGGAACCCCCCUAUCGCACAUACAGGCAAGGCCAUGGUUUAAAACUCUGUUGCGGAAAGGGUGUAAAAACCUUAUGUAUAGGAUGUCGCUGCACCAGCGUAUAUAUGCAUGUUUCAUACAAUUAAAUCUCGUUGAAAAUGUAUUGCAACCAAUGGCCACAACAAUGACUAGGUAUUGUUAUUACAUAAACGGAGCCAAGGAGGGCCGAGACCCCUGCCAAUCGCUCAACCCCCUCAAUGAUUUUUAUGAACGAUAGGACGAGACCAAAGGACCUCACCAAGGAGGUUGAAGAAGGCCCGCUGAAAUUUUUUACCUACGGGGAGCGGGAGAGUGCUUUGGCGAGAGGCACUAUGAAUCUCCGCACUAGUUCAUUCACCAGAGUGGUGGACGUCGGUAGAGGUGUAGGGAGUUGGUCAAUUUUAAUAACCACCUACCCCCGUAAGACUAAUCUAUUGAAGCAUGUGUUCCUUCCUCCUUAGAGCGGCCUCUUGUGGCUGCCCACGAAGAUGACGGAUGGCGUCCCAAAGGCAGAUAACUGGAACAAGGUCAUACACACCCCCUUUCUUUGUCGCGGCCUCUCUUUACCUCUGCGUGGCUUCAUCUGGGGUGUCUUGGGAUCCAGUCACAAUUCACGCUUUGGUGCUAUUUAUUUGAAGUGAUACUGCGGAGGGAAGGUGGCGUGGUUCCAGAUUGCUGCAGAGCUGUCAUCCAGCCUCAAGAGGAUUCGUGGUACUUUGAUACACUGUUGCCUAAGAUGACAAGGUCGUGACAUAAGGGUUGGUUUUAUCCCUUGACCCCCCGAAGGAGCUGAACAUGGAGGGUGCGCCGCCAUUCUAGAAUUCACCUCUGCGAGAACUGCGAUCAUGGAGUUCGGAGACCGACCUCAUCAUAGAGACAGGGUUGCUAGUUCAGGAUGUCUACCAACUCCAAGAUUUCAUCCUCAUAGGCAUGCAGAUCUUGAAGAGUUGGCUAGAAAGGAAAACUCAGUCCUUAGUAGACCGAGCUCACCCAAGGUUUGACUAUGUGGGUCCAAGUGAUUCUUGCCACUUGAACCAUGCAGAGAUCUCUGGAUUAGAGCUCAUGUCUCAUAUGCACUUUUUGACUCACGUUCCCAUCAACAAAAUCACUCUCUAGGUUGUUUUGGAAUCCUUUCAUCACGAUCACCGUAUGAGCAACAUAAUCAAUGCUCCCCUUGCAGCCCUCCUACGAGUCCUUGUGUCAUAGCCCAAGAUUAGUCUUUGCUUGACAUUGCAGAAUCAUCCAUGAAUGAUGUUUAAAAUCAAAUUAAAUUUGAAUUGGGGAUGAUCAAAACCCUAGCACCAAAUGAAUUCAACUAUUUUCAACCAAAAUAUUUCAAUGAACCAAAAUGCCCUUCUAAAAUCUUCAUAAUUUAUGGGAAAAAGUGAAAACCAUAAAUAGACAUGAUGCAUAUUUUUCCAGGACAUUUUUGGUCUUUGAAUUAAAUCAAUACUUAUUUUAAUUGGACUUGUAAAUUCAUAUAAAUAUUGUUAUAACUCCAAUAAUUCUGGAAAUCCAUGUGGAGCUUUCGAUUUGUCCAUAUUGCAUCCACACAUAUUUUUGAGAAGCAAGAAAAUUGAAUUGCUUUCAAAACCAAACUCAAAACCCACCUGUAAAUUAUAAAAACUGUAACAGAAAUAGAGAAAUAGGAAAAGAGAAAACUUACUUGGUAAUCCACAUACCUGAGAGGCCCUGCAGCAGCCAGCCCAAUAGAGCCCAACCGCCACCGUCCUCAACCUCCUGCCAGUAGGCAGGAGGGCUUGUGUGAGGGAGUCCUGGAUAAGGGGCUAUCCGGACAGCUGGACUAUAUACAUCAUCCGGACUAUUGAAGCGUGAAGAUACAAGACGCAAGACUCCGGCCCGUGUCCGGAUGGGACUCUCCUUUGCGUGGGAGACAAGCUUGACGAUCCGGAUAUUAUAUUUCCUUCCUUGUAACCGACUCCAUGUAAACCCUAGCCCUCUCCGGUGUCUAUAUAAACCGGAGAGGAUGGUCCUUAGAAGGCCGAUCACAAUUACAAUCAUACCAUCAUAGGCUAGCUCUUAGGGUUUAGCCUCUACGAUCUUGUGGUAGAUCUACUCUUGUACUACUCAUAUCUUCAAUAUUAAUCAAGCAGGAAGUAGGGUUUUACCUCCAUCGAGACGGCCCGAACCUGGGUAAACAUUGUGUCCCUUGCUUCCUGUUACCAUCAGCCUAAGACGCACAGAUCAGGACCCCCUACCCGAGAUCUGCCGGUUUUGAUACCGACAUUGGUGCUUUCAUUGAGAGUUCCUCUGUGUCGUUGCUUCGAGGCUUGAUGGCGUCUUCAAUCGCUGACAACAUGGUCCAGGGAGAGAUUCUUCUCCCUGGACAAAUCCUUGUGUUCGGCGGCUUCGCACUGCGGGCCAAUUCGCUUGGUCAUCUGGAGCAGAUCGACAGCUAUGCCCUUGGCCACAAGGUCAGGUUUGGAAACUUGAACUACACGGCGGAUAUUCGCGGAGACUUGAUCUUCGACGGAUUCGGGCAUGUGCCAGGAGCGCCGGACAGUCACGACAAGCACGGCCUAGACCUGCUGUUGGACAAUGCUCAGGAUAUCACCCCUGCAGUAGCCCCGGAUCUAAAUCCGGAGCAGGUUGCGUUGCGUAAGGACGGAGGGGUGGACCCCGCCCGCGGGCCGCAUACUCAUCGGCGUUGGAGCCGAACACAGGUCUCGCCUCUGUUGAGGUCUGUAACCUCGAGCCCCCGGACUCGUAUCCGGUUGUUGGUCCCGGUCCGCAUACCCUCGAGCCAACCGGGCCAGGUUGGGCUCCGGUAAUGGAGUUUACCGCUGCAGACAUCUUCCAGCACUCGCCCUUUGGCGACAUGUUGAACUCAUUAAUAUCUCUCUCUUUGUCAGGAGGCUCUGGGCCGAACUAUGUCCGUCCUGAGUGGGAAGCAGGCGACGAAGGAAUUCGUUGCCCACCCACCACCCACUUCAUUAACACGAUCGAUGAUUUAACCGAUGUUCUUGACUUCGAUUCCGAAGACAUCGACGGUAUGGACGAGAUGCAGGAGAAGCUUCAGAAUCUUUGGGGCGCGGGACUACUACCUUGUCACACGAUAUAUACAUGGUGGAUACGCCCAAGAAGGACGACGAUGAUAAUCCGGAAGAUAAAACACCCGGGCAAAAGCCAAAACGUCGGUGCAGACGCCGCUCAAAGUCUAGCAACAAUAAAAAUAGCGACAAGAGUGCAAGAAGGAUCGACAUACCAGUAAACCCCGAAGGCAGUAACGACCACAUGGACCCAGCGAUGGAGCAGGACGAGCCAGGGCACGCCAAACCGAGUUCGGAGAAAAUACCCGAUCACAAUGAUCCGGAGGGACAAGCUCAUGAAACUGCCCCAGAACAGGAACACAGUCCGGACGACGAUGCAUUCAUCAUUCCGGACGAACGAGUGGAACGAGACAACCUCCACCGAAAGCUUAUGGCCACAUUAAGAAGUCUAAGGAAGAAGAAGCAAUGGCUCAAAGCCGCACAGGAAACGCUCAGUCACAGAUGGACUAAAGUGCUGGACACUGAAGAAAGAUACGGCGAUGAUCGCCAUACAAAAAGCUAUCCAAAACGCAAGCUACUGCCAGAAUUCGACAACAAGGCCGUUCCACCAAAGAAUAAUACGUCCAGGAGACCAGACGUACCGCUUCAUAACCACAACAGAACGGCUACUGACGCCGCGCAUGAUCUGCGUGAGCAUCUGGAUAAGAAAGCCGGUGCAGCCAGGUCCAUCUAUGGAUCUAAAGGACACACCCCGGCGAGGGACUAUGGUCACCCAAAUGCUCAUACAAGCCAAAUACCAGUUCAGAAUAAACUCCGGACACAACAACAGCCGACCGCAUGCCACAGCGCGCCCAGAUACAGAGGGGCUGCUCACCCCCUGUGCUUCACCGAAGAAGUACUGGACCAUGAAUUCCCACAAGGCUUUAAACCUGUGAACAUAGAGGCAUACGAGGGAACGAUAGACCCAGGGGUCUGGAUCGAGGAUUUUAUCCUGCAUAUUCACAUGGCUCAUGGGGAUGACCUCCACACCAUCAAAUACCUUCCCCUCAAGCUGAAGGGACUAGCUCGACACUGGUUGAAAAGCCUCCCCAAAAAUUCAAUCGGGAGUUGGGAGGAACUCGAGGACGCUUUCAGGGCCAACUUCCAAGGGACUUAUGUCCGGCCUCCGGAUGCAGACGAUCUAAGUCACAUAAUCCAACAGCCCGGAGAGUCCGAGCGCAAGCUUUGGAACAUAUUUCUCACUAAGAAGAAUCAAAUUGUCGAUUGUCCGGAUGCCGAAGCCUUAGCAGCAUUCAAACAUAGCAUCCGCGACGAGUGGCUCACCCGGCACCUCGGCCAAGAAAAGCCAAGGACAAUGGCAGCCUUAACAGGCCUUAUGACCCGCUUUUGCGUGGGUGAAGAUAGCUAGUUAGCCCGUAAAGGCACCAGCGACCCCAACACAUCCGAAAUAAGGGAUGGCAACGGGAAGCCACGGCGUAAUAAACACAAAUGCCAAAACAAGGAAGAGAGCCCGGAUAACACAACGGUCAAUGCCGGAUUCAGGGGCCCUCGACCUGAUCAGCAAAGAUGCCAUUUAAAGGCAGUAAAGAGGGACCAUCCAGUCUGAACAGAGUCCUGGAUAGACUAUGCCAAAUUCAUGGCACCCCGGAGAAACCUGCGAACCACACGCAUAGAUAAUGCUGAGUCUUCAAGCAGGCCGGCAAAUUAAAUGCCGAACGCAAGGGGAGGGAAACACCAAGUGAAGACGAGGACGAACCUCGCCAGCCGAACACUGGGGGACAGAAAAAAAUUCCCGCCAGAGGUUAAAACAGUAAACAUGAUCCACGCGACUCACAUAUUCACGAGAAGGCACGAACGCGCGCUCAGAGACGCGCACAAUGUAGAGCCCAUCGUACCCACAUCUAACUUCUGGAUGUCUGGUCCGAUCACUUUCGAUCACAUGGACGACCGAACUAGUAUUCGGCGCGGAGGAUCAGAGGCCUUGGUGCUAGACCCAAUAAUCGACAGAUACCGUAUCACCCACGUCCUCAUGGACGGCGGCAGUAGUCUCAAUUUAACAUACGAGGACACUGUCCGCAGAAUGGGGAUAAACCCAUCCAGCAUUAGCCAAAGCAACACCACCUUUGAAGGGGUGAUACCAGGCGUGGAAGCCUACGGCAGGGGCUCCGUCGUGAUGGAAGUAACAUUCGGCUCCCCAGGCAAUUCCAGAAGCGAAGAAUUACUCUUCACCAUCGCACCCUUCCAAAGCGGCUAUCAUGCAUUCUUCGGAAGAAAGGCCUUCGCCCGCUUCAACGCAUUGCCGCACUAUGGGUACCUUACACUCAAGAUGCCCGGUCCACGUGGCGUCAUCACCGUUAGCGGAAUCACAGAGCGCUCUUCACGCGCAGAAGAACACGUGACGGCCCUGGCGGCCGGACUGUAAGCGGCCUCCAAUAUCAAAAAGACAUGACUGGUCAUUACGACCACAUACACGGUUAGAUGGGUCAUGUAGCCCGAAUAAAACUGAACCAGGGCACCGUACAUGUAAUCCCAUAUUGGAUACCAGGGGCUGUAAAUAUUUAAUGCAGCCCCAUAGCUGGCUCAACCUUACUGGCAGGCCAACAUCAUACACUUUUAUUAUCAAUCGCAUACUUACGUUGUACUCUCCUACGAGUUUUCUUUUUUCCACAAACAACGUUCGUGCGAUACCCUUCCAGGAUACGGCACAACAGAGACAAAGGCGAAGACGUGCAGCAGGGCCCCGUUCAAAAGGUUUCUUUUUAGAUUAAGCCCCUGUGUAAACCUUUUCUACUGCCUCUUAUUGUUUAACCAUCCCAUGGGUUCCAUAUCCACAGAGGAUACUACCGUUAUUGGCAUUUCGCCACGAUAGAUUAAAACGCAUGUACCUGGAAAUUUAGGUCUUAUAAUAGGCUAUCGCCAGCCUAUUUUCUUUUACAAAGACCGAAUACCCUCGGGAGUGUUCGGCGUCACCAGUUUGGCCUUAUAUGCAUCAGCUCCGAAUCAUGUCUUUGGUCAAAUGUUGGGUUUGCCUGGCUCCUGGGUUUGCCGCCUUACGUUCCGUUAUUAUCGGCUAAGGCGGCCAAAGGAGAACUACUGCGAUUGUACCCUGGUUAUUCCGGAUGAGCACCUCAAUAGAGAAAGCCGAAAAUUGACUGUCAUGAUACAGCGAGAGACUGUUCAACCACUCGAAGACUCACCGGAAUCUCUAGGAUUCCUCCACACUAACGAAGGGUCGUUUCCCGGCCAUGUACAUACGCGCCCGUAUUCGGAUGCACGCGAAUGUACCAGGGGCUACAUAGUAGCCCCACCGUUAGACCCCCAUGGCUAAGCGAAAGUGUUACAGCUAUAUAGUCCGGUUGCCUAGUUCGACGUGUGAUCACCUCCUUAAUGGACCAAGACGUUGGAUCAAGUGUGAUUAAGCAUAUUUUUCGCGAACACCCCCGUAUUGUAUGCAUGGGGGCUGAAGACAACGACUGCUAACUUUCGGAUUCCUCAUAUUUAUAUAAAAAACGGCCGCAAAGGGGACACAAUCAUACUUCCGGGAUAAAGUAUAAAUACAGCCUCAUAAUCAAAAUAAACAUUGUUUUUUUACAAGGAUUCGACUUAUCACUCGAACAAGACAUUCUUCGAGAACUACGCCUCUAUUAGGCGGGCACCUUCUGUGACCUGUGCCAAGUAGUGCUCGGCCAGAUAUUGGCCUCCCGCCGGAUCCUGGGUCGCUAUAAUGGUGGCCUCCAUAUCCGUCCAAUAGGCUUUAACACGGGCUAGAGCCAUCCGUGCACCCUCUAUGCACGCCGACCUCCUCAUAGCGUCAAUCCGAGACACAGCCCCAAGGAAUUGCUGCACCAAACCAAAGUAACUGUCCGGCUUAGGUCCCUUCGGGCAAAGAUGGUCUAUUACAGACCGCAUUGCAAGCCCGGACAGCCUGUGAAGCUCCGCCACAUCAGCCACCUUCUCAUUUAGCAGCAGCGGGCGAGUGGGAACACUGAAUUGCGACCAAAAAUCUUCUCACCUCCUUAUCACCUUGACCCUUGAAGAACUUGACAGCGUCAGUUGUACUAUUCGCCAAGUCCGCAUAUGUGUCUGUAGGACUCCAGCGCCCAGCCAGGGGAGCAUACUUCGGAUCCAAAAACCUCGUCCGCAGUAAGUAGGAGCCCCCAACCACGAUUUUGUCGGCCUGUUGGAGCUCCUCCCGCAUACCCCGGAUCUCGGUCCGCAUCUCUUUGGCGGCAUUAAGUGCCUUGUCUAGCUCGGCUGAACUAGCCUUAUUCUCCUUUUCAAGGAGUACAUACCGGUCGGCGGCAUUUUUCAACUCCCCAGCCAUUUCGGCUAUCUUUUCCUCGCUUCGGCGAUGAGCAUCCUGUUCAUCUCUCAAUUCUUCGGCCUCCUUUAGGGCAGCCGCAUUGCUAGCCCGAGCUUGUUCCUUGGACUGAGCAAGUUCCGCCCUCGGGGCCUCCAUGGCAGCAGCACCAUCUGCAGUACAAACACAUGGCAUUAACAAUAUGCCACUCUCACAUUUUCCUAUACAACAUAAUAAGGGAAGCAGAGCACAUACCCUGGGAUUCUUCGAGCCGUUUGUUCACCAGCGUGAUAUCGGCAUCAAUAGACCCGAUGUGCCUCCUUAGUUUGGCAACUUCAACAGACUGGUCGGCUGCCGGAUCCUUAGAUACCUGCGCACAUGUACGGUGCAGCCAUUACUAUGUGAUCCCCCGUUUGCCUCCUACGGCGGGCAACCAGAGUCUCAGGGGCUACUAUCCAUAGGGAGAACACCUAGCGCGUGCUUCACAACCAAAAAAUAGUGCAUUUUUCACUACAUACCUCAAAGCCUUUGAGCAGGAUUGUUAAUGCAUCAUUCAAACCGCUGGUAGCGGAUGAAAUCUUCGUGAGCACCGUGAUCAUUAAAGAGGGGUGCUCCUCCGAGAGCGUGGCUCGCUCCAGAAGGCCUGUCAGUACGUCCGGCCGGACAUCGAUCUGUGUCGGACCCUUCUCAUCGCCCCCCGUGGGAGCCAAACGCAUCGGGCUCAGGGCGACUGACGUGCUCGCUUCCGGCUUCGGCAGAUCUAGACUCCUCCAUGACGACACCUCAGUGUCGCCCGCUUCAUGAGGCGGAGAGGUGGGUGGGGUCUCACUCGCCAUCAUCUCCGGAGGAAGAUCCCCCGAAUACGAACUCUGUCGAGAGGAACUGCUCGCCGGACUACAAAAGAUGAAGUCCCGGUUAUGAAUCUCGGAGAAACACCAUAUCUUCGAAUUAAUGAUUAACUUACAGCUUGAUGGAGGGCUGGCCCGUUGGUGGGCAUGACGCGGUGAGGGUGCCCGUCGCGGCAGAGCCCCCUAGUGAUGCCUUCUUCCCUUGUUUGGGCAUCUCCGCCUCCAAGUCUUUGGAGGCGGCCCUCUUCCUCCCGCGCGGGGAGGAGGCUUUAACCUCCCCUUCCCGACUAUCCUCCCCAGGGGAGGUAACGAUUCCCCUGGUUUGGAUGCGUAUUGUGUGAAGUUCGGCUUCACCGCCCUUUCCUUCGCCUUUCCCUAAGGGGAUUGUGCUGAGCACCCGGCCAAGCAUCUUGGAAACGGUCGGACCAGGCGAGCCUUCAGGAAGUGGCGCCGGACACCUGAUUCUCUCCGCCUUGUUGAGCCAUUCCUGGCCACGGAGGGAUUUUCAUAAUAAUAGUUAUGAUAAAUAUAAAUGAAGUGUCCAGCUUUAAGGUUACUUACUUGGGAAUCUAGGCGAUUGUAGCUUAGGCCCGCAUCCUCGGUGGUGUCCGGACACUUUACUUGUGGUCCGAAGAAUAAUUUACACAUCCCUUCGAGCUUCAGGCCGAAGAAGUGCUUAAUAGUCCGCGGACCCUCCGGAUUAAACUCCCACAUCCGGAGAGGCCGACGUUUGCACGGCAACAUCCGUCGGAUUAGCAUCACUUGAAUUAUGCUAACAAGAUUUAUGUCCCUCUCAAUAAGCUCUCGGAUGCGAUUCUGCAGUUCUGGUACAUCACCAGCGGCCCCCCAAUCCCGUCCUACGUCGGUCCAAGAUGCCAACUGUGAUGGAGGGCCCGAGCGGAACUCGGAGGCGACUACCCACUUUGUGCCUCUGGGAGCUGUAACAUAAAACCACCUCCGUUGCCAUACAUUGUAUACUUCCGGGAAAGAACCCUCUGGCCAGGGGGCAUCAGCGUUCCUGCUUAUUAUGGCACCUCCGCACUCUGCAUGUCGCCCCUCGAUCAUCUUCGGCUUCACAUUAAAGGUCUUGAGCCAUAAGCCGAAGUGUGGGGUGACGUGGAGAAAUGCCUCGCACACAAUAAUGAAUGAUGAGAUAUGGAGGAUAGUGUCUGGAGCCAGAUCAUGAAAAUCCAACCCAUAGUAGAACAUGAGCCCCCUCACAAAGGGGUCGAGGGUGAGGCCCAGGCCUCGAAGGAAGUGUGGGACAAACACAAUGCUCUCGUUGGGCUCCGUUGUAGGGAUAACUUGCCUUGGAGCAGGAAGCCUGUGCUGAAUGUCGGCGGUCAAGUAUCCGACCUCCCUAAGCUUCAUAACGUCCUCCUCUUGGAUCGAGGAGGCCACCCACCGGCCUUUUGCGUCGGAUCCGGACAGGUUGGAGGAUCUGGGUUGUUGGAGCUUGGGUCUUGGGUGUUAGAACUCGAGGUGCGAGAAGGAGCAAGGGAGGUGGAAAAGAGGUGUAGGCCUUGACCCCUUUAUAAAAGGGAUGAAUAUCGAGAGUCCUCGGCGUGACCGCUUGAGACUUAUCUAAAAUACACGGAGUCAUACCAACAGUCUCCGUGGGGUCACACAUGCCCAUAUUGAUGAAAGACCCCGUAAUAAGAGGAACACGAUCUCUGCUUUGGCAGGACGUGCCAAUAAAACCGCCUCGCGACGCGAUUCGAGGUGGGGCAGGAAACGCUGGUUCGUGUUGGACCAGGCCACGAUGGAAGGGCACGACGUACAAAGAUUGCCAGCAGAACGGAUUUAUGCUAUGUUCCCUACAAUGGUGUGUGAAGAUCAUCUUGCAGAACCGGACACUAUUUGUCGUAGCAGAUCCGGGCACGGUCUACGUGUUCGAUAAUUACCUUGGAGUAUUCGAAGAAGGAACCCACCUUGCAAUGCCAAAGACAAGAACGCACGCCGGACUCAUCGUCAUGGAAGCCUGGUUUAGGGGCUACUGAGGGAGUCCUGGAUUAGGGGGUAUCCGGACAGCCGGACUAUAUACAUCGUCCGGACUAUUGAAGCGUGAAGAUACAAGACACAAUACUCCGGCCCGUGUCCGGAUGGGACUCUCCUUUGCGUGGGAGACAAGCUUGGCGAUCCGGAUAUUAUAUUUCCUUCCUUGUAAAUGACUCCAUGUAAGCCCUAGCCCUCUCAGGCGUCUAUAUAAACCGGAGAGGAUGGUCCUUAGAAGGCCGAUCACAAUUACAAUCAUACCAUCAUAGGCUAGCUCUUAGGGUUUAGCCUCUAUGAUCUCGUGGUAGAUCUACUCUUGUACUACUCAUAUCUUCAAUAUUAAUCAAGCAGGAAGUAGGGUUUUACCUCCAUCGAGAGGGCCCGAACCUGGGUAAACAUUGUGUCCCUUGCUUCCUGCUACCAUCAGCCUAAGACACACAGAUUGGGACCCCCUACCCGAGAUCCGCCGGUUUUGAUACCGACAAUGUGCCCACGGCGCGCACACACACACGAGGCCACCUCCAGCCUGCUUGCUCGCGUUGGAUGGUGAUGAUCCACAAGUAUAGGGGAUCAAUCGUAGUCCUUAAGUAAGAGUGUCAAACCCAAUGAGGAGCAGAAGGAAAUGACAAGUGGAUUUCAGCAAGGUAAUUUAUGCAAGCACUGAAAUUGUCGGUAACAGGUAGUUUGAUAGCAAGAUAAUUUGUAACGAGUAAGUAACGGUAAUGGUAAAUAAAGUGCAGCAAGGUAGCCCAAUCCUUUUCUGGCAAAGGGCAAACAAAAACGGUCUCUUAUAAUACGCAAAUUGUUCUUGAGGGUACACGAGAAUUUCAUCUAGUCACUUUCAUCAUAUUGGUUUGAUUCGUGUUCGCUACUUUGAUAAUUUGAUAUGUGGGUGGACCGGUGCUUAGGUGAUGUUCUUACUUGAACAAACCUCCUACCUAUGACUAACCCCCUCGCAAGCAUAUGCAACUACAAGAAAAGUAUUAAGAUAAAAUCUAACCAUAGCAUUAAACUUUUGGAUCCAAAUGAGUCCCUUACAAAGUAGCACAUAAACUAGGGUUUAAGCUUCUAUCACUCUAGCAACCCAUCAUCUAAUAACUACUCCACAAUGCAUUCCCUUAGGCCCAAAUAUGGUGAAGUGACAUGUAGUCGACGUUCUCAUGACACCACUAAGGGAAUCACAACAUACAUAUCAUCAAAAUUUUGAACACAUAUCAAGUUCACAUGAUUACUUGCAACAAGAUUUCUCCCAUGACCUCAAGAACAAAAGUAACUACUCACAAAUGAUAAUCAUGCUCAAGAUCAGUGGGGUAUUAAAUAGCAUAAUGGAUCUAAACAUAUAAUCUUCCACCAAAUAAACCAUAAGUAAUCAACUUCAAGAUGUAAUCAACACUACUAGUCACCCACAGGUACCAAUCUGAGGUUCCGGUACAAAAAUUGAACACAAGAGAUGAACUAGGGUUUGAGAGGAGAUGGUGCUAUUGAAGAUGUUGAUGGAGAUUGUCCUCCCAAAGAUGAGAGGGUUGUUGGUGAUGAUGAUGAUGACGAUGAUUCCCCCCUCCUGGAGGGAAGUUCCCCUGGCAGAAUCGCUCCACCGAAGGGCAAAAGUGCUCCUGCGCAAGUUCCGCCUUGAGAUGGUGACGCUCCAUCCCAAAAGUCCUCUCCUUAUUUUUUCUAGGUCAAAAUGACAUAUAUACCAGAAGAUGGGCACCGGAGGUGGGACGAGGAGGGCACAACCCACCAGGGUGCACCUGGGCUGCGUGGCGCGCCUGGGUGGGUUGUGCCCACCUGGUGGGCCCCCUCUGGUAGUUAUUUUCUCCAUUAAUUUUCAUACAUUCCAAACAAUUCUUCGUAAAUUUUCAGCUCAUUUGGAGAUGUGCAGAAUAGGUAACUCUGACGUGGCUUUUUCAGGUCCAGAAUUCCAGCUGCCGGCAUUCUCCCUCUUUGUGUAAACCUUGCAUAUUAUGAGAGAAAAGACAUUAUAAUUACUCCAUAAAGCAUUAUUAUGAAUAAAAAUAUUAUAAAUAAAAAUAGAAAAACAUGAUGCAAAAUGGACGUAUCAACUCCCCCAAGCUUAGUCCUUGCUUGUCCUCAAGUGAAAACCAAAAUCAAAAAACAUGUCCACAUGCUUAGAGAGAGAGAGGUGUCGUAAAAACAAAAUACGAACAUAGAAGGAUCAUGCAUCACUACAAAAAAAUACACUUCCGUGAUGAUACAUGUUUGUCACAGUAGGUCGCGUUUUCUGUCAUGCAUGUACAUCCAUGACGAUUUUAUGACAGAAUCAAGAUAGUCAUACAUGUGAUGUCGUAGAAGUGUUCCAUGACAUUACCAAAAUUAUCAUCACGGAAGUGUCCACUUCCAUGACGAUAAAUCGCGCGUCAUAGAAGUGCUUUCAUCAAGGGUGAUCGACACAUGGCAUCCACUGUAACGGGACGUCGUUAACCGCUGUUAACCUAUCGGGUUCGUUUUUUGGAUCCGAUAACCCGCUAACAGCCACGACCAAUGCCGAUUUUCCACGUGUAAAAUUCUGAUUGGCUGACGGAUCCAUGCGUCAGCUUCGCGUUGGCACAAGUGUCACUCAUCCAACGGUCGAGAUGGGCCUAUGAUAUGUUGACACGUGGACCGGCCCAAAAGUGGCCCACAAAGUUUAAAUGAGCUGGCCCAACCGAAGCCCAUAAGAUUUAGCAGACCAUAAUGGGCCGGCCCAGCUAAAGGCCCACAAAAUUGAGCGGACCAUAAUGGGUCGGCCCAGCUAAAGGCCCACACGAUUUUGCAGACCAUAAUGGGCCGGCCUAGCUAAAGGCCCACAAGAUUUUGUGGACCGCAAUGGGCCGGCCCAGCUAAAGGCCCACAAGAUUCUGCAGACGAUAAUGGGUCGGCCCAGCUAAAGGCCCAACAUUCUCUGUCAAAUCGGCCCGUCAACGGCCUGUCCUAAACUUGUCAUCAACGCGGCCCAUGGUCGCUUCUGGCCCGUUAACAGUCCGCUAAGUAAUUGGGCCGAAUUACGGCCCGGUGUAUUUUCGGCCUAUUAAAGGUCCGGCUUCAUUUGGGCCCAUUUACAAGCCAUCAAAACUUUUGGCCAAUAAACGACCGUGAAGGAUUUGGGUCAUAUUCGGCCAUGUCUAACAUUCGGCCUGUUAGAGGCCCACUAUAGAUUUGGGCCACUUUCGGCCUGUUGUCAUUUUCGCCUGUUAACGCCGGACGAAAACCAUGGGCCAUAUGUGGCCCAACAUCAUAUCGGGUCCAUUAAUGGCCCAUAUAAAAAUGACGAUAAUCUAGCCCGACCGAAGUUCCGGCCUGUUAAAUGCCCGUGUAUUAGGUCGGCGCAUUUACGGCCCGUCUGAAUUUCGGCCUGUCAAAGAUCCGCAUCGUAAAUGGGCCACCAUUUCGGCCUACUAAGACCAGUGGGUUAUUUGGCAUAAUCAGGGCCCAAUCUCACUUUCAGUCUAUUAAAGGCCCAUGUUUUUAUGGGCUCGAUAUAUUUACACCUGUAAACGGCCUAUUUUUACUGAGGGCCCAAAUUAUGUUUAGGCAUGUUAAAGGCCCACUAUGGGCAUAGGCCUACAAAAAAAUAUGAAAGCUGAUACUGAUUUAGGCCCAGAUAUUUUUAGUGGGCUACAUGCCAAUUUCGGCCCGUAAUCGUUUUUAUCCCAAUUGGAAUGGGCACGACGAAUGUUGGCAUGUUGGGCUCCUACAAAGCUUUCAGCCGAAUACAUUACUAAGAUAAACCUACACUAUACAAAAAUAGCGUCGUAAUUACUGCAGCCUAUGGCAGCAUCAUAAAUUCUGUAUCACAACAAAAUAAAUUCCAACCAUACAACAAAGGGCCUGUUGGCAUAAAGUUUACAGUCCUUCCAGAUAAAAGCACCAUCAGAUGUAUAGAAGCACAGAUCAUUUGACCUGAGUGCUAAUGUUUUAGGCUAUAGAAUCUGAUGGAGCAGCACGAUCUCCACCUUUUUUCCGCCAUUGCUCUUGAACAACAAAGCGAAUAUCUGAUAGUCUGGUUUCAAAUCCAUUCAUAUCUUGACGACAUUUCUCAACCACUAUUUUUGUUUCCGAAACAACGUCCAUUAGGGAUUGGACUUGUGUCUGGAGCACAGAUAUAUCACUCUGUCUAGCAGGAAGAUUUUUUUCAGUAGGCGAUUUGGACGAGGUUUCCUUGACAACCAACCCAGAAUUACACGGGAAGCUGCUUUUUGCACUGUUAGUGGAGAGAUACUGAAGCACUGCAGCAAGAGGUGACAUUGUGCCUCUGUUAGCCUCAUCACCUUCAGGUGGUUGUGGCUGUUCAAUCAUUUGUUCCAUAGCUUCCUGAAAGUUUGAACUUGUAUAUUAGUGUACCAGAUAAGUUACUAAUGAGACAAAAACAAACAAAGUAGGUUAAACGUUUAUACAUAACUUAUUUUGGUGAACUACUGUAAUACAUUAGCAUGUAUUGUAGUGCCAACUACAUAAUAAAAUCACUUUCGGAACAUAUGUCCGUGUAGCAUGCCUACUGUAUUGUCUAUUUCCUCACAUUCGUUGACAUCUAAGGGUAAAGAGACAUGGUUUAAAGUAGGAUGAACAUAGUAUGACAUCAUUCAGAUCAUGGGCAAACAGAUAUAAAACAAACAGGCUAUUUUAUCGUUGUGUGCGCACAUGAACAUAACAACUAGAUUACAGAUCAAGACCAAAAGAAUAUCCUUCAUCUCUUUUAAACCAUGUGAGGUGAAAUGAUACGUUAAGAAAACUGUGUAUAAAAGUGAACAGAGUAACUGACAUUGGCUGCAAACCAAGUAGUUAAAUGAACACAUCACAGUACCAAUCAGUUCAAGGCAGGAGGAGUAAGGACUUACAACAGCGGCUUGAACUGGUGUGCUCAUGCCCUUCAUCUUGCUGGUGUGGCAAUCCUUGAAGAUUUGCACUGCAUUCAGUUUAGGUUCUUUUUGGUCCGCACAGGCUUUCCUAUGUAUUUGGAACAAGUAAAUAUAGAUACGAUAAUAUGGCACAAAAAAAGAAGGAAGUAGCAGCUAUUUACAAGAGCCUUGCAGUGUGCAAUAUAGCUACGAGAUCCUGUUGUCUGUUGGAAUUUCACUUUAGAACGGUUGGUUUUGUUCUUCAAACAGUUAGCCUAGAAGAAGAACACUUGUAAGGCACAUACAUAAAUACAAGUUCAAUGUGUGGUCUGAUCAAAUACAUAUAGCCUACCUGAUAGUUUGAAUCAGACCAGUGUUUAACGAGGGUUUUCCAAUCUUCAUCUGUAAUAUAUUCCACUAGAGAUGUUUGGGCGAUUUCAUUGUUAGCCUUGCCUUCAAAGUGAGAUUUUCUAAGGUGGUGCCGAUAUUGUCGCGGAGCAGACUGAAAAACAUGAGUGCAUGCUUGUUUAGUUGAAUCAUCUUUCGGAUCCAACUUGAACCUCAUCUGUUGAAAAAAGAAUGUGAGUCUUUUUAGGACGAAGCUAGAAAGUAUGGGACGGAGCAAGACAAUAUUACUAAUUGCGAUGAACAACAUUACUUACGGAUAAAUGGUCAAGGAAGGUGUUAAACUGGGUAUUGUCUUUCUCAUUCCUGUACUCGAUCCAUGUUGGGAGGAUACGCGCAUGACACCUAACGACAACGGUUGCCUCUGAUACUAACUUGGUUGACUCUGUAGCAUCACGUGGCCUUUUUAAACCUGCCUCAAAAUGGAUCUCCAUUCUUCCUCCUUUAGAUUUUGUUAAUCUGCCAAGCAUUAUCCCUGAUGUUUGUUUUUGCUUGCGUCGUGGUGCUAGUUCAACAACUAAUAUGGAAAGAGUUAGUGUACAUCAAACCGUGAGAGUACAUAUAAAGCAGCAUGCAACUGCAACUUGACUCGGUCAGGUACCAUCUUGGUGUUGAUGCUCAUGAGGUUCAUCUGAUCUUGCCAAGUCCUGUUGUGUCAGCAGUGCUUCGGAAGUAGUGUUAGGUGUGAAGGCAGCUUGGGAACUGGCCAUUUCCCAAGCAAACGAAUGAGUAACUAGUUGAGAUGCUGGUACAGUUGAAGCGGAUGUUGCAGCUGGUGGAGCAGGUGAUAUUGUGUUUGUAGAUUUAGCCGGUGAACUUGGACCUUCUACUGCACUAUAAGUACCAGCAGAAUCUCGACGGCAGAUCCAUUUCUGUUUCACCCGAUGAGCAACAACACUCCUACUAUAUUAUUUUCCUUGCUCUUUUUUGACUUUGCCAUGUCAAGCUGUACCCACAACACAAAAGAAUAAAAUCACUCUUCAGAACUCAUUGAUGCAUGAUACAGACAAGCAAUACUUUGAUGUAAGACAACCGUAUGAGGAUGGAAUAUGUAACAAAAACAGGACGGCAUGACAUAUUCACAGCUACGAUGUGCAAACUAAGCAGAAGGAUUUUCAAGAAAAUAGAAGUAAUGCAAGCUAUACACCAUAUGAAAGAUGCAACCAAUAUUACUCUUCCAAGUUAAAAGUGUCUUGUCAUAAGUGGCAAUUCGAAAAAUUAGAAGCAGUACAAUGUAGAAAUCAAUACAAGAUGCAACCACUAUUAAACUGCCAUGUUAAAAGCGUCCAAUCAUGAGUGAUUGAUGUGGGAUAUACAACAAUAGUACUUUGAUGUAAGAACAUGGUAUGAUAGAUAGAUGAAGUGUAUUCUAGACACAGAAAGCCAUGUCAUAUGCACAUGUAUAACGUAUAAACUCAUCAGGUGCAAUUUAAUCAAAAUAGAAGAAAUACAGGCUAGACAACAUAUGCAACAUGAAACCAAUUAUCACACUGUCAACUUAGAGCAAGCACCUGCGAUGAUGGAGUAUGGGAGAUGAACUCAUCAUGUAGACUUGGGACUUCAACUUCAUUAGCAGUAGCAGUGGCAAAUAUAGAGAGUCUCUGUUUGCGUCGGUGUGGAGGACCACCAACAUCCCCUAACUUACUCUUUUCCUUCCUAUUUUCUGAUAUUGCCUUAUGAAGUCAAAACCACAAGAAGAUGAAUAAAAUUAGCUAUGCAUAACUGGUUGAUGCAUGAUACAGACGAACACUACUUUGAUGUAAGGCAAGCGCAGGAUAGGAGGAUGGAAUAUAUACAAAAAAAGACAGCGUUUCAUAUUCACACGUACGAUAGGAGGAUGGAAUAUGUAUGAAAAAAACAGUAAGCGGAAGGCAUUUCAACAAAAUUAGAAGAAAUGAAAGCUAGGCACCAUAUAAACAUGCAACCAAUAUCACUCUAUCAGGUAAAAAUGUCUCGUCGUAAGUGCCAUUUCAAGAAAUUAGAAGCAGUACAAGCUAGAAGACAAUGCAAGAUCCAACCUACAUCACAACCCCAAGUUAAAUGUGUCUUAUGGGUAAGUGAUCGUUGCAGGUAUAAGUUGUAAGCUACGCAGAUGCAAUUCAACAUAAUCAUAAGCAAUACAAACUAGACAUUAUGAAAAACGCAACCACAUAUAACAGUUCCAAGUAAGAGCAAGCACAUGUGAUGGUGGAGUAGGGGAGAUGUGCUCAUCAUGUACACAUAUGUUCUAGAAACAGGAACACGUGUCAUAUUCAUAGGCAUUAUGUGUAAAGUAAGCAGAUGCGAUUCAAGUUAGAAGCAAUACAAGCUAGACAUCAUACACAACAUGCAACCACAUAUAAUAGUGCCAAGUUAGAGCAAGCACCUGUGAUGGUGGAGUAGGGGAGAUGUGCUCAUCAUCUACACAGCUGCGUUGACUGUCCAGCCUUGUGCUGUCUUGCGAAUCUUGUUGGGAGGAUGGCGGAGUAGAAUUUGUAGAGACCCCCUGUUUGAGUUGCUCCGAAGGACCACCAUCAUCCACUGCGGGACUAAUUUCCUUCAGCUGUAAUGAUUUUGCAUUGUGAAGUCAAACCGAUAAGAAAAAGGAAUAAAAUUCGCUCUUUAGAACUCAUUCAUGCAUGAUACUGACGAACACUACUCGGAUGAAAGGCAAACAUAUGAUGUGAGGAUGGAAUAUGUAUGAAAAAUAGGAUGGUGUGACAUAUUCACACCUAUGAUGUGGUAACUAAGCAGAAGGCAUUUCAACAAAUUAGAAGCACUACAAGCUAGACACCAUAUGAAAGAUGCAACCAAUAUCACUCUGCCAAGUUCAAACUGUAUGGCGUUCCAACAGAUUAGAAGCAGUACAUGCUAGAAAUCAUAUGCAAGACACAACCAAUAUCACAGUGACGACUUAAAGGUGCCUUAUCAUAAGUGACUGAUGCGGGAUAUGCAAGAAUAGUAGUCUGAUGUAGAAACAGGAACACAUGUCAUAUUCACAGGUAUUAUGUGUAAAGUAAGCAGAUGCAAUUCAACAAAGUUAGAAGCAAUACAAGCUAGACAUCAUACACAACAUGCAACCACAUAUAAUAGUGCCAAGUUAGCGCAAGAACCUGUGAUGGUGGAGUAGGGGAGAUGUGCUCAUCAUCUACACAGCUACGUUGACUGUCUAGCCUUGCGUUGUCUAGCGAAUCUUGUUGGGAGGAUGGCGGAGUAGAAUCUAUAGAGAACCUCCGUUUCAGUUGCUCGGAAGGACCACCAUCAUCCAAUGCCUUGCUAAUUUCCUUCAGCUUUAUUGAUUUUGCAUUGUGAGGUCAUACCGACAAGAAACAGGAAUAUAAUUCGCUCUUCAGAACUCAUUCAUGCAUGAUACUGACGAACACUACUCUGAUGAAAGGCAAAGUCAUGAUACGAGGAUGGAAUAUGUACGAAAAAAUGGAUGGCUUGACAUAUUCACACCUAUGAUGUGGUAACUAAGCAGAAGGCACUUCAACAACUUAGAAACACUGCAAGACACCAUAUGGAAGGUGUAAUCAAUAUCACUCUGCCAAGUUAAAACUGUCUCGUCAUAGGUGGCGUUCAUCAAACUAGAAGCAAUACAUGCUAGAAAUCAUAUUCAAGAUGCAAACCAAUAUCACACUGCCAACUUAAAGGUGUCCCAUCAUAAGUGAUUGAUGCAGGAUACACAAGAAGAGUAGUUGCAUGUAAGAACAUGGUGUGAUAGACAGAUAUAGUAUGUACCAAAAACAGGAAAUCGUGUCGUAUUCACAUGUAUCAUGCGUAAGCUAAGAAGAUGCAGUUUAGACUAAUUAGGAGAAAUACGAGCUAGACAUCAUAUGAAACAUGCAACCAGAUAUCACACUGCCAAGUUAGAGCAAGCACCUUGGAUGGUGGAGUAGGGGAGCGGAGACUUGGACCUUGUAAUGCACUAUCAGUACAAGGUGAAUCGGUACAGAUGCUCCGUUUACGUUGCUGUAGAGGACCACCAUCAUCGCCUUCCUUACUCUUUUCCUUCCUCUUUCUUGAUUUUGCCUUGUCAAGUCAAACCCACAAGAAAAAGGAAUAAAAUUUGCUCUUCAGAACUCAUUGAUGCAUGAUACUGAUGAACACUACUUUCAUGUAAGGCAGCCACAUGAUAGGAGGAUGGAACAUAUAUGAAAAACAGGACGGCGUGACAUAUUGACAUGUAUGAUGUAUAAAGUGUAAACUAAGCACAAGGUGCUUGAACUUGUUAGAAUCGAUGCAAGCUAGAAACCAUAUGAAAGAUGAAACCAAUAUCACUCUGCCAAAUUAAAAGGAUGCCCUAACAAAUGUAUUUGACCAAAUUAGAAGCAAUACAUGGCAACAGGCUAGAAAUAAUAUGCAAUAUGCAACGAAUAAAGGUGACUCAUCGUAAGUGAUUGAUGCAGGAUAUAGAAGAGAGGUAGUUUCAUGUGAGAACAAGGUUAACAUAUAGAUGUAGUGUGUACCAAAAAUAGGAAUGCAUGUCAUAUUCACAGGUAUAGUGUGUAAACUAAGCAGAUGCAAUUUACCCUAAUUAGAAGCAUUACAAGCUAGACACCGUAUGCAACAUGCAACCACAUAUCACACUGCGAAGUUAGAGCAAGCACCUGUGAUGGUGGUGUAGGGGAAGUGCGGUCUUCAGGUACAGAGCUACGUUCAAUAUCUUCAUUUAGGCUUGCUGUUUCUUGAUAAUCAUGUGGAGAGGAUGGCAUUGCAUUCUUUAUAAGAGUAUUGUGUCUCAUAUUAACCCACGCGCAUGACUGUCUCAUCAUAAGCGAUAGAUGCAGGAUACACAAGAACAAUAGUUUGAUGUAAGAACAUGGUGUGAUAGGCACAUGUAGUAUGUACCAAAAACAGGAAGGUGUGUCAUAUUCACAUGUAUAAUGUGUAAGCUAAGGAGGUGCAAUUUAACAAAUUAGGAGCAUUGAUGAGGGAUACACAAGAAAUUAGCUUGAUGUAAGAACAUGGUUAAUAGAAAGACGUAGUAUGUACCAAAAACAGGAAGGCAUGUCAUAUUCACAGGUAUAAUGUGUUAACUAAGCAGAUGCAAUUUACCCUAAUGAGAAGCAUUACAAGGUAGACACCGUAUGCAACAUGCAACCACAUAUCACACUGCCAAGUAAGAGCAAGCACCUGCGAUGGUGGUGUGGGGGAAUUGCGGUGAUCAACUAGAGAGCUACAUUGACUAUCUUCAUUUAGCCUUCUGUUUCAUGAGAAUCAUGUGGGGAGGAUGACACUUCACUCUUUAAACGAGUAGGGCGUCUCACAGUAACCCACUCGGGUGACUGUCUCAUCAUAAGUGAUUGACGAGGGAUACAAAAGAGCCUUAGUUUGAUGUACGAACAUGGUUAAUAGACAUAUGUAGUAUGUAUCAAAAAUAGGAAGGCAUGUCAUUAUCAAAGGUAUAAUGUGUAAAGUAAGCAGAUGCAAUUUAACCAAAUUGGAAGCAAUACAAGCUAGACACCAUAUGCAACAUGCAACCACAUUUGACGGCGUGAAGUUAAAGCAAGCACCUAGGAUGGUUGUGUGUGGCAAUUGAGAUCAUCAACUGCAGAGCUACGUUUACAGUCUCCAACUGCUGACACUGCACCCAUUAGAGCACUGAAACGCUUAGUGCUUAUCUUUGAAUUACACUGGAGUGACUUCUGUCUUUUCUUUUCUGCAUUCAUCAACACUGCGUCAGAGUCUGAAAUACCCAUGCAUAAAAAACAAUAGUGUGAGUAUGAUGAAGUGUGUGCACAAUUAGUACAGUGUAAAGGUAGCAGAUAGUAGGUCGGUGAGAAAUAAAUGACGGGAGACAUAUGAUAGCUCUACAACAUGCAUGGCACACUAAAUUACUAUAGGAUUCUAUGAAACUAACAGUCAACUGAAAGAAAAUAGGUCAGCCCAUUUUUUCUACACUGUCCGAUGUACAAAGAACGGGCAGAUCACCUUCAUCUACCUCCAGCCAGUCAGUGUUGACGAUCUUCCUCGAAACGCCAGCGACCACCGGCCCAGUAUUCCUCCCCUGCCUGCGACCUCCCCUCGACCUCACCGCACUGCCGUGCUUGCCACCACCCCCCGGCCAUCCAUUCAAGCCUCGCCGACCUCCGGAUCGGGCGCAAGCAGCUCCUGCGCCCCACACCCCUAUGAUAGACACCGAUGUGCCGCUUCCCCGAGGAAUAGGCAGACUAGGUGCUCUGCGCACCUAAGCGGGUGCUGGUUCUUUUAAUUGCGGUUUGACUGACCCUGAAUUGAAAUCCAGGUGGGAUACUGACCUCUAGCAAAGGUGAAAUAGUAAAAGCGAGGAAACCUUGUGCAUUUAGUAUCACGAAGAAGAUGCAGUAAGAAGCGCUCAACUAGUUUCUUUCGUGGGAUCAAUACGGUGUGAGCGGAGACGUAAAAUUUGCACGAAUAAGGGAAGAGGAGUACCUCUUUCUGUUGGCAGUGUUGUGUCCUCCUGCUGUUUUUCCAACGAUCUUCUUGUUGUUCGCUGGAAACCAGAAGUUGUGGAGGACGGUGAAGCCUUGGACGAACCCAUGGCCAAGUUGUUGAGUGUGGUGCGGUGGCCGUCAGUCGGCAGCGGGGAAGCAGAUCCGAGGUGGCGAACGACGGCGUAGCGGGAACAGCUCCGGUGCAAUGGACGGUUGCGACAGUGGAGCCGCAGUAGUGAGGCGCCGGACGGCGUGGUCGGAGUGGUUCUGGUACAGCGCACGUCGGUGUCGGCGUCGUGGAGGCAGCUCUGCCUCGGCUUCAGCUGCUAAAUCCUUGAGGGCGUUGCGGUUGCAGUUGCGUUGGACGACGACGUCGGGGUACUGGCUCCGGCGUGAUGCAGGAGGGCGGCGGUGGAUUGGCCGCUAUGGGGUGGAGGACGGAAGAGGCUGGGGUUUCGCAGCUGGUAGAGAGCGCGUUUUCGCGCCCACGGAGUAUGAAUGGGGAAAUGGAGGGAGGCGGCGAACUAAGGGGGAACAAUGUUUCGGUUUGAGACACGCUUGUUUGAAAUUUGGGGAAAGUUACAAACUUUGCCCACAUCUAAAAUUUUGGACAUAUUGCGGGUUGGGGGUAGGACAGUCAUGUUAGGUGUCCCAAAUGUGGGCGGGAUAGAUUUUGGCCAAGCGCAUGGGUGUUUAGGCGCCCACGGUGCAUGAAUGCUUCUUGGAGGCGGUUGAGACUGGCGUCUUGGUGAAGUUACAAACCUAGCACGCUUUAGACCUUUGGACAUCAGGUAGGCUACACGGGCCAGAGUCAGGACAGUAAUUUCCUACCACCAAACAUUAGCCUCGCACAGUUUCGGGUGACCAGAGGCCUAUUUGGCGCUUUGUUCAAUAUUUGGGAGCAGAAGCAUUAACGUUUUCGGUUCUCUUGAAUUGAACUUUCAGGAUUUGUCAAACUUCACAAAUCUUUACUCUUGAAAAUCCUAAAGCUAUGAUUAUUUUUGGAAUGAGGGGGUACAUUUGAAUAUACAUUGUACAUGAGUAUCUAUUAAAAUAUAUGCAACUUACCUCAGUUCAUGCAUGGUUCCAGAUAUAAUCUCCUUGGUUGGAAAAAAAGUUAGAUAUGCGUAUGAAUAUAUAUAGCAUGUUCAAACACACAACAAAGAUUGAUGCCCCCUUUUACAUCUGAUUUACAAAUGCCAUUAUCUCGGGUUCAAAUAGAUGAAUGCACUUCCUAUGAAUUCGAAUCUUCGAAACCCCCUUUAUGUUGAAUUCGACAUGUAUUCUAUUUCGUAGCUAGCAAUUUGGAAUGUAUCCAUGCAAGUGACAAAUGUAUAAAGUGCUUCACACUAACAACAUGGAGUGCACUAAUUAAUGUUUAUAUAUGAAUUGCAAAAGCAUCCAUUGCCUGUAUUUCAAACCGCUCUCACUCUAUGGAUCGAUAAUAUGAAAUAAACACAUGCACAUGCUAGAAUUCAAUAGAGUAUGGGUGUUUGAUAGACCGAUUUUCGUCGAUACGCAAUUUGCAAAAUUCAUGAUCUCAUCCAAAAAUAAUAAUGCCAUUUAUAUUUUAAUUUAAUGCGUAGAACCGCCUUUUACACGUAGGUGCACUAUGCCUCGGUCCGUUCUCACAAACGCGUUAUAUAUCUCUCUAUCUAACGCAUAAGUGCACACACUUUAUAUGCAUCGGCAUUUCUCUUUCACACAUGCUCACAAUCUCUCUCAGGGUGUUGGGGUGUCUCACGCACAUGCUCUCUGUGUUUCUCUCUCUCUCUUUUGGACUACUAUGUACCACUCUUUGCACUAAUCUCAGUUGGAAAACACUAUUUCUCUCACAUGCAUAUAUACACACGCACGGUCUCUACUAGCCCUCUAUAUGCACAUAUAUGUGCCUACGUGUCCCCCGCACGCACAUUAUCUUUAGGCCUCUCUUGCANNNNNNNNNNNNNNNNNNNNNNNNNNNNNNNNNNNNNNNNNNNNNNNNNNNNNNNNNNNNNNNNNNNNNNNNNNNNNNNNNNNNNNNNNNNNNNNNNNNNNNNNNNNNNNNNNNNNNNNNNNNNNNNNNNNNNNNNNNNNNNNNNNNNNNNNNNNNNNNNNNNNNNNNNNNNNNNNNNNNNNNNNNNNNNNNNNNNNNNNNNNNNNNNNNNNNNNNNNNNNNNNNNNNNNNNNNNNNNNNNNNNNNNNNNNNNNNNNNNNNNNNNNNNNNNNNNNNNNNNNNNNNNNNNNNNNNNNNNNNNNNNNNNNNNNNNNNNNNNNNNNNNNNNNNNNNNNNNNNNAGUAGUUGGCAGAUAUGAUUUCAUCAUAUCAUUCGGUAGGAUAUCCCCGGCUGUUAGGCUGGAUGGUAAUACAAGGCAAAGUUUUACCCUAGUUCGGAUCGGACCGUUGCAGUUGAAGAAAGAGCCUACUCCUGGUACUGUAUAUUACUGAUAGGUACAAAGUACACGUGAAUACCAGGCAUUGUGCGUGUGUGUAUAAUAUCGACGAACUAGCCCCCAAGCUUGUAUAACAUACUAGGGGCCUAGGGUUACAAAUCAUAUAUAGUCGGCUUAUCACCAAUGGGGAUAGUGUCCUCCGCGACUCUGGUAGCUUCGUGUUGUACGCCGAGUCCUCCACAUGGCUCUUCGUAUAACACAUCUCGGUCCAACCUAUAUGUGGCGCGGCAUGGAACUGACCCAUGAGUCUUCAUGUUGACCCACCACAACUAGAAAUGAUGUGCCCACCACACCACACACGCAAUCGGCCACUAAGAAAUAAGCAUAUACAAUAGUACAAUGGUAUCUAGCUCACGAUACGUCUCCAUAUUUUGUUGAUGACACUGACGGACUUUGCAUUUUAUGCGUGCUCCGUAUUUUGUUGACGACACUUACGGUCAUUGUAUUUGAAGCGAAAGCAUGAUAUGGUCACUGGACUUCAGAAUAAGCUCAUCAUGGUCACCACAUACAUUUUGUCGUGCUAACCAACAUGUGGUUGGAUGGUUAGGAGGACAGUGGUUUCUCAAGCCCACCAAAGUUCAAGUCCCGGUGCUCGCAUUUAUCUUGUGUUAAUUUCAGUAUUUUCCGCCGAUGUACGUUCAGUGGGAGGAGACGUUCCACUCAACUAUGAGGCACAUAUGGUGACUUCAUAAAAUCUCAAGAUCAUAUAUGUUGGCCCACUCUCUCGAGGGUGCUCAUAGGGGUAGGGUUCGCGUGUGCGCGCUUAUAGCGGUGAGUGCUUGCGCAUAUAUAUGAGCCCUUGUGUCUGUACUGUGUUAAACAAAUACGUGUCAUGAUUAUACGGUCACUGGCUCACCCGUACAACUCUGUAUUUUGUUGAUGACACAAUUAAUUGACCAGUCAAACGUUCCACGCGGCGCAACUAGUGUUGCACCAUCGGGGCACGUAACCAUGGGGCCCACCUGUCAGCCCGUAUAUGAAAGAAAGAAAUGGUAGUUUGAGUCUGUACUAUGUUAAUAAAACAGGAGUACAUUUUAGGGUGAUCAUACGGUCACUGGCUCACCAUACAGCUCCGUAAUUUGUUCAUAACACGAUCAAUUGACCAGUCAAAUGGUCCACAUUCAGCAGCGCACAUUACCAUAGGGCCCACCCGUCAGCGCGUAUAUGAAGCACAGAAAUGGUUAUAAAUUAGUGGUCAGUGGGUACUCAAAGUCGUGAGACCUCUGGUUGGCAGUCGCCGGCGGUUGGGGGCGUUGAUUGGGCGGUGGGGUGGGGAUCGCUGGAGAAAAAGCUCGGCGCCGGGGAGGGGGGACUAGAGGGAUGGCUGGUGCGGCGGCGGACCGGCGGUGGGGAGUGGUUUCAGGGAGGGCGGGCCGGCCGCGGGCGNNNNNNNNNNNNNNNNNNNNNNNNNNNNNNNNNNNNNNNNNNNNNNNNNNNNNNNNNNNNNNNNNNNNNNNNNNNNNNNNNNNNNNNNNNNNNNNNNNNNNNNNNNNNNNNNNNNNNNNNNNNNNNNNNNNNNNNNNNNNNNNNNNNNNNNNNNNNNNNNNNNNNNNNNNNNNNNNNNNNNNNNNNNNNNNNNNNNNNNNNNNNNNNNNNNNNNNNNNNNNNNNNNNNNNNNNNNNNNNNNNNNNNNNNNNNNNNNNNNNNNNNNNNNNNNNNNNNNNNNNNNNNNNNNNNNNNNNNNNNNNNNNNNNNNNNNNNNNNNNNNNNNNNNNNNNNNNNNNNNNNNNNNNNNNNNNNNNNNNNNNNNNNNNNNNNNNNNNNNNNNNNNNNNNNNNNAUCUAACGGCUGGAAAAUCUAAUGACCAGAGAUGAAAAAGUUAGUCGACUGACGUGUAGCCUCACCCCGCACGUACACACGCACGCACGCAAGACACGCAUGCCUGCAGGCGUGCAACACUGACACGUACACAUAACGUACACACGCACGCAUGUUGGCAUGCAACACAGACACGUACACAUGCACUCACGAACACACGUACGUACGCACCCAUGCAUGCAACACUGAAACGUACCCUUGCAUGCAUGCAACACUCGCACGCCUGCAUGCACACAACACACGACGCAAGACACACGCUCAAGCUAUACGUGCAUGCACCCUUUGUUAAGGACAUGGAUUGUUAUGGGUAUUAAUCAAUCUUAUCUGUGAUAAGCAGAACAUUGAUGUUUGCAGCGGUCUUUAUGAAUCACAACGUAUUGAACGGGCUAUCAACAUAGUAGGCUUAUAUACAUGAAAAAUAUUACGUCACACUCAAUGAACAAUCAUUGGUUUAUGAAACGCCCCCUUCUGACCGCCCAGGCCCACCAAAGGUUCCUCUGCUGUGUGCUGCCUGCGUUGGGUAACUGACAUGCAGGCCAUGUACCCAAAGAGCCCACACGUCAGUGGAAGAACGGCGCGGUGUCCUAGGUCAGAGUCGAGGGCGCCACUUGCUGCACGCCUGGCUAAACACGCCUCCGUGCCGCAUUCAAACGCCUCCAUGAAACCCGCCCGUGUGGAAGCCGAGAAACCCACUCUGGACACACGUCCGUUCAUGAUCGGGCCGACAUUAAACGCAACGCCGGUCGAGCUCCUCCUGUCCGCCAUCUAUUUAAUCUCCUAUUUAAACGAGGCCAAACGCCGGCCAAGAAUCGCACACCUCAGCCGCUCCUCUAUCUCCUCCACCAUUUUAUCCACUCUUACAAUGGCUUACGAAGAGUAGUUAUUCCGCAUCCAAGCCGGCUGGGUAGCCCGCUGGAUACGAGCUAUGCAGCUUGCUGAUUCACCUCCCACCCCUCGCCCGACGGAGCCAAUUGCCACCCCAAGCCGGUGCGCGGUUUAGCAACUCGCCGCUCCAGGCCAGCUCGACGAGGAGCGGUGCACGGGCGUCGUUGCUGCCGUCCACGCCGCCGCCUCGUACUGCGUCUCCCGUUUCUUUGGCCGAGACUCCCAUGUCGGCGGCGCACCAUGCAAGCAGCGACAGAAGCUGGGUGUGCGGAGAGCGACGAGUCGAUGGCCAGCGCCUCCGCGUCCACCGCCAUCAUUGAGGAGAAGUAGAACACGGGGGGCCGCUGCCGCUUGGGUCCCAUGAAGGCCACCAUGGAGGCAACGCCGGCGUACAUAGCAGGUGUCUUGCCGGAUCCUUUUGUUGCGAGGAUCUUCGUCGACCGUGCAUGGGCUCCAUAGAAGAGGGGAAUGUUAGGGUGAACUCGAGCCAGUGCCAGCCACGGCGAACUAGUGGCCGGUGAUGAACUUGAACCGGUGCUGGCCACCAUCAUCUUUGGCACCAGCCAAUGAUAUCAGUUGGGCAGUGGGGAAGCGAGCCGUCCUUUGCGCUAAAGCAUAUACCUCCAGGGCUCCUGGCAGUCUGAUGAUCGUGCUGCCGGACAUGAGGAACACAGAUCGAUCAGCGGGCGACCAUUUAGGCCAGGUAUUAUAUACUUGUGUUGUCCAAAACUAGCACCGCGUAGUUCAUUUGAAUGUAAUGAAAUCUGUCAUGUUUGUAUGAAAAUCCGGUAUUUUAUAUGAUUUCCAUCGUUGUUUAUAUGAAAUAUCAGUUUGUCUACGUGUUUGCGUGAAUCUCGUCCGGUUGGUUGAGUUGUUGUCAUAAUGUGUGCGGCUACGGUUGGAUGGCAUAAUCUGCGGGUCGCCGGUCGGUCUGCGGGCGGCUCGGGCGGCGUUGUGGGACAAAAAUAACAUCGCUUGUGCAAUCUCAUCUCCAACGUGCGCGCUGGAGGAUGCAUGACAGCAUGAGCACCCGAGCCAUUCCUCGUUCAUCGGUGGCAAAGGCACCGGUGGAAAAAAGGGUCGCCAAUAUUUUGGCUACCCCGGGCAAGAUCCCAACAGCCCCUCCCAACAGAUUCAAAUCCCUCGUUCACCAUGGAAUUUUGCCAUGUGUUGUUUCCAUGGACUAGCAAGAUGCCCGUGCAUUGCACAGAACAUCAAGAUGCAUUUUUUUACAAACUCCCGCAUGCAUGCAAGGGAUAAUUAAUGUCCUGCUUUGCUAGUAACACGAGGCAAACACCGUUAAUAUUGCAUCGAUUAGUGUUAGUGGCCUUGUAUAUUUGCAAAUUGUAAUUUUGAUAGUGGCCCUUUGUAUAUAAAAAUGGAGGGAGGAAGAUGAGAGAUAAGGUGAGGAGGAGUGGGGCGUGGUGGUGACUGGUGGUCGGACUGGGCGGAGGCAUGGGGAUGGACGGCGCAUUAUGUAUAGGUUUGUAUCUCUCUCACACACACCCACGUAGGUGGGGGAUGUGCACAAAGAGAAGAGGUGCACGCACGGCGCACGUACUCCCAUCUCUUUCCCAACCACACCCGCGUGGGUACACGGUGGAGCUCAUUUCUGUACGAAAAGGCAGCCCACAUGGUAAUUUGACACGUGUACUGGUUGUCCACUUGGUGGAGGGAGGAUCAUCUACCACGGGUGAACAAAAAAAUUGCGAAUUGACGUGUUAUGUUAAAAAAAUAGGCAAACCAUGUGGGGCCUACCUUAGAGGCAAGGCUCUAUACACUGGAGUACUUUUGAUGUGUCCCGUCAACUCGCAGAACGAGGAGAAGCUUGCUUAGUGCACCGUCUCCCCCGCCCACAGGCGCGGUGGCUCACAGGAUGAGGUGAAGCUUGCUUACGAGUAGUAGUAGUAGUAGUAGUAGUACUCCUACUACUGUACGCCUUACGCCCGCUCCCUCGCCCACGCGCGUGGUGGCUCCUGGCACGAGGAGAAAAUUUUACUACUCCCUUCGUUUACUCCUCGUCCCUACUAUGUACCUUGGUUAGUACUCCCUCCAUUUACUUAUACAAGGCCACUAUAAAAAAAUACAUUUUGCAUCUAUACAAGGCCACAAAUAGUAAUCGAGACAAAAGUUACUACUCCCUCCUUUCCAGUUUAUGGCUGAAUUUCAAUAUCUCCCCAAUCAAGGUAGACGGUGGGUGGUCGAAUUAAUUUCGUAGUUUGCACAUAUUAGUAUGCUCGUUUUUCUCAAGAAGUUAUGUUGACCGAGGCAUUAAUUAGAACGAAUGCAUGAAUGGCCACUAAAUUUCCAUGAACUUCUACAUGCAUUGCUUAGUUUCCUCUUGACACUGCUUCCGUCGGGUGAUCUAACGCACCUCGAAAUCCAACAUGUAAUGGUACUACUACUAGUAGUAGAAUUGAGACUUAUCAAACGGAAAAACGAAUGUUUUUAUAUGAGCCCUAUAAACCCUAGUGGGUACAUACUCCGUAAAAACAGAUUUUUCCAAAACUAACUCGCUCCCUUUCAUGAAUUCUGUAGUAUACUCCUCCGUUGACGCUCCCUUUCAUGAAUUCUGUACUUCCUGUUGCCGACAUGUGGGACAUAUAGCAACCGGGUCGAUGUGUCAAGAACCAAAUAACAGUGCAGAACAGCAGGAGGACGCACCCCACUUGUACCGGCCCAGUAGUAGUAAUGAGCAAUGAGACGUCAAAUCACAAUGCCACACCUUCCCAGAUGGACGAAGCAACCAUUAUUUCACACUUUGGUUCGCCAUCAUCUAAACCACAUAGUAUUGCUUCUGUCUCAAGAGGGACACGCGCAUCGCCUUGGUACAUCAUGACACGUGGGACCGCAUGACAGGCUAUGCUCCCCCGCUGAUCGCUCGAUAAAAUCACCUCAUUUUUACUAUACUUCCUCCGUAUCGGUUUACUACAUGGGAUGCACGUCAUUCUAGGUUGAGAAUUUAACUGGCUAUAUAUGUGAUGAACAGUACUCUAGCCUUUUAAAAAAUGUAUACUUUUGUACAGUAGUAGUAUCGAUGGAUUGCGCCAUGGAGCAAAAAUUGAAAUUAAAAAAAGGUGGUACAUAUAGAGAGCGCUCGUCGCCAAAUUAUGCAUAUAGUACUAUUAAAAAAGCUAGUACGUGCUUAAUUGGGGUGCUAAAUUCUAUUAAAAAAAUACUAGUAGUAUGUACAUAGUGAAGAGUUAAAGUAACGAGAAGAAACAUAACAUAGUUCUGCUGGGGGCUCAGCACAACACACCCCUCAAAUUAAACUAAGCACACCUGAAAUUAAACUAUGCAACUAAUCUGGUAGACACUGCAUUAGAACCACCAUGAGCAACGAUACUGACACCUUACUCACUUGGAGUCCUCGUCCACGUCUUUUGACUUCGUCCUUCUCCCUCUUCCUCUUGGCCGAUACUUCUUUGCUUGAACUGCACACUUGGCUCUUGCUCUUCAUCCAACCCUUGUAGAUAUUGAAACAAAGGUAGCCAUCCAUUGCAGCGUAGUGGAUGUGUUCUAUAUCUAGUACAUUCCGCUACCAUGCAUGAUGAUGAAAUGUGUAAUGAGGUUUCUCCCGUUUACGGUACGAAGGAUGAACCAUGGCUCCUGCCAGGCUCGGCAUUGAAGGCUGACGAGAGGGCAGCAGCCGAUUCUUCUGGAGGUCGAAGGGGUUACCUACAAUGAUGCCUAUUCAACCCAGGACUUAUUUGUCGUUCUUAAAGUCUAAAGUAACGAAUUUCACUCUUUUGUCCUUGAGGAAGUUCUUAAAAUACUGGCACUCAACGUCGGCAUGGCAUAUGUGCUAGACCAAGCAAAUGUUAUGUACGCAAACCUGGAUCAUGGCGGGCUUCUUCCUCUCUUCGUCCUUUAAAUCCUUCUCUCGUCCCAGGACUAUGGUGUACUCAACAUCUAGCCCAAUGACCCACACAUCAUCUGAGUUUUCGAACAUGCGUCUGAAGCGAGAAAGGCAUCCUUUCACCAUCGCGGAAGAACGGGUGUAGAUGACGUCGAAUUCAUCACCGGUGAUGGUUCUAACCUUCUCACCGCCGAUCGUGGAGAUUUGGGACGCCAUGGAUUUGGGAGGAGGGUUAAGAUUAAUGGAACUGUCGUAAUGUGAAAGGACGGGACAACUAGGAGUGAACCGUCGUAGUAUUGAAGGACGUGCGGGGACGAGUAGGAGCGAACUGCCAGCAUGCAAACGGCAGGGUAGUGGCUUUCCAUUCUCCCAUGAUACGGGCUUCCAAGAGCCCUUGGAUCGGAGAUCGAACGGUUGCAUGGCGUGAUUCUAGACCUAUGGGUGAAUAUCCUAUCCUGGAGGGUUAUUCUGUAAAUUUUCAGCAACUUAGCAUGCGGCCGUUUGAUCUCAAGUCCAAGGGCUGCUAGCAGCCCGUAUCAUGGUCGCGCCUACCAUGACUCGGCCACGCCAUGACGAUCGACAAGACAGCGCAUAGUCCCCCUAGGCACACGGGGCCCGCACCUAGGGGAACCCGGCAAACCACAAGCCCCCAAGCGGGACCCAGCCCGGUGUCCCGGACGCUGACAAUACGGACCCACCAACUCGGCAUAUUACCAUUGUAACCCUGGAUGGGUUGAUCUAUAAAACCCCCCAGGAGUCCACGCCCACAGGGGCACGGCAUGAUAUGUAAGAUCCCCGACAUGCAAAAGCAAGCAAAAUAGGACUAGCCACUACAUAGCAACACCAGGGAGAAGGAGCAGCCCGAGCCUCGACCAACCUCCUUCCUCCUCGAUACAGCUCCAGGAGCGAUCUUGUACUAUCGACCAUCGAACUAAACUCGGCAGGACUAGGGGUGUUAUCUCUCUGGAGAGCCUCAAACCUGGGUAUGUCCGGCAUCCCGCGCCCGCGCAUAUCAACCUCGCCUCCCAAGCCCACCAGUGCCCUCGAGCCUCCUCCUCUCUUUAGCCAUCCCUUGGCAUCUGCCGUGCGCCCACCACGACAACCACCAUGAGCAACGACACUGCCACCUUACUCGGAGUCCUCGUCCACGUCCUCGACUUCGUCCUUGUCCCUCUUCCUCUUGGCCGAUACUUCUUUGCUUGAACCGCCAACUUGGCUGUUGCUCUUCAUCCAACCCUUGUAGAUAUUGAAACAAAGGUAGCCAUCCAUUGCAACGUACUGGAUGUGGUCUAUAUCUAGUACAUUCCGCUGCCAUGCAUGACGAUGAAACGUGUAUGGAAGUUUCUCCAGUUUACCGUAUGAAGGAUGAGCCAUGGCUCCUGCUAGGGUCAGCAUUGAAGGCUGACGAGAGGACACCAGCCGAUUUCUUUGGAGGUCGAACGUGUUGCCUACAACAAGGCCUAUCCGACGCAGGACUUCUUUGUCGUUACCAAAGUCUACACUAAUGAAUUUGACUAGGUUGCUCUCGAGGAAGUCCUUAAAAUCCUGGCACUCAACGUCGGCAUGGCAUAUGUGGUAGACCAAGCAUAAGUCAUGCACGCAAACCUGGAUCAUGGCGGGCUUCUUCCUCUCUUCGUCCUUUAGAUCCUUCUCUCGUCCCAUGACUGUGGUGUACUCAACAUCUAGCCCAGCGACCCACUCAUCAUCUGAGUCUUUGAACAUGCGUCUGAAGCGAGAAAGGCAUCCUUUGACCGUCGCGGAAGAACGGGUGUAGAUGAUGUCGAACACAUCACCAGUGAUGAUUCUAACCUUGUACUCACUGCCGAUCGGGGAGAUUUGGGAUGCCAUGGAUUUGGGAGGAGGGUUAGGAUUAGUGGAACUGCCGUAGUGUACAAAUGUGAAUGGACGGGACGACUAGGAGCGAACCGCCAUAGUAUUAAAGGACGUGCGGGGACGAGUAGGAGCGAACUGCCAGCGUGCGAACGGCAGGGUAGUGGCUUUCCGUUCUCCCAUGAAAUGGGCUUCCAGGAGCCCUUGGAUCGGAGAUCGAACGGUUGCAUGGCGUGAUUCUAGACCUAUGGGUGAAUAUCCUAUCCUGGAGGGUUUUUCUGCAAAUUUUUAGCAACUUAGCAUGCGACCAUUUGAUCUCAGAUCCAAGGGCUGCCAGAAGCCCGUAUCAUGGUCGCGCCUACCACGACCGUCGCGUCGCUUGCGCGGUCGCGCCCUUGGAGAAUUUACACGGUGCGUUAGGCUAUCUGAUGUUGGCAUGUCAUACAUAGUCAUCACUUAGUCACUCAUACUACAACAAGGUUGGCUAUAAGAUUGGCUAUAAGUGUAUUUAUUUAUUUUACUUCUCUCAAUUUCUUUCUUCGUACUCCCUCCGUCCCAUAAUAUAAGAAUGUUUUUGACACUAGUGUAGUUCCAAAAACGUUCAUAUAUUAUGGGACACAGGGAGUACUAGUAUUUAUUGCAUUUGCCAAGGAGUGACCUCUUCCAAUGAAAUGGUGUGCUUAUUAGUUUUUUGUUGCUAAGUUUGCUUGAUUUAAUUAUCUAUAGACUCAAAAUUGUCUUUUCACAUAGGUACACGCGCUUAGCACCGUUUCUUCCUCGGGUCACCAAACUAGUCUCUCUCUUCUUGAUUAACUUGCCACAUCAGACUUUAUGCCUAUGUGGCAAGCUUAGCACCUGUAGGAGCAAGUAAGUACAAUAGUGCGCUUUACAUGGCAUUUUUGCAUAUGUGGAGGAAAGAGAGGCAAGGAAAAAGUGGAGAAGUGGGCUCUAAUGCAAGAGCCAGCCUCUAAUACAUGGUGGAGCAUUGGGAGAGGCACCUGUAUGCAGGUGGUCAGGAAUCGGGAGACUCACGCCGGUCGUAGCACCGCAGUUAAAAUGAUAAUGGCAAGUCAAAUCACGGGGCCCCACCUGUCCGGCAGUAACUCGCUGUCAAAUCACACAACCCUACAUUUGCAACAGCCUACUCCCUCGUCUUCUCGCGUCUCUGUCAAACCGACUAGGCGGAACUGUCCCGCCUACCGUGCAGGAAAAGCCCCGCCCUCGACUUUUAAAUACAACUACAUUCGCUUAAGAAUCCAAUGAUAUACUUUUUGUGACAUAGUAACUCAUAUUUAGUUAGUCAAAUGGAUGACCUAGAACUAUGUGCAGGCCCUAUAAACCGAGACACCUAAAACUAAAAAACCGAGACGGAGAGGGUAGUUCAGCACGUAUCUUUUUAGAUCAAUAUAGUCGGGAUUCACCAAUGAGCAAAACCAAGUGGUAGGUUGCUCCUGUCGUGUUGGCGUAGCAACUCAAGUAGGGUUAAUCCGCACACAAAAUGGCGACACACUUAACAGGACCCCUUUGGCUGACAUGUGGCUCAUCCACCGUCUUGUUCCACGUGCAAUGCACCAAAUUACAGUUCGGAGCAGCGGUUGGAAUUGGAGGCACCCCGGUCGUAGCACCGCAGUAUUAGAAAAUGAGCGAUGAGGGGUCAAAUCACAAAGCCCCACCUUUCCCGCAUUAAGCUGGAUGGAUGAAGCAACCAUCAUUUCACUCUAGGGCGCAAGAGCAUAAAGAAAAGAGAAAACAAUGAUGCGUGCGACAGCUACCUAGGACACCCUAGGGUAGGGGUCUCCACUAUAGAUCCUUUUUUUGAAAGCGCCUCCACUACAAAUCGUCUUCUCCCUCGUCCUCUUGAAGAAAACCGAUGAUGAGUGCGGCGGUAGGGUUUUUAGGAGUACUACAGCGUGCGGGGCCACGUUGUAGUAAACGGGUUCGAGUUGAUGCCUUAAAUAUGUAUGGGCCACUUGGUUUUACGGGAACGAGGCAACAUUUUGGGUUCGGGGACCAGUGGGGAUAUAGUACGUACAAAAAAUUGUGGAUGUAGGUUCAACCAAAAGGCAAUGAUGCAUGGGCCCUGCAUUUUGAUAUACCCGGGGUCGCAUGAAAUUUGCUACUCUACUCAAAACUAGUAAGGUACACAUGUAUUUAUCGCAUGAGAUUUCGAAACCAAAUUAUGAAUAAAUACACACUAUAGCAUGUAAAGCUUUGAGUCAUAUAUGCAUGAUGUAGAUGUUCAUUUAGUUCUUAUAGUUCAUCUCAUUCAAAAUCAAUUAGUUUUAUAAAAAAAUUAAGAUUCAUGGGGUUGUGCAUUGUAAAUCAUAAAGUCAAAAACAAAUAAUGGCAAUUCAUUUAGAAAAAAAUAAUCUAUUAUGAUACAGAAGAUUCUAGAACAAAGGAGAAGUGCUUGUGUUUUGAGGUUUGUGCAUUAUGCUUAAGUUCAACUAUAUCUGGCCAUGGGUCGGGCCGGGUCGGGCCGGGCUUGGGUCGGGCCUAAAAAAGCCCACGACAGAAAAUUGAGGCCCAGGCCCUCCCAGGCCCUACCAUCGAGCCUACUUUUCAAGCCCAAGCCCGACCCAUCUGGUCAAAAGCCCUCAAAAGCCCUUAGGGCUUAGGGCCGGGGGCCGGGCCUCUUCCUUAAAAUGCCAAUAUGCCAAGCCCAAGCCUGUCAAGGCCCUACUGGUGGGCUCAAAACUUAGGCCCAAGCCCGGCCCACGAGCAAGCCCAUCGGGCCUAGGCCCUGGAUUUUAGGGUCGGGCUUGGGUGGGGCGACAGGGCCGGGCCUGAUAUGGCCAGGACUAAGUUCAACCAUGGAGUCUUCUAAAUUGUACAUGUGGCGGAUCUGGUGGAAUGUUGAUGAUAUCCAACGGCCAGUAGUGCUCAGAUUUGCCUAUCUCUGCACUGUCGGAUUAGCUUCAUCUAGCAACCAUCUUUCAAAGUUAUUGGCACACUAUAUAGUUCUUGUGACAUAGUUGCAUGUAUUGGAAAAAAGCUACUAGUGGGUUGUACUAUCUAUUUAGGAAUAGAAGAUGUAUACAUGGAAGUUGUAGGGAAAGAGAUGACAUGGAGCAUCUCAAUUCCUAUGAGUAGGGAUUGGAAAAGAGAUGUCAUUUGGUUCACAUCUAGGAACUUUUCUAUUGAAUCUAGAGAUGACAUGUAUCUCAAUUCCUACGAGGAGGGAUUAGAAAAGAGAUGUAAUUUGGUUCAUAUCAUAGGAACUUUUCUAUUGAAUAUACGCUAAUGUUUAUUUUCCUUUGAAAUUAAGGGAGUAUAGGAAUCCAUUCAUAUGAACCAAGUGGCUCUAAAGCUAUAGAAAUGAUAUCAUGUUUAUUUCCUUUGAAAUGUGGAGUAUAUGAAUCUAUUCCUAUGAACCAAUUGGCUCUAAAGGAAAAAAUCCUAUAAAAAUCAUAUCAUAUAGAGUUCCUAUGAUAUUCCUCGACACUAAAGGAUGGUUGAAAUUGUUGCGGGUGAUACGAUGGUCUUUCUUUGUAGACUCCUCACCCAUCUUUAUAGUUACCUCUCGAAGAUGAAUGAAAUGAUAUAUACAGGGUAUUCUACAUGUGCAACUUGGUACAUGAAAACUCGGUAAAAGUUUGCGAGGUUCGAAUUUUCAAUAAAGCUAUAUGCACUGCAUUUCUGAACGGAGGGAGCAUACGGCAGGUGCUAACACUCACGUGGAAGAUUUGUGUGUAGGAGGAGUGGCUAUUCUGUUAAAUGAUAUGGCAAAACUGACACUGUCGGAUGCCGAUCUAACGGUUCUUACGGUGUUCGUCAGGAAAAGGCUUGUGGCGAACGUUUGUCAGAUAAUGAUUCACAGACACAUGCAUUGCAUUGAUACGUGUCCCCCUCUCUCUCUCAUGCACACGCACCCUCACGAGUCAUGACUCUCCCGAGUCCUCUCACAGACUCGCACAUCGCACCCACCAUCUAUCUGCAGGUAGACGUCACGCACAUAUGUGCUCUUCACACCCUACCCUUAGAACUUCUAAAAAACAAAAGACGUCGCGCACAUUUUAUUUUAGCUCACACUUAUACUAUUACUCUUGCGGUGAACGUUCUUUGGGCAUAGUAUAUUGUACUCUCACGAAGAGAAGCGGUGCACGUACACACUAGUUCUCUCACACCCACUCGCGGGUACACGUAGGAGCGCAUUUUUUUUGAAGCUGGUACAACAAAAUCACUCCACUAUAUAUAAAAGCAGGAGCCUUAGCGCUUGCUUUACUAGGGUUCCUCUCGUUCACUCUCUCAUGCUCUCCAGAUCUAUGCAAGACAUAGGUGGCCACACUCUCUCUCAGCUCAUGGCUGGUCACAACUCCGGCUGGACAACCUUGAUCGGGGCAGGGGUGUAGGUGCAUCAUUUACGCUGUCGGCGGCGGCGAGGGAGGAGACCAAUGGCUGCCCACGCGUCCCAAUCAGCGGCCGUGCUAUUCUCUCCGAGAGAGCGCCGGCUCGGGAGGGCCUCCGACCCCUUCUUCCUCCCUGCGGUAUUGUGGCCAAGAUGCGGCCUCCCGACGCCGUCUUUGCCACAUGCCAACGACCCUCAGGUAUAUAUUCCUUCGAAACCUGCCUUGCUCUACUGCCCCAGCUCCAUUCGUGUGGAUCCUUUUCUACUUCUGUCUGAUGUUCCAAAGCCACCUAGACUUCUACUAUUAUUAGAAGUAAAGCUAGUUCAUACAGUCAACUCUAAGCGUUGAUUCAAACAGGGAAGAAAGUGGGAAAGCUGUAGCAUGAAUCUAGGACUUGGUUCUAAGAGGAAAUGGGGGAAAGUAGUAAUGUCUGUUGUCCCUACGCCCAUAUCGCUACUAUUAAUGUAAAAUCACAUGAAACAUUAAGCAAUGCCACCUAAUGUCACUAUAAGUAAUGGUCUGGUGCCGUCGAUAAAUUGAAGCAAUGCCACCACCAUUUUAUGAAGUGCUUCCGUCUUGAUUUAUUUCCCAUGAAUUGUGUUUUUGCAAUUACACUUAAAUCUCACACCGCUAACAUUGCUUCAUCCCAGUGGAACUGCACAAAUUUGAUUGCACAUUUACUAACCAUGUGCUACUCUCAUGACAGUAAUACUAAUGCUAUUGUUCUGCAUGUUAAUCUAGUGGCAUUGUUGAUGUGAUGGGAUGCUACUUACUUAAGGACUCUUCAUCUAGUGCCAAUUAUAACACAAUAGAUACUGAUGUUAAUCAUACGCCACUAAAAAUAUCUGUCAUAGUUUAAGUAAUCAUAUUUCGUAUUUGCGCAAAUAGGGAUAUCUGUCUCCAUAUCAUUUCUGGAUGUCUGUCUCCGUAUCAUUUCUAUCCGCGCAAUCAAAAGCACACACCUCAGUUUUAGUACAACUGCACAAAAUGAGAUGGCUAUCCCUCGUUGUCGUCGUCUAACCUCCCGUCUUCAAGGUAUCCCUACAUUGGUAGUAACUAAGGUAGAAUGACCAACGCAAUCUAAAAGAAGCUGAUUCGUACGUUUUACUUCCUGAUUACAGUGUAGGGACGAGCGAAAACAACUACAUCCUAGUCCAGAAUGCACUUUCUAUCAGUUCAUCCAUGGACCGAGGACUAGCUGGCACGGCUGCACGGCGGUUUUUUGAACAUGUGCGCGGACAAGAGGCAUUGUGGUCUUCUUAUUUCUGCAAAUAGCGAUGCUUAAAUUUAGUGGAAUGCACAAGAAUUUCACCUAAUCAGUACACUGCAUGGUUCAAUUCAGCAUUCCAGCUGAGACCACAAUUAUAAUUGGUUAUUCUGGAAUGAUAGAACCUAACCCUGGAUGGUGGCAACAAGAAAAAACCAGAGUGAACUCCAGGAAAUUUAAGCCUGCCGGGAGGCCCUUUGCUUAGAGAAGCCUUGCUUGUUUUUUCCUGAUUUGUAAACCUUCUCACAACUUUGUCUUUUGUUGUGAACUAGUAUAUGUUUGUUAUGUUCUAUGAAUCAUUGAGAUAUAUAAAAUUGCUUAAGUUAUGCUUUUCAAGUUUUUUUAUGAAGACGAGUUUAAUGUGAGUUUUCACAUGAGCGCUAGACUAGCGUGUGAACAUUUGGAAUUUAUUACAUUGUGGCCUCAGUUAACUACAUGAACUACUGUAACAAGAUAUAUAGUUGCUUAUAUGUCAGACAACAGAUUGUUGAUUGUUAGCUGGUCGAUAGCCUAGUGUUAAAGCGAGCUGAGCCAAUGUGCAGUGUUUUGCACAACUGCUUACAUGUGGGGUAGCACCAACAGUGUUUACAAGUACUUAUGUAUACGUCGGCGCAUAGUUCUCGAACGAGUCACUACAAAAAAAAAGACACAUCUGUGACAUUUUGGGCCGAACGAAAAAAAAAUCGGUCAUACAUAUGACACUUCUAUGACGAUAAUUGUGACAAAACCCGGUAUCAUCAUAGAUGUGGUGGGCUCCUACUUCUAUGACAAAACAUCAUGACAGAAAAUGGGCUUUUCGUCCUGGGCGGGCCGGAGACGUAGCUGCAUGACAUUCUUUGGGCCGUCCAUGACGGAAAAAACCGUGGUAGAAGCAAGGGCGAGGAAAAUUUCGGGGAGUUCCCGGUUACGGUGGGAGGUCGGGAGCCGAGCGAUGUGUGUUUCUCUCGUGCACGUACGCACAUGUGUGCGAGGCAUUGGCUCUAACUGAACCCGAGCGAGGCUUUGGGCUCUAACUGAACCCGAGCGAUUGCAUUGCAGGCUACGCAUUACUGAACCCGAGCGAUCAAUCAAUGGCUGUUAACUGAACCCGGUCGAGCGAUUCCUUCGCUACUGCUGCUAACUAAAGCCGAUCGAUUGGNNNNNNNNNNNNNNNNNNNNNNNNNNNNNNNNNNNNNNNNNNNNNNNNNNNNNNNNNNNNNNNNNNNNNNNNNNNNNNNNNNNNNNNNNNNNNNNNNNNNNNNNNNNNNNNNNNNNNNNNNNNNNNNNNNNNNNNNNNNNNNNNNNNNNNNNNNNNNNNNNNNNNNNNNNNNNNNNNNNNNNNNNNNNNNNNNNNNNNNNNNNNNNNNNNNNNNNNNNNNNNNNNNNNNNNNNNNNNNNNNNNNNNNNNNNNNNNNNNNNNNNNNNNNNNNNNNNNNNNNNNNNNNNNNNNNNNNNNNNNNNNNNNNNNNNNNNNNNNNNNNNNNNNNNNNNNNNNNNNNNNNUGUGGAGGGCUGGAUGAACAGUAGACGGUGGAGGGGUGCCCGUGCAGGGGUGGUUGAACAGUAGCUGGUGUAGUAGCGCAUGGUGGAGGCUGGAUGAACAGGAGGCCGUGGAGGCUGGAGGAGGUUGAAGGUAGCCCGUGGAGGCUGGAGGAGGUCGACGGUGGAGAUGAACAGUAUCCCGUGGAGUCCGGUUUUGCAGUACGCCACACCCCUCCCGAUGAAAAGGACCCCCGUUUCGACCGUAGCGCUCUAACACAAGUCUGUUUCGUCCGUUUUGCGGUACGCCACACCCCUCCCGAUCAACAGGACCCCCGUUUCGACCGUAGGAGGUCCGUUUCGUCCGUUUUGCGAUACGCCACACCCCUCCCGAUCAACAGGACACCCGUUUUGACUGUAGGAGGUCUGUUUCCUCCGUUUUGCGAUACGCCACACACCUCCCGAUCAACGGGGCCCUGUUCCAAACGUAGGAGGUCCAUUUCCUCCGUUCUGCGGUACACCAGGCCUCGUUUCCAUCGCCUAUUCCAUCCAAGCCCUCCCAAUGAACACGACCACGCAUUCUGUUCCGACCCAGCCGGUUGGCUCCCACGCGUUCCGUUGCCUCCCGAUGAACGCAACGCAUUCCGUUGCCUCCCCAUGAACACGAAGACGAUGAUUUUUCUCCAUUCUGACCCAGCCAUGUACACGAGCCCUCCCGUACGUAUGCGCGAGUAGGCGUUCGAGACCCCGCCCGUAUGUACACAUACGUGGCCGUAUUUUCUUUCUUGCACCCUGGCCGCUGUACGUACGUGUACAUGCUACGUGCGCGCCUCUACUACGACACGUGCGUGCCUCUACAAUGACCAGUAUGUACGUACAUAUUCGCGACCAGAAUGACAAUGCUACGUACGCUUCGACUAGGUGGGUCCCGACUGUCAGGCACUUCCUUGCCUGCGAAGAUGUAGCUGGUGGGUCCCAGCAGUCAGGGGGCGAAUCGUUUUGUUUUUUUUUGCCCGGACGCACUUCCUUGCAUGCGAAGGUGUAGCUACUGGGUACCAGCAGUCAGNNNNNNNNNNNNNNNNNNNNNNNNNNNNNNNNNNNNNNNNNNNNNNNNNNNNNNNNNNNNNNNNNNNNNNNNNNNNNNNNNNNNNNNNNNNNNNNNNNNNNNNNNNNNNNNNNNNNNNNNNNNNNNNNNNNNNNNNNNNNNNNNNNNNNNNNNNNNNNNNNNNNNNNNNNNNNNNNNNNNNNNNNNNNNNNNNNNNNNNNNNNNNNNNNNNNNGGACGCACUUCCUUGCGUGCGAAGGUGUAGCUGGUGGGUCCCAGCAGUCGGGGGGCGAAUCGUUUUUUCGGACGCACUUCCUUGCGUGCGAAGAUGUAGCUGGUGGGUCCCAGCAAUCAGGGGGGCGAAUCAUUAUUUUCUCGGACGCACUUCCUUGCGUGCGAAGAUGUAGCUCGUGGGUCCCAACAGUCAGGGGGCGAAUCAUUGUGUUCGCGAAAUACGGUGGCCCGUACGGUGGGUCCCCGCUGUCAGGUGGAGGAAUAAUUAUUUUGCGCGUAAUAAGGAGGAACUUACUUGCGCCUGCCGUGGACCCAGCUGUCAGCCUCUCCAUGUACAGUCCACGUCCGAUGGAAGUCGUUCCUUGACCACAUUGACCACGUCACGCCGAGAGCACCACGGUGGUGGAUGACGGCGAGGCCUAGGAACGGGACGACGCGGAGCCGGGUAAGAGGCGAUAGUGGAUGCACAUGCGGAGAGGAGUACGAGGGUUCACUAGUUCGGCUGCGUUGCCGUCGCCGCAGAAUAGCAGGGGGCGUGGGUGAGUGGAGGGAUGGCCUGGUCAGUGGUGGGAGUAGUAGGGGGCGGUGAGGCCUCCGCGGCAGCACAGCCGGACACGGGAGGUAGGAGCAGGCGGCACGACCGACGCUGCUUUGGGCGGCUGGAGCAAGAAGACCAGAGGUUGAAGAAACACGACGGCCGUUGGAUGCACAUCGUACGGUCACUGCAGCUAGAAUCGUUUAUAUUGACUAAGUUGACAAAGCCCUUGGUACGUCAACUUAGUAGGCCCACAGGUCAGCUUCCGAAACGGUGUGCCCUAGAUGUCACGGGGAGGAAUCAUUUUUUGGGCGGGUGAAGCUAGAAUAUCCAAGAUUGAAGAAGAAGCACGGCAUCCGUUGGAUGGACAUCCAACGGCCACUGCUGCUAGAACCGUGUGUUGACUAUAAGUUGACAAAGCCUUGCAUACGCGUCAACUCUGUUUUUUUAGGGGACGCGUCAACUUAGUAAGGCUAGAAGUGUGUGGCAGAGAACUUAUAGCCCAUUUGAGAUUUGUAAGAAUGUGCAUCCCAUUUUUGAAUUCUAAUGGAAUUUACUACAGCCCAUUUACAGUUUGUUAAAAGUAUAGCCCAUUUCAACCAACCAUUCAAAACAGAAUUCAAUAAAAUUUCCCACAUUUUGAUGGGAUCCGAAAUAUUUUUAUCCCGAAAUUUCUAGUCGGAUUAAAUACAAUUUCAAUAUAAAUUUAUAUUAUGUAAAAAUCCAACGAAACAUUACACUCGCAACAAUUAAUGAAAUUAAAAUUUUCAAUAUCCAAAAAUAAUAUUUUAUAAAGUAAUCAUGUGUUUGGUGCAUCUUUUAUUAGUUACUGCCCAGUUUUUAUAAUUGCAUCCCAUUUAUUAUUUCUUAAAGCCCAUUUUCUUGUUAAGCCUAAUGCAUACCUCCUAGGAAAGAUUUGCAGCCUAGCGGGAUGGAGAAUAAUAACUUGACCUUGCGUGGGUAUUCCUAAAAAAGUAUAGCUGGGCUAGCCAUUUUCAGCUUGAAAAAAAUUAAUGUCUGGGCUGGAUAUCUGGCCUGGGCUAGACGGGCCACAGCCCGCCCAAUUAAUACCUGCAGCGAUGUUUUCGUUGUUGUUCAAAGAAGAAAAAUUAAUAUCUAGGCUAAACAUCGAAAAACUCUGCAGUGCUCACACCUUAAAAACAGAAAUACUGCUCGAGCUGCUUGGUCCCAGCUGUCGGUCGCUUCUUGUGCAAUUCUCUCGUUUAUUGACUACUCCCUCCUUUCCGGUUCAUAGUGCUCAAUUCAAAAAUCUCACCAAUCAAGGUAGAUGGCGAGUGGUGGAAUACUUUUUGUAGUUUUGCAAAAGCACCUAAUUAAUGCUCUUGUUAUCCUCAAAAAAUUAUGUUUAUCAAUGCAUUAAUUGCAAUGCAUGCAUGCAUAAAGUACAUGCAUUGGUCAAUUUUCUCUUAAUACUUGCAUGCAAUGAUUUAAUGCACCUUGGAAUCUGAACAUGUGAUGGAAAACAACCAAAUUGAGCCUUACAAAAUGGAAAAACUAAAAUUUUGAGAUAAGCCCUAUAAAUCGGAAAGGAGGGAGUACAUAGGUUGACAAUGGUGUGGGACCGUGAUGUCAGGAAACCAGGAGGAAGCAAAGUAAAUUAUAGUUAUAUAUAUAUAUAAUAAGGAGGCACUUGCGUACGUGAGGCUAUGGACCUGGUGGGUCCCCAUUGUCAUCCUCUCCAAGUAAAGUCAUCUCCUCUCCCGCGCGCUUUCCGCCCGAAACAGUCAGCGCCGCCCGCCCCGCUUCCCGGUGCAGGCGAUUGCUCCGCCUUCAAACGACACAAGUGUCGUCCGUCCGUCCAUCUGCCGCCCACAUUAAUGAUACACGGUUGCCGAGGCGGCUACUCCGGCGCCACAUGUCCGUCCCUCCGCCCGCCCACCAUUGCUAUAUAAACUGCUGCGCUGGCCAUAGCCGCAGUCAUCCGCAUCCGUUCCCUUUCUCCUGUCCACACCACUACUACCCACCAUGGCUUCCUCGCACUCCAGCGCUCUUCGGGACGGGCGGACGACGGACCACAAGGAGAUGGUAGCCAUUGCUGCCGACCGGCUGGCCGGCAGGCAGCCGGAGGACGACGACGUCCCAAUGGAGAACAUGGUAGUCGACGAUCCGGCGCCAACCCCCUCCUCCGCGCCAUCCUCGCCAGUGCAUUGCACCAUGACCAUCGGUGAGGCCCGUGCCCAAUAUACGGACAAGGUGAGGCAGAUGCAUGAGGAGCAGUUCCGGGAGCCGCAGGCCGACGCUGCCUACAACCACCAUCUCCUCUAGGAGCACCUGCAGGCGGAGGAGCAGAUCGCCGCAGAGCGGGUGGAGCAGGAGGCGCUGCUCGACUCGUACCGCUCCGCCCGCAAGGGCCGCCUCGAGCACUGGCGGUACCACAUGCGGGUGGCGGAGGCUGCGGCCGCCUACAAAGAGGCUAGCAAAGAGGGCGAUGAAGCGGGCGAGGUGAUGUUUAGCGAGACCGAGGACGAGGCAGAGGACAAUGCCGGCUCUGACGAGUCCCCGCUCCGCUGGCAUCGACGAGGCCCUGCUCCACUAAGGCCCCGCGGCGCCAACAACGAGGCAGAGGACACCGCCGGCUCCGUCGAGGCCCCGCGCUGCCAACAACGAGGCAGAGGACAUCGCCGGCUCAGCCGAGGCGCCACCCUGCCGGCAACAUGGGGGAGUAUUUCCACUGCUUCGCUGAGGCGCCGCCCGCCGGCAACGAGAUAGAGGACAUCGCCGGCUCCGCCGAGGCCCUACCCCGCUGCCAACGAGGCCGCGCCACAUAGAAAACGAGGAAGAGUAGAACACCGUAGGUCGCCGCUGCUCGGGUCCAAGUAAGGCCACCGCUGCUACCCUCCAGUUGAAGCCAAGCUAGGAGGGUUGACCAUUGACGGGCGGUUAGCUUCUUGGCGGCGACAUGGAGUCGGAGAGCUGCGCUGGAGAAGAACGCUGCUUCUAGUUAACUGCCGGUGCAGUUGGCUGACUGACACAUGGGCCCAACAGGCCACAUGUCAGUUACGCAACUGCACCUGCAGUUAAGUCACUGAAGCUUCUGUUCAGCUCAGCGAGACACAGGUGGGUAGCUUCGGUUAAUUAAUUAUACCUCCAGCGCACCCCUUAUUAGUUGAAGAAUGUAUGAAAUGUAAUGAAAUCUGGCAUGUUUAUAUGAAAUCCGACCGUGUAUGAAUGAAUUUAUUUCGAUUAGUUCGAAUUCCUGUUUCACUGGCAUUGGAUGAACAUGCAAAACAAUACGUACUAGCAUUAUUCCUAGGGUGAUCACCUCGUUCGCAACAGUUUCACAUGUACUCCCUUCGGUCCUUUCUAGUCUGCAUACAAGUUUUGUCUGCAAUCAAAGUAUCUCUACUUUGACCAAUCUUAUACAAAAAAGUAUGCACUUUCACAAGUUGUGAAGUAAAAAGGAGCAGAAGGAGUACAAAGAGUUUGAGCAGCUUUUUAGCAUUUUUGUACAUUGCAAUCAAACACACAGGCCUGGCAAUUCAUAGAGAACGUUCAAAACAAUCGAGGAUUAUGCAUCUCAGCGACUCACAUGUCAGAGGCAAUAUUUACUUCACAACUAAAGAAUAAAGAAAAAAUUGAUCGACGCUGCUGACAGCAAAGGGUGUCCCAUUCGAAAAUAUCAAACGCAUGUCUUGCUAAAAUCAAUGAGCAAAAUUUGACAAGGUUGUCCCAUUCCAAAAUAUCAAAUGCCUACGAUUGUGCAAUGGGUAGGGUUUGCCAUCAGUUCGGACAUUGACAUGGCACCUCGUGCUAAAUAAGCCAGUUGUUCUUUUUGUGCAGUUCCACAAAAAUCAACCAAAUUCGCGCAUAGCUUGUAUGAUUUCACCCUUAUAUGUUGCAACGCCUUGAACUUAUCGGCACCUCCUUUCUUGUGGUGGAAAUGAAUGAUUCGAUGUAUUUAUGAACAUUUUGUGCAGUUUUCAUUGAAAUCAAGCUGAGCACCUGUUUGCACAAAUACAAAAAACUGAUUAGUAUAAAGCAAAUUGUACUAUGAAUUGACAGUUUCAACAAGCACAUACAUGGUCCAUGUAGAGCACACUUUUAGAAAAAUGGAACUCACCAGAAAGAAUCCUAGAACAACAUUGUACUCGCGCAACACAGCAAAAAAAUGGAGAUUUGUCAGUCCUUCUGAGCUGAAGUUAGUUUGGUCUUGUGGGGAGUAAUGUAACCAUCCUUCACCUGCUCCUUCUGAUGAGAUGAUAGACAGGGCUUCUUCAUCCUGGCAUAAUCAGAAGAAGAUGAUACUGUUGUGCAAAGACAAGAGGACUACUAAAUGCUAGCAUCCCUGUUUGCUCGAAAAAAGGAAAGGAAAUAUUUAAAACAACACAGAUGAAGCACUUCUCAAGGACAAUACCAGUUUUUCAUGACAGUAUCUAAAUAGUAGCACAACACCAAUAGAGAUGACAAAGCUCAAUCAUAUGGAUGAAAUCAGUGGGCGAGUACCAACCUUUGUCAGGAGGCUUAUUGUGUAGAGCAUACAGAUGAAGCACUUCUCCGGAACAAUCUGUUGCUAUCUAUGGUGGUGGCCAUGCUUACUAAAUACUCCUCGAUUAGUUUAAUGUUUCCAACAUCUUCUUGUGCAGUUCCACUAAAAUAUAUGGUAUCUUCAAAGAAGAUCCCUGUUUGCACAUGUAGAGAUAAUUACGUAUUACAUUAAGAGUGGCAUCAAAUCAGUGGCAAAACAAUUGCUCAUUCCAGCCAUAGCAAUAAAUUAAGAUGCAAGCCUAUAUCAUUACUUGUGUCAUCAUAGUUCCAGUGCUUCAUUACAGCACCGGGAGUUAAUUUUUGUUUUUCUUCCGCUUGUUCUUCCCCUUCAUCACUUGGUUCAAUAACAGACAAGCUUCGCCUUCAAUGUAAGAUUUGGCAUGUCAAUUAGGGAGCACAAGUAUAGUACUAAACUUAAUUUUCUAAUGAAAGUGGCAAAAUACAGGCCAGCAGUUGUGAAAUAUCCUUAUCUUACCUCAAUGGGAUAUUACGGUGCACAUACAGAUUGGAAGUCUUGUCUCCAUUUGUGCAGUUCACUAAAAUCAAGCAACAUUAUCGUACAAGUAGCACAACAUAUGAAAGCACACCGCAGAAUCAUGUGACAGAAGGCUAGUACUGACCUCUCAUGAUGCGGAAUUCAAACAACUCACAAGAAGAAGAUCUGAACCAAAUUCGCUUUAACCGAUAGGAAGUAAGAUCUCCUCUUGUGCAGUUCCACUAAGAUCAAGCAAUCAAGCAACAUUAUCGGUGUGACAUUUUGGUUGAACGCAGAAAACACUCUUAAAACAAAAGUGUUUAGUGCAGUGCAACAAAAGGUCACAAUGGCAACGAGGUGAAGUAGAUAACCCUGUUUACAGAGAGGUGCAAAGGAAACAAUUAGUGGUCAAUAACGGUGGAUGACAUAGAAGCCAACAAAAAGAAGCAUCUACCUUAUCUAAAUGGGAAAGAAAGCAAGACAGUAGCAUUUCUCAAAUGGUGGCAUUGAUUAAUAUUAACAUAGAGAUUAUAUUAACAAUAAAAUUCGUUAAACAUGUAAUUUGCUUUUAACUGUGGCAUUGCAUCAAUUUUCCAGCGGCAUUAUUAGAGGGUGUUUGUUUACAGGGACAUUUUGGUGUAGGGACUAAAAAAACUCCGUGUCAGUCCCAUCUAAACCAAACAGGAGGACUUUUAGGGACUAAAAGUGGGCAUUUGGGACUAAGAAAGAAGACCCCGAGGGAGUCUUUUUGGGACUUUUUCCAACAGUUGCCCCUGCCACGUAUCACACCUUGUCUCUAUUAGUUCAUUACUAGGGGUAACAUGGUCUUUUAGCAUGUCAUUUAAUAACCUCUAGUCCAUGUUUAGUCCCUGGAACCAAGCAGGUAGGGACUAGGGAGUUUUUAACCAAACAGGGCCUUAGAUUAACAAUAGAUAAUGAGUUGCACGGGACAGUGGACGCACCAGCACCAUGUGCAUCUACCAAUGUAAUGUGGUCAUGCACAGUCUGUUGCAACAAAGAACAAACAACCAAUGAGCAUAUUUGUGUUGGUCCCAGUUUUGUUAUCUUUAGACACCUUUUCCUAUGUGAGCGCAGCAAAUCUAGUCCUGCUCAAACUCUACAGCCUUGUCCCUUCCUUUCCUUUUUGAACUAGUACUUUCGCCCCUUCCUUUCCUCUUUUAACCAUGUCCUAGAUUUAUGCAAUACAACUUUCCCCACUAUUUUCCCCCAUUCCUUUCCUCUUUGAACCACGUCCUAGAUUCAUGCCAUACAACAUUCCCCCUUCAUUUCCUCUUUGAACCACGUCCUAGAUUCAUGCUAUAUACAACUUUUCCCACUAUUUGCCCCCACUCCUUUCCACUUUGAACCAUGUCCUAGAUUCAUGGUAUACAUGCAGGUAGAGAAAUGCAUGUGGAGUAAGUAAAUUAUACAUUAAGGUUCUUGGGGCGUGGUUCGGUGGGCGACGGGACAGCAGCGAAGAAGAAGGGGUCGGAGGCCCUCCCGCGCCGCCGCUGGGUGGAAAGUGAACAGCUGCGCCGGUAGUGGAUUCCCUCCCUCGCCGAUGGCGACAUCGUUAAGCCUCCUUCCCUUCCCGGUGGACGGAUCCUGCCGACUCUUUGAGAAGAAGUGAGGGGGGAGAGAGGCCAACGAAGUCUUGUUUAGAUCUGGAGAGGGCGAGAGAGUGUGAAGAGAGCAACUACAAGCGCUGAGGCUCCAGCGGGAGAGGGAGAGAGAGUGUGAAGAGAGCAACUACAAGUGCUGAGGCUCCAGCGGGAGAGGGCGAGAGAGUGUGAAGAGAGCAACUACAAGCGUCGAGGCUCCAGCGUGUGUAUAUAUAUACUGGAGAGAGUGUGUGAAGCGUGCAAACCCUAGAAAACAUUUUGACCAGUCAAAGAAUCCUCCUGGCACAAAUUAUGCUCAAGUGUAGUUAUCGAACCCGAGACCUCAAGUUUGAUGAGCGAACAGGCUAACCAGCUACACAACCCUCCCGUUAUGUUCAACGAGAGGAAAAUAACCUUUUAUACAUUCCUGCAUUUGUGUGACAAGCAUUCCGUGUUUUUUGUGUGUGUGUGGGAGUCAUUGGGAUUUCAAUCAUAAUCGUGUCAUGUGGCUUUGUGGUAAGACUAUCCACAGUGGUGCAGAAAUAAUGCAGCCUUAGUCACCUUACCUCUCUCCACAUAGUACGUUGGGUCCCAUCAGUCGGAGGGUGAAACAAACAAAUUAAUAAGAAAAAUUAAAAGCGCCAGCGGUGUAUCUUACCUCACACAUCUCGCUACUGCUCAGGAACACUGUCCAAUUGAUCCCUUAGUUCGCUCAUGUACUAUUUUAAGUGAAUCCUUAUUAUAACAUGCACACAAAUUUUGGGCACAUGUAUUCGACUUAAGUCAGUGUGCCACCAUAUCUCGUAUACUUACUACUCCCUCCGUCUAGGUGUAAUAAGUCACGUUAGAAGGUGCAACGGGACCAAGGUGCGUGUGUGUGUGUGUGUGUGUGUGUUUAACAGCAUGUGUGUGUUAGAGAGAGCGACAGAUCGACCUACUCCUACAGAGAGAUGGUGGGUAUUGUACGAUUUUAGCCGCGAGAGUCGGUGCAUCCUCUCGUUUCGGGCAUGUCCGGUAGGGACAUGCGGACAGCUGCCAUGCACGCUCCUGACCAGCCUGGCCCACCCAAAGCCCCUCCAUCGCCAGCGCGCUUCCCGCCCGAAACGGUCAGCGCCGCUCCAAAGAAUCGGUGCCGCAUUCAUGCCCGGGUAGAGCAGACGCGACCUCUCACUGGCGCAAGAGUGAUGGCUGCUUUGUCCGUCCAACUUACUGCUCGGUCUAUUUGAUUUGACGGCUCAUUUGUCUUUAUUACUGAGGUGGUAGGGCUACUGGAUGUCCCACGCUUUCAGAGAAAGGAGGUACUACUACUACUAGAUUACAAUUUUCUCCAUUCUUACAGCGAAGGAGUGCAAGAGCAGUGAAAACACGCAAGCUCGGUGAUUACAUGGCCCACCUCACACUAUCACUGUGUGACACCUAACUCUUUACAUAGUACUCCCUCCAUUGCUAAAUAUUACUAGAUGAGUCCCCGCGCGUUGCCGCGGAACAGUGGUAUAUCUCUCUGCGCAAAAUUAUCGAUUUCAUAGAACUAAAAAAAUCUAUAACCGCAUGACAAAUGUGGUAGCCAAACUAAAUAAACUCCCAUCAUCAUUUAGAUCAUCCCACGUAAGGAAAGAAGAUCAGCCAACUCCUACUGCAUAAUGUGAUUAUAUUUUUCUUUUUGACAUGUUAAUGGGACUUAACAGCUCACUUACAUGCAUGCUACCAGUGCAUGCUUGCAUGCAGACAUGUUGAUGUGAUUUAAAACCCACUCACAUGCAUGUGCCACGGUAUUUCUGCAUGCUUGCAUGUGGGUUAGUGCGGAGCCUCUCAACGUCUAGAUCAGACGGCUAUUAUGGACUGAUUUACUUCAUCUAACGGCUACAUCAAUUUUGAUUAUGUGGCUCAAGGAGAGGAUAGAGAAUUCCUAGUAGUGGGGGCUAGCUAUUACUAGUAGAUAAGUCUUUGUAGAGAUUCCACUAGGUGAACUACAUACGGAACAAAAUGAAUGAAUCUACACUUAAAAUGCAUCUAUAUACAUCCGUAUGUGGUUCAUGGUGAAAUCUCUACAAAGACUUAUAUUUAGGAACAGAGGAAGUACUAGUAUAGUACAUACUGUAAUUUAUCAGCGAGAUAAAUUUGUACAAUGCUAUGAAGCUUCCAGCUUCUAUUACAUGUAUCUUGCGUCCAAGGUUGCCCGUUGCAACAUUUCAUCAAAUACAAAGGAGACUAACAUGCAUGCUAUUGCAUCUCAAUGAUUGACAGCUCAUAGCAAAUAUCUACUCCCUCCGUUCCAAAAUAAAUGUCUCAACUUUGUGCAAACUUUAGUACAAAGUUUUGCUACUACUAAAGUUGACACUUAUUUUGGAACAGAGGUAGCUAAAGAUAAAAACAAUCCAUGCAGUACCUAGCCCUUGAACCGUGAACCCUGACCAGGCUUCAAUUUGCUGGCAACGUUGGAGCUUCCUAAUAAAUGAAGUUUGUAACCUUUUGACCAUCGGAUCAUUUUGUGCAGUUUCACCAAAAUCGAGAUGAGCAUCCCUGUGGCAAAGAAAUUGAAGAAGCGUGAUUAGAAUAAGAUUACUGGGACUAGUUGAUGAAACAUAAACUCAUCACAAAUACAGUACGUAGAAGCCAGUAGAGGUAUGUGCGGGGCAAAGAAGUAGAGAAAUAUCCACAGGGAGUGAUGUGGGUAGCUGGAGCAGUGGUGCAAGCCGGCUGUAAAGGGAGUUGUAACUGAGGGACGUAGCUCAACCUUGAGGAGGGCGGCGACAGGCGGCAAUUUCCCACGUCGCGGCAGUGAGCAAGGGGCGAAGGCAGCCUCACCGGUUUUGUGAGAGAGAACAACGGGGACCCCUGACCGGGACGUGCCGAUAGUGGGUUUUCACUGUCGGCGACGGCCACCGCAUCACUAAGCAUCCACCCCUUCCCCAAGCGGACGUGAUCCGCCGGGAUGUUAGAGAAGUGGCCACAGUCGUUUUGUGUGAGAGAGUGUGAAGAGAGCAACCCCAGCAAGCAACCGUGUAGGCUGGCCCGUCCUGACUAUGUAUAUAGUGGAGCGGUUUCCUUUUCUCUCCAUAUGAACCUAUCAUAUUGCGUACAUGCCACUGAAGAAAAAAAAACUUUAUUUAUAAAUGAUGAGGCACCUACUACUCAUAUUCCUAUAACCUUGCACUUGGCAUCUCCAAAAUAUUAACCUUGCGAUUGGCUCUUCGCCUCUUCGGGAAGUCGAGCAAUAAUGGUAGUGCAGUAUAUAUCAUUCUGGCUAUAUGAGACCGAAUAAAUUGCUGCACGUCCACCACGUGGGCGAGGGUCGAGGGGCGAGGGAGAGUGCUACAUAUGGAGCAAAAUGAGUGAAUCUACAGUCUAAAAUACGUCUAUAUACAUCAGUGUUUGGAGUAUGUACUAGUCGUUCAUAUUGAAAUCUACUAAAGGACAUAUAUAUUCCAAAAAAUAUGAUAUAAUCUCUAUAACCAAGGUAGUAGGGACGAGGAGUAAAUGGAGGGAGUAAAUUUUUCUCCUCGUCUUGCGAGCUACCGCGCGCAUGGGCGAGGGAGCGGGCGUAAGGCGGAGCAAGCUUCACCUCAUCCCGCGAGCCAUCGCGCCCGUGGGCGGGGGAGACGGCGUACAAAGCAAGCUUCUCCUCGUUCUGUGAGUUGACGGGACACAUCAAAAGUACUCCAGUGUAUAGAGCCUUGCCUCUAAGGUAGGCCCCACAUGGUUUGCCUCUUUUUUUAACAUAACACGUCAAGUCGCAAUUUGUUUGUUCACCCAUGGUAGACGAUCCUCCCUCCACCAAGUGGACAACCAGUACACGUGCCGAAUUACCAUGUGGGCUGCCUUUUUCGUACAGAAAUGAGCUCCACCGUGUACCCAUGCGGGUGUGGUUGGGAAAGAGACGGGAGUAUGUGCGUCGUGCAUGCACCUCUUCUCUUCGUGCACGUCCCCCACCUACGUGGGUGUGUGUGAGAGAUACAAACCGUGUUCGUGAGUGUUUUUCNNNNNNNNNNNNNNNNNNNNNNNNNNNNNNNNNNNNNNNNNNNNNNNNNNNNNNNNNNNNNNNNNNNNNNNNNNNNNNNNNNNNNNNNNNNNNNNNNNNNNNNNNNNNNNNNNNNNNNNNNNNNNNNNNNNNNNNNNNNNNNNNNNNNNNNNNNNNNNNNNNNNNNNNNNNNNNNNNNNNNNNNNNNNNNNNNNNNNNNNNNNNNNNNNNNNNNNNNNNNNNNNNNNNNNNNNNNNNNNNNNNNNNNNNNNNNNNNNNNNNNNNNNNNNNNNNNNNNNNNNNNNNNNNNNNNNNNNNNNNNNNNNNNNNNNNNNNNNNNNNNNNNNNNNNNNNNNNNNNNNNNNNNNNNNNNNNNNNNNNNNNNNNNNNNNNNNNNNNNNNNNNNNNNNNNNNNNNNNNNNNNNNNNNNNNNNNNGCUCGAUGUAUCGGUGUGUGUGGGGGGAGGGGGUGGGGGGAGGGGUAGGCAGAGGCCUAACUAUAGAGGUAGAACGACUCAUAUAUGUGUUGAGAAGGAGAGACCUAGCUAUGUCUUGAGGGAGAUCGGUCGACAUCCAUACAUAACUGAAGGACGGGAAAUAUGAUGCGAAAGAGAGAGAGAGAGGACAGAGAGAGGAGAGAGGGAGGGAGGGAGAGGGAGGGAGAGGGGUAGAGUGAUGGAUGGGUGAUGGAGUUGCUUCUCAGAGAUGGUGGGAGAGGCCUACUAGACAAACUAAGGGUGGAACUGCAAUGUUAUCAAUAAGAGUGGGGAUGUGUUUUUGUGUGUGCCUGUGCGUGAUAGAUCUGUCGGGACGCAUCCAUGGAUGAUGAAGGGGAACCAUGUGUUUGGUAAGCAAACCUAACUAGAUCGGUAGAUCAAUUGUUGUUUGUCGGAGGAAGGGAGAGACACAACUACUGAGGUAGAUCGAUCGACGUGUGGGUAAAAACGAGUUAUAAGGACCUAGAUAGCUAUAUGUAUAGCGAGAGAUUGGUCGUUAUACGUCCAUUUAUCAGAGGCAAAUAAGGCCCAGCGAAACGGAUAGACAGAGAGAAUGGAGCUAGGAGGUGGUGCGAGAGGCCCAACUACUAGCUAGAUAGGGGGAGGAGUGUGCGGUUGUGAGAUCGAUGAAAAGAGGAGCGAGAGUUUACACGUGUGUCUGACCGUAUGAGAGACACGAGGCAAGGACACAUAAAGGAGGAGAUUGAAGGUGUGUGUGUAUGUUGUAGGCAGGCAUCGCUGGAGAGGUUUAUCGAUCGGUGUGUGUCGGAAAGGAGUUGUGGAGACUCUGGGAGAAUGACCUAAAGAAAAAAUGAAUGUGCCCGGUGGAUAGAAUGCCGAGGGAGGGGGAGGGCGAGGAGGGCGUGUGCAUGCACGAGAGAAAGUUAGUGGUAGCUACAAAGGUUAGAGGAUUGUGUGGGUGUAAGAGACUAACAAAGAUCAUAAUUUGAUAUGAAAGCGGAAUCAUAUAUUUGAAUAGGAGAUCAUAGUGUUUUAAACAUUGCAUGCAUGAAUAUAGCGGUGAUACACGUGAUGUGCACAUGUUAUACCAUAAUGUGAUAAUGCAUGGCGUUUGCAACUCACAGCUAAAUGCCGAACAAUCUAAACCAUACUAUACAUCAAACAAUCUCACAUUUUAUUUGAAUUUGUGAUAAUGUGUGGCAUUUGUAGCUUACAACUAAAUAUCGAACAAUCUAAACAAUACUAUAUAUUGAACAUUCUCACAUUUUAUUUGAAUUUGUGGUAAUGUGUGGUGUUUGCAACUCACAUCUAAAUACUUGUAGGCGUAGGGGGCGGGGCACCAUACAUAAUGUGAUAAACACAUUAUACAUAUGAGACAUGGUUUAGAUUAUGAAGAUCUAGCUAGAGCUAUAAAUGUAAUGUGAUUUGAAAUCAAAAUAAAGUGGAUUCAAAAAAUCUAGUUCGAGUUCAUAUAGUACACAUAGUUCAUAUGUAACUCGAGACUAAUCAUGUGGUGUGCUGUGAAGAUAAUACACAAAUGAUGGUUUAACUUGACAAUAAUGAUGAUUGUAGAUCUUAUUAAAACAGAGAAACGAAUUCAAAUGCUUUGACUUCACAACAAUCAUUACGAUAGAUCUUAUUCAAAUAGAGAAACGAAUUCAAAUUUAGUUCAUAUUGAAGUGGUAGUAUAUACGUUUGGAAUGCACUAAAACAUUCAUUUGAGUAGUAGGUUGCAUGCAUUAUACACGUAGCGAAAUAUUUUAAUUGAACAUAUCAUGAAUUCAAAGUUUUGAAUGACAUUUGUAGUGCCCAUUGAUUUGGUACAGUACACGUUAGGCUUGUUCGGAAAUUUCAACCCGCGCCUUGUUAGCCCGAAAUAUUUAAGAUAUAUCUUUGUCUCGUUGUGCUCCGACAACUCCCUCCAUCUCAACCCGCGCCUUGCUAUUCCGAAAUUACAACGUGCGUGAAAACUCCCACCUCCUGUGAAAUCCCGACACGCGAAAUGCCCGUGGUACCCCUAAACCAAAAGAAUCGCCUCAAAUCGGUGGGGGUACUUACGUAACUUACCCCACAUUUCGAAGAAGCGCCUCCCUAAGCCAUGGUUCCCCACUGCCAUCCCAUCCGCCCACCCAUUCGUACACCGAGGUCGCGAAAACCUGUGACAAAACCCCACACCCUGCUCCGUCUGCCACCCAGCCGGAGCCUCUUCCCCGACGACGUCGUCCACAGAAACACCUCGACGUCCCUCAUCCACCAUACCAGAUGAUGAUCCGUUGUCGAUCUCAUCAUCCCGCCGGUUCAGCCACCCCGUCCUCCACCUCCAAGGAGCUGCCCCGAUGUUCCCCUCGUCUUUCGUGCCACCUCCAUUCCCACACAACCGUCUUCACCUGCACCACCGGAAGAGCAUCAUCAUCACCGUUUCCUUGGAUGAAGCUACGGCCUAAUCGGCGCCACCAAAGAGGUUGUACACUAAUCGCCGCAUUUUCUUCUUGAUUCGAUCUCACGAUGCUGCUGGCACUCGAUCCCGAGCCGACACGGUGCUGCUCCAUCCACGGCGGCGUCACUGGCCACUUCCUCCAUGGCAUCCCUCCCUCGGUGGCGAUGUCCACAUCAGUAGCAGCUGCUGCUGCUUUAGCUAUCGCUCGCGCUGCUGCUCUUCUCUUGCUCUCGGUCCCCUGUCUGGUCUGCUCUUGCUAUUGCUCUUGCUCGCGCUGCUGCUCUCGCUCUUGCUCUUGCUUGCGAUGCUGCUCUGAUUUUGCUACACUUCAGUCGACUGAAUCGACUUUUGGGUCAGUCGAUUUUUAGGGGGUGGGGGGCUUGCCGGAGUGAAGGAAGAACCAGCCGCAGCGGGGAGGUGGGCUCACCGGAGAGGUACCCCACUAUCUAUAUUAGGGUUCAGGAUGGGGACGGUGGUCACUGGCGGUGGCACGGUGUUGGCAGGACGGUGGCGUGGGGAUCGCCGGAGAAAAAGCUCGGCAUGGGGGGCCUAGAGGGAUGGCCGGGGCGGCGGCGGACCGGCGGUGAGGAGUGUUUUCGGGGCGGGUGGUGUGGUGCACCGCCGACCGCGGGCGGCGGGGGGCUGCUGUUUGGCCGGUGGUGGCUGGCGGCUCAGGGGGUGGAGGUUGAAGAUGAACCGCAGGCCCUUGAUUUCGUAUCCAACAGCUGCAAAAUUGACUGACCAGAGAUGAAAAAUUCAGUCGACCGACGUGUAGCCUCACCUUGCUACUGCGUUCAGUUUCGACAGCAAAAUUCAGUUUCGACAACAAAAUUCAGUUUCGACAGUUAAGUUCAGAGAUGAGCGGCUGAUGUAUUUUACAUCUAGCACUUUGUGGUUAUGUAUUUUACGCCAUGUAUUGGAGAUGCUAUUAGAAUUCCACUCAGGUUAACGUUGUUCGUUGUCUCUCUUGUCCUGCUUCAGCCUCGGCGUCGUACAACUCACCGGAGCUGCUCCAACGACGAAACCCUCCAUCACAAUGGAGCAGUACCUCGGGCUCCAUCUCCAGACGCCUAAGAUCUUCUUCCCCUCCUCCGACAGCAAAGUCAAUCGGAGCAUCCUCACUGGCCAAGCCAAUCACGCUGAGAUCGACAUGGCUUCACCAAAGAGGUUGUACACUUGUUGCAUCUCUUUUUUACUCUACAUGUUAUAUAUAUUGUCCACUGAGCACACAGAUUUGUUCCUUUAGUGUCUCCUUAAAAGAAAAGACGUAGGAAUUUUAGUUUUCACUUGCCCUCCUUAUCAAAUUCCUAUUCAUGAAGCACAAGACUAAGAGAUAGUAGCAUAAUAGCAUUAUAACCAUACAUUUUCUUGUGGUUUGACUUAAUCUCACCAUGCUUCUUUGCAUCCUGUGAUCUUCCAAUUGUUGUGAAUCAAACACCCAGAUUGGCAGAAAAAUCAUGUGUUUUUAAAUUCUCUGUUUUGCACGUGCAUUCCUAUCAUAUUCCUGUCUAUUUCCUAUCCCUGCAUUGUUGGAAUCCUCCAAUUCAAACGAGCCCUUACAGAAUUACUUCUCUUACAGAUAGUUGUCAAAGAAAACCUUGCGUGGUUUGUCCCGCUCCUACUGCGUCAUCGUCCACCCCAGCUCAGCUGCUCCAAUGACAGAAGGGUCCAGCACAACAGGGAUCCGGCCUCCAGACUGUCUUUCACCGCCUCAGAUCUUCUUCCCUGCCGCUGGCAGCCAUGAAAACUGCAUUACCAUCAUCAACCGAGCAGAUGACCUCAACGACUACACGGGUCCGCAAGAGAGGUCGCACUCUUUCGUGUCUACUUACGUUAUGCAUCGCUUAAUAUUACGUGCUACUUUAUCGUCAUGUUCACCGAUUAGACUCUGAGUCAGCUCCAAACUAAUGGUCAAACUUGAGUUUUUAAAUGGUUGUGGGGUACAUAUCGGGGCCGCUAUCAAUAGUAUCUAUCUACUAUCUGGUUAAUCUCCGGUGUCUACUAUGAGUUUCAUGUUGGGUGGGAAACAAACAGUAAAGAAGCCAUUAUCUGUAUUUAUUAACUGAAGCCAUUAUCUGCCUGCUAUUAUUGGUUUUGGGUCUAUCCACAGGUUGCUACCAUCACUCUGGAUUUCUGCAUGCACUCCUUACAUAAUCUCACUAUGUUUUAUUCCUAUGCAUGACAGUUAUUGUAAACAAUGGAACUAAACAUGUAGAGAAAAAGAGACGAUCCUUGCGUGGCAAUAAAAUUUCAUGCAGACAUCGCUCCAUGGUAGGCGCAAAGGCAGCCCCCCUCCAUGCAUUUCGGAUUGUAAUCAAGAGGAAGAUAUCUAUUCUUAGGGGGAUUCAGAAGGAGAAUACAACUCCUAUUUACCCCCUGGGGUCUUUGCUCUAACUUGGCAUGCUGAUGUUGGUUAUAUCAUGCAUAUGGUGUCUUGCAUUGCUUACUUUAUACAUCAAAUAUGUCAUCUGCUUAGUUUAGACAUCCUUUGUGCGAAUGCCAUCUGUUUAGUUUAUUCAUUGUUUAUGUGAAUUAUGCAAUGCCAUCUUGUUUAGCCAGGCAUCAUAUAUGUGAAUUUUGCAAUGCCAUCCUGCUUAGCCAGUCAUCUUAUAUGUAAAUUAUAUCAGGCCAUCCUUUUUUUUCGUUACAUAUUACAUUUGUCAACAAUGUUAGUACAUUCAACUGCUCUUCGUGUGCAUCAGCCAUUUGACACGGUGAUGGCAAAUUCUGGAGUGAAAACAAGGUCUUCAGAGCAGACUAUGCUAUCUGAUGAAGUGCAUAUCUUGCUGGUUACGGAUAGCUCCUCAAAGGAGGAUUUAGAGACAGAUGACCAGUCCUAUUCCCCCCCCCCUCCCCGAGGUGUGUGCUCUAACUUGGCAGGGUUAUGUUGCUCAUAUCGUGUGUAUGGUGUCUCGCAUUGCUAUGUCAUUUGAUUAGUUUAGACAUGCUUUGUGUGAAUGCCACUUGUUCAGUGUCUAAUUGCCAUAUAUGUGAAUUAUGCAUUUCCAUCUUGUUGCAAGACAUUAUAUAUGUGAAUUAUACAAUGCUAUCUUGUUGCAAAGGCAUUAUAUGUCAGGACCCCGACUCAAUGCCACAUCGAUCUAGCAUGUAACACCUCAUAUCACUUUGCGGCCUCACGCACGGUAUUCCCACGGGUGUCGCCUUACCUUUGCCCGGGACCGUUUGCGCCUUUUGGCACACGUAUAUGAUAGUGUCGCUAGCAUCCAUAUGAUAAGGAGCCCGGGCUGACAUGGCUAGUCGUAAACCCAAAGUGGCACAAACUUACAGGGACAGGCAUCCAUGACCCAGCAUCGAACAUGUCGGUCAUCAGCGAGUGAAUCCAGGCUGUAGCACUGGGCUAGCAGGACUCCUGUGAACCGGGCUGUAGCGGGCUAACAGGACUCCGGUAUUCAUCGCGUGACAUUUCCCCGAAGGGACAGACACAGGAACGAAGAAGGACACAUGCCGGCUAGCCUAAGUGUUCCGGAGCAGUAGCAAGCUACCAUGGCUCGGUGGAAACACUAGGAGACAUUUCCCGGUAAGAGAGGCUACUAAAGAUAAACAACUAGAUAGUCAGAUCCCACACAUACCAAGCAUUUCAAUAACAUACACACAAUAUGCUCGAUAUGUGCAAACACAACAUGGCAUCACAACAUGACUCUACGACUCGAGUAUUUAUUCAAUAGGCUCCGAGGAGCGAGAUAUUACAAACAUGAGUCUCAUGACCCAACAUUCAGAGCAUACAAAUCAAAGCACAAGCGGAAGCUCAACAUGUAUGAGUACAGACAUCUACAAAUGAAAAAGGCUGAGAAGCCUGACUAUCUACCAGAUCCUGCCGAGGGCACAAGAUCGUAGCUGAGGUAACAAGCUAAACGUCGAAGUCCACGUGGAACUACUAGUGAGACUGAAGUCUCUCUGCAAAAACAUAAAUUAAGCAACGUGAGUACAAAUGUACCCAGCAAGACUUACAUCAGAACUAACUACAUAUGCAUCAUUAUCAACAAAGGGGAUGGUGGGGUUUAACUGCAGCAAGCCAGCUUUGACUCGGUGGCUAUCCUAACUACGACUGCAAGCAACUCUUUUGAGGUGGCGCACACGAGUCCACAUAUUCGCCGUAUCAAUACACCACUAUGGAUCCGCUCUCGUCUCCCUACGAGAACGCCAUCCAUAGCACUCACGCUUAUCUUGCGUAUUUUAGAGUAUCCACUUUCACUUGUCUAUGAACUGAUAUAAGCAACCCAGAAGUCCUUUUCCGCGGACACGGCUAUUCGAAUAGAUGAUGUUAACCCUGCAGGGGUGUACUUCUUCACACACGCUCUCACCACUUACCUCAUUUACACAACAUGUACUCGGCAACCUUCAAGCGGAAGCCCAACGUGAGUGUCGGCCACGGCCUGCCUAAACACUCAAGUCUCUAGUCCAGGUUUAUUGCCUAUUCGGGUUCCAUCCAUGAGGAGAUCCGGCCGGAGUUUCGCUCAUAGCCCCAAAUGAUGUGAACAGGGUUCCCGAGACACCAAAUGGGCGCCCGGUACACCGUGCCACGUGCCUACCGCAUCACAGCCCACCCCUCCGGUCAGCGCUGCCCACGGCCUCCAGCAUACUACAAACACCAGAAACUACUUGCAACUCCUGGACAGAGGACAAGGGUGAUUAAGAAGCCGAGAGGGUCCAUUGGUUUCGGGCCCAAUGCAUGGUAGUAGCUGAAUCAUGGAUCACAAAUACAGAACUCAGUUUCUGAGGACGGCUGCAAUGAGACAACCCACCAUGUACUCCUACAUGGCCUCUCACCGCUACCUUUACCAAAUCGUGUUCACACGCUUAGCUCACACACUGUAGGACAUGUUCACACACCUCUGAUUCAUCCCGGAUGAAUCAGACCUGACACAACUCUAAGCAAUAGCAGGCAUGACAAACAAACAUGAAUGAGUAGGCACAACAGGGCUCAAACAACUCCUACUCAUGCUAGUGGGUUUCAUCUAUUUACUGUGGAAUGACAGGUCAUGCAAAGGAUAAAGGGGUUCAGCUACCGCAGCAAGUAACAGUUGAAUCGUUGUUGUCCUAAUGUAGUAAAAGAGAGCAGGGCGAGAGAGUAGGAUUGUAUCGGAAUGAACAAGGGGGUUUUGCUUGCCUGGCACUUCUGAAGAUAACAUUGAGUCUUCAUCAGUGUCAACGAUCACAUCAUCGGUACAGCGUCUACCGAGGGGGAACAACACCGGCAAACACAGAAGAAACACGAUCAAUGCAAUGCACAAUAUGAUGCAUGCUAUGACAUGGCAAUAUGAGUGUGUUUUGGGCUAAUGCACCUAGCUAUGAUUUAAAUGAAGUUGGUUUGAAUACAUGAUUCAAAUUCCAACUCCAUAUAUGGUUAUUUAAAUGCCCUUUAUUUGUUUUGUCCAAAACAGAGGACAAGCAUUGUUCAAACAUGCAUGAAAAUGGUACAGAUGGAUUCCUUGAAUUUUUCUGAUCAUUUUUCAUAUAUAACUUGUUUGAUUUGGAGCUACGGUUGAAUUACUAUGAAUUUUAGAAGUUUUAGGAAUUUUCUGGAAUUUCCUGAAUAUUUAGAAUUAAAAUAAUUCCAGAAAAUGCAUUACUGCGUCAGCACUACAUCAGCAUGACGUAAGCGAGUCAACGGGGUGCGGUCCAGGUCAAACCUGACCAGCGGGGUCCACUGGUCAGUGACACAACUAAUUAACCAAGUUAAUUAGCCUUAAGUUAAUUCUAACUAAACUGUUUGUGGGGCCGGGGCCCACUAGUCAGCGACUAAUCAGCUAACUAACCUAGGUUAAUUAGUGUUAAACUAAUACUAACUAAAAAUUUCAGGGGGUGGCCCACACGUCAGUGACACACGGGGGAAGGUCAAACCCGGGUCAACUCGCUGGAGUUGACCCGCGGCUCGUCGCCGGGGGAGCCAGAGACGGCGGAGGGGUGCGGGUUUCCUCCUCCGGCGACCAAAUGGCCGGCGAAGGGCGUCUACGUGACGCAGGCGCUCGUCCGCGUCGAGUAGUGGCAGCGGCUGGGCCUAAGAUGGCCGGAGUCGUCACCGGCAUCGACCGUGGCGGUCGCUGGAGCUCGGGCGAGCUCGGGGUCGACGCUACGGUGGCCGGGGAGGCUCGUGCGAGGCACCUACGUGCUCUAGGCAGUGCAGGGAGGAAGCUGAGCACGACAGUCGGGCCACUAGGUGGCCGGAGGCACGUCGGCGGCGGUCACAGGCGGCGGCGGGUUUCGGUCAUCGGCAAAACGGCGACUAGAACUAGCAAACGUCGCGGAGACAAAGGGAAAACGGUGUAGAAGCUCACGGGGAUUGUGUAGGGCUGGUCGGCGAGCUCGGGGAGGCUUCGGAGGUGGCGAGCGGGCACCAGCGAUCUCGGGCGGCCGGAGAUGGGGAAGAUGGCGUGGGCGGCGAUGCAGGGCGUCCGGCGGGGCAUGGGUUGGUGGAGAGGAAGAGGGGGUCAAGGCGGAGCCUUUGAGCGCAUCGGUGAGGCUGGGGGUGGCCGGUGGCCGCGGCGAACGGCGUCGGUGGCGACGGAGGCGCUCGGGCGGAAAGAACAGAGGAGGGGGAGAGCGUUCGGGGGAGAGAGAGGAACGUCCAGGGCGUCCAGGCGUCGCGCUGGCGUCAUCUAGGCGCGACGAGGGGGAGCCAGGCAGGCUAGGAGGGAGGAGGUGGCCAGGGCAAGCGCGCGCGGGGGCGACACGCCUCUGUCCUUCUGGCGAGGGAGGAAGACGACAGGGGGGGAAGCAGCGGUGGGCUGGGCCGCCAGCUGGAGUUGGGCCAGGUGGGCUGAGAGGUGAGCGCCAGGUAGUUCUUCUGCUCUUCCUAUUUCUGUUUUUUUUUAUUUUGUUCUGUGUUGUUUUAGUUUAGUAAAAUACUAAACCAUUUAUAAAAUCCUGAAAAUAGUUAUGUGGCUAGAACUAAAAUAUACCAAACCACAUAAAAUGUUCCAGUAUUAUUGGACAUAUAUUAUUUAUAUAUCAAAUAUAUAUCCAAUGCAAAUAGUUAUUGAACUAAUUCAAAGGCCCAAAAUAAAUGUUUCAGUCACUCCAAAAAUAUUGGUUUGCAUUUUAUUCUUGCCAAUAUUUUUCAAAGCUGAAAAGGAACAUUUCCUUGGAAACAUUUGAAGCAAUUUUUAAUGUUGAUCAUCAUAUUUUUUUAAAUGAUUUCUGAGGCUCUCCAAUUCCCCAAUUCAAAUUUAAAGAAAUUUAGACAUGAUGCAUGGAUGCAAUGCCACUAGUUACAAGCAAGCUCUAGGGCUGUGACAACUCACCCCCACUAAACAAGAAUCUCGACCCGAGAUUCAAGCGUAGGGUAAGACGAAGGUAAAACGCCAACUAACAUAAUCUUCACGAUCCAGGGUGCACUCCAUAAGAGUGUUGAUUUGAUCACCAUCAUUAUCUUGAUGUCAUGCUCCGAGAACUCCAACCGUCAUGACAACGAGAAGAGAAAGAAAACUCUAGAGGGAUCGAUCUUUUCGAAGGUCGAACAACUCAGGAUUAACUCUCGGAAUGAGGCAUAGCAACAUCUCUCGAGCUAGAGACGAAGCACACCUCUAGAGGGAUGGAGUGGAACAGAUGACGAGGGUUCACUAGGUAGACAACAAUUCCACACUUAAAAAGGUGGUGAACGAUUGUCAACGUAGCAAGGAGUUGAGUUGCCAUGAUACCACAACGAGGCACCUUAGGGAUGGUGACUCGUAGAUAUAUCCCCUUAAGUGGCAAAAAGAAUUACCUUUGAUUCAGAGAUCAUUGAAACUCUUUAAACCAGCCUAAGGCAAUUCUCGAGCGAUCGUUUGGAGGGGUCGGUAGAAUGGCAUACUCGGACUUGGAUGAUGUGGACUACCUUGUUGAAGACAACGCCAUGGAUGAUUUUUGCUUAUCACCGGAAAUGGAAGAGACCCAUGGUAGAAUGGCACAUUGGCAGUGCAAGCUGGGAACAAAAUGCAAAUGCUGGGAAUGAUUCUGGUAACUGGGGAAGAACCCAACAAUAGAGAGUGAAUUCACUGUUUGAAAAGGUCAUAGCAUUGCCGAGGAAACUUAGAGCACUAUACAGUUAAUGCCGACGAUCAAACCUAGCACUUGCGCAUGCUCUCAAGAACUUGAGCAUUUCCAUAAUCAUCAAGGUUUUACCAACAUCCGUGUCAAGGAUCCUGGCAACACAACUUGCUACCAUGAUGAAUGAUGAUGGAUGAUGCAGAUGCAAAGGAAGAUAACACUUUCUCAGAUUUCACCCUUGGCGAGGCCAAGGAAAUAAAAUCUGGAUGAUCGACCGAGAGACAUUUAGCACUCCGCUUCUAAUGUUCUCCUUGAUGUGCUAGCGUAAUCCACCCAUAGAUAUGGUUUGAUAUCUAGAACAUCAAGUAAAAGGUCGGACUUCGGGAUCUCAAAAAUCCAUAGGGGCAACUAGGGAGUAAAUCCUACGAAAUCCCUAUGGGGAGGUGGCCAACUUCUCCAAUCAAGAUACUACAAUAUUAGGUCUCCCGGCGGGGUGUGUUGGCCACGACAUCCACUUUACCGGUUUCCGAGGGACCGAUAUUAUAGUUCUUGGGAAAUGUUCCAAACCAUCAUAUCUGUCUGAGAUUCAGAUCUGGUUGGUGUCAGGAUAUUCCAGACUCAUCGAGGCUAGGAAGAAAAACGAAAGUUUGCAACACAAAUCGACAAGAUGACGUUGCGAGAUUCUCGGGGAAUGAACUACGAUAGUAAGCUCCAAAACAUGAGCUGGUUCUGCUACAAACAUGUGAACACGUUGUCCCAGACAAGCAUGGCCACGUAGUAGUCUUAUAAUUAAACACUACCGAGCUCAGGUGGGGAACCAUAAUCAAGGAUAUCGAAGUCUUUACGCAAGUCCAUGGAUUAGAUCCCAAGCAUAGACUUCUUUUCCUUGAACAAGUCAAUCAGUGGCUUAGUGUGCUAGGGACACAUAUAGAAUGAAGGUUGCAAGCCUCCAGACUACAGAAUACUUUGCACGUGUGCAUGACUGAUUUGGGAUGAUUCCAAAGGAAACAAAACAAUCUUCCUCGAAUUCAUGGCGGCAACUUACAUCAGAUGCACAUGAAUUAGAGGAAGUCACUACUUUCAUCCAAACAUAGGCUUCAUGAAUGGAGCACGAAGGCAUUGCUUACAAAAUUUUCAACACUAGGUUGAUGUUCAACAUGAUUCAUGGGGGGACACGAAAUGCUACUGAUGGGCUCAACAACAACUCAUCGGAAUUUCCAUAUCACUGGACUUCCACCAUCAUGUGAACACGGCGAUAGCAUUGGUCAGACCAAAGAUGUAAUGGUGUAUGCUCGAGGGAUCAACCACGGGUAAGACAACAUUACGAGCAUCGUUGGUACUGACUUGAUUUGACGAUAGCCCACACUCAAAUCAAAGGAUUGAUAAGACAAUAGGUCCAGCAACUGCUCACAGGGACCAAUCGAUGAAGAUAUCAUCUUUCUUCAACACACACUACACAAGAAUAUCCCUUUGGAACGAACUAAGUCAGGCAAGCUUUUAUCUUCCAACUCUCCAAGUUGUUGUCUAGUUUAACCAACUAGCUCAGGGAUAUCUAACACCGAUCUUGGAGAGAGGGUGGUUCACAAGAAACCAACUUGAUCAUGAGCUCAACAUAGCGGUCAGGUGACAACCUGGUAAUACUUCCGAGAAGAUCUUCGGAAAAUCACGAACCACCGGUAUGUUACUAAGCUUGAGAACAAUCUUGCUUUUCAGGGCAAGACGAUAUAAUCAAACAAGCAAGGAUUGACACUAUCCUAACUCAUUGGUUGAAAAGUGCACCAGGAAUAAGGACUAGGUAGCACGAUCAAUCUUAGAAGGAUGAUUCAAAAACCAACACGCUAAGAAUGAAAUUAUUAUCCUUUAACUACCAAGCAACGAGGUUGCUGGGAGUAUUGAUUUCACACAUCACAAUUCAUUUGUCGGCAUUCCGGUUACAAUAACACGAGGACCGAGGAAUGACUAAUGAUGGUGAGAAGUAUCACUACCAAGAGUUCAUAGGAUGGUGUGCAAUUCCUAUAACAAUCCCGAUAUAAAAGAUGGUAAUACUCCAAGGUAGAACAGAGCAAAAGCAAGAUUAGCAAUUUGAUCUGCGGAGUACGACUUCUUUGACCCAAUCCUGGAUAUGGAAGAGGUACUGGAGUUUGUUUCUCCUAGUCAUUCCGUGGUAGAAUGGCUUGACAGACCACAAGAGUAAUAGGCAUCGAUAAACGAAUGCAUGCAUACUCUUGACUAUCAAUUGAUAGACGAAGGUCAGUAGACAACUAAAGAGGGACAACUCAAAGGAACAUAUAACUUUCUGAGUUGUGGAUGCAUAGAUUAGUAUGUCGAACCAGGUUCAACAGGUUUCUUCCGGAUAACCCAUGCAGAAAGGUUGAGCUGGCAGAGUCACAAUAUAGCAUGGAGAACUCAUCGAGAGCACUCUUGUUGUCAUCUUUUGGUUCAGAAGAACUCCUGCCAAGAAUGGUUCAUGGUAAUUGGAAGAAGGAUGUACCACGAACCUCGAGGACUAUCGCAAAGGUUACUAAUAUCCUAAAGGAACUAGCAACACUAUCAACAUGAUGUAAGUAGGGUGAAUCUCGGGUUCAAGAACCCAGGAAUAGAAUGCCUACUAACUAAAUGGCAUCACGGGAUGCUUUCGAUAAUGACAGCCAGAAUCAUCACACUGGAAACACAGAUCAUGGCUAGACCACUAGAUGAUCCUCUAAGCACUUAGGGUCAUAAUAGGAACUCCAACAUAUAUGUCAAGGCAAUAAAUUACCUCAACGCACCGGUUAGUGUGCUUAUUCUGACCAUAAGGGACAUCGGGAACGGAAAGAAAGGAUUUGCAAAUGCAUCAGACUAUUUAGAAACCUGGAAUGACUCGGACAGCAUAACGGCUGUAAAUGCUUAGAAAAGAUUUGAGACAUUCACAAAAAUGGUGGCAUAACCACUCAGAAGCACAAUAUCAAGGUUUCGAGAUCAUCAGUAACAUACAGAAGUAGUAGGAGCUGAACUGAGACUUAAAUCCAACAAUCUUAUAAGUCUACUGAUUAGUAACACGUGAUCCUGAUAGAAAGAGGAGAUAGCCUAGUUCCUUAACCCUGCAGGAAAGAUAAGAUGACUCAGAUCAGAAGGCAUAAGGUAUAAGGAGUAAAAAGAGCCUUACGUUACAUCCCACAAUCAAUUCCCUUAUAUAACUAAAGAAUUUCUAGACUCAACUUCGACCAGUUUGGCUUGGUAAUCCUACAGGCAGUCAAGCUCUGAUACCAACGCUGUCAGGACCCCGACUCAAUGCCACAUCGAUCUAGCAUGUAACACCUCAUAUCACUUUGCGGCCUCACGCACGGUAUUCCCACGGGUGUCGCCCUACCUUUGCCCGGGACCGUUUGCGCCUUUUGGCACACGUAUAUGAUAGUGUCGCUAGCAUCCAUAUGAUAAGGAGCCCGGGCUGACAUGGCUAGUCGUAAACCCAAAGUGGCACAAACUUACAGGGACAGGCAUCCAUGACCCAGCAUCGAACAUGUCGGUCAUCAGCGAGUGAAUCCAGGCUGUAGCACUGGGCUAGCAGGACUCCGGUGAACCGGGCUGUAGCGGGCUAACAGGACUCCGGUAUUCAUCGCGUGACAUUUCCCCGAAGGGACAGACACAGGAACGAAGAAGGACACAUGCCGGCCAGCCUAAGUGUUCCGGAGCAGUAGCAAGCUACCAUGGCUCGGUGGAAACACUAGGAGACAUUUCCCGGUAAGAGAGGCUACUAAAGAUAAACAACUAGAUAGUCAGAUCCCACACAUACCAAGCAUUUCAAUAACCUACACACAAUAUGCUCGAUAUGUGCAAACACAACAUGGCAUCACAACAUGACUCUACGACUCAAGUAUUUAUUCAAUAGGCUCCGAGGAGCGAGAUAUUACAAACAUGAGUCUCAUGACCCAACAUUCGGAGCAUACAAAUCAAAGCACAAGCGGAAGCUCAACAUGUCUGAGUACAGACAUCUACAAAUGAAAAAGGCUGAGAAGCCUGACUAUCUACCAGAUCCUGCCGAGGGCACAAGAUCGUAGCUGAGGUAACAAGCUAAACAUCGAAGUCCACGUGGAACUACUAGUGAGACUGAAGUCUCUCUGCAAAAACAUAAAUUAAGCAACGUGAGUACAAAUGUACCCAGCAAGACUUACAUCAGAACUAACUACAUAUGCAUCAUUAUCAACAAAGGGGAUGGUGGGGUUUAACUGCAGCAAGCCAGCUUUGACUCGGUGGCUAUCCUAACUACGACUUCAAGCAACUCUUUUGAGGUGGCGCACACGAGUCCACAUAUUCACCAUAUCAAUACGCCACUAUGGAUCCGCUCUCGUCUCCCUACGAGAACGCCAUCCAUAGCACUCACGCUUAUCUUGCGUAUUUUAGAAUAUCCACUUUCACUUGUCUAUGAACUGAUAUAAGCAACCCAGAAGUCCUUUUCCGCGGACACGGCUAUUCGAAUAGAUGAUGUUAACCCUGCAGGGGUGUACUUCUUCACACACGCUCUCACCACUUACCGCCGUUUACACGACAUGUACUCGGCAACCUUCAAGCGGAAGCCCAACGUGGGUGUCGGCCACGGCCUGCCUAAACACUCAAGUCUCUAGUCCAGGUUUAUUGCCUAUUCGGGUUCCAUCCAUGAGGAGAUCCGGCCGGAGUUUCGCUCACAGCACCAAAUGAUGUGAACAGGGUUCCCGAGACACCAAACGGGCGCUCGGUACACCGUGCCACGUGCCUACCGCAUCACAGCCCACCCCUCCGGUCAGCGCUGCCCACGGCCUCCAGCAUACUACAAACACCAGAAACUACUUGCAACUCCUGGACAGAGGACAAGGGUGAUUAAGAAGCCGAGAGGGUCCAUUGGUUUCGGGCCCAAUGUGUGGUAGUAGCUGAAUCAUGGAUCACAAAUACAGAACUCAGUUUCUGAGGACGGCUGCAAUGAGACAACCCACCAUGUACUCCUACAUGGCCUCUCACCGCUACCUUUACCAAAUCGUGUUCACACGCUUAGCUCACACACUGUAGGACAUGUUCACACACCUCUGAUUCAUCCCGGAUGAAUCAGACCUGACACAACUCUAAGCAAUAGCAGGCAUGACAAACAAACAUGAAUGAGUAGGCACAAUAGGGCUCAAACAACUCCUACUCAUGCUAGUGGGUUUCAUCUAUUUACUGUGGAAUGACAAGUCAUGCAAAGGAUAAAGGGGUUCAGCUACCGCAGCAAGUAACAGUUGAAUCGUUGUUGUCCUAAUGCAGUAAAAGAGAGCAGGGCGAGAGAGUAGGAUUGUAUCGGAAUGAACAAGGGGGUUUUGCUUGCCUGGCACUUCUGAAGAUAACAUUGAGUCUUCAUCAGUGUCAACGAUCACAUCAUUGGUACAGCGUCUACCGAGGGGGAAUAACACCAGCAAACACAGAAGAAACACGAUCAAUGCAAUGCACAAUAUGAUGCAUGCUAUGGCAUGGCAAUAUGAAUGUGUUUUGGGCUAAUGCACCUAGCUAUGAUUUAAAUGAAGUUGGUUUGAAUACAUGAUUCAAAUUCCAACUCCAUAUAUGGUUAUUUAAAUGCCCUUUAUUUGUUUUGUCCAAAACAGAGGACAAACAAUGUUCAAACAUGCAUGAAAAUGGUACAGAUGGAUUCCUUGAAUUUUUUUGAUCAUUUUUCAUAUAUAACUUGUUUGAUUUGGAGCUACGGUUGAAUUACUAUGAAUUUUAGAAGUUUUAGGCAUUUUCUGGAAUUUCCUGAAUAUUUAGAAUUAAAAUAAUUCCAGAAAAUGCAUUACUGCGUCAGCACUACGUCAGCAUGACGUAAGCGAGUCAACGGGGUGCGAUCCAGGUCAAACCUGACCAGCGGGGUCCACUGGUCAGUGACACAACUAAUUAACCAAGUUAAUUAGCCUUAAGUUAAUUCUAACUAAACUGUUUGUGGGGCCGGGGCCCACUAGUCAGCGACUAAUCAGCUAACUAACCUAGGUUAAUUAGUGUUAAACUAAUACUAACUAAAAAUGUCAGGGGGUGGCCCACACGUCAGUGACACACGGGGAAAGGUCAAACCCGGGUCAACUCGCCGGAGUUGACCCGCGGCUCGUUGCCGGCGGAGCCAGAGACGGUGGAGGGGUGCGGGUUUCCUCCUCCGGCGACCAAAUGGCCGGCGGAGGGCGUCUACGUGACGCAGGCGCUCGUCCGCGUCGAGUAGUGGCAGCGGCUGGGCCUAAGAUGGCCGGAGUCGUCACCAGCAUCGACCGUGGCGGUCACCGGAGCUCGGGCGAGCUCGGGGUCGAUGCUACGGUGGCCGGGGAGGCUCGUGCGAGGCACCUACGUGCUCUAGGUAGCGCGGGGAGGAAGUUGAGCACGACAGCCGGGCCACUAGGUGGCCGGAGGCACGUCGGCGGCGGUCACAGGCGGCGGCGGGUUUCGGUCAUCGGCAAAACGGCGACUAGAACUAGCAAACAUCGCGGAGACAAAGGGAAAACGGUGUAGAAGCUCACGGGGAUCGUGUAGGGCUGGUCGGCGAGCUCGGGGAGGCUUCGGAGGUGGCGAACGGGCACCGGCGAUCUCGGGCGGCCGGAGAUGGGGAAGAUGGCGUGGGCGGCGAUGCAGGGCGUCCGGCGGGGCAUGGGUUGGUGGAGAGGAAGAGGGGGUCGAGGCGGAGCCUUUGAGCGCAUCGGCGAGGCUAGGGGUGGCCGGUGGCCGCGGCGAACGGCGUCGGUGGCGACGGAGGCACUCGGGCGGAAAGAACAGAGGAGGGGGAGAGCGUUCGGGGGAGAGAGAGGAAGGUCCAGGGCGUCCAGGCGUCGCGCUGGCGUCGUCUAGGCGCGACGAGGGGGAGCCAGGCAGGCUAGGAGGGAGGAGGUGGCCGGGGCAAGCGCGCGCGCGGGCGACACGCCUCUGUCCUUCUGGCGAGGGAGGAAGACGACAGGGGGGGAAGCGGUGGUGGGCUGGGCCACCAGCUGGAGUUGGGCCAGGUGGGCUGAGAGGUGAGCGCCAGGUAGUUCUUCUGCUCUUCCUAUUUCUGUUUUUUUAUUUUGUUCUGUGUUGUUUUAGUUUAGUAAAAUACUAAACCAUUUUAUAAAAUCCUGAAAAUAGUUAUGUGGAUAGAACUAAAAUAUACCAAACCACAUAAAAUGUUCUAGUAUUAUUGGACAUAUAUUAUUUAUAUAUCAAAUAUAUAUCCAAUUCAAAUUGUUAUUGAAUUAAUUCAAAGGCCCAAAAUAAAUGUUUCAGUCACUCCAAAAAUAUUGGUUUGCAUUUUAUUCUUGCCAAUAUUUUUCAAAGCUGAAAAGGAACAUUUCCUUGGAAACAUUUGAAGCAAUUUUUAAUGCUGAUCAUCAUAUUUUUUUAAAUGAUUUCUGAGGCUCUCCAAUUCCCAAAUUCAAAUUUAAAGAAAUUUAGACAUGAUGCAUGGAUGCAAUGCCACUAGUUACAAGCAAGCUCUAGGGCUGUGACAUUAUAUAUGUGAAUUAUGCAAUGCCAUGUUGUUUAGCCAAUCAUCAUGUAUGUGAAUUAUAUCAUGUUAUCAUUUUUUUGUAUUACAUGUUCCAUUUGUCGACAAUGUUUGUAUAUUCAACUACUCUUCCUGUGCGUCAGCCAUUUGAAGCGGUGGUGGAAGUAUCUGGAGUGAAAACAAGGUAUUCAGAGCAGACAAUGCUACCUGCUGAAGCAGACAUCUUGCUGGUUACAGAGAGCUCCUCAGAGGAGGAUUUAGAGACUGAUGACCAGUCCUAUUUCCCCCCUGAGGUCUAUGCUCAAACUUGGCAGGGUUAUAUUACCCAUGUCAUGCAUGUUGUCUUGCAUUGCUUAGUUUUUACAUCAUAUAUGGAUUGACAUCUGCUUACUUGCUUACUAUAUAAAUCAUAUAUUGGAAUUAUAUCAUGCCAUCAUGUUUACAUAGUACAUACACAUCAUCUAUCUGAAUUAUGGCAUGGCAACCCAUUUAAUAAAGACAUCAUAUAGUUAUAUCACCUCAUCAUGUUUAGUGUUUACAGUCAUCAUAUUUUGAAUUAUGGCAUUCUAUCCGUGAAUAUAUGUGAAUUAUGGCAUGCCAACCUAUUUAAUAAACACAUUAUAUAGUUAUGUCAUGUCAUCAUGUUUACACAGUCUCAUAUUUUGAACUAUGUCUUUCCAUCUUUUUUAGUUAGCCAUCAUAAUGUGAAAUUGUGUCAUGCUAUCCUGUUUAGUUAGCCAUCAUAUAUGUGAAAUUGUGUCAUGCUAUCCUAUUUGGUUAGACAACAUAAAUAUGAAUUAUUUCAUGCCCUCUUUUAUUCCCCACUAUCCAUUGCUCCUGUCUAUCAUACAAUGCCUAUACUUUCAAUUACUUUUCUUGUUUAUCAGCCAUUUGAAUUGGAGAGUGUGAUGGCAGUAUCUAAGGGAGUAACAACACGGUCUUCAGAAAAGAUAGUGCUACCAGUUGAUGCAAAUAGAACCACGGUUGUACUUGCCCAAGGACCAGAUGCACUACACAUAACCCAGACUCUCGCAGAUUGUACCCCUAGUCAGUUGGACAAAGAACCAGCUACACCCCUUCUAACCCCAACCCCGGCAGAUAGUAACCCAGUUCCAGUUGACACAGCACCGUCUCCACCACAGAGCACCCAAACACGAGCUGUUAGUAAGGGAACUGCAGUGCCCAAAGCACGAGGACCACCACUCCGAAUCCCAACUCAACGCUUAAAGGAGAAGAAGAUUUCUUCUUAGGUCAGGUUCUAUAGUUAUGGUUCAUACUCCUUUGCUCUUGCAUUACUGUAUUUACUCAUACCAACUAUUUUCAAAUUUGAAGGAUGGAAUUGAAACUCUAAUGGUGCAACAGGUAUGUUUUAAACCUGUUUCUUUAACUGGUUUGCUAUUGUAACCUGCUCUAUGUUCAUUUCAGUUUCAAUUGAAUAAACAGUUAUGUUCUCAUGUCAUGCAUAUUACAAGUGUUGUUAUUGCUCUAUAGUUACCAACACUUAUAUUCUGUCUAUUCUGCUUUGUCUUGAACAAAUAUUAUUUGAACUGUGUCUCUAUCUUGAUUUGGCAACAAAAACUAGAAUGAUAUAGACCAUAAAGUGACCAUGGUACAUAGAUAUAUGUUUGUUUCAUGCUUUUAUCCUGUCCACUUUACUACUGAACUCAUUUACCAAAAUGAGUUUCAUAUACAACUUGGUAAACAUGUGAUGUGUCUGCUUGUUUCUCUUUUAGAAUGUGGACAAAAUAUUGGAGAACAGUACCAUGUUAUCCAAUGGUAAAGGAAGUAAUGCAGAUAAGGUUCAAGAUAGUGAGACAUCUCUGUUGGUCUCCAAGAAAGCUGAUAAAAACUAUCUUGAUGAUAGUGAGGGAACCCAAAAGUCCUUUCUUGAUGUAGUGUUCGAGUUACUGGCCACUACUGCUGGCGCAAGCUCUUCGAACUCAUUGCCUGAAUCAGUUCGUCUUCUUGAGUCUCAACUUCAAGUUGAAAGACAUUGAUCAGAUGUGCUGCGACAUGAAGCUGAAGGACUGAGGAAGUCCCUGCAGAAUUCAGAUGCAUAUUUUCUGGUGCAACAGCAAGCGCUGGAGGAUUUAAGCGCCAAACAAGAGAAAGUUAAUAAGCUUGCUAACCAUCUUGCCAACAUUAUGGGUACCCAGGAUAUUGUUUCUUGAGAUCUUCUGAAGUGGUUUCAGUUCUGGAUUUGUUUUGUUGCGGCGUUUAUUUGCGCUGGUCGCCAACUUUGACAACUAGUGUAUAUGAUAUGUUGCUUUGUUCCCUAUAUUUGCACUAGUGGCGAACUUUGAUGCCCAAUGGAUGUAAUAUGUGUAAUAGCCGUGAUAGCCUAGCUCUAGUUACUUGCUUAUUUAUUUCCUUGUUGUCUUGUUUAUUUGUUUGCUUGUAGUCAUUGCAGUUCUUUUUCCGCGGUUAGCUAGUGGCUGUAAUAACCUAUUUUUUAAAACUAGGCCACAAUAACCAUGGGCUAAUAUUUACUGUAGUGACACUGGGCCUCCUAGUGGCCGUAGAAACAGUGGGCCUUCUACGGGCCGUAGAAACAAUGGGCCUUAUAUGGGCCAUAGAAACAAUGGGCCUUCUGCGGGCCGUAUCAUCAAUGGGCCUUAUACGGGCCGUAUGAUCGAUUAGCCAAACAUGGGCUAAACAGACCGCAUUAUGGAUGUAAACGGGCUAGAGUUGGAAUCAUCCGUUCAUGGGACGACCAUAAUGGGCCAUCGUUAAUAGGUCGUAUUUGAUGACGCUAUGAAAACGGCCCAACGUAUUAACGGACCACAAACGGGCCGACUGUAACCACGGGCUGAAUUUGACCCACAAGCAGAAAAUGACAGUAACAGGCCGUAAGUAAAUGAAUGCUGGAAAUGAGCCCAAGAAUAAAUGGGCUCUGAGAAGGCCGAAAGAUAACAUGGGCUGGAAACGGCCCAACAGAAUAACGGGCCGUUAAUGGGUAUAAAGUGAUACACUGUUCAUUACGGGCCAGUUUCACCACGGGCCGUUAAUGGGUGUAAAGUGAUACACUGUUCAUUACGGGCCAGUUUCACCACGGGUCGUUAAUAGGCCAAGAGUUAGAUAGGGCCUCAUAUGGGCCGAAAGACGUCAUGGGCCAUACAUGCGCCAGAAGGGAAAACGGGCUGGAAUCAUGUUGGAUGGCCCAAAUGACGCUACUGGGCCUAAAUCGGAUGGGGCGUAACGGGCCUUGGGUUAGCGGGCUGUAAAUGGGCUAUAUGCGAACCGGCCGUUAACAGGCUUUCCAUGGGCCGGCCCGCCACCUUUUGACCAAGUCAAACGGGCCGGCCUUUUCACAGGAAUGGGCCUCUGUUGGGCCGUGCCACGUGUCGACGUAUCAUAGGCGCCUUCCAUCCAAUGAGUGGAUGACAUCUGUCCCAACGAUGAGUCGACACGUGUUUCCUCCAGCCAAUGAUGAUUUUACACAUGGAAAAUCCCCAUUGGUCGGGGCUGUUAACGGGUUAUCGGAUCCAAAACCUGACCCGAUAGCUUAACGGCGUUCCGUUAUAGUGGAUGCCACGUGUCGGUCACCCUUGACGAAAGCACUUCUGUGACGCGCGAUUUAUCGUCAUGGAAGUGGACACUUCCGUGAUGAUAAUUCUGGUAAUGUCAUGGAACACUUCUACGACAGCAUAGGUAUGACUAUCUUGAUUAUGUCAUAAAAUAGUCAUGGAUGUACAUGCAUGACAAAAAACGCGACCUACUGUGACAAACACGUAUCAUCACGGAAGUGUAUUUUUUUGUAGUGAGUGCUCUAUUUCAUCAAAACACACAUUGCUCAUAUGAUAAACCGUGACAACUUAUGUCUUACCAUGCCAUAUUCAUGAAAAACUAGUGAGGACGCAUUUGUUUCGGCAACAAUUACGAUGGUUCUCACAUGAUUCACGGGCACACAAAAGUAGCAGCAGUUCCCAUAGACGGAUUCAAACAGAGUACUAGCCCCAGAGGGGUCGAUAACAUGCAAGGUUCAGAUAAUUAGACACAAUCCAAACUACUAUUAAACACUAGCUGGGGCAACUAUUUCAUGCCUCGAUCUAAUUUGGGCUGGACACAAGACGGACCUUGCCAUGAACAUCAUCGAAGAUGUCCCGUAGCAGCUCAAUCCUAUGAACCUUCAUGAAGACAACCUUGUGCCGUUGCCACUGAUAAACUUGUUUGUGGAGGCAUGCCACAUCAUCUUCAUGCGUAAGCUUGACAAGAACAGUAUCCCUCACAAAUGAAGGAGUAGCUUUGAACUUCUUGUGCUUCAGUACACCCUGGAAAACACGCCUGACAAUAGUGAGGCUGGAAUACAACUCUUCAUUGGUAUAACCGCAAAUGGCUUCCAGGAUCCAACAGCCUAAGAACUCUGUUUUCUCAGUGCGUAUAUUCAGGUCAUCCGCCUCAUAGCGAGUGACAUGUACAACCACACAAUCCUUGUCUGCAUCAGGGCUCUAAUUGAAACAGAAACAAAUUCUGAAUUACGUUUUAGUAUAAGAAACACAAGUUAUUUAAACCACUAUGUAUAGCAUGGCAUCGAAGCUAAUAAAAUUUUGCAUUAUUAAUCACCACAUACUUAGAUGAAAACCCACAAUCGAGAUCGGCAAAGAAGAAAAUCACCUUGGGUAGCUCAGCGGGGGGGACACAUCCUCGAAGGGGGAAAACUGCUCCUGCAGUGCCACGGGGGUUGUAACCUCAAACGGGGCGUUGACCAUCUCAGUAGUGGCCGUGAGCGUAUCUGGGGCUGGCUCGAUGGCUGCCUCCAUCUUCUUGGAGCUCUCUGUCUCGUGGGGAUCAACCUCAUGCGUCUGCUCCAAUAUCGGCAGAUCUUUGCCUAGUUCUCCUUGGUCCAUCAUGAAACUGACGAAUACUAGGAGACCACUGAAAGGAAAACACAAUCACAAUGACAAUGAAACAAAAAUGAGAGUGAGGAUCGGUUACUGCUUUGCAAAAGUUCUUUUUUUCCUCUGAACGAAAAUAUACCAACAUCACGGAUCCGCUUACCUUCCCUUCGUUGGGAGAAAAGAACAGUGGCAAAUGCGAGUGUUGCCUUUCUUGAAGACGGUGAGGGAGAAGGGGAUUCCGCGAAGAGUGAAAUGAUGGUUGCUUUGUCCGUCAAACUUAGACUGCGGGGAGGUGGGGUUUUGUGAUACGACGGCUCGUUACUGCCGCGCUAGGACCGGGGUGACUCUCUGCCUGCAUACUGCCUUCUAAUUUGGUGGAUGGCAUUUCGACCCGCGCGCUGCAUGGUCGGCAUGUCGGUAACCAAAAGUAUAAGUACAUUCAAUAGAGGGAGACGUUUCAAUGACCUAGGAGUAACCAGAAGCGGUAGAGUGUCUCCAGUGUACUAGUAGUAAUUGUUUUUCUGGGUAGUAUACUAGUAGUAGUUGUUUCUCUGGGCCCAAGACAAAACAGCCCAUCCACACUAGUAAAUAGUAAACUCAAUUCAAAAGCCCAUAUAUUUACUGAAUGAGAAGCGCUACCCACACCCAGCACACCGCUCCCGCAAAAAACCUGGGUGCUCUUCUUCCUCCUCACUCCCACCCACCUCAUGUCAACUCGCUCCACUCGUACCCCCAAAUUCCUCACCUCACUCCUACAGAAAACCCCAGCUCCCCUUCUUCCUCACUCCUACAGAAAACCCCUAGCUCCCCUUCUUCUUCGCUCGCACUACAACUAGGCUCGUCAUUCAUUACUCUUCUCAAAUCCGUGAGCGCGAUGCGAUGCCCUCGAGGAAAAUUGAGUCGGCUGACCCCAGCGCCAAGAAGAUGAGGCUCCUGCCAGCGAUGAAACCUGUUGUAGAUCCCGCACCCAGCAGUGCAGGGAGAAGCAGCGACCCUACCCCCAUCGGAUCCCAGGAAACCGUAGAAUCUCGGGUGGACCACAUCAGCGAUCUCCCGGACGCCGUCCUUGGGGAGAUCAUCUCGCUUCUCCCCACCAACGAUUGCUGCCACAUCCAAGUCCUCUCAAUUCGGUGGCGCCCUCUAUGGCGCGCCGUGCCCCUUAAUCUCGACUAUCGUCAGCUAUCUCUCUUCAAUGAUUUUGAAAUCCCCAGAGCCAUCAUCUCCUCCCACCAGGGCUCCGUUCAAAGCCUCUGCAUCCCGUCAUGCUACCUGAGCAAGCAUACCAUGCCCUGCACGGCAGAUGCCUGCUUGAAAUCCCCUGAAUUCACAGAACUACAGCUGCUUGAGUUCUACUAUUCCCAUGGAAAUCACAUACCACAUACUGAACGCCAUGAACUUGUGCCCUCAGCACCGAUGUCCAUCUCGCGGUUUUCCUCCUCUCUCCACACCGCCACCUUUGCGCUGUGCUACCUACCAUACAAUCUGGUACUAAACCUUCGACUCCCAUUUCUCAAGAAAUUUUCACUUGUGCGGGUUUGUAUAUCGGAGGCAUCAUUGCACAGCAUCAUCCACUCCAGCUGCCCUGCGCUGGAGUGCUUGGUGCUUGUUUUCACAGUUAGAAUCGGUUGUCUCCAAAUAAAGUCGCCUAACCUUGUAAGAAUUGGAAUUUCUUUUGACGGAAGGCAGCUCAUCAUCCAAGACGCCCCUUCACUUCAAAGGUUGAUCCUUGAUUCUAGUUAUUCACUGUUGCAAAUAACCGUCCUCUCUGUGUCUAAACUCGAGACCUUGGGUGUAAUACAUGAUCUCUGUGCUCAUUUCAAUAUGGUGUUUAGCUCCAUAGUUCUUCAGGUACUUUAUAUUAUCAUCUACACUUGUAACCAUAAGCUGCAUUUUAAAUUUCAGCGCAUAAGUUAUAUAUCAUCUUGGAGUACACAUUUUUCUACUAAUAUUAUGUUCUAUGCUCAAUGAAGAGUUUCUCCAUGUAUGGCCUAUCAAUGGUGCUGGAUUCUGUCAAGAUCUUAUAUAUCCAAAUGAAUAGUUUUGAUCUGAACAAGAUUAUUGGCUUGCUGCAAUGCUUUCCAUGUCUGGAGAAGUUGUAUAUAAAGGUGAUAAUUCCACGCACAUUGGAAGCCCGCAUAUAGUGUACUAGAAUUAACCGUUCAGCUGUUGCUCUUUCGACACUCUUCUUUUAGACCUUAACUAUUUUCAAUCUUCAUGUCUAUUUAGGCAACAGGAUGGCGUAAGAAAGUUAUAACCAAUCGGUGGAUUCAUAAGCAUCAGGAUUUUCUCACUUCUCAUGAAAUUCGAUUGAAGACAAUAACGCUAGAACGAUAUGUAGCCAACCGUGCAAACACUAGAUUUGUCACAUUCUUCCUGCUGAAUGCGAGGUUACUAUUGUCCAUCAGGCUUAAGUUUAUUAGCAGCAUGGUUUUGAAGGAUGGGUAUGUCGAAGAGCAAAAAAAGGAGUUUCAGGUGGGCAAAAGAGCUUCUGAACGUGCAGGGCUUCUAUUUACAACAUAUUGUGGUCAUAAUCCAGUAAAUUUUACGACCCAGGAUGUUCAUUCUAUGGACCUGACCGAUCCAUUUGACUGUGACUGCCAAAAACAGUGCUGGAGUUAGAUGUUGUUGCCCUUUUCAACCUGGGUUUUUUUGUAAACCUGAUGAACAAUUAACCCUCGUGCUUUUGUACAGUUUGUACGCUGGAGUUAGAUGUUCCUGCCCUUUUCAACUCGGUUGUGACUGUCAUAUUUUCUUUGAAACAAGGCAAAUGGCCUGCCAUUCGUUUAAUUUAGAGUGAAAUAUUGUAACAAAUCCCAACCAAGGGAAAUAACAUCACUCUCGCCAGCUGCUUGAGCUCACUGUGCAUUACAGAAGCCAAGUGAUUACCCCCACCAGCUCCCACAAAUUUAUUUUGAACUAGCACAUCAAAUGGGAUGUAAAUUUUCAUAGGAAAGGCUGCAUGACCGUGACGGAUUUGGAUUCUGACAUUUGGGACCCGCGAGGAAAUAGCCUAUCCAAGGUGGUGUCGACUUACUAGCCAGUCAACAAACGAUUCUGCCUACCAGCCGUUGGAUUGACAUCCAACAUCUGUCGUGUAUCUUCUAUCUCUUGUCUUCUUCUUUCUCCAGCCACCCAAACCAAACCACCCCGUCGGCUUCGUCUGCUCCCGCCUCCCAUGGCUAGCUGCGCCUCCGCCGCCCUACCGUACGUACCCUCCAAUGUUGGCCAGUCCCUCCCUCUAUUCCCUCAGACAUCCUGUUAUUCUCCGGUGACGUCAGCCCCAGCAGCACCCGCGUUCGAACCAGUCAACCCUCGUACUCCCCUCCGCCUGCGACUGGACCGGUGCAUCUUCCAUGGCUCCUGUUUGUUCCGUCCGAGGCCUCGCCAUCGUCCUCCGCCUUGCGGCCUUGGUUCACUCGCCGUGCGCGGUGCGCCGCACUCUUGCAUUGUCAACAUCGUCAACAACCGAGAGGAACAAGGAGAUGACUAUACGUGUAGAGGAUGACAGUAGGGACCCACCAGCGUCAUGGCAGUACGCAAGCAAGUGCCUCUAUAUUACAAGCCCAAAAUAUGGUUCCUCCUAAUGGUUGGACAUCUGGGGCUCACGUCAUUGUCAAUGUAGUCAAUAAACGAGAGAAUUACACUACGAGCGGCUGACACCAGGGACCCAGCAGGUCACGCAGUUUUCUUUUUUGAGAAACAAGUAGUUGUUAUUUAUACUAGUUUUAGUGACGGAUCAGGGUAACAACGGGGCUGUGCAGGGGCUGUGGCCUGUCUAGCCAGGGUUUUAUUUAUGUUUACCACAUCAUGAGCCCAGUUGUGUUUUUUUCUUGCUGAAAAUGGCUAGCCCAGUUCUAUUUUUUUUAAAGAAAUACCCAAACAAGGCCUACUUGCUUUAUCGGCCCUGCUGGGCUGCAAAUCUUUCAAGACGAGGAGAGUUUCAUUCGGUUUGCCCAGAAAUGGGUUGUACAUUUUUAAAACACAUCAAACCGGGAAUUAGUUUCAAUUUUUUUUCAUUACAAGAUUUUAAAUUCCAUUGAUUUUUAUGCAUGGACAAUUAUUUGGAUUUAUAUUUAUAUAAAUUAUUUUUCAAAAUAGUUUGAAUGUGAAUCGAUAUUUCUGGAUUAAAAAUAGUUGACCGCACCGAAAUAUGUAAAAUUUCGUAUUCUUUUUAACCGUGGCCACAAUAUGGGGUGUAAUGCUAACAAAAAGAAGAUGGGAUCCAAAAAAAUUCUUAAGAAUUAGCAAAUGGUGUCAGGACCCCGACUCAAUGCCACAUCGAUCUAGCAUGUAACACCUCGUAUCACUUUGCGGCCUCACGCACGGUAUUCCCACGGGUGUCGCCUUACCUUUGCCCGGGACCGUUUGCGCCUUUUGGCACACGUAUAUGACAGUGUCGCUAGCAUCCAUAUGAUAAGGAGCCCGGGCUGACAUGGCUAGUCGUAAACCCAAAGUGGCACAAACUUACAGGGACAGGCAUCCAUGACCCAGCAUCGAACGUGUCGGUCAUCAGCGAGUGAAUCCAGGCUGUAGCACUGGGCUAGCAGGACUCCGGUGAACCGGGCUGUAGCGGGCUAACAGGACUCCGGUAUUCAUCGCGUGACAUUUCCCCGAAGGGACAGACACAGGAACGAAGAAGGACACAUGCCGGCCAGCCUAAGUGUUCCAGAGCAGUAGCAAGCUACCAUGGCUCAGUGGAAGCACUAGGAGACAUUUCCCGGUAAGAGAGGCUACUAAGGAUAAACAACUAGAUAGCCAGAUCCCACACAUACCAAGCAUUUCAAUAACAUACACACAAUAUGCUCGAUAUGUGCAAAUACAACAUGGCAUCACAACAUGACUCUACGACUCAAAUAUUUAUUCAUUAGGCUCCGAGGAGCGGGAUAUUACAAACAUGGGUCUCAUGACCCAACAUUCAGAGCAUACAAGUCAAAGCACAAGCGGAAGCUAUCAUGUCUGAGUACAGACAUCUAUAAAUGAAAAAGGCUGAAAGCCUGACUAUCUACCAGAUCCUGCCGAGGGCACAAGAUCGUAGCGGAGGUAACAAGCUAAACGUCGAAGACCACGCGGAGUUACUAGUGAGACUGAAGUCUCUCUGCAAAAACAUAAAAUAGGCAAACGUGAGUACAAAUGUACCCAGCAAGACUUACAUCAGAACUAACUACAUAUGCAUCAUUAUCAACAAGGGGAUGGUGGGGUUUAACUGCAGCAAGCCAGCUUUGACUCGGUGGCUAACCUGAACUACGACUGCAAUGUAACUCUUUUGAGGUGGCACACACGAGUCCACAUAUUCACCAUAUCAAUACACCACUAGGGAUCCGCUCCCGUCUCCCUACGAGAACGCCAUCCAUAGCACUCACGCUUAUCUUGCGUAUUUUAGAGUAUCCACUUUCACUUGUCUAUGAACUGAUAUAAGCAACCCAGAAGUCCUUUACCGCGGACACGGCUAUUCGAAUAGAUGAUGUUAACCCUGCAGGGGUGUACUUCUUCAUACAUGUUUCCACCACUUAGCGUCUGCACACGACAUGUGCUCGGCAGACUUCAAGCGAAAGCCGACGUGGGUGUAGACCACGUCCUACCUAAACACUCAAGUCUCUAGUCCAGGUUUAUCGCCUAUUCGGGUUCCAUCCAUGAGGAGAUCCGGCCGGAGUUUCGCUCACAGCCCCAAACGAUGUGAACAGGGUUCCCAAGACACCAAACGGGCGCCCGGUACACCGUGCCACGUGCCUACCACAUCACAGCCCACCCCUCCAGUCAGCGCUGCCCACGGCCUCAAGCAUACUACAAACACCAGAAACUACUUGCAACUCCUGGACAGAGGACAAGGGUGAAUAAGAAGUCGAGCGGGGUCAUAUUUCAGGGCCCAAUGUAUGGUAGUAGCUGAAUCAUGGAUCACAAACACAGAGCUCAGUUCCUGAGGACGGCUUCAAUGAGACAACCCACCAUGUACUCCUACAUGGCCUCUCACCGACACCUUUUACCAAAUCGUGUUCACACACUUAGCUCACACAAAGUAGGACAUGUUCACACUCCUCUGAUUCAUCCCCGAUGAAUCAGACCUGACUCAACUCUAAGCAGUAGCAGGCAUGACAAACAAACAUGAAUGAGUAGGCACAACAGGGCUCAAACAACUCCUACUCAUGCUAGUGGGUUUCAUCUAUUUAUUGUGGAAUGACAGGUCAUGCAAAGGAUAAAGGGGUUCAGCUACCGCAGCAAGUAACAGAUGAAUCGUUGUUGUCCUAAUGCAGUAAAAGAGAGCAGGAGCGAGAGAGUAGGAUUGUAUCGGAAUGAACAAGGGGGUUUUGCUUGCCUGGCACUUUUGAAGAUAACAUUGAGUCUUCAUCAGUGUCAACGAUCACAACGUCGGAACAUCGUCUACCGGGAGGGAACAGAUACCGGCAACAAAGAAGAAAUACAAUCAAUGCAAUGCACAAUAUGAUGCAUGCUCAUGACAUGGCAAUAUGAAUGUGUUUUGAGCUAAUGCAACUAGCAAUAGAUUAAAUGAAGUUGGUUUGAAUACAAGAUUCAAAUUCAAACUCCAUAUGUGAUUAUUCAAAUGCCAUUUAAUUGAUUUGUGCUAAACAGCAGCUAUAAAUUGUUCUAACAUGCAUGAAAAUGGUACAGAUGGAUUCCUUGAAUUUUUCUGAUAAUUUUUCAUAUAUAAAUUAUUUAAUUUGGAGCUACGGUUGAAUUUCUAUGAUUUUUAGAAGUUUAUACAAUUCUCUGGAAUUUCCUGAAUUAAAUUAAAUCCAGAAAACCUAUUACUACGUCAGCAUGACUUCACGGUGACGUCAGCAAGUCAACGGGCGUUGUCCAGGUCAAAUCUGACCUGUGGGACCCAUAUGUCAGUGUAAUUAGUCUAACUAAUUUUUAGUUAACACUAAUCCUAACCUAAUUAACAGGCCGGCCCCACCUGUCAUGGACACAGGAGGGGUCCCGCCGUGGCCAAAAUGGGUCAAACCCACCGGCGGCUUGACGCCGGCGAGGCCAGCCGUGGUGGCGAGCCUCGGGUUUUGCCCACAGGGCUCAGUUUGGCGUGCGGAGCACAGCUUCGGGAUGCGGACGCUCGUCCGCAUCCAACUGUGGUGGUGGCGCGGCCGGGGAGUGGCCGGAGUGGUGCCGGCGAUGAGCUCGGCGGCGGCCGAAGCUCGGGUGUUUAGUGGGGAUGGGGCUGCGGUGCGCAAACGAGCGCGGCGAGGUGCCACGAAGGCUCUACGCGAUGCGGGGAGCGCGUUGGGCGCAUGCCCGGGACCAAAUGGUCACCGGAGCUACGCCGACGUUGAGCUCAGGCGGCGGCACGUUUCUGCCAUAAAGGGGGCGACGGCUACGGCGAUCAAAUGAAGCGGGGAAGAGGGGGAAAGGGUGGAGGAGCUCACAGCGAUCACGAAGAGGGGCUCGGCUUGCUCGGGAACGGCCGGAGUUCUACGAAUUUGGGCGACGGCGACCGGCGGGUCCGAGGUAGGAGAUGAGCCCGGAGAGGAUGUUCGGGGCUUCUGGAGGGGCGUAGCUCGGUGGAGGAGGAGGAGGGGGUCGAGGCGGAGCCUUUGAGCGCAUCGGCGAGGCUAGGGGUGGCCGGUGGCCACGGGUACGGCGACGAUGACGGCGAGCUCCGCUCGGUGGUGUGCGCGAGAGGGGAGCAGAGGAGGGGAUGGGGUCCAGGGGGAGAGAGGAGAGGUGCAGGGGGCGAGGGGGAGUGCGUGGCACUCGCAGGCGCGUCGGGGCGGCGGUGGGAAGCAGGAGGUGGACGGGGCGCGUAGCCGCGCGCGCCGGGCGCGUGCCCGUCCUCCUGGCAGGGAGGAAGACGACAGGGGAGGCCCAGAUGGGCUGGGCCGCACAGGAGCUGGGCCGGCUGGGCUACCAGGUGAGCGCCAGGUAAGAUUUCUCUCCUCUCUGCUUUUCCUAUUUCUGUUGUUUUUUUUAAUAUUGUUGUGUGUUGUUUUAGUUUAGUAAAAUACUAAACCAUUUUAUAAAAUCCUGAAAAUAGUUAUGUGGCUAGAACUAAAAUAUACCAAACCACAUAAAAUGUUCCAGUAUUAUUGGACAUAUAUUAUUUAUAUAUCAAAUAUAUAUCCAAUGCAAAUAGUUAUUGAAUUAAUUCAAAGGCCCAAAAUAAAUGUUUCAGUCACUCCAAAAAUAUUGGUUUGCAUUUUAUUCUUGCCAAUAUUUUUCAAAGCUGAAAAGGAACAUUUCCUUGGAAACAUUUGAAACAAUUUUUUUAAUGUUGAUCAUCUUUUUUUUAAAUGAUUUCUGAGGCUCUCCAAUUCCCCAAUUCAAAUUUAAAGAAAUUUAGACAUGAUGCAUGGAUGCAAUGCCACUAGUUACAAGCAAGCUCUAGGGCUGUGACUACUCACCCCCACUAAACAAAAAUCUUGUCCCGAGAUUCAAGCGUAGGGGAAGGUGAAGGGGGAACGCAAACUAGCACAAUCUUCACGAUCCAGUUGCACUUCAAAUGAACGUUGAUUCGUUCACCAUCAUUAUCUUGAUGUCUUGUUCCAAGAACUCCAACCAACAUGACAACGAGAGGAGAAAGGAACUCUACGGAAUCGAUCUUCUCAAAGAUCGAACAACUCGGGAUCAACUCACAGAAUAAAACAUAGCAACAUCUCUCGAGCUGAGAGAUGAAGCACACAUCCAUAGGAAUGGAGUGAAGCAGAUGACGAAGGUUCACUAGGUAGACAACAAUUCUACCCUUAAGAGGGUGGUGAAUGGUUGUCAUCAUAGCGAGGAGUUGAGUUGCCAUGAUACCACGACGAAACAUCCUGGAGGAGGGUGAUUCGUAGAUUAUUACCUUAAGUGGAAAAAAGAAUUACCUUUGAUUCAGAGAUCAUUGAGACUCUAUAUCAACCUAAGGCAAAUCACAGCAAUCGAUUGGCGGGGUGCAAAGGAAUGGUACACCCGGACUAGAAUGGAUGAUGUGGACUACCAUGUUGAAGACAACGCAAUGGAGGAUUUUUGCUUACCACCGGAAAUGGAAGAGACCCGUGGUAGAAUGGCAUAUUGGCGGUGCAAGCUGGGAACAAAAUGCAAAUGCUGGGAAUGAUUCUGGUAACUGGGGAAGAACCCAACAAUAGAGAGUGAAUUCACUGUUUGAAAAGGUCAUAGCAUUGCCGAGGAAACUGAGAGCACUAUAUAGUUAAUGACGACGAUCAAACCUAGCACUUGCGCGUGCUCUCAAGAACUUGAGCAUUUCCAUAAUCAUCAAGAUUUUACCAACAUCCGUGUCAAGGAUCCUGGCAACACAACAUACUACCAUGAUGGCUAAUGAUGGAUGAUGCAGAUGCAAAGGAAGAUAACACCUUCUCAGAUUUCACCUUAGCGAGGCCAAGGAAACAAAAUCUGGAUGAUCGACCGAGAGACAUUUAGCACUCCGCUUCUAAUGUUCUCCUUGAUGUGCUAGCGUAAUCCACCCAUAGAUAUGGUUUGAUAUCUAGAACAUCAAGUAAAGGUCGGACUUCGGGAUCUCAAAAAUCCAUAAGGAACAACUAGGGAGUAAAUCCUACGAAAUCCCUAUGGGGAGGUGGCCAACUUCCUCAAUCAAGAUAUUAUAAUAACAGGUCUUCCGGCUGGGUGUGUUGGCCACGACAUCCACUUUACCGGUUUCCGAGGGACCGAUAUUACAGUUCUUGGGAAAUGUUCCAAACCAUCAUAUCUGCCUGAGAUUCAGAUCUGGUUGGUGUCAGGAUAUUCCAGACUCAUCGAGUCUAGGAAGAAAAACAAAAGUUUGCAACACAAAUCGACGAGAUAAUGUUGCGGGAUUCUCGGGGAGUGAGCUACGGUAGCAAGCUCCAAAACAUGAGCUGGUUCUGCUACAACAUGUGAACAUGUUGUCCCAGACAAGCAUGACCACACAGUAGUCUUAUAAUAAAACACUACCGAGUUCAGGAGGGAAACCAUCAUCGAGGAUAUCGAAGUUUUGUACAAAUCCGUCUGGUACCUUCGGGACUAGCACUUAGAACUUAUUAACCUUGAACAAAUCAAUCAGUGGCUUGGUGUGCUAGGGACACAUAUAGAAUGGAGGUUGCAAGUCUCCGAACCACAGAAUACUUCGCACAUAUGCAUGACCGAUUUAGGAUGAUUCCAAAGGAAACAACAUUGACUUUCUCGAAUCCACGGCGGCAACUUGCAUCAAAUGCACAUGAACUGGAGGUAGUCACUUCUUACAUCCGAACAUAUGCUUCAUGAACUAGAAUGAAGAAAAUGCCUUCAAAAGUUUCCAACACUAGGUUGAUGUUCAACAUGAUUCAUGGGGGGAGACAAAACGCUACUGAUGGGCUCAACAACAACUCAUCGGAAUUUCCAUAUCACUGGACUUCCACCAUCAUGCGAACACGGUGAUAGCAUUGGUCAGACCAAGGAUGUAAUGGUGUAUGCUCGAGGGAUCAACCACGAGUAAGACAACAUUACGAGCAUCGUUGGUACUGAUUUGAUUUGAGGAUAGCCCAUACCCAAAUCAAAGGUUGGAUAAGACAAUAGGUCCAGCAACUGAUCAUAGGGACCAAUCGACGAAGAUAUCAUCUUUCUUCAACACACACUACACAAGAAUAUCCCUUUGGAACGAACUAAGUCAGGCAAGAUUUUAUCUUCCAACUCUCCAAGUUGUUGUCUAGCUUAACCAACUAGCUCAGGGAUAUCUAACACCAAUUCUUGGAGAGAAGGUGGUUCAUAAUAAACCAACUUGAUCACGAGCUCAACACAGCGGUCAGGUGACAACCUGGUAAUACUUCUGAGAAGAUCUUCGGAAAAUCACGAACCACCGGUAUGUUACUAAGCUCGAGAACAAUCUUGCUUUCCAGGGCAAGACGAUAUGAUCAAAUAAGCAAGGAUUUGAAUAAUCCUAACUCAUUGAUCGAAGAGUGCACCGGAAAUAAGGACUAGGUAGCACGAACAGUCUUAGAAUGAUGAUUCAAGAACCAACACGCUAAGAAUGAAAUUAUUGUCCUUUAACUACCAAGCAACAAGGUUGCUAGGAGUAUUGAUUUCACACAUCACUAUUCACUUGUCGACAUUCCGGUUACAAUAACACAGGAACCGAGGAAUGAACAAUGAUGGCAAGAAGUAUCAUUGUACCAAGAGGUCAUAGGGUGGUGUGCAAUUGCUAUAACAUUCCCAAUAUAAGGAUGGUAAUACUCCAAGGUAGAGCAGAACAAAAGCUGGAUUGGCAUUUUGAUCUGCGGAGUACAAUUGUUUUGACCCAAUCCUAGAUAUGGAAGAGGUACUGGAGUUUGUUUCUCCUAGUCAUUCCGCGAUAGAAUGGCUUGACGGACCACAAGAGUAAUAGGCAUCGAUAAACGAAUGCAUAUAUACUCUUGACUAUCAAUUGAUAAACGAGGGUCAGAAGACAACUAAAGAGGGACAACUCAAAGGAACAUACAAUUUUCUGAGUUGUGGAUGCAUGGUUUAGUAUGCCGAACAAAUUCAGCAUAUUUCUUCCGGAUAAGCCAUGCAGAGAGGUAGGACUGGCAGAGUCACAAUUUAUGAAUGGAGAACUCCUCAAGAGUACUCUAAUUGUGAUCUAUUGAUCCAAUAAACAUCUGCCAGAAUGGUUCAUAGUAUUUGGAAGAACGAAAAUACCAUGGACCUCGAGGACUAAUGCAAAAGUUACUAAUAACCUAAGGGAGCUAGCAAUUACUAUCAACAUGAAGUAAGUAGGGUGAAUCUCGGUUCGAAAACCCAGAAGUGAAAUGCCUACUAACUAAGUGGCAUCACGGGAUGCUUUCGAGAAUGAUGGCCAGAAUCAUCACACUGGAAACAUAGAUCAUGGCUAGACCACUAGAUGAUCCCCUAAGCACUUAGGGUCAUAAUUAUUAACUCCAACAUAUAUGUCGAGGCAAUAAGGUACCUCAACUCACUAAUUUGUGUGAUUAACCUGACCAAAAGGACAUCGGGAACGGGAGGAAGGGAUUUGCAAAUGCAUCCGACUAUUUAGAAACCUGGGAUGACUCGGACAGCAUAACGGCUGUAAAUGCUCAGAAAAGAUUUGAGACAUUCACAAAAAUGGUGGCAUAACCACUCAGAAGCACAAUAUCAAGGUUUCGAGAUCAACAGUUAACAUACAGAAGUUGUAGGAACUGAACUCAAGCUUAAAACCAACAAUCUUAUAAGUCUACGGAUUAGUAACACGUGAUCCUGAUAGAAAGAAGAGAUAGCCUAGUUCUUAAUCCCCGUAGGAAAGAUAAGAUGACUCAGAUCAGAAGGGCAUGAGGUAUAAGGAGUAAAAAGAGCCUUACGUUCCAUCCCAUAAUCAAUUCCCUUAUAUAACUAAAGAAUUUCUAGACUCAACUUCGACCAGUUUGGCUUGGUAAUCCUACAGGCAGUCAAGCUCUGAUACCAACGCUGUCAGGACCCCGACUCAAUGCCACAUCGAUCUAGCAUGUAACACCUCGUAUCACUUUGCGGCCUCACGCACGGUAUUCCCACGGGUGUCGCCUUACCUUUGCCCGGGACCGUUUGCGCCUUUUGGCACACGUAUAUGACAGUGUCGCUAGCAUCCAUAUGAUAAGGAGCCCGGGCUGACAUGGCUCGUCGUAAACCCAAAGUGGCACAAACUUACAGGGACAGGCAUCCAUGACCCAGCAUCGAACGUGUCGGUCAUCAGCGAGUGAAUCCAGGCUGUAGCACUGGGCCAGCAGGACUCCGGUGAACCGGGCUGUAGCGGGCUAACAGGACUCUGGUAUUCAUCGCGUGACAUUUCCCCGAAGGGACAGACACAGGAACGAAGGACACAUGCCGGCCAGCCUAAGUGUUCCGGAGCAGUAGCAAGCUACCAUGGCUCAGUGGAAGCACUAGGAGACAUUUCCCGGUAAGAGAGGCUACUAAGGAUAAACAACUAGAUAGCCAGAUCCCACACAUACCAAGCAUUUCAAUAACAUACACACAAUAUGCUCGAUAUGUGCAAAUACAACAUGGCAUCACAACAUGACUCUACGACUCAAAUAUUUAUUCAUUAGGCUCCGAGGAGCGGGAUAUUACAAACAUGGGUCUCACGACCCAACAUUCAGAGCAUACAAGUCAAAGCACAAGCGGAAGCUAUCAUGUCUGAGUACAGACAUCUAUAAAUGAAAAAGGCUGAAAGCCUAACUAUCUACUAGAUCCUGCCGAGGGCACAAGAUCGUAGCUGAGGUAACAAGCUAAACGUCGAAGACCACGCGGAAUUACUAGUGAGACUGAAGUCUCUCUGCAAAAACAUAAAAUAGGCAAACGUGAGUACAAAUGUACCCAGCAAGACUUACAUCAGAACUAACUACAUAUGCAUCAUUAUCAACAAGGGGAUGGUGGGGUUUAACUGCAGCAAGCCAGCUUUGACUCGGUGGCUAACCUGAACUACGACUGCAAUGUAACUCUUUUGAGGUGGCACACACGAGUCCACAUAUUCACCAUAUCAAUACACCACUAUGGAUCCGCUCCCGUCUCCCUACGAGAACGCCAUCCAUAGCACUCACGCUUAUCUUGCGUAUUUUAGAGUAUCCACUUUCCAUUGUCUAUGAACUGAUAUAAGCAACCCAGAAGUCCUUUACCGCGGACACGGCUAUUCGAAUAGAUGAUGUUAACCCUGCAGGGGUGUACUUCUUCAUACAUGUUUCCACCACUUAGCGUCUGCACACGACAUGUGCUUGGCAGACUUCAAGCGAAAGCCGACGUGGGUGUAGACCACAACCUACCUAAACACUCAAGUCUCUAGUCCAGGUUUAUCGCCUAUUCGGGUUCCAUCCAUGAGGAGAUCCGGCCGGAGUUUCGCUCACAGCCCCAAACGAUGUGAACAAGGUUCCCGAGACACCAAACGGGCGCCCGGUACACCGUGCCACGUGCCUACCGCAUCACAGCCCACCCCUCCGGUCAGCGCUUCCCACGGCCUCCAGCAUACUACAAACACCAGAAACUACUUGCAACUCCUGGACAGAGGACAAGGGUGAAUAAGAAGUCGAGCGGGGUCAUAUUUCAGGGCCUAAUGUAUGGUAGUAGCUGAAUCAUGGAUCACAAACACAGAGCUCAGUUCCUGAGGACGGCUUCAAUGAGACAACCCACCAUGUACUCCUACAUGGCCUCUCACCGACACCUUUUACCAAAUCGUGUUCACACACUUAGCUCACACAGUAGGACAUGUUCACACUCCUCUGAUUCAUCCCCGAUGAAUCAGACCUGACUCAACUCUAAGCAGUAGCAGGCAUGACAAACAAACAUGAAUGAGUAGGCACAACAGGGCUCAAACAACUCCUACUCAUGCUAGUGGGUUUCAUCUAUUUAUUGUGGAAUGACAGGUCAUGCAAAGGAUAAAGGGGUUCAGCUACCGCAGCAAGUAACAGAUGAAUCGUUGUUGUCCUAAUGCAGUAAAAGAGAGCAGGAGCGAGAGAGUAGGAUUGUAUCGGAAUGAACAAGGGGGUUUUGCUUGCCUGGCACUUUUGAAGAUAACAUUGAGUCUUCAUCAGUGUCAACGAUCACAACGUCAGAACAUCGUCUACCGGGAGGGAACAGAUACCGGCAACAAAGAAGAAAUACAAUCAAUGCAAUGCACAAUAUGAUGCAUGCUCAUGACAUGGCAAUAUGAAUGUGUUUUGAGCUAAUGCAACUAGCAAUAGAUUAAAUGAAGUUGGUUUGAAUACAAGAUUCAAAUUCAAACUCCAUAUGUGAUUAUUCAAAUGCCAUUUAAUUGAUUUGUGCUAAACAGCAGCUAUAAAUUGUUCUAACAUGCAUGAAAAUGGUACAGAUGGAUUCCUUGAAUUUUUCUGAUAAUUUUUCAUAUAUAAAUUAUUUAAUUUAGAGUUACGGUUGAAUUUCUAUGAUUUUUAGAAGUUUAUACAAUUCUCUGGAAUUUCCUGAAUUAAAUUAAAUCCAGAAAACCUAUUACUACGUCAGCAUGACUUCACGGUGACGUCAGCAAGUCAACGGGCGUUGUCCAGGUCAAAUCUGACCUGUGGGACCCAUAUGUCAGUGUAAUUAGUCUAACUAAUUUUUAGUUAACACUAAUCCUAACCUAAUUAACAGGCCGGCCCCACCUGUCAUGGACACAGGGGGGGUCCCGCCGUGGCCAAAAUGGGUCAAACCCACCGGCGGCUUGACGCUGGCGAGGCCAGCCGCGGUGGCGAGCCUCGGGUUUUGCCCACAGGGCUCGGUUUGGCGUGCGGAGCACAGCUUCGGGAUGCGGACGCUCGUCCGCAUCCAACUGUGGUGGUGGCACGGCCGGGGAGUGGCCGGAGUGGUGCCGGCGACGAGCUCGGCGGCGGCCGAAGCUCGGGUGCAAGUGGGGAUGUGGCUGCGGUGCGCAAACGAGCGUGGCGAGGUGCCACGGAGGCUCUACGCGAUGCGGGGAGCGCGUUGGGCGCAUGCCCGGGACCAAAUGGUCACCGGAGCUAUGCCGACGUUGAGCUCAGGCGGCGGUGCGUUUCGGCCAUAAAGGGGGCGACGGCUACGGCGAUCAAAUGAAGCGGGGAAGAGGGGGAAAGGGUGGAGGAGCUCACAGCGAUCACGAAGAGGGGCUCGGCUUGCUCGGGAACGGCCGGAGUUCCACGAAUUUGGGUGACGGCGACCGGCGGGUUCGAGGUAGGAGAUGAGCCCGGAGAGGAUGUUCGGGGCUUCUGGAGGGGCAUGGCUCGGUGGAGGAGGAGGAGGGGGUCGAGGCGGAGCCUUUGAGCGCAUCGGCGAGGCUAGGGGUGGCCGGUGGCCACGGGUACGGCGACGAUGACGGCGAGCUCCGCUCGGUGGUGUGCGCGAGAGGGGAGCAGAGGAGGGGAUGGGGUCUAGGGGGAGAGAGGAAAGGUGCAGGGGGCGAGGGGGAGUGCGUGGCACUCGCAGACGCGUCGGGGCGGCGGUGGGAAGCAGGAGGUGGCCGGGGCGCGUGGCCGCGCGCGCCGGGCGCGUGCCCGUCUUCCUGGCAGGGAGGAAGACGACAGGGGAGGCCCAGAUGGUCUGGGCCGCACAGGAGCUGGGCCGGCUGGGCUACCAGGUGAGCGCCAGGUAAGAUUUCUCUCCUCUCUGCUUUUCCUAUUUAUGUUUUUUUUAAUAUUGUUCUGUGUUGUUUUAGUUUAGUAAAAUACUAAACCAUUUUUUAAAAUCCUGAAAAUAGUUAUGUGGCUAGAACUAAAAUAUACCAAACCAAAUAAAAUGUUCCAGUAUUAUUGGACAUAUAUUAUUUAUAUAUCAAAUAUAUAUCCAAUGCAAAUAGUUAUUGAAUUAAUUCGAAGGCCCAAAAUAAAUGUUUCAGUCACUCCAAAAAUAUUGGUUUGCAUUUUAUUCUUGCCAAUAUUUUUCAAAGCUGAAAAGGAACAUUUCCUUGGAAACAUUUGAAACAAUUUUUUUAAUGUUGAUCAUCUUUUUUUAAAUGAUUUCUGAGGCUCUCCAAUUCCCCAAUUCAAAUUUAACGAAAUUUAGACAUGAUGCAUGGAUGCAAUGCCACUAGUUACAAGGAAGCUCUAGGGCUGUGACAAAUGGGCUGUACAUUAUUAGAAAUAAUGGUAGAUUGGUUGUAUGCUAUUUUCCAUAGAUUUGAGGUUGACUUGUGCGCCUACUAUAGGUUGACGCGUAUGCUUUCAUAAAAAAAAGGUUGACGCACAUGCAACGCCCUGUCAACUUAGUCAACACACGAGAGCAGUGACUGUUAGAUGUCCAUCCAACGGCUGUCGUGCUUCUUCAAUCUCUGCUCUUCAUGCUCCAGCCGCUCAAACAAGUGCCGGUGGGACUACCUGCUCCUUCCUCCCGCGGCCGGCUAUGCUGCCGCGCAGGUAUCACGGCCCCAUCGUACUCCCAUCGCUGGCCUAGCCAUCCCUCUACUCGCCCACGCAUGUUGUUAUUCUCCGGGGAUGGCAGCCGAACCAGUAAGCCCUGGUACUCCUCCACGUGGGAAACAACUGCCGAGUAUUCCCUGGCUCCGUGUCAUUCCCUUCCUAGGCCUCGCCGUCGUCCACCGCCCUGGUGCUCUCGGCACGGCCUGGUCAACGUGGUCAAUGAACGACAUCCAUCGGAAGUGGACUGUACGUGGAGAGGCUGACAACUGGGUCCACGACCACACGCAAGGAAAUGCCUCCUCAUUACACGCAAAAUAAUGAUUCCUCCACCUGACAGCUAGGACCCACAGGAAGGGCCUCUGUAUUUCACGAAAAUAAACGUUCCCCCCACGGACAGGUCAGACCCACCAGCUAUAUCUUCGCAUGCAAGGAAGUGCCUCCUUAUUAUGCCCAAAAAAAAUCAAUACCACCCUGCUAGCUAGGACCCAACAUAUUGUUGGGCUGACUUGUGGGCCUACUAAGUUGACGGGGAUGGAGGGCUUUGUCAACUUAGUCAAUACUACAGUGACCGUAUGAUGUCCAUCCAACGGCCAUAGUGCUUCUUCAACCUCUGGUCUUCUUGCUCCAGCCGCCCAAAGUAGCGUCGAUCGUGCCGCCUGCUCCUGCCUCCCGUGGCUGGUUGUGCUACCGCGGAGGCCCCAUCGCCCCCAUACUACUCCCACCACUGGCCAGGCCAUCCCUCCACUCACCCACACCCCUGUUAUUCUACGGCGACGGCGGCCUCACACCGCAGCCGAACCAGUGAAUGCUCGUACUCCUCUCCGCGUGUGCAUCCACUACCGCGUCUUCCCCGGCUCCGUGUCAUCCCCUUCCUAGGCCUCGCCAUCGUCCACCGCUCACUAUGGCGUGGUCAAUGUGGUCAAAGACCGAUUUCCAUCGGAAGAGUACUGUACGUGGAGAGGCUGACAGCUGUGUCCACAGCAGCCGCAAGGAAGUGCCUCCUUAUUAUGCGGAAAAUAAUUAUUCCUCCACCUGACAGCAGGGACCCACCGGGCGGGCCACCAGUAUUUUGUGAAAAAAAUGUUUCCCCCUCACUGUUGGGACCCACCGGACGGGCCACUGUAUUUCGCAAAAAAAAUGUUCCCCCCGUUGUCAGCUUGGACCCACCGGAAGUGCCUCCUUAUUACGCACAAAAAAAUGAAUACUCCCCCAGCUAGCUGGGACCCACCUUGGUGGGAGGCUGACUUGUGGGCCUACUAAAUUGACGGGGACAAAGGGCUUUGUCAACUUAGUCAAUAUGAACGAUUCUAGCUCCAAUGACCGUACGAUGUCCAUCCAACGGCCGUAGUGCUUCUUCAACCUCUGGUCUUCUUGCUCCAGCCGCCCAAAGCAGCGCCGAUCAUGCCGCAUGCUCCUACCUCCCAUGGUCGGUUAUGCUGCCGCGGAGGCCUCACCGCCCCCUACUAUUCCCACCACUGGCCAGGCCCUGUGGCGAUGGCAGCCUCAUACCGCAGCCGAACCAGUGAACCCUCGUACUCCUCUCCACGCGGGCUUCCACAGCCGCGUCUUUCCUGGCUCCACGUCGUCCCCUUCCUAGGGCUCGCCGUCGUCCACCGCCGUGGUGCUCUCCGCGCGGCGUGGUCAACAUGGUCAAGGAACGACUUCCAUCAGAAGAGUACUAUACAUGGAGAGGCUGACACCUGGGUCCACGGCCACAACCCAGCUUUUUUGUGAUUUGCCAAGUAAGUCGCUUUGUCAGGCCUGUUGGGCUGCAAAUCUUUCAAGACGAGGAGAGCUUUCGUUCGGCUGGCCGAGAAAAUGGCCCAUCAGUAAUGAGAAAUGGGCUGUACAUUUUUAAAACACAUCAAACCGGCAAUUAGUUUCAAAUAUCUUUUUUUCAUUUUGAGAUUUUAAAUUACAUUAAUUUUAAUGCGUGGAGAAUUUGUUAGAUUUUAUAUUGAUAUACAUUUAUUUUUUAAAUCAGUUUGAAUGUGAGUCGAAAUUUCGGGAUUAAAAACAGUUCGGACCGCACCGAAAUAUGCAAAAUUUCGUAUAAUUUUUUAACCGUGGCCACAAUAUGGGAUGUAAUGCUAACAAAAAGAAUAUGGGCUCCAAAAAAACCUUAAGAAUUAGCAAAUGGGCUAUAAAUUAUUAGAAAUAAUGGCAGAUGGGUUGUAUGCUGUUUUCCACAGAUUUGAGGCUUUCCUAAAAAAAGGUUGACGCACAAGCAGUGACUGUUGGAUGUCCAUCCAACGGCCGUCGUGCUUCUUCAAUCUCUGCUCUUCCUACUCCAGCCGCUCAAACAAGUGCCGGCGGGACUGCCUGCUCCCUCCUCCCCACGGCCGGCUGUGCUGCCGCGCAGGCCUUACCGCCCCACCGUACUCCCAUCGCUGGCCUAGCCAUCCCUCUACUCACCCACACCUGAUGUUAUUCUCCGGCGACGGCAGACGAACCAGUAAACCCUCGUACAGUCGUACUCCCCUCCGCGUGGGAAACAACUACCGAGUCUUCCCUACCUUCGUGUCGUUCCCUUCCUAGGCCUCGCCAUCAUCCACCUCCCUGGUGCUCUCAGCGCGGCCUAGUCAACGUGGUCAAUGACCGACAUGCAUCUAAAGUGGACUGUACGUGGAUAGGCCAACAGUUGGGUCCAUGGCCGCACGCAAGGAAAUGCCUCCUUAUUACGCGCAAAAUAAUGAUUCCUCCACCUGACAUCAGGGACCCACCGAAAGGGCCUCUGUAUUUCGCGAAAAAAUGUUACCGCCGCUGACAGCUCGGACCCACCAGCUAUAUCUUCGCACGCAAGGAAGUGCCUCCUUAUUACGCACAAAAAAAUGAAUACUCCCCAUGUUAGCUGGGACCCAGUAUAGUGGCAGGCUGACUUAUGGGCCUACUAAGUUGACGGGGACGGAGGGCUUUGUCAACUUAGUCAAUAUGCACGAUUCUAGCUCCAGUGACCAUACGAUGUCCAUCCAACGGUCGUAGUGCUUCUUCAACCUCUGGUCUUCUUGCUCCAGCCGCCCAAACCAGCGUCGGUCGUGCCUCGUGCUCCUGCCUCCCAUGGCCGGCUGCGAUGCGGCGGAGGCCUCGCUGCCCCCUACUACUCCCACCACUGGCCAAGCCAUCCCUCUACUCACCCACACCCCCUGUUAUUCUGCGGCGACGACAGCCUCACACCACAGCCGAACCAGUGAACCCUCGUACUCCUCUUCGCGUGGGCACCCACUGUUGCCUCUUCCCCGGCUCUGCGUCGUUCCCUUCCUAGGCCUCGCCGUCGUCCACUGCCGUGGUGCUCUCAGCGCGGCGUGGUCAAUGUGGUUAACGACCGACUUCCAUCGGAAGAGUACUGUACGUGGCGAGGCUGACAGCUGGGUCCACGGCAGCCGCAAGGAAGUGCCUCCAUAUUACACGCAAAAUAAUUAUUCCUCCACAUGACAGCGGGGACCCACCGGAUGGGCCACCGUAUUUCACGAAAAAAAUGUUUCCACCCUGACUGCUGGGACCCACCAGCUACACCUUCGCACGCAAGGAAGUGCGUCCGGGCAAAAAAACAAAACGAUUCGCCCCCCUGAAUGCUGGGACCCACCAGCUACAUCUUCCCACGCAAGGAAGUGCCUGGCAGUCGGGACCCACCUGGUCGAAGCGUACGUAGCAUUUUCAUUCUGGUAACGAACGUGUACGUACAUAUAUACUGGUCGAUGCAGAGGCUCGCACGUGUCAUAGUAGAGGCGCGCACGUAGCAUGUACACGUACGUACAGCGGCCAGUGUGCAAGAAAAUAUGGCCACGUAUGUGUACAUACAGGCGGGGUCUCGAACGCCUACUCGCGCAUACGUACGGCCAGGGCUCGUGUACAUGGCUAGGUCGGAACCGAGAAACAUCAUCGUCGUCGUGUUCAUGGGGAGGCAACGGAAUACGUCGUGUUCAUGGGGAGGCAACGCAAUGAGUCGUCUUCAUCGGGAGGCAACGGAACGCGUGGGAGCCAACCGGCUGGGUCGGAACGGAAUGCGUCGUCGUGUUCAUCGGGAGGGCUUGGACAGAACAGGUGAUGGAAAUGAGGCCUGGCGUACCGCGGAACGGAGGAAACGGCCUUGUGUUCGACCGGCCACGUUUGAAACAGGAUCAUGUUCAUCGGGAGGGGUCUAGCGUACCGCAAAACGGAGGAAACGGACCUCCUACAGUCGAAACGGGGGUCCUGUUGAUCGGGAGGGGUGUGGCGUACCGCAAAAUGGACGAAACGGACUUGUGUUGGAGCGCUACGGUCAAAACGGGGGUCCUAUUGAUCGGGAGGGGUGUGGCGUACUGCAAAACGGACGAAACGGACUUGUGUUGGAGCACUACGGUCGAAACGGGGGUCCUGUUAAUCGAGAGGGGUGUGGCGUACCACAAAACGGGACUCCACGGGAUAUUGUUCAUCUCCACCGUCGACCUCCUCCUGCCUCCACGGGCUACCGUUGACCUCCUCCAACCUCCACGGGCUCCUGUUCAUCCAGCCUCACCGCNNNNNNNNNNNNNNNNNNNNNNNNNNNNNNNNNNNNNNNNNNNNNNNNNNNNNNNNNNNNNNNNNNNNNNNNNNNNNNNNNNNNNNNNNNNNNNNNNNNNNNNNNNNNNNNNNNNNNNNNNNNNNNNNNNNNNNNNNNNNNNNNNNNNNNNNNNNNNNNNNNNNNNNNNNNNNNNNNNNNNNNNNNNNNNNNNNNNNNNNNNNNNNNNNNNNNNNNNNNNNNNNNNNNNNNNNNNNNNNNNNNNNNNNNNNNNNNNNNNNNNNNNNNNNNNNNNNNNNNNNNNNNNNNNNNNNNNNNNNNNNNNNNNNNNNNNNNNNNNNNNNNNNNNNNNNNNNNNNNNNNNNNNNNNNNNNNNNNNNNNNNNNNNNNNNNNNNNNNNNNNNNNNNNNNNNNNNNNNNNNNNNNNNNNNNNNNNNNNNNNNNNNNNNNNNNNNNNNNNNNNNNNNNNNNNNNNNNNNNNNNNNNNNGUUCAUCCAAAGAGGCAGCAUCGAUCGGCUUCAGUUAGCAGCAGUAGCGAAGGAAUCGCUCGAUCAGGUUCAGUUAACAGCGAUGGAUCGAUCGCUCGGGUUCAGUAAUGCGUAGCCUACAGUGCAGUCGCUCGGGUUCAGUUAGAGCCCAACGCUCCGCUCGGGUUCGGUUAGAGCCAACGCCUCGCACACACGCGCGUACGUGCAUGAGAGAAACACACAUUGCUCGCCCCCAACCUCCCACCGUAACCGGGAACACCCCGAAAUUUUCCUCGCCCUCAUUUCUACCACGGUUUUUCCGUCAUGGACGGCCCAAAGAAAGUCAUGCAGUUGCGUCUCCGGCCCGCCCAGGAUGAAAAGCCCAUUUUCUGUCAUGAUUUUUUGUCAUAGAAGUAGGAGCCCACCACAUCUAUGAUGAUAUCGGGUUUUGUCACAACUAUCGUCACAGAAGUGUCAUAUGUAUGACAGAAAAAAGUUUCGUUCGGCCCAAAAUGUCACGGAUGUGUCUUUUUUUGUAGUGCAUAUUAUUAUAACAGCAACAAACUUUAUCAAAAAACUUUAUCACACAACUUUUAUCAUAUAGCUUCUCAUUAACAAGUAAGAAUCAUCAAAACAUUGAAGUAUAAACCAUAAACUCUAUUGAAAACCAACAAACUAUGUUCUCAGUCAACUUUGCAACUACAAUUCAUCAUCUUUUCAGGAAGGGUCACGUAUCGGAGCCUUUAGGCAAGUCCACAUACUCAACCAUAAUUUAGUCUUCUAUGAUUGCUAACACUCAUAGCACACCCAUGAAUAAAAAGUUUCAACCAGACACAUAGAAAGAUAUGGGCUUAUAGUUUCGACGCCUCCCAAUGUAUUCACCUCAAGGGUGAUAUCAACAAUAUUAACUCAUGCCCACUCAUAUCCAACUGGAUAUAUGUGCAUAGAUCUUUCCUCGCCACAUGAUGCUUGUAAAAAGAUAAAAAAAGGAAUAGGGAAGAAUACUUUGACUCUUACAUAAAAGUAAUGCAUAAAAGUAAAAGAUAGGCCCUUCGCAGAGGGAAGAAGAGGUUGUCAUGUGCUUUUUGGUUUGUAUGCUCAAUCUCUUAGUGCAAAAGAACGUCAUGUUAUUGUCGGUGUUCUGUGAACGGGGGUCCCUAGACUUUCCUGUCUGCGGCCUACAGCGUGGCUCAACCAGUGGCCCAGUACGGCCUGUCUUCAUCAACCCAAGUUCAAGACCCUCGCGAGGGGCCAAGCCUCGCAGGGCAGAUGACGCAAGGCCUCCUCGGGGUCGGCCUCACCAGGCAGGCUCGCGAGGAGGCGGAGAGAUCAAGGCAAGCGGUACCUCGCGAGGUGCUCAUGAUGCAAGCCAUGACGAUCAAGACCAGGCGGGUGCCAGGCGGGCUCCAGCUUGCACAGUGUCCUUGUUUCCUCUUUGGUGCAAAGGGGGCAAGCGUAGGCGUGGAGUACCGAGGCAUCAUGCAAAGGUUUCCAUAUCGGUGCAACAAGACCAAGACUAGCAGGACAGAGGUCACCGUGGAGCCCAAGACGGCGUCAUCACCAGUGCCUUUGGCAGACGAAGACCACCUUUAGUCGGGAUAGCUUGUACUAGCUGUCCCCUUUCAAAAUGGCUGUUGUUGGCUCCCUUCCCGCUCAAUAUUUGGGAAGAGGACCAGGGCCUCUAUAAAUAGCGCUAGCUACCACAGUAGAAGGACAAGUUAAGUUCAUCCGCACACCACACUACCACAAGAACACCUCUCCUCAUGAGGUUGUUCUUCCUCUUUAUUGUUCAUCAUCAGCCCAAGAGGCAAUCCACCACACCACACACUGGAUUAGGGUAUUACACCACAACGGUGUCCUGAACCGGUAUAAACCUCGUGUCUCUUGUGUUGCUCAUCGUUCUAGCUUAGAAUCGCGGCAAGGUUGUGGGCGUGAAUCGGUAGGGAGAAGAUCUUCGUGCGCACCCCAGAGUUCGAACCUUAAGGGUUUUGCCGGAACCCGAUAUCCGACAUUUGGCGCGCCAGGUAGGGGUGCGCCAGAGCUCUCCCUUCCAUCGGCCCACCCUCCACCAAGAUCGCGCUUCGCCCUCAUGGCGGACAACGCGCCUCCGGCUCCGGCGGCCGAUGUCAGCACUGGGGCCAGGGGCUCCGAGCCUUGGCCCCCGCCUUGUGGCAGGUGCAGUGGCCGCACAAGUUCAAGCCAGAGAUGCCGCCGUGCUACAAUGGGGCGGCGGAUCCGCUGGCUUUCGUGCUGGCAUACGAGGAGGCCGUCCUCAAGGCCGAGGGCGACGACAAGGUCAUGGCCAACUAGUUUCCCAUGGCCCUCACCGGCGUCCUGCGCGUUUGGCUGCUCAACCUGCCAACAUCUUUCGUGGCCUUCUGGGAGGAGCUGCGCAACCUCUUCCUCACCCACUACGAUGCACCGGCGCUCCCGGUCAUCACAGCUCUCUUGGGCGGCUCGCAGGUGCCACCCUCAGACCGCCACGCCAAGCCAUUCUUCCACCAGAUCAGUGCUGCCCUUGCACGGCAAGGGGCUCCUCCGGGUUGGGCGGCACCCAAGGCCGACCUGACCUUCAACUCCGAUGAUCAUCCCGUCAACACCGCCUGCUCGGGUGCGCUCCCAAUGCUUUGCACGCCCACCAUCUGCCAGGUGGCCAUCAACAAGACCCUCAUUGACGGUGGCGACGGCCUCAACAUGCUCUCGGUGGAGGCCUUCAGCCUCCUCCAUGUACCGCUGGAACGGCUCCGACCCAGCAAGCCCUUUUCGGGAGUCCGAGGCGGUUCCUCUAGCUCCCUGGGGCAGAUCCGCCUCCCUGUGACCUUCGGCACCCACGACAACUUCGGCACGGAGCUGGUCAACUUCGACAUCGCCCAUAUCGGCUUCCCAUACAAAGCCAUCCUCGGGUACCCCGCCUUGGCUCAGUUCAUGGCAGCGGCCCAUCCGGCCUACAACCUCAUGAAGAUGCCUGGGAGCAGCGGCGUCCUCACCAUAGCAGGAGAUACCAAGGACGCUCUCAAGCUCGCCCUCAAGACCGCCGCGGCAGUGCAGCCUGCCGGCGCGGACACCUCCAAGGCCAAGGGGGCUGCGCCGACCAAGAAGAAGCAGUUGUUUACUCAGGACAAGGUGGAGACCAAGAAGGUGUCGGUUGAGGAAGAUGGGUCCUCGUAAGAAACCUUCACCAUAUGUUCCAACCUCAACCCCGACCAAGAGGAGGUGCUGGUGAAGUUCCUGCGCACGAACAAGGAUGUGUUCGCAUGGGAACCCAAGCAGCUAGCAGGGGUCCCAAGGCAGGUGAUUGAGCAUCACCUGAAUGUGUGCCCCAAUGUACGCACCAUGAAGCAGAAAGCCAGGCGGCAAUCCACCGAGAAGCAGGCCUUCAUCAUCCAAGAAACCCACAAGCUAGAGGUAACAGGUCUUAUUCGCGAGGUUCGCUACCCCAAAUGGCUGGCAAACCCCGUUGUUGUGCCGAAAAAGAGAGGAGAUGAGCGCAUGUGCGUCGACUUCACCAACCUCAACGAGGCAUGCCCUCAAGAUCCGUUCCCGCUCCCUCGCAUCGACCAAAUUGUCGACUCCACCGCCGAGUGCGACCUGUUGUGUUUCUUGGAUGCGUUUUCGGGUUAUCACCAAAUCAAGAUGGCGAUAGAAGACGUGGAGAAGACGGCCUUCCUGACCCCAUGUGGGUUAUACUACUACACAUGCAUGUCGUUCGGGUUGCACAACGCGGGCGCAACCUUCCAGCAACUGAUGCACAUCACCUUAGGCCGGCAGCUCGGGAAAAAUGCCAAGGCUUACAUCGACGACAUUGUGGUGAAGUCUCAGGAGGCGAAGACCUUGAUCCAGGAUCUGGAGGAGACCUUCGCGAGCCUUCGCAAGGUGGACAUGUGACUCAACCCGAAGAAGUGUGUGUUUGGCGUUCCUUUAGGCAAGCUUCUGGGCUUCCUCGUGUCCCACAGAGGGAUCGAGGCCAACCCGGAGAAGGUCAAGGCAAUCGAAGACAUGAGUCCACCGUAAACCCUCAGAGAAAUGCAGAAGCUCGCCGGACGUGUAACUGCGUUAGGACGCUUCAUCUCCAAACUGGGGGAGCGUGCCUUGCCUUUCUUGAAGCUGAUGAAGAAGAAGGGCCCGUUUGAAUGGACACAGGAGGCCGACCAAGCGUUUCAAGAUCUCAAGAAAUAUCUGACCAGCCCUCCUGUGAUGGUGGCACCACGCCUCUCGAGCCCCUGGUGCUCUACCUCGCCGCCACACCCUACUCCGCCAGUGCAGCUCUAGUGGCGGUCCGGGAGGAGCGCCAGGUCAAGGCUGUGUCACGACCAGCCACGGCCUCGACGACACAAGACCAGGGAGGUUUCACGAGGACCACGGCCUCAGCGGAUGGAGACUAGCCUCAGCAGGAAGACGCCCCCGGGGCUGAAGAGGCUGUUCCAGGCGACCAAGCGCUGGGGGCUCCGUCGUCUCAGGAGGCGUCUCACCCUCCAGAGGGCACAAACCUCGUCAGCACACCCACCCUCGUCGAGCAUCCGGUGUACUUCGUCAGCACGGUGUUGCGGGAUGCAAGGGCACGAUACCCCAUACCUCAAAAGCUCUUGCUCGCGCUAUUGGUGCCCUUGCGAAAGCAGCGGCACUACUUCCAAGGUCACCCCAUCAAGGUUGUCUCGGCCUACCCAUUGGAAAGGGUACUUAGGAGCCCCAACUCCGCUGGAAGGGUCGCCGAAUGGAACAUCGAGUUGCAAGCGUUUCAGUUGGAAUUCAGCACGACCAGGGUCGUCAAGGGAGCCGUACUUGCAGAUUUUGUGGCACAAUGGACAGAGGCCCCAGGACUCGGGGCAGGCGAGGAUCGGUCACUUUCCCCAGGAAGCGACGCACCAGAUGGCUGGGUCAUGUACUUCGAUGGGGCAUUCUCGCGGCAUGGCGGGGGGGCUGGUGCAGUGCUUAUAUCCCCCACUUAGGACAAGCUGUAUUACGCCGUGCAGCUCCAUUUCCAGCAUGGCGAGAAGGUCUCCAACAACAUAGCAGAAUGCGAGGGCCUCAUAGUAGGCUUGAAAGCUGCAGCUGCACUAGGGGUGAAGCGCCUCAUCAUCAAGGGCGAUUCAUAGCUCCUCGUCAACUUAUCCAACAAGGUGUACGAGCCGAAGGACGAGCAUAUGGGAGCAUAUCUUGCGGAGGUGCGCGGGAUGGAAAAGCAGUUUUAGGGGCUGGAGUUGCAGCAUGUGCCCCGCGACACCAACCAAGAGACUGAUGACAUCUCCAAGAGGGCAUCCAGGCGGCUGCCUCAGGAGCCUAGCGUUUUUGAGGAGCGGCUCUUCAAGCCAUCGGCGGCACCGUCACUUUCAAGCGCAGCACAGCCUCGGGAGGAACUCCCUCAGCCACCAGCAAAAGGAGCCCCGGCAUGUGGCCCGACCUUGGGAGCGCGCUUACUCUUGGCGCUGGAACCUCAGGAAGGAUGCUGGACCACGGAAUUCAAGGACUACCUGAUACAAGGGACGCUGCCAGAGAAAGAGGAGGAUGCGAAACGCGUGGCACGGCAGGCCACGACCUACUGCGUCCAAGACGGUGAGCUCUACCGGAAGCGGCCAAACGAUGUUUCCUUGCGUUGCAUCUCCAGGGAACAGGGGAAGGAGUUGCUGGCUGACAUACAUGGUCGAGAUUGCGUACACCACUCAUCAUCACGGACCCUCGUUGGCAAGGCAUUUCGCAGCGGGUUCUACUGGCCUAUGGCACUCAACGAUGCAAUCGAGCUGGUGAGGUCCUGCGAAGCCUGUCAAUUCCAUGCCAAGUAGAUCCAUCGGCCAGCUCAGGGCUUGCAGACCAUCCCACUCUCGUGGCCGUUCGUGGUAUGGGGGCUGGAUAUCUUGGGCUUGUUCCCCCGAGCUCCUGGGGGCUUCCGCUACCUCUACAUCGCCAUCGACAAGUUCACCAAGUGGGCGGAGGUGUAAGCCGUCCGCACCAUCCCAAUUGGUUCUGCAGUCAAGUUCAUCAAGGGCCUCGUGAGCCAAUUCGGGGUCCCUAACCGCAUCAUCACCAACAACGGUUCGCAGUUCACCAGUAAUCUCUUCAAAACAUAUUGUGCUAACCUUGGAACACAGAUAUGCUACGCUUCGGUGGCACACCCCCGGAGUAACGGCCAGGCCGAACACGCCAACGCAGAGGUCCUGAAGGGCCUCAAAACCAGGACCUUCAAAAAGAAGCUGGAGGCCUACGGCAAGGGCUGGUACGACGAGCUCCAGUACAUGCUGUGGUCCAGCCGCACCACCGCCACCAAGUCGACUGGCGAGACCCCGUUCUUCCUCGUCUAUAGAGCAGAGGCGGUCCUCCCUCACGAGGUCAGGCGUCACUCCGCGCGGUUCCUAGCGUUUGAUGAAGCGGAACAGGACGCCAUGCGGGGGAUGGAGCUCGUGCUGGGGAAGGAGCACCGUCGAGAAGCCACACUGCAAGCAGCAAGAUACCAGCAGGCGCUGCGGCGGUAUCAUUGCUGCAACAUCCACCCCAGGACUCUCGAGGUAGGUGACCUCGUACUUAGGCGGGUGCUCCCCAGGGAAGGGUUGCAAAAGCUCUCGCCCAUGUGGGAGGGCAUGUUCAAGGUUGUCCAUGUUUCCAGGCCUAGCACCGCGCGCCUGGAGACUCAGGAAGGGGUGUCCAUCCCAAACUCCUGGAACAUUUAGCACCUCCGAAAGUUCUACCCUUGAAGAAAGGCCCGGUGCCUGUGAAGAAGGCCCGGUGCCUGUGAAGCUCGCCGCCCGAAGAAAGGCCCGGUGCCUGUGAAGAAGGCCCGGUGCCUGUGAAGCUCGCCGCCCAAAGAAAGGCCCGGUGCCUGUGAAGAAGGCCAGUGCCUGUGAGGCUCGCCGCCCGUGACACUCUCACGUAAUAAUGAGUUGGGGUUGUACACGCCCCAGAGUCUCCGGAGUGCCGCCCUCGGGCCUCGGGGGCUCCCGCCCAUGCCUAGUGGCAGCACUUAGCUCCAUGCUAGGGAGAAGACGUCGAAGACUAGAUUAGGUGCCGGACGCGGCUUUUCAUUUGCUUUCCACAGUUGGCUUGUUCUCCCUUGUUUGAACCUUUAUUGAAGUUGCUUCUAGUGUUAUUUGCCGUCUCUGCCCCUAUUCUCUAUUUUCGGAUUUUGUCUGGCUCGCUCUCUCUCUCUCGCAAACCUCGCGAGGGGGCUGCGCGGGCGCCCUCCUGAGCCCUUCCUCUCCUGAUUCUCGUGCACGGGCGCCCUCGUGAGUCGUUCCUCUCCUGAUUUUCGCGAGGCUCUCUCGUUCGAGUUCGCAGCGGGAGCACCCCUCCCGGUUCAUGCCCCUCGGGCAUCGUGACACCAAGCACCCGGGCCAUAGCCAGCAACCCUGGCGACCAAGGUUCGGAAAUGAUUCUCCCAACAGAUUUUUUGCAGCUUUCAAGGCGCCCGGCAAGGCCUCAGGCAGGCACCUCGCGAGGCGGAAACUACUGCAAACGUCACGAGCUAAGUUGUUCCUAUGCGCAGACACAUAGCAACGACACCAUAACACAGCACAGGAACAACAAAUGUAGUACGAUAAUUAGGGGAUCAUAGUCUGUUGCACGCCCCCAUGGGGCUCCAUGCUUCUCUCUCUCGAUGCAGGAAAAGGAGGAAAACAAAAUAAAAGCAGCGCGCGCCUUGAGACAGCUCGCGAGGAAGGAUCUGUGUCGUCCUCCCGAGCUUAAUCAGACUCUGCCUCGUGCUUCACCCAGGCGCGGCGACGGGACGACCCGCUACCGCCCUCAAAGCGGGCCCGGCGGUGUGGUGGCUGAUCGCGGCCACCGCUGGAGGAGCUGUCGCCAGAGGAGGAGCCGCUGAAGCUCGACGAGCUGUGGUCGCCACCGGGAGUGGGUUCGCCUUCGCCCUCUUCAAGGUCGUCGCCAAGGCCAAGCACCCCGUCACCAUCAUCGUCUUCAGGGCAGCACCCGACACGGCGGCCAUCUUCUCCGAACAUUCUCACGUAGAGGAUCGCGUCUCCAUCGUACUUGAAGUGGAGGGUGCACCGCCUGCCCAGGCCACGCGCGCGGGCAAAUGUCUGGCAGCCCCGGGCUAGGGCCACGUUGCCGGUGACGGAGAUAUCCACCGUGACCCAGGAGGCCCUGCUGCAGCAGUCGUCCGCCUGCAACUAGAGCCCACCAGGGCCAGCAGCCGGCAGCUCACCGGCGAAGAAGCGAGGGAGCUGGAGCCAGUUGCCGGCCGGGUUGUCCGACCACACAACGAACUUCAGCAGCACCUCUACCGAAUGGAAGCGCGGCCGGGGAGGGCUCGCAGCCACGUCACGCCUUCCCCCACCAACUGGGCUGCCUCGACAUGGGCGACCACCACCGCAUGAAGGACCACCGCCGCGACCACGGGAAGCCACGACAGGGGUCUCAGGGUGCUUGCUAGGGCGACCGCGGCCGCGCUUGGGCGGAGGAGAGCCAGGCCCUUCCUGGCGAGCCUUCCCCUUCUCCGCAGCCGAGAACCUCUUCACGGGCACCAUGGGACGCUGCGAGCAACAGGAACGAGGAGGGAGAAGAAGCAGGCGGAGCAAGGGGAGAUGUACAGCGGGCGCUUUCGCUCCUCCCCAUAUAUAGUCCAGGGGAGACCAACCGUCGACCUCCGCGAUCACAGGUUAUGAUGACUCUUUUUGCAUGCAGCAGGGACUCGUCAAAUCGGGCAGUUGUCGAGGCAGCGUGGGGAAGCGGAGACGCCCAUGUCCAGUCAACCGCCAUGCGGCGACCAAGGCCGCUUGCUGUUGGGGCCCGCGGCGCUCUGCACUUGCCCUUUGGCUUUGCUGCUAAGCUAAGUCCGAGCACGCGUUGGGCCCGGGGGCUUCUGUCGGUGUUCUGGGAACGUGGGUCCCCAGAGUUGCCUGCCUGCUGCCUGCAGCGUGGCUCAACUAGUGGCACAGUACGGCCUGUCUUCAUCAAGCCAAGUUCAAGACCCUCGCGAGGGGCCAAGCCUCAUGGGGCGGACGAUGCAAUGCCUCCUCGGGGGCGGCCUCACCAGGCAGGCUUGAGAGGAGGCAGAGAGAUCAAGGCAAGCAGUGCCUCGCGAGGUGCUCGUGACGCAAGCCAUGACGAUCAAGACCAGGCGGGCGCCAGGUGGGCGCCAGCUUGCACAGUGUCCUCGUUUCCUCUUUGGUGCAAAGGGGGCAAGCGCGGGCGCGAAGUAUCGAGGCAUCAGGGAAAGGUUUCCAUAUCGGUGCAACGAGACCAAGACCAGCAGGAUGGCAGGAUGGAGGUCACCGUGGAGCCCAAGACGGCGUCAUCACCGGUGCCUUUGGCAGACGAAGACCACCUUUAGUCAGGAUAGCUUGUACUAGAUGUCCCCUUUCAAAAUGGCCGUUGUUGGCUCCCUUCCCGCUCAAUAUUUGGGAAGAGGACCAGGGCCUCUAUAAAUAGGGCUAGCUACCACAGUAGAAGGACAAGUUAAGUUCAUCCGCACACCACACCACCACAAGAACACCUCUCCUCGCGAGGCUAUUCUUCCUUUGUACUAUUCAUCAUCAGCCCAAGAGGCAAUCCACCACACCACACACUGGAUUAGGGUAUUACACCACAACGAUGGCCCGAACCAGUAUAAACCUCGUGCAUCUUGUGUUGUUCAUCGUUCUAGCUUAGAAUCAAGGCGAGGUUGUGGGCGUGAAUCGGUAGGGAUAAGAUCUUCGUGCGCACCCCAGAGUUCGAACCUUAAGGGUUUUGCCGGAACCCGAUAUCCGACAAUUAUAUUGCCCAUUAUGAUCGCAACCUUUAUUAUGCAGUUUAUCACUUUUAUUAUUUUGCCAUCACAAGUUCAUACAAUGCUCAAUUUUCUCUUACACUAAAUGAUCCAACACAGUUAGAAGCAAUUUUUAUUGCCUUAUUGCACUGAUGAAAACUUACUUGAAGGAUCUUACUCAAUCCAUAGGUAGGUAUGGUGGACUCUCAAAACAAGAUUUUGGGUUUAAGGGUUUUUGGAUGCACAAGUAGUAUCUCUACUUAGUGCUAUUUUUUGGCUAGCAAAGAUAUUGAGCAAGCAGCACAUGUUGAAGGAUCUAUGACAAUAUAACUUCUAUGUGAAUGUGAACAAACAUAAAUCAUUAUGUUGUCUUCCUUGUACAACGUCAACAAUUUUGACACAAAAUAUUUAAUGGGGGCUCACAAUCAUAAAUGUCCAAGAUAGUGUAUUUGCAUGUGAAUCUUCUCUUCCCUUAUUAAUUCUUUCAUGAAUUGCAUCAUUGACCAAUGCUAUGUUUGUCAAUCUCCAAUAAAUUUUACCACUUAUACUUUUCCUUAUGUGAUGUUAUUACUUACCUAUUAGCAUAAGAUAUUUUUCAUUUUUUAUUGAAACAUAAAAGUAAAGAAAGCAAAACUUGAACUAAUCUUUAUUAUAUAUCACGCACACGAUUACAUAGAUAGAGAGAUAGAUCACUAGCAAACACUCGAAGAGAAAAGAUUCGAACUAAACUUUUAUUCAACUAAUUCAAAAUAUGACUAAAGAUCGAACUAAGAUAAAUAAAAGGAAAGAUAGUGGCGGUGAUACGAUACCGGGGCACCUCCCCCAAGCUUGGAACAAGCCAAGGGGAGUGCCCAUAUUGUGAACUCAAGUCUCCUUUGGUGAUGAAGAAGGAGGUGCUGAUGAGGUAGCGUCACAUUUCAGGCUCAGGAGGUACUCCAAUCUAUGAAUGAUGCUCCAGAGGACGAUGACUGAUAUGUCUCCAAUGUAUCUACAAUUUUUUAUUAUUCCAUGCUGUUAUAUUAUCAUUCUUGGCUAUUUUUACAAUCAUUUUAUAGCAACUUUAUAUCAUUUUUUGGGACUAACCUAUUGACAUAGUGCCCAAUGCCAGUUGCUGUUUUUUGCUUGUUUUUUUACAUCACAGAAAAUCAAUACGAAACAGAGUCCAAACGUAGCGAAACUUUUUGGAGAAUUUUUCUGGACCAGAAGACACAAGAUGGGCCAAAGAAGUACCAGAGGGGUUCCCUGAGGGGGGCACAACCCACCUGGGUGCGCCUGGGGGCCCAGGCACACCCUGAUGGGUUGCGCCCACCUUGGUGGCCUCCCGCGCCGCCUCUUCGCCCUAUAAAUACCCAAAUAUUCUAGAAACCCUGGGGGAGUCGAUGAAACACAAUUCCAGACGCCGCAAGUUCCAGAACUACAAGAUCCAAUCUAGACACCAUCAUAGAGGGGUUCAUCAUCCUCAUUGGUGCGUCUCCGAUGAUGCGUGAGUAGUUCAUAGUAGACCUACGGGUCCGUAGGUAGUAGCUAGAUGGCUUCCUCUCUCUCUUUUGAUUCUAAAUACAAUGGUCUCUUGGAGAUCUAUUUGAUGUAACUCUUUUUUGCGGUGUGUUUGUUGGGAUCCGAUGAACUUUGAGUUUAUGAUCAGAUCUAUUUUAUCCAUGAAAGUUAUUUGAGUUUUGAUCUCUUAUAUGCAUGAUUAUUUAUAGCCUCAUAUUUCUUCUUUGAAUCUUCAGUUUAGUUAGGCCGACUAGAUCGAUUUUUCUGGUCAUGGGAAGACAUGCUUUGUGAUGGGUUCGACCGUGUGGUGUUCUUUCCCAGUGACAGAGGGGCAGCAAGACACGUAUUGAUCGUUGCUAUUAAGGAUAACAAGAUGGGGUAUAUUCCUACAUGAAUAGAUCUUGUCUACAUCAUGUCAUCGUUCUUAUUGCAUUACUCCAUUUUGCCAUGAACUUAAUACACUAGAUGCAUGCUGGAUAGCAGCCAGUCUACUAAUCUUGGACAUGAUGCCUAUAUAUUAAUCAUUGCCUGGAUAUCAUCAUAAAUAUUUGAGGUUCUAUCAAUUUUCCAACAGUAAUUUGUUUACCCACCAUGUGCUAUUUCUUGAGAGAAGCCACUAGUGAACUCUACGUCCCCCGGGUCUAUUCUUUAUCAUAUUUGCCUUUGAGAUCUAUUUUUAUUUGCUUUUGUUUUCAGAUCUUUUAUUCCAAAAAACAAAAAUACCUUGCUGCAAUUUUUAUUUGCAUCUUUUAUUUCGUGUUUGUUAGAGAUCUAUUUAUCCAAUCUAUCACAAUUUUAUUUGCAUCUUUAGGCUAAUACUAUUAAAACGGGAUGAGGUGUUGCUUAAUGGCUUGCUUGCUCAAAUGCUUACUGGUAUUGCUCCAAAUCCCUCAACCACUUCCUUAUUCCAUAUGUCAAUAUCCCAAACUCUAACUCGGCCCCACCGAUCUAUUCCAUCCGGAGCCACCGAGUUCAUAUGACAUAGUCACUGCCAGAAACCCUAAUAGUUCGGUCACACCGAUACGGAUCUCGGUCUCACCGAGAUGGCCUUGCCAACGCUCUGUGACUUGUUGCAUUUACUUUGGUCCCACUGAGUUAUGCAAUCGGUCUCAUCGAGUUAUGCAAUCAGUCUCACCGAGUUGGCUUGACAUUCACUCUGUUGCCUUAUUGCUUCACUUUGGUCUCACCGAGUUGACGCAAUAUGUGCCACCGAGUUUAUGUUUUCCCUAAGCCCUAGCACAUCAGUCCCACCGAGUUGUUCCAGUCGGUCCCACCGAGAUUCCUAACGUUCACAUUUUGAACUAAAUCGGUCUCACCGAGUUCGUCUAUUCGGUCUGACCGGGUUGAGUCAAAUGUGUGUAACGGUUGGAUUUUGUGUGGGGCUAUAUAUACCCCUCCACCCCCUUCUCCAUAUGUGAGAGAGCCAUCAGAACGUGCCUACACUUCCAACAUACAUUUUCUGAGAGAUAACCACCUACUCAUGUGUUGAGAUCAAGAUAUACCAAUCCUACCACAAGAAUCUUGAUUUCUAGCCUUCCCCAAGUUGCUUUCCACUCAAAUCAUCUUUCCACCAUAUCCAAAUCUGUGAGAGAGAGUUGAGUGUUGGGGAGACUAUCAUUAGAAGCACAAGAGCGAGGAGUUCAUCAUCAACACACCGUCUAUUACCUUUUGGAGAGUGGUGUCUCCUAGAUUGGUUAGGUGUCGCUUGGGAGCCUCUAUCAAGAUUUUGGAGUUGAACCACGAAUUUUGUAAGGGCAAGGAGAUCGCCUUCUUCGUGAAGAUCUACCCAAGUGAGGCAAGUCCUUCGUGGGUGAUGGCCAUGGUGGGAUAGAUAAGGUUGCUUCUUCGUGGACCCUUCAUGGGUGGAGCCCUCCGUGGACUCGCGCAACCAUUACCCUUCAUGGAUUGAAGUCUCCAUUAAUGUGGAUGUAUGGUAGCACCACCUAUCAGAACCACGCCAAAAAUCUAUGUGUCUUCAUUGUGUUUGCACACUCUAAUCCCAUCCCUUUACUUUCUCGCAAUUAGCAUGCUUUACUCUUUCCGCUGCAUAUACUCUUUCAUGCUUGCUUGAAAUGUAUUGUGAAUUCUUAAACUUGUGCUAAAACUCCAUCUCAACUUAAAGAACUUAAAAACUGCCACUUUUACUUGUGAAGGGUCNNNNNNNNNNNNNNNNNNNNNNNNNNNNNNNNNNNNNNNNNNNNNNNNNNNNNNNNNNNNNNNNNNNNNNNNNNNNNNNNNNNNNNNNNNNNNNNNNNNNNNNNNNNNNNNNNNNNNNNNNNNNNNNNNNNNNNNNNNNNNNNNNNNNNNNNNNNNNNNNNNNNNNNNNNNNNNNNNNNNNNNNNNNNNNNNNNNNNNNNNNNNNNNNNNNNNNNNNNNNACCCCUCUUCUCAAUCCUUUCAGUUCGGACCGGUUAGCUUGGGAAUCCCAGACAGAUCUGGCCUGGCUCCUAUGGAGGGUCUUGUAUAUAGAUAGGCUUUCUAGCCUUCUUUCUUUCUAGCUUUCUGUACUCAGACAGGUUUAUGCUUCCGCUUGUUGCUUGUAUGACUUUGUAUGUGAGUCAUCGGACCCAUGUUUGUAAUAUCAUACUAUGUAUGGCUCUCCGAAGCCUUUUAAAUAAAUACUUUGAGUCGUAGAGUUUUGUUGUGAUGCCAUGUUGUAUUUACACAUAUUGAACAUAUUAUGUAUAUGUUAUUAAAAUGCUUGGUAUGUGUCAGGGAUAUACCCCGCGGUAUGACCCGGCCGGACUUGAUGUUUCAUUGGUAACCGCCAGAGGAUUGGCGACUCACGUGUCCGGUGGCCCACUGGUGUGACGACUCACGAGCCUGAAGACUCAUGGGUGACCCGGCGGGUGCUUCAGACGGACGACAAGGCCCAAGGCCCAGUAUGUCGGUUCAUAUAAAGGUGGGCCGGCUUAAGAGGAAAGGGAUGACGAAUAUUUCCUUUACGAGGAAGAAAGACCCGGACUUGUAUUCAACUCGUAAGAAAAGAUAGACUAGUCCUAAUUCUACUAGGACUCCACAUGUAACCUGCCCCUCUAACUUAUAUAAGGAGGGGCAGGGCUCCCCAAAGAGGGAAAAGCAACAAGAAACGAUAUCUAGGGCUAGAUACAAGGAGGAGAGCCGACUUACAGCGACUCCCUCAUAAUCAUAAUGAGACCUAGCCAUAAACAGCAUGUAGGGUUAUUACCGGAUGAUGUUUCCCGGGGCCCGAAGCUGUAUAAAUCCUCGUCUUGUGUGUUGCGUUUCUCGAUUCCGCUCAACCCCUUCAAGCUACCACAUAGAUGUGUUGGCCUCGCGACUAAGUCCUGACACUAAGGACAUCUGACGUGACAAUUCCACGACAGUAUGUGUGGGAUCCGACACCUAGUUGUUUAUUCUUGGUAGCCCUCCUUAUGGGGAAAUGCCUCCUAGUGCUUCCACUGGGUCGGUAGCUUGCUACUGCUCCGGAACACAUGGAUUGACCGACAUGUGUCCUUCUCUGCUCCUGUGUCUGUCCCUUCGGGGAAAUGUCAAGCGGUGUUUACCGGAGUCCUCAUAUCUUGCUACAACCCGGUUACACUCACUGCUGACCGACACGUGCAUUGCUGGGUCAUGUAUGCCUGUCCCUGUAAGUUUGUGCCACCUUGGGCUUACGACUGGUCAUGUCGGCCCGGAUCCUACAUCAUAUGGAUGCUAGCGACACAAUCAUAUACUUGAGCCAAAAGGCGCAAACAGUCCUGGCCUAGGUAAGCAUGCAGCCGUGGGGAUACCGUCCGUGAGGCCGCAAAGUGAUAUGAUAUGUUACAUGCUCGAUUGAUGUGACUUAGGAUCGGGGUCCUGACACCUUGGUACUAAUCCAAUUUUCUUGCGUUUCCUCCAUGCUCAUGUGCAUGUUUUCUGGUUAUUUUUUCCCUACCCUCAUAGCCCGGGCGGUCGCCACCAGCGGAGCUGUUAUGCUUGAUGCGAGCACUGUCUAGCCAGUUCUUAGGUACGAGAUGAGGAUGUGGAGGCCGGGAAAAGGGUAUCGAUGGGCCACCCAUGUUCGUAGACGAUCACCGAGAGAACAGUGUCAUGAGAUUACAUUAGUCCUCAAUAACCCUAUUAUCAUCAACAGCAAAAAAAAAAGACAUUGUGAAAACAAUGCACUUUCAGGCAGCUGCCGCCAAAGCACACUGCCGCGCCAAGUAGCAGGCAUGCACCCACGGUCAUCUCGUCCGGCUCCCCUCCUCGUUUGAGUCCGCCAGCUCCUCUAGUGACUACGAUGCCCCCGAGACAGCAACACCUACAUCAUCUUUGACAACUACUACCACCACUUCGAAGACAAGGGGAAGGACAAGGUGAAGCGUUGGUAUUGGAUUUACAUCUUUUAUCUAUGUAGUCAUGGGUCAUGGUCCUAUGAACUAGCUAUCGUAGUGUGCUAUCGUAUGAGCUACUAUGAUGAACUUGCUAUGUCCGGUUGUACUGGCACGCAGGUCCGGGGGCACUGUUCCCAUUUUCCUUAAACUUCUAAUUUUGAAUCUUUUAUAUCUUUUGAACCAAAUGUUUAAAUUAUGUUUUGUUUGCAUGUUUGUGCUGCUUGUGACGAGGGCAUUAAAUAAGACCAGUUUUAAAUAUAUUUUGAGAAGUUUUUAAAACUUCACCAAGUCUCAACCGCUGAAACUUGAUACGAAUGAACGGCAAUAUCACCAAGUUUCGGAUACUAAAACUUAAAAUUUGGUGUGCUCUCCUACGAAAUCCAACGACUUGGCGGAUUCCGAAACAAUCGUGCGACCGGGCACGGGUGAGCAAGUGCAUUUCCCCGGUGUGUCCAUGUGAAUUUCUUAGGAACUGUUAUGUGUUUAUUGACAUUGUAUUGAUCUACAUUGCAUGGAGUCAUAUGUAUUUGAUGAUUCAAAUNNNNNNNNNNNNNNNNNNNNNNNNNNNNNNNNNNNNNNNNNNNNNNNNNNNNNNNNNNNNNNNNNNNNNNNNNNNNNNNNNNNNNNNNNNNNNNNNNNNNNNNNNNNNNNNNNNNNNNNNNNNNNNNNNNNNNNNNNNNNNNNNNNNNNNNNNNNNNNNNNNNNNNNNNNNNNNNNNNNNNNNNNNNNNNNNNNNNNNNNNNNNNNNNNNNNNNNNNUGCAGAGGUGAACAAAUAGGGCCAAUCCCCUCCUAUCCGCAGACACGUCCGGACAUACAAGGGGUCAAAUUUUCCCCGUCCAAUUGAAUUGAAGACGAUCCGCCGACGGUUCGGCCGUAUCUUUUGCACGACCACGCUGGGAAACCGGAAACCGAGGUUCGAUUCUGGAAAAAGUCCAAAACAAACCUUGAAAUUGUAGGCAAAAGCUAAAUCAAACACCAAACUCUUAAUCCCUGAAAUCAGCACACCGAACUCUAUAAUCCCGGUCUAUUUUAAACCUUGGGAGGACUCGGCCGGUAUUUGCUGAAUUGGGCCGGCCCAGUAGCGCAGUCGCUCAUGCGCGUGCACUAGUCUAUUUUUCUUUUAUGUUUUCUUUUUCGUUUUUUCAUUUUUACAAUUGCCUAAUUUUUCUCAGUACCCAAUGUACAUUUUAAACACAGACAUUAAAUAUUUUUUGAUAAACUUUUGAUAUUUUCAAAUACGUUAUGGACAUUUUGAAAUUAAAUGUUUUCAAAAAAAAUUGAAUACAUGGUAAUAUUUUUCGAAAUACAUGUUUUACAUUUUUCUUAAUGACAAUACACAUUUUACAAAACUACACAAACACUCUUUUACAUGGUUCAACAUGUUUAAAUUCGCAAACACUUUUUUCUAUACAUGUCACGUAUAUUCUGUUAAGGUUAUGACACAUUUUUGUACAACACGCAAACAUUUUCGAUACAUUGUACAUACUUUUUUUGAAAAAUGCCACAAACACAUUUUCUGAAACUCGCGAACAUUCUUGAAAUGUUACAUUUUUUAGAAUGUACGAAACCUUUUUUUUUGAAUCACACAAAUAUUAUUAUACAUUGUAUAAACAUUGUUUGAAUUGGCCCAUACAUUUUUUUAGAAUUUGUGGUAUUUUCUAGAUGUCACAAAGUCAGAAAAUGUUUAUGUAUCAAAAAGUGUUCGCACUUAAUUUUGUUCAGGUUUCAGAAAAAAUUUAUGGUUCAAAAAGUGUUUGCACUUUAAAUUUUCGUUCAGGUUUCAAAAAAUGUUGAUGUUUCAAAAGGUGUUGGCUUUUUCAAAGUUGUUGGUUUUUACGAAAUAGUUUAUGAAAUUGUAAAAAAUAUUUUAAAAAUGUGACAUAAUUUGAAAAUUUGAAAACAAUCAUAGCAUCUGAAAAACUGUUGGUAUUAUGAACAUUUUUGGCAAAUGUGUUUUUCUUUUUGAAAUCACAAACAGUUUUUUAAAAUGCGAAUAGAAUUUUAAAAUGCCAAACAUUUUUUUAAAAACACAAAAUGAAUUUAAUUUUCGCCGAAAAUAGAAAACAGGAACAUUUUUUAACUCGCGAACAAUUUUAAACAUGUGCGAACAUUUUUGAAACUUCACGAAUUGUUGUUGUGUUGUAGUGGGCCGGCCCAAAUUCUUAUCCGUGAGAGUAGCUAGUUAUCCUGGCCGGGAUUGUACUAUUCCCAGUUUGCCAAACAGGUCUAGGGUUCAAAAUAGACCGGGAUUACAAGUUUAGAGUGUCAAUUUCCGGGAUUCAAAGUUUGAGGUUUGAUUUAGCUUUCGUCUAUAAUUUUAAGGUUUAUUUUGGACUUUUUCAUUCUGGUUCGUUUUCCGCUUGGCUUCGCCUAGUGAGUCGUGACGCGGUGACGAAGAGCGAGGACGACGGUCGGGCCCAGCCUGCGGAACCACAGCAUCUACUCACCUUUUCCAUGUCUGCAACCCCACGCGCGUGUGGACCAUUGUGCCAUAAACCGGAAAUGGCAUUGAUCGGUUCUGGUUUGAUUCGGUUCCGUUGUGGUUCCGGCUUCCGACACGGCCAGAUCUAGAGUAAAAUAGUCAGAUCAGUUCGUGUCGUGCAGGGCCGUAUGCAUCGCUAGAUGCAGAGGUCGAGGAAACCCCCUUUUCGAAAAAAAAAGUUCGUGUCGUGCAGCUUCACAAAAUGAUAUAGAAACUUCCUCACUAGUAAAAAGGAGAAUGAAACUUACUCUACAACGCUACAAGGGCAUCUCCAACCAAGCUUCAAAAUAUCGGAUAUCGGGUUCAUAUCGGUUUGGCUUUGACAUAUUGGAUGUCGGAUAUCAGGUGAUAUAUCGGACGAUAUGUAGAUAUAUCGACGAAAACAUGUGUAGUUGUUUUCAUUAUUCUUGUUCAAAACAUUUAUUUUUAGUAAAACAAAAUGUAUGAUGUCAAAGCUUUAACAUAUCACUUUUAGAUUCUUAGUUUAUUAACUUGUUGAUUAAGAAACUAUUAAGGAAAGAUGCACAAAAUGCUUACUCUAUGAUUAAAAAUAGUAUCAUAUAUAUGCAUUUGUACGAAAAAUUGUGCAUGACGUUGAUAAUAUAUAAUGAAGUUGUAAAUGCAUAAUCUUAUUUCACUGCUAUCUAAUAAAUAAUUGUUGUCGUCUAUGUACCGUCCUAUAUCAGUGGACAUAUCAGGCUAGAUAUCGGGCAUAUCGGUCGAUAUUUCGGUCCAUCUCGGAUGAUAUGUUGAAAAAUGAUAUUUGCAAAAUGAUAUGUUAUGUUUAUAUCGGUGAAGCCCCAAAAGUGAUAUAUCGGCCUCUAUAUCGGUCGUAUCGGCCUAGAUUUAAAAGCUUGUCUCCAACGCAUACACUCAAACCGACUGCAUCGUCUAAACCUUAUGGUCCAACCGUGUUUUGCAUGAGCCGGUCCGGACGUCAUUUUUCCUGUAAACCGGAAGCAACCCCGGGAGAGGAGCUUUGCCAGCGUCCGGACCAGGGUCAGGGUUGUCGGACGCGUGCGUGGUAGAGGUCCGGACGUCAUUUUUCCUAUCAAUCGGAAGCAAACUCUCUCGCGUGUUCUCUCCAACGGAGGCGCCACUUCCCGCACCGUUUUUCGACGACAAGGCGGUGAGGCAGGCGCACGGCAGAAGCGGCGCAACGUGGCCCGCCGCUCCGUGUUCGCCAAGUCGAACGAGGCAUCGGCUUGGGUCCGCAACGACCCGAACUUGCCGACGGUCUGGGCUCUCGACCGGUCCUUCAUGACUGCAGAGACAACCACGUAGGGACGCCGCCGACUCGAUGGUGAGCACCGCCGCCAGGGUCCACAUUGGCCGCGGCAACCCUCCGCACGUUGUAAAAGGGAGUGGAUUGACUCCUCCGCGAGCGCCAGGAGGUGUCCGGGCAAGGCUGACAAUGAAGGCGGCACGGCCGCAACGCCGGUGCUGCCCAAGAAGACUGUUCAAAACGAUGAAAAAAUAAAAUUUUGAAAUGAAAAUCUAAGAAGGAACAUGACUGCACUUUCGUUUUUGAUGCUCUGUUUUUCUCCCACUACGAGUGCAUGUGCUUACGGAGGAUGAUCAUGACAGCAGGGUGGGGUCAGAGUUCUCACAAUCAUUUGGGGAAACCAAAAUGUCCUGUGGUUCGGUUCGGGUCUGGUUAUGGUUUCUGGAGGGGCGGCAGAACUCAGGGAAACCAAAAUGUCUUGUGGUUCGGUUCGGGUAUGGUUCUGGUUUGCCACAGUGCCACUUUGCGCGUAGGCUGGCUAUAAAUCUUCAUCAUCUCCCCCCAGGUCAAGAACCCAUUUCUCCAGCAAACACCACACACACGAGACACGAGACGCACAAUGGAUUCCGUGGCCACAGUCGCCGACCUUGGCGCCCUGAUCUCCGACGCAUGCCGCGACGCGGAGAUGCUGCCGGGCGCUCUGAUCUCGUGCGGCGUCGCCGAGGCCGCCGCGGCGCUCUGCCUCGUCAUCUCCAAGGCGCCCGGCGGUGUGUUCCUCCACCACGGCAAAGCGCCAUUCGUUCUGUACUACGGCAUCCUCGUCGCCGUGUUCAUCUUCGGGCUCCUCGAGGCGUCGGCCGGCUUCUGGGUGUCAGGCGACGUGGUCGGACGGCGCGCCGCCGGGAAGACAAUCCUCUGGUUGGGCCUCCUGCCCAUCGUCUUGGUGGCUGCGCUUGGAGACGUUGUCAUUCUGAGCAUGAAAUAGUGUCGACGUUUGCCGGUAGUAUCAUGUACUGAUGCUGUUGUAAUCUGUUGGUUCGUCCAUGUCAGUUACGCCUUGUGUGUGUAGGUGGGCGCGCAUGAGCUUGAGGUGUCAUUUCCUUUCACUUGCAGUCUGCACGGUGUGUUCUGUCGAGAUGAAUUUUGGGUUAUUAUUGCUCUUCCCUGAUUUUCCUAAACGAACAAAACAAAAAUGCAUCCGUUGUAGCGGAAGCAGAGGGUUCGAAGUUCCCUUCUGUUUUUUUUGUUUUGUUUUUCUUUUGAGAUCCUGUUCCCUUGUGUAAUGUGAUCCGUCGGCCUGCCCGAACCGUUCGAGUAUCAUCGACCGGCCCGAACUCACUCAGCCCAUAGAGCUUUGUGUGCUCUCCACGAACUCUCAACCGCGAGCGUGCGUGUGCUCUCUAGAACGAAACAAGAAAAAGAAAGACUGGGACUCAACACGAAUUUUUUGAAUUUUUUUUAAAUUGUUGAUUUUUUUUAUUUUUAAAUUUCUGAAUUAUUUGACAAUUUAAUCUCUAAUCACCCUCACUGCUCAAUAGACGCUAGAAAUAGAGUUCAAAUAGCACAUCGAGGGUAAAGUAAUCAUUUUAGAAAUCAACAUGCCGCCGUGCUCAACACGAAUUCAACACUCAAUAUCUCUUGUUAAACCUUAAAGUUGUGGCAUGCUCGUUCACACGCUUUGUUUCUUCAAGAGUCGAUAACACCACCGUUGUUUCAUCCUCAUCUCCCUCAUCUGACGAAGACGAAUUCAUGAACUCGGCGUACAAGUACUCCUCGUCUAAAUCAAUUGUUUUUGAUUCAAUGUAAAUAAUGUCAACAUUAAAAAAUUGCUAUGGCAUUUGACCGAGCAGUUGAUGGGCGUGGCGUCCACCAUGGACGAUAUCGGGAGGUGCGGAGGGUAUCUGGGUGGCGGCUGAAUCCAGUGGAGUACGACGAUAGAAUAUCCCUAGGCGAGUAGGCGCAUGAGUGGAAUGGCAGAGGUCGACAGGGCCUUGGCAGCGUCCAGGGGAUGGGGGCAGCAUUUAUCUCUGGGAGUAGAGGACUGGGACGAUUUUGAAAAAAAGCAGGCUUUGGGUGGGGUUUUAGGUGGGUACAAGGAGUUGAAGUCCGACGUGGAAGACGUCCGGACUGCCCAUAGACCUCUUUUGGGGUCGGUCUAUGAGAUUUCAAUCGUCGAGAGUGGUCUAGUCCAGAAAUUUAGGGCAUUUUGGUGAUCCGCAUCGGAGAUGCCUAUCAUAGACCAAUUUUCUAAAAUUGCCUUUAUGUUUUUCUAUUUUUCUCUGGAAAUUCUUUCUUUGGAUUUUCCUCUAUGGGUUUAUUGAGAAAUUAAUUAGUGCAAUCGGGCUAUAGUCCCGGUUUGUAAGGACCUUUAGUCCCGGUUUUGCAACCGGCACUAAAGGGUGGGGACUAAAGGUCCCGCCCUUAGUCCCGGUUCAACACGAACCGGGACCAAAGGCCCACCACGUGGCACAAGCCCGCGGCGGGGGCUGGGGAACCUUUAGUCCCGGUUGGUAACACCAACAGGGACUAAAGGAAUUUUUUUGAUUUUUUUUAACGGUUGAAUUUCUUUGAUUUUCAAAUUUCUGAAUUAUUUGACAAUUUAAUCUCUAAUCACACUAGUGUGGAGCACUCAUUAUUCCAAAUCGUCUAACUUCUCGACUGGUCACCCAUCCCCCUCAUUACUCCAACCUGAGCACGCUUAACUUUCGAGUUCUAUUUCCCCUAGUUUCCAACUCUGCACUUGUUGUUUUCUUGACAAUAAUAAUCUGUCAAUCCUAUUAACCCUUAAGAGUUUAGCUUGAGCAUGAAGCCACACGUUUCACCGUUUGAGUUUCAAACUAUUAUUGUAAAAAAAUAUUUAAUAACACUAAUAUUUCUUGAAUAAGUAGUUUGACCAAAAUUCAAAAAAACCUAAAAUUUUGAGCAUAACUUUUUUUUUCCUUUCAGAAUUUGAGGAUUCUAAAAAUUUGCAAAACAGCCUACGGCUGUCGAAAUCGGAACCGGCUUUUGUAAAACAUGUCAAAAUUUAUGUUUCUAAAUUUCCCUAACUAGUAGAUGUAGUAACAUAACUACAUCUCGAAGGAUUUUAUUUUUUUAUCAUUUUUUUAAAAACUGAAAAGGCGAUACGGGACGGGGGGAGGGGGGUGGUAGAUUUCGAAAAUUAAAGAACCCCUUAAUCAGGGUUGGAGCCACCAACCGGGACUAAAGGGGUCUACCCUUUUAGUCCCAGUUGGUGGCUCCAACCCGGACUAAAGGUCUAACCUAUAGUUCCGGUUUGUGUCACAAACCAGGACUAAAGGGGCUUGUGGGGCCCCGGCCUGACGCCGGCCUGCCACCACCCCUUUAGUCCCGGUUUGUGACACAAACUGGGACUAUAGGUCACAAAUGAAUCGGGAUUAAUGCUUAGCCGUUUGAAUCGGAACUAAUGGUACCAUUAGUACCAGGUCAUAAUUGAACCGGGACUAAUGUGCUGAACAUUAGGUCGUUUUUCCGCUAGUGAUUGCUUUCUCUUUUUUCCUUUGCUCAAAUGAGUUGGAGUUAUACUAGUAAAAUCUGCUCCUGCCUAUUAUUCUUCAGAUAUGUUCUUCCCAAGUCCAAUCUUCUUGAGGAAGUAUUCAAACUUGUAUGUUUGAAUUUUUUUUUUGGAAAGAAACACAUAUACUAGAGACAAAAUGUACAAUGUGUAAAUUUUCAGGACCAAAUACCUUAAAAUGAGUGCUACACAAAAAUCUGUAGUAGGUGCACUAUUUAUCCUCCAAGUCCAUGAAUUUGUCUUUUUUGCAUAGAUCGCAUUUCAAGGUGUUUCAUCCUGAAAUUUUACACAUAUACACAUCACAUCCUUGUUUACUUGUACAAUUUCUUUCAGGUAUUUUUAGAACUGAAAGUUUGAAUUUAGAUUUUUCAAAAAUUCGGCCUCCAUGGAAGCCGAGCUCCAAAACGCUCCACUCUGCCAACGACGCCUUAUUUCAAGUGUGUCAUCAUAAUAAAGUUCACUGAAAAAAAGGUGUGUGUGCAUAAACGGUUGGAUCACUUGUUCUCAGUUUUCAAAGCGUGUCGUCAGCAAAGCGCCACUACUAGUACGUUGGGACAAACAGCAACCAUUACAGGUUCGCCGUAUCAUUUGCACAACCACGUUGGGAAACCGGAAACCGAGCGUGAGCCGUGACGCGGUGACGAAGAGCGAAGACCACAGCCGGGCCCAGCCUGCGGACCCACAGCAUCUACUCAACUUUCCUUUGUCUGCAACCCCACGCACGUGUUGACCAUUGCGCCAUAAACCGGAAAUGGCAUUGAUCGGUUCUGGUUUGAUUCGGUUUUGUUGUGGUUCCGGCUUCCGGCACGUCCAGGUCUGGAGUAAAAUAGUCAGGUCAGUUCGGGUCAUGUAGCUUCACAAAAUGAUAUAGAAACUCCCCGCUAGUAAAAUGAGAAUGAAAUUUAAUUUACAAGAUUUUAAUGGCAUCUCCAAAGCAGAUGCUCAAAUCAUCCACAUCAUCUAAACCGUACGGUUCAGAUGUGUUUUGUCAUCUAAUAUGAUACUGUAUCCAUCCAUGAAUCGGUCCAGACGUUCUCUUUCCCGCAAACCGGAAGCAACCUUGGGAGAGGGGGCUUUGCGAGUGUCCGGACCGCUACCACGUACGCGUCCGAUAACCUUGGCCCGCACAAAACCCUCUCCCGCCUCUCUCGCGAUUUCUCUCCAGCAGAUGCGCCGCUUCCCGCGCGUUUUUUCGAGGACAAGGCGGCGGGGCAGGGGCAGCACAACGCGGCCCGCCGUUUCGUGUUCGCCAAGUCAUAUGCGGCAUAGGCUUGGGUGCGCUGAGGGACUCCUGGAUUAGGGGGUAUCCGGACAGCCGGACUACUAUUGGAGCGUGAAGAUACAAGACUCAAGACUUCGUCCCGUGUUCGGAUGGGACUCUCCUUUGCGUGGAAGACAAGCUUGGCGAUCCGGAUAUUAUAUUUCCUUCCUUUUAACCGACUCCAUAUAAACCCUAGCCCUCUCCGGUGUCUAUAUAAACCGGAGGGUUUUAGUCCUUAGGGACAGAAUCAUAAUCAUCAUAUGCUAGCUUCUAGGGUUUAGCCUCUAUGAUCUCGUGGUAGAUCAACUCUUGUACUACUCAUAUCAUCAAUAUCAAUCAAGCAGGAAGUAGGGUUUUACCUCCAUCGAGAGGGUCCGAACCUGGGUAAACAUUGUGUCCCUUGACUCCUGUUACCAUUAGCCUAAGACGCACAGAUCAGGACCCCCUACCCGAGAUUCGCCGGUUUUGACACCGACAUUGGUGCUUUCAUUGACAGUUCCUUUGUGUCGUCGCUGCAAGGCUCGAUGGCCCGUCUCGUUGUCAAGGACAACAUCACCUCUGGGGGAGCGCUGGCUGUAGGCCAAACUCUCCGACUAGGCGGCUUCAUCAUGGCUGCCCCAUCGGCUGUCGCGUCGACGAUGCCUUUCGGGUCAUCACGCAUAGCCUCCACGUCAAUUCAGAACUCGCCGAACAGAUGGAUCCGAUGGAGCUCUCCUCCCUUAAUGAGCUCUUGGAUCGCGUCGCUGCUUUGGGAGUCGCCACAGACUAUGACCGGAUCGGGCUUAAACCCGACCAAAGGGAUAUUAAAUCCCUGCCGGUCACCCACGAGAUAGCGGUAGUGGAGGAGACACAUACGGAUUACCCCUCUAUUUUGAGGACGAGUUAUGUCCGGAUCACCGAGCUCCCUGAGCCGGACACCCGCUCAAGGGAAGACAUGACCCAGACCCCGGACUUAGAAUCAGGUAUUAGGCCGGAGAAAUUGGGCAGCACCCCGGAUCCUGAGCUGUCAAGCCCGGAAGCUCCCUGCCCCAGGGCGUUAGAUCGGAUCAGAAUCCAGGUUCAGCUACACCCACCCACCCGUACUCAAACCCUCUCUCCCAUAUCAGACAAGAACCCCAAGAGACAAUACAUCGCUACUGGGCCAGAUUCCUCCUUUUGCUAAACAAGGUCAAGGACUGUCAUGAGGAGGACGCGGUCUCACUUUUCUGCAAAAACUGCACGAACAAAGGAAUCCUUAAUGCUAUAAGUCGCCGUGACAUAGUACAUUUUGCUGACUUGGCAACCAUAGUACAGAAGUACUGUGCGAUGGAAAGCGCCUGGAAAACCCAAACAGGAUUUUGGGAUAGUCCGGCUCUCACUAAAACCUUUGUCCGAGCUAAACGGGCGAACUCUCGUAAGUCAGCCGAUCCAAUCCCCAAGAAACCAAAGCCCACCCCAGGGCGUGGAACCGUAUUGGAAGAAUGGCUCAAUAGGCCAUGUAAACUCCAAAGCACACCGGGCACUACACCAACAGAUAGCCUUACAGCAUGUUGGAUACUCCGGCAGGUAGCAAAAAAUGGCGAGGAUCUUCUUGUAAGCCAUAAAGCAGAACAACAUCCCACCAAAGAAAACAAUGCGGUACUGACAGUCUUCGAGACUUUUGCCUCAAACAAUAGGCGCAAGCGACCUCAUCGAAGCUCCGCUGAAAUCUGCCACGUGGCAAAAAUAAAUCCAUGGAACGACACUGCUAUAACUUUCAGCGCCAGCGAUGAACCUCAAUUCCAGAUAGUCCGGGCACCAGCCGCUUUGGUCCUUAGCCCAAUCAUGGACGGCUUUCGGCUCACUAAAGUACUCAUGGACGACAGAAGCGGAUUAAACUUGAUCUACGAAGAAACACUCAGCAAGAUGGAAAUUGAUAAAAGCCGCAUUGAGCAACGCGACACAACCUUCAGGGGAAUCAUCCUUAGUCGGGAAGCACGGUGUGCGGGAAAAAUCACACUCGAUGUGGUAUUCGGCACUCCGAAGAAUUACAGAUCCGAAGAAAUCACAUUCCAAGUGGCUCCUUUCAGCAGCGGAUACCAUGCCCUUUUAGGGCGGGACGCAUUUACAAGCUUUCAAGCCAUACCCCAUUACGGGUACAUGAAGCUUAAAAUGCCCGGACCCAAUGGAAUCAUCACUCUAGCCAGUGAUCUGGACGUUGCACUUCGCGCCGAAAACAAAACCGCAGCACUAGCCCUGGAAGCAUUAUCCGAAGCCCUAGCAGCCGAAGAACUAACAAUGCUGCGUGCCACCGUGGAUAAGGACGACGUGAUACUCGACAAGCGACCCAAGUCCACCUCAUUUAAACUCGCAGACGAGAUAGUCAAAUUCCAGGUCCAUCCAACGGACCCCACGAAGACAGCUUCCAUCGGGACACAGUUGAGCCCCACAAUUGACGCCGCACUGCAAGACUUCCUAUGGGAGAAUUGGGACAUUUUCGCCUGGCACUCCUCGGAGAUGCUGGGCAUCCCAUGCAGACUGGCCGAACACAACCUCAAUAUACUAAAAGGAUACAAGCCUAUCAAGCAGACUCGAAGGCGGUUUUCAGAGCCCAAACGACAAGCCAUGGGGGAAGAGCUAGCCAAGCUACUCGAGGCCGGAUUCAUCAGAGAUAUCAAGCAUCCAGAUUGGCUGGCAAAUCUGGUAAUGGUACCAAAGAAGGACAAAUCCUGGCGCCUAUGCGAGACUUCAAAGACCUCAACAAGGCUUGCCCCAAGGAUCCCUUCCCCCUCCCUCGCAUUGACCAAAUCAUCGAUGCCACUGCAGGACAUGAAUCGCUGUGUUUCCUUGACGCAUACUCUGGAUACCAUCAAAUAAAGAUGGCAGAGUCUGACCUAGCUGCAACGGCCUUCAUAACGCUAUAUGGUCCUUUCUGCUUCAACACUAUGCCUUUCGGGCUUAAAAAUGUCGGCGCAACCUAUCAACGCAUGAUUCAAACAUGCCUGGAAAAGCAAAUCGGCAAGACAGUGGAGGCAUAUGUGGACGACGUGGUCAUAAAAACAAGACAUGUCGAAACCCUAAUAGACGACUUGAGGCUUACGUUUGACAACCUUCGAACAUACGACAUCAAGCUAAACCCAGAAAAAUGCGUUUUCGGCGUGCCCUCUGGGAAGCUGCUCGGCUUCAUCGUUUCCAAUAGAGGAAUUGAGGCGAAUCCGGCAAAAAUCCGAACUCUAUCGCAGUUGGCUAUCCCAACAGACCUCAAGCAUAUCCAGAAACUAGCUGGAUGCGUGGCUGCCUUAAGCCGCUUUAUCUCCCGGUUAGGAGAAAAGGCAUUACCUCUUUACUGCCUUCUUUGGUGCACCGAAUUUGUAUGGACGGAUGCAGCCGCGGCCGGACUAUACGAAAUAAAGACCUUGUUGGCUAGUAAUACAGUCCUAACAGCGCCAAAUAUUGGCGAACCUAUGCUAUUGUACAUAGCUGCAACACAUCAAGUUGUAAGCGCAGUGCUCGUCGUCGAAUGAGAGGCUGACAGAUUCUGCUCCAGAAGCCGGUAUAUUACGUAUCCAUGGUCCUCACCCCAUGCAAAUCCCGAUACCCACACUAUCAAAAGAUAGCAUACGCGGUCUUCAUGGCAUCCCGGAAGCUAUGACACUACUUUCAAGAGUGUUUGAUCACGGUGGCCUCCGAAGUACCACUCAACGAUAUAAUAAACAACCGCGAUGUUACGGGCCGGAUUGCUAAAUGGGCCAUCGAGCUCCUUCCGUUCGACAUAACAUACAAGCCACGACGGGCCAUCAAGUCGCAAGUACUGGCUGACUUCGUCGCCGAAUGGACAGAAGCCGAACUCCCUAAAGAGUACGGCGCGUACUCUAACUAGAUCAUGCACUUCGACGGCUCUAAAAUGCUGGCCGGACUGGGAGCAGGCGUAGUCCUGACGUCUCCCACCGGAGACACGGUCCAAUACGUACUCCAAAUAUUAUACACAGACUCCAACAACGCAGCCGAAUACGAGGCUCUGUUACAUGGUCUUCGGAUGGCAGUCUCCAUGGGCAUUCAAUGCCUGGAAGUACGUGGGGAUUCAAACCUUGCAAUAUCACAAAUAAACGGAGACUUUGAUGCCAAGGAUCCGAAGAUGGCGGCCUACCGUAAUGCCGUCCUCAAAAUGUCAGCUCGAUUCGAGGGGCUCGAAUUCCACCAUGUGGCUCGAGAAAACAAUCAAGCGGCGGAUAUCCUCGCCCGCAUCGGCGCUAAACGCGACCGUGUCCCACCUUACAUAUUCCUGGAAAGUCUGUUCAAGCCAUCCGUGGUAUGGGAAGGGGAAUCCGGCAACACUAGCACAGAUCCGAACAAACCCCCAGAUUCCGAACCAUCAGACGUAACCGGAGGCUCCGCCACCGAAAUAACACCUUUGGCCCACGAAAUCAUGGCUAUAAUCGCCCCGUGGACCAAGCCUUUCUUGGCCUACCUAAAUAGGCAAGAGCUCCCCGAGGACCAAAAUGAAGCACGUUGUAUUGUGCGGCGUUCCAAGGCCUACAAAGUACAUGAGGGAGAACUCUAUUAGAAGAGUGCAACCGGAGUGCUCCAAAGAUGCAUCUCCAAAGAGGAAGGGCGGCAGCUAUUGGCUGAAAUCCAUGCCGGACUCAGCGGGCACCACGCCGUGGCUCGGGCGCUCGUCAGCAAGGCCUUUCGUACAGGCUUUUAUUGACUGACAGCCCGAGCAGACGCAUAGGACCUUAUCCAACAUUGCGUCGGUUGCCAGCUCUUCGCCAAUCAGAGUCAUAUGCCCCCCACCGCUCUCCAAACAAUCCCCAUUAGUUGGCCCUUCAUGAUCUAGGGGCUGGAUAUGGUCGUACACCUUAAAGGGGGAAGCCAUAAGAAAAAAUACUUAUUGGUCAUGGUGGACAAGUUCACCAAAUGGAUAGAAGCUAAACCAGUCAAAACGGUCGAAUCCGGACUAGUGAUAGACUUCAUAUCCGGGGUUGUACACCGAUACAGUGUCCCACACAGCAUCAUCACUGAUAACGGCUCAAACUUCACAGUCGAUGAAGUGAAAACUUGGUGCGGCAACAUGGGCAUUAAGCUCGAUUACACCUCCGUCUACCAUCCCCAAACAAAUGGCCAGGUCGAACGUGCAAACAAUCUCAUCAUGAGCAGCAUCAAACCCAGACUAGUGCAAUCCUUGACAGAAUCAAACACGCACUGGGUCGAGGAGCUCGACUCCAUACUCUGGGGGCUGCGGACCACGCCGAAUCGUACCACCUGAUAUACACCAUUUUUUAUGGUAUACGGCGCAGAAGCAGUACUACCCUGCGACAUAAUACAUGAUUCGCCUCACAUGCGCAUGUACGAAGAGAAGGAAGCCGAGUUGGAUCGGCAGGAUAACUUAGAUGCCCUGGAGGAGGAACGCGACGUCGCAAAAGUCCGUUCCGCAUUCUAUCAGCAGCAAGCUCGACGGUACCAAAGCAGAGAAGUGCGGGCCAAAACUUAUAAUGUUGGCGAACUCGUUCUACGCCUACCGGAGAAGAAGAAGGACAAGCUCAAACCUAAGUGCGAGGGUCCCUUCAUCAUUGAUAAAGUUCUCACCGGAGGAGCGUACCGCCUACCUAAUGCUUCUGAUAACAGACUCGAGCCGAACUCAUGGGACGCGGCCAGACUCCGGAGAUUCUACGCCUAGCGCCGAACUUAGUGUUCGUCUCCUUACCCCCUCCUUUUCAAUUACGUUCCCUCCUUUUUCCUUUCUCGACCUUUUUCCUCUUCACACAAAGUACUUAAUACAGUGCGGACGCCCGGAUCACUCCGGCCGCACUAUGUGUGUAAGCCAUACCUGGGGGCUUCCUAUACGGAAGCUAAAUAUAAUUGCUUUCAUGGCUUCUUGCCUAUCACAUAUGCAUUCUUUUUCCAUAUGUACCCUUUUUCACCAUUAUAUGCAUCGAUAUGACUUAAGAUGUGGCCAUGCUGGGUUGCCUGGCUCUUGUGCUUAUGCCCUACGUUCCCGUUAAUUCGGCUAGGGCAUAAGGGGAGCACCUCUGCGAUUGUUACUGCCGGUUCAGCCGGAUGUGUACCUCAGACUGGGUGAAGCCAAAAGCUAGCUUCCUUAAGGGAAUAUUCGGUCGGUGAAUAAAAGAUGUCUUUCGUUUAUUACAAUAUGAAUCCCCAGAAGUUUUUGUAUCCUAUGUCCCUGUUUGUAGUCCGGACAUGUACUUUGUUGCAUGCGUACCCAGGGAAAGGAACCCCUAACGGAACUAUUAUCCCUGGAAGAUGUUUCUUACUAUCCAUGUAAUAUAACAUAACUAGUUGGGUACUUGUCUGUUCAAGCAAUUAUGACCCCUACGCCUGGUUUCCACGCAUACCCCGGUUCCGUAUAACUGAGCGGGUAUUCGGAUACACCCCGGACUGUCGGAUCCGGGGGCUGAAGCGAAAAGGUCCGCCAUGACAAAUGAUUUUAAUCCGGCUAGGGACUACUUAUGUCCAUUGAAUUACACAGUCACUUGGACUGACUAUAUUCCUCCUCUAUACCAUCCAACAGUCUAUCUAGCUUACAAUCCUGUUGGGAAUACUUUGCGGCUAACGCUACCUGGUCAUACACCAGACUCACGGGAAUUUCUUGCCCAUCUGGCCCCUCCGGUCCGACUUUGGUCAUAUGGUUCGGGUCAAGCUUGAUAUAGCGCGUCUUCACCAUAGCCCAGGCUUCUCUUGCACCUUGUCGGCAGGCUGACAUCUUCCACAAUCGGAAGCGCCGCCGUGCUCCUUGGAGCAUAUCCACGAGCUCCCCCAUGCCCUUUGGCAGGAAGCUUGAUGGCUACAAGGCCUGAGCAAUGCCCUGCAUCACCUGCCGAGCUCGCUCGUGCAGCUGUGAGAGGUCUUGCAGAAAAUCGCCUGCAGACGCGGGCAUCUCCUCUUGAGGGUGGCCCGUUAGCAUGCCUACAAAUAAAAUUUAUUUCAAUAUGCUUCCUCACCGAGUUGUACUACAGUUCGUCUAGGCACUUACCAUAAAUGCUGCGACGAAGCCUUUUGUUCUCCUUCACGGAGUCCGCCAGCUGAGCGCGAACAUCUUUUAAUUCGACAUCCAGCCGGACAUUGGCAUCUUGAAGAUUGUUCUUCUCCUGCCUAACUUGCGUAAGAACACGCUCGCCAGCUUUUAGCUGCCUCUGGAGAUGCGACUCGUUAUCUCUUACGACAUCCGGAUUCACCCCGGUAUUGUCUGCAGAAUUUUCUGUUAGACUAAACAUAGAAGCCACUUACUAACUGGUACAUCUCCGUACAAUUGAGACAUAUGUUACCAGAUGAGGCCUUCUGGGAUUCCUCUAACUUGGCAACCGUGGCCCUUAGCUGGGUCUUGCACUCCCCAGCUCUCGAGACAAUUGCUCAUUCUUAUCUACAAGGACCUGUGCAUAAAUUGAUCCUUAAAACAGUUGUUCCAACCAUUUCAAGUCUCAGGGGCUACUGCUAUACAUGCUUAUCAAAUUUUCUUACCCGUAUAUCUUUGGUAUACUGGUCCGUCGCUCGGGCAAGCCCGCCUUGAGCAGCUCGGAUGUACGCGUCUCCCGAAUUGAAAGCAUUAAAAGCCUCUUCAGAAAAGAUGUUGUUGCGAAGUACGGCCCAUCGGCGCCGGUGAUUCAUGGCGCUCUCCACUUCGGAAUUCGUGGCGGAAAGCAUAUCUGCAUCCUCUGUCGGAGGACAAUGCGGCAUCGGCCCCGCGCCCGCCUCCUCUCUUGAAGCCGGUUCUGGAAUCCGGCUGGUAGAGGCGUGAUUGGCAGGAUCUUCGGAUAUAGUCCGGCUAUUCCUCUUUCUGCCAGGACACGAAGGAUGCUGUUACAUUUCAAACACAAUAAUCACAGAGCAGGUUCUUACCAUAUCUCUGUAGCGGUGUUUCGGCCCUAACCGCCUUCCUCUUAAGCCUGCCCGAUCCGGACACCCUUUGCCGACGAGUCCCCAGGGGCUCGGCGCCGUGCUCUGACCAUCAUCUCUACAAAAAUAUGACACUUCAGGUGUAAGGCAUGGCGUCAGAAAGGAGUCCUCUUCGGAGGAUAGGGUUUUUUGGCUUGGCUUACACGUGAUGUAGGUAGCAGUCUGGAUAGUCAGCGGUAAUAGCCACCGAGGCACUGCCGCAGCUUGCCUGAUAAAAUAUCCCGUUGACAAGCUCCACAGUAAUAUCCGGAUCUUCUUCGAGUCCUGGAUCGAGGGCCCUUCCGGGGUCCUCUGGCUGCGGGGAGGGGUUGGAGAUUCCUUCUAUGACCCUCCUCAGUUCCUGCUCAAAAAUAUCGAGGUAAAUAAUCUUGACGAAGAACGCCAAAUUGAGUGAAGCAGCGGAAAGACUGGCGACUUACCCAGCUUGGGGGGUUGUACAUAGAAAACCCAUCCCGUGGUUUAAUGUGAAGGAAUUCUUCUUCUUCUCCUUUAUACAGAUCGGACAAUAUCCUCGCCAGCGCAGUGGCGGAGUCCGGACCCUUACGGCCACAGCGGGUGGCAUCAUCUUCCCCGUUGUAGUGCCACAUGGGCUUCCCCCGAUAUUGAAGCGGCUGCACUCCCCGCAUUAUGCAUAUUGCCAUAACCUCGACUAUCGUCAGCCCGGAUUUGGCCAGUAACUUUAUCCUGCUCAUCAGGAAGUGUAUCUCUCUGGUAUCCUCCUCGUGGGGGCCCCGAGGGCGCCAGCUUCGAUGUGCCUUCGGCGAGGCGUUACUGAACUUAGGGAGACCUGUCCGGACUUGAUCCGGAAGGGGAACGUCGUCGACAUAAAACCACUCCGAAGGCCAGUUCUCCGGUGCCUUCUUGGGAGUACCGGAUAGGUAUCCAGUCUCGAUGAUGCGCCAUACUUCGGCUCCGCCCACUUGACAUAGGGAUUCCCCCUGGUUGCGAGGGACAAGGCAGAACAACUUCUUCCAUAACCCAAAGUGAGCCUCGCAGCCUAGAAAUAGCUCACAAAGGGCAACGUAUCCUGCUAUAUGCAGCACGGAGGCAGGGGUGAAGUUGUGCAACUGGAGGCCGUAGAACUCCAAGAGCCCGUGCAGAAAUGGGUGGAUAGAAAACCCGACGCCCCUUAGCAGAUGCGGGAUGAGACAUAUCCUCUCCUCUGGAGAUGGAUUAGGAGAUCCCUCCGCUUGCUCCCCGCCAUUAUAUGUGGCUAGUCCGGCUCGGACGGGGACCAUGAACGCCGGUGGGAGAAACCCUUGGGUCUGUAACUCUAUCAAACGACUGUGAGGAACUGAACACUCUUCCCAGUCACCCGGCUUGGAGCGAGAGGAGCGAGAAGAAGAGCUGCGGCGACCGGCCAUGUUGGAAUGGUUUUUCCAGAGCACUCUGUUGGAUGCUUGCUCGAGGGAAGAAGGUGAGAUUUGGAUCUGAGAAUCCCCGUCUCUUUAAAUAGACGAUUAGCUGCCGGACCGGGGGUGGAAAAUGCAAAGAUGCCUCGUCUCCUCGUAUUCGCUCGACACGUGGAGAUGGUCAUUAUUGAGGCACAGAAGCCGAGGAGAACAACAUUGAUGGGAAGCUGGACACUGUUUGUUGCAACAGGUACUUUGGAGUAUUCGGAGAUGGAACCCGCCUUGCAAUGCCGAAGACAAGACUGCGUGCCGGACUCGUCGUCAUUGAAGCCUGGUUCAUGGGCUACUGAGGGAGUCCUAUAUUAGGGGGUAUCCGGACAGCCGGACUAUAUACUUUGGCCGGACUAUUGGAGCGUGAAGAUACAAGACUCAAGACUUCGUCCUGUGUCCGGAUGGGACUCUCCUUUGCGUGGAAGACAAGCUUGGCGAUCCAGAUAUUAUAUUUCCUUCCUUGUAACCGACUCCAUGUAAACCCUAGCCCUCUCCGGUGUCUAUAUAAACCGGAGGGUUUUAGUCCUUAGGGACAGAAUCAUAAUCAUCAUAGGCUAGCUUCUAGGGUUUAGCCUCUAUGAUCUCGUGGUAGAUCAACUCUUGUACUACUCAUAUCAUCAAUAUCAAUCAAGCAGGAAGUAGGGUUUUACCUCCAUCGAGAGGGCCCGAACCUGGGUAAACAUUGUGUCCCUUGCCUCCUGUUACCAUUAGUCUAAGACGCACAGAUCGGGACCCCCUACCCGAGAUCCGCCGGUUUUGACACCGACAUGCGCAACGACCCGGACUUGGCGAUGGUCUGGGCCCUCGACCGGUCGGUCAUCACUGCAGAGACGGCCGUGCGGAGCCACCGCCGUCUCGACGGUGAGCUCGCCAAGAUUUUCGAGGAAUGGUCUCUCAACGACACCUUCACUAAUGUCGGCAGAGGUAGGGCACCGCGGCCGGCGUCCGCAUUGGCCACGGUAGCCCUCGUCACGGCGUAGGAGGAACUGGACCGGCUCUUUCGCGAGCGCCAAGAGGUGUCCGUGCAAGGGUGCCGCGGCCCCGUGGCUGGAAGGACGACGACGAUGGCGCCAUGGCCCGCGACGACGGUACUGCCCAAGAAGACCGCUCAAAACGAUCGAGAAAAAACAAUUCUCAAAGAAAAAUCUAAGAAGGAACAUGACUGCACUUUCGUUUUCAUUGCUCUGUUUUUCUCCCACUACGAGUGCCUGUGCUUAUGUGUCAUCACAGGGCGAGCUCAGUAUCAUCACAAUUAUUUGGGGAAACCAAAUGGUCUGUGGUCCGGUUCGGGUAUGGUUAUGGUUUCUGGAGGGACGGCAGAACUUAGGAAAACCAAAAUGUCUCGUGGUUCGGUUCGGGUAUGGUUCUGGACUUCUGGUUUGCCACAACGCCGAAGGCUGACAAUGAACGCGGCACGGCCGCAACGCCGGUGCUGCCCAAGAAGACUGUUCAAAACGAUGAAGAAAAAAUAAAAUUUUCAAAUGAAAAUCUAAGAAGGAACAUGACUGCACUUUCGUUUUUGAUGCUCUGUUUUUCUCCCACUACGAGUGCAUGUGCUUACGGAGGAUGAUCAUGACAGCAGGGUGGGGUCAGAGUUCUCACAAUCAUUUGGGAAAACCAAAAUGUCCUGUGGUUCGGUUCGGGUCUGGUUAUGGUUUCUGGAGGGGCGGCAGAACUCAGGGAAACCAAAAUGUCUUGUGGUUCGGUUCGGGUAUGGUUCUGGUUUGCCACAGUGCCACUUUGCGCGUAGGCUGGCUAUAAAUCUUCAUCAUCUCCCCCCAGGUCAAGAACCCAUUUCUCCAGCAAACACCACACACACGAGACACGAGACGCACAAUGGAUUCCGUGGCCACAGUCGCCGACCUUGGCGCCCUGAUCUCCGACGCAUGCCGCGACGCGGAGAUGCUGCCGGGCGCUCUGAUCUCGUGCGGCGUAGCCGAGGCCGCCGCGGCGCUCUGCCUCGUCAUCUCCAAGGCGCCCGGCGGUGUGUUCCUCCACCACGGCAAAGCGCCAUUCGUUCUGUACUACGGCAUCCUCGUCGCCGUGUUCAUCUUCGGGCUCCUCGAGGCGUCGGCCGGCUUCUGGGUGUCAGGCGACGUGGUCGGACGGUGCGCCGCCGGGAAGACGAUCCUCUGGUUGGGCCUCCUGCCCAUCGUCUUGGUGGCUGCGCUUGGAGGCGUUGUCAUUCUGAGCAUGAAAUAGUGUCGAUGUUUGCCGGUAGUAUCAUGUACUGAUGCUGUUGUAAUCUGUUGGUUCGUCCAUGUCAGUUACGCCUUGUGUGUGUAGGUGGGCGCGCAUGAGCUUGAGGUGUCAUUUCCUUUCACUUGCAGUCUGCACGGUGUGUUCUGUGGAGAUGAAUUUUGGGUUAUUACGCUGUAAUUAUUGCUCUUCCCUGAUUUUCCUAAGCGAACAAAACAAAAAUGCAUCCGUUGUAGCGGAAGCAGAGGGUUCGAAGUUCCCUUCUGUUUUUUUGUUUUGUUUUUCUUUUGAGAUCCUGUUCCCUUGUGUAAUGUGAUCCGUCGGCCUGCCCGAACACGGCCUGGUAUGUUUCACUAAAAAUCUGGGACAAACUAGCCUGGCCCAAACCGUUCGAGUAUCAUCGACAGGCCCGAACUCACUCAGCCCAUAGAGCUUUGUGUGCUCUCCACGAACUCUCAACCGCGAGCGUGCGUGUGCUCUCUAGAACAAAACAAGAAAAGAAAGACGGGGACUCAACACGGAUUUUUUGAUUUUUUUUUUAAAUUGUUGAAUUUUUUUUAUUUUUAAAUUUCUGAAUUAUUUGACAAUUUAAUCUCUAAUCACUCUCACUGCUCAAUAGACGCUAGAAAUAGAGUUCAAAUAACACAUCGAGGGUAAAGUAAUCAUUUUAGAAAUCAACAUGCCGCCGUGCUCAACACGAAUUCAACACUCAAUAUCUCUUGUUAAACCUUAAGUUGCAGCAUGCUCGUUCACACGCUUUGUUUCUUCAAGAGUCGAUAACACCACCGUUGUUUCAUCCUCAUCUCCCUCAUCUGACGAAGACGAAUCCAUGAACUCGGCGUACAAGUACUCCUCGUCUAAAUCAAUUAUUUUUGAUUCAAUGUAAAUAAUGACAACAUUAAAAAAUUGCUAUGGCAUUUGACCGAGCAGUUGAUGGGUGUGGUGUCCACCAUGGACGAUAUCGGGAGGUGCGGAGGGUAUCUGGGUGGCGGCUGAAUCCAGUGGAGUACGACGAUAGAAUAUCCCUAGGCGAGUAGGCGCAUGGGUGGAAUGGCAGAGGUCGACAGGGCCUUGGCAGCGUCCAGGGGAUGGGGGGCAGGAUUUAUCUCUGGGAGUAGAGGACUGGGACGAUUUUGAAAAAAAGCAGGCUUUGGGUGGGGUUUUAGGUGGGUACAAGGAGUUGAAGUCCAACGUGGAAGACGUCCGUGUUGGGGAACGUAGCAGAAAUUCAAAAUUUUCUACGCAUCAGCAAGAUAAAUCUAUGGAGUCAUCUAGCAACGAGGGAGAGGGGAGUGCAUCUACAUACCCUUGUAGAUCGCGAGCGGAAGCGUUCAAGAGAACGGGGUUGAUGGAGUCGUACUCGUCGUGAUCCUAAUCACCGAUGAUCCUAGCGCCGAACGGAAGGCACCUCCGCGUUCAACACACGUACGGUUGGGAAGACGUCUCCUCCUUCUUGAUCCAGCAAGGGGAAGGAGAGGUUGAUGGAGAUCCAGCAGCACGACGGCGUGGUGGUGGAAGCAGCGGCGAUCUCGGCAGGGCUUCGCCAAGCUCAGCGAGAGGGAGAGGUGUCACGGGAGGGAGAGGGAGGUGCCAGGGGCUAGGGUUCGGCUGCCCUCCCUCCCCCCACUAUAUAUAGGGCCCUAGGGGGGCCGGCCCUAGGAGACCCCAUCUCCAAGGGGGGCGCCGGCCAAGGGGGGAAACUUGCCCCCCAAGCCAAGUGGGGCGCCCCCACCCCUAGGGUUUCCAACCCUAGGCGCAGGGGGAGGCCCAAGGGGGGCGCACCAGCCCACCAGGGGCUGGUUCCCUUCCCACUUCAGCCCAUGUGGCCCUUCAGGAUAGGUGGCCCUACCCGGUGGACCCCUGGGACCCUUUCGGUGGUCCCGGUACAAUACCGGUGACCCCGAAACUUUCCCAAUGGCCGAAACUGGACUUCCUAUAUACAAAUCUUUACCUCCGGACCAUUCCGGAACCCCUCGUGACGUCCGGGAUCUCAUCCGGGACUCCGAACAACUUUCGGGUUACCGCAUACUAAUAUCUCUACAACCCUAGCGUCACCGAACCUUGAGUGUGUAGACCCUACGGGUUCGGGAGACACGCAGACAUGACCGCGACGACUCUCCGGUCAAUAACCAACAGCGGGAUCUGGAUACCCAUGUUGGCUCCCACAUAUUCCAAGAUGAUCUCAUUGGAUGAACCACGAUGUCGAGGAUUCAAUCAAUCCCGUAUUCAAUUCCCUUUGUCUACCGGUAUAGUACUUGCCCGAGAUUCGAUCGUCGGUAUCCCGAUACCUUGUUCAAUCUCGUUACUGACAAGUCUCUUUACUCGUUCCGUAACACAUCAUCCCGCGAUCAACUCCUUGAUCACAUUAUGCACAUUAUGAUGAUGUCCUACCGAGUGGGACCAGAGACACCUCUCCGUCACACGGAGUGACAAAUCCCAGUCUCGAUUCGUGCCAACCCAACAGACACUUUCAGAGAUACCCGUAGUGCACCUUUAUAGCCACCCAGUUAUGUUGUGACGUUUGGUACACCCAAAGCAUUCCUACGGUAUCCGGGAGUUGCACAAUCUCAUGGUCUAAGGAAAAGAUACUUGACAUUUAGAAAAGCUUUAGCAUACGAACUACACGAUCUUGUGCUAGGCUUAGGAUUGGGUCUUGUCCAUCACAUCAUUCUCCUAAUGAUGUGAUCCCAUUAUCAAUGACGUCCAAUGUCCAUGGUCAGAAACCAUGACCAUCUGUUGAUCAACGAGCUAGUCAACUAGAGGCUCACUAGGGACAUGUUGUGGUCUAUGUAUUCACACAUGUAUUGCGGUUUCCGGUCAAUACAAUUAUAGCAUGAAUAAUAGACAAUCAUCAUGAACAAGGAAAUACAAUAAUAACCAUUUUAUUAUUGCCUCUAGGGCAUAUUUCCAACAGUCUCCCACUUGCACUAGAGUCAAUAAUCUAGUUCACAUCACUAUGUCAUCUCGCUUGUGAGACAGGUUAUUAGUCAUCGGAUCUGAACCUUUCAGAUCCAUGUGUGCUUUGCAAAUCUCUAUGUCAUCUCCUAGAUGCACCUACCACGCUCUAUUUGGAGCUAUUCCAAAUAACUGUUCUACUAUACGAAUCCGGUUUACUACUCAGAAUAAUCCGGAUUAGUGUCAAAGUUUGCAUCGGCGUAACCCUUUACGAUGAACUCUUUUACCACCUCCAUAAUCGAGAAAAUUCCGUAGUCCACUAGUUACUAAGGAUAAGUUUGGCUGCUGUCCUGUGAUCCAUUCCUGGAUCACUCUUGUACCCCUUGACUGACACAUGGCAAGGCACACUUCCGGUGCGGUACACAGCAUAGCAUACUAUAGAGCCUACGUCUGAAGCAUAGGGGACGACCUUCGUCCUUUCUCUCUCUUCUGCCGUGGUCAUGUCUUGAGUCUUACUCAAUACUCACACCAUAUAACACAUCCAAGAACUCCUUCUUUGCUGAUCUAUUUUGAACUCCUUCAAAAAUCUUGUCACGGUAUGUAUUCAUUUUAAAGUACUAUUAAGCGUUUUGAUCUAUCCUUAUAGAUCUUGAUGCUCAAUGUUCAAGUAGCUUAAUCCAGGUUUUCCAUUGAAAAACACUUUUCAAAUAACCCUAUAAGCUUUCCAGAAAUUCUACAUCAUUUCCGAUCAACAAUAUGUCAACAACAUAUACUCAUCAGAAAUGCUAUAGUGCUCCCACUCACUUCUCCGGAAAUACAAGUUUCUCAUAAAGUUUGUAUAAACCCAAAAUCUUUGAUCAUCUCAUCAAAGCGUAUAUUCCAACUCCGAGAUGCUUACUCUAGUCCCUAGAAGGAUUGCUGGAGCUUUGCACACUUGUUAGCAUCUUUCAGGAUUGACAAAACCUUAUGGUUGUAUCACAUACAACCUUUCCUCAAGAAUAUUGUCGAGGAAACAAUGUUUUGACAUCCUAUCUGCAAGAUUUCAUACAUGGAUCCUCUCUCGGAUUUUAUGGCCUCGAGCCAUUCGUCGGAAUCCGGGCCCACCAUCGCUUCUCCAUAGCUCGUAGGUUCAUUGUUGUCUAGCAACAUGACCUCCAAGACAGGAUUACCGUACCACUCUGAAGCAGUACCUGUCCUUGUCGUCCUACAAGGUUUGGUAGUGACUUGAUCCGAAGUUUCAUGAUCACUAUCAUAAGCUUCUACUUCAAUUGGUGUAGGUGCCACAGGAACAACUUCCUGUGCCCUGCUACACACUAGUUGAAGUGAUGGUUCAACAACCUCAUCAAGUCUCCACCAUCCUCCCACUCAAUUCUUUCAAGAGAAACCUUUCCUCAAGAAAGGACCCGUUUCUAGAAACAAUCACUUUUGCUUCCGGAUCUGAAAUAGGAGGUAUACCCAACUGUUUCGGGUGUCCUAUGAAGAUGUAUUUAUCCACUUUGGGUUCGAGCUUAUCAGGAUGAAACCUUUUCAUAUAAGCGUCGUAGCCCCAAACUUUCAAGAAACGACAGCUUAGGUUUCUCUAAACCAUAGUUCAUACGGUGUCAUCUCAACGGAAUUACGUGGUGCCCUAUUUAAAGUGAAUGCGGUUGUCUCGAAUGCCUAACCCAUGAACGAUAGUGGUAAUUCGAUAAGAGACAUCAUGGUAUGCCCCAUAUCCAAUAGGGUGCAUAUAUGAUGUUCAGACACACCAUCACACUAUGGUGUUCCAGGCGGUAUUAGUUGCGAAACAAUUUCCACAAUGUCUUAAUUUUGUACCAAACACGUAACUCAGAUAUUCAUCUCUAUGAUAAUAUCAUAGACAUUUGAUCCUCUUGUCAUGACGAUCUUCAACUUCACUCUGAAAUUACUUGAACCUUUCAAUAAUUCAGACUUGUGUUUCAUCAAGUAGAUAUCCUCAGCAUCUACUCAAAUCAUCUGUGAAGUAAGAACAUAACGAUAUCCACUGCGUGCCUCGACACUCAUUGGAUAGCACACAUCAAAAUGUAUUACUUCCAACAAGUUUCUCUCUUGUUCCAUCUUACUGAAAAACGAGGCUUUUCAGUCAUCUUGCCCAUGUGGUAUGAUCUGCAUGUCUCAAGUGAUUUAGAAUCAACUGAGUCCAAACGAUGCAUCUGCAUGGAGUUUCUUCAUGCGCACAUACCAAUAGACAUGGUUCGCAUGUCUCAAACUUUUCAAAAAUGAGUGAGUCCAAAGAUCCAUCAACAUGGAGCUGCUUCAUACGUUUUAUACCAAUAUGACUAAAAUGGCAGUGCCACAAGUAGGUGGUACUGUCAUUACUAUCUUAUAUCUUUUAGCAUGAACAUGUGUAUCACUAUGAUCGAGAUUCAAUAAACCAUUCUUUUAGGUGCAAGACCAUUGAAGGUAUUAUUCAAAUAAAUAGAGUAACCAUUAUUCUCCUUAAAUGAAUAACCGUAUUGCGAUAGACAUAAUCCAAUCAUGUCUAUGCUCAACGCAAACACCAAAUAACAAUUAUUUAGGUUUAACACCAAUCUCGAUGGUAGAGGGAGUAUGCGAUGCUUGAUCACAUCAAGCUUGGAAAUACUUCCAACACAUAUCGUCACCUCGCCUUUAGCUAGUCUCCAUUUAUUCCGUAGCUCCUUUAUUUCGAGUUACUAACACUUAGCAACCGAACCGGUAUCUUAAUACCCUGGUGCUACUAGGAGUACUAGUAAAGUACACAUUUAAUACAAUGUAUAUCCAAUAUACUUCUGUGAACCUUUCCAGCCUUCUCAUCUACCAAGUAUCUAGGGUAGUUCUGCUUCAGUGACUGUUCCCUCAUUACAGAAGCACUUAGUCUCGGGUUUGGGUUCAACCUUGGGUUUCUUCACUGGAGCAACAACUGAUUUGUCGUUUCAUGAAGUACCCCUUUGUCACACCCUAGCUAGUCAUGCAUUAGAGUGUUGCAUCAUGUUUACUUUUUCAUCAGAAACUUGAAAUGGGGAUGACAGAACCCCCAGUCCCCUCUGAAACCAACUAGGGUUACUAAAAUAAUUUUUCAAUGAACCUGAAAUGCCCUUCUAAAAUGUCCAUCAUUUUAGCCUUGGUUCAGAACCUCUGACAAAAGUGGUGCACAUUUUUCUAGGCCAUCAUAGGGUCUUUGAAUUAAAUCAUAGAUAUUUGAAUUUGGGCAUUUAAAAUAAUAUAAAAUAUUUAAAUGCUCAAAUAUCUCCAAACUAAAAUGUUUCAUGUUGGAAAUAAUCCAACUAUGGACCAGGAGUAGUUUGGUGAAUUUUGGAGUUGCCUAGGUAUUUUAAUUAAUUCAACAAAGUUGCAGAUAUAUUAAAUAAAACAGAAAACAGAAAAGAAAGGGGAAAGACUUACCUGUGCGGCCCAGCCAGCUGGCCGGCCCAGCUAGCAGCCGACCCAGCCCAACACUGUAGCUCCCCGUCGUCUUCCUCCCCACGCCCCGAAGCUGCUGCGUGCUCGCGCGCGCGCGGCCGCGCGGCCACCUCCUGCUUGCCGACGCCCUCCUGGCCGCGUGGACGACAUCCGCAGCCCGUCCCGAUCCCCCCUGCUCUCGCUCACUCUCCCCCGUUUCUCCCUCGCUCUCUCUCGCUCUCGGCCGAAGCACACCGUCGCCGCCGUUCGCCGUAGCCACUGUCUCCGGCCACCCCUCGCUCCCCCGAGUAGCUCAGAAGCUCCGCCACAACUCCCUCUUCCUCCCCACCGCUCCACGAGUCCCCGGAAGCCCUGCAUCGCCGCCACGUCGCCGUUCCCCUCUUCGGGCUCCGACCACCGUCGCCGACGAAUUCGCCGUCUCCAGCGCGUCCCCGAGCCCGCUUCGACGCCCACUGCAACCGCGGUGAGCUACGCCACCGUUUCCCCCUCCUCUCCCCCUCGUUCCCUCACCGUAGCUUCAUCUCCACCACGGCCGAACCUCCGCCGUCGCCGAGCUCGCCGUCGACGCAGCUCCGGUGACCAUUUGGUCACCCCGGCGAGUCCAACGCGUUCACCGAACCCAGUAGAGCAUCCCUAGCGCCUCACUUUGCUCGACUUCGAGCUCCAGCACCACUCCCGUGCAUGACCGAACCCCGGCGGCCGCAGCCGAGCUCACCGCCGUCAACUCCGGCCACCCCGACCCCAACGGACUCCGCCAAGAGCCGCGGGUCGUCCUCAGCUUCACUCCGGUGAUCUCCGCGGUCCAUUUGGUGGCCGAAACGACCAAAACCACUAUCGCCGCCGCACUGUUGGUCGCCGCCGGCCAGAACUCCGGCGAGCUGACGUGGCUUAGUUAAUUAGUCACUAACCCCCCCACCUACUGACGCUGACAAGUGGGCCCAGGGCCUAGUCAAAGCUAACCAGCCCGGGGUCAACGCGGGAUUAGCCCCUGUGACACUGACGUGUGGACCCCACACGUCAGGUUUGACCCGAGCCAGCCCCGUUGACCUGCUGAUGUCACUGUGAUGUCAGGCUGACGCAGUAAAUGAUAUCUCUGGAUUUAAAUUAAAUCAGGAAAUUCAGAAUAUUAUUUAAACUUCAAAAAUUCAUAACUUUUAUUCUGUAACUCCAAAUUGGACAAAUUAUAUAUGAAAAAUGAUCAGAAAAAUCCAAUCUAUCCAUCUGUACUAUUUUCAUGCAUGACCAAACAAGUUAAAUUGAUGUUUUAAUCAGAACAAGGAAAGGCACUUUAAAAGGCCAUAUUUGAAUUUGGAAUUUGAAUCUUUGAUUCAAAUUUGCUCAAACACUUCUGGCUUUAGUUGCAUUAGCCCAACACACUCAUAUUGCCAUGUUUCAUGCAUGCAUCAUAUUGUUGCACAUUGUUUGGUGAUGCCUGUGUAUCGUUAUCCUUUGCGACAGGAUCUGUCCCCGAGGAGUACCGUGAUUACCCUAACGAAGAAUCGUAUCCGUGCAACGAACCAUCAGGCAAGCAACCAACCAUUUGAUCAUAUCGAUACAAUCCCAUGUUCUCGCUCCUGCUCUCAUUUACUGCAUUAAGACAACGCGAUUCAAACUGCUGUGUGCUACGGUAGUUGAACCCAUUUCCUCUGCAUGACCUGUCAUUGCCACAGUAACUAGAUGAAACCCACUAGCAUGUGUAGGAGUUGAUUGAGCCAUAUGUAUGUGUUGUUCCUACCUUGCUAUGCCUGCUAUGCUUAGAGUUGUGUCAGGUCUGGUUCAUCUGGGUGAUGGGCUAGAGUGAAAUGAUUAUGUCGGUAAUAAGAGUGGUGUGGUGAACACGAUUUGGUAAAGGUAUCGAUGAGAGGCCAUGUAGGAGUACAUGGUGGGUUGUUUCAUUGAAGCCGACCUUAAGCACUGAGAUCUGUAUGUGUGAUUUAAGAUACAGCUACUACCAUGCAUUGGGCCCUGAAAUAUGACCCCGCUCGACUUCUUAUUCACCCUAGCUCUCUGUCCAGGAGUUGCAAGUAGUUUCUGGUGUUUGUAGCCUACUGGAGGGUGUGGACAGCGCUGACCGUAGGGGUGGGCUGUGAUGCGGUAGGUACGUGGCACGGUGUACCGAAUACCCGUUAGGUAUCUCGGGAACCCUGUUCACAUCGUUCGGGGCCGUAUGGGAAACCUCGGCCGGACUCCCUGCGGAUGGAACCUGAAUAGGCGAUAAACCUGGACUAGAGGCUUAAGUGUUUAGGUAGGUCGUGGUCUACACCCACGUCGGCUUUCGCUUGAAGUCUGCCGAGCACAUGUCGUGUGCAGACGCUAAGUGGUGGAAACAUGUAUGAAGAAGUACACCCCUGCAGGGUUAACAUGAUCUAUUCGAAUAGCCGCGUCCGCGGUAAAGGACUACUUGGUUGCCUAUACAGUUCAUAGACAAGUAAAUGGAAACUACUAAAAGCCUCAAGAUAAGUGUGAGUGCCGAGGAUGGCUCUUCCGUAGGAAGACGGAGGUGGAUCCUCGGUAGUGUAUUGAAGUGGUGAAUAGUGGACUCGUGUGCGCAAAACUGUUUCAAAUGGAGUAUCGUAGGAUAGUCUAGCCAAGAGUCAAAGCUGGCUUGCUGCAAUAACUCCACCAACCCUUCUUGAUACUAUGCAUGUAUGUAGGAUCUGAUGUAAGUCUUGUUGAGUACCUUUGUACUCAUGUUGCUAUAUUCUACAUUUUUACAGAAGACGCUGCAACCCCUUCUGAUGGGUUUUAUGUAGACGUGGACAUCAACGAGUAGGCUAAAAGACCCAGGUGGUGACCCUGAGCUUGUGAAGGACCACAUAGUAUAGCCAGGCUUUCCAAGCCUCUUUUAUUUUACUAGUUGUCUGUACUCAGACAAGUUACUUCCGCUGUUGGCUUGUAUGAUUGUAUGACUUGUAUGUUGGGUCGUGAGACCCGUACCUUUGUGUGUAUGUUAUGUAUGGCUCUCUGAGCCCUAAAUAAAGUACUUGUGUCGUAGAGUCAUGUUGUGAUGCUUCGUUGUAAUUGCACAUAUCGAGCAUAUUGUGUGUAUGAUUGAAAUGCUUGGUAUGUGUGGGAUCUGACUAUCUAGUUGUUUAUCUUUAGUAGCCUCUCUUACCGGGAAAUGUCUCCUAGUGUUACCGCUGAGCCAUGGUAGCUUGCUACUGCUCUGGAACACUUAGGCUGGCCGGCAUGUGUCCUUCUUCGUUCCUGUGUCUGUCCCUUCGGGGAAAUGUUACGCUUUGAGUACCGGAGUCCUGUUAGCCCGCUACAGCCCGGUUUACCGGAGUCCUGCUAGCCCAGUGCUACAGCCCGGACCCACUUGCUGAUGACCGACACGUUCGAAGCUGGGUCAUGGAUGCCUGUCCCUGUAAGUCUGUGCCACUUUGGGUUUACGACUAGUCAUGUCAGCCCGGGCUCUUUAUCAUAUGGAUGCUAGCGACACUAUCAUAUACGUGAGCCAAAAGGCGCAAACGGUCCUGGGAAAAGGUAAGACGACACCCGUGGGGAUACCGUGCGUGAGGCCGCAAAGUGAUAUGAGGUGUUACCAGCUAGAUCGAUGUGACAUCGAGUCGGGGUCCUGACAGCGUUGGCAUCAGAGCCGGACUGCCUGUAGGUUCUCCAAGCCAAACUGGUCGAUGUUGAGUCUAGAAAUUCUUAGUUAUAUGUAGGGGAAUUGUUUGUGGGUUGGAACGUAAGGCUCUUUUUACUCCUUAUACCUUGUGACAUUCUGAUCUGAGUCAGUCCAUUCUUCCACCGGGGGUUAAGGAAUUAGGAUCUGUUCUCUCUAUCAGGAUCACGUGUUACUAAUCAGUAGUACCUUAUAAGUUUGAUGGUUACAAGCCUAGUUCAGUUCUACUACCACAUUUUGUGGUAGGAAUGGUUUCAAGACUUGAUAUGAUGAUGUUGAGUGUGUACGAAAUCCUUUGUCAAAUGUCUCAAUAUCCUUUUUGAGCAUUUACAGCUGUUAUGCUGCCGAAAUUUUGCUAGAAAUUCUAAUGCCUUUGCAUUAUAAUUGUGCUUUCAGAUGGCCACUCGCGACCUCAAUCAAGUGGUUCGCCUAACUCGAUGCCUAGAUGUACCCGGCCAUACUGCUAAGUUGGUCAGGGUAAUGACUGAGGCUGGAUACCGCUGGUAUCCUGAGUACACGGUCGAAGAGCAAUUCCGAGAUUUUAAUCAAAGCCAGUAUCUCUGCACUGUCAGGAUAUUUCCAUCUUAUCCUGGAUCCACUGAGCCUCUUCACUGCUCCUAUGGACUCGGGGUUACUAUCGAGAUGGCUGUGCAAGAUGCCGCCUACUCUAUGAUGACCAUUAUGCGAGUCAGAUCUGGUCUAUUUCGGGACUCUGAUUUCCGGUAUAUGCCAGGAUCACUUCCGGGAGCACAAGGGUAUCUCCAGGCUAUCUAUGCUGACUCCACUCAGGAGGAUUCACGGACUCGCACCACGGCUGAGAUGCUCGAGGAUAAGGACCGUGAAAAUCGGGCCUUAAGGUUAGAGCUCUUCAAUACCCGUGCUGACCACUGGGCCACCUUGACUCGGUUCGCACCGGCGGUGCAAGCUGGAUAUUCAGAUAUGCGCGAUCUCUAUCCUGUGAGAUCUGCUCUGCCAGACGUGAUGGUUUGGCGUGAUGUAGGAGGCAUCACCCCACCUCGCGGUCCCCGCAGGCCACCGUCUGUUGGUCCAAGACCUCAUCCUAGCCCCUAUGGUCCACAAGCUCCGCGAGACCGUCUGUUUCCGGAUGAUCAUGUUGAACUUCCAGGCUAUGGAGGUGACUUCUACGAGGACUACUACGGAUCGGUCUGAGUUAGUAGUAGUAUCACUAUUUCGCACUAGCUGUGUCGUCUAUCGUCCUGCGUGACUCGUGGGAUAUGACCUAGUUUGUACUCUUUCCGGAGGUGUAGAAAAAUAAUGUAUAGGAGCUUGGAAUGCCUCCGAUGAGAUGUAAUCCUUUUCUCACCGUAAUAGUACUUUGUUUGGUCUUGUACUAAACCUUGUAUGGUGUGUAUGACGAUGGAAUAAAGAAGCAGUUUCUGUAUCUACCAUGUCAUACGGAUGAUCAUCUUGCAUUCCGAGUUAUUUCUUACAUUAUGUAUCCCAUGUCGGAAUUUCAUCACUCUGACUAAAUCAUUGUCUUGUUUACCUAGGAUGGUCAACACGCGCGCCAACCCUGCUUCCCAAGAGCAGGCCGAAGGCAGUGAAGCCAAGAAUGAAAAUCUGCCUCAUCCUCCUUCACUAGCCGAGGUGAUGAUGGAAGCUGAGAGAAACAAGCGGGAGACAAACCGUUUGUUGGAGCGUAUUGAACAGAACACAGCACACCAUCAGAGGGCUAACGUGGUGUCACUCAGUGAUUUUAUCAAAUUGCAUCCACCCACGUUCCACCACUCCGUCGAGCCUCUCGACGCUGAUGACUGGCUUCGCAGUAUCUCUCACAAACUGCGUUCGGCGCUGGUAGCUGAGGCUGACAAGGUCACCUUUGCUGCAUAUCAUCUUGAAGGCCCCGCCAGUCUAUGGUGGGAGAAUUAUGGAGCUAUGCGCCCAGCGGGCCAUGUCACAACUUGGGCUGAAUUCAGCGACGCUUUCCGUGAACAUCACAUUCCGGAGGGUCUCAUGGACCGCAAGCGUGAAGAAUUUUGCAAUUUCACCCAAGGCCGACUUUCCGUGGAUGUCUAUAGCAGGGAGUUUGGUAAUCUUGCACGAUAUGCAACCGAGGAAGUUUCUACUGACGCCAAGAAGCAAGCAAGGUUCCGCAAGGGCCUUAGUCCUGAGCUUCGCCGCGACCUUCGUCUGCAUGAGUGCACAUCUUUUUCGAAACUCGUCAACAAAGCCAUCAGUGCUGAAACUGGUCAGACUGACUAUGACGCAACACGCAAGCAUGGACGUGACACGGGUUCCUCAUCCGGUGCUGGUCCUCAGAAGCGCCGCGUGUGGGUACCCAACACCGCCCUGCCACCCAGGUUCACACCGAGGCCAUCUUUCCAGGCGCCUCGCCCCGCUCAACAGUCUGCUCCAGCUAAGCCCUAUGGGGGUCCAACCAAUAAUGCUCCUCCACGUACCAGUUCCGUGACUUGUUUCAAGUGUGGGGAAUCUGGUCAUUAUAUGCGUGAGUGUCCCCAGACCAACCCCAAUCAAUCUGCUAAAGCUGUUGGCCGUGGCAAGCCGACAGGAAAAGUGUUUCAUGCCAAACCGGUCACCGCUUCACGUGGCCAUGUCAACUGUAUCUCUGCCGAAGAAGCUCAAGAGGACCCCAACGUCGUUCUCGGUACGCUUCUUGUUAAUUGCCACCCGGCAUCUGUUCUUUUCGAUACAGGAGCCUCUCAUUCCUUUAUAUCUGAAAAUUAUGCUCGUUUGCAUAACGUUGCAUUCUGUGACUUGCCAUCCACUAUGGAAAUCUCUACCCCUGGGUCUAGAUGGCAGACCUCUAGGGUAAGUUAUGGAAAUGAGAUCCAAGUCGACAGACUUGUUUUCCUUGCGUCUUUGAUAGCCCUUAAAUCUUCAGAUAUUAAUAUCAUUCUGGGUAUGGACUGGAUGUCAGCCCAUCAUGCCCAAAUUGAUUGCUUCUCUAGGACUGUUCAACUCACCCAUCCUUCGGGGAAGAUAGUCAAUGUCUUGACCCGAAUAGCCAAGCGACAAUUAUAUUCUCUUAACGCCAGCCUUUUGCCAGACCUUGAGGACGUUCCGGUAGUCCGUGACUUUCCGAAUGUCUUUCCAGAGGAAUUGCCAGGUGUUCCACCUGACAGGGAUGUUGAGUUCGUAAUAGACCUCAUCCCCGGAACCGUUCCGAUUGCUAGAAGACCUUACAAAAUGGCACCUCUAGAACUAGCCGAGCUUAAGAAACAACUCGAUGAAUCCUUGAAAAAGGGUUUCAUCCGACCUAGCUCAUCUCCGUGGGCUUGCCCCGUCCUAUUCGUCAAGAAGAAAGAUGGUACGGACCGGAUGGUUGUAGAUUACCGACCUGUCAAUUUGGUCACAAUCAAAAACAAAUAUCCACUUCCCAGGAUCAACGACCUGUAUGAUCAGCUCGCUGGAUCCUCAGUCUUCUCUAAGAUGGAUUUGAGGUUGGGCUACCAUCAAAUCAAAAUCAGAAACGGGGACAUUCCUAAAACGGCCUUUGUUACUCGUUAUGGCCAAUACGAGUACACCGUCAUGUCCUUCGGAUUAACCAACGCUCCAGCCACUUUUUCUCGGUUAAUGAACUCAAUCUUCAUGGAGUAUUUGGAUAAAUUCGUCGUAGUUUAUCUCGAUGAUAUACUCAUCUACUCCAAGAACGAGGAAGAACAUGCCGAACAUCUAAGGAUAGUGUUGAAGAAACUUCGAGAGCAUCGCCUUUAUGCCAAAUUUUCUAAAUGUGAAUUCUGGUUAUCAGAAGUGACCUAUCUGGGUCAUGUAAUAUCUGGUAAAGGUAUUGCUGUUAACCCUGAGCGAGUUCAAGCCGUCCUUGAUUGGACUCCACCCGAAUCGGUCAAGCAAGUUCGGAGUUUUCUAGGCUUAGCGAGCUAUUGCCGUCGCUUUGUCGAGAACUUCUCCAAGGUUGCCAAACCUCUAACCGAACUCCUCAAGAAAGAUAAGAAGUUCGAAUGGACUCCACAAUGUGAGCACAGUUUUCAGGAACUGAAAAGACGCCUGACCUCUGCUCCCGUGCUGGUACCGCCAGACUUCUCCAAGGACUUUGUUAUCUACUGCGACGCCUCGCGACAAGGACUAGGUUGCAUUCUUAUGCAAGAUCGACACGUAAUUGCUUACGCUUCACGGCAAUUGCACCCACAUGAGGAGAAUUAUCCUACUCAUGAUUUAGAACUUGCAGCCGUAGUCUAUGCACUUAAGACCUGGCGACAUUACCUUCUCGGUAAUCGUUGCGAAAUAUUCACUGAUCACCAAAGCCUGAAGUACAUCUUCACCCAACCGGAUUUGAAUCUCAGGCAGAGACGUUGGGUUGAAUUGAUCACAGACUUCGACUUAGGAAUAACCUAUACCCCAGGGAAAGCCAACGUCAUGGCUGAGGCGCUAAGUCGUAAAUCUUAUUGUAACAAUCUGAUGUUACAACAAAGUCAACCGCUUCUCCAUGAGGAAUUUCGGAAGCUUAACCUUCACAUUGUACCUCAAGGUUUUCUUUCCACCUUGGUGGCAAAACCUACUCUUACGGAUCAAAUCAUCGCUGCCCAAAAGCGAGAUAAGGGAAUAUCUAAAAUCAAGGAGAACAUUGCUAGCGGAGGUGCUAGUUGUUUCUCCACAAAUGAUCAUGGUGUUGUGUACUUUGAGAAUCGUCUAGUGGUUCCCAAGAACCAGCAUCUGCGGCAGUUGAUCCUUAAGGAGGCCCAUGAAUCUCCUCUCACCAUUCAUCCCGGUAGUACUAAGAUGUAUCAGGACCUACGCCAGAGGUUCUGGUGGACUAGGAUGAAGAGAGAAAUUGCUCAGUAUAUUGCAAAUUGCGACGUCUGUCGUCGUGUAAAAGCAGAGCAUCAACGACCUGCUGGCACCCUUCAACCCUUAGCUAUUCCUGAAUGGAAAUGGGAUAAAAUUGGUAUGGAUUUCAUUACCGGUUUUCCCAGGACCAAGAGAGGGAAUAAUGCUAUUUUCGUCGUGGUCGAUCGUCUUUCCAAAGUAGCUCAUUUCCUAUCUGUUCGUGAGAGUAUAACCGCUAGUCAGCUGGCAGACUUAUACAUCUCCCGGAUAGUGUCUCUCCAUGGUGUUCCUUUGGAAAUCAAUUCGGAUCGAGGAAGUCUUUUCACCUCUCGAUUUUGGGAAAGUUUCCAAAAUGCUAUGGGAACUCGUCUCUCUUUUAGCACCGCUUUCCACCCUCAGUCAAGUGGUCAAGUGGAACGCGUCAAUCAGAUUCUAGAAGACAUGCUUCGAGCCUCCGUUAUCUCUUUCGGAAUGGACUGGGAGAAGUGCCUUCCAUUUGCCGAAUUCGCUUACAACAACAGCUAUCAAUCUAGCUUGGGUAAAGCCCCUUUUGAAGUUCUCUAUGGACGACGAUGUCGAACACCCCUUAACUGGUCAGAGACCGGGGAAAGGCAAUUCUUUGGCCCGGAUAUGAUUCAGGAAGCAGAAGAACAAGUUCGUAUCGUUCGUGAAAAGUUGAAAACAGCCCAAUCCCGUCAAAAGAGUCAAUAUGACCGAAAACAUAAGGCUAUGACUUUCGAGGUUGACGAGAAGGCUUAUCUUCGGGUCACCCCUCUGAAGGGAACCCAUCGUUUCGGUAUCAAAGGCAAAUUGGCUCCUCGUUACAUUGGACCUUUUCGCAUUCUUGCCAAACGAGGAGAAGUUGCCUACCAGCUGGAACUACCUCCGCACCUCUCCAGAGUUCACGAUGUCUUCCACGUUUCUCAACUCAGGCGUUGCUUCUCGGAUCCUAUCCGUGAAGUGGACCACGAAACGCUUGAUCUCCAAGAUAAUCUUACCUAUCGAGAGUAUCCCAUCCGUAUCCUCGAUCAAGCCGAGCGUACCACGCGACGUCAUAAUAUCAAGUUUCUCAAGGUUCAAUGGUCGCACCAUUCUGAAGAUGAAGCAACUUGGGAAAGGGAGGAUCGUCUUCGACUCGAGUAUCCCGCCUUCUUCUCGGAGGAACCCAAAUCUCGGGACGAGAUUCUUUUGAGUGGGGGUGAGUUGUUCAGAACCUCUGCCAAAAAUGGUGCACACUUUUCUAGGCCAUCCUAGGGUUCUUGAGUUAAAUCAUAACUAUUUGAAUUUGGGCAUUUAAAAUAAUAUAAAAUAUUUAAAUGCUCAAAUAUCUCCAAACUAAAAUGUUUCAUGUUGGAAAUAAUCCAACUAUGAGCCAGGAGUAGUUUGGUGAAUUUUGGAGUUGCCUAGGUAUUUUAUUUAAUUCAACAAAGUUGCAGUUAUAUUAAAUAAAACAGAAAACAGAAAAAAACUAAAAGGGAGAAGCUUACCUGGGCUCCUCCCUGUUCAGCCCGGCCCAGCUAGCCAGCCCAGCACUGUAGCUCCCCGUCGUCUUCCUCCCCACGCCCCGAAGCUGCUGCGUGCUCGCGCGCGCGCGGCCGCGCGGCCACCUCCUGCUUGCCGACGCCCUCCUGGCCGCGUGGACGACGCCCGCAGCCCGUCCCGAUCCCCCCUGCUCUCGCUCACUCUCCCCCGUUUCUCCCUCGCUCUCUCUCGCUCUCGGCCGAAGCACACCGUCGCCGCCGUUCGCCGUAGCCACUGUCUCCGGCCACCCCUCGCUCCCCCGAGUAGCUCAGAAGCUCCGCCACAACUCCCUCUUCCUCCCCACCGCUCCACGAGUCCCCGGAAGCCCUGCAUCGCCGCCACGUCGCCGUUCCCCUCUUCGGGCUCCGACCACCGUCGCCGACGAAUUCGCCGUCUCCAGCGCGUCCCCGAGCCCGCUUCGACGCCCACUGCAACCGCGGUGAGCUACGCCACCGUUUCCCCCUCCUCUCCCCCUCGUUCCCUCACCGUAGCUUCAUCUCCACCACGGCCGAACCUCCGCCGUCGCCGAGCUCGCCGUCGACGCAGCUCCGGUGACCAUUUGGUCACCCCGGCGAGUCCAACGCGUUCACCGAACCCAGUAGAGCAUCCCUAGCGCCUCACUUUGCUCGACUUCGAGCUCCAGCACCACUCCCGUGCACGACCGAACCCCGGCGGCCGCAGCCGAGCUCACCGCCGUCAACUCCGGCCACCCCGACCCCAACGGACUCCGCCAAGAGCCGCGGGUCGUCCUCAGCUUCACUCCGGUGAUCUCCGCGGUCCAUUUGGUGGCCGAAACGACCAAAACCACUAUCGCCGCCGCACUGUUGGUCGCCGCCGGCCAGAACUCCGGCGAGCUGACGUGGCUUAGUUAAUUAGUCACUAACCCCCCCACCUACUGACGCUGACAAGUGGGCCCAGGGCCUAGUCAAAGCUAACCAGCCCGGGGUCAACGCGGGAUUAGCCCCUGUGACACUGACGUGUGGACCCCACACGUCAGGUUUGACCCGAGCCAGCCCCGUUGACCUGCUGAUGUCACUGUGAUGUCAGGCUGACGCAGUAAAUGAUAUCUCUGGAUUUAAAUUAAAUCAGGAAAUUCAGAAUAUUAUUUAAACUUCAAAAAUUCAUAACUUUUAUUCUGUAACUCCAAAUUGGACAAAUUAUAUAUGAAAAAUGAUCAGAAAAAUCCAAUCUAUCCAUCUGUACUAUUUUCAUGCAUGACCAAACAAGUUAAAUUGAUGUUUUAAUCAGAACAAGGAAAGGCACUUUAAAAGGCCAUAUUUGAAUUUGGAAUUUGAAUCUUUGAUUCAAAUUUGCUCAAACACUUCUGGCUUUAGUUGCAUUAGCCCAACACACUCAUAUUGCCAUGUUUCAUGCAUGCAUCAUAUUGUUGCACAUUGUUUGGUGAUGCCUGUGUAUCGUUAUCCUUUGCGACAGGAUCUGUCCCCGAGGAGUACCGUGAUUACCCUAACGAAGAAUCGUAUCCGUGCAACGAACCAUCAGGCAAGCAACCAACCAUUUGAUCAUAUCGAUACAAUCACAUGUUCUCGCUCCUGCUCUCUUUUACUGCAUUAAGACAACGCGAUUCAAACUGCUGUGUGCUGCGGUAGUUGAACCCAUUUCCUCUGCAUGACCUGUCAUUGCCACAGUAACUAGAUGAAACCCACUAGCAUGUGUAGGAGUUGAUUGAGCCAUAUGUAUGUGUUGUUCCUACCUUGCUAUGCCUGCUAUGCUUAGAGUUGUGUCAGGUCUGGUUCAUCUGGGUGAUGGGCUAGAGUGAAAUGAUUAUGUCGGUAAUAAGAGUGGUGCGGUGAACACGAUUGGUAAAGGUAUCGAUGAGAGGCCAUGUAGGAGUACAUGGUGGGUUGUUUCAUUGAAGCCGACCUUAAGCACUGAGAUCUGUAUGUGUGAUUUAAGAUACAGCUACUACCAUGCAUUGGGCCCUGAAAUAUGACCCCGCUCGACUUCUUAUUCACCCUAGCUCUCUGUCCAGGAGUUGCAAGUAGUUUCUGGUGUUUGUAGCCUACUGGAGGCCGUGGACAGCGCUGACCGUAGGGGUGGGCUGUGAUGCGGUAGGUACGUGGCACGGUGUACCGAAUACCCAUUAGGUAUCUCGGGAACCCUGUUCACAUCGUUCGGGGCCGUAUGGGAAACCUCGGCCGGACUCCCUGCGGAUGGAACCUGAAUAGGCGAUAAACCUGGACUAGAGGCUUAAGUGUUUAGGUAGGUCGUGGUCUACACCCACGUCGGCUUUCGCUUGAAGUCUGCCGAGCACAUGACGUGUGCAGACGCUAAGUGGUGGAAACAUGUAUGAAGAAGUACACCCCUGCAGGGUUAACAUGAUCUAUUCGAAUAGCCGCGUCCGCGGUAAAGGACUACUUGGUUGCCUAUACAGUUCAUAGACAAGUAAAUGGAAACUACUAAAAGCCUCAAGAUAAGUGUGAGUGCCGAGGAUGGCUCUUCCGUAGGAAGACGGAGGUGGAUCCUCGGUAGUGUAUUGAAGUGGUGAAUAGUGGACUCGUGUGCGCAAAACUAUUUCAAGUUGGAGUAUCGUAGGAUAGCCUAGCCAAGAGUCAAAGCUGGCUUGCUGCAAUAACUCCACCAACCCUUCUUGAUACUAUGCAUGUAUGUAGGUUCUGAUGUAAGUCUUGCUGAGUACCUUUGUACUUAUGUUGCUAUAAUCUACAUUUUUACAGAAGACGCUGCAACCCCUUCUGAUGGGUUCUAUGUAGACGUUGACAUCAACGAGUAGGUUAAAGACCCAGGUGGUGACCCUGAGCUUGUGGAGGACCACGUAGUAUAGUUAGGCUUCCAAGCCUCUUUUAUUUUACUAGUUGUCUGUACCCAGACAAAGUACUUCCGCUGUUGGCUUGUAUGACUGUAUGACUUGUAUGUUGGGUCGUGAGACCCGUACCUUUGUGUAUGAUAUGUAUGGCUCCCUGAGCCUUAAAUAAAGUACUUGUGUCAUAGAGUCAUGUUGUGAUGCUUCGUUGUAUUUGCACAUAUCGAGCAUAUUGUGUGUAUGGUUGAAAUGCUUGGUAUGUGUGGGAUCUGACUAUCUAGUUGUUUAUCUUUAGUAGCCUCUCUUACCGGGAAAUGUCUCCUAGUGUUACCGCUGAGCCAUGGUAGCUUGCUACUGCUCUGGAACACUUAGGCUGGCCGGCAUGUGUCCUUCUUCGUUCCUGUGUCUGUCCCUUCGGGGAAAUGUCAUGCUUUGAGUACCGGAGUCCUGUUAGCCCGCUACAGCCCGGUUUACCGGAGUCCUGCUAGCCCAGUGCUACAGCCCGGACCCACUUGCUGAUGACCGACACGUUCGAAGCUGGGUCAUGGAUGCCUGUCCCUGUAAGUCUGUGCCACUUUGGGUUUACGACUAGUCAUGUCAGCCCGGGCUCUUUAUCAUAUGGAUGCUAGCGACACUAUCAUAUACGUGAGCCAAAAGGCGCAAACGGUCCCGGGAAAAGGUAAGACGACACCCGUGGGGAUACCGUGCGUGAGGCCGCAAAGUGAUAUGAGGUGUUACCAGCUAGAUCGAUGUGACAUCGAGUCGGGGUCCUGACACCCUUCUUGCCCUUGCCCUUCUUGAAACUAGUGGUUUCACUAACCAUCACCAAUUGAUGCUCCUUCUUGAUUUCUACUUUCGCAGUGUCAAACAUCGCGAAUAUUUCAAGGAUCAUCAUAUCUAUCCCUGAUAUGUUAUAGUUCAUUACGAAGCUCUAGUAGCUUGGUGGCAAUGUCUUUGGAGAAACAUCACUAUCUCAUCUGGAAGAUUAACUCCCACUCGAUUCAAGUGAGUUGUGCCCAGACAAUCUGAGUACAAUUUCAACGAUUGAGCUUUUCUCCCUUAGUUUUAGGCUAAGAAACUCGUCGGAGGUCUUAUACCUCUUGACGUGGGCACGAGCCUGAAAUCCCAAUUUCAGCCCUUGAAACAUCUCAUAUGUUCCACAACAUUUCGAAAUCGUCUUCGGUGCCUCAAUUCUAAACCGUUUAACAUUACUGAACUAUCACGUAGUUAUCAAAACGUGUAUGUCAGAUGUUCCCAACAUCCACAGACGACGUUCGAGGUUCAGCACACCGAGCAGUGCAUUAAGGACAUAAGCCUUCUACGCAGCAAUGAGGACAAUCCUUAGUUUACGGACCCAGUCCGCAUAAUUGCUACUAUCAACUUUCAACUAAAUUUUCUCUAGGAACAUAUCUAAAAUAGUAGAACUAAAGCGCGAGCUACGACAUAAUUUGCAAAGACCUUUUGACUAUGUUCAGGAUAAUUAAGUUCAUCUAAUGAACUCCCACUCAGAUAGACAUCCCUCUAGUCAUCUUAAGUGAUACAUGAUCCGAGUCAAGUAGGCCGUGUCCGAUCAUCACGUGAGACGGACUAGUCAUCAUCGGUGAACAUCUUCAUGUUGAUCGUAUCCACUAUACGACUCAUGUUCGACCUUUCGGUCUCUUGUGUUCCGAGGCCAUGUAUGUACAUGCUAGGCUCGUCAAGUCAACCUAAGUGUUUCGCGUGUGUAAAUCUGGCUUACACCCGUUGUAUGUGAAUGUUAGAAUCUAUCACACCCGGUCAUCACGUGGUGCUUCGAAACAACAAACUUUCGCAAUGGUGCACAAUUAGGGGGAACACUUUCUUGAAAUUAUUAUGAGGGAUCAUCUUAUUUACUACCGUCAUUCUAAGCAAAUAAGAUGCAUAAACAUGAUAAACAUCACAUGCAAUCAAAAAGUGACAUGAUAUGGCCAAUAUCAUUUUGCUCCUCCUGAUCUCCAUCUUCGGGGCUCCAUGAUCAUCAUCAUCACCAGCAUGACACCAUGAUCUCCAUCAUCAUGAUCGCCAUCAUCGUGUAUCCAUGGACUUGUCUCGCCAACUAUUACUUCUACUACUAUGGCUAACGGUUUAGCAAUGAAGUAAAGUAAUUACAUGGUGUUAUUCAGUGACACGCAUGUCAUACAAUAAAUAAAGACAACUCCUAUGGCUCCUGCCGAUUGUCAUACUCAUCGAGAUGCAAGUCGUGAUUCCUAUUACAAGAACAUGAUCAAUCUCAUACAUGACAUAUCAUUCAUCACAUUCUUUUUGGCCAUAUCACAUCACAUAGCAUACCCUGCAAAAACAAGUUAGACGUCCUCUAAUUGUUGUUCGCAUGUUUUACGUGGCUGCUAUGGGUUUCUAGCAAGAACGUUUCUUACCUACGCAAAAGCCACAACGUGAUAUGCCAAUUGUUAUUUACCCUUCAUAAGGACCCUUUUCAUCGAAUCCAAUCCGACUAAAGUGGGAGAGACUGACACCCGCUAGCCACCUUAUGCAACAAGUGCAUGUCAGUCGGUGGAACCUGUCUCACGUAAGUGUACGUGUAAGGUCGGUCCGGGCCGCUUCAUCCCACAAUACCGUCGAAACAAGAUUGGACUAGUAACGGUAAGAAUAUUGAACAAAAUCAACGCCCACAACAACUUGUGUUCUACUCGUGCAUAGAAACUACGCAUAGACCUAGCUCAUGAUGCCACUGUUGGGGAACAUAGCAGAAAUUCAAAAUUUUCUAUGCAUCACCAAGAUCAAUCUAUGGAGUCAUCUAGCAACGAGGAAGAGGGGAGUGCAUCUACAUACCCUUGUAGAUCGCGAGCGGAAGCGUUCAAGAGAACGGGGUUGAUGGGGUCGUACUCGUCGUGAUCCUAAUCACCGAUGAUCCUAGCGCCGAACGGACGGCACCUCCGCGUUCAACACACGUACGGUUGAGAAGACAUCUCUUCCUUCUUGAUCCAGCAAGGGGAAGGAGAGGUUGAUGGAGAUCCAGCAGCACGACGGCGUGGUGGUGGAAGCAGCGGCGAUCUCGGCAGGGCUUCGCCAAGCUCAGCAAGAGGGAGAGGUGUCACGGGAGGGAGAGGGAGGCGCCAGGGGCUAGGGUUCGGCUGUCCUCCCUACCCCACUAUAUAUAUGUCCCCUAGGGGGGGGCACCGGCCCUAGGAGAUCCCAUCUCCAAGGGGGGCGGCGGCCCAGGGGGGAAACUUGCCCCCCAAGCCAAGUGGGGCGCCCCCACCCCUAGGGUUUCCAACCCUAGGCGCAGGGGGAGGCCCAAGGGGGGUGCACCAGCCCACCAGGGGCUGGUUCCCUUCCCACUUCAGCCCAUGUGGCCCUCCGGGAUAGGUGGCCCUACCCGGUGGACCCCCAGGACCCUUCCGGUGGUCCCGGUACAAUACCGGUGACCCCGAAACUUUCCCGAUGGCCGAAACUGGACUUCCUAUAUACAAAUAUUUACCUACGGACCAUUCUGGAACACCUCGUGACGUCCGAGAUCUCAUCCGGGACUCCGGAAAACUUUCAGGUUAACGCAUACUAAUAUCUCUACAACCCUAGCGUCACCGAACCUUGAGUGUGUAGACCCUACGGGUUCGGGAGACACGCAGACAUGACCGAGACGACUCUCCGGUCAAUAACCAACAACGAGAUCUGGAUACCCAUGUUGGCUCCCACAUGUUCCAUGAUGAUCUCAUCGGAUGAACCACGAUGUCGAGGAUUCAAUCAAUCCUGUAUUCAAUUCCCUUUGUCUACCGGUAUAGUACUUGCCCGAGAUUCGAUCGUCGGUAUCUCGAUACCAUGUUCAAUCUCGUUACUGGCAAGUCUCUUUACUCGUUUCAUAACACAUCAUCGCGUGAUCAACUCCUUGAUCACAUUGUGCAGAUUAUGAUGAUGUCCUACUGAGUGGGCCCAGAGAUACCUCUGCGUCACACGGAGUUACAAAUCCCAGUCUCGAUUCGUGCCAACCCAACAGACACUUUCGGAGAUACCUGUAGUGCACCUUUAUAGCCACCCAGUUACAUUGUGACGUUUGGUACACCCAAAGCAUUCCUACGGUAUCCGGGAGUUGCACAAUCUCAUGGUCUAAGGAAAAGAUACUUGACAUUUAGAAAAGCUUUAGCAUACGAACUACACGAUCUUGUGCUAGGCUUAGGAUUGGGUCUUGUCCAUCACAUCAUUCUCCUAAUGAUGUGAUCCCGUUAUCAAUGACAUCCAAUGUCCAUGGUCAGGAAACCAUGACCAUCUGUUGAUCAACGAGCUUGUGAACUAGAGGCUCACUAGGGACAUGUUGUGGUCUAUGUAUUCACACAUGUAUUGUGGUUUCCGGUCAAUACAAUUAUAGCAUGAAUAAUAGACAAUUAUCAUGAACAAGGAAAUACAAUAAUAACCAUUUUAUUAUUGCCUCUAGGGCAUAUUUCCAACAGUCGGGACUCCCCAUAGACCUCUUUUGGGGUCGGUCUAUGAGAUUUCAAUCAUCCAGAGUGGUCUAGUCCAGAAAUUUAGGGGCAUUUUGGUGAUCCGCAUCGAAGAUGCCUAUCAUAGAGUAAUUUUCUAAAAUUGCCUUUAUGUUUUUUCUAUUUCUCUCUGGAAAUUCUUUCUUUGGAUUUUCCUCUAUGGGUUUAUUGAGAAAUUAAUUAGUGCAAUCGGGCUAUAGUCCCGGUUUGUAAGGACCUUUAGUCCCGGUUUUGCAACCGGCACUAAAGGGUGGGGACUAAAGGUCCCAUCCUUAGUCCCGGUUCAACACGAACCGGGACCAAAGGCCCACCACGUGGCACAAGCCCGCGGCGGGGCCUGGGGGACCUUUAGUCCCAGUUGGUAACACCAACAAGGACUAAAGGAAUUUUUUUGAUUUUUUUAACGGUUGAAUUUCGAUUUCCAAAUUUUGAAUUAUUUGACAAUUUAAUCUGUCGGAUUUAGGGUUCCGGCAAACCCUUGAGGUUCGAACACUGGGGUGCGCGCGGAGGGAUCGCCUUCUACCUACGUGUUCCUCUCCGAAUCGCUAGGAUCUAAACUACGAGAGGAACAACACAAGAGACACAGGGUUUAUACUGGUUCAGGCCACCAUUGUGGUGUAAUACCCUACUCCAGUGUGUGGCGUGGUGGAUUGCCUCUUGGGCUGAUGAUGAACAAUACAAGGAAGAACAACCUCACGAUGGUCUGUUCUAGUGGUGGUGUUAUCCCUUUGGAAGGGUUGAUUCUAGAUGCCUAUCUUAUCUCUAGAUUCCCUUUUUUCGAUCCCCCGGGUGGCUAGUCCUAUUUAUAGGCGAAGGCCCUGGGCCUCUUCCCAAAUAUUGAGCGGGAAGGGCGCCAACAAUCGGCCAAUUUGAAGGGGAACAUCCAGUACACUUAUCUUGACUAAAGUUGGUCCUCGCCUGUCAAAGGCUCUGGUGGUGACGCCGACUUGGGCUCCACGGUGACCUCCAUCCUGCCGUUGGACUGGUCUUGGUCUUGUUGCACCGAAAUGGAUGCCUUUGCUUGAUGCUCUCGCCUGCGCUUGCUCGCCUUGCACCAAAGAGGAAAGAAGGACACUGCGCGGGCUGGCGCCCGUCCAGCGCCCUUGGUCGUCAUGGCUUGCGUCAUGGGCACCUCAUGAGGUACCCCGCCUUGAACUCCCCGCCUCCUCGUGAGCCAGCCUGACGAGGCCGUGCCUGAGGAAGCUCCUUGUCGUCCGCCCCGCGAGGCUUGGCCCCUCGCGAGGGUCUUGAGCUUUUGUUGAUGAAGAUGGGCCGUGCUAGGCCCCCUUUGAGCCACGCCGCAGGCCGGAGGCAGGCAAGUCUGGGGACCCCCGUUCCCAGAAUGCCGACAGUAGCCCCCGGGUCCAAGGCGCGCCCGGACUUGGCCGAGCAGAGAGGCGAAAAGGCAAGUGCGAAGCGUCACGGGCCCUAACAGCCUACGGCCUUGGGCGCCGCGUGGCGGUUGAUUGGACGUGGGCGCCUCCACUUCCCCAUGACGCCUCGGCAACUGCACGGAUUCGACAAGUCCCUGCACGUGAAACGAGUCAUAAUUACCUGUGGUAGCGAAGGCCGACGGUUGGCCUCCUCUGGCUUUAAGUACGGCACGCCGCGUGCCCUACCGGUUCAUCCCCUCUUGCUUCUCCUUCUUCCUCAUGGCCCCGCCAAGGAGGCUCUUGGCCGCAGAGAAGGGAAAAGCUCGCCAGGCCGAGCCUACCUCUCCCCCGCCCAAGCGCGGUCGCGGCCGCCCUCGCAAGCACCCCAUGGCCCCCACGGCGGUUCCCUAUGACCGCGGAGGUGACGUCCCGUGUGGCGACGGGCGGCCGACCGCGGCCGGGGGGUGUGUUUCGGCCGUGCGGCCCCCGAGGCUGCGCUCUCGCACUGCGGAAGUGCUGCCGGAGUUUGUUGUGUGGGCAGCAGAGCCGGCCAGCGCCCGGCUUCAGCUCCCUCGCUUCCUCCUAGGUGAGCUCCCGGCUGGCGCCCCAGGCGGCCUCUGGCUUCAGGCAGACGGCUGCUGCAGCCGGGCCUCGUGGGUUUCGCUGGAGGUCUUCGCGGCCGGGAGCCUGGCCCUGACCAGCGGCUGGCAGACGUUUGCCCGCGCGCGUGGCCUGAGCCGCCGGUGCACCCUGCACUUCAAGUUCGACGGUGACGCCACCCUCUAUGUGAGGGUGUUUGGGGAAGAUGGUCGCCACGCCGGAUGCUUCCCUGAAGACAACGGCCACGGCUGGGGACCCAGCCCCGGCGAGGAUGGAGAGGGCAGCGAGCGCGCGGCUGGUGGCGCCCAGGAUUCCUCAAGCUUCACUGGUUCCUCUUCGGGUAGCGACUCUUCUAGCAGCGGCCGCAGUCUGCCUCCGCGCCGUCGUGCCUGCUUGGAGGGUGGUAGUGGGUCCGCCCGCCGUCGCACCCUGGUGAAGCACGAGAGGGAGUCCGCUUGAGCUCCGGAGGCAGCUCGGGCGCGGCGCCUGGCGAGCUUUGCCUGAUUUGUUCCUCCUUCCCUUUUCCUGCGCAAAAAGACAGCUAUGUGGGGGCCCCAUGGGGGCGUGUUUGUGUUAUCAUUGUUAACCAUCAUAAUGUUUCCGUUAUUUUGGUAUUGUUCCUUUUUGCUGAACGCCUGCGCGUAGGUAAUCCCCAGCCUUGGCCAUGGGGCGACCGACCCAGGUCCUGUAUUCGUGUCGCGGUGCCCGUGAGGCACGGACUGGAGGAAUGCUCCUGUAGUGGACCCGGGUCGUGAGGUCUUUGACCGAAAGGACCGAAACACUCGCGAGGGCGCCAGGGCCGUCCCCUGGCGAGACCUCAUGCAAGAGAAAUCGGGGUCGGAGGGCGAAAAACCGAAGAGCCAAAAGUCAAAAGACAGCGACAGUUUCGAUAAAACUUCAAAUGAGAAUGAACUAGCCAACUGCAGAAAGCAAAUGAAAAAGCCGCGUCCGGCACCUAGUCUUGUCUUCGACGUCUUCUCACCAGCGCGGAGCUAAGUGCUGCCACUGGGCGUGGGAGGGAGCCCCAGGGCCUGAGGCCGGCGCUCCUAAGACUCCGGGGUGUGUACAGCCCCAACUCAUUAUUACGUGAGAGUGUCACGGGCGGCGAGCUUCACAGGCAUUGGCCUUCUUCACAGGCUCCAAGCCUUUCUUCAGGAAAGUAAGCUUCACGGGCAUUGGCCCUCUUCACAGGCUCCGGGCCUUUCCCAAAAUCGUGAUAGCUUCACAGGCGUUCGCCUUCUUCACAGGCUUCGAGCCUUUUCCAAAAAGAUGGUCUUCACAGGCGUUCGCCUUCUUCACAGGCUCCAGGCCUUUUCCAAAAAGAUGGUCUUCACAGGCGUUCGCCUUCUUCACAGGCUCCGGGCCUUUUCCAAAAAGAUGGUCUUCACAGGCGUUCGCCUUCUUCACAGGCUCCGGGGCUUUUCAAGGGUAAAACCUCCGGAGGUGCUGGAUGUUCCAUGCAUUCUGGACUGGCACCCCCUCCUGAGUCUCCAAUCGCGCGAAGCCGGGCCUGGAAACAUGGACAACCUUGAACGGGCCCUCCCACAUGGGAGAGAGCUUAUGAAGUCCCUCCUUGGAGAGAACCCGCCUGAGCACGAGGUCCCUUACCUCGAGAGUCCUGGGGCGGAUGUUGCAGCAGUGGUAUCGCCGCAGUGCUUGUUGAUAUCUUGCCGCUUGCAGUGCGGCUUCUCGGCGACGCUCCUCCCCCAGCACGAGGUCCAUCGCCUGCAUGGCGUCCUGCUGCGCUUCGUCGAACGCCAGGACCCGCGCGGACCAACGUCUGACCUCGUGAGGGAGGACCGCUUCGGCUCCAUAGACCAAGAAGAUAGGGGUCUCUCCGGUCGGCUUGGUUGCGGUCGUGCGGAUGGACCACAACACGGAUUGGAGCUCGUCGUACCAGCCUCUGCCGCAAGCCUCUAGCUUCUUCUUGAAUGUUCUGGUCUUCAGGCCCCUCAGGACCUCCGCGUUGGCCCGCUCGGCCUGGCCGUUGCUUCGGGGGUGCGCCACUGAAGCAUAGCAUAUCUGCGUUCCAAGGUUAGCACAGUAUGUUUUGAAGAGGUUACUGGUGAACUGCGAACCGUUGUCGGUGAUGAUGCGGUUCGGCACCCCGAACCGGCUCACGAUGCCCUUGAUGAACUUGACCGCUGAACCUGCGGUGAUUGUGCGGACGGCUUCCACCUCGGCCCACUUGGUGAAUUUGUCCACGGCGAUGUAGAGGUAGCGAUAGCCCCCUGGUGCCCGGGGAAACGGGCCCAGGAUAUCAAGCCCCCAGACCGCGAAUGGCCACGUGAGGGUUAUGGUCUGCAGACCCCCCGCCGGCUGAUGGAUCUGCUUCGCAUGGAAUUGACAGGCCUCGCAGCCCUUUACCAGUUCAACGGCGUCAUUGAGCACGGUAGGCCAAUAGAAACCGCUUCAGAAUGCCUUGCCCACGAGGUUUCGUGAUGACGAGUCGUGCCCGCAGUCUCCACCGUGUAUGUCCACCAGCAGCUCUCUCCCUUGCUCCCUGGAGAUGUAGCGUAGGGAUACAUCAUUUGGUCGAUUCCGGUAGAGUUCCCCAUCCCUGAUGCAGUAUGCUGUGGCCUGCCGCGCCACGCGCUCUACUUCCUCCUCCUUCUCUGGCAAGAUCCCUUGCGUCAGAUAGCUCCAGAGCUCCAUGACCCAGCAUCCCUCCUAAGGCUCCAUUGUCAAGAGAAAACACGCCCCCGAGGCCGGCCCGCAGACCGGAGCUCCCAAGGCUAGCGGCUGGGGGAGCUCCUCCCGAGGCUGCACCGCGCUUGACAGUGACGGCGUGGCCGAGGACUUGAAGAGCCGCUCCUCGAAGAUGCCAGGCUCCUGAGGCAGUCGCCUGGACGCUCGUUUGGCGAUGUCGUCGGCCUCCUGAUUGGUGCCACGGGGCACGUGCUGUAACUCCAGCCCCCAGAACUGCUUCUCCAUCCUGCGGACCUCCGCAAGGUAGGUUUCCAUGUGCUCAUCCCUUGGCUCGUAUACUUUGUUGGAGAAGUUGACGAGGAGUUGCGAACCACCUUUGAUGGUAAGGCGCUUUACUCCGAGGGCGGCUGCGGCCUUCAGGCCCGCUAUCAGGCCUUCAUAUUCUGCUAUAUUGUUGGAGACCUUUUCUCCGUGUUGGAAACAGAGCUGCACGGCAUAGUAGAGCUUGUCUUAGGUAGGAGAUAUAAGUACCACGCCAGCCCCCGCGCCAUGCCUGGAGAACGCCCGUCGAAGUACAUGACCCAACCGUCCGACGCCUCACUUCCCGGGGAGAGGGAUCGAUCCUCAUCAGCCUUUAGGCCCGGCGCCUCUGUCCACUCUGCCACGAAAUCUGCCAAGUCGGCCCCCUUGAUGACUCGGGUCGUGCUGAAUUCGAGCUGAAAUGCUUGCAGCUCAAUGUUCCACUCGGCGACCCUUUCGGCUGAGUUAGGGCUCCGGAGCACUCUUUCCAAGGGGUACGCGGAGACAACCUUGAUAGGGUGACCCUGAAAGUAGUGUCGCAGCUUGCGCGAGGCCACCAGUAGCGCGAGGAGAAGUUUCUGAGGCAUGGGGUACCGUGCCCUCGCAUCUCGCAACACCGUGCUGACAAAGUACACCGGGUGCUCGACGAGGCUUGGAGCGUCGGUGCUGGUGGCGUCCUUCGGAAGCCAUGGUGCCUCCUAAGGCGGCGGAGCCUCCAGAAGCUGGUUGCCUGGGGGAAGGGCUUUUCCCGCUCCUGGUGCAUUCCCCUGCGGCGGCUGAUCUUCCUCAAUCGUGGUAGUGAUCUCUGUGAGUCCUCUUUGGUCCUGUUUUGCCUUGGCGAGGGCAGUUGCCGCGGCCUUGGUCCGACGCUCCUCCCUGACCGCCACCAGGGCCGCGCUGGUUGAGUAGGGAGUGGCGGCGAGGUAGAGUACCAAGGGCUCUUGUGGGCGUGGGGCCACCAUCACCGGCGGGCUGGUCAGGUAUCUCUUGAGGUCUUGGAAUGCCUUGUCGGCCUCUUCGGUCCAUUCAAAGGGGCCCUUUUUAUUCAUCAACUGGAAGAAAGGCAGCGCCCGCUCCCCCAACCUGGAGAUGAAGCGCCCCAGUGCAGUCACACGCCCAAUGAGCUUCUGCAUCUAUCUGAGGGUCUUUGGCAGGCUCAUGUCCUCGACCGCCUUGACCUUUUCUGGGUUGGCCUCGAUGCCUCGGUGGGAUACGAGGAAACCCAAGAGCUUGCCCGAGGGGACUCCAAACACACACUUCUCCGGGUUGAGCCUCAGGCUUACUGCGUUGAGGCUUGCAAAGGUUUCCUCCAGGUCUUGUAUCAGGGUCUUUGCCUCGCGAGACUUUACUACGAUGUCGUCGACGUAAGCCUCCACGUUCUUCCCGAGUUGCGGGCCCAAGGUGAUGUGCAUGAGCUGCUGAAAGGUUGCCCCCGCGUUGCGCAGUCCGAAGGGCAUGCAUGUAUAGCAAUAUACCCUACACGGGGUCAGGAAGGCCGUCUUCUCCAUGUCUUCCACCGCCAUCUUGAUCUGAUGAUACCCGGAGAAGGCGUCCAAGAAGCAUAACAGGUCACACUCAGCGGUGGAAUCGACGAUUUGAUCGAUGCGUGGGAGCGGGUAAGGAUCUUGCGGGCAUGCUUUGUUGAGGUUGGUGAAGUCGACACACAUGCGUUCCUUCCCUCCCUUCUUUGGUACCACCACAGGGUUGGCCAACCAAUCUGGAUAUCGAACCUCGCGAAUGACCCCCGCGGCUUCUAGCUUGCGGGUAUCCUGAACGAUGAAGGCCUGCUUUUCAGUGGACUGCCGCCUUGCUUUCUGCUUUACGGGGCGCACGUUGGGGCACACGUUGAGGUGGUGCUCGAUCACGCCCCGUGGGAUCCCUGCCAGCUGAUCGGGCUCCCAAGCGAACACCUUCUUGUUUGCACGCAGGAACUUGACCAGGGCUUCCUCCUGCUCGGGCCCGAGGUGAGCGCCUAUGGUGAAAGUGGCGCUGGUGGACCCGUCCUCAUCGACGGGUAUCUGCUUGGUCUCCUCCUUGUCCUGGGUGAACAAUUGUUUCUUCUUGGCUGGUGCAGCCCCCUUGGGCUCUGGGGCCCCCGCGUUGGCGGGCUGUGCUGACGCCGCCGUCUUGAAGGCGAGCUGGAGCGCUCGCAGCGCGUCCCCGGUGUCCCCAGGCACGGUGAGGACUCCGCUGCUCCCGGGCAUAUUCAUGAGGUUGUAUGUCGGGUGAGUCGCGGCCAUGAAUCGGGCCAGCGCUGGGUAGCCGAGGAUGGCAUUGUAAGGGAGGCCGAUGAGGGCGAUGUCGAAAUCGACCAGCUCCGUGCGGAAAGUGUCGUAGGUGCCGAAGGUCACUGGGAGCCGGAUCUGUCCCAAGGAGCUGGAUGACCUGCCCCCGAUGCCCAUAAAGGGCUGGCUCGGCCGCAGCCGCCCCGGGGGUAUGUGGAGGAGGUCGAAAGUUUUGACCGAAAGCACGUUGAGGCCCGCGCCGCCGUCGAUGAGGGUCCUGGUGACGGCCACCUGGCAGAUGGUGGGGGUGCACAGCAUCGGGAGAGCACCCGAGCAGGACGAGUUGGAGGGGUGGUCUUCCGAACUGAAGGCUAGCCUGGCCUGCGGCUCCGGCCGGUCCCGGGGAGCCCCCUGCCGCGCGGAGGUGGCGCCGACCUGGCGGAUGAACGGCUUGACAUGGUGACCGGAGGGCGGCGCCUGCAAGCCGCCCAGGAGGGCCGCGACGACCGGGGAGGCCGGAGCGGCGUGGCGGGCGAGGAAGAGGCCACGCGGCUUUUCCCAAGGGGCCACGGAGGGAUGCAGGGGCGAUACUCGUUGCUUGUUCCCCGCCGGGCCGGUGGCGGUGUUGACGGCGGGCGAUGGGGAGCGACGAGGGCACGCGCCGACGGGAGCCGUCCGGGCGACUCGAACGGCGCCGAGCAGCCCGAUGAGCGUCAGCCAUGGACGCGACGGUCGGAGAAGAGCAGGGCGACGGAAGACGAAUUCCGGCACACCCCUACCUGGCGCGCCAAAUGUCGGAUCUAGGGUUCCGGCAGACCCUUGAGGUUCGAACACUGGGGUGCGCGUGGAGGGAUCGCCUUCUACCUACCUGUUCCUCGCCGAAUCGCUAGGAUCUAAACUACGAGAGGAACAACACAAGAGACACAGGGUUUAUACUGGUUCAGGCCACCAUUGUGGUGUAAUACCCUACUCCAGUGUGUGGCGUGGUGGAUUGCCUCUUGGGCUGAUGAUGAACAAUACAAGGAAGAACAGCCUCGCGAGGGUAUGUUCUUGUGGUGGUGUUAUCCCUUUGGAAGGGUUGAUUCUAGAUGCCUAUCUUAUCUCUAGAUUCCCUUUUUUCGAUCCCCCGGGUGGCUAGUCCUAUUUAUAGGCGAAGGCCCUGGGCCUCUUCUCAAAUAUUGAGCGGGAAGGGUGCCAACAAUCGGCCAAUUUGAAGGGGAACAUCCAGUACACCUAUCCUGACUAAAGUUGGUUGAGGGAGUCCUGGAUUAGGGGGUGUCCGGAUGGCCGGACUAAGACCUUUGGCCGGACUCCCGGACUAUGAAGAUACAAGAUUGAAGACUCCGCCCCGUGUCUGGAUGGGACUUUCCUUGGCGUGGAAGGCAAGCUUGGCGAUACGAUAUGAAGAUCUCCUCCCAUUGUAACCGACUUUGUGUAACCCUAGCCCUCUCCGGUGUCUAUAUAAACUGGAGAGUCUUAGUCCGUAGGACGAACAACAAUCAUACCAUAGGCUAGCUUCUAGGGUUUAGACACUUCGAUCUUGUGGUAGAUCUACUCUUGUACUACCCGUAUCAUCAAUAUUAUUCAAGAAGGAGUAGGGUUUUACCUCCAUCGAGAGGGCCCGAACCUGGGUAAAAACAUCGUGUCCCUUGUCUCCUGUUACCAUCCGCCUAGACGCACAGUUUGGGACCCCCUACCCGAGAUCCGCCGGUUUUGACACCGACGUUGGUGCUUUCAUUGAGUGUUCUGCUGUGUCGUCACCAUCAGGAAGGAUGCCGCAUCCCGUCUUUAAAGACGGUGUCGUUGCUAAAGGAGCUUUGGCUGUCGGCCAAACUCUCCGGCUAGGCAGGUUUUUGAUGACCGCCUGUCCGGCCGCCGCGCCAAUGAUGACCUCUCGGGCCAUCAAAAGCAAUCUUCACAUCAGCUCGGAGCCUUCCGAGUAGUUAGAUCCGAUGGAUCUCCUCUCCCUGAACAAGCUCUUGGAUCGCAUCGCGGCCCUGGGAGUCGCUACUGAUUACGACCAGAUUGGGCUUAAACCCGAUCAGAGAGAGAUUGACUCUCCCCAGGUCACCCAUCACGUCGAAGUGGUGGAAGAACAAUGCGGCGAGUCUUCGCCCGCCCUAAGGACCAGAUGCGUUCGGAUUCCCGAUCCCUCCAAGCCGGACAUCCACGGAGGGGAGGAUGUCGCCCAAACCCUGAACCUAAAGUCAGGCAGCAGGCCCGAUUCAUUGAAUAAUGUCCAAGGAAGCAAGCUUCCGAAUUCGGAAACCGCUUGGCCCCUGAAUCUUACAUCGGGCAGGGUUCCGGAUUUAAUUCCACCCGCCCACCCAACUAUGCAGGAUUUUUCCCUAAUACGGCAAGAGCCCGGUGAAACAUUACACCACUACUGGGCCAGAUUCCUCCUGGUUAUGAACAGGAUAAAGGACUGCCGUGAGAAAGAAGCAAUUUCACUCUUCUGUAACAACUGCAUGGACAUCGGAAUCCUCAACGCAAUAAGUCGCCGCGAAAUUACACGAUUCGCCGACUUGACAUCCAUAGUACGAAAGUACCGUGCGACUGAAAGCGUUCGGAAAACCGAAGAUAAAUUAUGGGACAAUCCGGCCCCGAAUACAACACUAGUCCAAAACAAAAGGGCGUAUUAUCGCCAGGCAUCUAAGCCAAACAUCAAAAAACAAAAACCCUCUACAGGGUACGGGACCGUACUUGAAGGAUGGCUCAAUGGACCCUGUAAAAUUCAUAAUUCAGGGGAAGCCACACCAACACACAGCCUUAGAGCAUGUUGGAUACUACGGCAGGUGGCCCGAAGUGGCGAGGAGCUUUUAACUCCACCACCCGAAAAACACCCCCCCCAGUACGGUGUCGACAGUCUUUGAGACCUUCACAUCAAAUAAUGCAAGGAAAUGAACGCUCCGCAACCUUGCCGAAGUCUACCAAGUAGCAACAAUAAACCCAUGGAGUGACACGGCUAUUACAUUUAAUGCCAGUGAUGAACCUAAAUUCCGGACAGCCCGAGCACUAGCCGCAUUGGUCCUCAGUCCGAUAGUGGACGGCUUCCGACUCACAAAGGUACUCAUGGACGGCGGCAACGGACUCAACCUCAUCUACGAGGAAACCCUGUGAAAAAUGGAAAUUGACUGGAGCCGCAUUGAGAGAAGCAACACAACUUUUCGAGGAAUAAUUCCAAGCCGGGAAGCGUGCUGUUCAGGAAAAAUCACAUUGGAUGUGGUGUUCGGCACGCCGGAUAAUUACAGAUCCGAGGAGGUCACGUUUCAAGUGGCCCCGUUCAGCAGCGGAUACCAUGCUCUGCUAGGGCAAGAAGCAUUUACAAUUUUCCAAGCCAUACCCCAUUACGGAUACAUGAAGCUCAAAAUGCCCGGACCCAACGGAAUCAUCACUCUCGCAAGUGAUCCGGACAUAGCGCUCCGCGCUGAAAACAAGACAGUCGCACUGGCCCUGGAGGCAUUAUCCGAGGCCCUAGCGGGCGAGGAACUAACUGCGUUGCACUCCACGGUGGACAGGGACGAUGUGAUACUAGACAAGAGAUCCAAGUCCACCUCUUUCAAACCAGCAGACGAAAUAGUCAAAUUCCAAGUCCAUCCAACAGACCCUACAAAAACGGCCUCCAUCGGGGCACAACUAAAACCCGAUGUAGACGCCGCACUCAGAGACUUCUUGCGAGAAAAUUGGGACAUUUUUGCCUGGCACCCCUCAGAUAUGCCAGGAAUCCCACGCAGGCUGGCUGAGCACAACCUGAACAUCCUAAAAGGGUUUAAACCCAUCAAGCAGACUCUAUGGCGUUUUUCCGAACCCAAGAGACAAGCCAUGGGAGAGGAGCUAGCAAAACUGCUGGAAGCCGGAUUCAUCAGAGACAUAAAAACAUCCGGACUGGCUAGCAAACCUGGUGAUGGUACCAAAGAAGGACAAAUCUUGGUGCCUAUGUGUCGAUUUCAAAGACCAAAACAAGGCCUAUCCAAAGGACCCUUUCCCACUCCCCCGAAUUGAUCAAAUCAUCGACGCCACCGCAGGACACGACUCAUUGUGUUUCCUCGAUGCAUACUCUGGCUACCACCAAAUCAAGAUGGCAGAGUCAGACCAAGCCGCAACGACAUUCAUCACCUCAUACGACCCAUUCUGCUUCAACACGAUGCCCUUCGGGCUCAAAAACGCCGACACAACAUAUCAGCGCAUGAUUCAGACAUGUCUGGCCAACCAGAUCAGCAAAAUAGUUGAAGCAUAUGUAGAUGACGUGGUCGUCAAAACAAAACACGUCGAUACUCUAGUAGACGACUUGAGGCUCACGUUCGAUAAUCUCCGAACAUAUGACAUUAAGCUCAACCCAGAAAAAUGCGUUUUCGGUGUACCAGCCAGAAAGCUCUUGGGCUUCAUCGUAUCCGGUAGAGGAAUUGAAGCAAACCCAGCCAAGAUCCGAGCUCUGUCACAAUUGGAUACCCCAAAGGACCUCAAACAAAUACAAAAAUUGACAGGAUGCGUGGCGGCUCUAAGCCGCUUUAUCUCCCGCUUAGGAGAAAAGGCAUUACCCCUCUAUCGCCUCUUGCGGCGCACCGACCACUUCGAGUGGACGGAUGCCGCCACGGCCGGACUCGAAGAAAUAAAAGCCAUACUGGCAACAAAUCCGGUCCUGGCCGCGCCCAACACGAGCGAACCAAUGCUAUUAUACAUCGCGGCAACCCAUCAAGUUGUAAGUGCGGUGCUCGUCGUCGAACGAGAAGCGGACGGACACAAGUUCCCCCUCCAAAAACCAGUGUACUACGUGUCCACUGUACUAACUCCAUGCAAGUCACGGUACCCGCAUUAUCAAAAGAUAGCGUACGCGGUGUUCAUGGCAUCCCGGAAGCUGCGACACUACUUUCAAGAGUGCUCCAUAACAGUGGCAUCCGAAGUACCCCUUAACGAUAUUAUAAACAACCGCGACGCAACGGGCCAGAUUGCCAAAUGGGCCAUCGAGCUCCUCCCAUUCGACAUAACCUACAAGCCAAGGCGAGCUAUUAAGUCGCAGGUUUUGGCCGACUUCAUCGCCGAAUGGACUGAAGCCGAACUCCCUAAAGAGUACGACGCAUACUCCAACUGGAUCAUGCACUUCUACGGCUCCAAAAUGUUGGCUGGCCUGGGGGCUGCCGUCGUUCUAACAUCCCCAACCGGAGACACAGUCCAAUACGUACUUCAGAUAAUGUACACGGAUUCCAACAACACAGCCGAAUACGAGGCCCUUUUACAUGGCCUCCGGAUGGUAGUCUCCAUGGGCAUUCAGCGCCCAGAGGUCCACGGGGAUUCAAACCUCGCAAUAUCCCAAAUAAAUGGAGACUUCAACGCCAAGGAUCCGAAAAUGGCAGCUUACCGCAAUGCCAUCUUAAAGAUGUCAGCUCGGUUUGAGGGGCUGUAAUUUCAUCACAUAGCCUGGGAAAAUAACCAAGCAGCAGACGUGUUGGCACGCAUUGGCGCCAAGCGCGAGGCCGUCCCUCCCAACAUCUUCCUAGAAAGGCUAUUUAAGCCAUCCGUAUUAUGGGAAGGAGAAUCCAGAAAUAACAGCCCGGACACAACUACACCGCCCCCACCGAACAUUCUGACACAGUUGGGGGCUCCACCAGCGAAAGAACGCCGUCAGCCCACGCAAUAAUGGCAGUCAUUGCCCCUUGGACAGAACCAUUCCUAGCCUACCUAACUAGGCAGGAACUUCCCGAGGACCAAAACGAGGCCCGCUGCAUAAUGCGGCGAUCUAAAGCCUACAAAGUCCACGAGGGAGAGCUUUACAAGAAAAGCACAACCAGAGUCCUUCAAAGGUGUAUCUCCGAAGAGGAAGGGCGAGACCUUUUGGCUGAAAUUCAUGCCGGACUCGGCGGGCACCACGCCGUAGCCCGGGCCCUUGUCAGCAAGGCCUUCCAUACUGGAUUUUAUUGGCCAACGGCCCGGGCAGACGCUCAGGACUUAGUGCAACAAUGUGUUGGUUGCCAGUUAUUCGCCAACCAAAGCCACCUGCCGCCUACCGCCCUACAAACUAUACCCAUUACCUGGCCUUUCGCAGUCUGGGGGCUUUACAUGGUCGGACCCCUUAAAGGAGGAACCCACAAGCAAAAAUAUCUACUAGUCAUGGUGGACAAAUUCACCAAAUGGAUAGAAGCCAAGCCUGUAAAGAUGGCCGAAUCUGGACCAGUGAUAGACUUCAUAUCCGGGGUCGUACACCAUUACGGCGUCCCCCACAGCAUCAUAACCGACAAUGGCAAAAACUUCAUGGCCGAUGAAGUCAAACUUUGGUGCAAAAACAUGGGCAUCAAGCUCGACUAUGCUUAGUCUAUCACCCUCAAACUAACGGUCAAGUCGAACGGGCUAACGGUCUCAUUAUGAGUGGCAUCAAACCCAGACUAGUGCGAUCCCUCAAGGAAUCUAAUACACACUGGGUAGAGGAGCUUGACUCUGUACUCUGGGAGCUAUGGACCACGCCGAAUCCCACUACCGGAUUCACACCAUUUUUUAUGGUAUACGGCGCAGAGGCAGUACUGCCAUGUGACAUAAUCCAUGACUCACCUUGAGUGCGCAUGUAUGAAGAAAGAGAAGUCGAGCUCGAUCGGCAGGACAGCUUGGACGCAUUGGAAGAGGAGCGCGGCGUAGCAAAAGCCCGUUACGCAUUCUAUCAACAGCAGGCUCGAAGAUACCAAAGCAAAGAAGUACGGGCCAAAACCUAUAAUGUUGGCGAACUAGUUCUACGCCUGCCGGACAAGAAAAAGGAUAAAUCAAAGCCCAAAUGGGAGGGCCCCUUCAUAAUCGACCAAGUACUGACCGGCGGAGCGUACCGUCUGCGAAACACAUCGGAUAACCGACUCGAGCCGAACCCAUGGAACGCAGCACACCUACGAAGAUUCUACGCCUAGAGCCGGACUCCGUGUUCGUUUCCUUCUUUCGUCCCUUUUGUUUUAUUUUUUAUUUUUACUUUUUAUUGGCAGUUCGGGAUUUUGUUCCUUCUCCCUACCCCUUUUUUUCUCACAAGCCCUUAGGGGCUUGCCUGUGCAUUGUUCGCACAUACCCGACACGCUAUCUGCGCUCAUAAUACCUGGGGGCUUCUUUACCAAGAAGUUUAUAUAAAACGGGCCUCAUGCCCAAAAUAUGUGUGAUGCUUCCGCAUGAACCUUUUAUACACCAUUAUAUGCAUCGAUAUGACUUAAGUUUUGGCCAAGCUGGGUUGCCUGGCUCCUGUGCUUACCCCUACGUUCCUGUUCGUUCGGCUAGGUGGUAAAGGGAGCACCUCUGCGAUUGUUACUGCCGGAUCAGCCGGAUGUGUACCUCAGACUGGGUGAAGCCGAAAGCUAGCGUUCUUAAGGGAAUAUUCGGUCGGUGAACUAAAAGAUGAUCUUGCAUAUUUAUUCAUUCGCCCCCAGAUGCUUUUCUGCUCUUUCUUGUAGUUCGGACAUGCACUUUAGGGCAUGCCUCCCAGGGAAAGGAACCCCUAAUGGAACUAUUCUCCCUGGAAGAUGUUUCUUACUAACCAUGUAAUAUAACAUAACUAGUUGGGCACUUGUCUGCUAAAUCACUUAUGACCCCUACGCCUUGUCUCCAUGCAUGCCCCGGUUCUUACAUAAUCGAGAGGGUAUUCGGACACACUCCAGACUAUAGGGUCCAUAGGUCGAAGCAAAAAGGUCCGCAAUGACAAAUGAUCUACAAUCCGGCUAGAAGGCAUUUUUAAUGUCAUUUUUACAGAGUCAAUCCGACUCGGCAUAUUCUUCUUCAAUACAAUCCAACAGGCGGUCUAAUUUACAGUCCUGUUGGGAAUACUUUGCGGCCAGCUCCACCUGGCCAUAUGCUAAGCUGACUGGGAUCUCCUUUCCGUCCGGACCUAUAGGGCCGACCUCGGCCAUGUGGUUUGGGUCAGCCUUCGUGUACCGAGUCUUCACCAUGGCCCAAGCCUCCCUGGCACCUUGACGGCAAGCCGAUAUCUUCCACAACCGGAAGCGCUGCCGCACUCUCUCUAGCUUCUUUGUAAGCUCCUCAAGGCCUUCGGGCACGGAGAGGGAUGGCCACAUAGCCUGGAUGAGGCUUUGCAUUGCCUGCCGAACUCGUUCGUGUAGUUGCAACAGCUCGGGAAGAAGGUCUCCCGUUGAACCAGGCAUUUCCUCCGCAGGACGACCCGUCAGCAGACCUACAGACAUAGCUCUGUGAAUCGACUUCCUCGCCGAAUUCUUUUUUCGAAGAUUCGUUUAAGCACUUACUAAAAAUGCCGCGUCGAAGUCGCCGAUUCUCCUUCACGGCAGAAGACAGCUGAAUGCGAACAUCUUUCAGUUCCUCGCCCAGCUGGGUAUUGGCGUCUUGAAGCUUGUUCUUCUCUUGCCUCACCCUCGUCAGCACGCUCUCGCCAGCCUUUAGUUGGCGUAGGAGUUGUUGCUUGUCCGGAUUUACUCCGGCCUCAUCUGCAUUAUUAUCGUCAGGGUUGCACGCCUGCCGCAUUUCAAAACGGAAGUAUCUUUCGAAGCAUAUAUUACAUGCGGGCGUCCCCGUGAUAUUUUCUGAAGUGGCCAAUGCGGCCUCGAGCUGGGCCUUGCACUCUUCGAGCUCCUAGGACAAUUGCGUAUUCUUCUUUGUAAGGCACUGCAUAGCACAUGAUCCUUCAAACAGUUAUCUUCACUGUUUCAAGUCUCGGGGGCUACUGACAUAUAUAACCUUCAAUUCUACUCACCUGUAUGUCUUUCACAUACUGCUCCGUGGCUCUGGCUAGACCAUUUUGAGCAGCACGGAGAUACGCAUCUCCUGUAUUAAAGGCGUCCAACGCCUCUGGGGAAAAACACGCGUCACGAAGAACAGUCCGGCGACGCCUGUGGUUUAGGGCGCUCUCCACCUCUGAAUUGGUGGCAGAUAGCCCGUCGGCGUCCUCUGUCAGAGGAGCGCCUGAGGCGCGUCCCAUAUCCGCCUCCGCUUCCGGACCCGGCCUCGAACCUUGGCCGGCGGACAUAGUCCGGCAGGCUCUCUUCUUUCUAAGAAAAUCAUGAGCAUUAGUAAGACUCAAGGGCAUAAACCCUAGGCGUCAAAUUCGCAUGCCAUACCGUGGCACCGGAAUCUCGAUCUGGUCCGCACUUCUUUUUGGCCUGCCUGGUUUCGGCGGCCCUUGUUGGCUGCUCACCGUGGGCUCGGCCUUCCGCCUCAAGGAUUUACCCUGCGAAAUGCUAUUAGUUUACGGCAUGCAAGAUAAAGCAUGAGAAUACGGGGACUUCGGCCUUAGUUACCUUGGAGGCUGGAAGUAGUCCGGGAUAGUCGGCCGUGAUGGCCACCAAGGAGUUAUCCUUGCUCAAUUGAUGAAAUACUCCAUCAAUCAACUCCACGCAUAAGUCUGGAUCUUCUUGGGAGUCCGGAUCGAGGGACCGUUCCGGGUCCACGGGUUGUGGAGCAGGGCUGCUUAUUUCCUUCACAGCCUGGCGCAGCUCCUACGGUUAAACAUUACUAGACUAAGUACUCAACCACGGGAAUUUCAAAAGCAGAUAGGCGAGUGACAGUGUCCGCUCACCCAACUAGGUGGAUUGUACAUGGAGUAUCCGCCUUCCGGGUUGACACGGAGGAAUUCUUCCUCUUCCCCCUUGUACAAGGCGGAUAAGAUUCUCGUUAAAGUGGCGGCCGAAUCUGGCCCCUUGCGACCGCACCGGGUAGCGUCCUCCUCCCCGUUGAAAUCCCACAUGGGGUGGCCUCUGUAUUGAAGCGGCUGCACCCCUCGCGUAAUGCAUAUGGCCAUGACCUUGAUCAUGGUCAGUCCGGAAUGAGCCAACAACCUUAUCCGGCUCAUCAGGUACAUGACGUCCCUGUCAGCUUCCCUCUGAGGGUUCCGCGGGCGCCAACUCAGGCGCUUCUUCAACGGGGCAUUAUUGAACUCGGGGAGGCCGAUCCGUACAGGGUCCGGCAGGGGGACGUCAUCUAUAUAAAACCACUCCGAGGGCCAGUCUUUGGACGCCCUCUUUGGGGUACCGGAUAGAUAUCCGGUCCUGUCGAUGCGCCAUAGUUCGGCUCCGCCCACCUGAUAAAUAGACCCCUCCUGAGAACGGGGCACCAGGCAAAACAACCUCUUCCACAGCAUGAAAUCCACACCCAAGAACAGCUCGUAGAGGGCCACAAAGCCCGCGAUGUGCAAAAGGGAGGCGGGCAUGAGGUUAUGUAGCUGGAGGCCGUAGAACUCCAGCAACCCUCGAAGAAAUGGAUGAAUCGAAAAUCCUAGUCAUCUCAUCAAAUAAGGGACUAAGCAUACCCGCUCUCCUUGAGAGGGAUUGGGGACGCCCUCCGCCUGCUCUCCGCCGCUAUAGGCGGCAACCCCGGCUCGAACUGGGACCAUAUAUGCUGGGGGGAAAAGCCCCUUGGACUGAAGCACUACUAACUCGCUAUGCGGGACGGAACACCGCCCCCAAUCUCCGGGCCGAGGGCUGGAGGGGCGAGAGGAGGAGUGGCACCGACUGGCCAUGAUGGAAUGGAUCUCUGUCAGGGGCGCUCUGAUGAAGACUCGCGGAGGGAAGAUGGUGCGAAUUGGAUCUAAAUCCCCUUCCCUUUUAUGGGCGGCUCAUUAACGCAACCAGGGGGGUAAGUGAAAAAAAAUCUCCUGGCUUUUCGCAUUCGUUUGACGCGUGGAAGAUGGUCAUUAUGGGGCACAGAAGCCGAGGAGGACAGCACGCAUUAGAAGCCGGACACUAUUCUACGGAUACAGGGAAGUUGAAGGGGAACCCGCCUUGCAAUGCCGAAGACAACUUGCGCGCCGGACUCGUCGUCAUUGAAGCCUGGUUCGGGGGCUACUGAGGGAGUGCUGGAUUAGGGGGUGUCCGGAUGGCCGGACUAAGACCUUUGGCCGGACUCCCGGACUAUGAAGAUACAAGAUUGAAGACUCCGUCCCGUGUCCGGAUGGGACUUUCCUUGGCGUGGAAGGCAAGCUUGGCGAUACGAUAUGAAGAUCUCCUCCCAUUGUAACCAACUCUGUGUAACCCUAGCCCUCUCUGGUGUCUAUAUAAACCGGAGGGUCUUAGUCCGUAGGACGAACAACAAUCAUACCAUAGGCUAGCUUCUAGGGUUUAGCCACUCCGAUCUCGUGGUAGAUCUACUCUUGUACUACCCGUAUCAUCAAUAUUAAUCAAGCAGGAGUAGGGUUUUACCUCCAUCGAGAGGGCCCGAACCUGGGUAAAAACAUCGUGUCCCUUGUCUCCUGUUACCAUCCCCCUAGACACACAGUUCGGGACCCCCUACCCGAGAUCCGCCGGUUUUGACACCGACAUUGGUCCUGGCCUGUCAAAGGCUCUGGUGCUGACGCCGACUUGGGCUCCACGGUGACCUCCAUCCUGCCAUUGGACGGGUCUUGGUCUUGUUGCACCGAAAUGGAUGCCUUUGCUUGAUGCUCUCGCCUGCGCUUGCUCCCCUUGCACCAAAGAGGAAAGAAGGACACUGAGCGGGCUGGCGCCCAUCCGGCGCCAUUGGUCGUCAUGGCUUGCGUCAUGGGCACCUCGCGAGGUACCCCGCCUUGAACUCUCCGCCUCCUCGUGAGCCAGCCUGACGAGGCCGUGCCUGAGGAAGCUCCUUGUCGUCUGCCCCGCGAGGCUUGGCCCUUCGCGAGGGUCUUGAGCUUGUGUUGAUGAAGAUGGGCCGUGCUGGGGCCCCUUUGAGCCACGCCGCAGGCCGCAGGCAGGCAAGUCUGGGGACCCCCGUUCCCAGAACGCCGACAUAAUCUCUAAUCACACUAGUGUGGAGCACUCAUUAUUCCAAAUCGUCUAACUUCCCAACUAGUCACCCACCCCCCUCACUACUCCAACCUGAGCACGCUUAACUUUCGAGUUCUAUUUCCCCUAGUUUCCAACUCUGCACUUGUUGUUUUCCUGACAAUAGUAAUCUGUCCAUCCUAUUAACCCUUAAGAGUUUAGCUUGAGCAUGAAGCCACACGUUUCACCGUUUGAGUUUGAAACUAUUAUUGUAAAAAAUAUAUUUAAUAACACUAAUAUUUCUUGAAUAAGUAGUUUGACCAAAAUUCAAAAAAAACCUAAAAUUUGAGCAUAACUUUUUUUCCUUUCAGAAUUUGAGAAUUCUAAAAAUUUGCAAAACGGCCUACGGCUGUCGAAAUCGGAACCGGCUUUUGCAAAACAUGUCGAAAUUUAUGUUUUUAAAUUUCCCUAACUAGUAGAUGUAGUAACAUAACUACAUCUCGAAGGAUUUUAUUUUUUUAUCAUUUUUUUUCAAAAUUGAAAAGGCGAUAGGGGACCGGGGGGAGGGGUGGUAGAUUUUGAAAAUUAAAGAACCCCUUAAUCAGGGUUGGAGCCACCAACCGGGACUAAAGGGGUCUACCCUUUUAGUCCCAGUUGGUGGCUCCAACCCGGACUAAAGGUCUAACCUAUAGUUCCGGUUUGUGUCACAAACCGGGACUAAAGGGGCUUAUGGGACCCCGGCCUGACGCCGGCCUGCCACCACCCCUUUAGUCCCGGUUUGUGACACAAACCGGGACUAUAGGUCACAAAUGAACCGGGAUUAAUGCUUUGCCGUUUGAAUCGUGACUAAUGGUACCAUUAGUACUAGGCCGUAAUUGAACCGGGACUAAUGUGCUGAACAUUAGGUCGUUUUUCUGCUAGUGAUUGCUUUCUCUUUUUUACUUUGCUCAAAUGAGUUGGAGUUAUACUAGUAAAAUCUGCUCCUGCCUAUUAUUCUUCAGAUAUGUUCUUCCCAAGUCCAAUCUUCUCGAGGAAGUAUUCAAACUUGCAUGUUUGAAUUAUUAUUUUUUUGAAAAGAAACACAUAUACUUAGAGACAAAAUGUACAAUUUGUAAAUUUUCAGGACCAAAUACCGUAAAAUGAGUGCUACACAAAAAUCUGAGGCUUUUUAGUAGGUGCACUAUUUAUCCUCCAAGUCCAUGAAUUUGUCUUUUUUGCAUAGAUGGCAUUUCAAGGUGUUUCAUCCUGAAAUUUUACACAUAUACACAUCACAUCCUUGUUUACUUGUACAAUUUCUUUCAGAUAUUUUUAGAACUGAAAGUUUGAAUUUAGAUUUUUCAAAAAUUCGGCCUCCAUGGAAGCCGAGAUCCAAAACGCUCCACUCGUGCCAACGACGCCUUAUUUCAAGUGUGUCCUCAUAAUAAAGUUCACUGAAAAAAAGGUGUGUGUGCAUAAACGGUUGGAUCACUUGCUCUCAGUUUUCAAAGCGUGUCGUCAGCAAAGCGCCACUACUAGUACGUUGGGACAAACAGCAACCAUUACAGGUUCGCCGUAUCAUUUGCACAACCACGUUGGGAAACCGGAAACCGAGCAUUCGGUUCUGGUUCCUUGGCUUUGCCAAGUGAGCCGUGACGCGGUGACGAAGAGCGAAGACCACAGCCGGGCCCAGCCUGCGGACCCACAACAUCUACUCAACUUUCCUUUGUCUGCAACCCCACACACGUGUUGACCAUUGCGCCAUAAACCGGAAAUGGCAUUGAUCGGUUCUGGUUUGAUUCGGUUUUGUUGUGGUUCCGGCUUCUGGCAUGUCCAGGUCUUGAGUAAAAUAGUCAGGUCAGUUCGGGUCAUGUAGCUUCACAAAAUGAUAUAGAAACUCCCUCACUAGUAAAAUGAGAAUGAAAUUUAAUUUACAAGAUUUUAAUGGAAUCUCCAAAGCAGAUGCGCAAAUCAUCCACGUCGUCUAAACCGUACGGUUCAGAUGUGUUUUGUCAUCUAAUAUGAUAUUGUAUCCAUCCAUGAAUCGGUCCAGACGUUCUUUUUCCCGCAAACCGGAAGCAACCUUGGGAGAGGGGGCUUUGCGAGUGUCCGGACCGCUCCCACGUACGCGUCCGAUAACCUUGGCCCGCACAAAACCCUCUCCCGCCUCUCUCAUGAUUUCUCUCCAGCGGAUGCGCCGCUUCCCGCGUGUUUUUUCGAGGACAAGGCGGCGGGGCAGGGGCGGCACAACGCGGCCCGCCGUUUCGUGUUCGCCAAGUCAUAUGCGGCAUAGGCUUGGGUGCGCUGAGGGACUCCUGGAUUAGGGGGUAUCCGGACAGCCGGACUAUUUACUUUGGCCGGACUAUUGGAGCGUGAAGAUACAAGACUCAAGACUUCGUCCCGUGUUCGGAUGGGACUCUCCUUUGCGUGGAAGACAAGCUUGGCGAUCCGGAUAUAAUAUUUCCUUCCUUUUAACCGACUCCAUGUAAACCCUAGCCCUCUCCAGUGUCUAUAUAAACCGGAGGGUUUUAGUCCUUAGGGACAGAAUCAUAAUCAUCAUAGGCUAGCUUCUAGGGUUUAGCCUCUACGAUCUCGUGGUAGAUCAACUCUUGUACUACUCAUAUCAUCAAUAUCAAUCAAGAAGGAAGUAGGGUUUUACCUCCAUCGAGAGGGUCCGAACCUGGGUAACAUUGUGUCCCUUGACUCCUGUUACCAUUAGCCUAAGACGCACAGAUCAGGACCCCCUACCCGAGAUCCGCCGGUUUUGACACCGACAUUGGUGCUUUCAUUGAGAGUUCCUCUGUGUCGUCGUAGCAAGGCUCGAUGGCCCAUCUCGUUGUCAAGGACAACAUCACCUCCGGGGGAGCGCUGGCUGUAGGCCAAACUCUCCGACUAGGCGGCUUCAUCAUGGCUGCCCGAUCGGCUGUUGCGCCGACGAUGACCUCUCGGGUCAUCACGCAUAGCCUCCACAUCAAUUCAGAACUCGCCAAACAGAUGGAUCCGAUGGAGCUCUCCUCCCUUAAUGAGCUCUUGGAUCGCGUUGCUGCUUUGGGAGUCGCCACAGACUAUGACCGGAUCGGGCUUAAACCUGACCAAAGGGUUAAUAAAUCCCCAUCGGUCACCCACGAGAUAGCGGUAGUGGAGGAGCCACAUACGGAUUACCCCUCUAUUUUGAGAACGAGUUAUGUCCGGAUCACCGAGCUCCCUGAGCCGGACACCCGCUCAAGGGAAGACAUGACCCAGACCGCGGACUUAGAAUCGGGUGUUGGGCCGGAGAAAUUGGGCAGCACACCGGAUCCCGAGCUGUCAAGCCCGGAAGCUCCCCUGCCCCAAGACGUUAGAUCGGAUCAGAAUCCAGGUUCAGAUACACCCACCCACCCGUACUCAAACCCUCUCUCCCAUAUAAGACAAGAACCCCAAGAGACAAUGCAUCGCUACUGGGCCAGAUUCCUCCUUUUGCUAAACAAGGUCAAGGAUUGUCGUGAGGAGGACGCGAUCUCACUUUUCUGCAAAAACUGCACGAACAAAGGAAUCCUUAAUGCUAUAAGUCGCCGUGACAUAGUACACUUUGCUGACUUGGCAACCAUAGUACAGAAGUACUGUGCAAUGGAAAGCGCCUGGAAAACCCAAACAGAAUUUUGGGAUAGUCCGGCUCUCACUAAAACCUUUGUUCGAGCUAAACGGGCGAACUCUCGUAAGUCAGCCGAUCCAAUCCCCAAGAAACCAAAGCCCACCCCAGGGCGUGGAACCGUAUUGGAAGAAUGGCUCAAUGGGCCAUGUAAACUCCACAGCACGCCGGACACUACACCAACAGAUAGCCUUACAGCAUGUUGGAUACUCCGGCAGGUAGCAAAAAGUGGCGAGGAUCUUCUUGUAAGCCAUAAAGCAGAACAACAUCCCGCCAAAGAAAACAAUGCAGUACUGACAGUCUUCGAGACUUUCGCCUCAAGCAAUAGGCGCAAGCGAGCUCAUCGAAGCUCCGCUGAAAUCUGCCACGUGCCAAAAAUAAAUCCAUGGAACGACACUGCUAUAACUUUCAGCGCCAGCGAUGAACCUCAAUUCCAGAUAGUCUGGGCACCAGCCGCUUUGGUCCUUAGCCCAAUCGUGGACGGCUUUUGGCUCACUAAAGUACUCAUGGACGGCGGAAGCGGAUUAAACUUGAUCUACGAAGAAACACUCAGCAAGAUGGAAAUUGAUAAAAGCCGCAUUGAGCAACACGGCACAACCUUCAAGGGAAUCAUCCCUAGUCGGGAAGCACGGUGUGCGGGAAAAAUCACACUCGAUGUGGUAUUCGGCACUCCGGAGAAUCACAGAUCCGAAGAAAUCACAUUCCAAGUGGCUCCUUUCAGCAGCGGAUACCACGCCCUUUUAGGGAGGGACGCGUUUACAAGCUUUCAAGCCAUACCCCAUUACGGGUACAUGAAGCUUAAAAUGCCCGGACCCAAUGGAAUCAUCACUCUAGCCAGUGAUCCGGACGUUGCACUUCGCGCCGAAAACUAAACCGCAACACUAGACCUGGAAGCAUUAUCCGAAACCCUAGUAGCCGAAGAACUAACAACACUGCGUGCCACCGUGGACAGGGAUGACGUGAUACUCGACAAGCAACCCAAGUUCACCUCAUUUAAACUCACAGACGGGAUAGUCAAAUUCCAGGUCCAUCCAAUGGACCCCAUGAAGACAGCUUCCAUCGGGACACAGUUGAGCCCCACAAUUGACGCCGCACUGCGAGACUUCCUACGGGAGAAUUGAGACAUUUUUGCCUGGCAGCCCUCGGACAUGACGGGCAUCCCACGCAGACUGGCCGAACACAACCUCAAUAUACUAAAAGGAUACAACCUUUCAAGCAGACUCUAAGGCGGUUUUCAGAGCCCAAACGACAAGCCAUGGGGGAAUAGCUAGCCAAGCUACUCGAGGUCGGAUUCAUCAGAGAUAUCAAGCAUCCGGAUUGGCUGGCAAAUUGUCACGCCCAUUAUGUGAUACUAUCCUAAAGAGACUCGAAGGUCCCACCAAGGAUAGAACCGCAUAUUGAGAUGCUUUUGCAAGGUGGAUAUCAUUACAUCAACAUUACAUAAUAGAUGGGGAUACAUACAAGAGGCAAACAAUGCCACAUGAAUACAACAUCAUCAUACAUAAGAGCAACAUCCGACCACGGAUGAAACACAAACAGAAGCUCAAACGACAUCCACCCUGCUAGCCCAGGCUGCCGACCUGGAACCUAUCCCCUGAUCGAAGAAGAAGCAGAAGUAGAACUCCAAAACAAGUAAACAUCGCUCUCGCGUCAUGAUCAUCGCAUAAACCUGUACCUGCAACUGUUGUUGUAGUAAUCUGUGAGCCACGAGGACUCAGCAAUCCCAUUACCAUGGGUAUCAAGACUAGCAAAGCUUAAAGGGAAAGGAAGGGGUAAAGUGGUGAGGUUGCAGCAGCGACUAAGCAUAUAUGGUGGCUAACAUACGCAAAUAAGAGCGAGAAGAGAGCAAGCAGAACGGUCGUGAAGCUAGCAAUGAUCAGAAGUGAUCCUGAACUCCUACUUACGUCAAACAUAACCCAGAAACCGUGUUCACUUCCCGGACUCCUCCGAAAAGAGACCAUCACGGCUACACACACGGUUGAUGCGUUUUAUUUCAGAUCUGGUGUCAAGUUAUCUACAACCGGACAUUAACAAAUUCCCAUCUGCCUAUAACCGCAGGCACGGCUUUCGAAAGAUAAUACCCUGCAGGGGUGUCCUAACUUAGCCCAUGAUAAGCUCUCGCGAUCAACGAAGGAUAUACCUUCGCCCAGGAAGACCCGAUCAGACUCGGAAUCCUGGUUUACAAGACAUUUCGACAAUGGUAAAACAAGACCCGCAAAGCCUCCCGCUGUGCCGACAAAUCCCGAUAGGAGUUGCACAUAUCUCGUUCUCAGGGCACACCGGAUGAGCAAGACGACGGGUUGGCAUAGACCCUGGUUGCCUAGGGGGCACCGGACAUCGCUCGGUUUGGACCAACACUUAGACAAGCAUUGGCCCGGGGGGCUAAAAUAAAGAUGACCCUCGAGAGGGCGACUCCCAAGGGAAAAGGUAGGUGGUGGUGAGGCAAAUGGUAAAACCAAUAUUGGGCCUUGCUGGAGGAGUUUUAUUCAAAGCGAACUGUCAAGGGGGUCCCAUAAAUCACCCAACCGCGUAAGGAACGCAAAAUCCGAGAACAUAACACCGGUAUGACGAAAACUAGGGCGGCAAGAGUGGAACAAAACACCAGGCAUAAGGCCGAGUCUUCCACCCUUUACCAAGUAUAUAGAUGCAUUAAUAAUAAUAUAAGAGAAAUUGUGAUAUCCCAACAUAAUCCUGUCCACCAUGGAGCAAUCUUCAACUUCACCUGCAACUAACAACGCUAUAAGAGGUUUGCAUAGGAAAGGUGUCAAAGGUUAGAGGUUCAUGGCAAUAUGGGAGGCUUGAUAAACAGGUGAUAGGUAGCGCAGCAAAGCGAUAGAACGAAGCAACUAGCAUAGCAAUGAUAGUAGUGAGAUCCAAGGAAAUGGUCAUCUUGCCUGAAAUCCCUCUAGGAAGAAGAACGAGUCCAUGAAGAAGAUGGAGCCACGAAGACGAACCAAGCGUAGACGAACGAAUCCUCACGAUCGCAACGAAACGGGAACUAUCGAGAAGAAGCACACACCAUAGUAAACACACCACACAUAAACAAGACCUGAUGCGCAACAAGCAUGAUGCAUGACAAAGGCUACAUGAAGCUACUCAUGGCAAGAGAUGAUGCAAACAAGAGCAGCACAUCAAAGCAAGUUUAAAUGAGGCCGGGAACAACAUAUAACAACUCCGGUAAGUCCUCAUAUGCAAAUUUCGAAAUUGGUCCAGAUCUGAAUAAACCUUAUGUUCAAGUUGUUAAACAGCAAGUUAAGAUGCACCAAGAUGAUCUACACGAGAUUCUAGUCAAGUUACAUAUAGAGUUCAUUUUAUUCGGAGCUACGGCCGAGAAGAUAUGAGAAAAACAAGUUAAGCAUGGCAUUGAUGCAAAAUGCAUACAAACAUCAAGCAAACACCUCAAAACAAGGAUGCAACAUGAUAAUAUGAAGCUACAUGCAAUUCUAAGCAAGUUUCAUAUAGAGCACACCCAAAACGGAGCAACGGUUCAACACACACACAUGAAACAAGUUAUAGGAACAAUCUGUCCAAAACAGCAACUAGGCAUAUUGCAAGCAUCAAAACAACAUGCUACAUCACCCCAACAUGAGAACAAAAGGCAUGGGCAUGAUGUACAAGUAAAGCAUAUCAAACCAUGAACACUGAGCUAUCUCCAGAAAUCACUAGAACAUGCUCAAACACACAUGGCAAGAUUGCAAAUAAUAACAGUUCAGACUUUGCAGAAAAUAACAACAGGUUGCAAUGUUUAGAGCUAUCAAAAAACAUGCUACAGGAACUUAUCAUGGCAAACAAAGGCAUGGCAUGCUACUAAUAAAUGCAUAGAACAAAAGUCCCUUACUGACCAUGAGGUAAAAAGGAUCAGAAAAUAUGAUGGCACCCAUGUAAACAUAGCAAGUUAUAAUACAGAUUCAAACAUGGCAGGAAAAGAAUUAUGAAGGCAUGUAGAUGAGCUUGUACCACUCACCACAGAGCAAUACAUGGCAUGGCAAGGCACCCAACAGUAAGAAGACAUGUUUGUGAAGCUAAGCAUGGCAAGAGCAAGUCCAUAUGAUGCAUGGAUCACUAACAACAAUCAUGGAAACAACUGAACUUAAUGUUAACAGGCUGACAGCAACAUUAUUUAGCAACUUUGGAGUAAGAUUACAACAAGUUACAGCAAGCUAUAAAUGCUACCAGGGGCAUGGAUGGAUAGAGCAUGACAUCUAGAACAAAACACCCUUAGUGAACAUAUCCAUAUUAUGCAUAGAAUGACUAGUAGCAGCAGGUUUACAUAGCAUCACGAAAUAACAGAUUCAGCCUAGCAAAACAGCAAUAGCAAGUACCAUGGUUUUCACUUUCAGUGAGAUUUCGGUGAAAUUCACUGAAUUUCAGUAAUUUCAACAGACACUGAAAUAUUACGUUUCGGCCAAAAUAUUUCAGCAAUUUCAGUAUAGCACAACAAUUCCAAUAUUUUUCAAAAUAUUUUUUAAUUUUUUCAAAAUUUGAAUUGAAUUCAAGUGAAUAUUUCGGUCAUUUGGCUGAAAUGGAAACUGAAAUCACUAAAAUUCACUGAAUUUCAGUGAUUUCGGUUGGUGCUGAAAUUUUUCUGAAACUGAAAUUGAAAACCAUGGCAAGUACACUACUUAACAAGCUUGAUUCACUCACCACAAGUCAUUUCAUGACAAGAUAAGCAUAGCAUCAUCAGCAAGAAGACAUGUUUAUGAAACAAACCAAGGCAAGAACAAGUUCAUAGCAUGCAAGGAUCAACUACAACAACCUUGGCAAAAUUGAAUAACAUGUAAACAAUCUGCCAGGAAACAUUUUGAAGCAAAAGUAGAGCACGAAAAUGACAUGCUAGACUACUCCAUAAUUGCAAACAGGGGCAUGAAUGGAUAGAUAAUAACCAUAUGUUCAAAACACCCUUACUGAAGUAUCUCAAAAUAUGCAUGAAUCUCUCUGUAGCAUCAAGUUUACAUGGCAUCAAAAUAACAGCAGAACAGGGACUAAAAACAGCAACAUUACGAAGCCUAGUUUGCAUGCUUGUGCUAGUCACCACAUUGAUCACAAAAAUACAUGGCAAAUACCACUGUAAAGAAGACAUGGCAUAGAUCAAAACACGUGUAGACAUCAACCUCAUAGGAUGCACACAUCAAUCAUGGCAAAAAUGACAAAUGAGCAAGUUCUGUUAACAGACAGCAGACAACAUUAUGAAGCACUCUUGCAACAAUGAUUCAGGCAUCAAGAUGAGCUCAAAUGAACAUGAUGCAAUGGAAUGAAAUGAAGUACUCGUUGAGACAAACAAUUUGACAUAUUACACGCACGAAAUGAAGCUACGGAUGCAGAGAUAUGAUGCGAUGAACAUGGCAUGAUAAUGUCACAGAUUCGGGGACUUAGAGAAAAAUGGACCUCGGUGGAAAAGUGGACGAGGGGAUCCCGCGGGACGAAGCGGUGCCGCGGGCCGUUUGGAUCGGCGGGCUGGUGGAUCUGAUCCACCCCCUAACUCCGGCGAGGCAGAGGCGGUUCCGGCGAGGAGCUCCGGCGAGGAGGAGGCACGGGAGAUGGCCGGGGAGGUCGGGGACGACUGGUUCCGGUCCGGCCUGACCGGGUCCGCGGCGAGGCGGCACGGCUGCCGGCGAAGAGGGCCGGUGGAGAGGCGGAGGCCGGCGAGCGUUGCGGCAGCGGAGCUCCGGCAGGAGCUCGGGGUGAGCGGCGGCCCAUCGGGCGGAGACCGGGGCGGCGCGGCGGAUCGGCCGCGGNNNNNNNNNNNNNNNNNNNNNNNNNNNNNNNNNNNNNNNNNNNNNNNNNNNNNNNNNNNNNNNNNNNNNNNNNNNNNNNNNNNNNNNNNNNNNNNNNNNNNNNNNNNNNNNNNNNNNNNNNNNNNNNNNNNNNNNNNNNNNNNNNNNNNNNNNNNNNNNNNNNNNNNNNNNNNNNNNNNNNNNNNNNNNNNNNNNNNNNNNNNNNNNNNNNNNNNNNNNNNNNNNNNNNNNNNNNNNNNNNNNNNNNNNNNNNNNNNNNNNNNNNNNNNNNNNNNNNNNNNNNNNNNNNNNNNNNNNNNNNNNNNNNNNNNNNNNNNNNNNNNNNNNNNNNNNNNNNNNNNNNNNNNNNNNNNNNNNNNNNNNNNNNNNNNNNNNNNNNNNNNNNNNNNNNNNNNNNNNNNNNNNNNNNNNNNNNNNNNNNNNNNNNNNNNNNNNNNNNNNNNNNNNNNNNNNNNNNNNNNNNNNNNNNNNNNNNNNNNNNNNNNNNNNNNNNNNNNNNNNNNNNNNNNNNNNNNNNNNNNNNNNNNNNNNNNNNNNNNNNNNNNNNNNNNNNNNNNNNNNNNNNNNNNNNNNNNNNNGGCGUACGGGCUCCGCGGGCUUGCAGCGGGCCGCGCGGGCCGGCGGCGGUGGAGGCGCGGGGCAGGGCCACGUGGCGGCGCGGGAUAGGUCCAGGAGGCGGCGGGGUGACGUGGCGUGAACUGAUUGGCUCGGGCGACGUGGAGGCUGGACAUGGCCGGCGGGGUUGGACAUGUCCGGCGCGCGAGGGGAGCGGGGCUAGGGUUUCGUCUGUGAAAAUGGACGGGGAGGACGUUUUUAUAGGUAGAAGGAGCUAGGAGAGUCCAAAUGGAGCACGGUUUUCGGCCACACGAUCGUGAUCGAACGACCGAGAGCAUAGAGGGGGUUAGGAUGGGUUUUGGGCCACUUUGGAGGGGUGUUGGGCUGCAAGACGAAAGAGGCUUUUACGGUUACCCGGUUAACCGUUGGAGUAUCAAACGACCUCCAAAUGGCACGAAACUUGACAGGCGGUCUACUGAUGCUAUACCAAGGCCACUUGGCAAGCCUCGUGCCAUUCCAAGAAAGUUUAACACCCGCUCACAACGAGAGGGAAAAAGGGGGACGCCGGAUGACAUAGGAGCGCCGGAUUGCAAAACGGACAACGGGGAAAAUGCUCGGAUGCAUGAGACGAACACGUAUGCAAAAUGAAAUGCACAUGAUGAAAUGGCAAAAUGCAACACGCAAGCAAAUGACAUGGCACGACGGCGAAUAACUGGCAGACACCUGGCGCAUCGAAACCGGGGCGUUACAACACUCCUCCACUAACAAGAGAUCUCGUCCCGAGAUCUUAGGAUCGAGACAGAAGAGAAAAAAGGAAGAGGUGAAACAAGAACUCAAAGAAGAAGUAAGGAAUCGAGGGCACUCGAGAAGAAGAGAGGAAUGACGAGAAUGACGGAAAUCGAAGGCUCACUGAAUCAGAUAGACUAUGAAACAACUCCGGUUAGAACGAGAUAAGAAACAAAUAAGACUGAAACGAUUUAGGCAGCACUCCGGCUAAAACAUGGAGGAAUAGAACAUGAACUUCACAAGAUGGGAUGACACUUGACGAGAUGGACAACGCAAUGCUACCGGAAGAAUUGAAAGAAUGGAAUGAAAAGAACGGAUGAGAGGACAACAACUUCUACCAUGAAUGAAUUCGAUAGCAUCCUUUGAAGAAGAUUAGAACGGAGUUGAAUAUCUGAGAAGAACGAAGAAAUGCAAAACUCCACUUCAAAAGAAAUACGAAUAAUUAAUUGCACUUUGAGAUGCAAGAAGGAAGAUACUAGAACACCUUGAACAAGAAUCUUGAUGAACACUUGAAGAAUGAAUUAAAUCAUGACGAGCCACCAUGAAGAACUCCGGUAACAAAAGGAUGACGAGAUAAAAUGAAGGAUGAAAGAAUAAGAUGAGCCUUGCAGUGAUUUAGAUGGAGGUUCUGACGAGAUGGCCGAGGAAAUUUGAACUCCGGAAAAGAAAAGAGAAAAACACUUGGAACUAGAAUUUAUUCAUCAAGAACAAACUCCAAAGGAAGGGAUUACUCACUUUAAGGAAUAAGAACAAGAUUUAUUGUAUGCUUAUCCUUCAUCAAAUUAAAUUGAUGACCAACAAUGGAUUUGGCAUACUACUUAUUCUUCUUGAAAAAGGAUUGAGAAGGGAUAGCACAAAACUUGAGAAGGUCUUCAUGAACCACCGGUAGGAUUGAAAAGAACGAAUGAAUUGAAAUGAUAAUCAAAGAAAAAGAAUCUGAAGGAACCACCGUAAGAAUUCAAAAAUGACUGAUGAAAGGGGUUGAAUCACCGGGAAGAAUAAGAAGAACAAAUAUGCUUGAGGGGAUUUAGAUGCAAAAGAACAAAGAGAUCAUGAGCUGAUUAAAGAACACUUGAACGAAGCACCGGGAUAACUAGAGAAUGAUAAUUGGAAUGAUGGCCGCCGGUGAAAAGAAAACAAAAAACAACUGCUGACAUACUCCGGAUGGGUAAGAAAAGAAUAUUUGAUGAUUGGAAUACUUCGAGACUGAUAUGAAAACUCUUCUUCAAUCUUCAAAUCUGAGAAAGACGAUGAGAAACAUCACCGAAAUUACUGAGAUACUCCGGUAGAAUGACAAGCGAAGAGGUUGAGCCAACAAUGAAAAUGAUUUGAAAUCGAUCUUGGAAAAGCAUCUGACUGAUGAAAUUCAUUCUUACAUCACACUUGAAAAGAAUUUGGGAAUAACCCCGAGGGAAAAUUAGAAGAGUCAGGUAAGAUCCUAGAAAAAGACCUGUGGGUUAAGGCCCACUGAAGAGAUAACACCGUUGAAAAGGAUUGUUGGAAAGAUAGAUGAUGCACCGGAACAAUUGAGAUAUUAGAAUGAGGUGAUAACCUCGAAUUAAUUCGAACACAGACGAAUCUCCUGGGAUGUCUUGAACACUCCGAAAGGAUUAAUUGGAGAGAGGCAAACGAGCAAGGAAAACACUUGAGCUACGGAAAAGAAUAUGAUCAACCCGAAAAACUUGAAUUGAAUCCACCAGAGAAGAAAAAAGGAUGAUGAAUGACGAACUAGACGAGAAUUCACCGGUUGAAAUAAUUUACGAAAGAAUGAAGAGGUUCCACACGAAUGAAAUUGAUGCUCAAAAGAUACUCAGGCUCCGGGAAGAAGAGGGUGGGAGGGCAGGAAAACAAAGGCAACUUGGAAGGGGAAACUGACGAAUAACUUCAAGAGGAAACACCGGUUGAAAUUAUUGAGGAAAGAAAGCAAAGACUUCGCACGAGUAGGAUGGAUACGCGAUUACGGACUCCGGUUCUGAGAAGAAGAAGGGUGGGCGGGUGGGAAAGAAAACAACUGAGGAUUGAACUUGGCAAAGAUGAAGAGGCUCGAGUCACGAGAAAUGCACCGGAUAAAAAGAGUUGAGGAACAACUACUGGAAAAACCAACUGCGUGAUCCUAAAGAAAAUUUGAAAGGGGAAGAGGAGUAAUUCAAAACACCUACGUCAAGAUUCCUCACCAGAACAACAAAGGGGCUGAGGAGUAAAAAGAAUUCCUACUCUCCGAUAUAACUAGACUCCGAAAAGCAAUUUUCUUCUAGACUCAACAACGGCCAAACUACACGAUCAAUCAAGGGGGCUCCUAGGGUCGGUCGAGGCUCUAAUACCAACUUGUCACGCCCAUUAUGCAAUACUAUCCUAAAGAGACUCAAAGGUCCCACCAAGGAUAGAACCGCAUAUUGAGACGCUUUUGAAAGGUGGAUAUCAUUACAUCAACAUUACAUAAUAGAUGGGGAUACAUACAAGAGGCAAACAAUGCCACAUGAAUACAACAUCAUCAUACAUAAGAGCAACAUCCGACUACGGAUGAAACACAAACAGAAGCUCAAACGACAUCCACCCUGCUAGCCCAGGCUGCCGACCUGGAACCUAUCCGCUGAUCGAAGAAGAAGCAGAAGUAGAACUCCAAAACAAGUAAACAUCGCUCUCGCGUCAUGAUCAUCGCAUAAACCUGUACCUGCAACUGUUGUUGUAGUAAUCUGUGAGCCACGAGGACUCAGCAAUCCCAUUACCAUGGGUAUCAAGACUAGCAAGGCUUAAAGGGAAAGGAAGGGGUAAAGUGGUGAGGUUGCAGCAGCAACUAAGCAUAUAUGGUGGCUAACAUACGCAAAUAAGAGCGAGAAGAGAGCAAGCAGAACGGUCGUGAAGCUAGCAAUGAUCAAGAAGUGAUCCUGAACUCCUACUUAUGUCAAACAUAACCCAGAAACCGUGUUCACUUCCCGGACUCCGCCGAAAAGAGACCAUCACGGCUACACACACGGUUGAUGCGUUUUAUUUCGGAUGUGGUGUCAAGUUUUUUUUUGACCUUGGAGACUGCAGGGCUUGCACCCCACAACAUUUUAUUAAUGCAAAGAAAACAAAGGUAGUACAAGGUAUCCUCAAGAUGAGGAAAAAAGCAAAAGAAAGCUAUACAAGUAGUCUAGUCCUAAUAUAUACAAAUAUACAAAAGAGAACAAAAACCAUUCCCCUCAAGGAGGAAGGAAAUCAAUCCAUCUAAGUAAGGCCUCCUUGUGCUUCUAUUUGAUUCUAUGGGAAAGCAGAGUGAGAUCAUGAAUGAAUCCAUAUCUCCAUGCUCUGAAGGAAGGCUUGAUGUUCCUGAAAGCUCUGUCAUUUCUUACCUUCCAAAUGUUCCACCAGGCAGUAAAAACCACCUCCGCAAAGAAAGGUUUGUUGAACUCCUUUCUAGCAUGGAAAGCAAUCUCCACCAUGUCCUCAUUGUCUUUCCAGUCAAUCUGCAGAUAGCUCCAGACGCGAGCACUGAAGUUGCACAGGAAGAAAAGGUGGUUUCUGUCCUCCAAUAUCCCUGUUGGGCAUAGAACACAUUGUGGUCCCUCCUUAAUCUUCCAUUGCCUUCUCUGAAUCAUGUCCUUGGUGUUAACCCUGUCCAUUAUGACUAGCCAAGCAAACAUCUUGAUCGACAUAGUACAGCAGCUCUUCCAAAUCCAGCUCAAAAUGGGGUUUGCUACCAUUGGCUGGUAAGCAAAGUCAUAAAACUUUUUUGCAGUAUAAGAAGACUUCUUUCCAUGCCUCCAUACCCAAGAGUCAUGGCCACUAUAGUCCAAAUGGAAAGAUCCCAUUAGGGUCGAAAGCUGCUGAAAUUCUUGAUAAGCUUGCGCAGUGAGGGGCAAGUAAAAGAGAUCUUGCAAGCUGCCAGUCAUAAAGACUUCCUUGACUGAAAGGUUUUUGUGGAGACAAAAAGAAUAUAGUCUAGGAAAUCGAUCUUGAAGAGGCACAUUGUUGUUCCCAACUUUCCGAUAGUCAGACCAGAAUAACACAGUAUCUCCACUACGAACAUCCACCUCAGUAACUGCUCUGAAAUUAUCCAUCAAUUUGCAGAUAUCCCUCCACCAAAAAGAGCCAUAAAGGGUGGUAUCAUAAGGAAUUCGUUCAAAAUAAUAAGAAUCCCAGAUUAACUGAACUCAAGGCACAUCCAUUUUAUUGUAAAAUUUAUCCAGAAACUUCAGUAGCAGAGCAUCAUUUUGCAAACCCAGGUUUAAGAUUCCAAGUCCCCCCUUUGUUUUGGGCCUGCAAACAAGAGGCCAAGCAGCUAAUGAAUGACCCUUCUCUUGGCCAUAUUUCCUCCAUAAACACUGCCUUUGGAUCCUUUCCAACUGCUUCAAAAUACCCUGAGGGAUUGACAGAGUAGAAAGGAAGAAGAUAGGCAAAGAUGAAAUGACAGAAUUUACUAGUUGCAACCUGCUUCCCUGAGGCAAGAACCAAGAACAUGUAGUCAAUCUUCUCUCCAUACAAUCCACUAAUGGAAGAAGAUCCACAAUCUUAGGUCUGGUAGUCCCAACAGGCAGGUAUCUACAACCGGACAUUAACAAAUUCCCAUCUGCCUAUAACCGCAGGCACGGCUUUCGAAAGAUAAUACCCUGCAGGGGUGUCCCAACUUAGCCCAUGAUAAGCUCUCGCGAUCAACGAAGUAUAUACCUUCUCCCAGGAAGACCCGAUCAGACUCGGAAUCCCGGUUUACAAGACAUUUCGACAAUGGUAAAACAAGACCAGCAAAGCCUCCCGCUGUGCCGACAAAUCCCGAUAGGAGCUGCACAUAUCUCGUUCUCAGGGCACACCGGAUGAGCAAGACGACGGGUUGGCAUAGACCCUGGUUGCCCAGGGGGCGCCGGACAUCGCUCGGUUUGGACCAACACUUAGACAAGCAUUGGCCCGGGGGGCUAAAAUAAAGAUGACCCUCGAGAGGGCGACUCCCAAGGGAAAAGGUAGGUGGUGGUGAGGCAAAUGGUAAAAGCAAUGUUGGGCCUUGCCGGAGGAGUUUUAUUCAAAGCAAACUGUCAAGGGGGUCCCAUAAAUCACCCAACCGCGUAAGGAACGCAAAAUCCGGGAACAUAACACCGGUAUGACAGAAACUAGGGCGGCAAGAGUGGAAAAAACACCAGGCAUAAGGCCGAGUCUUCCACCCUUUACCAAGUAUAUAGACGCAUUAAUAAUAAUAUAAGAGAUAUUGUGAUAUCCCAACAUAAUCCUGUCCACCAUGGAGCAAUCUUCAACUUCACCUGCAACUAACAACGCUAUAAGAGGGGCUGAGCAAAGCGGUAACAUAGCCAAGCAAUGGUUUGCAUAGGAAAGGUGUCAAAGGUUAGAGGUUCAUGGCAAUAUGGGAGGCUUGAUAAACAGGUGAUAGGUAGCGCAGCAAUGCGAUAGAACGAAGCAACUAGCAUAGCAGUGAUAGUAGUGAGAUCCAAGGAAAUGGUCAUCUUGCCUGAAAUCUCGCUAGGAAGAAGAACGAGUCCAUGAAGAAGAUGGAGCCACGAAGACGAACCAAGCGUAGACGAACGAAUCCUCACGAUCGCAACGAAACGGGAACUAUCGAGAAGAAGCACACAACAUAGUAAACACACCACACAUAAACAAGACCUGAUGCGCAACAAGCAUGAUGCAUGACAAAGGCUACAUGAAGCUACUCAUGGCAAGAGAUGAUGCAAACAAGAGCAACACAUCAAAGCAAGUUUAAAUGAGACCGGGAACAACAUAUAACAACUCCGGUAAGUCCUCAUAUGCAAAUUUCGAAAUUGGUCCAGAUCUGAAUAAACCUUAUGUUCAAGUUGUUAAACAGCAAGUUAAGAUGCACCAAGAUGAUCUACACGAGAUUCUAGUCAAGUUACAUAUAGAGUUCAUUUUAUUCGGAGCUACGGCCGAGAAGAUAUGAGAAAAACAAGUUAAGCAUGGCAUUGAUGCAAAAUUCAUACAAACAUCAAGCAAACACCUCAAAACAAGGAUGCAACAUGAUAAUAUGAAGCUACAUGCAAUUCUAAGCAAGUUCCAUAUAGAGCACACCCAAAACGGAGCAACGGUUUAACACACACACAUGAAACAAGUUAUAGCAACAAUCUGUCCAAAACAGCAACUACGCAUAUUGCAAGCAUCAAAACAACAUGCUACAGCACCCCAACAUGAGAACAAAAGGCAUGGGCAUGAUGUACAAGUAAAGCAUAUCAAAACAUGAACACUGAGCUAUCUCCAGAAAUCACUAGAACAUGCUCAAACACACAUGGCAAGAUUGCAAAUAAUAAUAGUUCAGACUUUGCAGAAAAUAACAUCAGGUUGCAAUGUUUAGAGCUAUCAAACAACAUGCUACAGGAACUUAUCGUGGCAAACAAAGGCAUGGCAUGCUACUACUAAAUGCAUAGAACAAAAGUCCCUUACUGACCAUGAGCCAAAAAGGAUCAAAAAAUAUGAUGGCACCCAUGUAAACAUAGCAAGUUAUAAUACAGAUUCAAACAUGGCAGGAACAGAAUUAUGAAGGCAUGUAGAUGAGCUUGUACCACUCACCACAGAGCAAUACAUGGCAUGGCAAGGCACCCAACAGUAAGAAGACAUGUUUAUGAAGCUAAGCAUGGUAAGAGCAAGUCCAUAGGAUGCAUGGAUCACUAACAACAAUCAUGGAAACAACUGAACUUAAUGUUAACAGGCUGACAGCAACAUUCUUUAGCAACUUUGGAGCAAGAUUACAACAAGUUACAGCAAGUUAUAAAUGCUACCAGGGGCAUGGAUCGAUAGAGCAUGACAUGUAGAACAAAACACCCUUAGUGAACAUAUCCAGAUUAUGCAUAGAAUGACUAGUAGCAGUAUGUUUACAUACCAUCACGAAAUAACAGAUUCAGCCUAGCAAAACAGCAACAGCAAGUACACUACUUAACAAGCUUGAUUCACUCAUCACAAGUCAUUGCAUGACAAGAUAAGCAUAGCAUCAGUAAGAAGACAUGUUUUUAAAACAAACCAAGGCAAGAACAAGUUCAUAGCAUGCAAGGAUCAACUACACCAACCUUGGCAAAAUUGAAUAACAUGUAAACAAUCUGCCAGGAAACAUUUUGAAGCAAAAGUAGAGCACGAAAAUGACAUGCUAGACUACUCCAUAAUUGCAAACAGGGGCAUUCAUGGAUAGAUAAUAACCAUAUGUUCAAAACACCUUACUGAAGUAUAUCAAAAUAUGCAUGGAUCUCUCUAUAGCAUCAAGUUUACAUGGCAUCAAAAUAACAGCAGAACAGGGACUAAAAACAGCAACAUUACGAAGCCUAGUUUGCAUGCUUGUGCUAGUCACCACAUUGAUCACAAAAAUACAUGGCAAACACCACUAUAAAGAAGACAUGGCAUAGAUCAAAACACAUGUAGACAUCAACCUCAUAGGAUGCACACAUCAAUCAUGGCAAAAAUGACAAAUGACCAAGUUCUGUUAACAGACAGCAGACACCAUUAUGAAGCACUCUUGCAAUGAUGAUUCAUGCAUCAAGAUGAGCUCAAAUGAACAUGAUGCAAUGGAAUGAAAUGAAGUACUCGUUGAGGCAAACAAUUUGACAUAUUACACGCACGAAACGAAGCUACGGAUGCAGAGAUAUGAUGCGAUGAACAUGGCAUGAUAAUGUCAUAGAUUCGUGGACUUAGAGAAAAAUGGACCUCGGUGGAAAAGUGGACGAGGGGAUCCCGCGGGAUGAAGCGGUGCCGCGGGCCGUUUGGAUCGGCGGGCUGGUGGAUCUGAUCCACCCCCCAACUCCGGCGAGGCAGAGGCGGUUCCAGCGAGGAGCUCCAGUGAGGAGGAGGUGCGGGAGAUGGCCGGGGAGGUCGGGGACGACCGGAUCCGGUCCGGCCCGACCAGAUCCGCGGUGAGGUGGCACGACUACCGGCAAAGAGGGCCGGUGGAGAGGCGGAGGCCAGCGAGCGCUGCGGCAGCGGAGCUCCGGCAGGAGCUCGGGGCGAGCGGCGGCCCAUCGGGCAGAGACCAGGGCGGUGCGGCGGAUCAGCCGCGGCCGACGGGGCGGCGGNNNNNNNNNNNNNNNNNNNNNNNNNNNNNNNNNNNNNNNNNNNNNNNNNNNNNNNNNNNNNNNNNNNNNNNNNNNNNNNNNNNNNNNNNNNNNNNNNNNNNNNNNNNNNNNNNNNNNNNNNNNNNNNNNNNNNNNNNNNNNNNNNNNNNNNNNNNNNNNNNNNNNNNNNNNNNNNNNNNNNNNNNNNNNNNNNNNNNNNNNNNNNNNNNNNNNNNNNNNNNNNNNNNNNNNNNNNNNNNNNNNNNNNNNNNNNNNNNNNNNNNNNNNNNNNNNNNNNNNNNNNNNNNNNNNNNNNNNNNNNNNNNNNNNNNNNNNNNNNNNNNNNNNNNNNNNNNNNNNNNNNNNNNNNNNNNNNNNNNNNNNNNNNNNNNNNNNNNNNNNNNNNNNNNNNNNNNNNNNNNNNNNCAGGGGCCCCGCGGGCCUGCAGCGGGCCGCGUGGGCCGGCGGCGGUGGAGGCACGGGGCAGGGCCACGUGGCGGCGCGGGAUAGGUCCAGGAGGCGGCGGGGUGACGUGGCGUGAACUGACUGGCUCGGGCGACGUGGAGGCUGGACAUGUCCGGCGGGGUUGGACAUGUCCGGCGCGCGAGGGGAGCGGGGCUAGGGUUUCGUCUGCGAAAAUGGACGAGGAGGACAUUUUUAUAGGUAGAAGGAGCUAGGAGAGUCCAAAUGGAGCACGGUUUUCGGCCACGCGAUCAUGAUCGAACGGCCGAGAGCAUGGAGGGGGUUAGGAUGGGUUUUGGGCCACUUUGGAGGGGUGUUGGGCUGCAAGACGAAAGAGGCUUUUACGGUUACCCGGUUAACCGUUGGAGUAUCAAACGACCUCCAAAUGGCACGAAACUUGACAGGCGGUCUACCGAUGCUAUACCAAGGCCACUUGGCAAGCCUCGGGCCAUUCCAAGAAAGUUUAACAUCCGCUCACAACGAGAGGCAAAAAGGGGGACGCCGGAUGACAUAGGAGCGCCGGAUUGCAAAAGGGACAACGGGGAAAAUGCUCGGAUGCAUGAGACAAACACGUAUGCAAAAUGAAAUGCACAUGAUGACAUGGCAAAAUGCAACACGCAAGCAAAUGACAUGGCAACGACGGAGAAUAACUGGCAGACACCUGGCGCAUCAAAACCGGGGCGUUACACAAAUCUGGUAAUGGUACCAAAGAAGGACAAAUCCUGGCGCCUAUACAAGACUUCAAAGAUCUCAACAAGGCUUGCCCCAAGGAUCCCUUCCCCUCCCUCGCAUUGACCAAAUCAUCGACGCCACUACAGGACAUGACUCUCUGUGUUUCCUCGACGCAUACUCUGGAUACCAUCAAAUAAAGAUGGCAGAGUCUGACCUAGCUGCAACGGCCUUCAUAACGCCAUAUGGUCCUUUCUGCUUCAACACUAUGCCUUUCGGGCUUAAAAAUGCCGGCACAACCUAUCAACGCAUGAUUCAAACAUGCCUGGAAAAGCAAAUCGGCAAGACAGUGGAGGCAUAUGUGGAUGACGUGGUCAUAAAAACAAGACACGUCGAAACCCUAAUAGACAACUUGAGGCUUACGUUCGACAACCUCCGAACAUACGACAUCAAGCUAAACCCGGAAAAAUGUGUUUUUGGCGUGCCCUCUGGGAAGCUGCUCGGCUUCAUUGUUUCCAAUAGAGGAAUUGAGGCGAAUCCGGCAAAAAUCCGAGCUCUGUCGCAGUUGGCUAUCCCAACAGACCUCAAGCAUCUCCAGAAACUAGCUGGAUGCGUGGCUGCCUUAAGCCGCUUUAUCUCCCGGUUAGGAGAAAAGGCAUUACCUCUUUACCUCCUUCUUCGGUUCACCGAACACUUCAUAUGGACGGAUGUAGCCGCGGCCGGACUGGACGAAAUAAAGACCUUGUUGGCCAGUAAUACAGUCCUAACAGCGCCAAAUAUUGGCGAACCUAUGGUAUUGUACAUAGCUGCAACACAUCAAGUUGUAAGCGCAGUGCUCGUCGUCGAACGAGAGGCUGACGGAUACAAGUUCCAGCUCCAGAAGCUGGUAUAUUACAUAUCCACGGUCCUCACCCCAUGCAAAUCCCGAUACCCACACUAUCAAAAGAUAGCAUACGCGGUCUUCAUGGCAUCCCGAAAGCUAUGACACUACUUUCAAGAGUGUUCGAUCACGGUGGCCUCCGAAGUACCACUCAACGAUAUAAUAAACAACCGCGAUGUUACGGGCCGGAUCGCUAAAUGGGCCAUCAAGCUCCUUCCAUUCGACAUAACAUACAAGCCACGGCGGUCCAUCAAGUCGCAAGUACUGGCUGACUUCGUCGCCGAAUGGACAGAAGCCGAACUCCCUAAAGAGUACGGCGCGUACUCUAACUGGAUCAUGCACUUCAGAGACUCUAAAAUGCUGGCCGGACUGGGAGCAGGCGUAGUCCUGACGUCUCCCACCAGAGACACGAUCCAAUAUGUACUCCAAAUAUUAUACACAGACUCCAACAACGUAGCCGAAUACGAGGCUCUGUUACAUGGUCUUCGGAUGGCAGUCUCCAUGGGCAUUCUAUGCCUGGAAGUACAUGGGGCUUCAAACCUCGCAAUAUCACAAAUAAACGGAGACUUUGACGCCAAGGAUCCGAAGAUGGCGGCCUACCGUAAUGUCGUCCUCAAAAUGUCAGCUCGAUUCGAGGGGCUCGAAUUCCACCAUGUGGCUCGAGAAAACAAUCAAGCGGUGGAUAUCCUCGCCCGCAUCAGUGCUAAACGUGACCCUGUCCCACCUAACAUAUUCCUAGAAAGGCUGUUCAAGCCAUCCGUGGUAUGGGAAGGGGAAUCCGGCAACACUAGCACGGAUCCGAACAAACCCCCAGAUUCCGAACCAUCAGACGUAAUCGGAGGCUCCGCCACCGAAAUAACACAUUCGGCCCACGAAAUCAUGGCUAUAAUCGCCCCGUGGACCGAGCCUUUCUUGGCCUACCUAAAUAGGCAGGAGCUCCCCGAGGACCAAAUUGAAGCACGUUGUAUUGUGCGGCGUUCCAAGGCCUACAAAGUACAUGAGGGAGAACUCUAUAAGAAGAGUGCAGCCGGAGUGCUCCAAAGAUGCAUCUCCAAAGAGGAAGGGCGGCAGCUAUUAGCUGAAAUCCAUGUCGGACUCAGCGGGCACCACGCCGCGGCUCGGGCGCUCGUCAGCAAGGCCUUUCGUACAUGCUUUUAUUGGCCGACAGCCCGAGCAGAUGCACAGGACCUUAUCCAACAUUGCAUCGGUUGCCAGCUCUUCGCCAAUCAGAGUCAUAUGCCCCCCACCACUCUCCAAACAAUCCCCAUCACUUGGCCCUUCGUGGUCUGGGGGAUAGAUAUGGUCGGACACCUUAAAGGGGGAAGCCAUAAGAAAAAAAUACUUAUUGGUCAUGGUGGACAAGUUCACCAAAUGGAUAGAAGCUAAACCAGUCAAAACGGCCGAAUCCGGACCAGUGAUAGACUUCAUAUCCGGGGUUGUACACCGAUACGUCGUCCCCCACAGCAUCAUCACUGAUAACGGCUCAAACUUCACAGCCGAUGAAGUGAAAACUUGGUGCGGCAACAUGGGCAUUAAGCUCGAUUACGCCUCCAUCUACCAUCCCCACACAAACGGCCAGGUCGAACGUGCAAAUGGUCUCAUCAUGAGCAGCAUCAAACCCAGACUAGUGCGAUCCUUAACAUAAUCGGACACACACUGGGUCGAGGAGCUCGACUCCGUACUCUGGGGGCUGUGGACCACGCCGAAUCGUACCACCUGAUAUACACCAUUUUUAUGGUAUACGGUGCAGAAGCAGUACUACCCUGCGAUAUAAUACAUGAUUCGCCUCGCGUGCGCAUGUACGAAGAGAAGGAAGCCGAGUUGGAUCGGCAGGAUAACUUAGAUGCCCUGGAGGAGGAACGCGACGUCGCAAAAGCCCGUUCCGCAUUCUAUCACCAGCAAGCUCGACGGUACCAAAGCAGAGAAGUGCGGGCCAAAACUUAUACUAUUGGCGAACUCGUUCUACGCCUACCGGAGAAGAAGAAGGACAAGCUCAAACCUAAGUGCGAGGGUCCCUUCGUCAUUGAUAAAGUUCUCACUGGAGGAGCGUACCGCCUACGUAAUGCUUCCGAUAACAGACUCGAGUCGAACCCAUGGAACGCGGCCAGACUCCGGAGGUUCUACGCCUAGCGCCGAACUCAGUGUUCAUCUCCUUGCCCCCUCCUUUUCAAUUGCGUUCCCUCCUUUUUCCUUUCUCGGCCUUUUUCCUCUUCACACAAAGUACUUAAUACAGUGCGGGCGCCCGGAUCACUCCGGCCGCACUAUGUGUGUAAGCCAUACCUGGGGGCUUCCUAUAAGGAAGCUAAAUAUAAUUGCUCUCAUGGCUUCUUGCCUAUCACAUAUGCAUUCUUUUUCCAUAUGUACCCUUUUUUCACCAUUAUAUGCAUCGAUAUGACUUAAGAUGUGGCCAUGCUGGGUUGCUUGGCUCUUGUGUUUAUGCCCUAUGUUCCCGUUAAUUCGGCUAGGGCAUAAGGGGAGCACCUCUGUGAUUGUUACUGCCGGUUCAGUCAGAUGUGUACCUCAGACUGGGUGAAGCCGAAAGCUAGCUUCCUUAAGGGAAUAUUCGGUCGGUGAACAAAAGAUGUCUUUCGUUUAUUACAAUAUGAAUCCCCAGAAGUUUUUGUAUCCUGCGUCCCUGUUCGCAGUCCGGACAUGUACUUUGUUGCAUGCGUACCCAGGGAAAGCAACCCCUAAUGGAACUAUUCUCCCUGGAAGAUGUUUCUUACUAUCCAUGUAAUAUAACAUAACUAGUUGGGUACUUUUCUGUUCAAGCAAUUAUGACCCCUACGCCUGGUUUCCACGCAUACCCUGGUUCUGUAUAACUGAGCGGGUAUUCGGAUACACCCCGGACUGUCGGAUCCGGGGGCUGAAGCGAAAAGGUUCGUCAUGACAAAUGAUUUUAAUACGGCUAGGGACUACUUAUGUCCAUUGAAUUACAAAGUCACUUGGACUGACUAUAUUCCUCCUCUAUACCAUCCAACAGGCUAUCUAGCUUACAAUCGUGUUGGGAAUACUUUGCGGCUAACACUACUUGGUCAUACACCAGACUCACGGGAAUUUCUUGCCCAUCUGGCCCCUCCGAUCCGACUUCGGUCAUAUGGUUCGGGUCAAGCUUGGUAUAGCACGUCUUCACCAUAGCCCAGGCUUCUCUUGCACCUUGUCGGCAGGCUGACAUCUUCCACAACAGGAAGCGCCGCCGUGCUCCUUGGAGCAUAUCCACGAGCUCUGCCAUGCCCUUCGGCAGGAAGCUUGAUGGCCACAAGGCCUGAGCAAUGCCCUGCAUCACCUGCCGAGCUCGCUCGUGCAGCUGUGAGAGGUCUUGCAGCAAAUCGCCUGCAGACGCGGGCAUCUUCUCUUCAGGGCGGCCCGUCAGCAUGCCUACAAAUAAAAUUUAUUGCAAUAUGCUUCCUCGCCGAGCUAUACUACAGUUCAUCUAGGCACUUACCAUAAAUGCCGCCACGAAGCCUUUUGUUCUCCUUCACGGAGUCCGCCAGCUGAGCACGGACAUCUUUUAAUUCGACGUCCAGCCGGACAUUGGCAUCUUGAAGAUUGUUCUUCUCCUGCCUAACUUGCGUAAGAACACGCUCGCCAGCUUUUCGCUGCCUUUGGAGAUGUGACUUGUUAUCUCUUACGACAUCCGGAUUCACCCCGGUAUUGUCUGCAGAAUUUUCUGUUAGACUAAACAUACAAGCCACUUACUAACUGGUACAUCUCCGUACAAUUGAGACAUAUGUUACUAGAUAAGGCCUUCUGGGAUUCCUCUAACUUGGCAACCGUGGCCCUCAGCUGGGUCUUGCACUCCUCCGGCUCUCGAGACAAUUGCUCACUCUUAUCUACAAGGACCUGGGCAUAAAUUGAUCCUUAAAAUAGUUGUUCCAACCAUUUCAAGUCUCAGGGGCUAAUGCUAUACAUGCUUAUCAAAUUUUCUUACCCGUAUAUCUUUGGUAUACUGGUCCGUCUCUCGGGCAAGCCCGCCUUGAGCAGCUCGGAUGUACGCGUCUCCCGAAUUGAAAGCAUUAAAAGCCUCUUCGGAAAAGAUGUUGUUGCGAAGUACGGCCCAUCGGCGCCAGUGAUUCAUGGCGCUCUCCACUUUGGAAAUCGUGGCGGAAAGCAUAUCUGCAUCCUCUGUCGGAGGACAAUGCGGCAUCGGCCCCGCAUCCGCCUCCUCUCUUGAAGCCGGUUAUAAUCCGCCUAUUCCUCUUUCUGCUAGGACACGAAGGAUACUGUUACAUUGCAAACACAAUAAUCACACAGCAAGUUCUUACCAUACCUCUGUAGCGGCGUUUCGGCCCUAACCACCUUCCUCUUAAGCCUGCCCGAUCCGGACACCCUUUGUCGACGAGUCCCCAGGGGCUCGGCGUCGCGCUCUGACCGUCGUCUCUACAAAAAUACGACACUUAAGGUGUAAGGCAUGGCGUCAGAAAGGAGUCAUCUUCGGAGGAUAGGGUUUUUUUGGCUUGGCUUACACGUGAUGUAGGUAGCAGUCCGGGAUAGUCGGCGGUAAUAGCCACCGAGGCGCCGUCGCAGCUUGCCUGAUAAAAUAUCCCGUUGACGAGCUCCACAGUAAUAUCCGGAUCUUCUUCGAGUCCUGGAUCGAGGGCUCUUCCGGGGUCCUCUGGCUGCGGGGAGGGGUUGGAGAUUCCUUCUACGACCCUCCUUAGUUCCUGCUCGAAAAUAUCGAGGUAAAUAAUCUUGACGAAGAACGCCAGAAUGAGUGAAGCGGUGGAAAGAGUGGUGACUUACCCAGCUUGGGGGGUUGUACAUAGAAAACCCAUCCCGCAGUUAAAUGUGAAGGAAUUCUUCUUCUUCUCCUUUAUACAGAUCGGACAAUAUCCUCGCCAGCGCAGUGGCGGAGUCCGGACCCUUACAGCCACAGCGGGUGGCAUCAUCUUACCCGUUGUAGUGCCACAUGGGCUUCCCCCGAUAUUGAAGCAGCUGCACUCCCCGCAUUAUGCAUAUUGCCAUAACCUCGAUUAUCUUCAGCCCGGAUUUGGCCAGUAACUUUAUCGUGCUCAUCAGGAAGUGUAUCUCUCUGGUAUCCUCCUCAUGGGGGCCCCGAGGGCGCUAGCUUCGACGUGCCUUCGGCGGGGCGUUACUGAACAUAGGGAGACCUGUCCGGACUGGAUCCGGAAGGGGAACGUCGUCGACAUAAAACCACUCCGAAGGCCAGUUCUCCGGUGCCUUCUUGGGAGUACCGGAUAGGCAUCCAGUCUCGGCGAUGCGCCAUACUUCGGCUCCGCCCACUUGACAUAGGGAUUCCCCCUGGUUGCGAGGGACAAGGCAGAACAACUUCUUCCAUAACCCAAAGUGAGCCUCGCAGCCUAGAAAUAGCUCACAAAGGGCAACGUAUCCUGCUAUAUGCAGCACAGGGUCAGGGGUGAAGUUGUGCAAUUGGAGGCCGUAGAACUCCAAGAGCCCACGUAGAAAUGGGUGGAUAGGAAACCCGACGCCCCUUAGCAGAUGCGAGAUGAGACAUAUUCGCUCCUCUGGAGAUGGAUUAGGAGAUCCCUCAGCUUGCUCCCCGCCAUUAUAGGUGGCUAGUCCGGCUCGGACGGGGACCAUGAACACCGGUGGGAGAAACCCUUGGGUCUGUAACUCUAUCAAACGGUUGUGAGGAACUGAACUUUCUUCCCAGUCACCCGGCUUGGAGCGAGGGGAGCGAGAAGAAGAGCUGAGGCGACCGGCCAUGUUGGAAUGGUUUUUUCGGAGCACUCUGUUGGAUGCUUGCUCGAGGGAAGAAGGUGAGGUUUGGAUCUAAGAAUCCCCAUCUCUUUAAAUAGACGAUUAGCCUGCCGGACCGGGGGUGGAAAAUGCAAAGAUGCCUCGGCUCCUCGUAUUCGCUCGACACGUGGAGAUGGUCAUUAUUGAGGCACAAAAGCCGAGGAGAACAACAUUGAUGGGAAGCUGGACACUGUUCGUUGCAACAGGUACUUUGGAGUAUUCGGAGAUGGAACCCGCCUUGCAAUGCCGAAGACAAGACUGCGUGCUGGACUCAUCGUUAUUGAAGCCUGGUUCAGGGGCUUGUUGGAAAUAUGCCCUAGAGGCAAUAAUAAAAUGGUUAUUAUUGUAUUUCCUUGUUCAUGAUAAUUGUCUAUUAUUCAUGCUAUAAUUGUAUUGACCGGAAACCGCAAUACAUGUGUGAAUACAUAGACAUGUCCCUAGUGAGACUCUAGUUGACUAGCUCAUUGAUCAACAGAUGGUCAUGGUUUCCUGACCAUGGACGUUGGAUGUCAUUGAUAACGGGAUCACAUCAUUAGGAGAAUGAUGUGAUGGACAAGACCCAAUCAUAAGCCUAGCACAAGAUCGUGUAGUUCGUAUGCUAAAGCUUUUCUAAAUGUCAAGUAUCUUUUCCUUAGACCAUGAGAUUGUGCAACUCCCGGAUACCGUAGGAAUGCUUUGGGUGUACCAAACAUCACAACGUAACUAGGUGGCUAUAAAGGUGCACUAUGGAUAUCUCCGAAAGUGUCUGUUGGGUUGGCACGAAUCGAGACUGGGAUUUGUCACUCCGUGUGACGGAGAGGUAUAUCUGGGCCCACUCGGUAAGACAUCAUCAUAAUGUGCACAAUGUGAUCAAGGAGUUGAUCGUGGGAUGAUGUGUUACGGAACGAGUAAAGAGACUUGCCGGUAACGAGAUUGAACAAGGUAUCGGGAUACCGACGAUCGAAUCUCGGGCAAGUACUAUACCGGUAGACAAAGGGAAUUGAAUACGGGAUUGAUUGAAUACUCGACAUCAUGGUUCAUCCGAUGAGAUCAUCGUGGAACAUGUGGGAGCCAACAUGGGUAUCCAGGUCCCGCUGUUGGUUAUUGACCGGAGAGUCGUCUCGGUCAUGUCUGCGUGUCUCCCGAACCCGUAGGGUCUACACACUUAAGGCUCGGUGAUGCUAGGGUUGUAGAGAUAUUAGUAUGCGGUAACCCUAAAGUUCUUCGAAGUCCCGAAUGAGAUCCCGGCCGUCACGAGGUGUUCCGGAAUGGCCCAGAGGUAAAUUUAUAUAUGGGAAGUCUAGUUUCGGCCAUCGGGAAAGUUUCGGGGUCACCGAUAUUGUACCGGGACCACCGGAAAGGUCCCGGGGGUCCAUCGGGUAGGGCCACCUAUCCCGGAGGGCCACAUGGGAUGAAGUGGGAAGGGAACCAGCCCCUGGUGGGCUGGUGCACCCCCCUUGGGCCUCCCCAUGCGCCUAGGGUUGGAAACCCUAGGGGUGGGGGGCCACUUGGCUUGGGGGGCAAGUUUUCCCCCUUGGCCGCCGCCCCCCUUGGAGAUUGGAUCUCCUAGGGCCGGUGCUCCCUCCUAGGGGCCCUAUAUAUAGUGGGGGGAGGGAGGGCAGACGCACCCUAGCCCCUGGCGCCUCCCUCUCCCUCCCGUGACACCUCUCCCUCUCGCUGAGCUUGGCGAAGCCCUGCCGAGAUCGCCGCUGCUUCCACCACCACGCCGUCGUGCUGCUGGAUCUCCAUCAACCUCUCCUUCCCCUUGCUGGAUCAAGAAGGAGGAGACGUCUUCCCAACCGUACGUGUGUUGAACGCGGAGGUGCCGUCCGUUCGGCGCUAGGAUCAUCAAUGAUUAGGAUCACGACGAGUACGACUCCAUCAACCCCGUUCUCUUGAAUGCUUCUGCUCGCGAUCUACAAGGGUAUGUAGAUGCACUCCUCUCUCUCUCGUUGCUAGUCUCUCCAUAGAUUGAUCUUGGUGAUGUGUAGAAAAUUUUGAAUUUCUGCUACGUUCCCCAACAGUGGCAUCAUGAGCUAGGUCUAUUGCGUAGAUUCUAUGCACGAGUAGAACACAAGUUAUUGUGGGCGUUGAUUUUGUUCAAUAUGCUUACCGUUACUAGUCCUAUCUUGUUUUGACGGUAUUAUGGGAUGAAGCGGCCCGGACCGACCUUACACGUACACUUACGUGAGACAGGUUCCACCGAUUGACAUGCACUUGUUGCAUAAGGUGGAUAGCGGGUGCCAGUCUCUCCCACUUUAGUCGGAUCAGAUUCGAUGAAAAGGGUCCUUAUGAAGGGUAAAUAGCAAUUGGCAUAUCAUGUUGUGGCUUUUGCGUAGGUAAGAAACGUUCUUGCUAGAAACCCAUAGCAGCCACGUAAAACAUGCAAACAACAAUUAGAGACGUCUAACUUGUUUUUGCAGGUUAUGCUAUGUGAUGUGAUAUGGCCAAAAGAAUGUGAUGAAUGAUAUGUGAUGUAUGAGAUUGAUCAUGUUCUUGUAAUAGGAAUCACGACUUGCAUGUCGAUGAGUAUGACAACCGGCAGGAGCCAUAGGAGUUGUCUUAAUUUAUUGUAUGACCUGCGUGUCACUGAAUAACGCCAUGUAAUUACUUUACUUCUUUGCUAAACCGUUAGCCAUAGUAGUAGAAGUAAUAAGUUGGCGAGACAACUUCAUGGAGACACGAUGAUGGAGAUCAUGAUGAUGGAGCUCAUGGUGUCAUGCCGGUGAUGAUGAUGAUCAUGGAGCCCCGAAAAUGGAGAUCAAAAGAAGCAAAAUUAUAUUGGCCAUAUCAUGUCACUAUUUGAUUGCAUGUGAUGUUUAUCAUGUUUAUGCAUCUUAUUUGCUUAGAACGAUAGUAGUAAAUAAGAUGAUCCCUCACAAUAAUUUCAAGAAAGUGUUCCCCCUAACUGUGCACCAUUGCGAAAGUUUGUUGUUUCGAAGCACCACGUGAUGAUCGGGUGUGAUAGAUUCUAACGUUCACAUACAACGGGUGUAAGCCAGAUUUACACACGUGAAACACUUAGGUUGACUUGACGAGCCUAGCAUGUACAGACAUGGCCUCGGAACACAAGAGACCGAAAGGUCGAACAUGAGUCGUAUAGUAGAUGCGAUCAUCAUGAAGAUGUUCACCGAUGAUGACUAGUCUGUCUCACGUGAUGAUCGGACACGGCCUAGUUGACUAGGAUCAUGUAUCACUUAGAUCACUAGAGGGAUGUCUAUCUGAGUGGGAGUUCAUUAGAUGAACUUAAUUAUCCUGAACAUAGUCAAAAGGUCUUUGCAAAUUAUGUCGUAGCUCGUGUUUCAAUUAUACUGUUUUAGAUAUGUUCCUCGAGAAAAUUUAGUUGAAAGUUGACAGUAGCAAUUAUGCGUACUAGGUCCGUAUGUUGAGGAUUGUCCUCAUUGCUGCACAGAAGGCUUAUGUCCUUAAUGCACCGCUCGGUGUGCUGAACCUCGAGCAUCGUUUGUGGAUGUUGCAAACAUCUGACAUACACGUUUUGAUGACUACGUGAUAGUUUAGUGGGUAAUGUUAAAUGGUUUAGACUUGAGGCACCGAAGACAUUUUUUAAACGUCGCGGAACAUAUGAGAUGUUCCAAGAGCUGAAAUUGGGAUUUCAGGCUCGUGCCCAUGUCAAGAGGUGUGAGACCUCCUACAAGCUUCUUAAGCCUACAAACUAUGGGAGAAAUGCUCAAUCGUUGAGCUUGUACUCAGAUUGCCUGGGUACAACAAUCACUUGAAUUGAGUGGGAGUUAAUCUUCCAGAUGAGAUAGUGAUGUUUCUCCAAAGACAUUGCCACCAAGCCACUAGAGCUUCGUGAUGAACUAUAACAUAUCAGGGAUAGAUAUGACGAUCCUUGAAAUAUUCGCGAUGUUUGACACCGCGAAAGUAGAAAUCAAGAAGGAGCAUCAAUUGUUGAUGGUUAGUGAAACCACUAGUUUCAAAAAGGGCAAGGGCAAGAAGGGAUACUUCAUGAAAUGGCAAAUCAGUUGCUACUCCAGUGAAGAAACCCAGGGUUGAACCCAAACCCGAGACAAAGUGCUUCUGUAAUGAGGGAAUGGUCACUGAAGCAGAACUACCCUAGAUACUUGGUAGAUGAGAAGGCUGGCAAGGUUGACAGAAGUAUAUUGGAUAUACAUUGUAUUAAAUGUGUACUUUACUAGUACUCCUAGUAGCACCAGGGUAUUAAGAUACCGGUUCGGUUGCUAAGUGUUAGUAACUCGAAGUAAAAGAGCUACGAAUAAACGGAGACUAGCUAAAGGUGAGAUGACGAUGUGUGUUGGAAGUGUUUCCAAGGUUGAUGUGAUCAAGCAUCGCCUGCUCCCUCUACCAUCUAGAUUGGUCUAAACCUAAAUAAUUGUUAUUUGGUGUUUGCGUUGAGCAUAGACAUGAUUGGAUUAUGUCCUUCGCAAUACGGUUAUUCAUUUAAGGAGAAUAAUGGUUACUCUGUUUAUUUGAAUAAUACCUUCAAUGGUCUUGCACCUAAAAUGAAUGGUUUAUUGAAUCUCGAUCAUAGUGAUACACAUGUUCAUGCCAAAAGAUAUAAGAUAGUAAUGAUAGUACCACCUGCUUGUGGCACUGCCAUUUGAGUCAUAUUGGUAUAAAACGCAUAGAGAAGCUCCAUGUUGAUGGAUCUUUGGACUCACUCGUUUUUGAGAAGUUUGAGACAUGUGAACCAUGUAUAUUGGUAUGUGCGCAUGAAGAAACUCCAUGCAGAUGGAUCGUUUGGACUCUUGAUUCUAUAUCACUUGAGACAUGCAGAUCAUACCACAUGGGCAAGAUGACUGAAAAGCCUCAUUUUUCAGUAAGAUGGAACAAGAGAGCAACUUGUUGGAAGUAAUACAUUUUGAUGUGUGCUGUCCAAUGAGUGCUGAGGCACGCUGUGGAUAUUGUUAUGUUCUUACUUCACAAAUGACUUGAGUAGAUGCUGAGUAUAUUUACUUGAUGAAAUACAAGUCUGAAUUACUGAAAGGUUCAAGUAAUUUCAGAGUGAAGUUGAAGAUCUUCGUGACAAGAGGAUAAAAUGUCUAUGAUAUGAUCAUAGAGAUGAAUAUCUGAAUUGCGAGUUUGGUACACAAUUAAGACAUUGUGGAAAUUGUUUCACAAUUAAUACCGCCUGGAACACCAUAGUGUGAUGGUGUGUCCGAACAUCAUAACUGCACCCUAUUGGAUAUGGUGCAUACCAUGAUGUCUCUUAUCGAAUUACCACUAUCGUUUAUGGGUUAGGCAUUAGAGACAACCACAUUCACUUUAAUAGGGCACCACAUAAUUCCGUUGAGAUGACACCGUAUGAACUGUGAUUUAGAGAAACCUAAGCUGUCGUUUCUUGAAAGUUUGGGGCUGCGACUCUUAUAUGAAAAAGUUUCAUCCUGAUGAGCUCGAACCCAAAGCGGAUAAAUACAUCUUCUAGGACACCCAAAACAGUUGGGUAUACCUCCGAUUUCAGAUCCGGAAGCAAAAGUGAUUGUUUCUAGAAAUGGGUCCUUUCUCGAGGAAAAGUUCCUCUCGAAAGAAUUGAGUGGGAGGAUGGUGGAGACUUGAUGAGGUUACUGAACCAUCACUUCAACUAGUGUGUAGAGGGCACAGGAAGUUGUUCCUAUGGCACCUACACCAAUUGAAGUGGAAGCUGAUGAUAGUGAUCAUGAAACUUCGGAUCUAGUCACUACCGAACUCGUAGGUCGACAAAGAUACGUACUACUCCAUAGUGGUACGUAAUCCUGUCUUGGAGGUCAUGUUGCUAGACAACAAUGAACCUAUGAGCUAUGGAGAAGCGAUGGUGGGCCCGGAUUCCGACGAAUGGCUUGAGGCCAUAAAAUCCGAGAGAGGAUCCAUGUAUGAAAACAAAGUAUAGACUUUGGAAAAACUACUUGAUGGUCGUAAGGCUGUUGGGUACAGAUGGAUUUUAAAAGGAAGGCGGACAAUGAUGGUAAGUGUCACCAUUAAGAAAGCUCGACUUGUCGCUAAGAUGUUUUCUGACAAGUUCAAGGAGUUGACUACGAUGAGACUUUAUCACUCGUAGCGAUGCUAAGAGUCCGUUGGAAUUAUAUUAGCAGUUACUGCAUUAUUUAUGAAAUCUUGCAGAUAGGAUGGCAAAAAAAUUUGUUUCCUCGAUGAUUUUCUUGAGGAAAGGUUGUAUAUGAUACAACCAGAAGGUUUUGUCAAUCCUGAAAGAUGCUAACAAGUGUGGAAGCUCCAGCAAUCCUUCUAAGGACUAGAGUAAGCAUCUCGGAGUUGGAAUAUACUCUUUGAUGUGAUGAUCAAAGAUUUUGGGUUUAUACAAAGUUUAUGAGAAACUUGUAUUUCCAAAGAAGUGAGUGGGAGCACUAUAGCAUUUCUGAUGAGUAUAUGUUGUUGACAUAUUGUUGAUCGGAAAUGAUGUAGAAUUUCUGGAAAGCAUAUAGGCUUAUUUGAAAAGUGUUUUUCAAUGGAAAACCUAGAUUAAGCUACUUGAACAUUGAGCAUCAAGAUCUAUAAGGAUAGAUCAAAAUGCUUCAUACUACUUUCAAAUGAAUACAUAUCGUGACAAGAUUUUGAAGGAGUUCAAAAUAGAUCAGCAAAGAAGGAGUUCUUGGCUGUGUUACAUGGUGUGAGUAUUGAGUAAGACUCAAGACAUGACCACGGCAGAAGAGAGAGAAAGGACGAAGGUCGUCCCCUAUGCUUCAGGCGUAGGCUCUAUAGUAUGCUAUGCUGUGUACUGCACCAUAAGUGUGCCUUACCAUGAGUCAGUCAAGGGGUACAAGGGUGAUCCAGGAAUGGAUCACAGGACAGCGGUCAAACUUAUCCUUAGUAACUAAUGGACUAAGGAAUUUUCUGGAUUAUGGAGGUGGUAAAAGAGUUCGUCGUAAAGGGUUACACUGAUGCAAACUUUGACACUAAUCCAGAUUAUUCUGAGUAGUAAACCGGAUUCGUAUAGUAGAACAGUUAUUUGGAAUAGCUCCAAAUAGAGCGCGGUAGCUGCAUCUAGGAGAUGACAUAGAGAUUUGCAAAGCACACACGGAUCUGAAAGGUUCAGAUCCGUUGACUAAUAACCUCUUUCACAAGCGAGAUAUGAUCAAACCCCAUGGGUGUCGAUUCAUUACAAUCACAUAGUGAUGUGAAAUAGAUUAUUGACUCUAGUGCAAGUGGGAGACUGUUGGAAAUAUGCCCUAGAGGCAAUAAUAAAGUGGUUAUUAUUGUAUUUCCUUGUUCAUGAUAAUUGUCUAUUAUUCAUGCUAUAAUUGUAUUGACCAGAAACCGCAAUACAUGUGUGAAUACAUAGACCACAACAUGUCCCUAGUGAGCCUCUAGUUGACUAGCUCGUUGAUCAACAUAUGGUCAUGGUUUCCUGACCAUGGACGUUGGAUGUCAUUGAUAACGGGAUCACAUCAUUAGGAGAAUGAUGUGAUGGACAAGACCCAAUCCUAAGCCUAGCGCAAGAUCGUGUAGUUCGUAUGCUAAAGCUUUUCUAAAUGUCAAGUAUCUUUUCCUUAGACCAUGAGAUUUUGCAACUCCCAGAUACCGUAGAAAUGCUUUGGGUAUACCAAACGUCACAACAUAACUGGUUGGCUAUAAAGGUGCACUACGGGUAUCUUCGAAAGUGUCUAUUAGGUUAGCACGAAUCGAGGCUGGGAUUUGUCACUCCGUGUGACGGAGAGGUAUCUCUGGGCCCACUCGGUACGACAUCAUCAUAAUGUGCACAAUGUGAUCAACGAGUUGAUCGCGGGAUGAUGUGUUACGGAACGAGUAAAGAGACUUGCCGGUAACGAGAUUGAACAAGGUAUCGGGAUACCGACGAUCGAAUCUCGGGCAAGUACUAUACCGGUAGACAAAGGGAAUUGAAUACGGGAUUGAUUGAAUCCUCGACAUCGUGGUUCAUCCGAUGAGAUCAUCGUGGAACAUGUGGGAGCCAACAUGGGUAUCCAGAUCCCGCUGUUGGUUAUUGACCGGAGAGUCGUCUCGGUCAUGUCUGCGUGUCUCCCGAACCCGUAGGGUCUACACACUUAAGGUUCGGUGAUGCUAGGGUUGUAGAGAUAUUAGUAUGCGGUAACCCAAAAGUUGUUCGGAGUCCCGGAUGAGAUCUCGGACGUCACGAGGUGUUCCGGAAUGGUCCGGAGGCAAAGAUUUAUAUAUCGGAAGUCCAGUUUCGGCCAUCGGGAAAGUUUCGGGGUCACCGGUAUUGUACCGGGACCACCGGAAAGGUCCCGGGGGUCCACCGGGUAGGGCCACCUAUCCCGGAGGGCCACAUGGGCUGAAGUGGGAAGGGAACCAGCCCCUGGUAGGCUGGUGCACCCCCCUUGGGCCUCCCCCUGCGCCUAGGGUUGGAAACCAUAGGGGUGGGGGCGCCCCACUUGGCUUGGGGGGCAAGUUUUCCCCCUUGGCCGCUACCCCCCUUGGAGAUUGGAUCUCCUAGGGCCGGCGCCCCCCCUAGGGGCCCUUUAUAUAGUGGGGGAGGAGGGAGGGCAGCCGCACCCUAGCCCCUAGCGCCUCCCUCUCCCUCCCGUGACACCUCUCCCUCUCGCUGAGCUUGGCGAAGCCCUGCCGAGAUCGCCGCUGCUUCCACCACCACGCCGUCGUGCUGCUGGAUAUCCAUCAACCUCUCCUUCCCCUUGCUGGAUCAAGAAGGAGGAGACGUCUUCCCAACCGUACGUGUGUUGAACGCGGAGGUGUCGUCCGUUUGGCGCUAGGAUCAUCGGUGAUUAGGAUCACGAUGAGUACGACUCCAUCAACCCCGUUCUCUUGAACGCUUCCGCUCGCGAUCUACAAGGGUAUGUAGAUGCACUCUUAUCUCUCUCGUUGCUAGUCUCUCCACAGAUUGAUCUUGGUGAUGCGUAGAAAAUUUUGAAUUUCUGCUACGUUCCCCAACAGGGCUACUAGGGAGUCCUGGAUUAGGGGGUAUCUGGACAGCCGGACUAUAUACUUUGGCCGGACUAUUGGAGCAUGAAGAUACAAGACUCAAGACUUCGUCCCGUGUCCGGAUGGGACUCUCCUUUGCGUGGAAGACAAGUUUGGCGAUCCAGAUAUUAUAUUUCCUUCCUUGUAACCGACUCCAUGUAAACCCUAGCCCUCUCUGGUGUCUAUAUAAACCGGAGGGUUUUAGUCCUUAGGGACAGAAUCAUAAUCAUCAUAGGCUAGCUUCUAGGGUUUAGCCUCUACGAUUUCGUGGUAGAUCAAAUCUUGUACUACUCAUAUCAUCAAUAUCAAUCAAGCAGGAAGUAGGGUUUUACCUCCAUCGAGAGGGCCCGAACCUGGGUAACCAUUGUGUCCCUUGCCUCCUAUUACCAUUAGCCUAAGACGCACAGAUCGGGACCCCCUACCCGAGAUCCGCCGGUUUUGACACUGACAUGCGCAACGACCCGGACUUGGCGAUGGUCUGGGCCCUCGACCGGUCGGUCAUCACUGCAGAGACGGCCGCCCGGAGCCACCGCCGUCCCGACGGUGAGCUCGCCAAGAUUGUCGAGGAAUGGUUUCUCAACGACACCUUCACUAAUGUCGGCAGAGGUAGGGCACCGCGACCGCCGUCCGCAUUGGCCACGGCAGCCCUCGUCACGGCGUAGGAGGAACUGGACCGGCUCUUUCGCGAGCGCCAAGAGGUGUCCAAGCAAGGGUGCUGCGGCCCCGUGGCCGGAAGGACGACAACGAUGGUGGCACGGCCCGCGACGAUGGUACUGCCCAAGAAGACCGCUCAAAACGAUCGAGAAAAAACAAUUCUCAAAGAAAAAUCUAAGAAGGAACAUGACUGCACUUUCGUUUUCGUUGCUAUGUUUUUCUCCCACUACGAGUGCAUGUGCUUAUGUGUAAUCACAGGGUGAGCUCAGUAUCAUCACAAUUAUUUGGGGAAACCAAAUGGCCUGUGCUUCGGUUCGGGUAUGGUUAUGGUUUCUGGAGGGACAACAGAACUCGGGAAAACCAAAAUGUCUUGUGGUUCGGUUCGGGUAUGGUUCUGGUUUGCCACAGUGCCACUUUGCGCGUAGGCUGGCUAUAAAUCUUCAUCAUCUCCCCCCAGGUCAAGAACCCAUUUCUCCAGCAAACACCACACACACGAGACACGAGAUGCACAAUGGAUUCCGUGGCCACAGUCGCCGACCUUGGCGCCCUGAUCUCCGACGCAUGCCGCGACGCGGAGAUGUUGCCACGCGCUCUGAUCUCAUGCGGCGUCGCCGAGGCCGCCGCAGCGCUCUGCCUCAUCAUCUCCAAGGCGCCGGGGGGUUGUUUCUCCACCACGGCAAAGCGCCAUUCAUUCCACUAGUAGAAAAGGGGGCAAUGGUCCAGGCCAGGUCAGCCUAUUAGUCCCGGUUCAAUCCAGAACCGGGACCAAUGGGGGCAUUGGACCCGGUUCGUGAGCCCCGGGGGCCGGCCAGGCCACGUGGGCCAUUGGUCCCGGUUCUUCUGGACCUUUUGGUCCCGGUUGGUGGGACGAACCGGGACUAAUGGUCCUCGCUCUUGGCCCACCAUUAUUGGUCCCGGUUGGAGGCAUGAACCGGGACCAAAGGUCGUCCAUUAGUCCCGGUUCAUACCACCAACCGGGACUAAAGGGUUGGUCCUCGUUGCGGCCAGAGUUUAGUGCCACCUCGCCAACCGAAGGGGGCUCACACCGGUUUAUAAGCCCCUUCCUCUCUGCCUUGUUGAGCUCCUCUCAAAAGGAAAAUAGAUGCCCUUAUACAGGGAAUUUGACCUAAAUCCAUACUGAAUUUCUCUAAAGUUAGUAGAAAUUUAUUAUGAAUUUAGGUUUAAUUUUCUCUAUAAGCGCAUCUAUGCUCAUUUUUUUAGUAAAGUUAAUCACAACUAUUUUUUCUUCUAUUUAUUUCUAAGUAGUUUUUUAUAUAGUUUUUUUUCUUUUCUGCUAUAUUUAAUUAUUUCUAUUUUUUUCUGAGUUGUAAUAAGUCAUUAAAAAUAAAAAAGAUUUUAGUAAAGUUAAUCACAAUUAUUUUUUCUUCUNNNNNNNNNNNNNNNNNNNNNNNNNNNNNNNNNNNNNNNNNNNNNNNNNNNNNNNNNNNNNNNNNNNNNNNNNNNNNNNNNNNNNNNNNNNNNNNNNNNNNNNNNNNNNNNNNNNNNNNNNNNNNNNNNNNNNNNNNNNNNNNNNNNNNNNNNNNNNNNNNNNNNNNNNNNNNNNNNNNNNNNNNNNNNNNNNNNNNNNNNNNNNNNNNNNNNNNNNNNNNNNNNNNNNNNNNNNNNNNNNNNNNNNNNNNNNNNNNNNNNNNNNNNNNNNNNNNNNNNNNNNNNNNNNNNNNNNNNNNNNNNNNNNNNNNNNNNNNNNNNNNNNNNNNNNNNNNNNNNNNNNNNNNNNNNNNNNNNNNNNNNNNNNNNNNNNNNNNNNNNNNNNNNNNNNNNNNNNNNNNNNNNNNNNNNNNNNNNNNNNNNNNNNNNNNNNNNNNNNNNNNNNNNNNNNNNNNNNNNNNNNNNNNNNNNNNNNNNNNNNNNNNNNNNNNNNNNNNNNNNNNNNNNNNNNNNNNNNNNNNNNNNNNNNNNNNNNNNNNNNNNNNNNNNNNNNNNNNNNNNNNNNNNNNNNNNNNNNNUUUCUGUGUGGUAAUAAGUCAUUAAAAAUAAGCAUCUAUGCUCAUUUUUUAGUAAAGUUAAUCACAACUAUUUUUUAGUAAAGUUAAUCACAACUAUUUUUUCUUCUAUUUAUUUCUGAGUAGUUUUUUAUAUAGUUUUUUUCUUUUCUGCUAUAUUUAUUUUUUUCUAUUUUUUUCUGAGUGGUAAUAAGUCAUUAAAAAUAAAAAAGGGCGCAAUGCUAGUUAAUUCGCUUCAAACCUUUCAGAAUAGUGUAAACUGCACUGCACAUAGCUCCGUGCAGUCUACCCUAUUCCUCAAGGCUUGAAGCGAACCAACGUGCAGGUGAGCAUUGAGCCUCUUGUUCAUCGUCUCUGCACUCAGGGCUUAUAAAUGGCUGUGAAUGCCUCUCGCUUGGUGAGGUGGGACUAAAAAAACAGCUGCAGAAAGAAUCAACUAAAAAACAGCUGCAGAAAAUAAAUAAGUAAUUAGAUGGGUCCAUUGGUACCGGUUGGUGGCUCCAACCGGUACCAAUUGCCCUCUUUAGUCCCGAAUGGGGGCACCAACCGGGACCAAUGCCACUCUUUAGUCCCGGGUGGUGGCACCAACCGGGACCAAAGGUCUUGGUUUCCCGCCCUUUGGGCUGCUGAAAAGAGGCAUUUGGUCCCGGUUGGUGCCACCAACCGGGACUAAAGGUGGCAUUGGUCCCGGUUUGUGCCACGAACCGGGACCAAAGCCUUUGCUAUAUAAGUAGCACUUAGGAAAAUUUCAGAACCGCAUCCCCACUUCGAUCUCUCCUCCUCCUCUCCCGACGCCGCGCACCGUCCCUUGCCGCCACCUNNNNNNNNNNNNNNNNNNNNNNNNNNNNNNNNNNNNNNNNNNNNNNNNNNNNNNNNNNNNNNNNNNNNNNNNNNNNNNNNNNNNNNNNNNNNNNNNNNNNNNNNNNNNNNNNNNNNNNNNNNNNNNNNNNNNNNNNNNNNNNNNNNNNNNNNNNNNNNNNNNNNNNNNNNNNNNNNNNNNNNNNNNNNNNNNNNNNNNNNNNNNNNNNNNNNNNNNNNNNNNNNNNNNNNNNNNNNNNNNNNNNNNNNNNNNNNNNNNNNNNNNNNNNNNNNNNNNNNNNNNNNNNNNNNNNNNNNNNNNNNNNNNNNNNNNNNNNNNNNNNNNNNNNNNNNNNNNNNNNNNNNNNNNNNNNNNNNNNNNNNNNNNNNNNNNNNNNNNNNNNNNNNNNNNNNNNNNNNNNNNNNNNNNNNNNNNNNNNNNNNNNNNNNNNNNNNNNNNNNNNNNNNNNNNNNNNNNNNNNNNNNNNNNNNNNNNNNNNNNNNNNNNNNNNNNNNNNNNNNNNNNNNNNNNNNNNNNNNNNNNNNNNNNNNNNNNNNNNNNNNNNNNNNNNNNNNNNNNNNNNNNNNNNNNNNNNNNNNNNNNNNNNNNNNNNNNNNNNNNNNNNNNNNNNNNNNNNNNNNNNNNNNNNNNNNNNNNNNNNNNNNNNAUUAAUUUGUUCAUAUUGUGUUAGAUUUUUUUUCUGUUAAUAGAUUUUUUUGGUGAUAUUAUUGUUGAAUAUGCAUGUUUGGUGAUAUUAUUGUUAAUAGAUUUUUUUGGUGAUAUUUAGAUUGUGUAAUUAAUUUUGUUUAUAGAAUUUUAAUGAUUUUUUGUUCAUAGUAUUUAGAAAAAGGAAAAAAAUAAGAAGAGAAAGUGUUUAAUAUAAUUAGUUAGAAAAAUACUAGUUUAUUUUUAGUAAGUACUAUUUUAUUUUAUUUAUAGUAAGUGCUUCAUAUAUAGUUGAACUAGCUAGUUGAUUUAAUAAACUAAUUUAUUUAACUAUAUAUAGAAGUAGUUUGUAGUAAGUGCUACUUUAUUUAUUUAUAGUAAGUGCUACUUUAUUUAUUUAUAGUCAGUGCUACUUUGUUUUUAGUAAGUACUACUUUAUUUAUUUAUAGUAAGUGCUUAGUAGUUGAACUAGCUAGUUGAUUUAAUUAAUAAAACUACUUUAUUUAACUAUAUAUAGAAGUAGUUCCCGCAUCGACGUCGGCGAUGCCUAUCCCGCAUCCUCGUCGUCGUCAACUCGGCGAUGGAGGCCUGCUUGAUCAGGGCCAUGUUCGGGACUGGGCUCCGUCGGGCUUGUAUUGGGAGGUGCUACCUUCCGGGGGACGUAGGUUGGUGAGGAGGCAGCCCGUUGUUGACCCGAUCCUUGUUUGGUGAUGGUCGCGUGGGCCAGUGACGGUGCUGAGGCUUCCGGACACCGCGGAGGUGGUACGUCACCAUGUCAGCGAGGAGGACGAGCACGUCCGUCGCUACAUGGUUGCAUUGGAGGGCAGGUUCGACAAUACCUGGCAGGUUCUUCAGGGAUCUCACUGGAGCUAUGAUCCUGUGAUGGUUCCUUGUCUUUGGGUGUCCACCGCCCGCGACGAUACCCGUCGGGUGCUACGGUUCUAGUUGUAUUAGUGAUGCUAUAUUAGUGAUAAUAUUCGACGAUGUACGGACAGUAAGAGAUGAUGUACUUUUGCUUAUAAUUAUUGAAUGCAUGCUAAUUUGAAUACUACUUUAUUUCAUGAUUUGGUUUUGCUUAUUUUAUGAUUUGGUUUUGCUUAUUGAAUGCUCAUAUUGGAUAAGUUCUCUUUCAUCCCCGUCUGCUAGACAAUUUGGUGUAAUAAUGCACUCGGGAAUGAAAGGAGGAGCUACGUACAUCACCGAUAGUCAACCCGUGAUUAAUAAUAAUGAUCUAGUUUAAUAUUUAAAUUAUGAACAUAGGCCAGAAAUGUCGUACUUGGACGACGAAAACCGCCCGGGGGAGUGCGACUGGUGCCACGACGACCGAGGUAUGUGCGACAGGUUCAUUGAGCUGGACGAAAAUCGGCGCUUCAGCAUUAAGCUCGAGGAGACCUUCGAUGUUCAUACGGUACGCAACGACGACAAUAGUUUUUUUUGUAAUUAAGCACGACUUCAACUAUUUUAACGUGUAUUUUUCAUCUUUUCCAAUUCGACUAGCUUAUCCCAUGCUUUGCAAGACGCUAUGUCUUGGAGAGGAUGGGUUUUGAAGACCAUAAAAGUAUGGAAACCAAAAAAAUUAUCCUAAGUCAGCGAUCUCAUCCUCAAUAUCUACAUACUCAUGGGCCGGCCCGGGCCAUAUCGGGCAGGCCCGUUUAGCCAGGUCUGCUCUCGCACAUGGGAGCUAGCGCGGGCCGGCUUCGAUGGGCCUAGGCGACGUGGUCGCCCAUCCGAGUGAGACGUAAGCCGAAGCCCAGAUAAGCAGUUUUCUGGUUGAGUUUUAGACAUGUUUUCUUUUCUAUGUAGAUUUUCUGGUCAUUUUUCAUAUUCUGUUUUUAUCUUUUUUGUUUCUGUUUAUCUUAUUUUCUUAUCUUCUGCUUUUUUUGGUUUUUUCAUAUUCUUGAAUAUCUAUUUGACAUUUCUUCUAUGUGUUGAUCCCCGGGCUUCUAGUUUUUACGGGUUUUCUAUUUUUCUUCGUCGCCUUUUAUUUGGAAAAAUUGUUCAAUUGUGCAUUCUAAAAAUGUUGGAUGUGUAUUAGAGAAAAGUUCAACCUAUAGUAAAAAAAUAUCAUCGUAUAUUAGAAAUACCAAUUUUCUAUAGAAAUUUGUUCAUAUAUACAAAAUUUCAUCGUAUAUACAAAAAUUCUAUCUUAUAUUAGAUUUUUUUUGUAUAUUUAAAAUGUUCACCAUAUAUUAACUAAUGUUCAAUGUAUCUUAUAAAAAGUUCACCGUGCACUGUAAAAAAGUACCUAAUAUAUAAAAGAUGUUGACUUUAUAUUAGAAAUCCACAGAGAGACCAUGCUUUUGGUCUUCGGUUCAAAGGAUCAACCAUGAACGGUUCUAGGGAUUUGAUCAACAAUCUAAUCAACUCUUCUUCCAUUGCAACUCAAAGUUGGCAACGAUCCGAUCAAACCUUGUUUGCAUCUUCAUAGUGAUCCGGGAGUAUGAUUUGUAGGACGAUUUUUUUGUUUUCUACUACAUUUUCCAAUAUAUAUUUGGUUGGACGGUCCUCCGGGCCACCUCCCUAUGGUGUUUUUGAUCGCACCCACGUGCCAGGUCUCGGGCGCUGCCCCGCGCGCGGUGGGAGAUCCGGGUCUCCCUAUCAGCGCACUUCGGCCCCGCCCAGGUUGAUUCGUGCACGCCAGCUGGGCCUGCGCGUGCACUUGACUCUUGUAAUCGUCCACUCGACCGAUGGGCGAACCGGGUUGCCCUGUCAGCAUCCUUCGCCCCCAGCCAGGGUGCUUCGCUCGCGCAAGCCGGGCCCGCGCGUGCGCCAUGCUCGGCGUGUGUUCGUACAUCGAGCAAGCCCUAAUGGCCAUCCGGCGGGUCAUGGGGGGUGACAGGCUGAGCAGCGAGAGGUCGCUUCACUGCCACAAGCUUCAUGUGUGGGGCCUGCCCGACUCUGUGUGCGUUUGUCGGCCGGUGAUACGUCUCAAACAUGCUUAUAUAUACUUUUUGUUGUUUCAUGCUAUUAUAAUAUCACUUUUGUAUACUUCUCUAGCGAUUUUUAUUCUUUUUCUAGACUAACCUACCCAAAGCCAAUUGUUGUUUUCUACAUGUUUUAGACUUCUCAGAAAAUCAAUAUCUGUGUAACUCAAAAUACCACGAGGAUUUACAAUGAUUUAUUCCAAGUUAUGAAGAUUCCAGAAAGCGAUGGGAGGGGCUAAGGGGCCACAGUAGGCCCUCACGCGGCCAAGUGGAGCGACUUAGGCCCCAUCCGUGUGGGAAGGCCAUAUGGGACCGCAUGGCACCACAUUCUUUUUCCUAUAAAUGUCAUAAUUCGAGAAACUAUUUGUACCAUUUUUUGUGAUUUGUUUUGGCGCUACAAGUUCCUGUUCCAGGGAGAUCCAAUCUACAGGCCUGUUCCGGUACCCUGCUGGAGGGGAAAUUCAUCACCGGAGCCAUCUUUAUCAACCUUGCUACUACCAUGCAUGGCCAUGUGUGAGUAGUUUUCUUAGGACCUUAGCAUCCAUAGCAGUAGCUAGAUGACAUCAUCUCUCUCUUGUGAGUAGUUUUCUUAGGACCUUAGGACCUCAAUCAAGGUGAAGUAAUAUAGCAAUAAGUAUUUCCCUUAAUAAAGAAUCAAGGUUUAUCAAACCAAAAAAAGGUUCUUUUAGCAAACAAAGUCACUAGUACCUGCGCACAAAACACAACACAAACUUGUCCCCAACACGUCAAGAAUGUUGUGAAGCUUCUUAAUAGAGAGAUAAAUUAAAAGAAACGGUACAUCAAAGAACAUUAUUUUUGAUGAGGUUUUCAGUUAUAGAGAAUAGACCCAGGAGGCCAUAGGUUCACUAGUGGUAUCUCUCAUAAGCAUACAAAUGUGACGCAUAAAUUACAGUUGGCGCCCCAUAAGCAUACAAAAAACGUUAAAAUGAGUGCCACAAAAAAGUCCAUGAAUUACAGUUAUAGAGAGUAGAUGUACUUUUCAUCCUCGAAGUCCAUGAAUUUGUCUUUUUUUUGCACAGAUUGCAUUUGAAGUUAUUUCAUCAUGAAAUUUUACAGGCAUACACAUCACAUCCUUAUUUAAUUGUACAAAUUUGUUUCAGAUUUUUUUGAAACUGAAAUGUUUAAAUUUUGAAUUUUUCAAAAGCUCUGCCCUUUAUAGAGGCCGGGCUCCAAAACCCUCUACUCAUGCCAACGACGCUACAUUUCAAGUGUGUCUUCAUAAUAAAGUUCCCUGAAAAAAAGGUGUGUUUGCAUAAACGGUUGGAUCACUUGCUCUCAAUUUUCAAAGUGUGUCGUCAGCAAAGCGCCACUACUAAUAAGUGUACCUGUGUAAAAAAGGGCAGCUACCAUUACAUGUCAGCCGUACCAUUUGCAUAACCACCCUGGGAAACCGGAAACCGAGCGUUCGGUUCUGGUGCCUUCUUCGGCUGGCUUCCCCUGUGACAGAGGUGACGGAGAGCGAAGGCGACGGUCGGGGCCCAGCCGACCUGGUGGAUCCACAGCAUCUUAUGUAUACUCACUUUAGCCAAAUACCUCACUUUUGCCAUAUCCGCAAAGCUUAUUAUUACGACCCCCACAUGGCCACAUGCGUGUGUGACGAUGCUGUUGAGUGUUGACUAUCAUACUCGGGUGUCACCCUGUGUGCCAAUCAUCCUUGGCCACGCGUCAUAAACAAAAAAUGACCUUGAUCGGUUAUGGUUUGAGUCGGCUCGGUUAUGGUUCGGGCAUCCGACAUGGCCAGGUCGUUGCCGCUGUCCUUGUCUCAAUCCCACUUGAUUAAAAGAACCAAAUCAGUUUGGGUCGUGGAAUGAAUCUAUCAAGAGACUAGUAGCAUCACAAAAAGAAUGAAUCUUCUCCCGCAGAAAGAAAACAAGAAAAAGAAACUAUUCAUGUACAGUUGCGGACCUCCCUUAUUAGAUUAUAUUUCUUUGACGAGAAAAAGAAACUAUUCAUAUUCUUGUUCUUGAGGUGUGCAUAUACUUGUUUCAUCUUAUUAUUAGACUUUAUAAACGUAUUUGUGCACUUCUAGUCUUGGUGAUAUUUGUUCAAAACGACCAAGAAGUAGCAAUUCUAAAAGGAAAAUCUAAGGAGGGAACAAGGUCAUUCAUCUAGUAUUACACUAAUAAUGAGCUAGUAGUAAUAAAGUGUCACGGAGUAAACAACCAAAACACAUGGUAAAUUAGUACACAGCCAAGUAUAUUAAGUUGAUUAGAGUCAGUUUUGGUCACUUCUCGGCACGGGUAUUCUUUACUAUAGCAGUUAACGAUGCCAUAUGCUCUGAACUUCUGAAGCUUUGUUUAAGCAGUAAAGCAUGAUCCAUUCAAGCAUGUACAACAUGGCGUGUGCUUACCGAAGGGCUGAAAACCAAAUGCGCGCGGUUCGGUUCUGGUUCGGUUCGGCUCUGGUUCAGUUGCUCUGGUUCUUGGGGCUGUAGAAGACUAGAAGUCACGCUCCACUUUGCGCGUCUAAAGUCCGGUGCCUUAUAUAAAUCCUUGGCCAUCUCCAGCUCUAAACCUCAAACACAAACCCAUUUCUCCAGCAAACACAACCACCCAAGAGACGAACAAUGGGGUUCCUGGCCGCCUUCUGGAACCUGCUCGCCUUGAUUUCCGCCGCAUGUAGCAACGCGGAGAAGCUGCCGGCUGCUCUCAUCUCCUGCGGCGUCGUCGAAGCAGCAGCGGCGCUCUGCCUCGUCAUAUCCAAAGCGCCCGGAGGUAUAUUUCUCCACCACGGCAAAGCACCCUUCUUCUUGUACUACGGCAUCCUCAUUGCCGUGUUCGUCUUCGGGCUCCUCGAGGCGUCGGCCGGCUUCUGGGUGUCGGGCGAUGUGGUCGGACGACGUGCCGCCGGGAAGACCAUCCUCUGGUUGGGCCUCCUGCCCAUCGUCUUCGUGGCUGCGCUUGGAGGCUUUGUCAUUCUGAGCAUGAAAUAGUUCAUCAUCCUGCGUCAGUUGUGUGUGUGCACGUGUGUACGUGCGAGUGUCAGUGAGUGAGCUUGAUGUACCAUUUGCUUCCAUCUGUUAUCUGUUUUAGUAUAUGUUUGUGGUAACGGGGCUUUUUGUCCGAAACGGAGAGUUUCAGGUUCUGUUAGGAGAUGGUAACAGAGUUUCAGGUUCUGCCCUGCUUUCUGAUCGAUGUGAGAUUUUCAUUGAUCUGGUCUUUGCCUUGUUACGAACGGAAAAUCGUCUGUUGCAUUUUGGCACAUAUUUGUUCCCCUCUCAGAAAAUCGUCUCUGCCUUUCUUCAGUACCGUCCGGGCAAUUCAUACGCCCGAAUCGCCCCCUGCAGCUGCGGAAGACGAUGCUGUGGCUGGGCCUCCUGCCGGUCGUCUUGGUAGCUGCACUUGUAGCCUUUGUCAUUCCUCAUUCUGAGCGUGAAAUAGAUUAUCCCCGCCUUUCGAUGUUUGCUAUCAUGUAAUGAUACUGUUGUAACCUGUUCGUCCGUGUAAGUUGUGCCCCGUGUGUGCGCAGUUUCAUUUCCUUCCCUUUGCCCGUUAUGCACCGGUCAGUUUGUGCCUUUGUGGAUCGAUGGACAACGGAGGAUGGAUGUUCUGUUGUGCCUUCGAUACAUGUGAAAUUAUUAGUAAUGUGGUCUCCCCUGUUCUUUUUUAUUUUUUUAUUUUUUGAGAAUGAUCUCUUUUUUCAUGUAUACGAACGAAAAUACAGCAGUUGUAGCGGAAACGCAGAGGGAAACAAAGUUCAUCUGGAUACGUAUGAAUCAUUUUUCCCUAACCUAGCCACCGCCACGUGAAGGCCACUAGGGAGGCGAUCCUCUACCUCCGAUUUACACCGGUGAGGGCUGGUCCCCUCUACCUCCAACUGCUGCUCCAACGGCAAGAGGGAGGGUGGACCCCAUUUCCUCCGCUCCAUAGUUAGGAUUUGGUUUCGUAGGUCGUGGUGCGUCGUUGGGGUGGUGAAAGCGGCGCCUGGACGAAUAUAUCUGCCUUGGCUCUACUCCCACAUCGACGGUGUCCUUCAUGGCGGCGUCUCGAGUUGACGGCAUCGGCGGUGUCCUUCAUAGCAAAUUGGCGGCGUUAGUGUUCAUAGAUGGUGUCAGUGAGACGGUGGCGGUAACCCCCUCAAGUGUGUCUCUCCUUCUGCUUUGUUCCCGUUGUUGCGGCGUUGCCUCGACGUCUCGGUGGAGCAGGGAAGUUUUAUCGUCCGGGAGCACGUGCAUACGGUUGUCUAAGUCGGUGAUAGCUGGAAGAAGGUGCAUCCUGUGCUGGGUUGGUGGUUGGAGGCUGACAAUUAUGGUUUCUUCCUUCAAAGUCGUAGUCGUGCGGGGGUGUCAGGUCUGGAGUUUGAUGGCGUGUUCGGGAUAUGUUGCCCCUGUCUUAUUCCUUCAACGACAUUGGUUUUGCUUCAGGCAAAUUACUUUGGUGGUCCUUAAAGCUGCAGAUCAGCGAUGGGGCCGCGUCGAGCUCGGGUGAAGAGGUGAUUUGUCUUCUUUUUCUUGGUGGAGAGGGACAUGCGCUGGUUUUUUCCAUAGGAUUAUCCUCUAUUUUCAGUCAUGUUCUCUGUUUACGUGGCUUGUAACUGAAUCUUUCUUUUAUGACGGCUGCUACAAAUCAGCUGGACAAAUCAUCCGCAUGUUUAGUCGUCUGAUCAGCGUGAUGGGGGUCGUUGAAUCAGAGCAGGCAUCAGCAAGCUUGCAAUGCAACACCAUUGUAGCCCCGCGUGGAGCUCCAGCGCAGCACCCACGGCGUCCAGUGAGCUCCAUUUAAACCCGACGGAGCUCCAAUGCAGCACCAACACUCCGGUGGAGCUCCAUGGCAACUACAGUCGAGCUCCAUACUAGCACCAACGAAGCUCCAAUGCAUCAUCAACGCUCCGGCGAAGCUCCAUCGCAACUUCGGCUGACCUCCAUUGCAGCCUCGGCGGAGCUCCGACGGCUCCGACGAAGCUCCGUUGAUGUUGGGAAACGUAGCAUGCAAUUUCAAAAAAAUCCUACGCUCACGCAAGAUCUAUCUAGGAGAUGCAUAGCAAUGAGAGGGGAGAGUGUGUCCACAUACCCACGUAGACCAACCGAAAGCGGAAGCAUUAACUUAAUGUGGUUGAUGUAGUCGAACGUUUUCUCGAAUCAACUGAUCAAGUACCGAACGUACAUCACCUCCGAGUCCUGCACACGUUCAGCUCGAUGACGUCCCUCGAACUCUUGAUCCAGUAGAGGCACGGAGGAGUCGAUGAGAUCCAUCAGCAAGACGGCGUGAUGACGGUGUUCGUGAAGUGAUCUGCGCAGGGCUUCGCUUAAGCACUACGACAAUAUGAUCGGAGGAGUAAACGGUGGAGGGGGGGCACCGCACACGGCUAAGACAAUUGAUGUGUCUUUGGGGUGCCCCCCGCCCCUGCAUAUAAAGGAGGAGGGAGAGGCUGGCCGGCCCUAGGGGCAUGCCAAGUGGGGGGAGUCCCACUAGGAAUCCUAGUCCUAGUCGGCUCCCCCCCUUCCUUCCAACGGAGAGGGGGAAAGGGGAAAGAGGUGGAGAGGGAGAAGGAAAGGGGGGCUGCGCCCCACCCCUUGUCCAAUUCGGACUGCCAUGGUGGGGCACGUGCAACCUCUUGUGGCCUGCCUCCUCCUCUCCACUAAGGCCCAUGAGGCUCAUUAACUUUCCCGGGGGUUUCCGGUAACCUCCCGGUACUCCGAAAAAUUCCCGAAUCUUUCUGGAACCAUUCCAGUGUCCGUAUAUAACCUUCCAAUAUAUCAAUCUUUACCUCUCGACCAUUUCGAGACUCCUCGUCAUGUCUGUGAUCUCAUCUGGGACUCCGAACAACCUUUGAUCACCAAAACAUUUAACUCAUAUAAUACAUAUCGUCAUCAAACAUUAAGUGUGCGGACCCUACGGGUUCGAGAACUAUGUAGACAUGACCGAGAAACCUCUCCGGUCAAUAACCAACAUUGGAACCUGGAUGCUCAUAUUGGUUCCCACAUAUUCUAUGAAGAUCUUUAUCAGUCGAACCGCAAUGUCAACAUACGUUAUUCCCUUUGUCAUCGGUAUGUUACUUGCCCGAGAUUCGAUCGUCGAUAUCUUCAUACCUAGUUCAAUCUUGUUACCGGCAACUCUCUUUACUCGUUCCGUAAUGCAUCAUCCCGUAACUAAUUCAUUAUUCACAUUGCUUGCAAGGCUUCAUAUGAUGUGCAUUACCGAGAGGGCCCAGAGAAACCUCUCCGAUACUCGUAGUGACAAAUCCUAAUCUCGAUCUAUGCCAACCCAACAAACACCUUCAUAGAUACCUGUAGAGCAUCUUUAUAAUCACCCAGUUAUGUUGUGAUGUUUGAUAGCACACAAGGCAUUCCUCCGGUUUCCGGGAAUUGCAUAAUCUCAUAGUCGAAGGAAUUUAUAUUUGACACGAAGAAAGCAGUAGCAAUAAAACUUGAACUAUCAUUAUGUUAUGCUAACAAAUGGGCCUUGUCCAUCACAUCAUUCCACUAAUGAUGUGAAUCCGUUCAUCAAAUGACAACACAUGUCCAUGGCUAGGAAACUUAACCAUCUUUGAUCAACGAGCUAGUCUAGUAGAGGCAUACUAGGGACACGGUGUUUUGUCUAUGUAUUCACACAUGUAUCAAGUUUCCGGUUAAUACAAUUCUAGCAUGAAUAGUAAAAAUUUAUCAUGAAUAAGGAAAUGUAAAAUAACAACUUUAUUAUUGCCUCUAGGGCAUAUUUCCUUCAGUCUCCCACUUGCACUAGAGUCAAUAAUCUAGUUCACAUCGCCAUGUGAUUUAACAUCAAUAGUUCACAUCGUCAUGUGAUUAACACCCAUAGUUCACAUCGCCAUGUGACCAACACCCAAAGGCUGUACUAGAGUCAAUAAUCUAGUUCACAUCUCCAUGUGAUUAACAUCCAAAGAGUACUGAGGUGUGACCAUGUUUUGCUUGUGAGAGAAGUUUAGUCAACGGGUCUGCCAUAUCCAGAGCCGUAUGUAUUUUGCAAAUUUUCUAUGUCUACAAUGCUCUUUGGAGCUACUCUAGCUAAUUGCUCCCACUUUCAAUAUGCAUCCAGAUUGAGACUCAGAGUCAUCCGGAUCGGUGUAAAAAUUUGCACCGACGUAACUCUUUACGACGAACUCUUUAUCAUCUCCAUAACCGAGAAAUAUUUCCUUAGUCCUAUUAGGUAACUAAGGAUAACUUUGAUCGUUGUCCAGUGAUCCACUCCUGGAUCACUAUCAUAUCCCUUUGCCAAACUCAUGAUAAGGUACAAAAUAGGUCUGGUACACAGCAUAGCAUAUUUUAUAGAACCCAUGGCUGAGGCAUAGGGAAUGGCUUUCAUUCUCUUUCUAUUUUCUGCUGUGGUCGGGUUUUGAGUCUUACUCAUCAUUACACCUUGCAACACAGGCAAGAACUCCUUCUUUGACUGUUCCAUUUUGAACUACUUAAAAACCUUGGCAAAGUAUGUACUCAUUGAAAAAAAAUUAUCAAGCAUCCUGAUCUAUCUCUGUAGAUCUUGAUACCCAAUAUGUAAGCAACUUCAUCGAGGUCUUCCUUUGAAAAGCUCCUUUCAAAUUCUCCUUUAUGCUUUCCAGAAAAUUCUACAUCAUUUCCGAUCAACAAUAUGUCGUUCACAUAUACUUAUCAGAAAGGUUGUAGUGCUCCCACUCACUUUCUAGUAAAUACAGGCUUCACCGCAAGUCUGUAUAAAACAAUAUGCUUUGAUCAACUCAUCAAAGUGUAUAUUCCAACUCCGAGAUGCUUGCACCAGUCCAUAGAUGGAUCGCUGGAGCUUGCACACCUUCUUAGCACCUUUAGGAUCGACAAAACCUUUUGGUUGCAUCAUAUACAACUCUUCUUAGAGAUAUCCAUUUAAGGAAUGCAGUUUUGACAUCCAUUUGCCAGAUUUCAUAAAAAUAUGGCAAUUGCUAACAUGAUUCGGAUGGACUUAAGCAUCGCUACAGUUGAGAAAAUCUCAUUGUAGUCAACACCUUGAAUUUGUCGAAAACCUUUUUGCGACAAGUCGAGCUUUGUAGAUAGUAACACUACCAUUAGCGUUCGUCUUCCUCUUGAAGAUCCAUUUAUUCUCAAUGGCUUGCCGAUCAUCGUGCCAGUCCACCAAAGUCCACACUUUAUUCUCAUACAUGGAUCCUAUCUCAGAUUUCAUGGCAUCAAGCCAUCUGUCGGAAUCUGGGCUCAUCAUAGCUUCUUCAUAGUUCAUAGGUCCGUCAUGUUCAAGUAACAUGACUUCCAGAAUAGGAUUACCGUACCACUUUGGUGCAGAUCCUGCUCUAGUUGACCUACGAGGUUAUGUAGCAACUUGAUCUGAAGUUUCAUGAUCAUUAUCACUAGCUUCCUCUCCAGUUGGUGUAGGCAUCACGGGAACGGAUUUCUUGGAUGAGCUACUUUCCAAAUUGAGAGAAGGUACAACUACCUCAUCAAGUUCUACUUUCCUCCCACUCACUUCUUUCGAGAGAAACUCCUUCUCUAGAAAGGUUCUGUUCUUGGCAACAAAGAUCUUGCCUUUGGAUCUGUGGUAGAAGGUGUACCCAAUUGUUUCCUUAGGGUAUCCCAUGAAGAUGCACUUCUCCGAUUUGGGUUCAAGCUUAUCAGGCUGAAGCCUUUUGACAUAAGCACCGCAUCCCCAAACUUUAAGAAACAAUAGCUUAGGUUUGUUGCCAAAUCACAGUUCAUACGGUGUGGUCCCAACGGAUUUUAACGGUGCCCUUUUUAACGUGAAUGCAGUUGUCUCUAAUGCAUAUCCCCAAAACGAUAGUGGUAAAUCGGUAAGAGACAUCAUAGAUCGCACCAUAUCUAAUAAAGUGCGGUUACGAUGUUCGGACACACCAUUACGCUAUGGUGUUCCAGGUAGCAUGAGCUAUGAAACAAUUCCACAUUGAUUUAAAUGAAGGCCAAACUCGUAACUCAAAUAUUCACCUCCACGAUUAGGUCGUAGAAACUUUAUUUUGUUGUUACGAUGAUUCUCCACUUCACUCUGAAAUUCUUUGAACUUUUCAAAUGUUUCAGACUUGUGUUUCAUUAAGUAGAUUUACCCAUAUCUGCUCAAAUCAUCUAUGAAGGUCUGAAAAUAAUGAUACUCGCCACGAGCCUCAACACUCAUCGGACCACAUACAUCGGUAUGUAUUAUUUCCAAUAAGUCGUUAGAUCGUUCCAUUGUUCCAGAGAAUGGAGUUUUAGUCAUCUUGCCCAUAAGGCAAGGUUCGCAAGUAUCAAAUGAUUCAUAAUCAAGUGAUUCCAAAAGUCCAUCUGCAUGGAGUUUGUUCAUGCGCUUUACGCCGAUAUGACCCAAACGGCAGUGCCACAAAUAUGUUGCACUAUCAUUAUCGACUUUGCAUAUUUUGGCAUCAAUAUUAUGGAUAUGUGUAUCACCACGAUUGAGAUUCAAUAAACCAUUAACAUUUGGUGUAUGACCAUAGAAGGUUUUAUUCAUGUAAACAGAAUAACAAUUAUUCUCUUUCUUAAAUGAAUAACCGUAUUGCAAUAAACAUGAUCUGAUCAUACUCAUUCUCAACGCAAAAACCAAAUAAUAUUUAUUUAGGUUCAACACUAAUCUCGAAAGUAUAGGGAGUGUGCGACGAUGAUCAUAUCAAUCUUGGAACCACUUCCAACACACAUCAUCACUUCACCCUCAACUAGUCUCUAUUUAUUCUGCAACUCCUGUUUCGAGUUACUAAUCUUAGCAACCGAACAGGUAUCAAAUACCCAGGGGCUACUAUGAGCACUAGUAAGGUACACAUCGAUAACAUGUAUAUCAAAUAUACCUUUGUUCGCUUUGCCAUCCUUCUUAUCCGCUAAAUAUUUGGGGUAGUUCCGCUUCCAGUUAUUAGUCCCUUUGCAGUAGAAGCACUCAGUUUCAAACUUGGGUCCAACUUUGGGUUUCUUCCCGGGAGUGACAACUUGCUUGUCAUUCUUCUUGAAGUUCCCUUUCUUACCCUUGCCCUUCUUCUUGAAACUAGUGGUCUUGUUAACCAUCAACACUUGAUGCUUUUUCUUGAUUUCUACCUUUGUCGAUUUCAGCAUCACGAAGAGCUCGGGAAUCGUUUUCGUCAUCCCUUGCAUAUUAUAGUUCAUCACAAAGUUCUAGUAACUUGGUGAUAGUGACUAGAGAACUCUAUCAAUCACUAUCUUAUCUGGAAGAUGAACUCCCACUUGAUUCAAGCGAUUGUAGUACUCAGACAUUCUGAGCACAUGCUCACUGGUUGAGUUAUUCUCCUCCAUCUUGUAGGCGAAGUACUUGUCAGAGGUCUCAUACCUCUUGACACGGGCAUGAGCCUGAAAUACCAAUUUCAGCUCUUGGAACAUCUCAUAUGCUUCCUGGCGUUCAAAACGUUUUUGAAGUCCCGGUUCUAAGCCAUAAAGGAUGGUGCAUGAAACUAUCAAGUAGUCAUCAUAUCGAGCUUGCCAAACAUUCAUAACGUCUACAUCAGCUCUUGCAACAGGUCCAUCACCUAGCGGUGCAUCAAGGACAUAAUUUUUAUGUGCAGCAAUGAGGAUAAUCCUCAGAUCACGGACCUAGUCCGCAUCAUUGCUACUAUCAUCUUUCAACUUAGUUUUCUCUAGGAACAUAUCAAAAAUAAACGGGGAGCUACAACAUGAGCUAUUGGUCUACAACAUAAUUUGCAAAUACUAUCAGGACUAACUUCAUGAUAAAUUAAAGUUCAAUUAAUCAUAUUACUUAAGAACUCCCACUUACACUAACAUCCCUCAAGUCAUCUAAGUGUGACGUGAUCCAAAUCAACUAAACCAUGUCCGAUCAUCACGUGAGAUGGAGUAGUCUUCAAUGGUGAACAUCACUAUAUUGAUCAUAUCUACUAUAUGAUUCACGUUCGACCUUUCGGUCUCCAGUGUUCCGAUGCCAUAUCUAUAUAUGCUAGGCUCGUCAUGUUUAACCCGAGUAUUCCACUUGUGCAAAUCUGGCUUGCACCCGUUGUAUUUGAACGUAGAGCUUAUCACACCUGAUCAUCACAUGGUGUCUCAGCACGAAGAACUUUCGCAACGAUGCAUACUCGGGGAGAACACUUAAACCUUAAAUUUAAUAAGGGAUCAUCUUAUAAUGCUAUCGCUGUACUAAGCAAAAUAAGAUGCAUAAAAGAUAAACAUCACAUGCAAUCAAAAUAUGUGACAUGAUAUGGCAUCAUCAUCUUGUGCUCAUGAUCUCCAUCACCGAAGCAACGUCGUGAUCUCCAUCGUCACCAGCUUGACACCUUGAUCUCCAUCAUAGCAUCGUGGUCGUCUCGCCAACCAUUGGUUCUGCGACUAUAGAAGGAAAUAUGCCCUAGAGGAAAUAAUAAAGUUAUUAUUUAUUUCUUUAUUUCAUGAUAAAUGUUUAUUAUUCAUGCUAGAAUUGUAUUAACCAAAGACUUAGUACAUGUGUGAAUACAUAGACAAAACAUAUUGUCCCUAGUAUGCCUCUACUUGACUAGCUCGUUAAUCAAAGAUGGUUAUGUUUCCUAACCAUAGACAUGUGUUGUCAUUUGAUGAACGGGAUCACAUCAUUAGGAGAAUGAUGUGAUGGACAUGACCCAUCCGUUAGCUUAGCAUUGUGAUCAUUACAGUUUCAUUGCUUUCUUCAUGACUAUGAGAUUAUGCAACUCCCAAAUACCGGAGGAACACUUUGUGUGCUACCAAACGUCACAACGUAAAAGGGUGAUUAUAAAGGUGCUCUACAGGUGUCUCCGAAGGUGUUUGUUGGAUUGCAAUCGAUCGAGAUUAGGAUUUGUCACUCCAUGUUUCGGAGAGGUAUCUCUGGGCCCUCUCGGUAAUGCUCAUCACUAUAAGCCAUGCAAUCAUUGUAACUAAUGAGUUAGUUGCAAUAUGAAGUAUUAAGGAACGAGUAAAGAGACUUGCCUGUAACGAGAUUGAACUAGGUAUGAUGAUACCGACGAUCGAAUCUCGGGCAAGUAACAUACCGAUGACAAAGGGAACAACAUAUGUAGUUAUGCGGUUUGACCAAUAAAGAUCUUCAUGGAAUAUGUAGGAACCAAUAUGAGCAUCCAGGUUCCGCUAUUGGUUAUUGACCGAAGAUGUGUCUCGGUCAUGUCUACAUAGUUGUCGAACCCGUAGGGACCGCACGCUUAACGUUCGAUGAUGAUUGGUAUUAUGAGUUUAUGUGAUUUGAUGUACCGAAGGUUGUUCGGAGUCUCGGAUGAGAUCGCGGACAUGACGAGGAUUCUCGAAAUGGUCGAGACAUAAAGAUUUAUAUAUUGGAAGACUAUAUUCGGACACGGGAAUAGUUCCGAGGUGUAUCGGGUAUUUUCCGGAGUACCGAGGGGUUACCGGAACCCCCCGGGGGGGGUUAAUGGGCCUCAUGGGCCAAGUGGUGGAAGAGAGGAGGCUGGCCAAGGUGUGGCGUGCGCCCCCCCUAUCCCAAACCAAAUUGGACUAGGGGGGCCGGCCCCCUUUCCUUCUCUCUUCCCCCUCCUUUCCCCUUCUCCUUGUUGGAAUAGGAAAGGUGGGCCGAAUCCUACUUGGAGUAGGAUUCCCCCCCCCCCUGGCGCGCCUCCUCCCCUGGCCGGCCUCCUCCUCCCUCCCUCCUUUAUAUACAGGGGAGGGGGCACCCCAAAGCAUUACAAAAAAAUACACUUCCGUGAUGAUACAUGUUUGUCAUAGUAGGCCACAUUUUCUGUCAUGCGUGUACAUCCAUGACGAUUUUAUGACAGAAUCAACAUAGUCAUACGUGUUGAGGGAGUCCUGGAUUAGGGGGUGUCCGGAUGGCCGGAUUAUGAACUUUGGCCGGACUCCUGGACUAUGAAGAUACAAGAUUGAAGACUCCGUCCCGUGUCCGGAUGGGACUUUCCUUGGCGUGGAAGGCAAGCUUGGCGAUACGAUAUGAAGAUCUCCUCCGAUUGUAACUGACUCUGUGUAAUCCUAGCCCUCUCCGGUGUCUAUAUAAACCGGAGAGUUUUAGUCCAUAGGACGAACAACAAUCAUACCAUAGGCUAGAUUCUAGGGUUUAGCCACUUCGAUCUCGUGGUAGAUCUACUCUUGUACUACCCAUAUCAUCAAUAUUAAUCAAGCAUGAGUAGGGUUUUACCUCCGUCGAGAGGGCCCGAACCUGGGUAAAAACAUCGUGUCCCUUGUCUCAUGUUACCAUCCGCCUAGACGCACAGUUCGGGACCCCCUACCCGAGAUCCGCCGGUUUUGACACCGACAUUGGUGCUUUCAUUGAGAGUUCCACUAUGUCGUCACCAUCAGGAAGGAUGCUGCAUCCCGUCUUUAAAGACGGCGUCGUUGCUAAAGGAGUUUUGGCCAUCGGCCAAACUCUCCGGCUAGGAAGGUUUUUGAUGACCGCCAGUCCGGCCGCCGCGCCAACGAUGACCUCUCGGGCCAUCGAAAGCAAUCUUCGCAUCAGCUCGGAGCUCGCCGAGCAGUUAGAUCCGAUGGAGCUCUUCUCCCUGAAUGAACUCUUGGAUCGCAUCGCGGCCCUGGGAGUCGCUACUGAUUACAACCAAAUUGGGCUUAAACCUGAUCAGAGAGAGAUUGACUCUCCCCAGAUCACCCACCACGUUGAAGUGGUGGAAGAACAAUGCGGCGAGUCUUCGCCUGCCCUAAGGAGCAGAUGCGUCCGGAUUCCCGACCCCUCCAAGCCGGAAACCCGCGGAGGGGAGGAUGUCACCCGAACCCUGAACCUAAAGUCAGGCAGUAGGCCCGAUUCAUUGAAUAAUACCCGAGAAAGCAAGCUUCCGAAUUCGGAAACUGCUCGGCCCCUGAAUCUUACAUCGGGCAGGGUUCCGGAUCUAUUUCCACCCGCCCACCCAACUAUACGGGAUUUAUCCCUAAUACGGCAAGAGUCCGGAGAAACAGUACACCACUACUGGGCCAGAUUCCUCCUGGUUAUGAACAGGAUAAAGGACUGCCGCGAGAGAGAAGCAAUUUCACUCUUCCUUAACAACUGCACGGACAUCGGAAUCCUCAACGCCAUAAGUCGUCGCGAAAUUAUACGAUUCGCUGACUUGACAUCCAUAGUACGAAAGUACUGCGCGAUUGAAAGCGUUCGGAAAAUCGAAGAUAAAUUCUGGGACAAUCCGGUCCCGAAUAUAACACGAGUCCGAAACAAAAGGGCGCAUUAUCGCCAGGCAUCUGAGCCAAACAUCAAAAAACAAAAACCCUCUACAGGGUACGGGACCGUAUUGGAAGGAUGGCUCAAUGGACCCUGUAGAAUUCAUAAUUCAGGGAAAGCCACACCAACGCACAUCCUCAGAGCAUGUUGGAUACUACGGCAGGUAGCCAGAAGCGGCGAGGAGCUUUUAACUCCAGCACCCGAAGAAUACCUCCCCAGUACAGUGUCGACAGUCUUUGAGACGUUCACAUCAAACAAUGCAAGGAAACGAACACUCCGCAACCUCGCCGAAGUCUACCAAGUAGCAACAAUAAACCCAUGGAUUGACACGGCUAUCACCUUUAACGCUAGUGACGAACCUAAAUUCCGGACAGCCUGAGCACCAGCCGCAUUGGUCCUCAGUCCGAUAGUGGACGGCUUCCGACUUACAAAGGUACUCAUGGACGGCAGCAGCGGACUCAACCUCAUCUACGAGGAAACCCUGCGAAAAAUGGAAAUUGACUGGAGCCGCAUUGAGCGAAGCAACACAACUUUUAGGGGAAUAAUCCCAAGCCGGGAAGCGUGCAGUUCAGGAAAAAUCACACUGGAUGUGGUGUUCGGCACGCCGGACAAUUACAGAUCCGAGGAGGUCAUGUUUCAAGUGGCCCCGUUCAGCAGCGGCUACCACGCUUUGCUAGGGCGAGAAGCAUUUACAAUUUUCCGAGCCAUACCCCAUUACGGGUACAUGAAGCUCAAAAUGCUCGGGCCCAACGGAAUCAUCACUCUCGCAAGUGAUCCGGACAUAGUGCUCCGCGCUGAAAACAAGACAGCCGCACUGACCCUGGAGGCAUUAUCUGAGGCCCUAGAGGCCGAGGAGUUAACGGGGUUGCACUCCAUGGUGGACAGGGAUGACGUGAUACUAGACAAGAGAUCCAAGUCCACCUCUUUUAAACCGGCGGACGAAAUAGUCAAAUUCCAAGUCCAUCCAACGGACCCUACAAAAACGACCUCCAUCGGGGCACAAUUAAAACCCGAUGUAGACGCUGCACUCAGAGAAUUUCUGUGAGAAAAUUGGGACAUUUUCGCCUGGCACCCCUCGGAUAUGUCAGGAAUCCCACGCAGGCUGGCCGAGCAUAGCCUGAACAUCAUAAAAGGGUUUAAACCCGUCAAGCAGACCCUACGGCGCUUUUCCGAACCUAAGAGACAAGUCAUGGGAGAGGAGCUAGCAAAACUGCUGGAAGCCGGGUUCAUUAGAGACAUAAAACAUCCGGACUGGCUAGCAAACCUGGUGAUGGUACCAAAGAAGGACAAAUCUUGGCGCCUAUGUGUCGAUUUCAGAGACCUAAACAAGGCAUGUCCAAAGGACCCUUUCCCACUCCCUCGAAUCGAUCAAAUCAUCGACGCCACUGCAGGACACGACUCAUUGUGUUUCCUCGAUGCAUACUCUAGCUACCAUCAAAUCAAGAUGGCAGAGUCAGACCAGGCCGCAACGGCAUUCAUCACCCCGUACGGCCCAUUCUGCUUCAACACGAUGCCCUUCGGGCUCAAAAACGUCGGUGCAACAUAUCAGCGCAUGAUUCAGACAUGUCUGGCCAACCAGAUCGGCAAAAUAGUCGAAGCAUACGUAGACGACGUGGUCUUCAAAACAAAACACGUUGAUACUCUAGUAGACGACUUGAGGCUCACGUUCGACAAUCUCCGAACAUAUGACAUUAAGCUCAACCCGGAAAAAUGCGUUUUCGGCGUACCAGCCGGAAAGCUCCUGGGCUUCAUCGUAUCCGGUAGAGGAAUUGAAGCAAACCCAGCCAAGAUCCGAGCUCUGUCACAAUUAGAUACCCCAAAGGACCUCAAACAAAUACAAAAACUGACAGGAUGCGUGGCAGCUCUAAGCCACUUUAUCUCCCACUUAGGAGAAAAGGCAUUACCCCUCUAUCGCCUCCUACGGCGCACCGACCACUUCGAGUGGACGGAGGCCGCCACGGCCGGACUCGAAGAAAUAAAAGCCAUAUCGGCAACAAAUCCGGUCCUGGCCGCGCCCAACACGGGCGAACCAAUGCUAUUAUACAUCACGGCAACCCAUCAAGUUGUCAGCGCGGUGCUCGUCGUCGAACGAGAAGCGGACGGACACAAGUUCCCCCUCCAAAAACCAGUGUACUACGUGUCCACUGUGCUAACUCCAUGCAAGUCACGGUACCCGCAUUAUCAAAAGAUAGCAUACGCGAUGUUCAUGGCAUCCCGGAAGCUGCGACACUACUUUCAAGAGUGCUCCAUAACAGUGGCAUCCGAAGUACCCCUUAAUGACAUUAUAAACAACCGCGACGCAACGGGCCGGAUUGCCAAAUGGGCCAUCGAGCUCCUCCCAUUCGACAUAACCUACAAGCCAAGGCGAGCUAUUAAGUCGCAGGUUUUGGCCGACUUCAUUGCCGAAUGGACUGAAGCCGAACUCCCUAAAGAAUACGGCGCAUACUCCAACUGGAUCAUGCACUUCGACGGCUCCAAAAUGUUGGCUGGCCUGGGGGCUGGCGUCGUCCUGACGUCCCCAACCAGGGACACAGUCCAAUACGUACUUCAGAUAAUGUACACAGAUUCGAACAACGCAGCCGAAUACGAGGCCCUUUUACAUGGCCUCCGAAUGGCAGUCUCCAUGGGCAUUCAGCGCCUAGAGGUCCGCGGGGAUUCAAAUCUCGCAAUAUCCCAAAUAAAUGGAGACUUCAACGCCAAGGACCUGAAAAUGGCAGCUUACCGCAGCGCCAUCUUAAAGAUGUCAGCUUGGUUUGAGGGGCUCGAAUUUCAUCACAUAGCCCAGGAAAAUAACCAAGCAGCAGACGUGCUGGCACGCAUCGGCGCCAAGCGCGAGGCCGUCCCUCCCAACAUCUUCCUAGAAAGGAUGUUCAAGCCAUCUGUAUCAUGGGACGGAGAAUCCGGAAACAAUAGCCCGGACACAACUACACUGCCCCUCACCAAGCAUCCUGACACAAUUGGGGGCUACGCCAACGAAACAACGCCGUCAGCCCAUGAAAUAAUGGCAGUCAUUGCCCCUUGGACAGAGCCAUUCCUAGCCUACCUAACUAGGCAGGAACUUCCAGAGGACCAAAACGAGGCCCGCUGCAUAGUGCGGCGAUCUAAAGCCUACAAAGUCCAUGAGGGAGAGCUUUACAAGAAAAGCACAACCGGAGUCCUUCAAAGGUGUAUCUCUGAAGAAGAAGGACGAGACCUUUUGGCUGAAAUCCAUGCCGGACUUGGCGGGCACCACGCCGCAGCCCGGGCCCUUGUAAGCAAGGCCUUCCGUACCGGAUUUUAUUGGCCAACGGCCCGGGCAAACGCUCAGGACUUAGUGCAACGAUGUGUUGGUUGCCAGUUAUUCGCCAACCAAAGUCACAUGCCGCAUACCGCCCUACAAACUAUACCCAUUACCUGGCCUUUCGCGGUCUGGGGGCUUGACAUGGUCGGACCCCUUAAAGGAGGAACCCACAAGCAAAAAUACCUACUGGUCAUGGUGGACAAAUUCACCAAAUGGAUAGAAGCCAAGCCUGUAAAGACGGUCGAAUCCGGAACAGUGAUAGACUUCCUUUCCGGGGUUGUACACCGUUACGGUGUCCCCCACAGCAUCAUAACCGACAACGGCACAAACUUCACGGCCGAUGAAGUCAAACUUUGGUGCAAAAACAUGGGCAUCAAGCUCGACUACGCUUCAGUCUAUCACCCUCAAACUAACGGUCAAGUCGAACGGGCCAACGGUCUCAUUAUGAGCGGCAUCAAACCUAGACCAGUGCGAUCCCUCAAGGAAUCUGACACGCACUGGGUAGAGGAGCUUGACUCCGUACUCUGGGGGCUGCGGACCACGCCGAAUCGCACUACCGGAUUCACACCAUUUUUUAUGGUAUACGGCGCAGAGGCAGUACUGCCAUGUGACAUAAUCCAUGACUCACCUCGAGUGCGUAUGUAUGAAGAAAGAGAAGCCAAGCUCGAUCGGUAGGACAGCUUGGACGCAUUAGAAGAGGAGCGCGAUGUGGCAAAGGCUCGUUCCGCAUUCUAUCAACAGCAGGUUCGAAGAUAUCAAAGCAGAGAAGUACGGGCCAAAAUGUAUAACGUUGGCGAACUAGUUAUACGCUUGCCGGACAAAAAAAAAGGAUAAAUUAAAGCCCAAAUGGGAGGGCCCCUUCAUCAUCGACCAAGUACUGACCGGCGGAGUGUACCGUCUGCGAGGUGCAUCGGACAACCGACUCGAGCCGAACCCAUGGAAUGCAGCACGCCUAUGAAGGUUCUACGCCUAGCGCCGGACUCCGUGUUCGUCUCCUUCCCUCAUCCCUUUGUUUUAUUUUUUAUUUUUAUUUUUGGCAGUCCGGGAGUUUGUUCCUUCUCCCUCCCCCUUUUUCUCACAAGCCCUUAGGGGCUCGCAUGUGCAAUAUUCGCACGCACCAGAUGUGCUACCUGCGCUCACAAUACCUAGGGGCUUCUCUACCAAGAAGUUUAUAUAAAACGGGCCUCACGCCCAAAACAUGUGCAAUGCUUUCACAUGAACCUUUUAUACACCAUUAUAUGCAUCGAUAUGACUUAAGUUUUGGCCAAGCUGGGUUGCCUGGCUCCUGUGCUUACCCCUAUAUUCCCGUUCGUUCGGCUAGGUGGCAAAGGGAGCACCUCUGCGAUUGUUACUGCCGGGUCAGUCGGAUGUGUACCUCAGACUGGGUGAAGCCGAAAGCUAGCGUUCUCAAGGGAAUAUUCGGUGGGUGAGCUAAAAGAUGAUCUUUCGUAUUUACUUUUUUGCCCCCAAAUGCUUUUCUGCUCUUUCUGGUAGUUCGGACAUGCACUUUAGGGCAUGCCUCCCAGGGAAAGGAACCCCUAACGGAAUUAUUCUCUCUGGAAGAUGUUUCUUACUAACCAUGUAAUAUAACAUAACUAGUUGGGCACUUGUCUGCUAAAGCACUUAUGACCCCUACGCCUUGUCUCCAUGCAUGCCCCGGUUCUUACAUAACCAAGAGGGUAUUCGGACACACUCUGGACUGUAGGGUCCAGAGGUCGAAGCGAAAAGGUCUGUAGUGACAAAUGAUCUACAAUCCGGCUAGAGGACAUUUUUUAUGUCAUUUUUACAUAGUCAAUCCGACUCAGCAUAUUCUUCUUCAAUGUCAUCUAAUAGGCGGUCUAAUUUACAGUCCUGUUGGGAAUACUUUGCAGCCAGCUCCACUUGGCCAUAUGCCAAGCUGACCGGGAUCUCCUUUCCGUCCGGACCUAUAGGGCCGACCUCGGCCAUGUGGUUUGGGUCAGCCUUCGUGUACCGAGUCUUCACCAUGGCCCAGGCCUCCCUGGCACCUUGACGGCAAGCCAAUAUCUUCCAUAACCAGAAGCGCUGCCGCACUCCCUCCAGCUUCUUGGAAAGCUCCUCAAGGCCUUCGGGCACGGAGAGGGAUGGCCACAUAGCCUGGAUGACGCCUCGCAUUGCCUGCCGAACUCGCUCAUGUAGUUGCAACAGCUCGGGAAGAUGGUCUCCCGAUGAACCGGGCAUUUCCUCCACCGGACGACCCGUCAGCAGACCUACAGACAUAGCUCUGUCAAUCGACUUCCUCGCCGAAUUCUUUUUUCAAAGAUUCGUUCAAGCACUUACUAAAAAUGCCGCGUCGAAGUCGCUAAUUCUCCUUCACGACAGAAGACAGCUGAAUGCGAACAUCUUUCAGUUCCUCACCUAGCUGGGUAUUGGCGUCUUGAAGCUUGUUCUUCUCUUGCCUCACCCUCAUCAGCACGUUCUCGCCAGCCUUUAGUUGGCGUAGGAGUUGUUGCUGGUCCGGAUUUGCUCCGGCCUCAUCUGCAUUAUUAUAGUCAGGGUUGCACGCCUGCCGCAUUUCAAAACGGAGGUACCUUUCGAAGCACAUAUUACCUGCGGGCGUCCCCUUGACAUUCUCUAAAGCGGCCAAUGCGGCCUCGAGCUGAGCCUUGCACUCUUCGAGCUCCUGGGACAAUUGCGUGUUCUUCUUUGUAAGACACUGCAUAGCACAUGAUCCUUCAAACAGUUAUCUUCACUGUUUCAAGUCUCGGGGGCUACUGACAUAUACAACCUUCAAUUCUACUCACCUGUAUGUCUUUCACAUACUGCUCCGUGGCUCUGGCUAGACCAUUUUGAGCAGCACGAAGAUACGCAUCUCCUGUAUUAAAGGCGUCCAACGCCUCUAGGGAAAAACACGCGUCACGGAGAACAGUCCGGCGACGCCGGUGGUUUAGGGCACUCUCCACCUCUGAAUUAGUGGCAGAUAGCCCGUCGGCGCCCUCUGUCGGAGUAGCGCCCGAGGCGCGUCCCGUGUCCGCCUCCGCUUCCGGACCCGACCUCAAACCUUGGCCGGUGGACAUAGUUCGGCGGGCUCUCUUCUUUCUAAGAAAAUCAUGAGCAUUAGUAGGACUCAAGGGCAUAAACCCUAGGCGUUAAAUCCGCACACCAUACCGUUGCACCGGAAUCUCGAUCUGGUCCGCACUUCUUUUUGGCUCGCCUGAUUUCAGCGGCCCUUGUUGGCUGCCCACCGUGGGCUCGGCCUUCCGCCUCAAGGAUUUACCCUGCGAAACGUUGUUAGUGCACGGCAUGUAAGAUAAAACAUGAGAAUACUGGGACUUCGGUCUUAGUUACCUUGGAGGCUGGAAGUAGUCCGGGAUAGUCGGCCGUGAUGGCCACUAAAGAGUUAUCCUUGCUCAAUUGAUGAAAUACUCCAUCAACCAACUCCACGCAUAAGUCCGGAUCUUCUUGGGAGUCCGGAUCGAGGGACCAUUCCGGAUCCUCGGGUUGUGGAGCAGAGCUGUUUAUUUCCUUCACAGCCUGGCGCAGCUCCUGCGUUUAAACAUUACUAGUCUAAGUACUCAACUACGGGAAUUUCGAAAAUGGAUAGGCAAGUGAAAGUGUCCGCUCACCCAACUAGGAGGAUUGUACAUAGAGAAUCCGCCUUCCGGGUUGACGCGGAGGAAUUCUUCCUCUUCCCCCUUGUACAAAGCGGAUAAGAUUCUCGUUAAAGUGGCGGCCGAAUCUGGCCCCUUGCGACUGCACCGGGUAGCAUCAUCCUCCCCGUUGAAAUCCCAUAUGGGGUGGCCUCUGUAUUGAAGCGGUUGCACCCCUCGCGUGAUGCAUAUGGCCAUGACCUUGAUCAUGGUCAGUCCGGAAUGAGCCAACAACCUUAUCCGGCUCAUCAGGUACAGGACGUCCCUGUCAGCUUCCCUCUGAGGGUUCCGUGGGCGCCAACUCAGGCGCUUCUUCAACGGGGCAUUAUUGAACUCGGGGAGGCCGAUCCGUACAGGGUCCGGCAGGGGGACGUCAUCUAUAUAAAACCAUUCCGAGGGCCAGUCUUCGGACACCCUCUUUGGGGUGCUGGAUAGAUAUCCGGUCCCGGCGAUGCGCCAUAGUUCGGCUCCGCCCACUUGAUAAAUAGACCCCUCCUGAGAACGAGGCACAAGGCAAAACAACCUCUUCCACAGAGCGAAAUGGGCCUCAACGCCCAAGAACAGCUCGCAGAGGGCCACAAAGCCCGCAAUGUGCAGAAUGGAGGCGGGCGUGAGGUUGUAUAGCUGGAGGCCGUAGAACUCCAGCAACCCUCGAAGAAACAGAUGAAUUGGAAAUCCGAGUCCUCUCAUCAAAUAAGGGACUAGGCAUACCCGCUCUCCUCGAGAGGGAUUGGGGACGCUCUCCGCCUGCUCUCCGUCGCUAUAGGUAGCAAUCCCGGCUCGAACUGGGACCAUAUAUGCUGGGGGAGAAGCCCCUUGGACUGAAGCACUACUAGCUCGCUAUGCGGGACGGAACACCGCCCCCAAUAUCCGGGCCGAGCGCUGGAGGGGCGAGAGGAGGAGCUGCACCGACCAGCCAUGGUGGAAUGGAUCUCUGUCGAAGGCACUCUGAUGAAAUCUCGCGGAGGGAAGAUGGCGUGAAUUGGAUCUAAAUCCCCGUCUCUUUUAUGGGCGGUUCAUUAACGCAACCAGGGGGGUAACUGAAAAAAUCCCCUGGCUUUUCGCAUUCGUUUGACACGUGGAAGAUGGUCAUUAUGGGGCACAGAAGUAGAGGAGGGCAGCACGCACUAGAAGCCGGACACUAUUCGGCGGAUACAGAGAAUUUGCAGGGGAACCCGCCUUGCAAUGCCGAAGACAACUUGUGCGCCGGACUCGUCGUCAUUGAAGCCUGGUUCAGGGGCUACUGAGGGAGUCCUGGAUUAGGGGGUGUCCGGAUGGCCGGACUCCUGGACUAUGAAGAUACAAGAUUGAAGACUCUGUCCCGUGUCCGGAUGGGACCUUCCUUGGCGUGGAAGGCAAGCUUGGCGAUAUGAUAUGAAGAUCUCCUCCGAUUGUAACCGACUCUGUGUAACCCUAGCCCUCUCCGGUGUCUAUAUAAACCGGAGAGUUUUAGUCCGUAGGACGAACAAGAAUCAUACCAUAGGCUAGAUUCUAGGGUUUAGCCACUCCGAUCUCGUGGUAGAUCUACUCUUGUACUACCCAUAUCAUCAAUAUUAAUCAAGCAGGAGUUGGGUUUUACCUCCAUCGAGAGGGCCCGAACCUGGGUAAAAACAUCGUGUCCCUUAUCUCCUGUUACCAUCCGCCUAGACGCACAGUUCGGGACCCCCUACCCGAGAUCCGCCGGUUUUGACACCGACACCUGUGCUGUCGUAGAAGUGUUCCAUGACAUUACCAAAAUUAUCAUCACGGAAGUGUCCACUUCCAUGAUGAUAAAUCGAGCAUCACAGAAGUGCUUUCGUCAAGGGUGACCGAUACGUGGCGUCCAUCGUAACGGAACACCGUUAAGCUAUCGGGUCCGCUUUUGGAUCCGAUAACCCGUUAACAGCCCCGACCAACGGGGAUUUUCCACAUCUAAAAUCAUCAUUGGUUGGAGGAAACACAUGUCGGCUCACCGUUCGGACAGAUGUCAUCCACUCAUUGGACCCAAGGCGCCUAUGAUACGUUGGUACAUGCCACGGCCCAAAAGAGGCCCAUUCUUGUGAAAAGGUCGGCCCGUUUGACUUGGUCAAAAGGUGGCGGGCCAGCCCAUGAAAAGCCUGUUAACGGCCUGUUCGCGUAUAGCCCAUUUACAGCCCGCUAACCCAGGGCCCAUUACGACCUCUCCGAAUUAGGCCCAGUAGCAUCAUCUGGGCCGUCCAAUAUGAUUCCAGCACAUUUUAACUUUCGGCCCAUGUAUGGCCCAUGACUUCUUUUGGCCCAUAUGAGGCCCUUUGUAACUCUUGGUCCAUUAACGGCCCGUGGCCCAUAAUGAACAGUGUAUCACUUUAUACCCAUUAACGGCCCAUUAUUCCAUUGAGUCGUUUCCAGCCCAAGUUAUCUUUCAGCCUUCUCAGGGCCCAUUUAUUCUUGGGUUCAUUUCCAACAUUCAGUUACUUACGGCCCGUUACUGUCAUUUUCUGCUUGUGGGACAAAUUCAGCCUGUCGUUACAGUCGGCCCGUUUGUGGCCCGUUAAUACUUUGGGCCGUUUUCAUGUCAAAAAAACCCGUUGGGCUGUUUUCAUAGAGUUAUCAAAUACGGCCUAUUAAAGACCUGUUAUAGUCCACGAAUAGUACGACCCAUGAUUGGUGAAAUGAUGAUACGCCCCGUAGAAGGUCCAUGGAUCCUAUGACCCGUAUAAGGCCCAUGGAUCAUAUGGCCGGUAGAAGGCCCAUGGAUCGUACGGCCCGUAUAAGGCCCAUGGACCCUACGGCCCGUAGAAGGACCAUGGAUCCUAUGGCCCGUAUAGAAGGCCAAUGGAUCCUACGGACCGUAGAAGGCCCAUGGAUCAUACAGCCCGCAGGAGGCCCAUGGUUACAACAGUCUGUGUGUUGCCAUGAUUAUUUUGGCCUAGUUACCAAAAAUAGGCUAUUGUGGCCACUAGAAAAGCACAGAAAAAGAGCUGCAGUGACUACAAGUAAACAACUAAACAAGACAAUAAGGAAAUAAAUAAGCAAGCAAUUAACGCUAGCCUAUUACCGCUAUUACACAUAUUACAUCCACUGGGCAUCAAAGUUCGCCACCAGUGCAAAUACAGGGAACACAGCAGCAUAUUACAUACACUGGCCGUCAAAAUUGGCCACCAGUGCAAGUAAACGCGGCAGCAAAACAAGAGCAUAACUGAAACAACUUCAGAAGAGCUCAAGAAACGUUAUCCUGGGUAUCCACCAUGAUGGCAAUAAGCUUAGCAAGCUUUUUAGCUUUGUCCUGUUUGGUGCUAAAAUCCUCCAACGCUUGAUGUUGCAUGAGAAAGUAUGCAUCUGAAUGCUACAGGGACUUCUGUAGUCCUUCCUCUUCUUGUCGCAGCAUAGCUGAUUGAUGUCUUUCAGCUUGUAGUUGAGACUCAAGAAACCGAACUGAUUCAGACAGUGAGUUUGAAUAGCUUGUGCAAGCAGUAGUGGCCAGUAACUCGAACACUAAACCAAGACAGGACUUUGGGGUUGUCUCACUGUCUUCAAGAUAGUCUUCCUUAGCUGUUUUAUCAGCUUUGUUGGAGACCAGCAAGGAUGUGUCACUAUCCUGAACCUUAUCUGCAUUACUUCCUUUACCAUUGCUUAAUAAGGCACUCUUCCCCAAUAUUCUGUCAGCAUUCUAAAAGAAGAAACAAGCAGACACAUAAUAGUUUUAGCAUGUACUAGUAUAUGAAACUCAUUUCGGUGAACCAGUUCAUUAGUAAGGUGGACAGAAUUAAACUACCAAGUCAUCUAUUGCCAAGUACUAGUACAUAAUAAAAGCAUCAAACAAACAUAUAUCUAUGUCCUAUGGUCACUGCAUUGUCUUGCCAAAUCAAAAUAGAGACACGGUUCAAAUCAUAUCAGUUCAAGACAAAGCAGCAGUGAAAGAAUACAAAGCAUGGGAAACUACAUGGCACAACAAGAUUUCAGAUGGGUACCACGGGUCUACAUGUACAACAACACUAUUGGCUCUGUUGUGAUGCUAGUAAUGUGCAUGAUAUGAGAAGUCAACUGUAUACACAAUUGAAAUUGAAAUCAACAGAGCUAUUGAUAAGAGCAAACCUAUUAAAGAAACAUGCGUGAACAUACCUGCUGUGCCAUUGGAGUUUCGAUUGGAUCCUUCAAUUUAAAAAUAAGUUUGUAUGAGUAAAUACAGUGAUACAAGAGCAAAGCAGUAUGCAUGACAGCAAUCAUAGUUAAAAAAGGCGCGUCUAAGCAAGCGCUUAAGCGCGCCUAGGAUCUAGUCGUUGGCAAAACGCAUUGCGCAUAACUACGCUUAAUCUGUGCAUGACUGUGCAUAAGCAUGCGCUUUGGUCAGUAAAGUCCAAGGCGGUGCCAAAAUGCACAAUUAAUGCCUAGCACUUUUUUGAACUAUGAUAGCAAUGGAAUCUUAAAUUAGAACAAUUGUUCUUCAGGUUUAGGCACUUGUUCUACAUGAACAGAGUACAGUAAGACGCAACAAUAUAGUACUUAAAAAUAGAAAAUGAGCUCAUAGACCUUACCACAUUCUUGGUUCGGGACCAGUACAGAACAAGGCGUUCCCAGUCAUCGUCCAGUAAAUGUGUCUCAGGAGAACGUAAGGGAAUUUGAUGAGUUUCUUUGCGAGUGAAGUACAUUUUCUUCAGGUAAUUCCGAUACUGCCACCAAGCAUUCUUGAAGAUAUCAGAGGUAUUAGCACAGGUUACCUCAUCCUGAGUUUCCAAAUCGGUUCUUCUCUACAGAGAAAAAUGGGAAAAUUUGCUGUAUUAUAACCAUCAUGGAGGUAGGAUGUUUGGGACAAAGGAAAGUCAUUGCCAUGAAUAACAUUACUUACACAUAACUCCUGGACAAACACCUGCAACUGGCAUUUUCCUUCAUCUACAGUAUAAUAUUUCCAAGAUGGGAAGAUAAGCACAUACAAUUUAACAACAUCAAAUGCGAUAGAUGCUAAACUACGAUUAGCUGGUUGUGCUUCCUCCACAGGAAUAGGCGUACUAACUGGUGGAGUUGGGGUUCGCCAUGGUAAUACUGGACCUUUGGGCACUGGAGCUGCCUUACUAACUUCUCUUGUUUGGGAGCUCUGUGGUGGAGAUGGUGCUAUGUCAACAGGAACUGGGUUACUAUCUGCUGGGGUUGGGGUUAGAUUGGGUGAAGCUGGUUCUCUAUCCAUCGCAGUAGGGGUACAAUCUGCGAGAGUUUGGGUUAUGUGUGGUAGGGCUGGUUGUUGUGCAUGUACAACCGGGGUGCUAUCUCCACCAAGAGGUAGCACUGUUUUAUUUGAAUAUCGUGUUUUUAGUCCGCUAGAUACUGGCAUCAUCCACUCCAAUUCAAAUGGCUGAUAAACAAGAAACAUAGUUGAAUGUAUAGACAUUGUACGAGAGGCAUAUGCAAUAGAUAGUGUGGAAAAAAGAGGGCAUGAAAUAGUUGACAAGUAUAUUGUUUAACUAAAAUGGAUAGCAUGACAUAAUUUCACAUAUAUGAUGUCUAUCUAAACUGGAUAGCAUAGCAUAACAUAAUUCAAAGAUAUGAUGAAUAACUAAACAGGAUCGCAUGACAUAAUUCACCUACAUGUUAUCUAAGUAAUCAGGAUCGCAUCAUUUAAUUCACAUAUGUGAUUUAUAUGCUAAAAAGAGGGCAUUCGAUAUAAUGUCUGAACUAAGAACAUGGUGUUGAAUAUUGUGUAUAUGACGUCUAAACUAUGCAAUGCAAGACACCAUAUGCAUGAUAUGAGCAGUAUAACUGUGCCAAGUUAGAGCAUACACCUCGGUGGGGGAAUAGAACUGGUCAUCUGUCUCUGAAUCCAUCUCUAAGGAGCUAUCGGGACCCAACAAGAGAUCUACUUCGACAGGUAGCACUGUCUGCUCUGAAGGCCUUGUUUUCACUCCAGAUUUUUCCAUCUCCCACCCAAAUGGCUGAUUCACAGGAAGAGUAGUUUAAUGUACAAACAUUGUCGGCAAAUGGAAAUGUAAUGAAGAAAAGGAUGGGCAAGAUAUCAUUCAAAUAUAUGAUGCCUAGUUAAACAGGAUGGCAUUGCACAUUUCACAUAUAUUAUGGCUGGCUAAAAGACAUGAGACUGCAUAAUUCCCAUAUAUGAUAUAGAAACUAAACAGGUGGCAUUACAGAACAUGUCUAAACUAAGCAGAUGACAUAUAUGAUGUCAAAAGCAGGCACUGCAAGGCAACAUAUGCAUGAUAUGACUAACAUCAUCAUGCCAAGGUAGAGCAAACACCUUGGGGGUAAAUAGGAGUGGUCAGCGGCGUCUGAAUCCGCCUCAGAACAGAUAUCUUCCUAUGGAUUACAAUCUGGAGAGGGGUGGGGAGGGUUUGCCAUUGAACCCACCAUGGAGCGAUAUCUGCAUGACAUUGUAUUGCCACGCAAAACUCUUCUCCUUUUCUCUACAUGUUCAGCAUGACUGUGUACAAUAUCUCACAUGCAUACGAAAAAAAUAUGGUGAGAUUAUGUAAGGAGAGCAUGCAGAAAUUUAGAGUGAUGGUAACAACCAGUGGAUGGAUCCAAACAUAAUGAUAGCAGGCUGAUGAUUGCUUUAAUUUAAUAAAAAGACAGAUGAUGAUUGCUUUACUAUUUGUUUCCCACCCAAGAUGAACAACAUAGGCAUACCCUAGGUGAACCAGAUAUUAGACAGACAUAUUAUUCAUUGCUUCCUUGAUGUGUGCCCCACAACUAAUUUAGAACUCAAGUUUGAACAUUAAUUUGGAUCUGACUUGGAGUCCAAGAGGUGAACAGGACGAUAAAUUAAAGUAGCAGGUAAUUUUAAGCAAUGCAUACCAUAAGCAAAAACAAAAGAGUGUGACCUCUCUUGUGGACCUGUGUACACCUCAGGUUCAUCUGCCGAGUCGAUGAUGGUGAUGCCAUUGCGGUGGGUGUCGGCAGCAGGGAGGAGAUCUAAGGCGGCGAAAGACGGUCAGGAGUCAUGAUGUCUGGUUUGGUGGAUGCUUCUGUCGAUGGAGCAUCUCAGGUGAGGUGGACGACGUCGCGGCAGGAGCAGGACAAACCACACAAAGUUCCCUUUGACACCUACCUGUAACUGAAGUAAUUCUGUAAGGGCUCAUUAGGCUUGCAUGAUUCUAAAAAGGCAGGGAUAGGAAAAACACCGGAAUAGGAUAGGAAUGCACAUGGUAAACAGAGCAUUUGUAAACAGAGGAUUUCUGUCAACUUGGGUGUUUGGUUUACAGGAAUUGGAAGAGUAGAGGAAUGCAAAGAAACAUGGCCAAAAUAAAGUGAAACCAUAUGAAAGCGUGUUCAGUUAGAAUGUUAUUCUGCCAGUAAUGCACUUGGUCUUGUUUUCAUGCAUAGGAUUUUGAAAAGUAGGUCCAGGUGGAUAUUUUGCUUCAUUCCUUUUAACAAAAUGCAUGAAUAAUUGAAUAGUAGAGUGCCAUUGGAAAAUUCCCUAUUGCUAUGUUUUUCUGUUGAACCCAAAUAGCCCUAAUGGAUCGACAUGAAUGUAUAGUAAUAAGUGAUGCAACAAGUGUACAACCUCUUCGCCGUAGCUGUGUCGACCUCGGCAUCAUUGGGUUGGUCGCUGAAGCAGUUGAGGCAGAGGUGGCUGUCAGAGCUGUGGAGGAAGAUCUGGGGAAUCUGUAGAUGGCGUCCAGGGCACUGCUCUGUUAUGAUGGAUCGUUCCUUCGUUGGAGCAGCUCUGGUGAGCCGUAAGACAUCAAGGCUGAAGCAGCACAAGACAGACAUUGUCAAUCUCAAGUGGGAUUCUAAUAGCAUCUCCAAUAGAUGAUGUAAAAUAGAUGUAAAAUUUACAUCACCAAAAACCACCUGACUAUAACAGAUGAGGUAAAAACUGUUGAUUCUAAACUUAACUGUUGAAAUUGAAAUUUACUGUGGAAUCUGAAUGUUACUGUCGAAACUGAACGCAAUGGUAGCAUAGAAGCACUUGACAUGUAGUUUAGGGAGGGCCUGCACUUCAUCUUCAACCUACACCCCCCUGAGCAGCCAGCCACCACCGGCCGAACCGCCGGCCCCAGCGCCACCUCGCCGCCCCGAAACAACUCUGCACUGCCGGUCCGCCGACGCCCUGGCCAGCCCUCUAGGCGCCCCCACCAUGAACCCUAAGAUAGAUAGUGGGGUACCUCUCAGGCGAGCCCCCAUCCCCGCUGCGGGUGGUUCUUCCUUAACUCCGACGAGCCCCCCCCCUCCCCACACCCCCUGAAAAUCGACUGACCAAAAAGUCGAUUCAGUUGACUGAAGUGUAGCUAAAUCGGAGCAGAGCAGUAGCACAAGCGAGCGGGAGAGCAGCAGCGGCAGCACGAGCGAGCGAGCAAGAGCCGAAGCAGCAGCAGCUGGGCGAGCAAGAGCCGGAGCCCCCAUGGGUGUUCGAUUCAUCACAAUGUAACUAGAUUAUUGACUCUAGUGCAAGUGGGAGACUGUUGGAAAUAUGCCCUAGAGGCAAUAAUAAAAGCAUUAUUAUUAUAUUUCCUUGUUCAUGAUAAUUGUCUUUAUUCAUGCUAUAAUUGUGUUAUCCGGAAAUCGUAAUACAUGUGUGAAUAACAGACACCAACAUGUCCCUAGUGAGCCUCUAGUUGACUAGCUCGUUGAUCAACAGAUAGUCAUGGUUUCCUGACUAUGGACACUGGAUGUCAUUGAUAACGAGAUCACAUCAUUGGGAGAAUGAUGUGAUGGACAAGACCCAAUCCUAAACAUAGCACAAGAUCGUAUAGUUCGUUUGCUAGAGUUUUCUAAUGUCAAGUAUCUAUUCCUUUGACCAUGAGAUCGUGUGACUCCCGGAUACCGUAGGAGUGCUUUGGGUGUGCCAAACGUCACAACGUAACUGGGUGACUAUAAAGGUAGACUACGGGUAUCUCCGAAAGUGUCUGUUGGGUGACAUGGACCAAGACUGGGAUUUGUCACUCCGUAUGACGGAGAGGUAUCACUGGGCCCACUCGGUAAUGCAUCAUCAUAAUGAGCUCAGAGUGACCAAGUGUCUGGUCACGGGAUCAUGCAUUACGGUAUGAGUAAAGUGACUUGCCGGUAACGAGAUUGAACGAGGUAUUGGGAUACCGACGAUCGAAUCUCGGGCAAGUAAUAUAUCGAUAGACAAAGGGAAUAGCGUACGGGAUUGAUUAAAUCCUCGACAUCGUGGUUCAUCCGAUGAGAUCAUCGUGGAGCAUGUGGGAGCCAACAUGGGUAUCCAGAUCCCGCUGUUGGUUAUUGACCGGAGAGUCGUCUCGGUCAUGUCUGCUUGUCUCCCGAACCCGUAGGGUCUACACACUUAAGGUUCGGUGACGCUAGGGUUAUGAAGAUAUGUAUAUGCAGAAACCUGAAUGUUGUUCGGAGUCCCGGAUGAGAUCCCGGACGUCAUGAGGAGUUCCGGAAUGGUCCGGAGGUAAAGAAUUAUAUAUAGGAAGUGCUGUUUCGGGCAUCGGGACAAGUUUCGGGGUUAUCGGUAUUGUACCGGGACCACCGGAAGGGUCCCAGGGGUCCAUCGGGUGGGGCCACCUGUCCCGGGGGGCCACAUGGGCUGUAGGGGGUGCGCCUUGGCCUAGAUGGGCCAAGGGCACCAGCCUCUAUAGGCCCAUGCGCCUAGGGUUUUCACCAUGGAAGAGUCCAUGUGGUGGAAGGCACCCCUAGGUGCCUUGGGGGGGAGGGAAACCUCCCCUUGGCCGCCGCCCCCCUAGUAGAUCUCAUCUACUAGGGCCGGCGCCCCCCUGGCACCCCUAUAUAUAGUGGGGGGAGAGGAGGGAUUUUACACCAGCUCCUGGCGCCUCCAUCUCCCCCGUUACGUCUCUCCCUCGUAGUCUCGGCGAAGCCCUGCUGCUGUGACGCCCUGCAUCCACCACCACGCCGUCGUGCUGCUGGAUCUUCAUCAACAUCUCCUUCCCCCUUGCUGGAUCAAGAAGGAGGAGACGUCUCCCGUCCCGUACGUGUGUUGAACGCGGAGGUGCCGUCCGUUCGGCGCUGGUCAUCGGUGAUUUGGAUCACGUCGAGUACGACUACAUCAUCACCGUUCUUUUGAACGCUUCCAUGCGCGAUCUACAAAGGUAUGUAGAUGCAUCUAAUCACUCGUUGCUAGAUGAACUCCUAGAUGAUCUUGGUGAAACGAGUAGGAAAAUUUUUGUUUUCUGCAACGUUCCCCAACAGUGGCAUCAUGAGCUAGGUCUAUGCGUAGUUCUUCUUGCGCGAGUAGAACACAAUUUGUUGUGGGCGUAGAUUUGUCAACUUUCUUGCCGUUACUAGUCCUUUAUUGCUUCAGCGGUAUUGUGGGAUGAAGCGGCCCGGACCAACCUUACACGUACGCUUACGUGAGACCGGUUCCACCGACUAACAUGCACUAGUUGCAUAAGGUGGCUGGCGGGUGUCUGUCUCUCCUACUUUCGUUGGAGCAGAAUCAAUGAACAGGGUCCUUAUGAAGGGUAAAUAGAAGUUGACAAAUCACGUUGUGGCUUUAACGUAGGUAAGAAAACGUUCUUGCUAGAACCCUAAUUCAGCCACGUAAAACUUGCAACAACAAUUAGAGGACGUCUAACUUGUUUUUGCAGCAAGUGGUUUGUGAUAUGAUAUGGCCAAAGUUGUGAUGAAUGAUGAAUGAUCUAUAUGUGAUGUAUGAGAUGUUCAUGCUAUUGUAAUAGGAUUCACGACUUGCAUGUCGAUGAGUAUGACAACCGGCAGGAGCCAUAGGAGUUGUCUUUAUUCUUUUAUAUGACCUGCGUGUCAUCAAGAAACGCCAUGUAAAUUACUUUACUUUAUCGCUAAACGCGUUAGCCAUAGUAGUAGAAGUAAUAGUUGGCGAGCAACUUCAUGGAGACACGAUGAUGGAGAUCAUGAUGAUGGAGAUCAUGGUGUCAAGCCGGUGACAAGAUGAUCAUGGAGCCCCAAGAUGGAGAUCAAAGGAGCUAUGUGAUAUUGGCCAUAUCAUGUCACGUUUAUUAUUUGAUUGCAUGUGAUGUUUAUCAUGUUUUGCAUCUUGUUUACUUAGAACGACGGUAGUAAAUAAGGUGAUCCCUCAUACUAAUUUCAAGAAGUGUUCCCCCUAACUGUGCACCGUUGCGACAGUUCGCUGUUUCAAAACACCAAGUGAUGAUCGGGUGUUUUAUUUAGACGUUCACAUACAAUGGGUGUAAGACAGAUUUACACAUGCAAACACUUAGGUUGACUUGACGAGCCUAGCAUGUACAGACAUGGCCUCGGAACACAGAAGACCGAAAGUUCGAGCAUGAGUCGUAUAGAAGAUACGAUCAACAUGAAGAUGUUCACCGAUGUUGACUAGUCCGUCUCACGUGAUGAUCGGACACGGUCUAGUUUAACUCGGAUCAUGUAAUACUUAGAUGACUAGAGGGAUGUCUAAUCUAAGUGGGAGUUCAUUAAUAAUUUGAUUAGUUGAACUUAAUUAUCAUGAAAUUAGUCUAAAUAUUUUACAAUAUGUCUUGUAGAUUAAAUGGCCAACGUAGUCCUCAACUUCAACGCGUUCCUAGAGAAAACCAAGCUGAAAGACGAUGGCAGCAACUAUACGGACUGGGUCCGGAACCUGAGGAUCAUCCUCAUAGCUGCCAAGAAAGAUUAUGUCCUACAAGCACCGCUUGGUGACGCACCCGUUCUCCCUGCAGAACAAGAUGUUAUGAACGCUUGGCAGGCACGUUCCGAUGACUACUCCCUCGUUCAGUGCGGCAUGCUUUACAGCCUAGAGCCGGGGCUCCAAAAGCGUUUUUAGAGAUAUGGAGCAUAUGAGAUGUUCGAAGAGCUGAAAAUGGUUUUCCAAGCUCAUGCCCGGGUCGAGAGAUAUGAAGUCUCCGACAAAUUCUUCAGUUGUAAGAUGGAGGAAAACAGUUCUGUCAGUGAGCACAUACUCACUAUGUCUGGGUUACAUAACCGCUUGACUCAGCCGGGAGUUAAUCUCCCGGAUGAUGCGGUCAUUGACAGAAUCCUCCAGUCGCUUCCACCAAGCUACAAGAGCUUUGUGAUGAACUUCAAUAUGCAGGGGAUGGAAAAGACCAUUCCUGAAGUAUUUGCUAUGCUGAAAUCAGCAGAGGUAGAAGUCAGGAAGGAACAUCAAGUGUUGAUGGUCAAUAAAACCACUAAGUUCAAGAAAGGCAAGGGUAAAAAGAACUUCAAGAAGGACGGCAAGGAGGUUGCCGCGCCCCGCAAGCAAGCUGCCGGGAAGAAGCCAAAGAAUGGACCCAAGCCCGAGACUGAGUGCUUUUAUUGCAAGGGAAGCGGUCACUGGAAGCGGAACUGCCCUAAGUACUUAGCGGAUAAGAAGGCCGGCAAAACAAAAGGUAUAUGUGAUAUACAUGUAAUUGAUGUGUACCUUACUAGUGCCCGUAGUAGCUCCUGGGUAUUUGAUACCGGUGCAGUUGCUCACAUUUGUAACUCAAAGCAGGGGCUGCGGAAUAAGCGGAAACUGGCAAAGGACGAGGUGACGAUGCGCGUCGGGAAUGGUUCCAAGGUCAAUGUGAUCGCCGUCGGCACGCUACCUCUGCAUCUCCCUUCGGGAUUAGUUUUAAACCUUAAUAAUUGUUAUUUAGUGCCAGCUUUGAGCAUGAACAUUGUAUCGGGAUCUCGUUUAAUUCGAGAUGGCUACUCUUUUAAAUCUGAGAAUAAUGGUUGUUCCAUUUUUAUGAGAGAUAUGUUUUAUGGUCAUGCUCCUAUGGUGAAUGGUUUAUUCUUUAUGAAUCUCGAACGUGAUGCUACACAUGUUCAUAAUGUGAGUACCAAAAGAAGUAAGGUUGAUAAUGAUAGUCCCACAUACCUGUGGUACUGCCGCCUUGGUCACAUAGGUGUCAAACGCAUGAAGAAGCUCCAUGCUGAUGGACUUUUAGAGUCUCUUGAUUAUGAAUCAUUUGACACAUGUGAACCAUGCCUUAUGGGUAAAAUGACCAAGACUCUGUUCUCAGGAACAAUGGAGCGAGCAACCGACUUAUUGGAAAUCAUACAUACUGAUGUGUGCGGUCCAAUGAGUGUUGAGGCUCGCGGUGGCUAUCGUUAUGUUCUCACCCUCACUGAUGAUUUAAGUAGGUAUGGUUAUAUCUACUUAAUGAAACACAAGUCUGAAACCUUUGAAAAGUUCAAGGAAUUUCAGAGUGAGGUUGAAAAUCAACGUGACAGGAAAAUCAAGUUUCUACGAUCAGAUCGUGGAGGAGAAUACUUGAGUCACGAGUUUGGGGCACACUUAAGAAAAUGUGGAAUAGUUUCACAACUCACGCCGCCUGGAACACCUCAGCGUAAUGGUGUGUCCGAACGUCGUAAUCGCACUCUAUUAGAUAUGGUGCGAUCUAUGAUGUCUCUUACCGAUUUACCGCUAUCCUUUUGGGGCUAUGCUUUAGACACUGCCGCAUUCACUUUAAAUAGGGCUCCAUCGAAAUCCAUUAAGACGACACCGUAUGAAUUAUGGUUUGGAAAGAAACCUAAGCUGUCGUUUCUAAAAGUUUGGGGAUGCGAUGCUUAUGUCAAGAAACUUCAACCUGAAAAGCUCGAACCCAAGUCGGAAAAAUGCGUCAUCAUAGGAUACCCAAAAGAAACUAUUGGGUACACCUUCUACCUCAGAUCCGAAGGCAAGAUCUUUGUUGCCAAGAAUGGAUCCUUUCUGGAGAAAGAGUUUCUCUCGAAAGAAGUAAGUGGGAGGAAAGUAGAGCUUGAUGAAGUAUUACCUCUUGAACUGGAAAAUGGAGCAACUCAAGAAAAUGUUCCUGAGGUGCCUGCACCGACUAGAGAGGAAGUUAAUGACAAUGAUCAAGAUACUUCUGAUCAAGCCCCUACUGAAAUUCGAAGGUCCACAAGGACACGUUCCGCACCAGAGUGGUACGGCAACCCUGUCUUGGAAAUCAUGCUGUUAGACAACGGUGAACCUUCGAACUAUGAAGAAGCAAUGGCGGGCCCGGAUUCCGACAAAUGGCUAGAAGCCAUGAAAUCCGAGAUAGGAUCCAUGUAUGAAAACGAAGUAUGGACUUUAACUGACUUGCCCAUUGAGCGGCGAGCCAUAGAAAAUAAAUGGAUCUUUAAGAAGAAGACAGACGCGGAUGGUAAUGUGACCAUCUAUAAAGCUCGGCUUGUCGCUAAGGGUUAUCGACAAGUUCAAGGGGUUGACUACAAUGAGACUUUCUCACCGGUAGCGAAGCUAAAGUCCGUCCGAAUCAUGUUAGCAAUUGCCACAUUCUAUGAUUACGAAAUAUGGCAAAUGGACGUCAAAACCGCAUUCCUUAAUGGUUUCCUUAAGGAAGAAUUGUAUAUGAUGCAACCGGAAGGUUUUGUCGAUCCUAAGAAUGCUGACAAAGUGUGCAAGCUCCAACGCUCGAUUUAUGGGCUGGUGCAAGCAUCUCGGAGUUGGAACAUUCGCUUUGAUGAGAUGAUCAAAGCGUUUGGGUUUACACAGACUUAUGGAGAAGCCUGCGUUUACAAGAAAGUGAGUGGGAGCUCUGUAGCUUUUCUCAUAUUAUAUGUAGAUGACAUACUUUUGAUGGGAAAUGAUAUAGAACUCUUGGACAGCAUCAAGGCCUACUUGAAUAAAAGUUUUUCAAUGAAGGACCUUGGAGAAGCUGCUUAUAUAUUAGGCAUCAAAAUCUAUAGAGAUAGAUCGAGACGCCUCAUAGGUCUUUCACAAAGCACAUACCUUGAUAAGAUAUUGAAGAAGUUCAAUAUGGAUCAAUCCAAGAAGGGGUUCUUACCUGUGUUACAAGGUAUGAAAUUGAGCUCAGCUCAAUGUCCGACCACGGCAGAAGAUAUAGAAGAGAUGAGCGUCAUCCCCUAUGCCUCAGCCAUAGGUUCUAUUAUGUAUGCCAUGUUGUGUACCAGACCUGAUGUUAACCUUGUCGUAAGUUUGGUAGGAAGGUACCAAAGUAAUCCCGGCAAGGAACACUGGACAGCGGUCAAGAAUAUCCUGAAGUACCUGAAAAGGACUAAGGAAAUGUUCUCGUUUAUGGAGGCGACGAAGAGCUCGUCGUAAAGGGUUACGUCGACGCUAGCUUCGACACAGAUCUGGAUGACUCUAAGUCACAAACCGGAUACGUGUAUAUUUUGAAUGGUGGGGCAGUAAGCUGGUGCAGUUGCAAGCAAAGCGUCGUGGCGGGAUCUACAUGUGAAGCGGAGUACAUGGCAGCCUCGGAGGUAGCACAUGAAGCAAUAUGGGUGAAGGAGUUCAUCACCGACCUAGGAGUCAUACCCAAUGCGUCGGGGCCAAUCAAGCUCUUCUGUGACAACACUGGAGCCAUUGCACUUGCCAAGGAGCCCAGGUUUCACAAGAAGACAAGGCACAUCAAGCGUCGCUUCAACUCCAUUCGUCAAAAUGUUCAAGAUGGAGACAUAGAGAUUUGUAAAGUACAUACGGACCUGAAUAUAGCAGAUCCGUUGACUAAACCUCUCCCUAGAGCAAAACAUGAUCAACACCAGAAUUCCAUGGGUGUUCGAUUCAUCACAAUGUAACUAGAUUAUUGACUCUAGUGCAAGUGGGAGACUGUUGGAAAUAUGCCCUAGAGGCAAUAAUAAAAGCAUUAUUAUUAUAUUUCCUUGUUCAUGAUAAUUGUCUUUAUUCAUGCUAUAAUUGUGUUAUCCGGAAAUCGUAAUACAUGUGUGAAUAACAGACACCAACAUGUCCCUAGUGAGCCUCUAGUUGACUAGCUCGUUGAUCAACAGAUAGUCAUGGUUUCCUGACUAUGGACACUGGAUGUCAUUGAUAACGAGAUCACAUCAUUGGGAGAAUGAUGUGAUGGACAAGACCCAAUCCUAAACAUAGCACAAGAUCGUAUAGUUCGUUUGCUAGAGUUUUCUAAUGUCAAGUAUCUAUUCCUUUGACCAUGAGAUCGUGUGACUCCCGGAUACCGUAGGAGUGCUUUGGGUGUGCCAAACGUCACAACGUAACUGGGUGACUAUAAAGGUAGACUACGGGUAUCUCCGAAAGUGUCUGUUGGGUGACAUGGACCAAGACUGGGAUUUGUCACUCCGUAUGACGGAGAGGUAUCACUGGGCCCACUCGGUAAUGCAUCAUCAUAAUGAGCUCAGAGUGACCAAGUGUCUGGUCACGGGAUCAUGCAUUACAGUACGAGUAAAGUGACUUGCCGGUAACGAGAUUGAACAAGGUAUUGGGAUACCGACGAUCGAAUCUCGGGCAAGUAAUAUAUCGAUAGACAAAGGGAAUAGCGUACGGGAUUGAUUAAAUCCUCGACAUCGUGGUUCAUCCGAUGAGAUCAUCGUGGAGCAUGUGGGAGCCAACAUGGGUAUCCAGAUCCCGCUGUUGGUUAUUGACCGGAGAGUCGUCUUGGUCAUGUCUGCUUGUCUCCCGAACCCGUAGGGUCUACACACUUAAGGUUCGGUGACGCUAGGGUUAUGAAGAUAUGUAUAUGCAGAAACCCGAAUGUUGUUCGGAGUCCCGGAUGAGAUCCCGGACGUCACGAGGAGUUCCGGAAUGGUCCGGAGGUAAAGAAUUAUAUAUAGGAAGUGCUGUUUCGGGCAUCGGGACAAGUUUCGGGGUUAUCGGUAUUGUACCAGGACCACCGGAAGGGUCCCGGGGGUCCACCGGGUGGGCCACCUGUCCCGGGGGGCCACAUGGGCUGUAGGGGGUGCGCCUUGGCCUAGAUGGGCCAAGGGCACCACCCCCUAUAGGCCCAUGCGCCUAGGGUUUCCACCAUGGAAGAGUCCAUGUGGUGGAAGGCACCCCUAGGUGCCUUGGGGGGGAGGGAAACCUCCCCUUGGCCGCCGCCCCCCCUAGUAGAUCUCAUCUACUAGGGCCGGCGCCCCCCCUGGCACCCCUAUAUAUAGUGGGGGGAGAGGAGGGAUUUUACACCAGCUCCUGGCGCCUAUAUCUCCCCCCGUUACGUCUCUCCCUCGUAGUAUCGGCGAAGCCCUGCUGCUGUGACGCCCUGCAUCCACCACCACGCCGUCGUGCUGCUGGAUCUUCAUCAACCUCUCCUUCUCCCUUGCUGGAUCAAGGAGGAGACGUCUCCCGUCCCGUACGUGUGUUGAACGCGGAGGUGUCGUCCGUUCGGCGCUGGUCAUCGGUGAUUUGGAUCACGUCGAGUACGACUACAUCAUCACCGUUCUUUUGAACGCUUCCGUGCGCGAUCUACAAAGGUAUGUAGAUGCAUCUAAUCACUCAUUGCUAGAUGAACUCCUAGAUGAUCUUGGUGAAACGAGUAGGAAAAUUUUUGUUUUCUGCAACGUUCCCCAACAAGCCUAACGUGUAAUAAUGUACUUGUACGUACCAAAUCAAUUGCACUUUCCUCAACCUAAAAGAAAACAAAAAAAUAAAACUAUUCACACCUCACAAAAGAGAGAGUCUUGCCCCGUUUUACUAUACAAGUGCUAUUCAAAGCUACUCCCUCCUUCCUUAUAAAUAGGGCCUAAUGCAUUUUUUGAUGCUAACUUUGACCAAAUAUUAGAGCAAUAAUAUAUGACAUGCAACUUACACAAAGCACAUCAUUAAAUUCGUCUGUGAAAGGAGCUUUCAAUGAUACAAUUUUCACAUUGUGCAUGUCAUGUACUAUUAAUCUUGUCAAUAGUCAAAGGCGGUCUUAAAAACGCAUUAUGCCCUAUAUAGAUGGAAGGAGGGAGUAUGAAUCCAUGUUAUGUCCAAAUAAAUUUUUUCGCUUGCUGUAUAAUGCAUGUAACCUACUCAUACCAACAUUUUAGUGCAUUCCAAAUGUCUAUACUACCACUACAAUUCGAACUGAAUUUGAAUUUGUUUCUCUAUUUCAAUAAGAAUCUACAAUCAUGAUUGUUGCCAACUUCAACCAUCAUUCGUGUAUUACCUUAAUAACACACCACAUGAUUACUAUAGAGAUAGAUAUGAACUAUGUGUACUACAUGAACUCGAAUUCUAUCUUUUGAAUACACUUGAUAUUGAUUCCAAAUAAUAAUACAUUUGAUGUACUAACUAUAUAUUCAUAAUCUAAACCAUGUUCCAUACGUACACCGUGUUUAUCACACAGAGUAUAGUGCCCCGCCCCCUACAUUAUGACAAGUAUUUAGACCUGAGCUGCAAAAGCCACACAUUAGCCCAAAUUAUAAUCAAUGUUCUACAUUAUGAUAUCUUCUUCAAGUAUCCGUAUCCACUUUUUUAUAAUGAAUUAUGAUCUUUGUUCGUCUUUUACACCUUCACGAUCCUCUUCUAUUUGUAGCUAGCUAGCGCCAACUUUCUAUCAUGCAUGCACACUCCCGCCCCCUCUCACCCACCCUUAGCAUCCCCUCCAUCACGCACGUUCGUUAUUUCUCUUUAGGUUGUCCACCCGCGGUGUGUGUAGGCCCCCGGCUCCUUCUUUCCGGCACACACCGAUCGAUAUACCUCUCUAGCCAAGUGUGCCUACAACAAACACAUAUAUACUUCCCCUCUUCUCUUCUCAUCGUCCAUGCCCCCCUAUGUCCAAUACGGUUCCACGCAGGUGCACACUCCCGCCCCUCUUUUCAUUGAUCUCAUACUUGCACACUCCUCCCCCUCGACAUGGUAGGCCUCUCGCACCACCUCCUAGCCGCACCCCUCUCCCCCUGUCUGUCUCUCCGGACCUUAUUUGCUUCUAACACAUACAGGCAUGCAUACGUACUGAUCUCCCUACAUAUAGCCAGGUCGACUAUAAUUCGUUUUUGCCACGCACCGAUACACUUACCUCGCUAGUUAUGUUUCUCCCUUUCUCGGACACACGAUGGUUGAUCUUCCUAUGUAGUUACGUAUGCUUACCACAACCAUAUCGUCUCCCCUCAUCAUCCUUGCAUACCUCCCGACCCGUCUCUCACAUGCACGUGCAUUGACAGACAGACAUCCCCCGCCCUCUCUUAUUGAUAUUACACUCGUACCCUCCAUUUGUCUAGCAGGCCUCUCCCACCAUUUGUGAGACGCCACUCCACCACCAACCCUCUGACGCUCUACCUUUGUCUUUCUCCCAACCUUAUUCCUCUGCUACACAUAUCCAUGGAUGUCGAUCGAUCUCCCUCAGUACAUAGCUAGGUCUCUCUCCUUCCCCACACAUAUACUAGUCGAUCGGUCUCUGCCCCCUCCCCCCCCCCCACACACACCGAUAGUCGAACGUUGUAGGUAGGUAUCCAUGCCACGGAGAAAAACUGCACCUCUGCCAUCUCAAAUUCCAGUAGGCCAGCCGCCCUAUAUCUUUGACGUGGGCAAACAAAAAUUUGACGGCACUCUUUAUCGAUCGCGCAGCCACACACUUCAUCCCUGUUUUUAGUUCUAUCGAUAUCUCACGUCCAUGACUCCAUUUCACACACAUUUCAUAUGUUACGUUUUUCUGUCUGAGAUAUCAUCAACACAUUGCCUUUGUUUCGCACAAACCAUCUCUCUCACACCCACCCACGUACGUACCUGCACCUAAAGAAGAGGUGCACGCAGGACACAUGUACUCACGUCUUGUUCACAGCCACACCCGUGCGGGUACACGGUGGAGUUCAUUUAUGUAUGAAAAGGCAGCCCACGUGAUAAUUUGACGCAUGUAACGGUUGUUUACUCGAAGGAGGGUCGGGUACCACGCCUAGAAGGAACAAAGUUCGACUUGAUGCGUUAGUAUUAAAUAAAGUUAUAUAUUCCUCAAUGGCACGUAUAGAAUAUAAAAUGAUUGCCAUGGGGAAAAUGGAAAAAUAGGUUUGUCUCUCGUCACACCAUCUCACACAAGGCGGCAGUGGCCUCUCUCUCUCUCUCUCUCAGCGUUGGUCAGUGAUCUGGCCGCAUCCCGUCCGCCGGCGGAAAGGGAGGAUGUACUCUCCGUUCGACAGCAUUGAGGCAGCAUGUCCCGAUCUGCGGUACCCGCCGUUCUCUCUGACCAAGCUCCGGCGCGGUAGGGCCUUCGCCACUUGCUCGUUGCCGUAGUAUGGGCAGAUCCCGGCCGCCGGCGCCCUCCUAGUAACAUCUCGACGACCCUCAGGUACAGCUUCCUCCGGCCUUGCUCCACUGCCCAUCUUCCCACAUUGCUGCAUGUGGAUCUUCUUUAGUUGUUUCCUUAAAUCGUAUCUCGGUCGGCGUACCUUCCAUCUUGCAAUCUCGUCCUCAAACCAUUUUUGAUAGACCACCAUGUUCUAUCUUUCCCUUAUUACAUGGAAUAUGCUUAUUUUUUGUCGGUGUAUGUGUCUUCAACUCGUGUUAAUGGGCAGUAAUUGUUUCCUUUCUACCUCCUUUUGCAAAAAGGGCUAUUCAUUUUCACCUCAUUGCUAUUGCGACCUUUUGGUGAACUGAACAAGUCAUUUUUUUCUUAAGAGUGUUUUGUGCAGUUCCGCCAAAAUGUCACAUGGGCAAAAAUUUUACAUUUCUAUGGGACUGCAGAAAGGGAGAUUGGUUUUUCUAUCCUCCUCAUCCAACUCCGUGCCUAAUCUUCUCUAACAAGAAGUUAGUCCUAAAGAGAGAUCGUAGAGGUGAUCGGCUUCUAUUUAUGUGUGUUAUGUUUCAUCAUAUAGUUCCACUAUUAUUGUAAUCAUACUGACUAGAUAUCUUUGCAAACAGGGAUGGUCCGCUCGAUUUUAGUGGAGCUGCACAAAAUGAUCGGAUUGUCGUGUCCUCCAUACACCUCUUUUUGGCUACAGAGCUGGGUGAAACUAGCUGCCAAGCAAUGAACACUGUGCCAAGGAAAUGGAGCCAUGCCUACGAACAACAUCAAUCAAUUAUAUUCUUUUCUUUAUUUGUACACCUUGUCACAACUUUGUCUUCAGUUGUGAUGUGAAUAUUGGCGCUGAUCUGCGAACCAUUGAGAUGCAUUAGCCAUGGUAGCCAUGGUAGUUUCAUUUGUAUUUGAUGGAAUGUUGUAACGAGAUAAUCUUGAGGCAGGACACAUGAAUCCUAAGUUGAAACCUUUUUUUCCUGCGGGAACCAAAGUUGAAACCUUCAUAGCAUCACAGUACAAUUUCAUCAAAAUUAUGCGUACAUAUAAACAAAUCCCGAAGGAUUGAUAGCAAUGCCAGAAACAAUUCAACUUAGUUUCGCCGACAUGUUGGACAUCGUUCAUCCGGCUCCACCUGCCAUGCAGCAAUAUUGAGUGCACAACACAACUGCAGGGAAAGAUUCACCCCGGUCGUUGCACCGCAGUAGUAAUGACUAGUGAGCAGUCAAAUCAUAGAGCCCCACCUUCGCCACAGUAAGUUGCUCGGAUGAAGCAACCAUCAUUUCUCUGUUCCUUGAAUCCGCUGGUACUCCCAUAUUCCCACAAUAAUAAUUUGCUCGGGCGAAUCAACCAUCACUUCACCUUUCGCACAGUAAGUACUAGCACCUCCUUUUCUUACUCUAGAAACAACCUUACGCGAAUAUUGGACGGUAGCAGCAUAGCAACUGAAUCAAAAAUUCUAUAGUAUGAGAAUAACUUUGAAUGUAAGCCAUUGAUUCACUCUAUCCAAUGGUCAUAGUUGGAAAAUCCAAACAAAACCAAGCAUUGGAUCAACUCUUUUAGCACUCAGAUUGUUGCCGCCUGCUCAACCGCCUUCCCACCUAGCCCGCCUAUAUAUCCGCUCACGUGUGAUGACCACAGGAGCUAUCCAUUCAAAUUGUAUGUUAAGAAAUAAAGGUCGAUAACUAAUGCGGCACCUCGGGCCAACGCGGCCAGAUCGCAUUUUGCACGGGAAAUUACACACCAUGUUUCAUUGACAUGUGGUACCGUUCCAACAUGUCAGUGAGACGACGGUGAGUCCUUUUCUACUAGUAUUUCCAAACGGACGUGUAGGCCGGGGCGCCUUUUCGUGUACCAUGGCAAACUGGCAACCGUCCACCGACUCUUUGCCUUUCCCUCUCGAUUUGGAACUGUUCUCGCACGCUCUUCCUCCCUCCUCCAUUUGCCUUCACCCUUCCUUCUGCCAUUGUUUGAUCGUCUUCUCCAUGGAGGGAACAGGCUGGAAAUGACCCCGUUAUUCUUUCCCCGAUCUGAAAGAUGACGUGGUGGAGGAACUCAUUGAUCGGUGCAACGUCGUCACCUCGGCUGGCAUGGCAGGUUCGUUCAAGACCAUUCUCGACUCAACUAAUAACAUCAUUACAAGGAACCCAAGGGUCAAGGAGUGGUUUGAUCUCCCCUAUCUUCUUUGCCGUGACCCUGAUGACUGGCGCAGGGACGACGGAGGCCUCGCCUUGUGCAAGUUGAUGUUGCUUGAUAAUGAUAUGUUUGAUGUUAAGAUGCCAUUGCUAAAGGGCAAGGAUUGAGCAGGCGCAAAUGGAGAUUGGGUUGUUUAUAUUGGGUACAACUGCGAGUGGGAACUUGUGAAUUUGUACACUCAUCAUCGGGUUCCACUUCGAAAAAUCUCAGCAGACUGCCCAGAGGUUGAGCACACCGGUAUUCUACGCACGUAUACGAUCAUGGUGACUGUCUUCUAUGGAAGAUAGCAAUUUGUCGAGUUCCCAGCCGCUCUUGGAAUUACAAGAACUAUGAAGUUGUUGCUAUCUUCGACAAGCUUGUUGCCGUCCUUUGUGGUUCGACUCGAUGGAUAUUGCUCAAAAAUCAUUUUCUAUACACGGAUGUGUACUGUGAUACAAUUGAAUACGAGGGUCUUGUGUUUGCUUCCACCACUCAUGGCACUGUUUUUGCAUGGGAUCCUCGUAGUUUCGGUACAUUUGUCUUCCACCGUAAUUAUAAUUGUUUCAUCCACAUGCAUGUGGGUUAGCAAGUUUCCCUUUACUAAUUAACCUUCUUCUUGUGUUUCCAAGGUCCUGUGAACAUUCCACCACCUAUACUUGAAAAUUUUUAUAACCAAGGGGGAGAUGACGAUGGUGAUGAUCACGAGCAUGAGGACGAGCAGAACUUAUAUACUCAGUGGCGCCUGGCAACUAAUUCCGAUGGAUCACCUCUUCUUGUCUGUAUACAGCGCACUGAGUUUGUUACUACCGAGGGAGCACGUGUUGUCUCCCAUGGUCGCACUCUCCGGACCUAUUCCAACACUCGUUGCAUGGUAUUUGGGAUGGAUACUAGUGUGCUAGCGCCAACACCUUCUCCCUGGUACAAUAUUGAUAGUCUUGGAGAAAACUCGCUCUUCCUUGGACAAAACUAUCCGAUGAUGGUGAAAGGCGAUCCAACUACUGUUGACACAACGUUACUACCAUUUAUGAGAAGCAACUGUAUCUAUACCUCGGACAUUUGGAUGGUUCCGUACCCUGGUACUGAUAUAGUAGGCCGCUUCAGCCUGGAUGAUCAGUCCUGCGUUGGUCUCGAGAUCGACAAUAGAUGGCCCGUCCCAGAGAAUCACUUGUGGUUCAAAGCAAGUGUUUCCAACGCCGAGGAUUGGUUGAGUUGAAGUUCAUUUCAUCGCUUGUUAUUUGUUGUGUGAUGAAAACUUUAGUACUUAUAAUGUAUCCUCUUUGUCGAUGUGGGUUGAUGACCUGUUGUAUGUAAUAAAAUGAAAUGCCUGUGAUAAACUUACUAAAUUUAUGAAUGGCUUUCGAGUCGCUUCUCUGAGUGAGUGAUGCAACGAGGCAAAAAAAUAUUUUCCGAAUACAUAAUUGUACGUGCAUUGCAACAGGUUAUCGGAUGAGGCCAAUCAACAAUAGUAGUACACCAUUUGUACUAGCUUCACAUGCUUUGCGCGUCGGGCGGGUGUUUUUACGGUAGCCAUAUAUUAAUGUGUUCGUUGUACAUAACCAGCACCUCGAGAAUCCUCGAUACUACUAGUAAUAUAUAAGUAGUAGGAGUAGUAGGGUGGCAUGGGCCAGAACAAGCAUUCACGUCCAGGAGUACGGCACACGCCACCAGCACGACUUCCAUCUGAGACCAUAUUUCUUGGAGUCCGUGCUAGAGCAAUCUCUUCAACCUCGUCGUUUCUCUAACUUAGCCAUCACGCGGCGGGCGAGGUGGGGGUUUGUGAUAGUCGGUUGUUGGAAAUAUGCCCUAGAGGCAAUAAUAAAUUGAUUGUUAUUAUAUUUCCUUGUUCUUGAUAAUCGUUUAUUAUCCAUGCUAGAAUUGUAUUGAUAGGAAACUCAGAUACAUGUGUGGAUACAUAGACAACACCAUGUCCCUAGUAAGCCUCUAGUUGACUAGCUCGUUAAUCAAUAGAUGGUUACGGUUUCCUAACCAUGGACAUUGGAUGUCGUUGAUAACGGGAACACAUCAUUAGGAGAAUGAUGUGAUGGACAAGACCCAAUCCUAAGCCUAGCACAAGAUCAUGUAGUUCGUAUGCUAAAGCUUUUCUAAUGUCAAGUAUCAUUUCCUUAGACCAUGACAUUGUGCAACUCCCGGAUACCGUAGGAGUGCUUUGGGUGUGCCAAACGUCACAACGUAACUGGGUGGCUAUAAAGGUACACUAUGGGUAUCUCUGAAAGUGUCUAUUGGGUUGGCACGAAUCGAGAUUGGGAUUUUGUCACUCCGUGUAAACGGAGAGGUAUCUCUGGGCCCACUCGGUAGGACAUCAUCAUAAUGUGCACAAUGUGACCAAGGGGUUGAUCACGGGAUGAUGUGUUACGGAACGAGUAAAGAGACUUGCCGGUAACGAGAUUGAACAAGGUAUCGGUAUACCGACGAUCGAAUCUCGGGCAAGUACCAUACCGCUAGACAAAGGGAAUUGUAUACGGGAUCGAUUGAGUCCUUGACAUCGUGGUUCAUCCGAUGAGAUCAUCGUGGAACAUGUGGGAGCCAACAUGGGUAUCCAGAUCCCGCUGUUGGUUAUUGACCGGAGAACAUCUCGGUCAUGUCUGCAUGUCUCCCGAACCCGUAGGGUCUACACACUUAAGGUUCGAUGACGCUAGGGUUAUAAAGGAAGUUUGUAUGUGGUUACUGAAUGUUGUUCGGAGUCCCGGAUGAGAUCCUGGACGUCACGAGGAGUUCCGGAAUGGUCCGGAGGUAAAGAUUUAUAUAUAGGAAGUCCUAUUUCGGCCAUCGGGACAAGUUUCGGGGUCAUCGGUAUUGUACCGGGACCACCGGAAGGGUCCCGGGGGCCCACCGGGUGGGGCCACCUGCCCCGGGGGGCCACAUGGGCUGUAGGGGGUGCGCCUUGGCCUACAUGGGCCAAGGGAACCAGCCCCUAGAGGCCCAUGCGCCAAGAUAUAGGAAAAAGGGGAGAGUCCUAAAGGGGGAAGGCACCUCCGAGGUGCCUUGGGGAGGAUGGACUCCUCCCCCCUCUUAGCCGCACCCCUUCCUUGGAGGAAGGGGCAAGGCUGCGCCUCCCCCCUCUCCCCUGCCCCUAUAUAUAGUGGAGGGGAGGGAGGGCAUCCAAACCUGAGCCCUUGGCGCCUCCCUCCCUCCCGUGACACCUCCUCCUCUCCCGUAGGUGCUUGGCGAAGCCCUGCAGGAUUGCCACGCUCCUCCAUCACCACCACGCCGUUGUGCUGCUGCUGGAUGGAGUCUUCCUCAACCUCUCCCUCUCUCCUUGCUGGAUCAAGGCGUGGGAGACAUCGUCGAGCUGUACGUGUGUUGAACGCGGAGGUGCCGUCCGUUCGGCACUAGGAUCAUCGGUGAUCUGAAUCACGACGAGUACGACUCCAUCAACCCCGUUCACUUGAACGCUUCCGCUUAGCGAUCUACAAGGGUAUGUAGAUGCACUCUCCUUCCCCUCGUUGCUAGUCUCUCCAUAGAUAGAUCUUGGUGACACGUAGGAAAAUUUUGAAUUUCUGCUACGUUCCCCAACAGUGGCAUCAUGAGCUAGGUCUAUGUGUAGUUUCUUUGCACGAGUAGAACACAAAGUAGUUGUGGGCGUCGAUAUUGUUCAAUAUGCUUGCCGUUACUAGUCUUAUCUUGAUUCGGCGGCAUCGUGGGAUGAAGCGGCCCGGACCAACCUUACACGUACGCUUACGUGAGACCGGUUCCACCGACAAACAUGCACUAGUUGCAUAAGGUGGCUGGCGGGUGUCUGUCUCUCCCACUUUAGUCGGAUCGGAUUCGAUGAAAAGGGUCCUUAUGAAGGGUAAAUAGAAAUUGGCAUAUCACGUUGUGGUUCAUGCGUAGGUAAGAAACGUUCUUGCUAGAAACCCAUAGCAGCCACGUAAAACAUGCAAACAACAAUUAGAGGACGUCUAACUUGUUUUUGCAGGGUAUGCUAUGUGAUGUGAUAUGGCCAAAGGAUGUGAUGAAUGAUAUAUGUGAUGUAUGAGAUUGAUCAUGUUCUUGUAAUAGGAAUCACGACUUGCAUGUCGAUGAGUAUGACAACCGGCAGGAGCCAUAGGAGUUGUCUUUAUUUAUUUGUGACCUGCGAGUCAACUUAAACGUCAUGUAAUUACUUUACUUUAUUGCUAACCGUUAGCCAUAGUAGUAGAAGUAAUAGUUGGCGAGGCAACUUCAUGAAGACACGAUGAUGGAGAUCAUGAUGAUGGAGAUCAUGGUGUCAUGCCGGUGACGAUGAUGAUCAUGGAGCCCCGAAGAUGGAGAUCAAAAGGAGCAAAGUGAUGAUGGCCAUAUCAUGUCACUAUUUGAUUGCAUGUGAUGUUUAUCAUGUUUAUACAUCUUAUUUGCUUAGAACGACGGUAGUAAAUAAGAUGAUCCCUUACAACAAUUUCAAGAAGUGUUCUCCCCUAACUGUGCACCGUUGCGACAGUUCGUGUUUUGAAGCACCACGUGAUGAUCGGGUGUUAGAUUCUAACGUUCACAUACAACGGGUGUAAGACAGAUUUACACACGCGAAACACUUAGGGUUAACUUGACGAGCCUAGCAUGUACAGACAUGGCCUCGGAACACGAAGACCGAAAGGUCGAGCAUGAGUCGUAUAGAAGAUACGAUCAACAUGAAGAUGUUCACCGAUGAUGACUAGUCCGUCUCACAUGAUGAUCGGACACGGCCUAGUUUGACUUGGAUCAUGUAAUCACUUAGAUGACUAGAGGGAUGUCUAUCUGAGUGGGAGUUCAUAAGAUGAACUUAAUUAUCCUGAACAUAGUCAAAAGGAUUUUGCAAAUUAUGUCGUAGCUCACGCUAUAGUUCUACUGUUUAGAUAUGUUCCUAGAGAAAAAUUAGUUGAAAGUUGAUAGUAGCAAUUAUGCGGACUAGAUCCGUAAACUGAGGAUUGUCCUCAUUGCUUCAUAGAAGGCUUAUGUCCUUAAUGCACCGCUCAGUGUGCUGAACCUCGAACGUUGUCUGUGGUUGUUGCGAACAUCUGACAUACACGUUUUGAUAACUACGUGAUAGUUCAGUUAAACGGUUUAGAGUUGAGGCACCAAAGACAUUUUUGAAACGUCGCGAAACAUAUGAGAUGUUUUGAGGGCUGAAAUUGGGAUUUCAGGCUCGUGCCCAUGUCAAGAGGUAUAAGACCUCUGAUGACUUUCUUAACCUGCAAACUAAGGAGAAAAGCUCAAUUUUUGAGCUUGUGCUCAGAUUGUCUGAGUACAACAAUCAUUUGAAUCAAGUGGGAGUUGAUCUUCCAGAUAAGACAGUGAUGGUUCUCCAAAGUCAUUGCCACCAAGCUGUUAGAGCUUAGUGAUGAACUAUAACAUAUCAGGGAUAGAUAUGAUGAUCCUUGAGGUAUUCGCGAUGUUUGACACCGCGAAAGUAGAAAUCAAGAAGGAGCAGCAAUUGUUGAUGGUUGGUGAAACCACUAGUUUCAAGAAGGGCAAGGGCAAGAAGGGAUACUUCAUGAAACGAUAAAUCAGCUGCUGCUCUAGUGAAGAAACCCAAGGUAAAACCCAAACCCGAGACUAAGUGCUUCUGUAAUAAGGGGAACAACCACUAGAGCAGAAUUACCCUAGAUACUUGGUAGAUAAGAAGGCUGGCAAGGUCGAUAGAAGUAUAUUGGAUAUACAUUGUGUUAAUGUGUACUUUGCUAGUACUCCUAGUAGCACCAGGGUAUUAGAUACCGGUUCGGUUGCUAAGUGUUAGUAACUCGAAACAAAAGGCUACGGAAUAAACGGAGACUAGCUAAAGGUGAGCUGACGAUAUGUGUUGGAAGUUUUUCCAAGCUUGAUAUGAUCAAGCAUCGCACGCUCCCUCUACCAAAGAGAUUGGUGUUAAACCUAGAUAAUUGUUAUUUGGUGUUUGCGUUGAGCAUAGACAUGAUUGGAUUACGUCUAUCGCAAUACGGUUAUUCAUUUAAGGAGAAUAAUGGUUACUCUGUUUAUUUGAAUAAUACCUUCAAUGGUCUUACACCUAAAAUGAAUGGUUUAUUAAAUCUCGAUCGUAGUGAUACACAUGUUCAUGCCAAAAGAUAGUAAUGAUAGUACCACCUACUUGUGGCACUGCCACAUAAGUCAUAUCGGUAUAAAACGCAUGAAGAAGCUCCAUACUGAUGGAUCUUUGGGCUCACUCGUUUUUGAAAAGUUUGAGACAUGCGAACCAUGUCUAUUGGUGUAUAUGCAUGAAGAAACUCCAUGCAAAUGGACCGUUUUGACUCACUUGAUUUUGAAUCACUUGGGACAUGCAAAUCAUACCACACGGGCAAGAUGACUGAAAAGCCUCGUUUUCAGUAAGAUGGAACAAGAUAGCAACUUGUUGGAAGUAAUACAUUUUGAUGUGUACAGUCCAAUGAGUGCUGAGGCAUGUAGUGGAUAUUGUUAUGUUCUUACUUCACAGGUAAUUUGAGUGGAUGUUGAGUACAUUUACUUGAUGAAUCAUGAGUCUGAAUUAUUGAAAGGUUCAAGUAAUUUCAGGGUGAAGUUGAAAGAUCGUCGUGACAAGAGGAUAAAAUAUCUAUGAUAUGAUCAUAGAGAUGAAUAUCUGAAUUACGAGUUUGGCACAGAAUUAAGACAUUGUGGAAAUAGUUUCACAACUAAUACAGCCUGGAACACCAUAGUGUGAUGGUGUGUCCGAACAUCAUAACUGCACCCUAUUGGAUAUGAUGCAUACCAUGAUGUCUCUUAUCGAAGUACCACUAUAGUUUAUGGGUUAGGCAUUAGAGACAACCACAUUCACUUUAAAUAGGGCACCACGUAAUUCCGAUGAGAUGACACCAUAUGAACUAUGGUUUAGAGAAACCUAAGCUGUCAUUUCUUAGAAGUUUGGGGCUGCGACGCUUAUGUGAAAAAGUUUUAGGCUGAUAAGCUCGAACCCAAAGCGGAUAAAUGCAUCUUCAUAGGAAACCCAAACAGUUGGGUAUACCUCCUGUCUCAGAUCCGAAAGCAAUAAGGGAUUGUUUCUAGAAUCGGGUACUUUCUCGAGAAAAAAAUUCUCUCGAAAGAAUUGAGUGGGAGGAUGGUGGAGACUUGAUGAGGUUAUUGAACCGUCACUUCAACAAGUGUGUAGCAGGGCACAGGAACUUGUUCCUGUGGCACCUACACCAAUUGAAGUGGAAGCUUAUGAUAGUGAUCAUGAAGUUUCGGAUCAAGUCACUACCGAACCUCGUAGGGUGACCAGGAUACGUACUACUUCAGAGUGGUACAGUAAUCCUGUCUUGGAAGUCAUGUUGCUAGACAACAAUGAACCUUAGAGCAAUGGAGAAGCGAUGGUGGGCCCGGAUUCCGAUAAAUGGCUCGAGGCCAUAAAAUCCGAGAGAGGAUCCAUGUAUGAAAACAAAGUGUAGACUUUGGCAGAACGGCUCGAUGGUCGUAAGGCUAUUGAGUACAGAUGGAUUUUGAAAGGAAGACAGACAAUGAUGGUAAGUGUCACCAUUGAGAAAGCUCGACUUGUCGUUAAGAUGUUUUUCGACAAGUUCAAGGAGUUGACUACGAUGAGACUUUCUCACUCGUAGCGAUGCUAAGAGUCUGUUGGAAUUAUAUUAGCAAUUACUGCAUUAUUUAUGAAAUCUUGCAGAUAGGAUGUCAAAACAUUGUUUCCUCGACGAUUCUUGAGGAAAGGUUGUAUGUGAUACAACCGGAAGGUUUUGUCUAUCUUGAAAUAUGCUAAUAAGUAUGCAAAGCUCCAGCAAUCCUUCUGAGGACUGGAGUGAGCAUCUCGGAGUUGGAAUGUAUGCUUUGAUGAUGAUCAAAGAUUUUGGGUGUAUACAAAGUUUAUGAGAAACUUGUAUUUCCAAAGAAGUGAGUGGGGGCACUAUAGAAUUUCUGAUGAGUAUAUGUUGUUGACAUAUUAAUGAUCAGAAAUGACGUAGAAUUUCUGGAAAGCAUAUAGGGUUAUUUGGAAAGUGUUUUCAAUGGAAAACCUGGAUUAAGCUACUUGAACAUUGAGCAUCAAGAUCUAUAAGGAUAGAUCAAAACGCUUAAUAGUACUUUCAAAUGAGCACAUGCCUUGACGUGAUCUUGAAGGUGUUCAAGAUGGAUCAGUCAAAGAAGGAGUUCUUGCCUGAGUUGUAAGGUAUGAAGUUAAGACUUAAAAGCUCGACCAUGGCAGAAUAGAGAGAAAGGAACGAAGGUCGUCCCCUAUGCUUAAGACAUAGGCUCUACAGUAUGCUAUGCUGUGUACCGCACCUGAAGUGUGCUUUACCAUGAGUCAGUCAAGGGGUACAAGAGUGAUCCAAGAAUGGAUCACAGCACAGCGGUCAAAGUUAUCCUUAGUAACUAGUGGACUAAGGAAUUUUCUCAAUUAUGGAGGUGGUAAAAGAGUUCGUCGUAAAGGGUUACGUCGAUGCAAGCUUAACACCUAUCCGGAUAGCUCUGAGUAGAGAUACCGGAUACGUAUAAUGGAGCAACAAUUUAGAAUAGCUCCAAGUAGAACAGUUAUUUGGAAUAGCUCCAAAUAGAACGUGGUAGCUGCAUCUAGGAGAUGACAUAGAGAUUUGUAAAGCACACACGAAUCUGAAAGGUUCAGACCCGUUGACUAUAACCUCUCUCACAAGCAUAACAUGAUCAAACCCAGAACUCUGUUAAUCACAUGGUAAAUGUGAACUAGAUUAUUGACUCUAGUAAACUCUUUGGGUGUUAGUCACAUGGGGAUCUGACCUUGAGUGUUAAUCACAUAUCGAUGUGAACUAGAUUAUUGACUCUAGUGCAUGUGGGAGACUGUUGGAAAUAUGCCCUAGAGCCAAUAAUAAAUUGAUUAUUAUUAUAUUUCCUUGUUCAUGAUAAUUGUUUAUUAUCCAUGCUAGAAUUGUAUUGAUAGGAAACUCAGAUACAUGUGUGGAUACAUAGACAACACCAUGUCCCUAGUAAGCCUCUAGUUGACUAGCUCGUUAAUCAAUAGAUGGUUACGGUUUCCUGACCAUGGACAUUGGAUGUCGUUGAUAAUGGGAUCACAUCAUUAGGAGAAUGAUGUGAUGGACAAGACCCAAUCCUAAGCCUAGCACAAGAUCAUGUAGUUCGUAUGCUAAAGCUUUUCUAAUGUCAAGUAUCAUUUCCUUAGACCAUGAGAUUGUGCAACUCCCGGAUACCGUAGGAGUGCUUUGGGUGUGCCAAACGUCACAACGUAACUGGGUGGCUAUAAAGGUAUACUACGGGUAUCUCUGAAAGUGUCUGUUGGGUUGGCACGAAUCGAGAUUGGGAUUUUGUCACUCCGUGUAAACAGAGAGGUAUCUCUGGGCCCACUCGGUAGGACAUCAUCAUAAUGUGCACAAUGUGACCAAGGGGUUGAUCACGGGAUGAUGUGUUACGGAACGAGUAAAGAGACUUGCCGGUAACGAGAUUGAACAAGGUAUCGGUAUACCGACGAUCGAAUCUCGGGCAAGCACCAUACCGCUAGACAAAGGGAAUUGUAUACGGGAUCGAUUGAGUCCUUGACAUCGUGGUUCAUCCGAUGAGAUCAUCGUGGAACAUGUGGGAGCCAACAUGGGUAUCUAGAUCCCGCUGUUGGUUAUUGACCGGAGAACAUCUCGGUCAUGUCUGCAUGUCUCCCGAACCCGUAGGGUCUACACACUUAAGGUUCGAUGACGCUAGGGUUAUAAAGGAAGUUUGUAUGUGGUUACCGAAUGUUGUUCGGAGUCCCGGAUGAGAUCCCGGACGUCACGAGGAGUUCCGGAAUGGUCCGGAGGUAAAGAUUUAUAUAUAGGAAGUCCUGUUUCGGCCAUCGGGACAAGUUUCAGGGUCAUCGGUAUUGUACCGGGACCACCGGAAGGGUCCCGGGGGCCCACCGGGUGGGGCCACCUGCCCCGGGGGGCCACAUGGGCUGUAGGGGGUGCGCCUUGGCCUACAUGGGCCAAGGGCACCAUCCCCUAGAGGCCCAUGCGCCAAGAUAUAGGAAAAAGGGGAGAGUCCUAAAGGGGGAAGGCACCUCCGAGGUGCCUUGGGGAGGAUGGACUCCUCCCCCCCUCUUAGCCGCACCCCUUCCUUGGAGGAAGGGGCAAGGCUGCGCCUCCCCCCUCUCCCCUGCCCCUAUAUAUAGUGGAGGGGAGGGAGGGCAUCCAAACCUGAGCCCUUGGCACCUCCCUCCCUCCCGUGACACCUCCUCCUCUCCCGUAGGUGCUUGGCGAAGCCCUGCAGGAUUGCCACGCUCCUCCAUCACCACCACGCCGUUGUGCUGCUGCUGGAUGGAGUCUUCCUCAACCUCUCCCUCUCUCCUUGCUGGAUCAAGGCGUGGGAGACAUCGUCGAGCUGUACGUGUGUUGAACGCGGAGGUGCCGUCCGUUCGGCACUAGGAUCAUCGGUGAUCUGAAUCACGACGAGUACGACUCCAUCAACCCCGUUCACUUGAACGCUUCCGCUUAGCGAUCUACAAGGGUAUGUAGAUGCACUCUCCUUCCCCUCGUUGCUAGUCUCUCCAUAGAUAGAUCUUGGUGACACGUAGGAAAAUUUUGAAUUUCUGCUACGUUCCCCAACAUCGGUUUCCUCAACUGUGGUCCCACUUGUAAGGCCAACUCCAACGCACGACCCCAAAUGGACCUCGGUUUUGCCCGGAUUCUGUCUGUUUGGGUAGGGCAGUGGGGUCGUCUCUGGGCCAUUUCUUAGAUGCGGUGGCCGUGCACCGAACUCGCGGAUGCAUCCUGGCCGCGUACUUUUUUCUUCGCAAACACAUAUCUUUUUUUCAUCAUUGAUUUUUUGGUACAUGGAAAUACAUCACCAAAAUUUUGACUUGAAAAGCAAGACCAAAGAAAACAAGAACCACAAGAAUACAUUUUAGAAGAUAUCCAACUGCCAUAACUGCUCCGGUAAGUUGGAUUAGUGCCUUCUCGAUGCAUUCAUUGUUGAUCUGCGGAGGCUCGAUCUUGCGUGCUUCUUUCUUCUUCGAGUGUAAAGAAGUAGACGUUGCUUCCUCGUAUCUAGUCUCAUGUCUAGCCUCUAUUCUAUCAACAAGUGCACUUGUCUCAUCUCUAGCCUCUAUGCUAGCUAAAAGUGCUAGAACAUCUACUAAAUUGUGCUCUAUCAAUAUAUCGAUGUACUCUUCUUCCCAAUACCAAAACAUGCAUCCAUUCUACACAAUAAAAUUUGAAGUUAGCACAACUAGUCUAAUCCGAGAGCACAAACGAAGAUCUAGUCGGGUUCUUCCUCCUUUUGCCGACACGUGGGACAUCCAGCAUCCAGGUCGUGUCAUGCAAGAAAAUAGAGUGGUAGUUGAAGCCACGUGAUGUGCAUCUUGGGUUAAACUAUAAAUAGAAUCUUACUACUCUUGAGUAACUCCAAAAGCGGCCACCUAAGAUCUUUAUUGGAUUUGUUUUUCAUCACCAGCACGUCAAGGUGAAAGAUGUGCAGGUUCAGUGGGUCCUCUAGUGUUUUCACUGACAUGUGGGACCGCAUAUGAGCAAACGGAUGAUGGGCUCCGCACGUCCGUUGGCUUGCUGAGAAGAGAGAUAGAGGAGGGCUGAGCAUGGACUCCAGGAAAUUUGUUCUAUGUAAUCAGCACCUCGAUAUUCGUGUGUGGUUGUUUCUAGAAUAAAAAAAGGAGGUAGCCCUACUUAUGUUACUCCCACUAUGCCUAGCCAAAGGUUAGUAGGUGACCUUGCGCUUGGCUCUUCGCCUCUUCUGGAAGUCGAUGGUUCUACAUUAGUACUUUCUGGCAAUCUGACACCAAAUGAACUCCUGCAUGUCCACCGCUUGUAAGCAAAAGUUUAUCCUCGUGCUGCAAGCCACCGCGCAUGCGUUGGUGAGGGAGAAGGCAUAAUCAAGCUUCUCAUCGUUCUGCGAGUUGACGGGACACAUCAAAGUUAUUUAGUACGUACUCUCUCCAAAAAAGGGAUGACCAUGUCAUGGCUACCAUCCCGUGCUCCGUCGUUGAGUACGUGCACUAUUCACGUGCCAUAGAGGAGAAAAAAUAUUGCGUAGUAGGUGCCAUCGAAGUGCACGACUCACUUACGCACUGUUUAUCUGAUUGUCUCCAUUUUCUUGCAUGAAACAUGCACCUUAAUGCUAGAUGUCUCGCGUGUUGGGAAAAGGAUGAACAAAGCUCACGUAAAAGAAAAGAUUUGAAGAACAUAGAUUCCAGACAACCGAGAAGGAGCAAGGAACCUCGCGGUGGAGCGUCUGCAAGGAACCUUGCGUGUUUUCCCCUGUUUUUUGCCGCCAGCCCACCUAUAAACAAAUAAAAGAACAUGAACUCUUUGCUAACCACUAGAAAUGAUACAUCAGGAUGCUAAGUUGAAGAUGUUUUAUAGUUUAUAUUGAUAACCACGCAACAAGCCACGCAUGUACAGGACACAUGCAGCCACGCAUGUACACACGCCAACGCACUAACUCCAUCCGAUCCAACUCAUGCACAUACGCGCAUAGCAUGGAGCACACAACACACAUACACAACACAUGCAUGCACACACACUCGGUCGCAGAAUGCACGUGAAUAACACAUGCAUGCGCACACACUCAGCUGCAUGGAUUCGUGCGCCAUCUGUGGCGACGUCCGAUUUGUCGUGCUACGGCGAAGCUCGCACACAACGGCGCCUACGCAUCUCUUGCAUCACCUCUUUGCCGUCGUUGCUCAAUGACUAGUUGGAGAUGAAGAUGAUCGCAGCCUCGGCCUUAGAGCUAGCACCGAUGGAAAAACACGCACGCUGCACGCACACGAGCACGGAUGGAGUGCCCAUGAUGUGGUGCGUCCCCGGUUGCCUCUACUCCCUCUGUGCAUGUUGUCUAUCAAGGCGACUGCAUGCCUAAUGAUGAUGUGGGUGAGAUCUUCUAGGACUCAGAUGAUGACGAGGAAAAUUAUGAGACACAAGGUGACGUACACCGUCAAGGUCCACGGUCAAGGGGGUGCUAAGUGCUAAGUGCUUAGAUGUGCUUAGCUGAGGUGCUAAGUGCAUUAAAUGGCUUACUAACUCAAGUCUUCAAUGCAUAGGUGCUUAGUUUAUUGUUGCUAAGCUUGCUUCAUUUAAUUAGCUACAGACUCAAAACUGUCUUUCCACCGUUUCUUCCUACGGUCACCAAACUAGUCUCUCUCUUCUUAAUUAACUUGCCACAUCAUAUUUUUUGCCUAGGUGGCAGGCUUAGCAGCUAUACAUGAUGGAGCACUGGGAGAGGCCAAGGCUAGUCAUAGUGGGGAGUAACUUAUACUUGAAUAUAUUACUAUGUUACUCUAAACAUCUCUAUAAACCGGGAAGGAGGGAGUAGUAACAUAGACUAGUGUCAUAUGCAGAGUAUGGGAGCACAUGAUAUUUCCCCGUCCGGACCGAUCCCAAGUUGGCUUCUCACCUUCUUGGCCCAACAAAAACCCCUCCCCCCUCCCGCGCGCGCUUCCCUCCUAGCGCCAGCUGAGCCCGCCGCUCCACAUUGAUGGCAAGUCAGGGCGACGCGACCUCUCACUGUUUCCGCCGUUGAAGCGGCGCGCUGACCGAGGGCACUGCCCGCUGCACGCCCGGCAUUUCAGACUACAUAGUGGAGAGUAACUUUAGAGCAAGUACUACAAUUAGAUGACAUAAGCAGGCUAUAAGGAUUUAAAUAUAGUAUUUGUGAUUAGUUGAUGGAGAGAGAAGAGGAGAGAGAAGAGAAGCGGAUUGUAAACUUGUAGCCGAUUGUAGCAGGAGCCCCAACAUACUUUGUGAGACAAAAGGUGGGGCCGUUAUUAAUGAUAUUGUAUUUAUACUAAAGGGACUAACGGACGCCUUAAUUACUCUGUUUUUUAGACAAACCUUGGUGGGGCUAUUAUUGACUUGGACGUGGGGUUUGGGAGCCAAAGGCCUACUAUUAUACUUGGUCUUACUCGCAGGACCGACCUGACAUGCUCUACCCUAGCCACCGAUGUAUCAUAUGGUUUCACACCGUUCCAGAUCUUAGCGCCACCACGCAAUUCUUCUCCAGCCCUCCUUCUAGCGUGCACCGCGAGAAGGGACACCAGUCCUUCGAACCCCGCCUUUCGUGAUCCUGUACGGGAGAGGGGCAAUCAGGUUUUUGGGGAGCACACUCCUGUGACUGCUGCCGGCGAUGACUUCCUCAACGACAGCCUUCUUCCCCGACCUCGGUAACCUCUUCAUCAACGACAUGAGUGACAACAUCAACCACAGCGGUUCUGCUCCCUCUAUACAGUAUGUGAUUCUCUCCUCCUGGUUUAGUCCGCAUCAUUACUUUGAUGUUUGCAAUUGCCGUCAUGAUCUAUUUACUACUAAUUCGGAUUAAAUCUCAUAGUAAAUUGCUCAUAUAUUCAACAACCCAAUCCAAAGACCUGAUUAUAGGCAAUUUACUCCGAGUGGUUUUGCUGCGCUUUUGAAGCCGCCUACUUUUAAGGGGGUGCAAUAUAAAAGGUGGCGCACAAGAGCAGUAUAUUGGUUUCAGAUCAUGUACUGCUAUGACAUCACUAAGGGUAAGCCUGAGGGUGAUCUUAAUCCUACAAAGCAGGAAGCAUUUGAGAACAUGGAUACCCUCUUCAAAGCCGCCCUGCUGAGUGUUCUUAACGAUUCCAUUGUGGAUUCAUAUAUGUCGUUUGACAGUGGCAAAGACAUGUGGGCUGCUCUUGAGGCCACAUUUGGGCCCUCGGGCGCUGGCAACGAGUUGUAUGUCAUGGAGCAAUUCUGUGACUACAAGAUGACUGAUGAGCGCUCUGUUGUUCAGUAGACUCAUGAGAUACAGUCACUCUCUAAGGAACUUGAGUACUUCAAGUGUGUGUUGCCGGACAAAUUUUUUGCUGGGACCAUCAUUGCCAAGCUUCCACCUUCGUGGAACGAUUUUGCUACUUCUCUGAAAAACAAGAGACAUGAGAUUUUGGUUUUGGAUCUCAUUAGCACUCUUGAUUUUGAGGAGAAGGCGAGAGCAAAAGACACACGUGCUCGGGUCGCUGAGGGAGCUUCUAGUGCCCACAUGGUACAUGAGAAGAACUUCCAGCCCAACCAGCCCCAAAACAACAAGAACAAAUCUUACGGGAAAGGCAAGUUUGAUGCAAAGAACAAGUCAUCACAUUCUACCAACUUCAAGAAGAAUUCUCAUAAUGGGAAGGGAUACAAACCUCAAUUUUGGUAGCACCGCACAAAAUUUAUAUGGCUGCAUCUACCUACUGUCAGCUAACCUCAUGGUGCUCCAGGUAUUCAUACAUUCGUAACUAGGUACAAUGACCACCGCAAGAUGAAAUUAGCUUAUUCGUACGUUGACUUGCUGAAUGCAGUGCGGAACGAUCCUGUCAUAUGUGGAGGAGCAAACAAGCAGUGCAGCCGAAGGUGGAAAUCAACCAAGGACUUAUGAAAUUAUAUAUAAUCUUCCUUAGGCACGUCAGUAUCCCCUUCGUCCAGAUGAUCGUGUUUUGUCAUGCCGAGCAAUUGAUAUGUGCUACUAUUUUGCAACACCGUUUAAGUAUAGCUACUGUUUUCCUAUCUUUUCAGAUUCAGGACAAUGAAUAUGAUUUCAGGGGAACUGCACAAUAUGGACUCAUGUUGAGUCAUCUCUAUUGCCUCAUGUGUUUGCUACAAAUGUGUCAGCAUCAAUUGCAAGAUGAGGCAGCUAGCUAGCUGUGGAGUUGUCGACAUGCUCAAAGUGCUCGCAACAUUGAGAAGAAACAAGCAUGCCCAGGAAAUUAAUGUGUGCGCAGGGAGGCCCUUUGCUCAGAGAAGCAUCGACCGAUUUUCUUUAUUUCCACACCUUCUCACAGCUUUGUAUUGGUUAUAGUAUGGUGAAUCAUUGACAUGCAUAAACAUGCUGAACUUUUGUUCUUCUGAAUGUUAGUAUGCAUACCGUAUCUUCUGAAGCUUAGUUUAAUGUGAGUGUCUGCGUCCAGUACCGCGUCCUCUAAUUUGGUGGAUGGACACAGAGAAAAUAAAUCUCCUUAAUUUACUCCAUAACCACCCUAUUAAAUAGGCCUAGUAACAAACCAGGCGCAUGUAGUGGCCGGCAGGCACAUGCAUCCUGUAUGCAUGGCCAGUCAGCCAAGUCCAUGCGCCAGCUCCAAUGCAGGAACACAAAAGAAGAGAGUGGUUCUUGGGAAAAAGCGAGUAGUUACUGCAGCGGGCCUUAUAAACAUGAACAGCUCGCUCUCCCACUUCCGUCUCCCCCCCCAUUCCCCGCGCUCCCCAGUCUUCCUCACUUGUCCAGAAAACCCCCGCUCACCUUCUUCCUCACUCGUACAGAAAUCCCCAGCCCUCCUUCUUCCCCACUCGCACUGCCACUAGGCUCGUCUCUGGCUACUCUGCUCAAACCCGUGAGCUCGGCGCGACGCCCACAAGGAAAAUGGAGUCAGCUGGCCCCAGUGCCAAGAAGAUGAGGCUCCCACCAGCGGCGAUGUCGGUUGUAGAUCCCGCACCCAGUAGCGAAGGGAGAAGCNNNNNNNNNNNNNNNNNNNNNNNNNNNNNNNNNNNNNNNNNNNNNNNNNNNNNNNNNNNNNNNNNNNNNNNNNNNNNNNNNNNNNNNNNNNNNNNNNNNNNNNNNNNNNNNNNNNNNNNNNNNNNNNNNNNNNNNNNNNNNNNNNNNNNNNNNNNNNNNNNNNNNNNNNNNNNNNNNNNNNNNNNNNNNNNNNNNNNNNNNNNNNNNNNNNNNNNNNNNNNNNNNNNNNNNNNNNNNNNNNNNNNNNGCGAUCUCUCAGACGUCAUCCUUGAGGAGAUCAUCUCGCUUCUCCCCACCAAGGAUUGCUACUGCACACAAGUCCUCUCAACUCGGUGGCGCCCUCUAUGGCACACCGCGCCCCUCAACACUACAAAAAAAUACACUUCCGUGAUGAUACGUGUUUGUCACGGUAGGCCGCAUUUUUUGUCAUGCAUGUACAUCCAUGACAAAUUUAUGACAGAAUCAAGAUAGUCAUACCUGUGUUGUCGUAGAAGUGUUCCAUGACAUUACCAAAAUUAUCAUCAUGGAAGUGUCCACUUCCAUGAUGAUAAAUCGCGUGUCACAGAAGUGCUUUUGUCAAGGGUGACCGACACGUGGCAUCCACCGUAACGGAGCACCGUUAAGCUAUCGGGUCGGGUUUUGGAUCCGAUAACCCGUUAACAGCCCCGACCAAUGGGGAUUUUCCACAUGUAAAAUCAUCAUUGGCUGGAGGAAACAUGUGUCGGCUCACUGUUGGGACAGAUGUCAUCCACUCAUUGGACAGAAGGCGCCUAUGAUACGUCGACACGUGGCACGGCCCAACAGAGGCCCAUUCCUGUGAAAAGGCCGGCCCGUUUGACUUGGUCCAAAGGUGGCGGGCCGGCCCAUGGAAAGCCUGUUAACGACCUGUUCGCAUAUAGCCCAUUUACAGCCCGCUAACCCAAGGCCCGUUACCUGUCAGGACCCCGACUCGAUGUCACAUCGAUCUAGCUGGUAACACCUCAUAUCACCUUGCGCCUCACGCACGGUAUCCCCACGGGUGUCGUCUUACCUUUUCCCGGGACCGUUUGCGCCUUUUGGCUCACGUAUAUGAUAGUGUCGCUAGCAUCCAUAUGAUAAAGAGCCCGGGCUGACAUGACUAGUCGUAAACCCAAAGUGGCAUAGACUUACAGGGACAGGCAUCCAUGACCCAGCUUCGAACGUGUCGGUCAUCAGCAAGUGGGUCCGGGCUGUAGCACUGGGCUAGCAGGACUCCGGUAAACCGGGCUGUAGCGGGCUAACAGGACUCCGGUACUCAAAGCGUGACAUUUCCCCGAAGGGACAGACACAGGAACGAAGAAGGACACAUGCCGGCCAGCCUAAGUGUUCCAGAGCAGUAGCAAGCUACCAUGGCUCAGCGGUAACACUAGGAGACAUUUCCCGGUAAGAGAGGCUACUAAAGAUAAACAACUAGAUAGUCAGAUCCCACACAUACCAAGCAUUUCAAUCAUACACACAAUAUGCUCGAUAUGUGCAAAUACAACGAAGCAUCACAACAUGACUCUACGACACAAGUACUUUAUUUAAGGCUCAGGGAGCCAUACAUAACAUUCACAAAGGUACGGGUCUCACGACCCAACAUACAAGUCAUACAGUCAUACAAGCCAACAGCGGAAGUAACUUGUCUGAGUACAGACAACUAGUAAAAUAAAAGAGGCUUGGAAAGCCUAACUAUACUACGUGGUCCUCCACAAGCUCAGGGUCACCACCUGGGUCUUUAGCCUACUCGUUGAUGUCAACGUCUACAUAGAACCCAUCAGAAGGGGUUGCAGCGUCUUCUGUAAAAAUGUAGAUUAUAGCAACAUGAGUACAAAGGUACUCAGCAAGACUUACAUCAGAUCCUACAUACAUGUAUAGUAUCAAGAAGGGUUGGUGGAGUUAUUGCAGCAAGCCAGCUUUGACUCUUGGCUAGGCUAUCCUACGAUACUACAACUUGAAAAGGUUUUGCGCACACGAGUCCACUACUCACCACUUCAAUACACUACCGAGGAUCCACCUCCGUCUUCCUACGGAAGAGCCAUCCUCGGCACUCACACUUAUCUUGAGGCUUUUAGUAGUUUCCAUUUACUUGUCUAUGAACUGUAUAGGCAACCAAGUAGUCCUUUACCGCGGACGCGGCUAUUCGAAUAGAUCAUGUUAACCCUGCAGGGGUGUACUUCUUCAUACAUGUUUCCACCACUUAGCGUCUGCACACGACAUGUGCUCGGCAGACUUCAAGCGAAAGCCGACGUGGGUGUAGACCACGACCUACCUAAACACUUAAGCCUCUAGUCCAGGUUUAUCGCCUAUUCAGGUUCCAUCCGCAGGGAGUCCGGCCGGGGUUUCCCAUACGGCCCCGAACGAUGUGAACAGGGUUCCCGAGAUACCUAACGGGUAUUCGGUACACCCGGCCAUGUACCUACCGCAUCACAGCCCACCCCUACGGUCAGCGCUGUCCACGGCCUCCAGUAGGCUACAAACACCAGAAACUACUUGCAACUCCUGGACAGAGAGCUAGGGUGAAUAAGAAGUCGAGCGGGGUCAUAUUUCAGGGCCCAAUGCAUGGUAGUAGCUGUAUCUCAAAUCACACAUACAGAUCUCAGUGCUUAAGGUCGGCUUCAAUGAAACAACCCACCAUGUACUCCUACAUGGCCUCUCAUCGAUACCUUUACCAAAUCGUGUUCACCACACCACUCUCAUUACCGACAUAAACAUUUCACUCUAGCCCAUCACCCAGAUGAACCAGACCUGACACGACUCUAAGCAUAGCAGGCAUAGCAAGGUAGGAACAACACAUACAUAUGGCUCAAUCAACUCCUACACAUGCUAGUGGGUUUCAUCUAGUUACUGUGGCAAUGACAGGUCAUGCAGAGGAAAUGGGUUCAACUACCGUAGCACACAGCAGUUUGAAACGCGUUGUCUUAAUGCAGUAAAAGAGAGCAGGAGCGAGAACAUGGGAUUGUAUCGAUAUGAUCAAAUGGUUGGUUGCUUGCCUGAUGGUUCGAUGCACUGAUAUGGUUCUUCGUUAGGGUAAUCACGGUACUCCUCGGGGGCAGAACCUGUCGCAACGGACAUCGAUACACAACCAUCACCAAACAAUGUGCAACAAUAUGAUGCAUGCAUGAAACAUGGCAAUAUGAGUGUGUUGGGCUAAUGCAACUAAGAACAGAGGGGUUUGAACAAAUUUGAAUCAAGGAUUCAAAUUUUAAGUUCAAAUAUGGUCUUUUAAAGUGCUUUUCCUUGUUCUGCUUAAAACAUCAAUUUAACUUGUUUGAUCAUGCAUGAAAAUAGUACAGAUGGAUAGAUUGGAUUUUUCUGAUCAUUUUUCAUAUAUAAUUUGUCCAAUUUGGAGUUACAGAAUAAAAGUUAUGAAUUUUUGAAGUUUAAACAAUAUUCUGGAAUUUCCUGAUUUAAUUUAAAUUCAGAAAAUCAAUUACUGCGUCAGCCUGACGUCAGCAUGACGUCAAUGGUCAACUGCGGCUGGCUGAGGUCAAACCUGACGUGUGGGGCCCACACGUCAGUGACAGGGGGGGUUAAACAGGAUUAAAUUAAUCCUAAUUACUAAUUAGUGGUGCUGGGGCCCACUGUCAGUGUCAGGGGGGGUUGACUAACAGUAGUUAGCGCUAAUCUAACCAUCUGACCGACAGGGCCCACGCGUCAGUGACCCUGGGGGGUCAAACCCUAGGUCGGACAGGUCAAACCCCACCGGCGACAUGACGCCGGCGAGGCCCGAGACGGCGGCGAAAGUGCUUUUUGCCAUUCCGGCAACCAAAUGGACGGCGGAAGGCAUCUACGUGUUGCUGAGGUUGAGCCGCGACUAUUGGUGGUGGUGGUUGGGCUCGGGGUGGCCGGAGUUGACGGCGGCGAGCUCGGCUGCGGCGGCCGGAGUUCGGGUGCGGUCGGAAUCGGCGUUGCAGGGCGUUAGAAGAGGUGUUGGUGCGUGCUACGUGCUCCUGGUGAGGUGUGGAGCACGAUGGUGUGCUCGGUUGGGCGCUACGGCGACCGUGGCCACGACGGCGACAUCGCCGGCGGCGUGGAGCUCUCGGUCAAGGUGGGACUAGGGCCUAGAGGUCGAAAGAGACCAGGGGAGAAGGGGGAAACGAUCCGGGGGCUCACCGCGGUUGCAGUGGGCGUCGAAGCGGGCUCGGGGACGCGCCGGAGACGACGAAUUCGACGGCGACGAUGAUCGGAGCCCGAAGAGGGGAACGGCGACGUGGCGGCGAUGCAGGGCUUCCGGGGAGCUGGGGAGCGGUGGGGAGGAAGAGGGGGUCGUGGCGGAGCUUCUGAGCUAGUCGGGGGAGCGAGGGGUGGCCGGAGACGGCUGCUGUGGCGAACGGCGGCGACGGUGGUGUUCGGCCGUGUGAGAGAGAGAGCGAGGGAGAGGAGAGGAGAGCCGGGGGAGAGUGAGAGAGAGCAGGGGGAGAGGCGUGGCGUCGUCCAGGGCAUCGAGCGAGGAGGGGAGGGCAGGCAAGCAGGCGAGCAGGUGGCGUGGCGCGGUGGCGCGCGCGCGCCGGCCACACUCCCCUCCCUCUGUCGGGACGAAGACGACAGAGGAGGGAGGUGGGCUGGGCCGGCUGCUGGCUGGGCCAGCCAGCUGGCUGGGCCGCACAGUGGAGGAGCCCAGGUAAGCUCCUCCUGUUAUAUAAUUUUCUGUUUUUUAAUUUCUGACAUUUGUUUUGAUUUAAAUAAUAUAUUAAAUCAUUUAUUUAACUUAUGCCAAUUUUUGCAGGAGCUAUUUAUAUUAUUCAAGAGCUCUUUUAUAAUUGGCAUAAUAUUUGGGCAUAUAUUAAUAUAUAUAAUUAAUAUAUUUCCAAUGCAAAUAUUUAUGCAUUUAUUCCAAAUGCCCAAAAUAAAUGUCCAUGAGCCACUAAAAAUAUUGGUUUGAUUUUUAUCUCUGUCCAAUAUUUUCAGAGAGCAACAUGAGCAUUUUCUUGGACCCUUUUGGAGAAAUUUUUAUUUGGGUCAUUUUCAAAAUGGUUCUGAGGGUUUCACAGAUCCCCAUUUCAAGUUUCUGAUGAAAGAGUAAACAUGAUGCAACACUCUAAUGCAUGACUAGCUAGGGUGUGACAACUCACCCCCACUCAAAAGAAUCUCGUCCCGAGAUUUGGGUUCCUCCGGGAAGAAGGCGGGAUACUCGAGUCGAAGACGAUCCUCCCUUUCCCAGGUUGCUUCAUCCUCAGAAUGGUGCGACCAUUGAACUUUGAGAAACUUGAUAUUAUGACGCCGGGUGGUACGUUCGGCUUGAUCGAGGAUACGAAUGGGGUACUCUCGAUAUGUAAGAUCAUCUUGGAGAUCAAGCGUUUCGUGGUCCACUUCACGGAUAGGAUCCGAGAAGCAACGCCUGAGUUGAGAAACGUGGAAGACAUCGUGAACUCUGGAGAGGUGCGGAGGUAGUUCCAACUGGUAGGCAACUUCUCCUCGUUUGGCAAGGAUGCGAAAAGGUCCAAUAUAACGAGGAGCCAAUUUGCCUUUGAUACCGAAACGAUGGGUUCCCUUCAGAGGGGUGACCCGAAGAUAAGCCUUCUCGUCAACCUAGAAAGUCAUAGCCCUAUGUUUUCGGUCAUAUUGACUCUUUUGACGGGAUUGGGCUGUUUUCAACUUUUCACGAACGAUACGAACUUGUUCUUCUGCUUCCUGAAUCAUAUCCGGGCCAAAGAAUUGUCUUUCCCCGGUCUCUGACCAGUUAAGGGGUGUUCGACACCGUCGUCCAUAGAGAACUUCAAAAGGGGCUUUACCCAAGCUAGAUUGAUAGCUGUUGUUGUAAGCGAAUUCGGCAAAUGGAAGGCACUUCUCCCAGUCCAUUCCGAAUGAGAUAACAGAGGCUCGAAGCAUGUCUUCUAGAAUUUGGUUGACGCGUUCCACUUGACCACUCGACUGAGGGUGGUAAGCGGUGCUAAAGGAGAGACGAGUUCCCAUAGCAUUUUGGAAACUUUCCCAAAAUCGAGAGGUGAAAAGACUUCCUCGAUCCGAGUUAAUUUCCAAAGGAACACCAUGGAGGGACACUAUUCGGGAGAUGUAUAAGUCCACCAAUUGACUAGCGGUUAUACUCUCACGAACAGGUAAGAAAUGGGAUACUUUGGAAAGACGAUCGACAACGACAAAGAUAGCAUUAUUCCCUCUCUUGGUCCUGGGAAAACCGGUAAUGAAAUCCAUACCGAUUUUAUCCCAUUUCCAUUCAGGAAUAGCUAAGGGUUGAAGGGUGCCGGCAGACCGUUGAUGCUCUGCUUUAACACGACGGCAGACGUCGCAAUUUGCAACAUACUGAGCAAUUUCUCUCUUCAUCCUAGUCCACCAGAACCUCUGGCGUAGGUCCUGAUACAUCUUAGUACUACCGGGAUGAAUGGUGAGAGGGGAUUCAUGAGCCUCCUUAAGGAUCAACUGCCGUAGAUGCUGGUUCUUGGGAACCACUAGACGGUUCUCAAAGUACACAACACCAUGAUCAUUUGUGGAGAAACAACUAGCACCUCCGCUAGCAAUGUUCUCCUUGAUCUUAGCUAUUCCCUUAUCUCGCUUCUGGGCAGCAAUGAUUUGAUCCGUAAGAGUAGGUUUCGCCACCAAGGUGGAAAGAAAUCCUUGAGGAACAAUGUGAAGGUUAAGCUUCCGAAAUUCCUCAUGGAGAAGCGGUUGUCUUUGUUGUAACAUCAGAUUGUUACAAUAAGAUUUACGACUUAGCGCAUCAGCCAUGACGUUGGCUUUCCCUGGGGUGUAGGUUAUUCCUAAGUCGAAAUCUGUGAUCAACUCGACCAAACGUCUUUGCCUGAGAUUCAAAUCCGGUUGGGUGAAGAUGUACUUCAGACUUUGGUGAUCAGUGAAUAUUUCGCAACGAUUACCGAGGAGGUAAUGUCGCCAGGUCUUAAGUGCAUAGACUACAGCUGCAAGCUCUAGAUCAUGAGUAGGAUAAUUCUCCUCAUGUGGGUGCAAUUGCCGUGAAGCGUAGGCAAUUACGUGUCGAUCUUGCAUGAGAAUGCAACCUAGUCCUUGUCGCGAGGCGUCGCAGUAGAUAACAAAGUCCUUAGAGAAGUCUGGCGGUACCAGUACGGGAGCAGAAGUCAGGCGUCUUUUCAGUUCCUGAAAGCUGUGCUCACAUUGUGGAGUCCACUCGAACUUCUUAUCUUUCUUGAGGAGUUCGGUUAGAGGUUUAGCAACCUUGGAGAAGUUCUCGACAAAGCGACGACAAUAGCUCGCUAAGCCUAGAAAACUUCGAACUUGCUUGACCGAUUCAGGUGGAGUCCAAUUAAGAACGGCUUGAACUCGCUCAGGGUUAACAGCAAUACCUUUACCAGAUAUUACAUGACCCAGAUAGGUCACUUCUGAUAACCAGAAUUCACAUUUAGAAAAUUUGGCAUAAAGGCGAUGCUCUCGAAGUUUCUUCAACACUAGCCUUAAAUGUUCGGCAUGUUCUUCCUCGUUCUUGGAGUAGAUGAGUAUAUCAUCGAGAUAAACUACGACGAAUUUAUCCAAAUACUCCAUGAAGAUUGAGUUCAUUAACCGAGAAAAGGUGGCUGGAGCAUUGGUUAAACCGAAGGACAUGACGGUGUACUCGUAUUGGCCAUAACGAGUAACAAAGGCCGUUUUAGGAAUGUCCCCAUUUCUGAUUUUGAUUUGAUGGUAGCCCAACCUCAAAUCCAUCUUGGAGAAGACUGAGGAUCCAGCGAGCUGAUCAUACAGGUCGUUGAUCCUGGGAAGCGGGUAUUUGUUCUUGAUUGUGACCAAGUUGACAGGUCGGUAAUCUACAACCAUCCGGUCCGUACCAUCCUUCUUCUUGACGAAUAGGACGGGGCAAGCCCACGGAGAUGAGCUAGGUCGGAUGAUACCCUUUUUCAAGGACUCGUCGAGUUGUUUCUUAAGCUCGGCUAGUUCUAGGGGUGCCAUCUUAUAGGGUCUUCUAGCAAUCGGAACGGUUCCUGGAAUGAGGUCUAUUACGAACUCAACAUCCCUGUCAGGUGGAACACCUGGCAAUUCCUCUGGAAAGACAUCCGGGAAGUCACGGACUACCGGAACGUCCUCAAGGUCUGGCAAAGGGCUGGUGUUAAGAGAAUAUAAUUGUCGCUUGGCUAUUCGGUUCAAGACAUUGACUAUCUUCCCCGAAGGAUGGGUGAGUUGAACAGUCCUAGAGAAGCAAUCAAUUUGGGCAUGAUGAGCUGACAUCCAGUCCAUACCCAGAAUGAUAUUAAUAUCUGAAGAUUUAAGGGCUAUCAAGGAUGCAAGAAAAACAAGUCUGUCGACUUGGAUUUCAUUUCCAUAACUUACCCUAGAGGUCUGCCAUCUAGACCCGGGAGUAGAAAUUUCCAUAGUGGAUGGCAUGUCACAGAAUGCAACGUUAUGCAACGAGCAUAAUUUUCAGAUAUAAAGGAAUGGGAGGCUCCUGUAUCAAAAAGAACAGAUGCCGGGUGGCAAUUAACAAGAAGCGUACCGAGAACGACGUUGGGAUCCUCUUGAGCUUCUUCGGCAGAGAUACAGUUGACAUGGCCACGUGUAGCGGUGGCCGGCUUGGCGUGGAACACUUUCCCUGUCGGCUUGCCAUGGCCAACAGCUUUAGCAGAUUGAUUGGGGUUGGUCUGGGGGCAUUCACGCAUAUAGUGACCAGAUUCCCCACACUUGAAACAAGUCACGGAACUGGUACGUGGAGGAACAUUAUUGGUUGGACCCCCAUAGGGCUUGGCUGGAGCAGACUGUUGUACAGGGCGAGGCGCCUGGAAAGAUGGCCUCGGUGUGAACCUGGGUGGCAGGGCGGUGUUGGGCACCCACACGCGGCGCUUCUGAGGACCAGCACCGGAUGAGGAACCCGUGUCACGUCCAUGCUUGCGUGUUGCGUCGUAGUCAGUCUGACCAGUUUCAGCACUGAUGGCGUUGUUGACAAGUUUCGAAAAAGAUGUGCACUCAUGCAGACGGAGGUCGCGGCGAAGCUCAGGACUAAGGCCCUUACGGAACCUUGCUUGCUUCUUGGCGUCAGUAGACACUUCCUCUGUUGCAUAUCGUGCGAGAUUACCAAACUCCCUGCUAUAGGCAUCCACAGAAAGUCGGCCUUGGGUGAAACUGCAAAAUUCUUCACGUUUACGGUCCAUGAGACCCUCCGGAAUGUGAUGCUCACGGAAAGCCUCGCUGAACUCAGCCCAAGUAGUGACAUGGCCCGCUGGGCGCAUAGCUCCAUAAUUCUCCCACCAUAGACUGGCGGGGCCUUCAAGAUGAUAUGCAGCAAAGGUGACCUUGUCAGCCUCCGCUACCAGCGCGGAACGCAGUUUGUGAGAGAUACUGCGAAGCCAGUCAUCAGCGUCGAGAGGCUCGACGGAGUGGUGGAACGUGGGUGGAUGCAAUUUGAUAAAAUCACUGAGUGACACCACGUUAGCCCUCUGAUGGUGUGCUGUAUUCUGUUCAAUACGCUCCAACAAACGGUUUGUCUCCCGCUUGUUUCUCUCAGCUUCCAUCAUCACCUCGGCUAGUGAAGGAGGAUGAGGCAGAUUUUCAUUCCUGGCUUCACUGCCUUCGGCCUGCUCUUGAGAAGCAGGGUUAGCGCGCGUGUUGACCAUCCUAGGUAAACAAGACAAUGACUUAGUCAGGAUGAUAGAAUUCUGACAUAGGGUAAAAAUGUAAGGAAUAACUCGAAUGCAAGAUGAUCAUCCGUAUGACAUGGUAGAUACAGAAACUGCUUCUUUAUUCCAUCGUCAUACACACCAUACAGGGUUUAGUACAAGACCAAACAAAGUACUAUUACGGUGAGAAAAGGAUUACAUCUCAUCGGAGACAUUCCAAGCUCCUAUACAUUAUUUCUCUACAUCUCCGGAAAGAGUACAAACUAGGUCAUAACCCACGAGUCACGCGGGACGAUAGACGACAGAGCUAGUGCGAACUAGUGAUACUACCGCUAACUCAGACCGAUCCGUAGUAGUCCUCGUAGAAGUCACCUCCAUAGCCUGGAAGCUCAACAUGAUCAUCCGGAAACAGACGAUCUCGCGGAGCCUGUGGACCAUAGGGGCUAGGAUGAGGCCUUGGACCAACAGACGGUGGCCUGCGGGGACCACGAGGUGGGGUGAUGCCUCCUACAUCACGCCAACCCAUCACGUCUGGCAAAGCAGAUCUCACAGGAUAGAGAUCGCGCAUAUCUGAAUAUCCAGCUUGCACCGCCGGUGCGAACCGAGUCAAAGUGGCCCAGUGGUCAGCACGGGUAUUGAAGAGCUCUAACCUUAAGGCCCGAUUUUCACGGUCCUUAUCCUCGAGCAUCUCAGCGGUGGUGCGAGUCCGUGAAUCCUCCUGAGUGGGGUCAGCAUAGAUAGCCUGGAGAUAUCCCUGUGCUCCCGGAAGUGAUCCUGGCAUAUACAGGAAAUCAGAGUCCCGAAAUAGACCAGAUCUGACUCGCAUAAUGGUCAUCAUAGAGUAGGCGGCGUCCUACACAGCCAUCUCAAUGGUAACCCCGAGUCCAUAAGAGCAGUGAAGAGGCUCGGUGGAUCCAGGAUAAGAUGGAAAUAUCCUGACAGUGCAGAGAUACUGGCUUUGAUUAAAAUCUCGGAAUUGCUCUUCGACCGUGUACUCGGGAUACCAACAGUAUCCAGCCUCAGUCAUUACCCUGACCAACUUAGCAGUAUGGCCGGGUACAUCUAGGCAUCGAGUCAGGCGAACCACUUGAUUAAGGUCGCGAGUGGCCAUCUGAAAGCACAAUCAUAAUGCAAAGGCAUUAGAAUUUCUAGCAAAAUUUCGGCAGCAUAACAGCUGUAAAUGCUCAAGAAGGAUUUUGAGACAUUUGACAAAGGAUUUCGUACACACUCAACAUCAUCAUAUCAAAGUUCUGAAUCCAUUCUGGCAACAUAAUGUGGUAGUAGAACUGAACUAGGCUGGUAACCAUCAAACUUAUAAGGUACUACUGAUUAGUAACUCGUGAUCCUGAUAGAGAGAACAGAUCCUAAUUCCUUAACCCCCGGUGGAAGGAUGGACUGACUCAGAUCAGAAAGUCAUAAGGUAUAAGGAGUAAAAGAGCCUUACGUUCCAACCCACAAACAAUUCCCCUACAUAUAACUAAAGAAUUUCUAGACUCAACAUCGACCAGUUUGGCUUGGAGAACCUACAGGCAGUCCGGCUCUGAUGCCAACGCUGUCAGGACCCCGACUCAAUGUCACAUCGAUCUAGCUGGUAACACCUCAUAUCACCUUGCGGCCUCACGCACGGUAUCCCCACGGGUGUCGUCUUACCUUUUCCCGGGACCGUUUGCGCCUUUUGGCUCACGUAUAUGAUAGUGUCGCUAGCAUCCAUAUGAUAAAGAGCCCGGGCUGACAUGACUAGUCGUAAACCCAAAGUGGCAUAGACUUAUAGGGACAGGCAUCCAUGACCCAGCUUCGAACGUGUCGGUCAUCAGCAAGUGGGUCCGGGCUGUAGCACUGGGCUAGCAGGACUCCGGUAAACCGGGCUGUAGCGGGCUAACAGGACUCCGGUACUCAAAGCGUGACAUUUCCCCGAAGGGACAGACACAGGAACGAAGAAGGACACAUGCCGGCCAGCCUAAGUGUUCCAGAGCAGUAGCAAGCUACCAUGGCUCAGCGGUAACACUAGGAGACAUUUCCCGGUAAGAGAGGCUACUAAAGAUAAACAACUAGAUAGUCAGAUCCCACACAUACCAAGCAUUUCAAUCAUACACACAAUAUGCUCGAUAUGUGCAAAUACAACGAAGCAUCACAACAUGACUCUACGACACAAGUACUUUAUUUAAGGCUCAGGGAGCCAUACAUAACAUUCACAAAGGUACGGGUCUCACGACCCAACAUACAAGUCAUACAGUCAUACAAGCCAGCAGCGGAAGUAACUUGUCUGAGUACAGACAACUAGUAAAAUAAAAGAGGCUUGGAAAGCCUAACUAUACUACGUGGUCCUCCACAAGCUCAGGGUCACCACCUGGGUCUUUAGCCUACUCGUUGGUGUCAACGUCUACAUAGAACCCAUCAGAAGGGGUUGCAGCGUCUUCUGUAAAAAUGUAGAUUAUAGCAACAUGAGUACAAAGGUACUCAGCAAGACUUACAUCAGAUCCUACAUACAUGUAUAGUAUCAAGAAGGGUUGGUGGAGUUAUUGCAGCAAGCCAGCUUUGACUCUUGGCUAGGCUAUCCUACGAUACUACAACUUGAAAAGGUUUUGCGCACACGAGUCCACUACUCACCACUUCAAUACACUACCGAGGAUCCACCUCCGUCUUCCUACGGAAGAGCCAUCCUCGGCACUCACACUUAUCUUGAGGCUUUUAGUAGUUUCCAUUUACUUGUCUAUGAACUGUAUAGGCAACCAAGUAGUCCUUUACCGCGGACGCGGCUAUUCGAAUAGAUCAUGUUAACCCUGCAGGGGUGUACUUCUUCAUACAUGUUUCCACCACUUAGCGUCUGCACACGACAUGUGCUCGGCAGACUUCAAGCGAAAGCCGACGUGGGUGUAGACCACGACCUACCUAAACACUUAAGCCUCUAGUCCAGGUUUAUCGCCUAUUCAGGUUCCAUCCGCAGGGAGUCCGGCCGGGGUUUCCCAUACGGCCCCGAACGAUGUGAACAGGGUUCCCGAGAUACCUAACGGGUAUUCGGUACACCCGGCCACGUACCUACCGCAUCACAGCCCACCCCUACGGUCAGCGCUGUCCACGGCCUCCAGUAGGCUACAAACACCAGAAACUACUUGCAACUCCUGGACAGAGAGCUAGGGUGAAUAAGAAGUCGAGCAGGGUCAUAUUUCAGGGCCCAAUGCAUGGUAGUAGCUGUAUCUCAAAUCACACAUACAGAUCUCAGUGCUUAAGGUCGGCUUCAAUGAAACAACCCACCAUGUACUCCUACAUGGCCUCUCAUCGAUACCUUUACCAAAUCGUGUUCACCACACCACUCUCAUUACCGACAUAAACAUUUCACUCUAGCCCAUCACCCAGAUGAACCAGACCUGACACGACUCUAAGCAUAGCAGGCAUAGCAAGGUAGGAACAACACAUACAUAUGGCUCAAUCAACUCCUACACAUGCUAGUGGGUUUCAUCUAGUUACUGUGGCAAUGACAGGUCAUGCAGAGGAAAUGGGUUCAACUACCAUAGCACACAGCAGUUUGAAACGCGUUGUCUUAAUGCAGUAAAAGAGAGCAGGAGCGAGAACAUGGGAUUGUAUCGAUAUGAUCAAAUGGUUGGUUGCUUGCCUGAUGGUUCGAUGCACUGAUAUGGUUCUUCGUUAGGGUAAUCACGGUACUCCUCGGGGGCAGAACCUGUCGCAACGGACAUCGAUACACAAACAUCACCAAACAAUGUGCAACAAUAUGAUGCAUGCAUGAAACAUGGCAAUAUGAGUGUGUUGGGCUAAUGCAACUAAGAACAGAGGGGUUUGAACAAAUUUGAAUCAAGGAUUCAAAUUUUAAGUUCAAAUAUGGUCUUUUAAAGUGCUUUUCCUUGUUCUGCUUAAAACAUCAAUUUAACUUGUUUGAUCAUGCAUGAAAAUAGUACAGAUGGAUAGAUUGGAUUUUUCUGAUCAUUUUUCAUAUAUAAUUUGUCCAAUUUGGAGUUACAGAAUAAAAGUUAUGAAUUUUUGAAGUUUAAACAAUAUUCUGGAAUUUCCUGAUUUAAUUUAAAUUCAGAAAAUCAAUUACUGCGUCAGCCUGACGUCAGCAUGACGUCAGUGGUCAACUGCGGCUGGCUGAGGUCAAACCUGACGUGUGGGGCCCACACGUCAGUGACAGGGGGGGUUAAACAGGAUUAAAUUAAUCCUAAUUACUAAUUAGUGGCGCUGGGGCCCACUGUCAGUGUCAGGGGGGGUUGACUAACAGUAGUUAGCGCUAAUCUAACCAUCUGACCGACAGGGCCCACGCGUCAGUGACCCUGGGGGGUCAAACCCCAGGUCGGACAGGUCAAACCCCACCGGCGACAUGACGCCGGCGAGGCCCGAGACGGCGGCGAAAGUGCUUUUUGCCAUUCCGGCAACCAAAUGGACGGCGGAAGGCAUCUACGUGUUGCUGAGGUUGAGCCGCGACUAUUGGUGGUGGUGGUUGGGCUCGGGGUGGCCGGAGUUGACGGCGGCGAGCUCGGCUGCGCCGGCCGGAGUUCGGGUGCGGUCGGAAUCGGCGUUGCAGGGCGUUAGAAGAGGUGUUGGUGCGUGCUACGUGCUCCUGGUGAGGUGUGGAGCACGAUGGUGUGCUCGGUUGGGCGCUACGGCGACCGUGGCCACGACGGCGACAUCGCCGGCGGCGUGGAGCUCUCGGUCAAGGUGGGACUAGGGCCUAGAGGUCGAAAGAGACCAGGGGAGAAGGGGGAAACGAUCCGGGGGCUCACCGCGGUUGCAGUGGGCGUCGAAGCGGGCUCGGGGACGCGCCGGAGACGACGAAUUCGACGGCGACGAUGAUCGGAGCCCGAAGAGGGGAACGGCGACGUGGCGGCGAUGCAGGGCUUCCGGGGAGCUGGGGAGCGGUGGGGAGGAAGAGGGGGUCGUGGCGGAGCUUCUGAGCUAGUCGGGGGAGCGAGGGGUGGCCGGAGACGGCUGCUGUGGCGAACGGCGGCGACGGUGGUGUUCGGCCGUGUGAGAGAGAGAGCGAGGGAGAGGAGAGGAGAGCCGGGGGAGAGUGAGAGAGAGCAGGGGGAGAGGCGUGGCGUCGUCCAGGGCAUCGAGCGAGGAGGGGAGGGCAGGCAAGCAGGCGAGCAGGUGGCGUGGCGCGGUGGCGCGCGCGCGCCGGCCACACUCCCCUCCCUCUGUCGGGACGAAGACGACAGAGGAGGGAGGUGGGCUGGGCCGGCUGCUGGCUGGGCCAGCCAGCUGGCUGGGCCGCACAGUGGAGGAGCCCAGGUAAGCUCCUCCUGUUAUAUAAUUUUCUGUUUUUUAAUUUCUGACAUUUGUUUUGAUUUAAAUAAUAUAUUAAAUCAUUUAUUUAACUUAUGCCAAUUUUUGCAGGAGCUAUUUAUAUUAUUCAAGAGCUCUUUUAUAAUUGGCAUAAUAUUUGGGCAUAUAUUAAUAUAUAUAAUUAAUAUAUUUCCAAUGCAAAUAUUUAUGCAUUUAUUCCAAAUGCCCAAAAUAAAUGUCCAUGAGCCACUAAAAAUAUUGGUUUGAUUUUUAUCUCUGUCCAAUAUUUUCAGAGAGCAACAUGAGCAUUUUCUUGGACCCUUUUGGAGAAAUUUUUAUUUGGGUCAUUUUCAAAAUGGUUCUGAGGGUUUCACAGAUCCCCAUUUCAAGUUUCUGAUGAAAGAGUAAACAUGAUGCAACACUGUAAUGCAUGACUAGCUAGGGUGUGACAUUACCCCCUAUCCAAAUUAGGCCCAGUAGCAUCAUCUGGGGCCAUCCAAUAUGAUUCCAGCCCGUUUUCACUUCUGGCCCAUGUAUGGCCCAUGACGUCUUUUGGCCCAUAUGAGGCCCUAUGUAACUCUUGGCCUAUUAAUGGCCCGUGGUGAAACUGGCCCGCAAUGAACAGUGUAUCACUUUACACCCACUAACGGCCCGUGGUGAAACUGGCCCGUAAUGAACAGUGUAUCACUUUAUACCCAUUAAGGGCCCGUUAUUCAGUUGGGCCGUUUCCAGCAAAUGUUAUCUUUCGGCCUUCUCAGAGCCCAUUUAUUCUUGGGCUCAUUUCCAGCAUUCGUUUACUUACGGCCCGUUACUAUCAUUUUCUACUUGUGGGCCAAAUUCACCCCGUUGUUACAUCGGCCCGUUUGUGGUCCAUUAAUACGUUGGGCCGUUUUCAUAGCAUCAUCAAAUACGGCCUAUUAACGAUGGCCCGUUAUGGUCAUACAGCCCGUAUAAGGACCACUGAUGAUACGGCCCGUAGAAGGCCCAUUGUUUCUACGGACCGUAGAAGGCCCAUUGUUUCUACGGCCCGUAGAAGGCCCAUUGUUUCUAUGGCCCGUAGAAGGCCUACUGUUUCUACGGCCCAUAGAAGGCCCACUGUUUCUACGGCCCGUAGGAGGCCCAGUGUCACUACAGUAAAUAUUAGCCCAUGGUUAUUGUGGCCUAAUUUUAAAAAGAACUGCACUGACUACAAGCAAACAAAUAAACAAGACAACAAGGAAAUAAAUAAGCAAGCAACUUAUGCUAGGCUAUCACGGCUGUUACACAUAUUACAUCCACUGGGCAUCAAAGUUCGCCACCAGUGCCAAUAUAGGGAACAAAGCAGCAUAUCAUAUACACUGGUUGUCAAAGUUGGCGACCAGCGCAAAUAAACACCGCAGCAAAACAAAUCCAGAAUUGAAACCACUUCAGAAGAUCUCAAUAAACAAUAUCCUGGGUACCCAUAAUGCUGGCAAGAUGCUUAGCAAGCUUAUUAACUUUCUCUUGUUUGGCGCUUAAAUCCUCCAGCGCUUGCUGUUGCACCAGAAAAUAUGCAUCUGAAUUCUGCAGGGACUUCCUCAGUCCUUCAGCUUCCUGACGCGGCACAUCUGAUCGAUGUCUUUCAACUUGAAGUUGAGACUCAAGAAGACGAACUGAUUCAGGUAGCGAGUUCGAAGAGCUUGUGCCAGCAGUAGUGGCCAAUAACUCGAACACUACAUCAAGACAGGACUUUUGGGUUCCCUCACUAUCGUCAAGAUAGUUUUUAUCAGCUUUCUUGGAGACCAACAGGGAUGUCUCACUAUCUUGAACCUUAUCUGCAUUACUUCCUUUACCAUUGGAUAACAUGGUACUGUUCUCCAAUAUUUUGUCCGCAUUCUAAAAGAGAAACAAGCAGACACAUCACAUGUUUACCAUGUUCUAUAUGAAACACAUUUUGGUAAAUGAGUUCAGUAGUAAAGUGGACAGGAUAAUAGCAUGAAACAAACAUAUAUCUAUGUGCCAUGGUCACUUUAUGGUCUUUAUCAUUCUAGUUUUUGUUGCCAAAUCAAGAUAGAGACACAGUUCAAAUAAUAUUUGUUCAAGACAAAGCAGAAUAGAUAGAAUAUAAGUGUGGGUAACUAUAGAGCAAUAACAACACUUGUAAUGUGCAUGACAUGAGAACAUAACUGUUUAUUCAAUUGAAACUGAAAUCAACAUAGAGCAGGUUACAACAGCAAACCAGUUAAAGAAACAGGUUUAAAACAUACCUGUUGCGCCAUUGGAGUUUCAAUUCCAUCCUUCAAAUUUGAAAAUAGCUGGUAUGAGUAAAUACAGUAAUGCAAGAGCAAAGGAGUAUGAACCAUAGCUACAGAACCUGACCUGAGAACAAAUCUUCUUCUCCUUUAAGCGUUGAGUUGGGAUUCGGAGUGGUGGUCCUCGUGCUUUGGGCACUGCAGUUCCCUUACUAACCGCUCGUGUUUGGGUGCUCUGUGGUGGAGACGGUGCUGUGUCAACUGGAAUUGGGUUACUAUCUACCGGGGUUGGGGUUAGAAGGGGUGUAGCUGGUUCUUUGUCCAACUGGGUAGGGGUACAAUCUGCGAGAGUCUGGGUUAUGUGUGGUGGAUCUGGUCCUUGGGCAAGUACAACCGUGGUUCUAUCUGCAUCAACUGGUAGCACUAUCUUUUCUGAAGACUGUGUUGUUACUCCCUUAGAUACUGCCAUCACGCUCUCCAAUUCAAAUGGCUGAUAAACAAGAAAAGUAAUUGAAAGUAUAGACAUUGUAUGAUAGAUAGGUGCAAUGGAUAGUGGGGAAUAAAAGAGGGCAUGAAAUAAUUCAUAUUUAUGUUGUCUAACCAAACAGCAUAGCAUGACACAAUUUCACACAUAUGAUGGCUAACUAAACAGGAUAGCAUGACACAAUUUCACAUUAUGAUGGCUAACUAAAAAAGAUGGAAAGACAUAGUUCAAAAUAUGAGACUAUGUAAACAGGAUGACAUGACAUAACUAUAUAAUGUGUUUAUUAAAUAGGUUGGCAUGCCAUAAUUCACAUACAUUCAUGGAUAGAAUGCCAUAAUUCUAAAUAUGAUGACUGUAAACACUAAACAUGAUGAGAUGACAUAACUAUAUGAUGUCUUUAUUAAAUGGGUUGCCAUGCCAUAAUUCAGGUAGAUGAUGUGUAUGUACUAUGUAAACCUGAUGGCAUGAUAUAAUUCAAAUAUAUGAUUAUAUAGUAAGCAAGUAAGCAGAUGGCAAUCUGUAUAUGAUGUAAAAACUAAGCAAUGCAAGACAACAUGCAUGACAUGGGUAAUAUAACUCUGCCAAGUUUGAGCAUAGACCUUAGGAGGGAAAUAGGACUGGUCAUCAGUCUCUGAAUCCUCCUCUGAGGAGCUCUCUGUAGCCAGCAAGAUGUCUGCUUCAGCAGGUAGCAUUGUCUACUCUGAAUACCUUGUUUUCACUCCAGAUACUUCCAUCACCGCUUUAAAUGGCUGAUGCACAGGAAGAGUAGUUGAAUAUACAAACGUUGUCGACAAAUGGAACACAUAAUACAAAAAAAAUGAUAGCAUGAUAUAAUUCACAAACAUGAUGAUUGGCUAAACAGCAUGGCAUUGCAUAAUUCACAUAUAUAAUGCCUUUGCAACAAGAUAGCAUUGUAUAAUUCACAUAUAUAAUGUCUUGCAACAAGAUGGCAAUGCAUAAUUCACAUAUAUGGUAAUUAGACACUGAAUAGGUGGCAUUCACACAAAGCAUGUCUAAACUAAUCAAAUGGCAUAGCAAUGCGAGACACCAUACGCAUGAUAUGAGCAACAUAACCCUGCCAAGUUAGAGCAUACACCUCGGGGGGGGGGGAAUAGGACUGGUCAUCUGUCUCUGAAUCCUCCUCUGAGGAGCUAUCCAUAACCAGCGAGAUAUGUGCCUCGUCAGAUAGCAUAGUCUGCUCAAAAGACCUUGUUUUCACUCCAGAAUUUGCCAUCACCGUGUCAAAUGGCUGCACAUGAAGAGCAGUUGAAUGUACUAACAUUGUUGACGAAUGUAAUAUGUAACAAAAAAAAGGAUGGCCUGAUAUAAUUUACAUAUAAGAUGACUGGCUAAGCAGGAUGGCAUUGCAAAAUUCACAUAUAUGAUGCCUGGCUAAACAAGGUGGCGUUGCAUAAUUCACAUAAAGGAUGAAUAAACUAAACAGAUGGCAUUCGCACAAAGGAUGUCUAAACUAAGCAGAUGACAUAUUUGAUGUAUAAAGUAAGCAAUGCAAGACACCAUAUGCAUGAUAUAACCAACAUUAGCAUGCCAAGUUAGCGUGAAGACCUCAGGGGGUAAAUAGGAGUUAUCUUCUCCUUCUGAAUCCCCCUCAGAACAGAUAUCUUCCUCUCGAUUACAAUCCGAAAUGCGUGGAGAGGGGCUGCCUUUGCGCCUACCAUGGAGCGACGUCUGCAUGAAAUUAUAUUGCCACGCAAGGCUCGUCUCUUUUGCUCUACAUGUUUAGUUCCAUUGUUUACAAUAACUGUCAUGCAUGGGAAUAAAACAUAGUGAGAUUAUGUAAGGAGUACAUGCAGAAAUCUAGAGUGAUGGUAGCAACCUGUGGAUAGACCCAAAACCAAUAAUAGCAGGCAGAUAAUGGCUUCAGUUAAUAAAUACAGAUAAUGGCUUCUUUACUGUUUGUUUCCCACCCAACAUGAAACUCAUAGUAGACACCGGAGAUUAACAAGAUAGUAGAUAGAUACUAUUGAUAGCGGCCCCGAUAUGUACCCCACAACCAUUUAAAAACUCAAGUUUGACCAUUAGUUUGGAGCUGACUCAAAGUCUAAUCGGUGAACAGGACGAUAAAGUAGCAUGUAAUAUUAAGCGAUGCAUAACAUAAGAAGACACGAAAGAGUGCGACCUCUCUUGCGGACCCGUGUAGUCCUCGAGGUCAUCUGCUCGGUUGAUGAUGGUAAUGCAGUUUUCAUGGCUGCCAGCGGCGGGGAAGAAGAUCUGAGGCGGCGAAAGAUAGUCUGGAGGCCGGAUCCCUGCUGUGCUGGACCCUUCUGUCAUUGGAGCAGCUGAGCUGGGGUGGACGAUGGUGCAGCAGGAGCGGGACAAACCACGCAAGGUUUUCUUUGACAACUAUCUGUAAGAGAAGUAAUUCUGUAAGGGCUCGUUUGAAUUGGAGGAUUCCAACAAUGCAGGGAUAGGAAAUAGACAGGAAUAGGAUAGGAAUGCACGUGCAAAACAGAGAAUUUAAAAACACAGGAUUUCUGCCAAUCUGGGUGUUUGAUUCACAACAAUUGGAAGAUCACAGGAUGCAAAGAAGCAUGGUGAGAUUAAGUCAAACCACAAGAAAAUGUACGGUUAUAAUGCUAUUAUGCUACUAUCUCUUAGUCUUGUGCUUCAUGAAUAGGAAUUUGAAAAGGAGGACAAGUGAAAAUUAAAAUUCCUACAUUUUUUCUUUCAAGGAGACACUAAAGGAACAAAUCCGUGUGCUCAGUGGACAAUAUAUAUAACAUGUAGAGUAAAAAAGAGAUGCAACAAGUGUAAAACCUCUUUGGCGAAGCCAUGUCGAUCUCAGCAUGAUUGGGUUGGCCGAUGAGGAUGCUCCGGCUGACUUUGCUGUCGGAGGAGGGGAAGAAGAUCUUAGGCGUCUGGAGAUGGAGCCCGAGGUACUGCUCCGCUGUGAUGGAGGGCUUCGUCGUUGGAACAGCUCCGGUGAGUUGUACGACGCCGAGGCUGAAGCAGGACAAGAGAGACAACGAACAACGUUAACCUGAGUGGAAUUCUAAUAGCAUCUCCAAUACAUGACGUAAAAUACAUAACCACAAAGUGCUAGAUGUAAAAUACAUCAGCCACUCAUCUCUGAACUUAACUGUCGAAACUGAACUUAACUGUCGACACUGAACUUAACUGUCGAAACUGAACCUAACUGUCGACAUUGAAUUCUGCUGUCGAAACUGAACGCACUAGCAAGGUGAGGCUACACGUCGGUCGACUGACUUUUUCAUCUAUGGUCAGUCGAUUUUGCAGCCAUUGGAUACAAAAUCAAGGGCCUGCAGUUCAUCUUCAACAUCCACCCCUCCUGAGCCGCUAGCCACCACCGGCCAAACAGCAGCCCCCCGCCGGCGGUGCGCUGCCCCGCCCGCCUCGAAAACACUCCCCACCGCCGGUCCGCCGCCGCCCCGGCCAUCCCUCUAGCNNNNNNNNNNNNNNNNNNNNNNNNNNNNNNNNNNNNNNNNNNNNNNNNNNNNNNNNNNNNNNNNNNNNNNNNNNNNNNNNNNNNNNNNNNNNNNNNNNNNNNNNNNNNNNNNNNNNNNNNNNNNNNNNNNNNNNNNNNNNNNNNNNNNNNNNNGCCAACGCCCCACCACCGCCGGCGACCACCGCCCCCAUCAUGAACCCUAAGAUAGAUAGUGGGGUACCUCUCCGGCAAGCCCCCCUCCCCGCUGUGGCUGGUUCUUCCUUCACCCCGGCGAGCCCACCCCUUGGAAAUCGACUGACCCAAAAGUUGAUUCAGUCGACUGAAGUGUAGCCAAAUCGGAGCAGCAUCGCAAGCAAGAGCAAGAGCGAGAGCAGCGGCGCGAGCAAGAGCAAUAGCAAGAGCAGACCAGGCAGGGGACCGAGAGCAAGAGCAGAGCAGCAGCGCGAGCAAGAGCUAAAGCAGCAACAGCUCCUACUGAUGUGGACGUCGCCGCUGAGGGAGCGGCGCCGUGGAGGAAGUGGCCGAUGACGCCGCCGUGGAUGGAGCCGCGCUGUGUCGGCUCGAGACUGAGCGCCGGCAGCACCGUGAGAUCGAAUCAAGAAGAAAAUGUGGCGAUUAGUGUACAACCUCUUUGGUGGCGCCGAUUAGGCCGCAGCUUCAUCCGAGGAAACGGUGAUGAUGAUGCUCUUCCGGUGGUGCAGGUGAAGACGGCGGUGUGGGAAUGGAGGUGGCGCGAAAGACGAGGGGAACGUUGGUGCAGCUCCUUGGAGGUGGAGGACGGGGUGGCUGAACCGGCGGGACGAUGAGAUCAACGACGGAUCCUCAUCCGGUAUGGUGGAUGAGGGACAUCGAGGUGUUGCUGUGGACGACAUCGUCGGGGAAGAGGCUCCGGCUGGGUGGCGGAUGGAGCAGGGUGUGGGGUUUCAUCGCGGGUUUUCGCGGCCUUGGUGUACGAAUGGGUGGGCGGAUGGGAUGGCAGUGGGGAACCAUGGUUUAGAGACGCGCUUGUCUGAAAUGUGGGGUAAGUUACGAAAGUACCCCCCACCGAUUUGACGCGGUUCUUUCGGUUCAGGGGUACCACGGGCAUUUCGCGUGUCGGGAUUUCACAGGAGGUAGGAGUUUUUGCGCGUGUUGUAAUUUCGGAAUAGCAAGGCGCGGGUUGAGAUGGAGGGAGUUGUCGGAGCACAAGGAGACAAAGAUAUAUCUUAAAUAUUUCGGGCUAACAAGGUGCGGGUUGAAAUUUCCGGACAAGCCUAACGUGUACUGUACCAAAUCAAUGUGCACUACAAAUGUCAUUCAAAACUUUGAAUUCAUGUUAUGUUCAAUUAAAAUAUUUUGCUACGUGUAUAAUGCAUGCAACCUACUACUCAAAUGAACGUUUUAGUGCAUUCCAAACGUAUAUACUACUGCUUCAAUAUGAACUAAAUUUGAAUAAGAUCUACAGUAAUGAUUGUUGUGAAGUCAAAGCAUUUGAAUUCGUUUCUCUGUUUUAAUAAGAUCUACAAUCAUCAUUAUUGUCAAGUUAAACCAUCAUUUGUGUAUUAUCUUCACAACACACCACAUGAUCAGUAUCGAGUUACAUAUGAACUAUGUGUACUAUAUGAACUCGAACUAGAUUUUUUGAAUCCACUUUAUUUUGAUUUCAAAUCACAUUACAUUUCUAGCUCUAGCUAGAUCUUCAUAAUCUAAAUCAUGUCUCAUAUGUAUAAUGUGUUUAUCACAUUAUGUAUGGUGCCCCGCCCCCUACGCCUACAAGUAUUUAGAUGUGAGUUGGAAACACCACACAUUACCACAAAUUCAAAUAAAAUGUGAGAAUGUUCGAUAUAUAGUAUUGUUUAGAUUGCUCGAUAUUUAGUUGUAAGCUGCAAACGCCGCACAUUAUCACAAAUUCAAAUAAAAUGUGAGAUUGUUUGAUGUAUAGUAUGGUUUAGAUUGUUCGGCAUUUAGCUGUGAGUUGCAAACGCCAUGCAUUAUCACAUUAUGGUAUAACAUGUGCACAGCACGUGUAUCACCGCUACAUUCAUGCAUGCAAGGUUUAAAACACUAUGAUCUCCUAUUCAAAUAUAUGAAUCCUCUUUCAUAUCAAAUUAUGAUCUUUGUUAGUCUCUUACACCCACACAAUCCUCUAACCUUUGUAGCUACCACUAACUUUCUCUCGUGCAUGCACACACCCUCCUCGCCCUCCCCCUCCCUCGGCAUUCUAUCCACCGGGCACAUUCAUUUUUUUCUUUAGGUCGUUCUCCCAGAGUCUCCACAACUCCUUUCUGACACACACCGAUCGAUAAACCUCUCCAGCGAUGCCUGCCUACAGCAUACAUACACAGCUUCAAUCUCCUCCUUUAUGUGUCCUAGCCUCGUGUCUCUCAUAUGGUCAGACACACGUGUAAACUCUCACCCCUCUUUUAAUCGAUCUCACAACCGCACACUCCUCCCCCUAUCUAGCUAGUAGUUGGGCCUCUCGCACCACCUCCUAGCUCCAUUAUCUCUGUCUAUCCGUCUCGUUGGGCCUUAUUUGCCUCUAACAAAUGGACGUACACCGACCGAUCUCUCGCUAUACAUAUAGCCAGCUAGGUCCUUAUAACUAAUUUUACCCACACAUCGAUCGAUCUACCUCAUUUGUUGUGUCUCUCCCUUCCUCCGACAAACAACAAUUGAUCUAUCGAUCUAGUUAGGUUUGCUUACCAAACACAUGGUUCCCCUUCAUCAUCCAUGGAUGCGUCCCGACAGAUCUAUCACGCACAGGCACACACAGAAACACAUCCCCACUCUUCUUGAUAACAUUGCAAUUCCACCCUCAGUUUGUCUAGUAGGCCUCUCCCAACAUCUCCGAGAAGCAACUCCAUCACCCAUCCAGCACUCUACCCCUCUCCCUCCCUCUCUCUCUCCUCUCUCUCUCUGUCCCAUCAUAUUUCCCGUCCUUCAGUUAUGUAUGGAUGUCGACCGAUCUCCUUCAAGACAUAGCUGGGUCUCUCCUUCUCAACACAUAUACGAGUCAUUCUACCUCCAUAGUUANNNNNNNNNNNNNNNNNNNNNNNNNNNNNNNNNNNNNNNNNNNNNNNNNNNNNNNNNNNNNNNNNNNNNNNNNNNNNNNNNNNNNNNNNNNNNNNNNNNNNNNNNNNNNNNNNNNNNNNNNNNNNNNNNNNNNNNNNNNNNNNNNNNNNNNNNNNNNNNNNNNNNNNNNNNNNNNNNNNNNNNNNNNNNNNNNNNNNNNNNNNNNNNNNNNNNNNNNNNNNNNNNNNNNNNNNNNNNNNNNNNNNNNNNNNNNNNNNNNNNNNNNNNNNNNNNNNNNNNNNNNNNNNNNNNNNNNNNNNNNNNNNNNNNNNNNNNNNNNNNNNNNNNNNNNNNNNNNNNNNNNNNNNNNNNNNNNNNNNNNNNNNNNNNNNNNNNNNNNNNNNNNNNNNNNNNNNNNNNNNNNNNNNNNNNNNNNNNNNCCUGCCACACACAAACUUGACAUGUGCCCUCUAACGUUCCCAUAGGCCAGUCGCCCUAUAUCUUUGACUUGCACACACGCACACACACACACAAUUUCGAUGGCUCUCUUCAUCGAUAUCGCACCCACCCGUACUUGAUCCUCUCCUCGACUCUAUUGAUAGCUAUGACCCCUCCCUCUCUUCUCACGGAUUGCCCGACCCUCUAUGUAUGAUAUGGAUAGGCCUCCAUUUCACACACAUUGCAUGCAAAAUUUUGUUUGAGAUGUCAUCGACACAUAUUCCCACAAAUAAUUCACGAAAUCAACCCCCCACCCCCCACCACAAAACAAAAAACACUCACGAACGCGGUUUGUAUCUAUCACACACACCCACGUAGGUGGGGGACGUGCACGAAGAGAAGAGGUGCAUGCACGGCGCACGUACUCCCGUCUCUUUCCCAACCACACGGCGCAUGCAUGGAGCUCAGUUCUGUACGAAAAAGGCAGCCCACGUGGUAAUCUGGCACGUGUACUGGUUGUCCACUUGGUGGAGGGAGGAUCGUCUACCACGGAUGAACAAACAAAUUGCGACUUGACGCGUUAUCUUAAAUAAAAAAGAGGCAAACCAUGUGGGGCCUACCUUAGAGGCAAGGCUCUAUACACUAGAGUACUUUUGAUGUGUCCCAUCAACUCGCAGAAUGAGGAGAAGCUUGCUUAGUACACCGUCUCCCCCGCCCAUGGGCGCGGUGGCUCGCAGGAUGAGGUGAAGCUUGCUCCUCCCUCGCCCAUGCGCGCGGUGGCUCACAGGACGAGGAGAAAAAUUUACUACUCCCUCUAUUUACUCCUCGUCCCUACUACCUUGGUUAUAGAGAUUAUAUCAUAUUGUUUGGAAUAUAUAUAUUGCUCUACCAUUAUUGCUCGACUUCCCGAAGAGGCGAAGAGCCAAUCGCAAGGUUAAUAUUUUGGAGAUGCCAAGCGCCAGGUUAUAGGAGAACGAGUAGUAGGUGCCGCGUCAUUUAUAAAUAAUAUUUUUUCUUCAGUGGCACGUACGCAAUAUGAUAGGUUCAUAUGGAGAGAAAAGGAAACUGCUCCACUAUAUAAAGAGUCAGGACGGGCCAGCCUACACGGUUGCUUGAUGGGGUUGCUCUCUUCACACUCUCUUGCACAAAAUGACUGUGGCCACAUCUCUAACAUCCCGGCGGAUCACGUCCGCCUGGGGAAGGGGUGGAUGCUUAGUGCAGAUGCGGUGGCCGUUGCCGAUGGCGAAAACCCACUAUCGGCACGUCCCGGUCAGGGGUCCCACCGUUCUCUCUCACAAAGCCGGUGAGGUUGCCUUCGUCCCUUGCUCACUGCCGUGACGUGGGCAGUUGCCACCUCCCACUGCUCUCCUCAAGGUUGAGCUACCUCCCUCAGGUACAACUCCCUUUACAGCCGGCUUGCACCACUGCUCCAGCUGCCCACAUCAGUCCCUGUGGAUAUUUCUCUACUUCUUUUCCCCGCACAUACCUGAUACCUCUACUGGCUUCUACGUACUGUAUUUGUGAUGAGUUUAUGUCUUGUCAACUAGUCCUAGUAAUCUUAUUCUAAUCACGCUUCUUCAAUUUCUUUGCCACAGGGAUGCUCAUCUCGAUUUUGGUGAAACUGCACAAAAUGAUCCGAUGGUCAAAAGGUUGCAAACUUCAUUUAUUAGGAAGCUCGAAUGUUGCCAGCAAAUUGAAGCCUGGUCAGGGUUCAUGGUUCAAGGGCUAGGGACUGCAUGGAUAAUUUUUUUCUUUAGCUGCCUCUGUUCCAAAAUAAGUCUCAACUUUAGUAGUAGUACAACUUUGUACUAAAGUUUGCACAAAGUUGAGACACUUAUUUUGGAACGGAGGGAGUACAUAUUUGCUAUGAUCUGUCAAUCAUUGAGAUGCAAUAGCAUGCAUGUUAGUCUCCUUUGUAUUUUAUGAAAUGUUGCAACGGGCAACCUUGGACACAAGAUACAUGUAACAGGAGCUGGAAGCUUCAUAGCAUUGUACAAAUUUAUCUCGCUGAUAAAUUACAGUACGUACUAGUACUAUACUAGUACUUCCUCCGUUCCUAAAUAUAAGUCUUUGUAGAGAUUUCACCAUUAACCACAUGCGGAUGUAUAUAGAUGCAUUUUAAGUGUAGAUUCAUUCAUUUUGUUCCGUAUGUAGUUCACCUAGUGGAAUCUCUACAAAGACUUAUCUACUAGUAAUAGCUAGCCCCCACUACUAGGAAUUCUCUAUCCUCUCCUUGAGCCACAUCAUCAAAAUUGACGUAGCCGUUAGAUGAAGUAAAUCAGUCAUAAUAGCCGUCUGAUCUAGACGUUGAGAGGCUCCGCACUAAGCCACAUGCAAGCAUGCAGAAAUACCGUGGCACAUGCAUGUGAGUGGGUUUUAAAUCACAUCAACAUGUCUGCAUGCAAGCGUGCACCGGUAGCAUGCAUGUAAGUGAGCUUUUAAGUCCCAUUAACAUGUCAAAAAGAAAAAUAUAAUCCCAUUAUGCAGUAGGAGUUUGCUGAUCUUUUUUCCUUACGCGGGAUGAUCUAAAUGAUGGUGGGAGUUUAUUUAGUUUGGCUACCACAUUUGUCAUGCGGUUUUAGAGUUUUUUUUUAGUUCUAUGAAAUUGAUAAUUUUGCGCAGAGAGAUAUACCGUUGUUCCGCAGCAAUGAGCGGGGACUCAUCUAGUAAUAUUUAGGAACGAAGGGAGUACUAUGUAAAGAGUUAGGUGUCGCACGGUGAUAGUGUGAGGUGGGCCAUGUAAUCACUGAGCCUGCGUGUUUCCACUGCUCUUGCACUCCUCCGCUGUAAGAAUGGAGAAAAUUGUAAUCUACUACCUCCUUUCACCGAAAGCGUGGGACAUCCAGUUGUCCUACCACCUCAGUAAUAAAGACCAAUGAGCCAUCAAAUCACAUAGACCCAGCAGUAAGUUGGACGGACAAAGCAACCAUCACUCUUGCGCCAGUGAGAGGUCGCGUCUGCUCUGCCCGGGCAUGAAUGCGGCACCGAUUCUUUGGAGCGGUGCUGACUGUUUCGGGCGGGAAGCACGCGUGGGCGGUGGAGGGGCUUUGGGUGGGCUAGGCUGGUCAGGAGCGGGCGUGGCAGCUGUCCGCAUGUCCCUACCGGACACGCCCGGAAACGAGAGGAUGCACCGACUCUUGCGGCUAAAAUUGUACACUACACACCAUAUCUUUGUAGGAGUAGGUCGAUCUGUCGCACUCUCUAACACACACAUGCUAUUAAACACACACACGCACACGCACGCACCUUGGUCCCGUUGCACCUUCUAACGUGACUUAUUACACCUAGACAGAGGGAGUAGUAAGUAUACGAGAUACGGUGGCACACUGACUUAAGUCGAAUACAAGUGCCCAAAAUUUGUGUUCAUGUUAUAAUAAGGAUUCACUUAAAAUAGUACGUGAGCGAACAGAGGGAUCAAUUGGACAGUGUUCCCGAGCAGUAGCGAGAUGUGUGAGGUAGUAAGAUACACCGCUGGCGCUUUUAAUUUUUCUUAAUAAUUUGUUUGUUUCACCCUCUGACUGGUGGUACCCAACGUACUACGUGGAGAGAGGUAAGGUGACUAAGGCUGCAUUAUUUCUGCACCACUUUGGAUAGUCUUACCACCAAAGCCACAUGACACGAUUAUGAUUGAAAUCCUAAUGACUCCCACACACACACACACACACAAUAAACACGGCAUGCCUGUCACACGAAUGCAGGAAUGUAUAAAAGGUUAUUUCCCUCUCGUUUAACAUAACGGGAGGGUUGUGUAGCUGGUUAGCCUCUUCACUCAUCAAACUUGAGGUCUCGGGUUCGAUAACUACACUUGAGCAUAUUUUCUGCCAGGAGGAUUCUUUGACUGGUCAAAAUGUUUUCUAGGGUUUGCACGCUUCACACUCUCUCUCCAAUAUAUAUAUAUAUAUAUAUAUAUAUAUAUAUAUAUAUAUAUAUAUAUACACGCUGGAGCCUCAGCGCUUGUAGUUGCUCUCUUCAGACUCUCUCGCCCUCUCCCGCUGGAGCCUCAGCGCUUGUAGUUGCUCUCUUCACACUCUCUCGCCCUCUCGAGAUCUAAACAAGACUUCGUUGGCCUCUCUCUCCCCUCACUGCUGCUCAAAGAGCCAACAGGAUCCGUCCGCCGGGAAGGGAAGGAGGCUUAACGUUGUCUCCGUCGGCGAGGGAGGGAAUCCACUACCGGCGCUGUUGUUCACUUUCCACCCAGCGGCGGCGCGGGAGGGCCUCCGACCCCUUCUUCUUCGCCGUCGUCCAGUCGCCCACCGAACCACGCCCCAAGAACCUUAAGGUAUAUUUUACUUACUCCACAUGCAUUGCUCUAGCUGCAUGUAUACCAUGAAUCUAGGACGUGGUUCAAAGAGGAAAGGAGUGGGGGAAAGUAGUGGGAAAAUUUGUAUAUAGAAUGAAUCUAGGACGUGGUUCAAAGAGGAAAUGAAGGGGGAAAGUUGUAUAGCAUGAAUCUAGGACGUGGUUCAAAGAGGAAAGGAAUGCGGGAAAGUAGUGGGGAAAGUUGUAUCACAUAAAUCUAGGACGUGGUUCAAAGAGGAAAGGAAGGGGCGAAAGUACUAGUUCAAAAAGGAAAGGAAGGGACAAGGCUGUAGAGUUUGAGCAGGACUAGAUUUGCUGCAAUCACAUAGGGAAAGGUGUCUAAAGAUAACAAAACUGGGACCAACACAAAUAUGCUCCUUGGUUGUUUGUUCUUUGUUGCAACAGACUAUGCAUGACCACAGUAUAUCGGUAGAUGCACAUGGUGCUGGUGCAUCCACUAUCCCGUGCAACUCAUUGGCUGUUAAUCUAUGGCCCUGUUUGGUUAAAAACUCCCUAGUCCCUACCUACUUGGUUCCAGGGACUAAACAUGGACUAGAGGUUAUUAAAUGACAUGAUAAAAGACCAUGUAACCCCUAGUGAUGAACUAAUAGAAACAAGGUGCGAUGCGUGGCAGGGGCAACUGUUGGAAAAAGUCCCAAAAAGACUCCCUCGGGGUCUUAUUUCUUUAGUCCCAAAUGCGCACUUUUAGUCCCGAAAAGUCCCUCCUGUUUGGUUUAGAUGUGAUUGACACGGAGUUUUUUUAGUCCCUACACCAAAAUGGCCCUGUAAACAAACACGCUCUAAUAAUGCCGCUGGAAAAUUGAUGCAAUGCCACAGUUAAAAGCAAAUUACAUGUUUAACGAAUUUUAUUGUUAAUAUAAUCUCUAUGUUAAUAUUAAUCAAUGCCACCAUUUGAGAAAUGCUACGGUCUUGCUUUCUUUCCCAUUUAGAUAAGGUAGAUGCUUCUUUUUGUUGGCUUCUGUGUCAUCCACUGUUAUUGACCACUAAUUGUUUCCUUUGCACCUCUGUGUAAACAGGGUUAUCUACUUCACCUUGUUGCCAUUGUGACCUUUUGUUGCACUGCACAAAACACUUUUGUUUUAAGAGUGUUUUGUGCAGUUCAACCAAAAUGUCACACCGACAACGUUGCUUGAUUGCUUGAUCUUAGUGGAACUGCACAAGAGGAGAUCUUACUUCCUAUCCAUUAAGGCGAAUUUGGUUCAGAUCUUCUUCUUGUGAGUUGUUUGAAUUCCGCAUCAUGAGAGGUUAGUACUAGCCUUCUUUCACAUGAUUCUACAGUGCGCUUUCAUAUGUUGUGCUACUUGUACGAUAAUGUUGCUUGAUUUUAGUGAACUGCACAAAUGGAGACAAGACUUCCAAUAUGUAUGUGCACCGUAAUAUCCCAUUGAGGUAAGAUAAGGAUAUUUCACAACUGCUGGCCUGUAUUUUGCCACUUCCAUCAGAAAAUUAAGUUUAGUACUAUACUUGUGCUCCCUAAUUGACAUGCCAAAUCUUACAUUGAAGGCGAAGCUUGUCUGUUAUUGAACCAAGUGAUGAAGGGGAAGAACAAGCGGAAGAAAAACAAAAAUCAACUCCCGAUGCUGUAAUGAAGCACUGGAACUGUGAUGACACAAGUAAUGAUAUAGUUUUGCAUCUUAAUUUAUUGCUAUGGCUGGAAUGAGCAAUUGUUUUACCAUUGAUUUGAUGCCAUAUGUAAUUAUCUCUACCUAUGCAAACAGGGAUCUUCUUUGAAGAUACCAUAUAUUUUAGUGGAACUAUACAAGAAGAUGUUGGAAACAUUAAACUAAUCGAGGAGUAUAUAGUAAGCAUGGCCACCCCCGUAGAUAGCAACAAAUGGUUCCCGAGAAGUGCUUCAUCUGUAUGCUCUACACAAUCAGCCUCCUGACAAAUGUUGGUACUCACCCACUGAUUUCAUCCAUAUGAUUGAGCUUUGUCAUCUCUAUUGGUGUUGUGCUACUGUUUAGAUACUGUCAUGAAAAAGUGGUAUUGUCCUUGAGAAGUGCUUUAUCUGUGCUGUUUUAAAUAUUUCCUUUCCAUUUUUUCAAGCAAACAGGGAUCAUCUUCCUCUGAAGAGGAAUAUGGAGUAUGUGAAGUGACUAGUUCCGAUUAUGCCAGGAUGAAGAAGCCAUGUCUAUCUUCUCAUCAGAAGGAGCAGUUGAAGGAUGGUUACAUUAUUCCCCACAAGACCAAACUAACUUUAGCUCAGAAGGACUGACAAAUCUCCAUUUUUUUGCUGUGAUGCACGAGUACAAUGUUGUUUUAGGAUUCUUUCUGGUGAGUUCCAUUUUUCUAAAAGUGUGCCCUACAUGGACCAUGUAUGUGCCUAUUGAAACUAUCAAUUCAUAGUACAGUUUGCUUUAUACUAAUCACUUUUUUGUAUUUGUGCAAACAAGGGUGCUCAGCUUGAUUUCAAUGGGAACUACACAAAAUGUUCAUGAAUACAUCAAAUUAUUCAUUUCCACCACAAGAAAGGAGGUGCCCAUAAGUUCAAGGCGUUGGAACAUAUAAUGGCGAAAUCAUACAAGCUACACGCGAAUUUGGUUGAUUUUGGUGGAACUGCACAAAAAGAAUAGCUGGUUUAUUUAGCACGAGGUGCCAUGUCAAUGUUCGAACUGAUGGCAAACCCUGCCCAUUCCACAAUCGUAGGCAUUUGAUAUUUUGGAAUGGGACAACCUUGUCAAAGUUUGCUCAUUGAUUUUAGCAAGAUAUGCGUUUGAUAUUUUUGAAUGGGACGCCCUUUGCUGUUAGCAGCGGCGAUCAAUUUUUUCUUUAUUCUUUAGUUGUGAAUUAAAUAUUGCCUCUGACAUGUGAGUCGCUGAGAUGCAUAAUCAUCGAUUGUUUUGAAUGUUCUCUAUGAAUUGCCAGGCCUGUGUGUUUGAUUGCAAUGUACAGAAACGCUAAAAAGAUGCUCAAACUCUCUAUACUCCUUCUGUUCCUUUUUACUUUGCACAUUGUGAAAGUGCAUACUUUUUUGUAUAAGAUUGGUCAAAGUAGAGAUACUUUGACUGCAGACAAAACUUGUAUGCAGACUAGAAAGGACCGGAGGGAGUACAUGUGAAAGUGCUACAAACGUGGUGAUCACCCAGGGAAUAAUGCUAGUACGUAUUGUUUUGCAUGUUCAUCCAAUGCCAGUGAUACAGGAAUUCGAACUAAUCAAAAUAAAUUCAUUCAUACACGGUCGGAUUUCAUAUAAACAUGCCGGAUUUCAUUACAUUUCAUACAUUCUUCAACUAAAAAGGGGUGUUUAUGGCCGCAUGCAUCUCCCAGAUGCAGAGGCCGGGGGUCAUCCUCCUUUUCGAAAAAAAACUAAAAAGGGGUGCGCUAGAGGUAUAAUUAAUUAGCCGAAGCUACCCACAUGUGUCCCGCUGAGCCGAACAGAAGCUUCAGUGACUUAACUGCAGGUGCAGUUGUGUAACUGAUAUGUGGCCUGUUGGGCCCACGUGUCAGUCAGCCAACUGCACUAGCAGUUAAGUAGAAGCAGCGUUCUUCUCCAGCGCAGCUCUCCGACUCCACGUCGGCGCCAAGAAGCUAACCGGCCGUCAAUGGUCAACCCGCCUAGCUUGGCUUUAGCCGGAGGGUAGCAGCGGUGGCCUUACUUGGACCUGAGCGGCGGCGACCUACCGUGUUCUACUCUUCCUCAUUUUCUGUGUGGCACGGCCUCGUUGGCAGCGGGGCGGGGCCUCGGUGGAGCCGGCGAUGCCUCUAUCUCGUUGCCGGCGGGCGGCGCCUCAGCGGAGCGAUGGAAAUCCUCCCCCACGUUGCUGGCAGGGUGGGGCCUUGGCUGAGCCGGCGAUGUCCUCUGCCUCGUUGUUGGCGAGGCGGGGCCUCGGCGGAGCCGGCGGUGUCCUCUGCCUCGUUGUUGGUGCCGCAGGGCCUCGGCAGAGACGGCGGUGUCCUCUGCCUCGUUGUUGGUGCCACGGGGCCUCGGCGAAGCCGGCGGUGUCCUCUGCCUCGUUGUUGGCGCCGCGGGGCGUCGGCAGAGCAGUGCAUCGUUGACGCCAGCGGAGCGGGGACUCGUCAGAGCCGGCAUUGUCCUCUGCCUCGUCCUCGGUCUCGCCAAACAGUGCCUCGCCCGCUUCAUCUCCCUCUUUGCUAGCCUCUUUGUAGGCGGCCGCAGCCUCCGACACGAGGUACGGCCAGCGCUCGAGGCAGCCCUUGCAGGCGGAGUGGUACGAGUCGAGCAGCGCCUCCUGCUCCGCCCGCUCCGCAGUGAUCUGCUCCUCCGCCUGCAGGUGCUCCUAGAGGAGAUGGUGGUUGUAGGCGGCGUCAGCCUGCGCCUCCCGGAACUGCUCCUCACGCAUCUGCCUCACCCUGUCCAUAUAUUGGGCACGGGCCUCGCCGAUGGUCAUGGUGCAAUGCACCGACGAGGAUGGCGCGGAGGAGGGGGUUGGCGCCGGAUCAUCGACUACCAUGUUCUCCAUUGGGACGUCGUCAUUCUCCGGCUGCCUGCCGGCCAGACGGUCGGUGGCAAUGGCUGCUAUCUCCUUGUGGUCCAUCGUUUGCCCGUCCCGAAGAGCGCUGGAGCGCGAGGAAGCCAUGGUGGGCAGUAGUGGUGUGGACAGGAGAAUGAGAACGGAUGCGGAUGACUGCGGCUAUUGCCGGCGCAGCAGUUUAUAUAGCAAUGGUGGGCGGGCGGUGGGACGGACGUGUGGCGCCGGAGUAGCCGCCUUGGCAACCGCAUAUCAUUAAUGUGUGCGGCAGAUGGACGGACGGACGGCACUUGUGUCGUUUGAAGGCGGAGCAAUCGCCUGCACCGAGAAGCGGGGCGGCCGGCACUGACUGUUUCGGGCGGAAAGCGCGCGCGGGCGAGGAGAUGACUUUACUUGGAUACGAUGGCAAUGGGGACCCACCAGGUCCAUAGCCUCACGUACGCAAGUGCCUCCUUAUUAUAUAUAUAUAUAUAUAUAUAUAUAUAUAUAUAUAUAUAUAUAUAUAUAGGGUGGGUCUAUUAUGAUAACACCCCUGAAGACCUUAUUCUGCACACCUAAACCUUAUUCUGCACACCACCCUAACCGACAGAGCCAGCCGAACCGAUCCACCCCACCCACUCUUUCCUCUCCUCCCACGACCUCUCCUCUCCACCUUCUUCCCCCCACCCCAGUCGGUCCUCCCGCACCUACCCUGCGUCAGAUCUGCNNNNNNNNNNNNNNNNNNNNNNNNNNNNNNNNNNNNNNNNNNNNNNNNNNNNNNNNNNNNNNNNNNNNNNNNNNNNNNNNNNNNNNNNNNNNNNNNNNNNNNNNNNNNNNNNNNNNNNNNNNNNNNNNNNNNNNNNNNNNNNNNNNNNNNNNNNNNNNNNNNNNNNNNNNNNNNNNNNNNNNNNNNNNNNNNNNNNNNNNNNNNNNNNNNNNNNNNNNNNNNNNNNNNNNNNNNNNNNNNNNNNNNNNNNNNNNNNNNNNNNNNNNNNNNNNNNNNNNNNNNNNNNNNNNNNNNNNNNNNNNNNNNNNNNNNNNNNNNNNNNNNNNNNNNNNNNNNNNNNNNNNNNNNNNNNNNNNNNNNNNNNNNNNNNNNNNNNNNNNNNNNNNNNNNNNNNNNNNNNNNNNNNNNNNNNNNNNNNNNNNNNNNNNNNNNNNNNNNNNNNNNNNNNNNNNNNNNNNNNNNNNNNNNNNNNNNNNNNCCGCCCUUCCCUCCCCUCCAGUGGCCGUGGACGUCGGCGCUCGUCGGAUCCAGCUUCCACCGCGCCUGGAUCCACUGGAUCCAUGGAUCCCCCACGCGUGUUCCCCAGUCAGCCCCCACCUCACCAACCCUACUUCCUUCGUCGCCAGCGCCCUGGCUCUGCCCGAGCCCACUUCUUUCUCCCCCUACCCCGUGGUUUGGAUCCCGUGUUGCGGCCCCACCACCAGAUCCGUCCAAGGGAAGCAGAGGGGCUCCGGGCCGCCACCACCGGCCACACGCGGCCACCACCUCCACAAAGGGGUGCUCCGGGCCACCACCGCCGGUGCCGCGCCCUUGACUUCCCCACUGGAUGCACCCUCACCAGUGGGCUAGGCCGCGAGCAUAGAGGAGGAAGGAGAAGUUCUCCUAUCGGGUGCCGCUCCCAACCAGCAUCGAUCUGGUUCCCCUCCACCUCAAUGAGCUCCUCCCUGUUUGCUACUGCUUCCCCCGAUGGUUGCAGCUCCUUUGAAUAUGUUUUGAAGCUCACUGAAUAUUUUUUGCAGUACAUUGUGAAAAUCCACAGAGAAGUCCAUUUCUUUUUAGAUGCAGUACGCCUCGUCGACGCAGCUCAUCUGAAAAAAUAGUGUGGUUCGUUGCUAUAGAAGGUUGUGAGUUAUAUCAGUGGAGAUAAUGUAAAAAUAAACUAUGCAGUUCAUUGUGUGUAUGCUUGCAAAAAGCGGUGUGUGUAUGCGUGUAGUCCACCCCCUCGGUCAUCUAUUUUUUUAGAUGACAAAAAUGUAUUGUCAGGUGCGGUGGUUUCACUUCUUUGGAAAAAUGAUUGCAGUGGGGUGUGUGUAUGCGUGCAGUGCACUGCUAUGGUCCGCUGUUAGGUGAUACUGUUUUUUGUUUUGUUCUUUUGUUUAGAAAAAAAAUCAAGUGGACUUCAGUUAGCUAUUGCAGGAGAAGAGAAAAAAAUGCAAAUUUUAGUUUGUAAUUAUUGAAGAAAUCUGAUGUAGUUCGUUUGUGUGAUGACUUGUGAUUCGCUAUGUAACAGGAAAAUGGAAAACCCACGAGGAAGCCCUUCUUAUGUAAAUGGAAAAGGAAAAAAAUCAUGUAGUCCGCUAGCCCGUCUGAUGCAGGCGGUUUUCAGUCUAAACGCAGUGCGGUUUAAUUCCUCGUCUUCAAAAGUUUGCAUCCCACAAAAAAGAAAUCAUGCAGUCCGCUAGCCCGUCUGAUGCAGUGCGGUUUUCAGUCUAAAAGCACUACGGUUUUCUUCCUCGUCUUCAAAAAUUUACGUCCCACAAAAAAGAAACCAUGCAGUUCUCUUCCCCGUCUGAUGCAGUGCGGUUUUCAGUCUAAAAAGCAGUGCGGUUUUCUUCCUCGUCUUCAAAAAAUUACGUCCCACAAAAAAGAAACUAUGCAGUUCUCUUCACCAUCUAAUGCAGUGCGGCAUUUCGUCCGAUGCAGUGCGGUUUUCAGUCGGAUGAAGUACGCACGUCGAUUUGGGUGUCGCGAAAAAUAGAGUGUCCGCAUUUCGGUAAAUUUAAAACUGCUCUUAAACCAUAAAGAAUUAAAGAGAGUGUUCUACAUGAAAAAGUUGCGCCUCGUCGAUACCUUUCCAACGACGUAUCGUUUGAGUCAUUCCGAGCAGCGGUUUGUAAAAAUUUCGCGAAAACCAGCAGCUGCCACUCGUCGUCUGCCACACGAUUUCAAAAAUUAACUUAAAACCGUAAUGAAUCUCAAAAACAUUGCAACAUAUGAAAGUUGCGCCUCGUCCAUAGCUUUUCAACGAUAUAUUACACGCCUCCUUUUGAUAAACGGUUCAAAAACUGGACCGAAAACAGUACCAAAAAUUUGAAAAAAUUUGAAAAACAGAAUUCCGCGAUUUAGUAAAUUUGAAACUGCUCUUAAACCGUAAUGAAUUAGAGAAAGAUUUAUAUAUGAAAAAGAUGCGCCUCAAUGAUAUCUAUCCAACGGCGUAUCAUUUGCUUCAUUCCGACAAGCGGUUUAGAAAAAAACGCAAAAAAACGCUCGCUGCCACUCGUCAUCCGCCGCACUAUUUUCAAAACUGCUCUUAAACCGUGUGGAAUCUCGAAAAGUAUUCAACAUGUCGAAGUUGCGCCUAAUCCAUAGCUUUUCAAUGGUAUAUUACACGCCUCAUUCCGAUAAACGGUUGACAAAUUAGAGCGAAAAUAGUACGGAAAAACACCGCGUGCAAAUUUUUUCGACACGAAGUUCACUAGUCUCUAUUGCAGUGCUCGUCGUCAAAAUGAUGCAGUGCGCUUAUAUUGAGCGUGCAGUGCCGAAGUGAUGUGCAGAAUAGUUAUUCUGCUAAUAUUAGCAUAAUAGACCGUCUAUAUAUAUAUAUAUAUAUAUAUAUAUAUACAUAUAUAUAUAUAUAUAUAUAUAUUUUGCUUCCUCCUUGUUUCCUGACAUCACGGUCCCACACCAUUGUCAACCUAUGUACUCCCUCCUUUCCGGUUUAUAGGGCUUAUCUCAAAAUUUUAGCUUUUCCAUUUUAUAAGUCUCAAUUUGGUUGUUUUCCAUCACAUGUUCAGAUUCCAAGGUGCAUUAAAUCAUUGCAUGCAAGUAUUAAGAGAAAAUUGACCAAUGCAUGUACUUUAUGCAUGCAUGCAUUGCAAUUAAUGCAUUGAUAAACAUAAUUUUUUGAGAAUAACAAGAGCAUUAAUUGGGUGCUUUUGCAAAACUACAAAAAGUAUUCCACCACUCGCCAUCUACCUUGAUUGGUGAGAUUUUUGAAUUAAGAAUUAUAAACCGGAAAGGAGGGAGUAGUCAAUAAACGAAAGAAUUGCACAAGAAGCAGCUGACAGCUGGGACCAAGCAGCUCGAGCAGUAUUUGUGUUUUUGAGGUGUGAGCACUUCAGAGUUUUUCGAUGUUUACCCCAGAUAUUAAUUUUUCUCCUCUGAACAACAACGAAAACAUCGCUGCAGGUAUUAACUGGGCGGGCUGUGGCCCGUCUAGCCCAGGCCAGAUAUCCAGCCCAGAUAUUAAUUUUUUUCAAGCUGGAAAUGGCUAGCCCAGCUAUACUUUUUUUAGGAAUACCCAAGCAAGGUCAAGUUGUUAUUCUCCGCCCCGCUGGGCUGCAAAUCUUUCCUAGGAGGGAUGCAUUAGGUUUAACAAGAAAAUGGGCUUUAAGAAAUAAUAAAUGGGAUGCAAUUAUAAAACUGGGUAGUAACUAUAAAAAAAUGCACCAAACAGUGAUUACUUUAUAAAAUAUUAUUUUUGGAAUAUUAAAAUUUUAAUUUAUUAAUUGUUGCGAGCGGAAUGUUUUGUUGGAUUUUUACGCAAUAUAAAUUUAUAUUGAAAUUGCAUUUAAUCUGACUAGAAAUUUCGGGAUAAAAAUAUUCGGAUCCCAUCAAAAUGUGGGAAAUUUUAUUGAAUUCUGUUUUGAACGGUUGGUUCAAAUGGGUUGUACUUUUAACAAACUGUAAAUGUGUUGUAGUAAAUUCCAUUAGAAUUCAAAAAUGGGCUACACAUUCUUACAAAUCUCAAAUGGGCUAUAAGUUCUCUGCCACACACUUCUGGCCUUACUAAGUUGACGCGUCCCCUAGAAAAAACAGAGUUGACGGGUAUGCAAGGCUUUGUCAACUUAUAGUCAACACACGGUUCUAGCAGCAGUGGCCGUUGGAUGUCCAUCCAACGGAUGCCAUGCUUCUUCUUCAAUCUCGAAUAUUCUAGCUUCACCUGUCCAAAAAAUGAUACAUCCCCCUGACAUCUAGGGCGCACCGUUUCGGAAGCUGACCUGUGGGCCUACUAAGUUGACCGUACGAUGUCCAUCCAACGGCCGUCGUGCUUCUUCAACCUCUGGUCUUCUUGCUCCAGCCGCCCAAAGCAGCGCCGGUAAUGCCGCCUGCUCCUACCUCCCGUGGCCGGCUGUGCUGCCGCGGAGGCCUCACCGCCCCCUACUACUCCCACCGCUGGCCAGGCCAUCCCUCCACUCACCCACACCCCCUGUUAUUCUGCGGCGACGGCAGCGCAGCCGAACCAAUGAACCCUCGUACUCCUCUUCGCGUGUGCAUCCACUACCGCGUCUUCCCCGGCUCCGCGCCGUCCCCUUCCUAGGCCUCGCCGUCGUCCACCGGCGUGGUGCUCUCGGCGCGGCGUGGUCAACGUGGUCAAGGAACGACUUCCAUCGGACGUGGACUGUAUGUGGAGAGGCUGACAGCUGGGUCCACGGCAGCCGCAAGGAAGUGCCUCCUUAUUACGUGCAAAAUAAUUAUUCCUUCACCUAAUAGCGGGGACCCAUCGGACGGGCCAUCGUAUUUCGCGAAAAAAAUGAUUCGCCCCUGACUACUGGGACCCAUGAGCUACAUCUUCGCACGCAAGGAAGUGCGUCCGGGAAAAAAAUGAUUCGCCCCCUUAACUGCUGGGACCCACCAGCUACAUCUUCGCACGCAAGGAAGUGCGUCCGAAAAAAAAUGAUUCACCCCCCGACUGCUGGGACCCUCCAGCUACACCUUCGCAUGCAAGGAAGUGCGUCUGGGCAAAAAAAACGAUUCGCCCCCCUGACUGCUGGGACCCAGCAGCUACACCUUCGCACGCAAGGAAGUGCGUCCGGGCAAAAAAAAGAUUCGCCCCCCUGACUGCUGGGACCCAGCGGCUACACCUUCGCAAGCAAGGAAGUGCGUCCGGGCAAAAAAACGAUUCGCCCCCCGUACUGCUGGGACCCACCAGCUACAUCUUCGCAAGCAAGGAAGUGCCUGACAGUCGGGACCCACCUGGUCGAAGCGUACGUAGCGUUGUCAUCCUGGUCGCGAACGUGUACGUACAUACUGGUCGAUGUAGAGGCGCGCACGUGUCGUAGUAGAGGCGCGCACGUGUCGUAGUAGAGGCGCGCACGUAGCAUGUACAUGUACAUACAGCGGCCAGGGUGCAAGAAAGAAAAUACGGCCACGUAUGUGUACAUACGGGUGGGGUCUCGAACGCCUAGUCGCGCAUACAUACGGCGAGGGCUCGUGUUCAUGGGGAGGCAACGAAAUGCGUCAUGUUCAUGGGCAGGCAAUGGAAUGCGUCAUGUUCAUGGGGAGGCAACAGAAUGUGUCGUGUUCAUGGGGAGGCAAAGGAAUGUGUCGUGUUCAUCGGGAGGCAACGGAACGCGUGGGAGCCAACCGGCUGGGUCGAAACGGAAUGCGUGGUCGUGUUUGGGAGGGCUUGGACGGAACGGGCGAUGGAAACGAGGCCUGGUGUACCACACAACGGAGGAAACGGACCUCCUAUGUUCGGAACGGGGUCCUGUUGAUUGGGAGGGGUGUGGCAUACCGUAAAAAGGAGGAAAUGGACCUCCUACGGUCGAAACGGGGGUCCUGUUGAUCGGGAGGGGUGUGGCGUACCGCAAAACGGACGAAACGGACCUCCUACGGUCGAAACNNNNNNNNNNNNNNNNNNNNNNNNNNNNNNNNNNNNNNNNNNNNNNNNNNNNNNNNNNNNNNNNNNNNNNNNNNNNNNNNNNNNNNNNNNNNNNNNNNNNNNNNNNNNNNNNNNNNNNNNNNNNNNNNNNNNNNNNNNNNNNNNNNNNNNNNNNNNNNNNNNNNNNNNNNNNNNNNNNNNNNNNNNNNNNNNNNNNNNNNNNNNNNNNNNNNNNNNNNNNNNNNNNNNNNNNNNNNNNNNNNNNNNNNNNNNNNNNNNNNNNNNNNNNNNNNNNNNNNNNNNNNNNNNNNNNNNNNNNNNNNNNNNNNNNNNNNNNNNNNNNNNNNNNNNNNNNNNNNNNNNNNNNNNNNNNNNNNNNNNNNNNNNNNNNNNNNNNNNNNNNNNNNNNNNNNNNNNNNNNNNNNNNNNNNNNNNNNNNNNNNNNNNNNNNNNNNNNNNNNNNNNNNNNNNNNNNNNNNNNNNNNNNNNNNNNNNNNNNNNNNNNNNNNNNNNNNNNNNNNNNNNNNNNNNNNNNNNNNNNNNNNNNNNNNNNNNNNNNNNNNNNNNNNNNNNNNNNNNNNNNNNNNNNNNNNNNNNNNNNNNNNNNNNNNNNNNNNNNNNNNNNNNNNNNNNNNNNNNNNNNNNNNNNNNNNNNNNNNNNNNNNNNNNNNNNNNNNNNNNNNNNNNNNNNNNNNNNNNNNNNNNNNNNNNNNNNNNNNNNNNNNNNNNNNNNNNNNNNNNNNNNNNNNNNNNNNNNNNNNNNNNNNNNNNNNNNNNNNNNNNNNNNNNNNNNNNNNNNNNNNNNNNNNNNNNNNNNNNNNNNNNNNNNNNNNNNNNNNNNNNNNNNNNNNNNNNNNNNNNNNNNNNNNNNNNNNAAGCAUCGAUCGGCUUCAUUUAGUAGCAGUAGCGAAGGAAUUGCUCCAUCGGGUUCAAUUAACAGCCAUCGAUCGAUCGCUCGGGUUCAGUAACGCGUAGCCUGUAGUGCAAUCGCUCGGGUUCAGUUAGAGCCCAAUGCCUCGCUCGGGUUCAGUUAGAGCCAACGCCUCGCACACACGUGCGUACCUGUAUGAGAGAAACGCGCAUCGCUCCGCCCCCGACCUCCCACCAUAACCGGCAACUCCCCAAAAAUUUCCUCCCCCUCGCUUCUACCACGGUUUUUUCCGUCAUGGACGGCCCAAAGAAUGUCAUGCAGCUGCGUCUCUGGCCCGCCCAGGACGAAAAGCCCAUUUUCUGUCAUGAUUUUUUGUCAUAGAAGUAGGAGCCCACCACAUCUAUGAUGAUACCGGGUUUUGUCACAAUUAUCGUCAUAGAAGUGUCACAUGUAUGACAGGAAAAAAAUUCGUUCGUCCCAAAAUGUCACAGAUGUGUCUUUUUUUGUAGUGCAAUCUCGACUGUCAUCAGAUAUCUGUCCUUCUUGAAUUUGAUCUCCUCAGAGCCAUCGUCUCUUCUCACCAGCAGGGCCCCGUUCAAUGCCUCUGCAUCCCGACAUGCUACCUGCUGUCCAUACCCGGCACGGUGGACGCUUGGCUGACACCCCCUGAAUUCGGAAAACUCCAGCAGUUUGAGUUGUACCAUUACCACAAAAGUUUCAUACCACGAACACACCAAGAAUUCGUGCCCACACCACCAUUGUCCAUCUCACGGUUUUCCUCCUCUCUCCACACCGCCACCUUCGCCCGGUGCCAUCUACCAGACGAUCUGGUACAAAUGCUUCGACUCCCAUUGCUAAAAAAACUUCCGCUUGUGGUGGUUUAUCUGUCGGAGGCCUCACUGUACAGCAUCAUCCACUCCAGUUGCCCUGCCCUCGAGUGCUUGCUUAUUGUUUUGGGAAUAGAAAUCCGUAUUAGUUGUCUCCAAAUAAAGUCGCCUCACCUUAAAAGCAUUGGAAUUUGAUUUGAAGGACAGCAGCUCAUCAUCGAAGAUGCCCCUUCACUUCAAAGGUUGCUCCUUGACAAUUGUAUACACUUUCACAAAUAACUGUCGUCUCUGCAUCCAAACUAGCGACCUUGGGUGUAAUUCGUGACCCGUUUAAUGAUCACAAGGAGUUGGUGGUUGGCUCCUCACUUUUUCAGGUACCGUAUAUUAUCAUCUACACAUUUGUAAUCAUAAGCUGCAUUUUUCAUUUGUGCACAUAAGUUUUAUAUCAUCUUGGAGUACACUUUGGGUACUAAUAUUAUGUUAUAUGCUUAAUGAAUAGUUCACCCAUUGAUAGCCUAUCAAUGCUGCUGGAUUCUGUCAAGAUCAUGUAUAUCAGAAUGUUUAGUUUUGAUCUGGACAUAAUUAUUGGCUUCCUGCAAUGCUUUCGAUCUCUGGAGAAUUUAUAUAUAGAGGUGAUGAUUUCAUGCACAUUGAAAGCCCGUAUAUAUUGUACUAGAAUUAACUAUUCAGCUGUCGGUCUUUCGACAUACUCUUUUUUCAGACCUUAACUAUUUUCAAUCUUCAUGUCUACUUAGGCAGAACCACACGGAGAAAAACAUAUAACCAAUCGGUGGCGUAAUAAGCAACAGGAUUUUCUUAGUUCUCAUGACAUUCGUUUGAGGACAAUAACGAUGGAACGAUAUGCAUCCAACCAGGCAGAUAGAAGCUUUGUCACAUUCUUCAUGUUGAACGCGAGGUUACAAUUGUCCAUGAGGCUUAAUUUUUACUGCAAGAGAUUUCUCACGGACGGACAUGUUGAACAGCAAAAAAAAGAAGUUUCAGGUGGACAAAUGGGCUUCUAAACGUGCUCGGCUUCUAUUUACAACAAGUUCUAGUCAUCCUGAAAUAAUUUUUUUUGCAUAGGAUGUUGAUUUUAUGGAUCAGACCGACCCAUUUGUUUGUGACUGCAAAAAAGAGUGGUUGGGUUAGAUGUUAUUGUCAUGUUCAAUCUGGGUUUCGUCUAAAAACUUGAUGAACAAUUAAUCCUUGGGCUUUUUGUACCAUUUGUAUGCUUGAGUUGCAUGUUGUUGCCCUCAUACUCCCCUCCACCAGCCACUACACUGCCGCAUCUUCGACGACUGUUGUUCAUUCCCGUCCGAGGCCUCGCCAUCGUUCUCCGCCUUGGUUCACUCGCUGUGCCCGCCACCGUCGGGUGUGGUCUACAUGGUCAACAACCAAGAGGAAUCAAGAGAUGACUGUACGUGGAGAUGCUGACAGUAGGGACCCACCAGGGUCAUUGCAUUUCGCAAGCAGGUGCCUCGUUAUUACAAGCCAAAAAAAUACUUCCUCCUAAUUGUUUGACAACUAGCUCCCACACCAUUGUCAAUGUAGUCAAUAAACGAGAAAAUUACACAACAAGCGGAUAACACCAGGGACCCAGCAGCUCGCCCAGUUGUUUUUUAGUUUCAGAGACAGAGCUCAACUGCACGCUGUGCGGGGGCUGUGGCCCAUCUAGCCCACGCUUACGCUUUUAUUAAGCACAUGACGAGCCCAGUUAAUAUAUUUUUUAUUUCUAAAAAUGGCUAGCCCAGUUCUUUUUUUGGAGAAUACCAAAACCGAGGCCUACUUGCUUUUCUCAGCCCUGCUGGGCUGCAAAUCUUUCAAGACGAGGAGGGAUGUAAGUAGUAAGAAAUGGGCUUCCCUAGGAAAUGGGCUGUAAGUUGUAAGAAAUGGGCUAUAAAUUUUUAAAACCAAAGCCAACCGACAAUUGCAUUAAAAUAUCAUUUUCAGGAUUUCUCUAGUCUCUACUCUUAUAAAAACCAAAGUAAAGUGGCAAUUACAUUAAAAUAUCAUCUUUUCUCCCACAAUAUAAACUACUCGUACAAAUGCAUCUUCAUGUUUCGUGCAACAAACGGGCAUCUUGCUAGUUAAGAUUCUAAAUUUCAUUCUUUUUUUCCAGAGAAUUGUUUUUUGAAUUUUAUUUUGAUAUAAUUUUUGAAAAUUAUUUUUAACGUGACCCGAAAUUUCGUGAUUAAAAGAGUUCGGACCCCACCAAAAUAUGCAAAAUUUCGUUGUUUUUUAGCAGUGCCCAGAAUAUAUGGUCUGUAAUGCUAAUAAAAAGAAUAUGGGCUUCAAAUAUCCUUAAGAAUUAGCAAAUGGGCUGUAAAUUGUUGAAAAUAGUGGCUAAUGGGUUGUAUGCUGUUUUCCACAGAUUUGGAGGCUGACUUCUGGGCCUACUAGGUUGACAAUGACAUUGUCCUAAUUUUUUUUGACGCGUACGCAAGGCUUUGUCAACUUAGUCAACACACAACAGUGACUGUUGGAUGUCCAUACAAAGGCCGCCGUGUUUCUUCAAUCUCUGAUCUUCCUGCUCCAGCCACCCAAACCAGCGCCGGUGGGACUGCCUGCUCCCUCCUCCCGUGGCUGGUUGUGCUGCCGCCAGGCCAUCCCUCUAACCACCCACACAUCCUGUUAUUUUCCGGCGACGUCAGCCUCACCCCGCAUCCGACCAGUCAGCGCUCAUACUCUCCUCAGCAUGGGCAUCCGCUGCGGUGGCUUCACCGGCUCCGGGUGGUUCUCUUCCUGGGCCUCGCCCUCGUCCACCGCGUUUGUGCUCUCGGCGCGGCGAGGUCAACAUGGUCAACAAACAACAGCCAUCGGAAGAGGCUGACGUAGGGGCCCACACAGGGAAAUGCCUCCUUAUUACAUGCAAAAUAAUGAUUCCUCCACCUGAUAGCUGGGAGCCACCAGAAGGGCCUNNNNNNNNNNNNNNNNNNNNNNNNNNNNNNNNNNNNNNNNNNNNNNNNNNNNNNNNNNNNNNNNNNNNNNNNNNNNNNNNNNNNNNNNNNNNNNNNNNNNNNNNNNNNNNNNNNNNNNNNNNNNNNNNNNNNNNNNNNNNNNNNNNNNNNNNNNNNNNNNNNNNNNNNNNNNNNNNNNNNNNNNNNNNNNNNNNNNNNNNNNNNNNNNNNNNNNNNNNNNNNNNNNNNNNNNNNNNNNNNNNNNNNNNNNNNNNNNNNNNNNNNNNNNNNNNNNNNNNNNNNNNNNNNNNNNNNNNNNNNNNNNNNNNNNNNNNNNNNNNNNNNNNNNNNNNUGGAAGUGCCUCCUUAUUACGCACAAAAAAAUGAAUACUCCCCCUGCUAGCUGGGACUCACCUUGGUGGGAGGCUGACUUGUGGGCCUACUAAGUUGACAUGGACGGAGGGCUUUGUCAACUUAGUCAAUAUGAACGAUUCUAGCUCCAGUGACCGUACGAUGUCCAUCCAACAGCCGUAGUGCUUCUUCAACCUCUAGUCUUCGUGCUCCAGCCGCCCAAAGAAGCGGCGGUCGUGCCGCCUGCUCCUGCCUCCUAUGGCCGGCUGUGCUGCCACAGAGGACUCACCGCCCCAUACUAUUCCCACCGUUGCCCAGGCCCUGCGGCAACGGCAGCCUCACACCAAAGCCGAACCAGCGAACCUUCAUACUCCUCACCGUGCGAGCUUCCACUACCGCGUCUUCCCCGGCUCUGUGUCGUCCCCUUCCUAGGCCUCGCGUCGUCCACCGCCCUGGUGCUCUCGGUGCGGCAUGGUUAACAUGGUCAAGGAACGACUUCCAUCGCAAGAGUACUGUACAUGGAGAGGCUGACAGCUGGGUCCAAAACGGCUACAAGGAAGUGCCUCCUUAUUACGUGCAAAAUAAUUGUUCCUCCACCUGACAGCGGGGAUCCACCGGACGGGCCAUCUUAUUUCGUGAAAAAAAUGUUUCCCCCAGACUGCUGGGACCCACCAGCUACAUCUUCGCAUGCAAGGAAGUGCGUCCAGGUAAAAAAACGAUUCGCCCCCCUGACUGCUGGGACCCACCAGCUACAUCUUCGCACGCAAGGAAGUGCCUGACAAUCAGGACCCACCUGGUUGAAGCGUACGUAGCGUUGUCAUUCUGGUCACGGACGUGUACGUACAUACUGGUCGAUGUAGAGGCACGCAUGUGUCGUAGUAGAGGCGCGCACGUACCAUGUAUACGUAUAGCGGCCAGGGUGCAAGAAAGUAAAUACGGCCAUGUACGUACAUACGGGUGGGGUCUCGAACGCCUACUCGCACAUACGUACGGCCAGGGCUCGUGUACAUGGCUGGGUUGGAACGGAGAAAAAGCGUCGUCGUCGUGUUCAUGGGAAGCCAACCGGCUGGGUCGGAAUGGAAUGCGUCGUCGUGUUCAUUGGGAGGGCUUGGACGGAACAGCCGAUGGAAACGAGGCCUGGCGUACCGCAGAACGGAGGAAACGGCCUUGUGUUUGACCGGCCAUGUUCGAAACGGGAUCCUGUUCAUUAGGAGGGGUCUGGCGUACCGCAAAACUGAGGAAACGGACUUGUGUUGGACCUCCUAUGGUCGAAACGGGGUCUUGUUGAUCGGGAGGGGUGUGGCGUACCGCAAAACAGAGGAAACGGACUUGUGUUGGAGCACUAUGGUCGAAAUGGGGGUCCUAUUCAUCGAGAGGGGUCUGGCGUACCGCAAAAUGGGACUCCACGGGAUACUGUUCAUCUCCACCGCCGACCUCCUCCGGCUUCCAUGGGCUACUGUUCAUCCACCGUCGACCUCCUCCAGUCUCCACCUGCGACUGUUCAUCCAUGGGCUCCUGUUUAUCCAGCCUCCACCGCGUGCUACUCCACCGGCUACUGUUCAACCACCCCUCUCCACAGGCUCUUGUUCAACCACCCCUCCACGGGCUACUGUUCAUCCACCCCUCCACCAUCUACUGUUCAUCCAGCCCUCCACGGGGUCAUCCUGUUCCUCUAGUCCUCCACGGGGUCCUGUUCAUCCAGCCCCAACCAGCUCGAUCGAUCGGGGUCCUGUUCAUCCAGAGGCAACACCACGGGGUCCUAAUCAUCCACCCCCACCGCUCACUGUUCAUCCAAACCUCCCAGCAACUCUCACUGUUCAUCCACAGGAAGCAUCGAUCGGCUUUAGUUAGCCUCAGUAGCGAAGGAAUCGCUCGAUCGGGUUUAGUUAACAACCAUCGAUCGAUCGCUUGGGUUCAGUAACGCGUAGCCUGUAGUGCAAUCGCUCGGGUUCAGUAGGUGAACACCUCGCUCGGGUUCAGUUAGAGCCCAACACCUCGCACCCACGUGCGUGCGUGUACGAGAGAAACGUGCAAACCUUUGUGCAUCGCUCGGCCCCGACCACCCACCGUAACCGGGAACUCCCCGAAAUUUUCCUCGCCCUCGGUUCUACCACGGUUUUUCUGUCAUGGACGGCCCAAAGAAUGUCAUGCAUCUGCGUCUCCGGCCGGCCCAGGAUGAAAAGCCCAUUUUCUGUCAUGAUUUUUUGUCAUAGAAGUAGGAGCCCACCACAUCUAUGAUGAUACUGGGUUUUGUCACAAUUAUCGUCAUAGAAGUUUCAUAAGUAUGACAGAUAAAAAUUUCGUUCGGCCCAAAAUGUCACGGAUGUGUCCUUUUUUUGUAGUGAAAACACACAAGUUGAUCUUUACCUGUGUGCGGUGCCCCCAUCCACAGUUUUCCACCCCGUUCAUAUCAUCGUAGUGCUUAGGCGAAGCCCUGCGCCAGUAACUUCAUCAUCACCGUCACCAUGCCGUAGUGCUGACGGAACUCUCCAUCGGCCUCAGCUGGAUCUAGAGUUCGAGGGACUUCACCGAGCUGAACGUGUGCAGAUCGCGGAGGUGCCAUGCAUUCGGUACUUGAUCGGUUGGAUCGCGAAGACGUUCGACUACAUCAACCGCGUUACUUAACGCUUCCGCUUUUGGUCUACGAGGGUACACGGACACACUCUCCCCUCUCGUUGCUAUACAUCAUCUAGAUAGAUCUUGUGUGAUCGUAGGAAUUGUUUUGAAAUUACCGUGCUCCCCAACAGUUGCAUCCGAUCCAGGUUUAUGCGUAGAUGUUAUAUGCAUGAGUAGAACACAAAGAGUUGUGGGCGAUAAUAGUCAUACUGCUUACCACCAACGUCUUACUUUGAUUCGGCGGUAUUGUUGGAUGAAGCGGCCCGGACCGACAUUACAUGACCGCGUUCAUGAGACUGGUUCUACCGACGUGCUUUUGCAGAAAGGUGGUUGGCGGGUGUCUGUUUCUCCAACUUUAGUUGAAUCGAGUUUGACUAUGGACGGUCCUUGUUCAAGGUUAAAACAACACACUUGACGAAAAAUCGUUGUGGUUUUGAUGCGUAGCUAAGAAUGGUUCUUGGUAGAAGCCCGUAGCAGCCACGUAAAACUUGCAACAACAAAGUAGAGGACGUCUAACUUGUUUUUGCAGGGCUUGCUGUGAUGUAAUAUGGUCAAGGCAUGAUGUGAUAUAAAUUGUUGUAUGAGAUGAUCAUGUUUUGUAACAAAGUUAUCGGCAACUAACAGGAGCCAUAUGGUUGUCGCUUUAUUGUAUGCAAUGCAAUCGCCAUGUAAUUGUUUUACUUUAUCACCAAGCGGUAGCGAUAGUCAUAGUAACAAUAGUUGGCCAGACGACAACGAUGCUAUGAUCGAGAUCAAGGUGUCGCGCCGGUGACGAUGGAGAUCAUGACGAUGCUUCGAUUAUGGAGAUCAUGAGCACGAGAUGAUGAUGGCCAUAUCAUGUCACAUAUUUUGAUUGCAUGUGAUGUUUAUCUUUUAUGCAUCUUAUUUUGCUUAGUACGACGGUAGCAUUAUAAGAUGAUCCCUUACUAAAUUUCAAGGUACAAGUGUUCUCCCUAAGUAUGCACCGUUGCUACAGUUCGUCGUGUCGAGACAUGAUACGUCCAUUUUGCAUCAUGCUUUAAUAUCGAUAUUUAUUGCAUUAUGGGCUGCUAUUACACGUUAUGUCACAAUACUUAUGGCUAUUCUCUCUUAUUUUACAAGGUUUAACAUGAAGGGGGAGAAUGCCGGCAGCUGGGAUUCUGGGCUGGAAAGGGAGCAAAUAUUGGAAACCUAUUCUGCACAGCUCCAAAAGUCCUGAAACUCCACGAAAGUAAUUUUUGGAAUUAAUAAGAAUUAUUGAGCGAAAUAAGUACCAGAGGGGGCCUACACCCUGGCCACGAGGGUGGGGGCGCGCCCACCCCUACUGGGCGCGCCCCCUACCUCGUGGGGCCCCUGGUGGCCUUCCGGUGCCCGUCUUCUGCUAUAUGAAGUCUUUUACCCUAGAAAAAAAUCAUAAGCAAGCUUUCGGGACGAAACUUCGCCGCCAUGAGGCAGAACCUUGGCGGAACCAAUCUAGGGCUCCGACGGAGCUGUUCCAUCAGGGAAACUUCCCUCCGGGAGGGGGAAAUCAUCACCAUCGUCAUCACCAACGAUCCUCUCAUCGGGAGGGGGUCAAUCUCCAUCAACAUCUUCACCAGCACCAUCUCCUCUCAAACCCUAGUUCAUCUCUUGUAUCAAUCUUGUAUCAAAACCACAAAUUGGUACCUGUGGGUUACUAGUAGUGUUGAUUACUCCUUGUAGUUGAUACUAGUUGGUUUAUUUGGUGGAAGUUUAUUUGUUCAUAUCCUUAAUGUAUAUUAAUACCCCUCUAAUCAUGAACAUGAAUAUGCUUUGUGAGUAGUUACGUUUGUUCCUGAGGACAUGGGUGAAGUCUUGCUAUUAGUAGUCAUGUGAAUUUGGUAUUCGCUCGAUAUUUUGAUAAGAUGUAUGUUGUCUCUCCUCUAGUGGUGUUAUGUGAACGUUGACUACAUGACACUUCACCAUUAUUUGGUCCUAGAGGAAGGCAUUGGGAAGUAAUAAGUAGAUGAUGGGUUGCUAGAGUGACAGAAGCUUAAACCCUAGUUUAUGUGUUGCUUUGUAAGGGGCUGAUUUGGAUCCACUAGUUUCAUGCUAUAGUUAGGUUUACCUUAAUACUUCUUUUGUAGUUGCGGCUGCUUGCAAUAGGGGUUAAUCAUAAGUGGGAUGCUUGUCCAAUAAAGUGCAGCACCCAAACACUGGUCCACCCACAUAUCAAAUUAUCAAAGUAACGAACGUGAAUCAUAUGAGCGUGAUGAAAACUAGCUUGACAAUAAUUCCCAUGUGUCCUCGGGAGCGCUUUUCUCAUUAUAAGAACUUGUCCAGGCUUGUCCUUUGCUACAAAAAGGGAUUGGGCCACCUUGCUGCACCUUAUUUACUUUCAUUGCUUGUUACCCGUUACAAAUUAUCUUAUCACAAAACUAUCUGAUACCUACAAUUUCAGUGCUUGCAGAGAAUACCUUACUGAAAACCGCUUGUCAUUUCCUUCUGCUCCUCGUUGGGUUCGACACUCUUACUUAUCAAAAGGACUAUGAUAGAUCCCCUAUACUUGUGAGUCAUCAAGACUCUUUUCUGGCGUCGUUGCCGGGGAGUGAAGCCCCUUUGGUGAGUGCAACUUGGUAAGGAAACAUUUAUAUAGUGUGCUAAAAUUUACUGUCACUUGUUACUAUGGAAACUAAUGUGGCACCCCGGCUCAGAGAAACCGGAACGCCCCAUAUUCCAGCCCAGAGAUCGAGGAGAAGUAUUCUGGAAUACGGCACUGCUUAGCAUAGAACAAACCGGCUUUCUAUUAUUACAUGAAUAUGAAUACAAGGUCUCCGGUAUUACAAUGAAUAACAUCGGCACGGCGACACUACGCCAUCCUCAGUUGCUCUAUGCAAGCAGCAUAACAACUCGAAGCAGUGGAAAUAACUCUAGCAGCGGAACAACGGCGACGGUGGUGAACUCCACUCCGUAGGGACUCUGGCUGGAACGCUUAUCCUAGCUCGCACGAACGGAAACCACGACAAGCAAGCAAUCAAAUCCGGCAUGACCUGCAAGCUGGCAUGACACGCCAGGUCAGUACAUUGAAUGUACUUGCAAGCUCACAAUAAACCUGAAGCAUUCAAGGCAGACAACAGCAUGGCAAUUACAGGUUAAGCAGGAAUUAACAGGAUAUCAUCAGAACAAUAUAACAUGGCAUGACCAACAUAAACACAACACAGCUAUCACAACAUGAACAUAUUAAUCCAACAAUACUAGCAUGCAACAUGAAACCACUAUAUGCACCACUUAUACUGCUCGGUUACCUCGUAACCAACACAUGCAUCACUUACCAACCUCGGACAUCACACGAUCAUCUCAGGAUCAAAUCAAGCUUGGCAUGAACAAUACCGUAGCGAUCAUUAAAUAACCACAAGGAGCUUGAUCUUUACCCAUGACUCUCGUACAACAUCACGAAUAUACAACAACUCGGUAUCCUCGAUACCAUUGUGAUCUUUACAGCGAUCACCACCCGACCAACACUUGGCCCGUGAUCCUUACGGUGAUCACAACCCGACCACUACAUGGCCCGUGAUCCUUACGGCGAUCACCACCCGACUAACACAUGGCCAACUUAUUUCAUUGUUAUUAAGCAUAUUAUUCUUAUUACUGUUGACUCAUGGUGUGACCUACUUUUGACCUGGGCCCUUAUCCGCGGGCGUGGCUAUCGAUAGAUUAAUAUACACUCUGUAGAGGUUAGUACAUUGUACCCACACUACGGAACCCAUGGCCUCACUCUCCCAUUCGGGUGGACCAUCGGCGUUCCGACAAAACCGAUCUAUUGUCAUGAUACUCUCCCGGCCCUUCCGACUCAGACCCCACUAGGCUAGUCCUGGGUGGCCCCGUGUCUACCUCCAGACACCUCGACCACCGUCGUGGCCACGAUCCAUACUGGGAUCCGGUACCAAAAUUAACUUAACAACGGGCUCACAAGGUUAUGCUCUGCCUACCUGAUCAGGGUAGCACGCGCCCAUAACCUUCCCUACAUUGAGGUACCGACCAGAGGCACGACAAUAGACCCAGUUAGGACCGUCCCAUACCGGUAAUCGUGGUUGCACUGGUCAGCAUCGAUUCAGCGGCACCAUGACUCAGCCAACAGUUGUUCAAGUUCAAUUUAAUCCGGUUAACUUGAAUGCAAAUAUGUUGAGCCAUGAUAAAAUAACAUGAUGCCAACCAUAAUACAUGAACAUGAUAUCAACAUCACCAUGAGAGUAUCACAUAACUUUCCACCAGAUCAACAAUAAAUCAUAUCCACUGAGCAUCGCAUACUGACUAGCAUGACCAUCUCCAACAUCAACAUGUACUACUAACCAGCAUAAUCAUAUGAAAGGUAAUACUAGCAGGUAUAACAUGAUCAUAGAGUAUAAGACAACAUAGCACAACAGUGAACAUGCAAAUCUAAACUUCACCGGAACAACGAUAACCAUCUUUUCAACAAGCAAACAUUUAUUAAAUAUUCAAGUUGAAAACCAUGGCUACUGCAUGACUAUCAUGCAAGUGGGUAUUGUGGCUUGCCUGGGGAUGAAGAAAGCAUCGGGGAGAAGUGCGGUGAAGCCGCGGAACGAAACGCCGGAAAACGUUCUCUCUCGGAGGGGGCUGAAUAAGGGCAAGGGCAUAAAGGUCAUUUUCAUAGUGUCAAACCAUAGUGAAAACAUGACCAACAGAACGGGCUCGACGAAACGAAGAAGUGAGCGUUGGUUUCACCUUGUUUGGAGUUACGGUUAAAAAGAUAUAAAGGUUUUACUGCCAGGGACCUAUCUAUAAUGAAAAAAAAUUAACCAGGGGCCUGAACAGAAAAAGUGAAAGCGCAUUUGACGAAAUACGUCUCCACUUACGCUGACGUGGCGGUGGACUGGUUAAAAGGAAGAGGCGGGGCCGGCUCCAGGGUGGCUGACGUGCGGGGCGACGAGGGGAGGCGGCCCAAGGAGACAGAGGCGGCGGCUGGUCAAGGGGGCAUGGCCCUAGAGGGGCUUCGGCGACGAGGGGAAAGGCAGGGCGACUCACCGGAGUGUGGGGAAGACGAUGGUGGUGGCUAUAGGUGGAGGGGGGCUCGGCUUUGGCCGAAUUUGAGAUGGCCGAGGUGGCGGCCAUGGCGGCAAUCAUGGUCGGGGAGAGGUUCUCCGGCUCGGGGAAGAGCAUGGGCGAGCUCCUGGGGGAGUGGUGACGCUGGUGGUGAGCUCAAACGGCUCGGGGGAAGGCUAUAUAUAGCCGGAGCGAGGAGGGGAGGCCAUGGACGCGUGGUCGUGGCUCGGGUGCUGCCGUGCGCAUCCGGCCGAGGCUCUGGAGCGGCAAGCGAGCACGGGAUGGCGCGGGAUCACGACGAGGGGGCGUGCGGACGAGCCACAGAGGCACACAUGGCAGGAGGGGCCGAGGGGAAGCAGAGGAAGAGGCCAAACUCCAUUAAAACUCGGUCAGCCACAUGGCUCCCGUGGGCGUUCGUCGGCGAGCAUCGGCGAGGAAGCUAUCAGAGGGGGAGAGGAGUCCAGGGGGACGGCGACGACGAGGGCAAUCUACUGGACAUGCUCACGGGUGCGAAGACAGCGAGAGGGGGAGGGGCCCGAGCACAAACGGCCACUGGACGCGCUCAUGGCAUGCCAAAAUGGUGGUCACCACCAGUGCUGGCAUGUCCGUGAGGCAACCAGCUGGCAAAUGAUGUCUAGGGGUUAGUCCUUCGAAGAUGGUUUGCACUGAGGUGGUAACUAGGUGAAAGGUGCUCUGGUCAAAAAGAUAUAACCCUCUAAAGUUUACUGCAGUAAACUUUAUUAGCUCAGUGAGAUCAACAGGGAGUUAUUGGAGGCCAAAUAAGAUGUCUGGGAUGUUAAGCUAUGGAAGGACUACAGUCCUGGAGGUUGGGAGGGUAAAUGGACCAAGUUAACUCACAGUUGCUUUGCAACUGCCAAAAUGGUCCAGAAAUGAAGAUCAUCAAGAUGCACUUACAUGGAGUGUUCACUUGAGCUCAAAUUGGGCAAGGAUUAGUCAUAUGGUCAUAUCAAGAUGCUGUAAAAAGCUCAUGCCAAAUGGACAAACCAAAAUAGCACUUGCUUCACAAACUUCUCUGCUGACCAGAAAUUUGAAUUAAUUAUGGUGGUCAAAUGGAUCAAUGAAAUGAUGCCAAAAUGGGUGGAGGGAUGUUUUAUGGGUAUAAGAAUGAUCUGGUAAUUUAUCAGGAUUUUUGAAGCAAUAUAACAUAUACUUGCUUCACAACCUGAAAAUUUUGCCAGAAACAAAGAUUUACUCAUGUGCUCACAUAGAUACUUGUAUGGGGCUGCAAAUGGGUGAAGGGGCUUAAUAUGAGAACAUUAAGGAGUGUGCAGAAGUUCAACUCAUUUGGGUACUCCUAGCUAGUACUUCCUUUACAAAGCCUUCUGUCUGACAGAAACUUUGGAAAUUCACUGAGGAAGAUUGGCUAGGCAAAUAAAUUUGAACUUGUGCAUGGGGCAAUCAUUUGGACAUAUAAACAUGCCUAAAAAGGUUGGGAGUCAAUAGGAGAAAUAUAAAUGACACUUCCUUCACAAAGUGCCAUUCAGGGCAGAAUAGGAAAUGAAUUAAUGGAGAAUUAUUUUUGAACAUGGCAAUGAAAAGUUUUGCCAUAUUUGAGAAUUAUUUGGGAAUUUUAGGAGUGAGGGAAAUAUAGGUUGCUUCACAACCUAGGGCAAUUGGAGUUAUUCCUUUAAGAGAAAAGGAAUAUUCCCAAUAAAAAGAAUAUUGGGAUUUGGGCUAGGAUGGAAAUGACAGGGUCUAGGGAAAGAUUUGGGAAUGACCAACCACUCUGGAAACAAAGAAGAGGGCAUCUUAUUCAGUUUCCAUACCACAAAGCCACGGAAAAAGAAAACUCACGCAAAAACCUGGGAAAAACAAAAGAAAAAGGAAGGGCCAAAAAUCAGGCUGUGACAACUAAUCCUUUGAUGGGCUUGUUCGGGGCAUCUUCGCCCCGACCAGUAGAGCAAAGAGUUGCUCCUCAACAUACUAAACCUACUGAAAAUGUUUACUUUGAGAUUCCUUCGGGUAUGAUAGAGAAACUGCUAGCUAAUCCCUUUGCAGGAGAUGGAACAUUGCAUCCCGAUUUACACCUUAUCUAUGUGGAUGAAGUUUAUGGAUUAUUUAAGCUUGCAGGUAUACCCGAUGAUGUUGUUAAGAGGAAGGUCUUCCCUUUAUCUUUGAAGGGAGAUGCAUUGACAUGGUAUAGGCUAUGUGAUGAUACGGAAUCUUGGGACUAUAAACGAUUGAAAUUGGAAUUUCACCAGAAGUUCUAUCCUAUGCAUCUUGUUCAUCGUGAUCGUAAUUACAUAUAUAAUGUCUAGCCUCGCGAAGGAGAAAGCAUCGCUCAAGCUUGGGGGAGGCUUAAGUCAAUGUUAUAUUCAUGCCCCAACCAUGAGCUCUCAAGAGAAAUGAUUAUUCAAAAAAAAUUAUGUUCGGCUUUCUCUCAAUGAUCGCACCAUGCUCGAUACUUCUUGUGCUGGUUCUUAUAUGUUGAAGACUAUUGAAUUCAAGUGGGACUUAUUGGAAAGAAUUAAAUGCAACUCUAAAAAUUGGGGUUCCGCCGAUGGUAAGGAGUCAGGUAUGCCACCUAAGUUUGAUUGUGUUAAGUCUUUUAUGGAUACCGAUGCUUUUCGUGGAUUUAGCACUAAAUAUGGACUUCACUCUGAGAUAGUAGCUUCUUUCUGUGAAUCUUUUGCUACUCACGUUGAUCUCCCUAAGGAGAAGUGGUUUAAAUAUAAUCCUCCUACUGAAGUAAAAGUAGUUGCACCUGUUACAGUUGAAGAAAAGAUUAUCACUUAUAAUGAUCCUAUUGUUCCUACUACUUAUGUUGAGAAACCACCUUUCCCUGUUAGGAUGAAGGAGCAUGCGAAAGCUUCAACUGUGGUUCAUAAAAGUAAUACUAGAACAUAUACACCUCCUGAGCAAAUUAAAGUUGAACCUAGUAUUGCUAUGGUUAAAGAUCUCUUGGCUGAUAAUAUUGAUGGGCAUGUUAUUUAUUUAUGUGAUGAAGCUGCUAAUAUUGCUAAACCUGCUGCUAAGAUACAUAGACCUAUUGUAGGCAUGCAUGUUAUUUCUGUUAAAAUAGGAGAUCAUUGUUAUCAUGGCUUAUGUGAUAUGGGUGCUAGUGCUAGUGCAAUACCUAUUUCCUUAUAUGAAGAAAUUAUGCACGAUAUUGCACCCGCUAAGUUAGAAGAUAUUGAUGUUACAAUUAAGCUUGCCAAUAGAGACACUAUUUCACCAUUUGGGAUUAUUAGAGAUGUUGAAGUCUUGUGUGGGAAAGCUAAAUAUCCUACUGAUUUUCUUGUUCUGGGUUCCCCACAAGAUAGCUUUUGUCCCAUUAUAUUUGGUAGACCCUUCUUGAAUACUGUUAAUGCCAAGAUUGAUUGUGAAAAGGAUGUUGUUACAAUUGGCUUCAGGGAUAUGAAACAUGAGUUUAAUUUUGCUAAUUUCAUAGACAACCCCAUGAUAAAGAAUUGCCUAGUAAAUAUGAAAUUAUUGAUCUUGCUUCUAUUGUUGUGCCUCCUACUGAUCCUUUAGAACAAUAUUUGCUAGACCAUGAAAAUGAUAUGUUUAUGAAUGAAAGAAGGGAGAUAGAUGAAGUAUUCCUUAAACAGGGUCCUAUUCUGAAACACAACUUGCCUGUUGAAAUCCUAGGGGAUCCUCCUCCACCUAAGGGUGAUCUCGUGUUUGAGCUUAAACCAUUACCUGAUACUCUUAAAUAUGCUUAUCUUGAUGAAAAGAAGAUAUAUCCUCCUAUUAUUAGUGCUAACCUUUCAGAGCAAGAAGAGGAGAGAUUAUUGAAAACUCUGAAGAAGCACCGUUCUGCUAUUGGAUAUACUCUCGAUGAUCUUAAGGGCAUUAGUCCCACUUUAUGCCAACACAAAAUAAAAUUGGAAGAAGAUGCCAAACCAGUUAGAGACCAUCAACGACGUUUAAAUCCUAAGAUGAAAGAAGUGGUAAGAAAGGAGAUACUAAAGCUCCUUGAGGCAGGUAUAAUUUAUCCCAUUGCUGAUAGUCAGUGGGUUAGUCAUGUCCAUUGUUUCCCUAAGAAGGGAGUUAUUACAGUUGUUCCUAAUGAUAAAGAUGAAUUGAUCCCGCAAAGAAUUAUUACAAGUUAUAGGAUGGUAAUUGAUUUCCGUAAAUUAAAUAAAGCUACUAAGAAAGAUCAUUACCCUUUACCUUUUAUUGAUCAAAUGCUAGAAAGACUAUCCAAACAUACACAUUUCUGCUUUCUAGAUGGUUAUUCUGGUUUCUCUCAAAUACCUGUGCCAGCGGACGAUCAAGCAAAGACUACUUUUACUUGCCCUUUCGGUACUUUUGCUUAUAGACGUAUGCCUUUUGGUUUAUGUAAUGCACCUGCUACCUUUCAAAGAUGCAUGAUGGCUAUAUUCUCUGACUUUUGUGAAAAGAUUUGUGAGGUAUUCAUGGAUGAUUUAUCCAUCUAUGGAUCCUCUUUUGAUGAUUGCUUGAGCAACCUUGAUCGAGUUUUGCAGAGAUGUGAAGAUACUAGUCUUGUUUUGAAUUGGGGGAAGUGUCACUUUAUGGUUAAUGAAGGCAUUGUCUUGGGUCAUAAAAUUUCUGAAAGAGGUAUUGAAGUUGAUAAAGCUAAAGUUGAUGCUAUUGAAAAGAUGUCGUGUCCCAAGGACAUUAAAGGUAUAAGAAGUUUCCUUGGUCAUGCCGGUUUUUAUAGGAGGUUCAUGAAGGACUUUUCUAAAAUCUCUAGGCCUCUGACUAAUCUAUAGCAAAAAGAUAUCCCUUUUGUCUUUGAUGAUGAUUCUGUAGAAGCAUUUGAAAUACUUAAGAAAGCUUUGAUCACUGCAUCUAUUGUUCAGCCACCUGAUUGGAAUUUACCCUUUGAAAUUAUGUGUGAUGCUAGUGAUUAUGUUGUAGGUGUUAUUCUAGGGCAAAGAGUUGAUAAGAAAUUAAAUGUUAUUCAAUAUGCUAGCAAAACUCUAGACACUGCCCAGAGAAAUUAUGCUACUACUGAAAAAGAAUUCUUAGCCUAGACUUAUUAGUGUUGAUAUUAAAUAUCUUAUAUUGUUGAUAAGUUCAGACCCUAUAUUGUUGAUUCUAAAGUAAUUAUUCACAUUGAUCAUGAUGCUAUUAAAUAUCUUAUGGAAAAGAAAGAUGCUAAGCCUAGACUUAUUAGAUGGGUCCUCUUGCUCCAGGAAUUUGAUUUGCAUAUUAUUGAUAGAAAGGGAGCCGAGAACCCCGUUGCAGACAACUUGUCUAGGUUAGAGAAUGUUCUUGAUGACCCACUACCUAUUGAUGAUAGCUUUCCUGAUGAACAAUUAGCUGUCAUAAAUGCUUCUCGUACUACUCCAUGGUAUGCUGAUUAUGCUAAUUAUAUCGUUGCUAAAUUAUACCACCUAGUUUCACAUACCAGCAAAAGAAAAAGUUCUUUUAUGAUUUAAGACAUUACUUCUGGGAUGACCCACACCUUUAUAAAGAAGGAGUAAAUGGUGUUAUUAGACAUUGUGUACCUGAGCAUGAACAGGAACAGAUCCUACACAAGUGUUAAUCCGAGGCAUAUGGAGGACACCACACUGGAGAUAGAACUGCACAUAAGGUAUUGCAAUCCGGUUUUUAUUGGCCUACUCUCUUCAAAGAUGCCCGUAAGUUUGUCUUGCCUUGUGAUGAAUGUCAAAGAAUUGGUAAUAUUAGUAGACGUCAAGAAAUGCCUAUGAAUUAUUCUAUUGUUAUUGAACCAUUUGAUGUUUGGGGCUUUGAUUAUAUGGGACCUUUUCCUGCCUCUAAUGGAUAUACACAUAUUUUAGUUGAUGUUGAUUAUGUUACUAAGUGGGUAGAAGCUAUUCCAACUAGUAGUGCUGAUCAUAACACCUCUACUAAGAUGCUUAAAGAAGUUAUUUUUCCGAGGUUUGGAGUCCCUAGAUAUCUCAUGACUGAUGGUGGUUCACAUUUUAUUCAUGGUUCUUUUCGUAAAAUGCUUGCUAAGUAUGAUGUUAAUCAUAGAAUUGCAUCUCCUUAUCACCCACAGUCUAGUGGUCAAGUAGAGUUGAGUAAUAGAGAGCUCAAAUUGAUUUUGCAAAAGACUGUUAAUAGAUCUAGAAAGAAUUGGUCCAAGAAACUUGAUGAUGCAUUAUGGGCCUAUAGAACUGCAUAUAAGAAUCCUAUGGGUAUGUCUCCGUAUAAGAUGGUUUAUGGAAAAGCAUGUUACUUACCUCUCGAACUAGAACAUAACGCAUAUUGGGCUAUUAAAGAGCUCAACUAUGAUUUCAAAAUUGCCGGUGAGAAGAGGUUAUUUGACAUUAGCUCACUUGAGGAAUGGAGAACCCAGGCUUAUGAGAAUGCCAAGCUGUUUAAAGAAAAUGUUAAAAGAUGGCAUGCCAAAAGGAUAGAAAAGCGUGAGUUUAACGUAGGUGAUUAUGUGUUGCUUUUCAACUCUCGUUUAAGGUUUUUUGCAGGAAAACUUCUCUCUAAAUGGGAAGGUCCUUACGUUAUCAAGGAGGUCUAUCGUUCCAGUGCCAUAAAAAUCAACAACUUUGAAGGCACAAGUCUGAGGGUGGUGAACGGUCAAAGAAUCAAACAUUAUAUCUCAGGUAAUCCUAUAAAUGUUGAAACUAAUAUUAUUGAAACCGUAACCCUGGAGGAAUACAUAAGGGACACUUUCCAGAACAUUUCAGACUUCGAAAAGGAAUAGGUAUGUGGUACGGUAAGCAAACUGACUCCAAAACAAUUCUAAUAGCAAUUUUUCUCCGUUUUGGAAUAUUUAAGAAAAUAGGAAAAUAAGAAGUAGUCCGGAAAGGACACAAGGCGUCCACGAGGGUGGAGAGCGCGCCACCCCUACUGGGCGCGCCCCCUGCCUCGUGGGCACCUCGUGUGCUCUCCGGACUCCAUUUUCGUGCACGAUACUCCUUUUGGUUGGUAAAAAUUCAUUAUAUAAUCUCCCGAAGGUUUUGACCACUGUAUCACGCAAAAAUCCUCUGUCUUUGUUUCGAGCUGUUUUUCUGACAGAUCUAGAGCAUCAUGACGUCACCCUCCUCCAACAAUGAAGACAAGGGUGCUUGGCUAUUGAAGAUAUAGCUAAAAAGAGAAGAACCUGAGGAGAUCAACAAGGAUGAAGGGAUCAAGAAGGCCAUGGAGGAUCAAGCUCCGACGGCGGAAGAAGAAAACAUCUCUCAACCUCUACCUAACCUCUUUACCCCAACUGAGAUUGAAGCUUUCAAGAUGAUUGAGUUAGCUCGUAUACAAAACAAGUAUCUCACAUAGGAAAAUAUUUUGUUGAAGGAGCAUAUCAUCGCACUCAAGGGCAUUAUCCGCAAACUGGAGGAGCUCCUAUGCUCGAUGUGCGACUAUCCAUCAUCAUCACCACCUUCUUCACCACCUCCGAGGACAUAAUCACAUGGGUAUGGGCACUCCCCUUGGCAACUGCCAAGUUUGGGGGAGUUGCCCCGGUAUCGUAUCACCACCACACUCCUAUCUUUACCGUUUUACUUCGUUCGAUCCUUUUGGUAAUAUCUUGAUCUAGUAGAAUAAAGUUUUGGUAUGAUUUAGUUUUGAGUUUUGCUUUGUGAUCCCUCUAUGUAAUCGAGUCCGUGAGAUAUAUAUAAUAAAGAUUAGUGUUGAGUCAAGGGCUUUGCUAUCUUGCUAUGAUCUUGAGAAAAUAGAAAGAAUAAAAAGAAAUAAAAUAGUUCAUAUUGAUCUUAUGGAUAGUAAUGACUUCAUACAUAAAGAGUAUGAGGCAUAAAAGUUGUUGAGAGUUGGCAAACAUAGUUUUGGUCAUCGUUGCAAUUAAUAGGAAGUAAUAAAGAAAGAGAGGUUUUCACAUAUAAAUAUACUAUCUUGGACAUCUUUUAUGAUUGUGAGCACUCAUUAAAGUAUGACAUGCUAAAGAGUUGAUGUUGGACAAGCAAGACAAUGUAAUGGGUUAUGUUUUCUCACAUCUCAGUUAAAGUAUAUUGUCAUGGAUCGUCCAACAUGUUGAGCUUGCCUUUCCCCCUCAUGCUAGCCAAAUUCCUUGCACCAAGUAGAGAUACUACUUGUGCUUCCAAAUAUCCUUAAACCCAGUUUUUGCCAUGAGAGUCCACCAUACCUACCUAUGGAUUGAGUAAGAUCCUUCAAGUAAGUUGUCAUGUUGCAAGCAAUAAAAAUUGCUCUCUAAAUAUGCAUGAAUUAUUAGUGUAGAGAAAAUAAGCUUUAUACGAUCGUGUGAUAUGGAAGUAAUAAAAGCGACAGACUGCAUAAUAAAGGUUCAUAUCAUAAGUGGCAAUAUAAAGUGACGUUCUUUUGCAUUAAGAUUUUGUGCAUCCAACCCUAAAAGCACAUGACAACCUCUGCUUCCCUCUGCGAAGGGCCUAUCUUUUACAUUAUGCAAGAGUCAAGGUGAUCUUCACCUUUCCCUUUUACAUUUUAUCCUUUGGCAAGCACUUCAUGUUGGAAAGAUCCUGAUAUAUAUAUAUAUAUAUAUAUAUAUAUAUAUAUAUAUAUAUAUAUAUAUAUAUAUAUAUAUAUAUAUAUAUAUAUAUAUAUCCAAUUGGAUGUAAGUUAGCAUGAACUAUUAUUGUUGACAUUACCCUUGAGGUAAAACAUUGGGAGGCAACACUAUAAGCCCCUAUCUUUCUCUGUGUCCGAUUAAAACUCCAUAACUAUAAGUGUUGCGUGAGUGUUAGCAAUUGUGAAACACUAUAUGAUAGUUGAGUAUGUGGACUUGCUGAAAAUCUCUAUUCUUGACUCUUUCCGAUGUUAUGAUAAAUUGCAAUUGCUUCAGUGACUGAGAUUAUAGUUUGUUAGUUCUCAAUGAAGUUUCUGAAUCAUACUUGACAUUGUGAAUAGAUUGUUACUUGAGCAUAAGAAAUCAUAUGACAAUAUAUAUAUAUAUAUAUAUAUAUAUGUUGUUGUUAGAAAAAUGAUCAUGAUGCCCUCAUGUUCGUAUUUUAUUUUUAUUGACACCUCUAUCUCUAAACAUGUGGACAUAUUUUUUUAUAUCGGCUUCCGCUUGAGGAGAAGCAAGGUCUAAGCUUGGGGGAGUUGAUACGUCCAUUUUGCAUCAUGCUUUUAUAUCGAUAUUUAUUGUAUUAUGGGCUACUAUUACACGUUAUGUCACAAUACUUAUGUCUAUUCUCUCUUAUUUUACAAGGUUUAACAUGAAGGGGGAUAAUGCCGGCAGCUGGGAUUCUGGGCUGGAAAAGGAGCAAAUAUUGGAAACCUAUUCUGCACAGCUCCAAAAGUCUUGAAACUCCACGAAAGUCAUUUUUGGAAUUAAUAAGAAUUAUUGAGCGAAAGAAGUACCAGAGGGGGCCCACACCCUGGCCACGAGGGUGGAGGGUGCACCCACCCCUACUGGGCGCGCCCCCUGCCUCAUGGGCCCCCUGGUGGCCCUCCGAUGCACAUCUUCUGCUAUGUGAAGUCUUUUACCCUGGAAAAAAAUCAUAAGCAAGCUUUCGGGACGAAACUCCACCGCCACGAGGCGUAACCUUGGCGGAACCAAUCUAGGGCUCCGGCAGAGCUGUUCUGUCGGGGAAACUUGCCUCCGGGAGGGGCAAAUCAUCACCAUCACCAUCACCAACGAUCCUCUCAUCGGGAGGGGGUCAAUCUCCAUCAACAUCUUCACCAGCACCAUCUCCUCUCAAACCCUAGUUCAUCUCUUGUAUCCAAUCUUGUAUCAAAACCACAAAUCGGUACCUAUGGGUUGCUAGUAGUGUUGAUUACUCCUUGUAGUUGAUGCUAGUUGGUUUAUUUGGUGGAAGAUUAUUUGUUCAGACCCUUAAUGUAUAUUAAUACCCCUCUGAUCAUGAAUAUGAAUAUGCUUUGUGAGUAGUUAUGUUUGUUCCUGGGGACAUGGGUGAAGUCUUGCUAUUAGUAGUCAUGUGAAUUUGGUAUUCGUUCGAUAUUUUGAUAAGAUGUAUGUUGUCUCUCCUCUAGUGGUGUUAUGUGAAUGUCGACUACAUGACACUUCACCAUUAUUUCGGCCUAGAGGAAGGCAUUGGGAAGUAAUAAGUAGAUGAUGGGUUGCUAGAGUGACAGAAGCUUAAACCCUACUUUAUGCGUUGCUUUGUAAGGGGCUGAUUUGGAUCCACUAGUUUCAUGCUAUGGUUAGGUUUACCUUAAUACUUCUCUUGUAGUUGUGGAUGCUUGCAAUAGGGGUUAAUCAUAAGUGGGAUGCUUAUCCAAGAAAGGGCAACACUCAAUCACUGGUCCACCCACAUAUCAAAUUAUUAAAGUAACGAACGUGAAUCAUAUGAGCAUGAUGAAAACUCGCUUGAUGAUAAUUCCCAUGUGUCCUCGGGAGCGCUUUUCUCAUUAUAAGAACUUGUCCAGGCUUGUCCUUUGCUACAAAAAGGGAUUGGGCCACCUUGCUGCACCUUAUUUACUUUCAUUGCUUGUUACCCGUUACAAAUUAUCUUAUCACAAAACUAUCUGUUACCUACAAUUUCAGUGCUUGCAGAGAAAACCUUACUGAAAACCGCUUGUCAUUUCCUUCUGCUCCUCGUUGGGUUCGACACUCUUACUUAUCAAAAGGACUAUGAUAGAUCCCCUAUACUUGUGGGUCAUCAAGACACCAUGUGAUGAUCGGGUGUGAUAAGCUCUAUGUUCACAUACAACGGGUGCAAGCCAGUUUUGCACACGCACAAUACUCGGGUUAAACUUGACGAGCCUAGCAUAUGCAUAUAUGGCCUCGGAACACUGAGACCAAAAGGUCGAAUGUGAAUCAUAUAGUAGAUAUGACCAACAUAGUGAUGUUCACCAUUGAAAACUACUCCAUCUCACGUGAUGAUCGGACAUGGUUUAGUUGAUUUGGAUCACGUGAUCAUUUAGAUGACUAGAGGGAUGUCUAUCUAAGUGGGAGUUCUUGAGUAAUAUGAUUAAUUGAACUUUAAUUUAUCAUGAACCUAGUCCUGAUAGUUAUUUUGCAUGUCUAUGUUAUUGUAGAUCAAUGGCCGGUGCUACCGUUCCUUUGAAUUUUAAUGCGUUCCUAGAGAAAGUUAAGUUGAAAGAUGAUGGCAGCAACUACACGGACUGGGUCCAUAAUUUGAGGAUUAUCCUCAUUGCUGCAUAGAAGAAUUACGUCCUGGAAGCACCGUUAGGUGUACCAACCGCGCCAACAACUGCAGACAUUGUAAAUGCCUGGCAGACGCGUGUUGAUGACUACUCGAUAGUUCAGUGUGCCUUGCUUUACGGCUUAGAAUCGGGACUUCAAAGAUGUUUUGAGCGUCAUGGAGCAUAUGAGAUGCUUGAAGAGCUAAAGUUAAUAUUUCAAGCAAAUGUCUGGGUUGAGAGAUAUGAAGUCUCCAACAAAUUCUACAGCUGCAAAAUGGAGGAGAAGCGUUCUGUCAGUGAACACAUACUCAGAAUUUUUGGGUACCAUAACCACUUGACUCAGCUGGGAGUUAAUCCUCCUGAUGAUAGUGUCAUUGACAUAGUUCUUCAAUCACUGCCACCAAGCUAUAAAGGCUUCGUGAUGAACUAUAAUAUGCAAGGGAUGAACAAGACUAUUCCCGAGCUCUUCGCAAUGCUAAAGGCUGCGGAGGUAGAAAUCAAAAAGGAGCAUCAAGUGUUGAUGGUCAACAAGACCACUAGUUUCAAGAAAAAGGGCAAAAGGAAGAAGGGGAACUUCAAGAAGAAGAUCAAAAAGGUUGUUUCUCAAGAGAAGAAACCCAAGUCUGGACCUAAGCCCAAAACUGAGUGCUUCUACUGCAAAGGGACUGGUCACUGGAAGCGGAACUGCCCCAAGUAUUUGGCGGAUAAGAAGGAUGGCAAAGUGAAAGGUAUAUUUGAUAUACAUGUUAUUGAUGUGUACCUUACUAAUGCUCAUAGUAGCACCUGGGUAUUUGAUACUGGUUUUGUUGCUCAUAUUUGCAACUCGAAACAGGGGCUACGGAUUAAAACAAGAUUGGCUAAGGACGAGGUAACGAUGCCCGUGGGAAAUGGUUCCAAGGUCGAUGUGAUCGCCGUUGGCACGCUACCUCUACAUCUACCUUCGGGAUUAGUUUUAGACCUGAAUAAUUCUUAUUUGGUGCCAGCGUUGAGCAUGAACAUUAUAUCUGGAUCUUGUUUGAUGCGAGAUGGUUAUUCAUUUAAAUCAGAGAAUAAUGGUUGUUCUAUUUAUAUGAGUAAUAUAUUUUAUGGUCAUGCACCCUUGAUGAGUGGUCUAUUUUUGUUGAGUCUCGAUAGUGAUGAUACACAUAUUCAUAAUAUUGAAGCCAAAAGAUGCAAAGUUCAUAAUGAUAGUGCAACUUAUUUGUGGCACUGCCGUUUGGGUCAUAUCGGUGUAAAGCGCAUGAAGAAACUCCAUGCUGAUGGACUUUUGGAAUCACUUGAUUAUGAAUCACUUGGUUCUUGCGAACCGUGCCUUAUGGGAAAGAUGACUAAAACUCCGUUCUCCCGAACAAUGGAACGAGCUACUGACUUAUUGGAAAUAAUACAUACCGAUGUAUGCGGUCCAAUGAGUGUUGAGGCUCAUGGCGGGUAUCGUUAUUUUCUUACCUUCACAGAUGAUUUGAGCAGAUAUGGUUAUAUCUACUUAAUGAAACAUAAGUCUAAGACAUUUGAAAAGUUCAAAGAAUUUCAGAGUGAAGUGGAAAAUCAUCGUAACAAGAAAAUAAAGUUUCUAUGAUCUGAUCGUGCAGGAGAAUAUUUGAGUUACGAGUUUGGUCUUCAUUUGAAACAACUUGGGAUAGUUUCACAACUAACGCCACCUGGAACACCACAGCGAAAUGGUGUGUCCGAACGUCGUAACCAUACUUUAUUGGAUAUGGUGCGAUCUAUGAUGUCUCUUACUGAUUUACCGCUAUCGUUUUGGGGUUAUGCUUUAGAGACGGCUGCAUUCACUUUAAAUAGGGCACCUUCAAAAUCCGUUGAGACGACGCCUUAUGAAUUGUGGUUUGGCAAGAAACCAAAGUUGUCAUUUCUUAAAGUUUGGGGCUGUGAUGCUUAUGUGAAAAAACUUCAACCUGAUAAGCUCGAACCCAAAUUGGAGAAGUGUGUCUUCAUAGGAUACCCAAAGGAAACUAUUGGGUACACCUUCUAUCAUAGAUCCGAGGGCAAAAUCUUUGUUGCUAAGAAUGGAUCCUUUCUAGAGAAGGAGUUUCUCUCGAAAGAAGUGAGUGGGAGGAAAGUAGAACUUGAUGAGGUAAUUAUACCUUCUCCAUUAUUGGAAAGUAGUUCAUCACAGAAAUCAGUUCCAGUGAUUCCUACACCAAUAAGUGAGGAAGUUAAUGAUGAUGAUCAUGAAACUUCAGAUCAAGUUACUAUCGAACCUCGUAGGUCUUCCAAAGUGAGAUCCGCACCAGAGUGGUACAGUAAUCCUGUUCUGGAAGUCAUGUUACUAGACCAUGGUGAACCUACGAACUAUGAGGAAGAGAUGAUGAGCCUAGAUUCCAUGAAAUGGCUUGAGGCCAUGAAAUUUGAGAUGGGAUCCAUGUAUGAGAACAAAGUGUGGACUUUGGUGGACUUGCCUGAUGAUCGGCAAGCCAUAGAAAAUAAAUGGAUCUUUAAGAAGAAGACCGACGCAGACGGUAAUGUUACUAUUUACAAAGCUCGACUUGUUGCGAAAGGUUUUCGACAAGUUCAAGGAGUUGACUACGAUGAGACUUUCUCACCCACAGUGAUGCUUAAGUCUAUCCGAAUCAUGUUAGCAAUUGCUGCAUUUUAUGAUUAUGAAAUUUGGCAGACGGAUGUCAAAACUGCAUUCCUGAAUGGAUUUCUGGAAGAAGAGUUGUAUAUGAUGUAACCAGAAGGUUUUGUCGAUUUAAAGCGUGCUAACAAAGUGUGCAAGCUCCAGCGAUCCAUUUAUGGACUGGUGCAAGCCUCUCAGAGUUGGAAUAAACGCUUUGAUAGUGUGAUCAAAGCAUAUGGUUUUAUACAGACUUUUGGAGAAGCCUGUAUUUACAAGAAGUGAGUGGGAGCUCUGUAGUAUUUCUAAUAUUAUAUGUGGAUGACAUAUUGUUGAUUGGAAAUGAUAUAGAAUUUCUGGAUAAGAUAAAGGGAUACUUGAAUAAGUGUUUUUCCAUGAAAGACCUCGGUGAAGCUGCUUACAUAUUGGGCAUCAAGAUCUAUAGAGAUAGAUCAAGACGCUUAAUUGGACUUUCACAAAGCACAUAACUUGAUAAAGUUUUAAAGAAGUUCAAAAUGGAUCAGUCAAAGAAAGGGUUCUUGCUUGUGUUACAAGAUGUGAAGUUGAGUCAGACUCAAUGCCCGACCACUGCAGAAGAUAGAGAGAAAAUGAAAGAUGUUCCCUAUGCUUCAGCCAUAGGUUCUAUCAUGUAUGCAAUGUUGUGUACCAAACCUGAUGUGUGUCUUGCUAUAAGCAUAGCAGGGAGGUACCAAAGUAAUCCCGGAGUGGAGCACUAGACAGCGGUCAAGAACAUCCUGAAAUACCUGAAAAGGACUAAGGAUAUGUUUCUCGUUUAUGCAGGUGAAAAAGAGCUCGUCGUAAACGGUUACAUCGAUGCAAGCUUUGACACUGAUCCGGAUGACUCUAAGUCACAAAUAGGAUAUGUAUUUUUAUUGAAUGGAGGAGCUGUCAGUUGGGGCAGUUCCAAGUAGAGCAUCCUGGCGGGAUCUACGUGUGAAGCAGAGUACAUUGCUACUUCGGAAGCAACAAAUGAAGGAGUUUGGAUGAAGGAGUUCAUAUCCGAUCUAGGUGUCAUACCUAGUGCAUUGGGUCCAAUGAAAAUCUUUUGUGACAAUACUGGUGCAAUUGCCUUGGAAAAGGAUUUCACAAGAGAACCAAGCACAUCAAGAGACACUUCAAUUCCAUUCGUCAUCAAGUGUCGGAGGGGGACAUAGAGAUUUGCAAGAUACAUAUGGAUCUGAAUGUUUCAGACCCGUUGACUAAGCCUCUUCCACGAGCAAAACAUGAUCAGCACCAAAGCUUUGUGGGUGUUAGAAUCAUUACUAUGUAAUCUAGAUUAUUGACUCUAGUGCAAGUGGGAGACUGAAGGAAAUAUGCCCUAGAGGCAAUAAUAAAGUUAUUAUUUAUUUCCUUAUUUCAUGAUAAAUGUUUAUUAUUCAUGCUAGAAUUGUAUUAACCGGAAACUUAGUACAUGUGUGAAUACAUAGACAAAACAUAUUGUCCCCUAGUAUGCCUCUACUGGACUAGCUCGUUAAUCAAAGAUGGUUAUGUUUCCUAACCAUAGACAUGUGUCGUCAUUUGAUGAACGGGAUCACAUCAUUAGGAGAAUGAUGUGAUUGGCAUGACCCAUCCGUUAGCUUAGCAUUGUGAUCGUUACAGUUUCAUUGCUUUCUUCAUGACUUAUACAAGUUCCUCAGACUAUGAGAUUACCGGAGGAACACUUUGUGUGCUGCCAAACGUCACAAUGUAAAAGGGUGAUUAUAAAGGUGCUCUACAGGUGUCUCCGAAGGUGUUUGUUGGGUUGGCAUAGAUUGAUAUUAGGAUUUGUCACUCCAUGUUUCGGAGAGGUAUCUCUGGGCCCUCCUGGUAAUGCUCCUCACUAUAAGCCUUGCAAGCAUUGUAACUAAUGAGUUAGUUGCAGGAUGAAGUAUUACGGAACGAGUAAAGAGACUUGCCGGUAAUGAGAUUGAACUAGGUAUGGUGAUACCGACGAUCGAAUCUCGGGCAAGUAACAUACUGAUGACAAAGGGAACAACGUAUAUUGUUAUGCAGUUUGACCAAUAAAGAUCUUCGUCUAAUAUGUAGGAACCAAUAUGAGCAUCUAGGUUCCGCUAUUUGUUAUUGACCGGAGAUGUGUCUCGGUCAUGUCUACAUAGUUCUCAAACCCGUAGGGUCCGCACGCUUAACGUUCGAUAACGACUGGUAUUAUGAGUUUAUGUGAUUUGAUGUACCAAAAGUUGUUCGGAGUCCCGGAUGAGAUCAUGGACAUGACGAGGAGUCUCGAAAUGGUCGAGAUGUAAAGAUUGAUAUAUUGGAAGACUAUAUUCUGACACCAGAAUAGUUCUGAGGUGUAUCGGCUAUUUUCCGGAGUAUCGGGGGGUUACCGGAACCCCCGGGGGGUUAAUGGGCCUCAUGGGCCAAGUGGUGGAAGAGAGGAGGCAGGCCAAGGUGUGGCGCGUGCCCCCCCCCCUAGCCCAAACCUAAUUGGACUAGGGGGGCGUCCCCCUUUCCUUCUCUCCUCCCCCUCCUUCCCCCUUCUCCUUGUUGGAAUAGGAAGGGGGGGCGAAUCCUACUUGGAGUAGGAUUGCCCCCCUGGCGCGCCUCCUCCCCUGGCCGGCCUCCUCCUCCCUCCCUCCUUUAUAUACGAUGGAGGGGGCACCCCAAAGACACACAAGUUGAUCUUUAGCCGUGUGCGGUGCCCCCCUCCACAAUUUUCCACCUCGGUCAUAUCGUCGUAGUGCUCAGGCGAAGCCCUACGCCGGUAACUUCAUCAUCACCAUCACCAUGUCGUCGUGCUGACAGAACUCUUCCUCGGCCUCAGCUGGAUCUAGAGUUCGAGGGACGUCACCAAGCUGAACGUGUGCAAAUCACGGAGGUGCCAUGCGUUCGCUACUUGAUCGAUUGGAUCACGAAGACGUUCGACUACAUCAACCGCGUUACUUAACGCUUCCGCUUUCGGUCUACGAGGGUACAUGGACACACUCUCCCCUCUCGUUGCUAUGCAUCAUCUAGACAGAUCUUGCGUAAUCAUAGGAAUUUUUUUGAAAUUACCGUGUUCCCCAACAACUAUCACUACCGCUUAGUGAUAAAGUAAAGCAAUUGCAUAGUGUUUGUAUUUCAUACAAAAAAGCGACAACCAUAUGGCUCCUACCAGUUGCUGAUAACUUUUACAAAACAUGAUCAUCUCAUACAGCAAUCUUUAUAUCACAUCAUGUCUUGACCAUAUCCCAUCACAACAUGCCCUACAAAAACAAGUUAGACAUCCUCUACUUUGUUUGUUGCAAGUUUUACGUGGCCGCUACGGGCUGCUAGCAUGAACCGUACAUACCUACGGCACAAAAACCACGACGGUGAUUUAUCAAGUUUGUUGUUUUAACCUUCACAAGGACCAACCGCAAUCAAAUUCAAUUCAACUAAAGUUGGGGAAAGAGACACCCGCCAGCCACCUUUAUGCAAAACUAGUUGCAUGUUUGUCGGUGGAACCGGUCUCAUGAACGUUGUCAUGUAAGGUUGGUCUGGGCCGCUUCAUCCAACAAUACCGCCGAAUCAAAAUAAGACAUUGGUGGUAAGCAGUAUGACGAUCACCGCCCACAACUCUUUGUGUUCUACUCGUGCAUAUCAUCUACGCAUAGACCUGGCUCGAAUACCACUGUUGGGAAAUGUAGCAUGCAAUUUCAAAAAAAUUCCUACGCUCACGCAAGAUCUAUCUAGGAGAGGCAUAGCAGCGAGAGGGGAGAGUGUGUCCACGUACCCUUGUAGACCGAAAGUGGAAGUCUUAACUUAACGCGGUUGAUGUAGUCGAACAUCUUCUCGAAUCAACCGAUCAAGUACCAAACGUACGACACCUCUGAGUUCUGCACACGUUCAGCUCGAUGACGUCCCUCGAACUCUUGAUCCAGUAGAGGCACGAAGGAGUCGAUGAGUUCCAUCAGCACCACGGCGUGAUGACGGUGUUAGUGAAGUGAUCUGCGCAGGGCUUCGCCUAAGCACUACGACAAUAUGAUCGGAGGAGUAAACGGUGGAGGGAGGCACCGCACACGGCUAAGACAAUUGAUGUGUCUUUGGGGUGCCCCUUGCCCCCGUAUAUAAAGGAGGAGGGGGAGGCCGACCGGCCCUAGAGGCGCGCCAAGUGGGGGGAGUCCCACUAGGACUCCUAGUCCUAGUCGGCUCCCCCCUUCCUUCCAACGGAGAGGGGGAAAGGGGAAAGAGGGGGAGAGGGAUAAGGAAAGGGUGGGCGCACCCCACCCCUUGUCCAAUUCGGACUGCCAUGGGGGGUGCCACCUCGUGUGGCCUGCCUCCCCCUCUCCACUAAGGCCCAGGAGGCCCAUUAACUUUCCCGGGGGGUUCCAGUAACCUCCCGGUACUCCGAAAAAUUUCCGAAUCUUUCCGGAACCAUUCCAGUGUCCGUAUAUAACCUUCCAAUAUAUCAAUCUUUACCUCUCAACCAUUUCGAGACUCCUCGUCAUGUCCUUGAUCUCAUCCGGGACUCCGAACAACCUUCGGUCACCAAAACACAUAACUCAUAUAAUACAUAUCGUCAUCGAACGUUAAGCGUGUGGACCCUACGGGUUCGAGAAAUUGUAGACAUGACCGAGACACCUCUCCGGUCAAUAACCAACAGCGGAACCUAGAUGCUCAUAUUGAUUCCCACAUAUUCUACGAAGAUCUUUAUCGGUCGAACCACAAUGUCAACAUACGUUAUUCCCUUUGUCAUCGGUAUGUUACUUGCCUGAGAUUCGAUCGUCGGUAUCUUCAUACCUAGUUUAAUCUCAUUACUGGCAAGUCUCUUUACCCGUUUCAUAGUGCAUCACCCCGUAACUAAUUCAUUAGUCACAUUGCUUGCAAGGCUUCAUAUGAUGUGCAUUACCGAGAGGGCCCAGAGAUACCUCACCGAUGCUCGAAGUGACAAAUUCUAAUCUCGAUCUAUGCCAACCCAACAAAUACCUUUGGAGAUACCUGUACAACAUCUCUAUAAUCACUCAGUUCCGUUGUGACGUUUGAUAGCACACAAGGCAUUCCUCCGGUCUCCAGGAGUUGCAUAAUCUCAUAGUCGGAGGAAUAUAUAUUUGACACGAAGAAAGCAGUAGCAAUAAAACUUGAACAAUCAUUAUGUUAUGCUAACGGAUGGGUCUUGUCCAUCACAUCAUUCCAAUAAUGAUGUGAUCCCAUUCAUCAAAUGACAACACAUGUCCAUGGCUAGGAAACUUAACCAUCUUUGAUCAACGAGCUAGUCUAGCAGAGACAUACUAGGGACAUGGUGUUUUGUCUAUGUACUCACACAUGUAUCAAGUUUCCGCUUAAUACAAUUUUAGCAUAAAUAAUAAACAUUUAUCAUGAAUAAGGAAAUAUAAAAUAACAACUUUAUUAUUGCCUUCAGGGCAUAUUUCCUUCAGUUAAAACUCCGGCCGAGCGUUGUCAUCCUCGACUUGUCACGCCAAGGCCCCCCGCUUCAUUGCAGCAUCGUCGGCGGCAGUAAGGAGACGGAGUCAUUCCAGCGCCACCAGAGACAUUGCAUCGGUGCUCUGCUCCCGCACCACCGGAGACGCUGCAUCGGCGCUCUGCUGCCACACCACCAGAGAUGCUACAUCAGCAUGCUCUACCAACAGUGGGCACUCCCUCGCAGCACCACCACGCUCACAAACACCGGCUGCAGCCAGCCAGCGCAGCGGAGCUGCAGGUCAAUAUGGAUGCUGCAGUUCGCCGGUGCAGGGAGCUGCAGGUCGAUGCAGGUGUGCUACAAAAUUGUCGGCCGCUGCUGCAAGCCGCCCCACGGCUGUUCCGACGAGGGCCGAUAGCGAAGCAGAAGAUUGUUCGUUGUGUGACAGAGCUACAAGAUGAAAGAGGAAUAGAGAUCUCGCUAGGAAGAGGAAAGGGAACGAGCGGCUCGCCUUGACACUGGGGAUAAGGAUAAGGCAGCGAUGCGGAGUGUGGCCCCACGAGGAUGCGUGUCACGCGGGCGAGACGGCUUGUUUAGUCCGGAAAUAAUUCGGUUGUUUUUAAACGUUUUCCUUAUUUUAUUAAUGAGACACGUAUUAUCAUAUAAAAGAAACAAGGUUCAUCUGGUCCAAAAAAAAAGUUCGCCCGACAGUCUGGUGCUUAAUGUGCUCGGCCUAGUCCAUAUCAUUAAAAAUCUAGGCCAAAGUUGUACGGAGUCACUAAUUGAGGAGUACUCAUUGCAAAGAUCACUCCCACCUUAACGUGCCACUUGUCGCAACCCGGAAGUUUUCCCUUUUUUCUAGAUCCGUUUAUUCAAAAUGUUUUAUCUCUUAAAUCGCGCAUCUAAAUCUCGAACCAUUUUCACCGUUGGAUUCCUCGCAUCGGGGUCUUCAAAACUAGAUCCAAUGUUGAUAGGUUUUGACGAAAUUUUUUUCAUGAAAAAAUGGACGAAAAAACCAAACCGAAAGUACGGGUUUUUUCGCUUUCCGAAAGAGGCACGUACGUGCCUAUCGCGAAAUCAUAACCGUGUGUCACGCGAAACCAAAAUCGUGCCUCUCGCGAAAGGAAAAAAAAAGAGAAAGGCACGGCCGUGCCUCUCGCGGAAGCAAAACCUUAACUCUCGCGAAAGAGAAAAAAAGAAAUAUGUUUUUUUCCGUUUACGAGAGACACAACCAUGCCUCUCGCGAAAGUACAACCGUGCCUCUCGUGAAAGCAAAACCGUGUCUCUCGCGGAAGGAAAAAAAUGUGUUUUUUUUGUUUCCGAGAGGCACGGGCGUGCCUCUCGCGGAAGAAAAAAAACAGAAAACACGUUUUUUUCGGUUUUCGAGAGGCACGGCUGUGACUCUCGCAAAAGCAAAACCGUGACUUGGGAAAGAAAAAAAAACACGUUUUUCGUGUAAAAAAAUUGACUUUUUUAAUCAGAAAAAGCUAAGGAAGAGCUGUGGAAAACCAAAAGGUAAAAAAAAGUUUUAAAAGCCGAAAACGCCGUGGAAAAAUAAAAAAACAAAAUCCAGAGGGAGCAUCCAGAACACGACACGUGACGGGCGACUGAGAGUGCUUCAAGUGGCACUGAUUGCGAGGCUGUCGAAGGAGCCCUCGUCAACUAAUUGCUCUCAAAGUUGCGGCGAUAUAAAUCAAAUAGAAGAACUAUAGCCUGGUCCAAACUUGUCAAUAUGGAUAGGCCGAACGCACACAGAUCAUACUCCUUUUUCAAAGUAGCCCGUAGAGCUUUGUGUGUGUGCUACCCUGUUCCACGAUCUACUGAGCUGAGAGAGUGUGCUCGGCUUUCCCUCCUUCCUUCCGCGUUCGGCGCAUUUAUAAAACAAUAAUGAGGUUAGCUAACUCAUCUUCAGAAGGCUCUCCCGAUUGGAGCCUCAUUGGCCGUCCGAUCUGCCCCUCCAACUCAGUUGUACCGUUGGAUCUUCACUUGCAGUUAAAUUAUUUUUCACCUUGCAGUCAUUUUACUGCCCAAUGACAAGUGGACUCGUCUCACGCUUGCAGUGGCUGGGUCAGCAGCGGGUCAAUUUCGGCCGGGUGAGCCUUUCCUCGCGCGCGCCGCGUCGCGCGUCCUGUGGCUUGCCUGGGGCUGGAGCGAGGAGCCCAUUGGGCACGACCGCACCAACCCUAGCUCCCGAUCCACAGCCACGCACUCCUCCCUCCUCCCUCUCACAGCCGCCACACCCCAUUCCUCUCUUCCUCCUCCCUCCUCCUUCCCGGAUCAGUGCCACCGCCACACGCACUCGUCUCCUCCUCUCUCUUCUAGCUAACUCCUCCUUCCUGAGCUCUGUGUCGGCCGCAGCGCGAGAGGAGCAGCGGCGGCAGAGAUGCUCCGAUGGCGGCGUCGAGUUGCGAAGCGGCGGCGCUCGGGCGCGAGACGACAGAAGCGGGAGCCGCUACUCCGGGCCCCGAUCUGGGGGGUUCGGUUCCAGGGCGCCGACGGCUUCUUUGUCUAUGAUGCGGGGGCGAGCUGGGGUUCGCCGUCACCACGGCCGACCACCUCCCGUCGCUAGGGCCCAUGACGGCGGCCGGGUCGGGCCAGGGCAGAAUAGUUGGAGGCCAUGAAGGGCACGGCUGCUGCUGGCGGAAGUAGCAGGGUUUGAAGGAGCGGCAGAUGUGGGCAGGGUUGCGGUUGGGGAAGGCUCGCCGGCUGGGGGACGGCCAUAUCAAGAGGUAUCUGCUGGCGGGCUGGACCAUGCUUUGCUUCCUGUUGUCUUCUCUCUUUUGGGAUUUCUCAUCUUUAUUUUUUUUCGUUUUUACAGCUUGAGUGAAGGAGCCACGCUUGACAACUUGGCGUGAGCUACUUUGGUCCAGCGGCUACCAAUGUUCCUUUUUUACUUCAGAAUUAUAAAAUCAUGUUGCCUUUCUAGAAUAAGAUGGAGAAAGUUCCAAACAAUCUUUCAAGGUAUUUACUCUUGGCGUUUCUCUCUGAAAUUGCUCUUUUGGGAUCUGUUCUAUGCCUGCCUAUUAUCAAGCCAGUAGAAUGGGGUGGUUAGAUGUGAUUAUUUUCAGGGGAUUGAAUUGAAGGAGAGACAUCUGUUCCACAUCAGUUGGACAAUAAAUAUGCAUCACUUGAUAUCAUUGUGAUUUUGCACCUCACCAUCUUUUUGAAAUAAAGUUUAAUUUAAUCAAGUUCAACUCUAUCAUCCACAACUGACAGCAUGUUCCAUAUUUAGUUGUCUGCUUAAAUCUGAUUCCUUUUUCUGGUAGGUGCAAAAAUAGUAUGAUAUCCCUACUGAUAUGUAUGAAUAUACAGAUGACACAUGUAUUUACAUGUUUAGUUUUUCCAGAUUUGUCACACUCGAUGGAAACUGGAAGCACCACUCUCCUUGGCUGAAAUCACAGUGGUCAGAUUAUAGAUCACAAGCUGUAGACGAAUUGUUUCUUCUAAUUUCCCAAUCUUCAGGUUAUGGGUCAUUUCCCCUUUGCAAGAAUUAAUUUAUGUGGCUCCAUUUUUGUUAUACUAAAAAAAGAUAAAUGGAGUGAUAUUCUUAUACUAUAGAACUUCUAGAGUGAACAAAGAUAAAUGGAGUGAUAUUCUUAUACUACAAAGCCUCUUAUAUACUCCAUUUUGGUUAUGCUGGCCUCACUUAAUUGCUUUGCAGAUUGAACUGACCAAUCCGUAUGAUUGAGGAAUCCUUCUGGAGAAAAAGAAUUCAAGGAACUCCGCAGCUCCGAAUACAGAGGUGAGAAAUCGAAUCAAUCGAGCAGCGCUCUGGUGAUCUAUUCAUCUACAUGUUCUGAUAUGCAUGUAUUCCCUGUUUUUCCUCUGCUGGUUCAGCUUUGUUAAACUUAUAGUAGAUAUAAAAUACAUGUAUAUAUAUGCUUAGAACAAGCAAAAUUAGCACUCUCUAUCUUGAGUUGUCAGUUUGAUUUACAUACACAUGUCACUAGACUAUGCAUCAUCAAGCAGAAUGUUUAUGUGUGUUGCCAGUAACAAAUUGUAUCAAAUCUUGUGUUAAAACAAUGCUAUCAAAUUAACUUCCAACCAGGAUUUCAAGAAAAAAAUUGUGUGCUGGAGCAAGAAAGGGAACAUGGUAAGGAGUGUGCCUACAAGAGUUUCUCUGUUCUUAUUGGUUGCCAUAUGCAGCUUGCGGGUCUCGACUUAAUAAAUACAUCAACCGUGUACAGAAGGAAAAACCCAUUACAUGAAUUCUGAGUAGGUAUUUUCAGUCUUUCGCAAUGUAAUUUAUUUAUUUUUCUCUCAUAAUAUUGGAAAAUAUUUGGCAUGAAUGAAAUUGAUUUAAAUCUUGAAAGACUUCGAUUGAGACCCAUGUUUAUGUGUGUUGCCAGCCAACUGUUGAAACUGAAAGUAGAGACACAAUUCACAUAAUAAGUAACAACCUCCGAUUCAAGUUUAACAACCGCAGCUCCAUUCUAGAUUGAUGUUUAAGUUUUGAUGUGUCGCUCUCCAGAUUUCUGUCUGAUUCCCUUUUAUUUACCGCAAUCUGCAUUGUAAUGGCUAUAUAUAGAAUCACUAGAUUCAAGCCGAGUGAGGCAUCUACUUUGUUGUAAUUGGGCUUCCCUAGCAUCCAAUAUCAUGGUCCUAGCAACACUUUUCUCUGGGAGCAAUACAAACCAUGGGAGGCUCAUCUGAACCUUGAGUCGUUUCUCUGAAAUUUAUGAAUUUUGCUUGCUGAAACCUCUGAACAUUUCUGGAGUCUGUCACCUGAUUGAUUCUUCACUUGGCAAAGCAGCAAGAGGGACAUUAGCUGAUGCUAGAAUGAAAAGAAUUUGUACUGUACUUGGACUCGCCCUGAGCGCAUAUGGUCAGAUUUUACGUUAAAGCUGGUGAGGCAUUGGUGUUAGUUGCUAUUACCUGAGACCAGCUGCCAGGGAUACUUUCUUGAACCUUUGUUUUCCUGUCGCUGUAUUGUAGCAUAAAAAUCUAAAAUGGGUCCAUCUUUUCAUUACAGCUUAUGGUUUCCUUUGUUUUUCCCAAUAACUAAUGCAUUUGUUCAUUCUUAACGUUUCUUGCUUCUAUUUGUGCAGCUAUGCCAAUCUUUAUUAUUUUCUCCAUGAUACAGUUGCUUACCUGUAUGUUCUUAUGUUUAGUGGUAUUUAGUCUACCGUAUAUGUGUCAGGAAGAUGCGAGUACCAGGGUGUUACCCAGCUCAAGUUCUAGAGGAACAGGCGGUCUGUUACUGAAGAAAGAUAGUUUGAUAUGUCCGAGCGCCUCCCUUAGCAUGCUCUAGGUUUCAAUGAUGUACCUAUAACAAGACAGUCUUGCUAUCAAACAAAUAUUGCCUAUAUUUAUGACUGAUCAUGUAUAUAAAAAUAUGUUUGAUAUGUGCUCGCAGCCACAUAUUAUAUAAGACUAAAGUUAGUUUUUUGGUUGUAAAUAACUGCUAGCUCUUUUUAGUGCUACAUACAUCUAUUUGAGCGGCAGGUAAUUCCGACGGGAGGUAGUACUGCCCUAAGUAGAUUACAUGUUAGGCGUUGGAAACGGAGUUUAUAGAGAAGACAGGGUUGCUAGAAAUUCUUCUUGGUUGGUCUUCUCCCCUGAUUGGGCUUAGCCCAGCUAACAUUGAUGAGCCGAGUAAGCUAAUUUUGAAAUAAAUAUUUCCUUUCUUUUAUGCAUACAUCCAACAAAACAACAAUAUAAGAAAAAACAACAAUAUAUUAUAACAACAAUAUAAGAAAAAAAUAUUUCUUUCUUUUAUGCAUACAUAUAACAAAACAACAAUAUAAUAUAGGAUAAAAAUGUUCUCUAUCAUUGUAACCAUUCAUUUGCAAAGUAAAGCAAAAUACUUGCGUUUAGUUCUUGGUUUGAAUUUGGUAUGAGCCGACAAAAAUUCACUCCCCUUCAGUACCACACAUGUGAAGAGGGCCACCGGUCAUUCUCCACUAAUGAAAAGACGGGGUAAAAUGAGUAGUGAAAAUUGAACGGUCGAGGGGCAAAUCUGUUGCAAUCAGUGGUGGGUUGUAUCCUAAGUGUAUGCUAAAACCUAAUUUUACCAAAGAAGAGAAACAAUUUUAAAAUACUUCAGAUUUGAAAUGGACUAUAACCUAAAGUUACAAAAAGAAUGCAAAUAUUUCCACGUGCACAUGGUUUUAAAUGGGACUUUGCGCCAGUUGGUCGAUAUUCCCUGCCGCUUCAUAUUCUAUUCCAAGUGGGUGAGCCCAAAACAACGCUUCGUGGGGCCGGACUAACUUACAUAUGACUACUUUAUAAUAGACAUGUGUCUAAUUGGCUCAAAAAUAAUCACUUUUUUUCAAACACACACACAAUGUGUACAUCUCUUUGUAGACAACAAGCCAUGUUUUUUUAAUUAUUAAAGGGCAUUAAAUUUGUUACCUUAUAUGUUUGCCAACAACAAACCAACUAAAUCAUGAUUCUCUUUUCAAUGUGAACAUGGAUUCAGCAGGUCUCUGCCAUUUGGCACAACGGGUCCAUGAGGAACAGGUGGUCUAUUGCUAGCUUAUUUGAAAAGCGCCAACAGUGUGUGCCACAUGUAAACAGUCCAUGUUGAAAGAAUAGAAACAGAAGUGUGGAGAUAAUGUAAUUGGUCAGUCAGGAAAUUCAGUCUCAAUGAGCUCAACUAAUGACAUGUGGGGUUGAGCCUCAAAGUAACAGAAGUAUUUUACUAUCCUUUUCAUGUCAGUGGUCGAUGGUACUUACAUGCUGUAUCAGGUUAUCAAAGGACUGCAAUCAUAUACAUUUUAUAAACAAAUAAAACACUUUUAUGAAGCAUGUAGUAGACAAAUAGUGCUGCUGAUAAAUGGAUUUUUAUGUCAGAGCACAAAUGGUGUUUAGUGGGUCUCUGUGUCAUUUUGCGCAAUGGGAGAUUACUCAAAAAUACACAUAUUUUCAACAUAGCAUGAUCUUCAAUGAGAUUCUAUACUACCAAAUUAAAAUCUAUAGGUACAUCUCAUUGUAGACAACAAACCUCCAUUAUUUCUUUAUUAAAGAGGAUUGUUUUUAUUCGCAAAAAGAAGGGUUAAAUUUGUUACCAUAUGUGCUUGUCCACAACUAAAAUAACUAAAGUAAGGUUUUUUUUCAAUGUGAACAUGAAUUCAAUGGUUCUCUGUGUCAUUUGGCGCAACAGAAAUAACUACAAGGAUUUAUUUGCAUAUGUAUACAUCCAUAAAUGUUUUAGGAGAAAAUUACAACACAUGAUUUACGAUGCCUAAAAAAAGAUACGAGAAAAGUAAAAAUUGCCAAGAUCCGAAUAAAUGAGAACUAAAUCCAUGCAUGCAGAGAAAUCCGAAAUCGAAGGAAAGGAGAAAUUUCACCAGUUGAGUACGCCUCUCUAGGAAUGCUUAUCUUACCCAACUGAGGAACCGAGGAGGAAAAGGGGAUAAACAAGCUCGAUGGAUUCAGUCCCUGUCACUUCAUAUUCUACUACUGACAGGCCACACAUAACUUUGUUCAUGGACUGGGCUAGGUAGCAUAUGGGCAUUUCAAAUACCUAUGCCUCCAUAUGCACAACACAAAGAGGUUUUUUUCAUGCACAUGAAAAAUAGAAGUUUGGUACAAACACCGCUAAAAAAUACAUCCUUAACUGGCUAUGCAUUGUAUAUAAAUAUGUUUUUUAAUCAGAUUUCUCAUUGUGAUAAUCAUAUUUUCAAUUAAUAAAAAGCUUCCUUAGCUGGUCUAUACAUGUCAUACACUUUUUUUUUCAAACUCGGAUUACACAACAUGCUAAACAUAUUUUCAAUAUAGUAUGAUUUAACACAUGUAAACAUGUUUAAAAAAUAACAUGAUUUAGUUGAAGUUCUUGCAGCAUGAAACUAUUUUCAUCAAUAGCAUGUUUUGAGCAGGUCUCUGCGCCAUGAGCGCUGCUAUGCACACGACGCAUAGCAGACGAUUUGUGCACGAUAGGGCAUAUCCGUGCGUCCGUGCAUAUUAUCAAAGUGCAGCAGACGGCUAGAUGAAAAUCGUGCACCUGUCGUCCAUGGAGUGCAUCGUCUGCAUAGCUGUUUCGCUGCGCCAUUUGACCCAACGGAUCAACUGGUUGUAUAUUGUUUCUGCUCUUCUCGCGUGCUCCCCACUCUCGAGCGACCCCCCACGCCCCCCCACCCCACCCCCCCGACCACAGAGACCAUCUCCAGCGAACAUCCUCUGCCGGAUCUGAUGGCGGCCGCGAUUGGGUGGCUGGUUGAGACCAUCUCUGCGACCCUCCAAAUCGACAAGCUCGACGCCUGGAUUCGGCAAGUCGGUCUUGCCGAUGACAUCGAGAAGCUCAAGUCGGAGAUCCGGAGAGUCAACAUAGUGGUCACUGCUGCCAAGGGCAGGGGGGUAGGGAGCGAGCUGCUGGAUGGACCUUUCGCUCUUCUGGAGGAGCGGCUCUAUGAAGCCGACGACGUGGUCGACGAGCUCGACUACUACAGGCUCCAACACCAAGUCCAAGGUCUGCCGGCACCUGCAGAUCCAAGCGAGCCAGUCCCACUCCCAGUCCCAGGAGGUAAGCGUAAAUCUGUCUAGACCCAAGUAAUCCAAGUCUGCUAAUUAUUAGUUUGAUCUUAUGUUGCUCCAAAAAUGUAAAUUGGUCGUAUCUGAUCAAGGACGACCGUUCUUUAAUUUCUGGUCCACGAUUUCUUUUGGCACAGUUACAAGGGGUGAGCCCGAAGGCGUGCUUGUAGCUGAGCAAUUCAAUGAGAUAUCGAGGGGCGGUGGUGAUGUACCACAGAGCAAUGUUGGCAAAUUACGGUCCGUGGUAUGGGAACACUUUAUGAUCACAGAAAGAGAUAACGGAAAACCCAACAAGGCAGUAUGCCGACACUGUAGCAAUGAGUUUAAGUGUGACACCAAGACGAACGGUACAUCAUCUAUGAAAAAGCAUUUGGAGAAUGAGCAUUCUGUGACUUGUACAAAGAAACCUCCUGGAGCACAUCUACCAAACCCUUCAAGGUACUUAAAAGAGAAUUGGGUAUAGAGAGUAGAGUAUUCUUUCUAAUCUUAAGUGUACAUUUUUAAAAAGUUGUUUAUAUACAUAUGCUUGAGGCGAUUGUGGUCCUGAUUAAUAAGCACAUCCCCCGCAAAAUAAAUAAAUACGCACCUCUUUUUUUCUCACCACAGCACCGGUGAGCCUACUAUAAUUGCCAGCUCAUCCAGCAAAAAACGAAAGAGACGACGGUCCAAGGCAUGGGAAUUUUUUGAUGUCAUAGAAGAAGUAAACGAACAGCCUAUGAAAGCAAGAUGUAAAUACUGUCCCGCAGAGAUCAAGUGCGGCCCAACAAGUGGGACAGCAGGUAUGCUCAACCAUAACAAGAUUUGUAAGAACAAACCUGGACCAAAUGACCAGUUGCCAAACCUGUCAAGGUAACUAAAGAAUCUAUAUGUUGCGUCGAAAAACAAUUAGAAGUCAUUAAGUUAAGAGUCUCAUUGUGGUUCUAAUAGUCAAUUAACGUUCUUUUUUCUUAUUGUAGCACCGGUGAUGCUAAUGCGGAUGUGACGCCAAUUCUAAUAGGUAACUCGUCCACCAGAAAAGGGAGAAUGGAUGAUUCCAUACAAAUUGAUGUGACUAACACAGUCACCCCUUGGGACAUGGCCGAAUUAUCCAGCAGGAUACGAAAAAUAGCUAGUCAGUUGCAAUACAUCCAAGAGGAAACGACUGAAAUUCUCAAGCUACAUGGAUCGGACUCUACUUCAAGUUCAGAUCAUCACCAGAGUACAACAUCAUAUCAGCACCUCAGAACAUCAAGUCUUGUUCCAAGGAAUGUGUAUGGAAGAGUUAAAGAAAAGGAACACAUCAUGAAAUUGAUGAUGACAGAAGGCAGAUCUGACAAAGUAAUUGUUGUGCCUAUUGUAGGCAUUGCAGGUAUUGGAAAGACAACUCUCACUCAACUUGUGUACAACGAUCCAGAAGUGGAAAGGCAAUUUGAACAUAGGAUAUGGGUUUGGGUGUCUCGCAACUUUGAUGAAAUGAGGCUCACAAGGGAUAUGCUGAGCUUUGUUUCUCAAGAAAGUCAUGAAGGAAUAGGCUGCUUUGGGAAGCUUCAGGAGAUCCUGAGAAGUCAUGUCAAAUCAAAGAGGGUUUUACUUAUUUUAGAUGAUGUAUGGUAUGACAAGAAAGAUGCCCGAUGGAACCAACUAUUGGCUCCCUUUAAGCCUCAUAGUGCCAAUGGCAAUGUGAUUCUUGUGACAACUAGAAAAAUGACCGUUGCAAAAAUGAUUGGAACAGUGGUGCCAAUUAAGUUAGCUACUAUUGAAAAUGAUGACUUUUGGUUAUUAUUCAAAUCAUGUGCUUUUGUUGAUGGAAACUAUGAAUGUCUUGGAAAUCUUAGCACUAUUGGACGGCAAAUAGCAGAAAAGUUAAAGGGUAACCCGUUAGCAGCAGUGACUACAGGGGCACUAUUAAGGAACCAACUUACCGUUGAUCAUUGGAGUAAAAUUCUCAAGGAAGAAAAUUGGAAAUCAUUAGGACUUAGUGGAGGCAUCAUGCCUGCUUUGAAGCUUAGUUAUGAUGAGUUGACAUACCGUUUACAACAAUGUUUCUUGUAUUGUUCUAUAUUUCCUGACAAAUAUAGGUUUCUUGGUAAGGAUUUGGUAUAUAUGUGGAUUUCUCAGGGAUUUGUGAAUUGCACCCAAAAUAAGAGAUUGGAGGAGAUAGGAUUGGAAUAUCUGAAUCAUUUGGUAAACCUGGGAUUCUUUCAGCAAAUUGAAGAACAGCAAGAAUUGGAUGAGGAAAAAGAAUUCUCUCUACGCGGUCAGAUUUGGUAUUCUAUGUGUGAUCUCAUGCAUGAUUUUGCGAGGAUGGUUUCGGUGACUGAAUAUGCGAGGAUAGAUGGUCUGCAGUGUAAGAAAAUCUUACCGACUAUACACUAUUUGUCAAUAGUAACUGGUUCUGCAUACAACAGAGAUCUGCAUGGGAAUAUUCCUCGCAAUGAGAAGUUUGAAGAAAAUCUGAGAAAUUCUGUUACAUCAGUUACCAAAUUGAGAACACUGGUUGUACUUGGGAGCUUUGACUAUUUCUUUGUACAGUUGUUCCAAGAUAUAUUUCAAAAGGCCCAAAAUUUACGCCUGCUGCGAGUAUCUCCAGAAUCCACUUAUCUGUUUCAAGUGCCUGCAGCAUCCACUGAUUUUAAUUCCUUCCUGUGCAGUUUGGCAAAUCCUUUGCAUCUUCGUUAUCUAAAACUUGAUUUAGACGGGAUUGUGCCACAAGUUCUCAGUACUUUUCUUCUUCUUCAAGUAUUAGAUGUUGGCUCAAACAGGGAUACUUCUCUACCCAAUAGCUUGCAUAAUCUUGUUAGCCUGCGACAUCUUGUUGCACACAAGAGAGUCCAUUCUUCCAUUGCUAGCAUUGGCAACAUGACAUCUAUCCAGGAGCUACAUGAUUUUGAGGUUCGAAUUUCUAGCGGCUUUGAGAUUACACAACUCAAAUCCAUGAACAAGCUUGUUCAACUUGGAGUGUCUCAACUUGACAGUGUUAAAACCCGGGAGGAGGCUUAUGGGGCAGGACUAAGAAACAAGGAACACUUAGAAGAGCUUCACUUGUGUUGGAAGCAUGCAUUUUCAGUGGAUAAGGAUGUCAGUGACACUAGAUUUGAAUCUUCUGCAGACAUGGCCAGAGAAGUGAUUGAGGGUCUUGAACCACACAUGGAUCUAAAACAUCUACAAAUAUCUCGGUAUAAUGGUACCACUUCACCGACUUGGCUUGCCAAUAAUAUCUCAGUUACCUCACUGCAGACGCUUCAUCUUGAUGAUUGUGGAGGAUGGAGAAUACUUCCAUCUCUGGGAAGUCUUCCAUUUCUUACAAAGUUGAAGUUGAGCAACAUGUGGGAAGUAACAGAAGUAUUGGUUCCUUCACUGGAGGAGCUAAUUUUACUCAACAUGCCCAAGUUAGUGAGAUGCUCAAGUACUUCUGUGGGGGCUCUGAACUUUAGUUUACGAGCACUGCGGAUCGAGGAUUGUGAAGCACUGAAGGAGUUAGAUCUGUUUGAGAACGAUGAUAAUUCUGAAAUCAUUCAGGGGUCAUGGCUGCCUGGUCUUAGGAAUUUGAUUGUGAAAUAUUGCCCUCAUUUGAAAGUGUUGAAGCCACUUCCACCUUCAGCUACCUUUUCUAAGGUACUCAUCAAAGUGGUUUCAAGAUUUCCGUCUAUGAAGGUAUCAUCGGGUGAAAAGUUAGAAAUUUGGGAUGCUAAUUACCGCAGAGGCGAUCGAUCUUGUGAUGAGUUGAUCAUACUGGAUGACAAAAUUUUGGUGUUCCAUAAUCUUAGAAACCUCAAAUCGAUGGAGAUAUUUGGUUGCAGAAAUCUAAGGUCUUUCUCGUUUGAAGGUUUCAGUCAUCUCGUCUCUUUAACGAGCUUGAAAAUAAGAGGCUGUGAAAAACUUUUCUCUUCACAUGAGAUGCCAGCCAUUGAACAUGUGACAGCUGUGAACUGCGAUUCUUUCCCAUCUCUUAAAAGUCUCAGUAUUAAGUCAUGUGGAAUAGCGGGGAAGUGGCUAUCGUUGAUGCUGCAGCAUGCGCCAGGCCUAGAGAAAUUGAGUUUAAGAUAUUGCGCACAUAUAACAACAGUACUGUUACCGAUGGAAGAGGAAGAAAACAAUCUAUUAACAACAGUACUGUCAUCAGGAAAUCAAGAUGAGGCAUUGACCUGGUUAGCUCGAGAGGGACUCUUGCACAUUCCAUCAAAUCUCGUCUCCUCUCUCAAGAAUAUGAGUAUUAGUGAGUGCCCUCGUCUAAAAUUUAACUGGGGCACGGACUGCUUCUCUGGAUUUAUCUCGCUUGAGAAGCUUGAAAUCUGGGGAUCGUUGGUGGAUGAUGACGGAAGUUAUGACCCCGAGAAUGGAAGUUCUUUUGUGUUCGAAGAGGAGGAUCAACCCCUGGGGGCGAACGGAAGAUGGCUCCUCCCGACAUCACUUCAGGAACUUAACAUCAGGUUCUUGUGUUACCAAGAAACGCUGCAACCCUGCUUUACUAGAGAUAUCACCAGCCUUAAAAAGUUAUAUGUAAGCUUCAGCCCAGGUUUGCAAUCUCUACAGCUGCACUCAUGCACGGCACUGGAAGAAUUGGCAAUUGUCGGCUGUGGAUCAGUCACCGUCACUGUACUAGAAGACUCUCCUGGCUUGCUGCCAUGUUUGGAAAGGCUUUGCAUCAAUGACCCAUCUGUCCUUACCACGUCAUUCUGCAAGCACCUCACCUCCCUGCAACGCCUACGACUUGGUUUCUUGAAAGUGAGGAGACUAACAGAUGAGCAAGAGCAAGCGCUUGUGCUGCUCAAAUCCCUGAAAGAGUUCCAAUUCUAUUUGUGUAAUGAUCUCGUAAAUCUUCCUGCUGGGCUGCACACCCUUCCUUCCCUCAAGAGGUUGGAGAUAGAACGGUGUGGACGCAUCUCAAGGCUGCCAGAAGCAGGCCUCCCACAUUCGCUGGAAGAACUGAAAAUCGAGUCUUGCAGCCAGGAGCUAUAUGAUGAAUGCAGGCAGCUAGCAACAAGCAAACUGAAAGUCAAAAUUGGUGGGAGAUAUGAGAAUUAAUUACUGUAUGACUUGUUAAGGACAUGUUUCUGCAUGCACAACUCGUAGCGCUUGGUUGUUCUUGAGUUAAAGUUGUGUCAUAUGCUCAUAUAUCAUGUUAUAUUCAGAGUCGACAUACCCUCAUAAUUGUGCAGUGUGUUCAUACUAAAAUGAGCGUCUGGGUAGGCAUUCAUGUAGUCGAUAAACUGGUAUGUUUUGUUGUUUGGUCUUAUCAACUGAAUGAUGAAUUUCCCAUUCUUGUUUUCUUCCGGGAGAAUUUUAAUUUCCUUGGCUAGAGAGAUAAUUGCAACAGAUAAAUCCGAAGAUGCAUCCUAUUAUUCUUCACACAAUUUGGUUUAUCCAAAAUUCGUUGCUGCUCGCACAUACCAUUUUGAGUUAAUAAAUGUGCCCUUUAUCGGAACAUACCACACAUAUGCUUAGUGUGGUGAACAGAGCAGAUAAACAUGUCACAGUCCUGCACUUUCAGAGAUCAGGAUGGAAUUGACAGCAGACACCUAAUGUGUGCUUAAAUUUGAAUACGCAACCUGUAUUUCAGUGCUGAUUACCAGUUCCAUUCCUGCGAUACUAAUGAAGCUACUUCUCUUGUGUGUAGUUUAGUACUCCCUCCAUCCAAAUAGUGUCUCAACUUUAGUACAACUUUAUAUUAAAGUUAAUAUAAAAUUAAGAUACUUAUUUUGGGACAGAGGGAGUACUAUCGUAUCGUGGUAAGAAGAUAAAAGAAAGGACAUGUUACUAUACACUGAGCAUGUAUAGAAUCAUUAGAGAAGAACACGCACCAAUUCUUCAUUUCAAUUUAUGGGGAAAACUGAUCACCGCAUCUCACACGAGCAUUGCAGUUACAUCGAUCAUUUCCACCAUGUAAGGACCUUGAUGAACAUUAGCAAUCCCUGAAAAUUUGUUGCACUGGCAAACACAAGCAAAGUAACUAAAAAAUAUUUUAGACGUCAAAAAAUCUCAGAAAUUUGCACCAGCACACCAAAGACCAAACACGUUUUACUAGCACUCCAGUUAUCCAUUAGGAAAAGCUUACAGCUACAUGAAGUUGCUCUUACCCAAUAAUAACAGGCCAGUUUAAAAUAAUACACACUUACUGAAAUCAAGGGUAUAAUAAUAGAAAAAUUGAAAGCGAGCAGCGUCACCCGGAUAAAAGAGUCCCGCGACAUCUCCAGCGUGAGCCUCCUCGUCGCCCCUCCAUCGUCGCCCCGCUCCCCCGGCGCCGCCUCUGCCCGCCGCCUCGCGCCGCCGGGGGCUGAGCCCACGCCCUCCGCCGGCUCGCCCUCUCCGGUUUCUUCCGGGGUUGGCGGUGUCGGGGCGUCUCUGGGGCCGUCUGAUCCACCCCCCGCGCCGGUGCCGUCGGGCUACCACCUCGCCUCGCCGGCUUCCCCAGACGCCUCGGUGGCGGUGGACGUCUCCUCCCCGGCCUCCGCGCACCCCCCUCCGACGGUGGCGUACGCCAGGAGGCCCCGCUCCACCUCGACGCCGGUGACGUCCUCUCGCCGCAGCGCCCGCCUGGAGGCGGCGCGGCCGGGCGACUCCCCUGCGCCUUCCGUCGCCGAGCAGGCGGAGCUCCGUGCCGCUGUCCGGAAUCUCGAGUCAGGUGCGGACCCUGCCCCUCCCGGUUCUUCUCGUUGCUCCUUUUCUGCUCUCGAGGCUGCUCCUCUCGGCCACCUCGCUAAGGUGGCCAAUGACUCGGCCAUUGUCUUCAGGGGGGAGGUCGGUCCCCCCUUAGAUCAGAUCGCGGCCAUUAGGGCCCGGGAGAUCCUCGACGGCAGGCUGGCUGAGACUCGUGCCCGCCUGCUUCGGCCCCCGGAGGGCCCGCCCUCCACCCCCGCGGCUCCGGCUCCUCCGGUGGUCGACGGGAUUAUCCGUGGACGCACUCGGUCUCGCACGGCCGCCCUUCGCGCGCAAAGCGCCUCUCGUGUCUUGGGGUCAAGCAGCCCCCCGAUGGGGGUUUAGAUGCGGGCCCUCUUCUGGAACCUCCGCGGCUUCGGCCAUGAUGGCCGUCGCCGCCAGCUCAUCGAGUACAUCCGGGAAGAACACAUUGACAUCGUGGCCAUCCAAGAAACCCUUCGCUCCGAGUUCACCCUGCCGGAGCUUGAACACCUGAGCCCCCACCUCUUCGCUUGGCACUGGCUCCCUUCUAGUGGGACCUCAGGCCACUCGGGUGGCAUCCUCUUAGGGGUUAAGGAUGCCACAUUUGAGGUGGGAGGCAUGGAUAGAGGGGAAUUCUUCGUUAGUAUGGAGAUCUUCGAACGUGCCCUGAACUUCAAAUGGGAGGUCAUUGUUGUCUACGGACCGGCGGAUCACCGCCGCUCCCCAGCCUUCCUUGACGAGUUGCAGCUGAAGAUUUCUAACUCCCCCUCCUUGUUUUAGUGGGAGGCGACUUCAAUCUCAUCCGAUCCCCGGAUGAGAAGAAUAAUUCCCGGAUUAAUUUUCCCCGGAUGCAAUUAUUCAACGAUUAGAUCGCGGAGCUGGGGCUCCGCGAGCUUGACCGGACAGGUGCCAGGUUCACUUGGACCAACCGGCAAUCUGUCCCGACACAAUCCGUGCUGGAUCGUGUCCUAGUGUCCCCGGAGUGGGAAUUGCGUUGCCCCUUGGCAUCGCUCCGGGUGGUCACCCCGAUUGGCUCCGAUCAUGUCCCCCUUCUCCUUUCCACCGCCGACGAGUGCCCCCCCUCCCCUCCGCGGUUCCGGUUCGAGCUCUUCUGGCUCAACCAAACCGGCUUCCGGGAGGCCGUCGUCGCCCGCUGGAUUUCCGCUAGGUCGGCGCCCCAUCGCUCCAUGUCCGCUGUCGACUCAUGGCACUUUUGUGCCAAGCUUGCCCGCCAGUUCAUGAAGGGUUGGGGGCUAACCUUGGCCGGGACCUUAGAGAGCGCAAGAAGACCAUCCUGAUUGCUAUUCAAGCCUAGAUGCUCGCGCGGACUCGACCGGGCUCUCCUCGGAUGAGUGGAUGCUACGUUACGACCUGGAGGACCAGCUCUCCACCAUCAACACGGAUGAGGAGGCCUACUGGCGCUUGCGUGGUACCCAGAGGUGGGUGCUACAGGGCGAUGCCAACACCGCCUAUUUCCAGGCGGUCGCGAACGGCCGGCGCCGUCGCAACUCCAUCCACUGCCUGUGGGAUGGAGACUCGCCGUUAGUUCUCCCCGCGGCCAUCCGCUCUCAUGUGGAUGGCUUCUAUCGAGCCUUAUUUACCCCCACCCCGCGCGGUGGGGCUAGUCUCGCCCCCGACAUUUGGUCGGGCGCGCAUGUAGUCUCGGAUGAAGCCAAUGCGGCUUUGGUUGCCCCCUUUAGCGAGGACGAGGUCCUCGCUACCAUUAAGGGGAUGAACCCCUCCUCGGCCCCGGGACCGGACGGUCUACCAGUGUCUUUCUUCAAGACGUUCUGGCCUACCAUCAAGCUUGAGGUCAUGGCUCUGUUUGAGGAAUUCUACUCGGGCUCCAUGGACCUGGGGCGCCUUAAUUAUGGGGUUGUGACCCUCAUCCCCAAGGUCCCGGGCGCCUCCGAUAUUCGCCAGUUCCACCCCAUCACAGUGCUUAAUGUGAUUUUUCGGAUCCUGGCUAAAGGGUACGCCAAUAGGGUGACCCUCCUUGCGGACUCAAUCACCCACCCGAACCAAUCCGCCUUCAUUCAAGGCCGAUUUAUCCUGGAUGGGGUGUUGGUGUUCCACGAAGUCCUCCACGAGGUCCGCCUGAAGCGCCAUAGGGCGGUCUUUCUUAAGCUGGACUUCCACAAAGCCUACGACACGGUGCACUGGCCGUUCCCGAGGGAGGUCCUACUCCGCAAGGGCUUCGAUGACCGUUGGGUGACCCGCGUCAUGCAGCUCGUCUCCUGUGGUCGGACUGCGGUGAACAUCAACGACGACAUUGGGCCCUUCUUCCCUACCCUUUGCGGGGUCCGGCAGGGAGAUCCCUUCUCGCCGUUCUUGUUCAACAUGGUCGUGGAUGCCCUGGCCGCCAUCUUGGAUAAGGCCACGGCUGCCGGGCAUAUUCGAGGCCUUGUCCCGCACCUUGUUGGAGGGGGAGGUGUUUCCCUUCUCCAAUACGCGGAUGACACCAUUAUUAUGGUCGAGGGUUCCGCCCUAGAGAUCUCCAACCUGAAGUUCCUUCUUCUGUGCUUCCAACAAAUGUCGGGCCUCACCAUCAACUUUGAUAAGAGCGAAGUGAUGGUACUCGGUUACCCCUCAGAGGACGCACAGUCCAUUGCCGACCGGCUUAACUGUCGGCUGGGUUCUUUCCCCAUGACCUAUCUGGGGAUCCCCAUUAGUGACACGCGCCUCACCGUGGCGGACCUCCGCCCCACAGUGACCCGUAUGCAACACCGCGUAGAGCCCUAGAAAGGGCGUUGGCUGUCGAAGGCGGCGCGCGUGAUCCUUAUCAACUCCUCGCUAGCUAGCCUCCCGUGGUUCCUCAUGAGCUUCUAUAGCCUUCAUGAAACGCUCCAUCAGGAGGUCGCCAAAUACCAGUCCAGAUUCUUCUGGGCUGGGGAGGAGGGCAAGCAGAAAUACCACAUGGUCAGCUGGCCAGAUAUCUGCAAACCCAAGGACCAGGGCGGUCUUGGGAUUCUGUCCUCUCGGUGCAUGAACAUCGCCCUCUUGACCCGCUGGCUCUGGCGUAUUGCCAAUGGGGAUGGAGGCCUCUGGCUCACUAUCAUCCAGAACAAGUACCUGCGUGGACAGCCACUCGCGUUCUGCCAACGCUCUGGCGGUUCCUAGUUUUGGCAGGCCGUCGUCCAGCUGCUGCCGGUCUUGCGUAUAGGCACAUCCAUCUCGAUGGGCACUGGAGCCUCGACCUUGUUCUGGAUGGAUAGAUGGCUCGGAGAUGCCCCUCUAGCCGCCCGGUUCCCCAUCCUAUUCGACAUUGUAGUUGACCCUCGGGUCUCAGUCGAGGCGGCCCUUAUUGACUUAGGGCGCCUCGCGUUCCGCCGCCCUUUUGGCCCCGCUGAGGUGGCUGCCUAGGAUGUCCUCCUCCAGGACAUCGCCCUCUUACCUAUGGACGUGGCCGACUCUCCGGACGCCAUCUCCUGGCGCCUAGAUCCCUCCGGCUGCUUCUCCACUAAAUCCCUCUACGCGGCUAUUGCCCCCUCGUCAGCCCCGGAGCCCUUCGGUCUGAUCUGGGACAUCCGCCUCCCCCUAAAGAUUCGGAUCUUUCUUUGGCAAUGGAUCCGCGGCCGCCUCCCGACCGGCGUUGAGGUUCUUAAGCGCCAUGGUCCUAGCGAUGGAAUGUGCCCCCUGUGUGGCACGGUAGAGGACGCUAAUCACAUCUUCUUCUCUUGCUACACGGCACAGUUCCUUUGGUCUUGUUUCCGCGAAACGGUUGGGGGACAGUGGUGCAACACCAACUUCCCUGACUUGCUUGCGGAAAUUCAAGCCUCCCCCCUCGCUACAGACAUAUUAGAUGGCUCUGCGUCGGGGUUCUCGCCUGGACGUUGUGGACGGUUCGCAAUAAGCUUGUCAUUCAGAAGGUGCCCCUUCGGCGUGCUACUGACUCCAUCUUUAAAAUGUGUGGUUACUUGCAGCUCUGGCGGCCGCUUAGCCGCCCUCAGGACCGGGACGCCAUCAAUAGACUCCUCACCGACCUCCGUUCGUUGGCCUUCCGCCUGGCGCCUCCGCUCCCGCCGCCACCCCCGGAGCCCGACUAGAGGAUGUUUCCCUCCUGGCGCGUGUGCCUUUUGUGUGUGUGUGUUGGGCUUGUUGAGCUGUGCCCUCAGCCGUACCCCUUGUUGCUUGCUUUUGUUUGGACUCUGUGUGCGUGUGGACUUUGUGUGUGUGCGGACCUGUUGGAUGUUGGCUUUGGCAUUGGCUUUAUAUAUAAAGCGGGGCGUGAGCCUUUUUCCGGUAAAAGAGUCCCAAUCAACUCAGGUUGCAUGGUUACUAAAUUUUUUUAUCAUUCAUAUACCUCCAAGAAAAAGAUUAAACCAUUCUCAUACCAGUAUAAGUCGCUAGACAAAGAUGAUAAGCAUGAUUUCAGCAUUUUCUUACUCUGAUGCCAUAGUUAUGUCGCCCAUUGUAGUUGAUAUGUUGGCAAUUAUGAUAGGAAGGGCUAAGGAGGCUGGUCAGGUGGGUGGCUUGGUACCUCAUCUAGUUGAUGGAGGAGUGUCUAUCCUACAGUACGCCGAUGAUACGAUCAUCUUUAUGGAGCAUGACUUGGCCAAAGCGAGAAACAUGAAGCUGGUGUUAUGCUUAUUUGAACAAUUGUCCGGGUUAAAAAUUAACUUUCACAAAAGCGAAUUGUUCUGCUUUGGUAGAGCCAAUGACGAAUAAGAGGCAUAUCGGCAAUUGUUUGGGUGCGAAUUGGGGACUUUACCUUUCACGUACUUAGGUAUCCCAAUUCAUCAUCGCAAGCUGACAAACAGAGAAUGGAAGUGCAUCGAGGACCGAUUUAAAAAGAAACUGAGUUGCUGGAAGGGCAAGCUCAUGUCAUACGAAGGCCGAUUAAUUCUGAUAAACUCGGUUCUCACGAGUAUGCCCAUGUUUCUUUUGUCGUUCUUCGAAGUCCCAGUUGGAGUUAGGAAAAGACUGGACUUCUAUCGAUCACGCUUCUUCUGGCAGAGCGAUGAACUAAAAAGAAAAUAUCGACUUGCCAAAUGGGAUAUCAUCUGUCGACCGAAAGACCAAGGGGGUCUUGGUAUUGAGAAUCUUGAGGUUAAAAACAGAUGUCUUCUCAGCAAGUGGUUGUGGAAGUUAUCGGUAGAGACUGAUGCCAUUUGGGCACAGAUCCUUCGUAGCAAGUAUCUUCAUUCCAAAACCUUGUCCCAGGUGACAGCAAGGCCGACUGACUCACCCUUUUGGAAAGGGCUUAUGAAAGCCAAAUUAACCUUGUUUAAUAGGACAAAGUUUAUUAUUGGCAACGGCGCUAGCACGCGAUUCUGGGAGGAUACUUGGCUUGGAGAGACCCCCCUUGCCAUUCAAUACCCGUCUAUGUAUCGUAUUGUUCAACGACGUGAGGCAUUCGUUGCAACGGUACUUCAAUCCACUCCCCUUAAUAUGCAAUUCAGAAGGACGCUAAUUGGAAACCGUUGGGAAGAAUGGUUCCAUCUAGUAGGUAGACUGAUGGAGGUUCAACUAUCUCAACAGCCCGAUAAAUUAUGCUGGAAACUUACUAGGUCUGGAGAGUUUACAGUUAAAUCAAUGUAUGUUGAUGUUAUCAAUUCAAGCUCGAUUCCUAGUUCCAAACAUGUUUGGGUUGUCAAAGUUCCUUUAAAAAUCAAAGUGUUUAUGUGGUUUGUCCAUAAACAAGUAAUUUUAACCAAGGACAAUUUGGCAAAGCGUAAUUGGACAGGACCUACUAGGUGUAGUUUCUGUGAUCGGGAUGAAACUAUCAAACACCUUUUUCUUGACUGCCCGUUAGCAAAAGUUCUCUGGCGGACAGUUCAUAUUGCUUUUAAUAUCACUCCACCGAGUUCUGUCAACACGUUAUUUGGAACGUGGCUUAACGGGAUAGGGCCCGAAACAGCGAGACACAUUCGUGUAGGAGUUUGUGCUUUACUUUGGGCAGUCUGGAACUGCAGAAAUGAUUUGGUUUUUAACAUAUCAACAAAUAUUCAUUUUUUGCAGGUUAUUUUCCGGGCCACUGCGUUGAUCCGUAUGUGGUCGCUACUCACUCCGACGGAGGCCAGGGAGCGUUUGGUUACUGGAUCUAUCCGCUGGGAGAUGGUAGCACGGGAUAUUUUCAACCGGUUUGAAUGGCGGUCAUGUAAUAGGAUAGGCAAUUAGUUUACCUAUCUUUCUUAUGCCAGCCGGUUGUAGCUUUUUGUGGCGAGUUUGUUUUUCGCCUUUUUGGUUCCUCGUGAACACUCUUUUAUUUUCGCUUUGAGACUUUAAGACCUUGUUAAACCUAUUUAUUUAUUUAAUAAGUAGGCCGUAUGCAUCGUUUAGAUGCAGAGGCCGGGGAGUCCCCCUUUUCAAAAAAAAAGUUAUGUCGCCCAUAAGCAUUACGUACACAAUAUAUGUGCUAGAGAAAACACAUCAAUACAAAAGCCACCUUCAGAUCAGAAGGCCAGCUGAACUACAACAUGACUCAGUACCCUCCACUUUUCACUUCUAUAGACAUAGUCGAGCUGAGCUAUCACCCACAAAGCCAGCCAUCUACUAGGAACUCCUUUUUUUGCAGGUGAGCCAUCUACUAGGGACUAUGUACUCACAGUAGGAUCCAAGCCGACAUGAACAUCCCACAAAUAAGUACUCACAUCCUCCACCUCAGAUCCUACUGUUAGAACAACCUCUACACCAGAGAACGAGCAUUGCCAUCUGAGGUGCUGUCCCCUGAGCUCCCUGACCCUGAUCCUGUAAACAGAGUCAAAUGUGAAACAUUGUAGGAAGUUUAAUUCAUGAAGAUUAAACGAUGUUUCUCAAAAAGGGGAAGAAUAAACAGUGGGUUCGGCAGUACCACUGGAUGACGAAGAUCCACUACCCGAACCACCAGAGACACUCAUGACCUUAGCACCCUUCUCGAUCUCCACUGAUUGGUAAGUUGCAGUUGACAUCUCAUCAUCAAUAUUCACAUACUCGUCCACCUGCGCAGACACUACAGUGUUCUCAGGAUUUUCGCUCUCCUGUAAAUAACAAAACAAACAACACCCGUGAGAGUCCAAUUUGCAUACCCACUAACUGCAAACAAGAACAGCACAUGUUUCCUCUACGGCCAUUACCACAUCAGCAUUGUCAACCGAUGUAGGCACAGCACCAUUCACAGCUUCAACUCCAACAGCAUCGUUGACCUCAGCAAUGUCCCCAUUCAUCAUCACGGCUCGUCGGCUCCUUUUGAGAGCCUUGUUGAACAUUUCGACCAUUAAGUAGCAACCCCUGCAAAGAAAAGAAGAACAUUCGCAAGGGGCAAAUUUGCCGCACUGGCAAACACAAGCCGAGUAACUCAGAAAUAUCUGGAUGUAAACUUAACUCAGAAAUUUUCACCAGCACACCAAACACGUUUUACUGGCACUUCAGUUAGAUGUUGGGAAAAGCUUACAGCAACAGGAAGUUCUCUUACCCAGUAAUAACAAGCCAGUUAAAAAUAAUACGUACAUAAUCUAACUGAAAUCAAGGGUAUAAUUUCAGAAAAGGCGAGCAGCGUCACCAGGACAAAAGAGUCCCAAUCAACUCAGGUUUGCAUGGCUACUGAAAUUGUUAUCGUUCAUAUACCUCUAAGAAAGAUUAAACCAUUCUCAUAUCAAUAUAAGUCACCAGACAAAGAUGAAAACGAUGAUUUCAACAUUUUCUUACUCUGAUGUGAUAGUUAUGUCGCCCAUAAGCAUUAAGUACACAACAGAUGUGCUAGAGAAAACACAUCAAUACAAAAGCCACCUUCAGAUAGAAGGCCAGAUGAACUACAACAUGACUCGGUACCCUCCACUUUUCACUUCUAUAGACAUGGUCGAGCUGAGCUAUCAGAUUACCCACAAAGCCAGCCAUCCACUAGGAACUAAGUUAACUAAAUCCAAGCAGACAUUAACAUCCCAGAAAUAACUACUCACAUCCUCCACCUACUCAAAUCCUACUGUUAGAACAACCUCCUCUAAACGAGAGAACGAGCAUCACCAGCUUCUGAGGUGCUGUCCCCUGAACCUAUAAACAAAGUGAACAUUGUAGGAAGUUUAGUUCAUGAAGAAUAAACGGUGUUUCUGGAAAAGGGGAAGAGUAAACAAUGAGUUCGACAGUGCCACUGGAUGAAGAAUAAACGAUGUUUCUCAAAAAGGAAAAGAAGAAACAGUCGCUUCGACAGUAUCACAGAGCAUGAUGAAGAACCACCAGACUACCAGAGACACUCUCGACGCGUUUGGUUCACUCUCUGGUAACGUAUUCGUUCAGGUAACGAGAAGCACCGGUUUCCGAUGUUUUGUUACCGAAUACAUGCUUUGUUUGGUUGAGCGUCCAACCUCCGGUUUCCUAAUCACCUUUGAUCCGGCCGUUUUCGGUUUUGCGAAGCCACGUAUCAGAAGACGCUGCUAGCUAAUACGUAGUGUGCGUACCAAACGCAGGAUACCGUUUCGGAAAACGCUGGAAUCGAAAGCCGCGAUGUUCGCUCCGAACCAAACGCGUCGUCUGUAUCCUCACUUCCUCAGCACCAUUCUCGGCCUCCACUGAUUGGUAAGUCAGCGCUCUCAUCCUCAAUAUCUACAUACCUAUCCACCUGCUCAACCACCACUACAUUCGCCUUCUCAGGAUUCCCGCUCUCCUGUAAAUAACAAAACAAAACAGAACAACUGAGAGUCCAAUUUGCAUAUGCACUAACUGAAAACGAGAACAACACAUGAAAGGAACAGCACCAUUCGCAGCCUCAGAGCGCCAGCGCCAUCGUCUGCCUCGGCAGUGUCCUUCUGCAGUAAGGAUCUGGCCGCAGCGCUUCCUCAUAGCCGCCCGGAGCUUCGCCGGAGGCGGGGGGAGGUUCCUGCUGCAGCGUGUAGAUUAGAUGGACAGCGGGAGGAGGGCGCGGACCUGGCCGAGCCCGCCUCCGAGGAGUCCCGGUCCCGGAACGCACUGGCAUCGCGUUGGGCUAACCUCGCCAGCCGGAAGGUGAGGCAACCGGGCGGCGGCGAGCCACCGAACAUAGGAGCUGUCCAUAAUGUAACAGAAAGUAAGAGCUGAAAAGACAAGUGGAACAGCACAACCACCCGCCCUCUCCCCUCCCGCGUCGCCCCCGCAGCCGGGCAAACCACGAGGCGCGACCAGACGAAGCCUGACCGGCGCAGGCGGCGGCGGGACGUGCGGGCCGGCUUCGAUAGGCCUAGGCGCCGCGGUCUGGUGGGAUCAUGCGACCCACGCGAGUAAGGCGUGAGCCGAGGCCCAGAUAAGCAGUUUUCUGGUCGGUUUUUUUCUAUGUAUACUUUCUGGUCGUUUUUCAUAUUCUGUUUUUAUCCUUUUUAUUUUAUUUUCUUCUCUUCUCCUUUUUUCUGUUCUUAUUUUUGUUUUUUAAAAUUCUUGAAUAUCUAUUUGACAUUUCUUCAAUGUGUUGUUCCCCGGGCUUCUGGUUUUUAUGGGUUUUCUAUUUUUCUUCAUCGCUUUAUUUUUUCUGGAAAAACUGUUCAAUUGUGCAUUCUAAAACUGUUCGGUGUGUAUUAGAAAAAAGUUCACCCUAUAGUAAAAAAGAUCAUCAUAUAUUAGAAAAUACCAAAUUUCUAUAGAAAUUUGUUUGUAUAUACAAAAUUUCUAUUUUAUAUUAGAAAUUUGUUUGUGUGUAUAUUAAAAAUGUUCAAUGUAUAUUAUAAAAAGUUCAUAAAAAGAUCACCGUGCACUGUAAAAAGUUCCUAGUACAUAAAAAAUGUUCAUUGUAUACUACAAAUUCACAGAAAGACUGUGCUUUCGGUCUUCGGUUUGAGGGAUCAAUUGUGAACGGUUCUAGGGACUUCAUCAACGAUCUAACCAACUCUUAUUCCACUGCAACUCGAAGUUGAUAAUGAUUCGAUCAAACCUUGCGUUGCAACUUCAUAGUGAUUUCGGAGUAUAAUCUGUAGGACGAUUUUUUUUUGUUUUCUACUACAUUUCCCAGUAUAUAUUUGGUUGAUCGGUCCUUCGGGCCACCUCCCUAUGGUGCUUUCAAUCGCACCCACGUGCCAUGUCUCGGGCGCUGGCCCGCGCACGGCGGAAGAUCCAGGUCACUCUAUCAGCGUCCUUCGGUCCCUGGUCAGGUUGCUUCGCUCACGCCAGUUGAGCCUGCGCAUACACUCGACUCGGCUUGUGACUGUCCACUCGGCCGAUGGGCGAGCCAGGUCGCCCUGUUAGCAUCCUUCGGCCUCAGCCGGAGUGCUUCGCUCGCGCUAGUCAGGCCUGCGCGUGCGCCCGGCUCGGCGUGUGACCAUCCACCCAGCCAGCCCUAAUGGCCAUCCGGCCAUGGGUCGUGGAGGUGAGAGGCCGGACAGCGAGAGGCUAUUUCGUUGCCACAAGCUUCGUGUGUGGGGCCUGCCUUCCUGCCUGUGUGUGCGUUUGCCGGCCAGUGAUACGUCUCAAACGUGUUUAUAAUUUUUGUUGCUUCAUGCUAUUAUAAUAUCACUUUUGUAAAUUUUAAUAGCAAUUUUUAUAUUUUUUCUAGACUAACCUAGCAAGAGCCAAUUAUUGUUUUCUACAUGUUUUAGGGUUUAUUUGGAUCAGUGCCAAAACCUGCCCAGCCAAUUUAUUGCCGUUGACUGCUGCGUGGGCAACUGUUUGGAACGAAGCCAAUUUUUUGGUGUGCCCUGGCUCGCACAUCCUUCUGGUUCACUUUUGCGUGGAUUUUUGACGCCAAUUUUUUGGCGUGCCGAAGCAUUGGCAGGGCUAGCACGGGUUAAAUCCAUACACAGCCUUAGAUUUUUCAGAAAAUCAAUAUCUGUGUAGCUCAAAAUACCAUGGGGAUUUACAAUUAUUUUUUCCAAGUUAAGAAGACUCCAAAAAGUGCUGGGAGGGGCCGGGGGCCACACCAGGCCCCCACGCGACAAGGUGGCGCGGCUUAGGCCCCAUCCGUGUGGGGAGGCCAUAUGGGGCCCCGUGGCACCGCGUUACGUUGAUUCUUUCGCAUAUAAAUUCCAUAAUUCGAGAAACCCUCCGCACCAUUUUUUUGAUUUGUUUCACCAUCGUAAGUUCCUAUUCUAGGGAGAUCCAAUCUAGAGGCCUGUUCCGAGACCCUCCUGAAGGGGAAAUUCAUCACCGGGCCAUCUUUAUCAACCUUGUUGCUACCAUGCAUGACCAUGUAUGAGUAGUUUCCUUAGGAUCUUAGCAUCCAUAGCACUAGCUAGAUGACAUCCUCUCUCUCUCUCUUUCUCUCUCUCUCUCUCUCUCUCUCUCUCUCUCUUGUGAGUAGUUUUCUUAGGACCUUAGGACCUCAAUCGAGGUGAAGUAAUCUAGCAAUAAGUAUUUUCCUUAGUAAAGAACUAAGGUUUAUUGAAUCAAAAGGAGUUCUUUCAGCAAACAAAGUCACAGUACCUGCGGACAAAACACAACACAAACUUGUCCCCAACACGUCAAGAAUGUUGUCAAGCUUCUUAAUAGAUAGAUAAACUAAAGGAAACAGUACAACCAAGAAUAUUAUUUUUGAUGAGGUUUUCAGUCAUAGAGAAUAGACCCAGAGGGCCAUAAUUUCACUCUCUCGUAAGUAUACAAGUGUGGUGAACAAAUUACUGUUGGGCAGGGAUUAAAUUACAAUAUUAUAUUUAUUACUAUGAUCAUUCACAUUAUAAUUUUAUAUAGGCAUUACGUCGGUGAUAUGUACUCCCUCCGUUCCUAAAUAUAAGUCUUUGUAGAGAUUUCACUAUGAACCACAUACGGAUGUAUAUAGAUGCAUUUAGAGUGUAGAUUCACUCAUUUUGCUUCGUAUGUAGUCACUUGUUGAAAUCUCUACAAAGACUUAUAUUUAGGAACGGAGGGAGUAGACUGUUAUCCAACUGCAGCUGCAACUAAUAUUUGCAAAAUGCUCAAUGGAGCUCGGCCUCCAGGGAGGCCGAAUUUGAAAUAAUCAAAAUUCAAAUUUGUGUGUUUCAAAAAAAAAUAUACAUAUACUUAGAGACAUAAUGCUCAAGUGUGUAAAUUUUCAGGACAAAAAACGUUAAAAUGAGUGCUACAAAAAAAAUCUGAGCCACUUUAAUAGAUACACUAUUCAUCCUCAAAGUCCAUGAAUUUGUCCUUUUAGCACAGAUCACAUUUCAAGAUAUUUCAUCUUGAAAUUUUACACACAUACACUCACAUUCUUGUUUACUUGUACAAAUUUGUUUUAGAUUUUUUUGAAACUAAAAUGUUCAAACCUUAAAGUUUUCACAAAAUCCGGCCUCCAUAAAGGCCGAGCUCCAAAACGUUCCACUCAUGCCAACGACGCUGCAAGUGUGUCUGAAAAAGUUCCCUAAACAAAGGUGUGUUUGCAUAAACGGUUGGAUCACUUGCUCUCAAUUCUCAUAUAAAGCGUGACCAGGUCCAGAACUAUAUUGAUCAUUUCUUAGCUAGUUAUAUGCUAGGCAUACCAAUCGUAUUGCUGUUUGUCUAUGCUCCGGCUUUGAGAACGUUGAGAACUUAUGUCUCGCUGAUUGUAAUCCUGAUGAUUGAGUUAUACAUGUCCUAUUCGCGCGCAAAAGAGAAAAGUGUGUCGUCAGCAAAGCGCCACUACUAGUAUGUGUACCUGUCUAGAAAAACGAAAGCAGUAACCAUUACAGGUCAGCCGUAUCUUGUGCACAAGCACGUCGGGAAACCGGAAACCGAGCGUUCGGUCCUGGUUCCUUGGCUUCGCAUGACGCGGUGACGGAGAACCAAGGCGACGGUCGCCUGGCGGACCCACAGCAUCCACUGACUCACCUUUUCCAUGCCCGCAUAGCUUAUUAUUAUGACCCAACAUGCUGUGUGACGAUCUUGUUGAUUGUUGACUAUCGUACUCGUGUGGCACCCUUUUCUGCCCAUCAUCCUUGGCCACGGAUCUUAGAGCAACUCCACCGGGACGACCCAAACGGAUACGCGCUUUGUCUGUUUUUUAUUUGUUUGGAUCGGUCGCCCGUCCGGCGUCCGCCCAGUUUUGCAUUUGGGUCGGCAGUGUACCCAACACAUCGAUCCAUUUCAUGUCCGCAUUCAACUUAAAAAAAAGGCCCGCGGGCGAUCAUGCCAGCGACCAUGUCUCAUGCCAGCAUCAUGCCAGCGCCGGCAUACAAUGUCGGCUUCAGAAAAUAUCACCACAGGUUUAUGUUGGCGCACUCACUAGCCGGCCGGUACACAUGCCAGCACACAAAAAAUGAUGGGGCUUGAAGUUCGACCACGCCAUCGCGGCUCCCGUGUUCAUGCAUACAAAAAAGAUGGCGCUCGCCGCCAUAGAUCACUCGUCGUCGAACUUGAGCAUGUCGGCCUGCAUCUUCUCGAACCAUGGCCUCUUCCUUGGCGACACGGUGUUGAGAUCCACCUUCAUGAUCUCCACCCCGGUCAUCAUGCUCACGAGAGCCACUUCUUUCGCCUUGGUCUUGACGUUGGCAACCUCGAUCUCAAGCAUCUUGGCUUGCUUCUCCGCCUCUAGCUCGAACAUCUUGGCUUGCUUCUCGGCGUCCAAGUCAAGCCUCCUCCUUUUGGAUCUCUAUGAAAGCAUCCGGGUAGAAGGCGCGAUCAUGCUCACUUCGGGUGAGCACUCCCCGGAGAGACGGGAGGUCUGCGGGUAGACGUGGAAGCCGGGGAUCGGGUUGCAAGCCGACCCGCGGGGCGAGUCGGGCAACACCAUCCGAGGAAACGCCGACGAGCCGGUGCUGGCCGCGGCGACGAUGGCUUGGACGAGGCCGUGCUGGCUAGGGUUUAACCCUAGCAUGUAGAGCGCCUCCCUCGUUACCGCCGCGACGCGGGCGUUGGUGACCUCCUGCUGCGCGGCAGCGACGGCGGCGGCCUGAGCGGCGACCUCAUCCCUCGCGCCCGCGGUGUGCCUCCGGCCCUUCCUCUUGGCCGACUCGCGUGCCCGCUGUUCGGGCGUCAUCGCCUUCUUUGGCUUGGUGGUGGCGGCCGUCUUGCGCGGGGCACGAGGCUUGCCCUUCCCGGCGGGGGCGGCGGCACCAGACGAGGCGAGGGAGGCGAGGCCGGCGGCGGCGUCGAGAUCGAUGGCGUCGUCCGUGGUUGGGGCGGGAGCGAGCGCGCGGGCGGGAGCGUCUUUGAAGAAAUGGGGGGAAAUGAUGGUGGCUGCCACCGACCAGCGCGUCCGAGAAGAGGAUUAGGCGCGCGCGCGUCCGUCUCGUGUCCGCGCGGACGCAAAUCCGGCUCAAAAAUGACUCAAGAAUGGGUCGCCAUGCGGACGUCAAGCGGACACGCGUCCGUUUGGGUCGGCGCGUUGAGCCACCUUUUGUGUGCGCGCCGACCCAAACGGACGACGACGGACAAAAUGGGUCGUCCCGUUGAAGUUGCUCUUAAACCAAAAAUGCCCUUGAUCGGUUCUGGUUUGAGUCGGCUCGGUUAUGGUUCGGGCAUUCCACACGGCCAGGUCGUUGUCGGUGUCAUUGUCCCAAUCCCUCUUGAGUAAAAAACAGAUCGGUUUGGGUCGUGGAAUGAAUCUAUCAAGAGACCCGUAGCAUCACAAAAAGAAUGAAAUCUUCCCCCGCAGAAAUAAUGUACAGUUUAGUACCUCGCUUCUAAUAAUUACUCCGUCCGUCCCGUAGUCUCGGUGAUAUUUGUGCAAAACGACCAAGAAGUAGCAAUUACGAAAGGAAAAUCUAAGAGGGAACGAGGUCAUUCAUCUAGUACUACACUAAUAAUGAGCUAGUAGUAAUAAAGUAUCACGGAGUAAACAACCAAAACACAUGGUAAUUAGUACACAGCAAAGUAUUAAGUUGAAUAGAGCCACUUUUCGUCACGGAGAUUGUUUACUAGAGCUGAGCAGUUAACGACGCCAUACGCUCUGAAGCUUUGUUUAAGCUACUAUAAAGCAUGAUCCAUUCAAGCCUUACAGCAUGGCAUGUGCUCACCCAAGGGUUGGAAAACCAAAAUGUGUGGUUCGGUUCGGCUCUGGUUCAGUUCGGUUCGGAUGGCUUCUUGGGGCUGCGGAAAGUCACGUCCCACUUCGUCUCUGACAUAUUACUGCCACUUUGCGCGUCUAAAGGCUGUGCUUAUAAAUUCUUCGCCAUCGCCGAGCCUCAAACACAAACCCAUUUCCCCACAAACACGACCACCCUCGAGACGAGCAAUGGAGUUCCUGGCCGACUUCUGGAACCUGCUCGCCUUGAUUUCCGCCGCAUGUGGCAACGCGGAGAAGCUGCUGGCUGCUCUCAUCUCCUGCGGCGUCGUCGAAGCAGCAGCGGCGCUCUGCCUCGUCAUAUCCAAAGCGCCCGGAGGUAUAUUUCUCCACCACGGCAAAGCACCCUUCUUCUUGUACUACGGCAUCCUCAUCUUCGUGGUGAUCUUCGGGGUGGUCGAGGCGUCAGUUGGCUUCUGGGUGUCAGGCGAUGUGGUCGGACGACAUGCCGCCGGGAAGACGAUCCUGUGGUUGGGCCUCCUGCCCAUCGUCUUCGUGGCUGCGCUUGGAGGCUUUGUCAUUCUGAGCAUGAAAUAUUUCAUCAUCCUGCGCCAGUUGUGUGUGUGCACGUGUGUACGUGCGAGUGUCACUGAGUGAGCUUGAUGUACCAUUUGCUUCCAUCUGUUAUUCGUUUUAGUAUAUGUUUGUGGUAACGGGGCUUUUUGUCCGAAACGGAGAGUUUCAGGUUCUGUUAGGAGAUGGUAACAGAGUUUCAGGUUCUGUCCUGCUUUCUGAUCGAUGUGAGAUUGUCAUUGAUCUGGUCUCUGCCUUGUUACGAACGGAAAAUCGCCUGUUGCAUUUUGGCACAUAUUUGUUCCCCUUUCAGAAAUCAGAGGAAAGUGGCAGUCAACGACUGCCUUUCUGUACCGUCUGGGCAAUUCAUACGCCCGAAUCGCCCCCUGCAGCCACGGCCCGUCGGUCCGGCAGAAAACGCCUUGAGUUCUUGACUGCUCGUGGAAAGUUCCCUAAAAAAACAUGGGUGAAGUUGUAAGGCCAUCUUACGUCUGAAUGUGUCCUCGGAUAUUCAGUUGGGCACCCGUCAUCCAGUCGUAUCCCUAAAAAAUAUCAGUCCUCUCCUUUUUAUACUCCAAAUGUUAAAAUUUCCUUUUUUAUAUUUUCAAAUAUUAAAAAUAAUCAAAGGUAAAUGCCAAAUUGCAUCAAUAACUCAAAGAUAUUUUUUCCAAUACAACAAUAACUUAAAGAAAAAUAUUACUGUACAAUCCAAACAUAAAGUUAUGAAAUAAAAUUGUUCAACUUUGAAUUCAAUUUAUUCAGAUACAUGUUCUAAUUGUCCAUAUGAAACACCCACAAAUGCUCAAGCAAUCAUUUAAGCCGUGUAUGGGUUCCUCCAUUGCAAAUUUGACGGUGCAUUUGAAGAAAAUUGCUCAAACGAUAGGAUUGAACAUUCAUUGAAAAUCCAGACCGUGGCGAAGUGCCUCACCAUCACUCUCCACAUUCUUGUUGUUUAUGAUCACAUAACAAAUCAUUACCUCCCACAAUGUCGUUAGAUCCCAUUAUUUAGCAGAUCCACAAACAACUGCAUAACGGGUUUGGAGAAGGCCAAAUGCCCACUCCACGUCGUUUCUAGCAUCGAUAGUUCCCCAUAUUAUACACGUGCGCAUUGAUGGUAUAUUUGCAUGUAGGAGAUUCCCCCGCACACAAGCUUUUGCAUGCAAUGGAGACCGUUGCAGCAUGUUGAUGUCAUUGUGAGACUCUGGCAUGCCGAACAAAGAGUGUGAAAUUCAGAGGUCUUGUGAUGCAACCGCUUCAAGAAUGAUGGUGAGCUUUUUAUGAUGGCCCUAGUAUUGCCCUUGUUGAGCAUACGACGGUUCUUCAACUUUUAGUGCAUGCAAUCCAGGGAUCUGAGCAUACAUGAAAAUCCUCCUGAUUCUCCAAGUGACAUUAGUCUUUUUGUGUCUUUGACAUUUGGUUCUCUCAAAUACUUCGGUCCAAACAUGUUGACCACUGCAGUAGCAAAUCUAACCUUGUCCUCCAAGCAUGUGCUCUCAAACAUCAGAGGUACUCAUCCCAUUGGUUUGCCGUUGUGCCAUAUGCAAGCAUCCUCAUAGUAGACAUGCAUGUUAGAGAUUAGAGAACCCAGUGUUCCAAUGGCAUCCUUCUUGACAUUUAAGGAGUCAUCACAGGCCCUGAAACCUUGCAUGAUGUGCAAGAACAAUGGUCACUCCAUCCAAAAUAGACGAUGGAAAUAGCGUUCAAAUAGCACAACGAGGACAAAGUAAUCAUUGUAGAAAUCAACAUGUCGCUGUUUUCUGACACAAAUUCAACAUUCAGUGUCUCUUGUCGAACCUUAAAGUUCAGAACAUGCUUGUUCACACGCUUUGUUUUUUCAAGAGUCGAUAACAUCAACACUGUUUCAUCCUCAUCUUCCUAAUCCGACAAAGACGAAUCUAUGAACUCUGCGACAAGUACUCCUCAUCUAAAUUAAUCGUUUUUUAUUCGGAGUAAACAAUGACAACAUUAAAAAAAAUUGUUAUCAUUUGACUGAGCAGUUGAUAGGCACGGUGUCCACAUGGACGGCAUCGGCUGGUGCGGACAGUACCUGGGCGGCGGUUGAAUCCAUGGGAGUAUGACAACAAAAUGGCCUAGGCGAGUAGGGAUGUGGGUGGAGCGGUAGAGGUCCGACAUGGCCUGGGUGGUGUCCAGGGGGAUGGGGCGGCAUUUGUCUCCAGGAACGAAGGAGUAGGGCGAUUGUGAAAAAAAGGUAGGCUUUGGGUGGGGUUUUAGGUGGGUACAGGGAGUUGAAGUUUGACGUGACACAUGUUCGGACUCCCCAUAGCCCCGUUUUUGUGCCGGUCUGUGGCAUUUUAGACGUCCAGACUAGUCUAGUCGGAUUUGGUGAUAUGCGUUGGAUGGCCAAAAGUGUCCGCACGGCCUAAUCCGGAAAUUUAAGGGCAUUUUGGUGAUCCGCAUUGGAGAUGCCUGUCAUAGAACAGAUUUCUAAAAUUGACUUUCUGUUUUUUCUAGUUUUUCUUUGGAAAUUAUUUCUUUGGAUUUCCCUCCAUGGGUUUAUUGGGAAAUUGCUUUCUCCUUUUUCCUUGGCUCAAAUGAGUUGGAGCUAUACUAGUAAAAAUCUUAUCCUACCUAUUAUCCUUCACAUAUGUUCUUCCCAAGUCCAAUCUUCUCGAGGAAGUAUUUCUUUUUAUUUUUACAGUAGUCAUCAGUUAAAGCCCCUUUGUGACGGAACCCCUUUUUAGACAACUUGUGUUCCACCAACAAAAUUGGUAAUAUAUUAUGCUCAUGUGUAUCUAAGACAUGCAAAAACAGGAGGUACAUUACUUUACUAUUUUGCCUUGAAAAACCAUUCAGCUUUUUGCUAGAAGCAUCCCAUAAAUUAUUUCAUAAUUUUAUUGGUGACUCCUUGACCUGAAACUUUUUGGAGGCACUCUACACAUCAUAGGGAAGCUACCAUAUUUUUACUAGCCCGGACCUUCACCACUUGUACCACUUUGAAUUCCAAAUUUAUUUAUGGACAAAAUAGAACUUGCACCAUGUGAAUGCAGUGGACCUUGUUCAUUUGAUCUCAAACUUCUCUAGUAUGUUGAACACCAAUAGAGACAUGACCAUGCUAAAUUUUAACCCCAGCUAUGACAUAGCGCGAGCAGAACGAUCUCAUCCGACAUUGGCAUGGCGGCCAUAUUCAACUAAAGUGGCUUCACUUCAGUAACAGCGCUCCCGCACAGCAAUGCUCACGCUGCUCCCCUGUAGCCACGUCGCCGUGAAGCCAUCAACACCAUGAGCCUUCCCGUGCAUGCCCGCACUCACUCCUCUCCUGAUGCCACACCCACCACGUCGUUGAUAUGUCUCCAACGUAUCUAUAUUUUUUUAUUAUUUCAUGCUAUUAUAUUAUCAAUCUUGGAUGUUUUAUAUAAAAUUUCAAGCAACAAUAUAUCAUUUUUUAGGAUAACCUAUUAACUUAGUGCCUAGUGUCAGUUGCUGAUUUUUGCUUGUUUUUGGUUUCGCAGAAUAUUAGUACCAUACAAAGUCCAAAUGCCACGAGACUUUUUGGUGAUUUUUUCUGGACAUAAGAGACCCUGGAAGCUUCAGGAGGGACGAGAAGAUGGAGUAGUGGCCCACGAGGCACCAGGGCGCGCCCUGGUGGCUUGUGGGGUCCACGUGGCUUCAUUUGACCUAACUCCGCCUCUAUAAAUUCUCUAAAAUAUUGAAACCAAUAGAGGAGUCCACAAAAUACUUUUUUUGCUCCCGCAAGCUCCAGAACCACGAGAUCCCAUCUGGAGGCCUUUUCUGGCACUCUACCGGAGGGGGAUUCGAUCACGGAGGGGCUCUACAUCAUCCUUGUUGCCUCUCCGAGGAUGCGUGAGUAGUUUACUACAGACCUAUGGGUCCAUAGUUAGUAGCUAGAUGGCUUCUUCUCUCUAUUUGAUCUUCAAUACAAUGUUCUCCCCGGUGUUGUUGGAGAUCUAUUUGAUGCAAUGACUUUUUGCGGUGUGUUUGUUGGGAUCCGAUGAAUUGUGAGUUUAUGAUCAGAUUUACCCAUGAAUGUUAUGUGAGUUUGUCUGAACUCUUUUAUGCAUGAUUACUAUAGCUUUGUAUUUCUUCUCCGAUAUAUUGGUUUGGUUUGGCCAACUAGAUUGAUUUAUCUUGCCAUGAGAAGAGGUGCUUUGUAUUGGGUUCGAUCUUACGUUGCUCAAUCCCAGUGGCAGAAGGGGACAUGAUACAUAUGUAUCGUUUCUAUUAAGGGUAAAAAAUGUGGGGUUUAUUCAUACAUGAGUUUAUCUUGUCUACAUCAUGUCAUCUUGCUUAAGGCGUUACUCUGUUUUUCCAUGAACUUAAUACACUAGAUGCAUGCUGGAUAACAGUCGAUGUGUGGAGUAAUAGUAGUAUAUGCAGGAAGGAGUCGGUCUACUUGUCUUGGACGUGAUGCCUAUGUAUGAUCAUUGCCUUGGAUAUCGUCAUAAUUAUUUGCUUUUCUAUCAAUUGCCCAACAGUAAUUUGUUUACCCACCGUAUGCUAUUUUCUUGAGAGAAGCCUCUACUGAAAACUAUGCCCCCCGGGUCUAUCUUUUAUCAUAUAUUAAAAUAAAAAAUACCUUGUUGCAAUUUUAUUUUAUUUAUUUAUUUUGUAUUUUUGUCUGAUCUAUCAAUGAAAAAUUAUACAAUUUAAUCUUGCUUGUAACCGUUGAGGGAUCGACAACCCCUCUGCGCGUUGGGUUAGAAAUAUUUGUUGUUUAUGUGCAAGUGAUGUUAACGAGUCGUUGCAUGGUUCUCCUACUGGAUUGAUAACCUUGGUUUUAUAAAUGAGGGAAAUACUUAUCUCUACUUGUUGGGGAACGCGGUAAUUUCAAAAAAUUCCUACGAUCACGCAAGAUCUAUCUAGGUGAUGCAUAGCAACGAGAGGGGAGAGUGUUGUCUACGUACCCUAGUAGACCAAAAGAGGAAGCGUUAUGACAACGCGGUUGAUGUAGCCGUACGUCUUCACGAUCCAACCGAUCCUAGCACCGAAGGUACGGCAUCUCCGCGAUCUGCACACAUUCAGCUCGGUGACGUCCCACGAACUCUAGAUCCAGCUGAGGUCGAGGGAGAGUUUCGUCAGCACGAUGGCGUGGUAACGAUGAUGAAGAAGUUGCCGGCGCAGGGCUUCGCCUAAGCACUACGACGAUAUGACCGAGGUGUGUAACUGUGGAGGGGGGCACUGCACACGGCUAAAACAAUUGUCAACUUGUCUGUCUAAGGGGUGCCCCCCUCCCCCGUAUAUAAAGGAGUGGAGGAGGGGGAGGGCCGGCCCUCUAUGGCAUGCCCAAGGGGGGAGUCCUACUCCCAGUGGGAGUAGGAUUCCCCCUUCCCUAGUUAGAGUAGGAGAGGAAGGAAGGGGGAGAGAGAGAGGGAAGGAAAGGGGGGCCGCCCCCCACCCAAUUCGGAUUGGGCUUGGGGGGGCGCCCUCCACCUGGCUGCCUCCUCCUCUCUCCCACUAAGGCCCAAUAAGGCCCAUACACUCCCCGGCGGGUUCCGGUAACUCCCCCCCCGGUACUCCGGUAAAUGCCCGAACUCACCCGGAACCAUUCCAAUGUCCAAACAUAGUCAUCCAAUAUAUCAAUUUUUUUAUGUCUCUACCAUUUAGAGACUCCUCGUCAUGUUUGUGAUCACAUUCGGGACUCCGAACUACCUUCGGUACAUCAAAACACAUAAACUCAUAAUACCAAUCGUCAUCGAACGAUAAGCGUGCGGACCCUACGAGUUCGAGAACUAUGUAGACAUGACCGAGACACGUCUCUGGUCAAUAACCAAUAGCAGCACCUGGAUGCUCAUAUUGGUUCCUACAUAUUCUACGAAGAUCUUUAUCGGUCAAACCGCAUAACAACAUACGUUGUUCCCUUUGUCAUCGGUAUGUUACUUGCCCGAGAUUCGAUCGUCGGUAUCUUAAUACCUAGUUCAAUCUCGUUACCGGCAAGUCUCUUUACUCGUUCUGUAAUACUUCAUCCUGCAACUAACUCAUUAGUCACAAUGUUUGCAAGGCUUAUAGUGAUGAAUAUUACCGAGAGGGCCCAGAGAUACCUCUCCGAAACACGGAGUGUCAAAUCCUAAUCUCGAUCUAUGCUGUCAUGCCCAAUAUGCGACCCUAUCCAAAAGGAACUCGAAGGUCCCACCAAGGAUAGACCCGCAUAUUGAAACGCUUUUGCAAGGUGGAUAUCAUUACAUCAACAUUACAUAAUAGUGGGGAUACAUACAAGAGGCACACAAUGCCACAUGAAUACAACAUCACAAUACAUAACAGCAUCAUCCGGCUACGGAUGAAACACAAACAGAAACUCAAACGACACCCACCCUGCUAGCCCAGGCUGCCGACCUGGGACCUACCCCCUGAUCGAAGAAGCAGAAAAAGAACUCCAAUACAAGCAAACAUCGCUCUCGCGUCAUGAUCAUCGCAUAACCUGUACCUGCAACUGUUCUUGUAGUAAUCUGUGAGCCACAAGGACUCAGCAAUCCCAUUACCAUGGGUAUCAAGACUAGCAAAGCUUUAAAGAGAAAGGAAGGGUUAAAGUGGUGAGGCUGCAGCAGCGACUAAGCAUAUAAGGUGGCUAACAUACGCAAAUAAGAGCGAGAAAAGAGCAAACGGAACGGUCGUGAAGCUAGCAAUGAUCAAGAAGUGAUCCUGAACUCCUACUUACGUCAAGCAUAACCCAGAAACCGUGUUCACUUCCCGGACUCCGCCGAAAAGAGACCAUCACGGCUACACACGCGGUUGAUGUGUUUUAAUUCGGAUCUGGUGUCAAGUUAUCUACAACCGAACAUUAACAAAUUCCCAUCUGCCUAUAACCGCAGGCAUGGCUUUCGAAAGUUAUACCCUGCAGGGGUGUCCCAACUUAGCCCAUGACAAGCUCUCGCGAUCAACGAAGGAUAUACCUUCUCCCAGGAAGACCCGAUCAGACUCAGAAUCCCGGUUUACAAGACAUUUCGACAAUGGUAAAACAAGACCAGCAAAGCCUCCCGCUGUGCUGACAAAUCCCAAUAGGAGCUGCACAUAUCUCGUUCUCAGGGCACACCGGAUGAGCCAGACGUCGGGUUGGCAUAGACCCUGGUUGCCCAGGGGGCGCCGGACAUCGCUCGGUUUGGACCAACACUUAGACAAGCAUUGGCCCGGGGGGGGGGGGCUAAAAUAAAGAUGACCCUCGGGUUGGCCAACCCAAGGGAAAGGUAUAGGUGUUAGUGAGGCAAAUGGUAAAAACAAGGUUGGGCCUUGCUGGAGGAGUUUUAUUCAAAGCAAACUGUCAAGGGGGUCCCAUAAAUCACCCGACCGCGUAAGGAACGCAAAAUCCAGGAACAUAACACCGGUAUGACGGAAACUCGGGCGGCAAGAGUGGAACAAAACACCAGGCAUAAGGCCGAGCCUUCCACCCUUUACCAAAUAUAUAGAUGCAUUAAUAAUAUAAGAGAUAUUGUGAUAUCCCAACCAAAAUCAUGUCCGCCAUGGAGUAAUCUUCAACUUCACCUGCAACUAGCAACGCUAUAAGAGGGCUGAGCAAAAGCGGUAACAUAGCCAAUCAAUGGUUUGCAUAGGAAAGGUGUCAAAGGUUAGAGGUUCAUGGCAAUAUGGGAGGCUUGAUAAACAGGUGAUAGGUAGCGCAGCAAAACGAUAGAACGAAGCAACUAGCAUAGCAAUGAUAGUAGUGAGAUCCAGGGUAGCGGUCAUCUUGCCUGAAAUCCCGCAAGGAAGAAGAACGAUUCCAUGAAGGAUAUGAAGCCACGAAGACGAACCAAGCGUAGACGAAUGAAUCCUCACGAUCGCAACGAAACAGGAACUAUCGAGAAGAAGCACACAACAUAGUAAACACACCACACAUGAACAUGACAUGAUGCACAAUAUAAGUAUGAUGCAAGACAAGGCUACAUGACGCUACUCAUGGCAAGAGAUGAUGCAAACAAGAGCAACACAUCAAGACAAGUUUAAGUGAGGCCGGGAACAACAUAUAACAAUUCCGGUAAGUCCUCAUAUGCAAAUUUCUAAGUUGGUCCAGAUCUGAAUAAAGCUUAUGUUCAAGUUGUUAAACAGCAAGUUAAGAUGCACAAAGAUGAUCUACACGAGAUUCUAGUCAAGUUACAUAUAAAGUUCAUUUAGUUCGGAGCUACGACCUAGAAGAUAUGAGCAAAACAAGUUAAACAUGGCAUUGAUGCAAAAUGCAUACAAACAUCAAUCAAACACCUCAAAACAAGGAUGCAACAUGAUAAUAUGAAACUACAUGCAAAAUCAAGCAAGUUUCAUAUAGAGCACACUCAAAACGGAGCAACGGUUCAACACACACACAUGAAACAAGUUUAAAGGACAAGCUGUCCAAAACAGCAACUAGGCAUAUUGCAAGCAUCAAAACAACAUGCUACAGCACCCCAACAUGAAAACAAAAGACAUGGGCAUGAUGUACAGGUAAAGCAUUACAAAACAUUAACACUGAGCUAACUCCAGAAAUCACUAGAACAUGCUCAAACACACAUGACAAGAUUGCAAAUAAUAACAGUUCAGACUUUGCCGAAAAUAACAUCAGGUUGCAAUGUUUAGAGCUAUCAAACAACAUGUUACAGGAACUUAUCAUGGAAAACAAAGGCAUGGCAUGAUACUACUAAAUGCAUAGAACAAAAGUCCUUUACUGACCAUGAGCCAAAAAGGAUCAGAAAAUAUGAUGGCACCCAUAUAAACAUAGCAAGUUAUAAUACAGAUUCAUACAUGGCAGAAAUAGAAUUAUGAAGGCAUGUAGAUGAGCUUGUGCAACUCACUACAGAGCAAAACAUGGCAUGCCAAGGCAACCAACAGUAAGAAGGCAUGUUUGAGAAGCUAAGCAUGACAAUAGCAAGUUCAUAGGGUGCAUGGAUCACUAGCAAAACACAUGGUAACAACUGAACUUAAUGUUAACAGGCUGACAGCAACAUUAUCAAGCAACUUUGGAGCAAGAUAUGAACAAACUACAGCAAGAUAUAAAUGCAAACAGGGCCAUGGAUGGAUAGAGCAUGACAUGUAGAACAAAACAUAUUUAGUGAUCAUCUCCAGAUUAUGCAUAGAUUGAUUUGUAGCAGCAGGUUUAUAUAGCAUCACGAAAUAACAGAUUCAGCCUAGCAAAACAGCAACAGCAAGUACACUACUUAACAAUCUUGAUUCACUCACCACAAGUCAUUGCAUGACAAGAUAAGCAUAGCAUCAGCAAGGGACAUGUUUAUGAAACAAACCAAGGCAAGAACAAGUCCAUAGCAUGCAAGGAUCAACUAUAACAACCUUAGCAAAAUUGAAUAACAUGUAAACAAUCUGCCAGGAAACAUUUUGAAGCAAAAGUAGAGCAUGAAAAUGACAUGCUAGACUACUCCAUAAUUACAAACAGGGGCAUGAAUGGAUAGAUAACAACCAUAUGUUCAAAAUAUCCUUACUGAAGUAUCUCAAAAUAUGCAUGGAUCUCUCUGUAGCAUCAUGUUUACAUGGCAUCAAAAUAACAGCAGAAAAGGGACUAAAAUCAGCAACAUCACGAUGCCUAGUUUGCAUGCUAGUGCUAGUCACCACAUUGAUCACACAAAUACAUGGUAAGCACCACUAUAAAGAUGGCAUGGCAUAGAUCAAAACACACGUAGACAUCAACCUCAUAGGAUGCACACAUCAAACAUGGAAAAAAUGACAAAUGAGCUCGUUCUGUUAACAGACAGCAGAAAACAUUAUGAAGCACUCUUGCAACGAUGAUUCAGGCAUCAAGAUGAACUCAAAUGAACAUGAUGCAAUGGAAUGAAAUGAUGUACUCGUUGAGUCAAACAAGUUGACAUAUUACACGCACGAAACGGAGCUACGGAUGCAGAGAUACGAUGCGAUGAACAUGGCAUGAUAAUGUCAAAAUAUUUCGGGACUUAGUCAAUUUCAGGAAAAAAACAGGUGAGCGUCAUAUAGUCAUAUCGCGCACGGGCGGGGAAAAGAGGGGCUGCUCACCAUGGGCCGAGCCCAGGUCGUCGGGGUUGCUGGUGGCUGGGCCUUGGGCUGGCAGAUCCGGGGUGGGGCGAGACACGCCCAUCAAGGGGUCGCUCGACCUCCUCCUCUGCUCGAGACGAGCAGGAGGCCACGGCGGCGGCUGCCGUCGACGAGGAGGCGAGGAUGGGGCGGGAACCGCCCGGAUCCAGGCGGAUCCGGCGUAGGGCGGCCGGAUCUGGCCAUCGGAGGCGCCGGCGGGAGGCUAGGGCGCGGGGCGGCGGGCGCGCGACGGGGCGGCAGAGGCGGGACGGCGGCGGGCGAACCGGCGNNNNNNNNNNNNNNNNNNNNNNNNNNNNNNNNNNNNNNNNNNNNNNNNNNNNNNNNNNNNNNNNNNNNNNNNNNNNNNNNNNNNNNNNNNNNNNNNNNNNNNNNNNNNNNNNNNNNNNNNNNNNNNNNNNNNNNNNNNNNNNNNNNNNNNNNNNNNNNNNNNNNNNNNNNNNNNNNNNNNNNNNNNNNNNNNNNNNNNNNNNNNNNNNNNNNNNNNNNNNNNNNNNNNNNNNNNNNNNNNNNNNNNNNNNNNNNNNNNNNNNNNNNNNNNNNNNNNNNNNNNNNNNNNNNNNNNNNNNNNNNNNNNNNNNNNNNNNNNNNNNNNNNNNNNNNNNNNNNNNNNNNNNNNNNNNNNNNNNNNNNNNNNNNNNNNNNNNNNNNNNNNNNNNNNNNNNNNNNNNNNNNNNNNNNNNNNNNNNNCGGCGGCGGCGUGGGCGACGGGGCGCCACGUGGCGGUCCCGGAUUCGUCGGGCGGCGGCGGCGGACGCGUCCGGUCUGGGACGGACAUGUCCGGCGGACGAGAGGAGCGGCGCUAGGGUUUCAUCUACGAUUUGGACGGGGGAGGCACAUAUUUAUAGGUUCUGAGCUAGGAGAGUCCAAAGGGAGCACGGUUUUCGCCCACACGAUCGUGAUCGAACGACCGAGAGCAUGGAGGGGAGUUUGCUGGGUUUUGGGCCACUUUGGAAGGGUGUUGGGCUGCAAAGAGAGAGGGGGUUUCGGGCUACGCGGUUAACCGUUGGAGUAUCAAACGACCUCCAAAUGGCACGAAACUUGACAGGCGGUCUACCGGUGUUAUACCAAGGCCGCUUGGCAAACCUCGGGCCAUUCCGAGAAAGUUUAACACCCGCUCACGAAGAGAGGCAAGAAGGGGAACGCCGGAGGACAUAGGAGCGUCGGAUUGCAAAACGGACAACGGGGAAAAUGCUCGGAUGCAUGAGACAAACACGUAUGCAAUGCAAUGCACAUGAUGACAUGAUAAAAUGCAUCACGAAGAAAAUGACAUGGCAACGACGGCGAAUAACUGGCGGACACCUGGCGCGUCGAAUCUGGGGCGUUACAACACUCCUCCACUAACAAGAGAUCUCGUCCUGAGAUCUUAGGACCGAGACGGAAGAGAAAAAGGAUGAGUGAAGCAAGAACUGAAGAGAAGAAGCAAAGAAUCGAGAGCACUCGAGAAUAAGAGAGGAACGACGAGAAUGACGAGAAUCGAAAGCUCACGGAAUCAGAUAGACUAUGAAACCACUCCGGUUAGAACAAGCUAAGAAAUGAAUAAGACUGAAACGAUUUAGGCAGAACUCCGGCUGAAACAUGGAGGAAUAGAACACGAGCUUCACGAGAUGGAAAGACACUUGAUGAAGACAUGACACAAAACCUCAGGAAAGAAUUAAAAGAGUUGAAUGAAAAGAACGGAGAAGAAAAUGACAACUUGUGCCACGAAUGAAAUAGAAAGCAACCUUAGAAGAAAAGAUUGAAUGGAGUUGUUGAGAAAAUUCAACAACGAAAAGAAUAAGCUUGUCGUGGACUUAUGGAUAACAUCUCAGAAAUUAUGAGGUGAUAACCAGCCGCAAACGAAAAUGAUUGGAUGACUUAGAAGAACGAAGAAAUGCAAAACUCCACUUCACAAGAAUACGGAGAAUUAAUUGUACUUCGAGAUGCGAGAAGAAAAGAUACUUGAGCUCCAACAACAAGAAUCUUCAUGAACUCUUGAAGAAUGAAUUAAAUCAUGAAGAACCACCAUGAAGAGCUCCGGUGCCAAAAGGAUGACGAGAUAAGAUUGAAGGAUGAAAGAAUAAGAUGAGACUUACGAUGAUUUAGAUGGAGGUUUCGACGAAAUGACCGAGGAAAUUUGAACUCCGGAAAAGAAAAGAUGAAAACACUUGGAACUAGAAUUUAUUCGCCAAGAACAAACUCCGAAGAAAAGGAUUAAUCACUUGGAGGAAAUAAGAAUAAGAUUUAUUGUAUGCUUAACCUUCAUCGAAUUAAAUUGAUGACAAGCAAUGGAUUUUGCAUACUACUUAUUCUUGUUGGAAAAAGAUUAAGGGGAAUAUGGCGCAAAACUUGAGAAAGUCUUCAUGAACCACCGGUAGGAUUGGAAAGAACGAAUGAAUUGAUAUGAUAAUCAAGGACAAAGGAAUCUGAAGGAACCACCAAAAGAAUUUGAAAAUGACUGAUGAAAGAGACUGAAUCACCGGGAAGAAUUAGAAGAACAAAUAUGCUUGAGGGGAUUUAGAUGCAAGAGAACGAGAAGAACUCGAGCUGAUUAAAGAACAUUUGAAUGAAGCACCGGGAUAAUUAGAGAACGAUAGCUGAAAUGUGAGCACGAAGAAUUCUUCUAGAAUGAUGGCCUUCGGUGAAAAGAAACAGAAAUCAACUCCUGAAAUACUCCGGAUGGGUAAGAAAAGAAUAUCUGAUGAUUGGAAUCAUACUUACGUCAAACUACAGAAAGGAUUUGAGAAUAGCUCCGGGAAAAUAGAAGAGUCAGGUAAGAUCCUGGGAAAGACCUAUGGGUUAGGGCCCACUGAAGAGAAAACACCGUUGGAAAGGAUUGUUGAAGAGAUAGAUGAUGCACCAGAACAAUUGACAUAUUUGAAUGAGGUGACAACCUCGAAUUAAUUGGAACACAGACGAAUCUCCUGAGAUGACUUGAACACUCUGGAAGGAUUGAAUGACGAGAGGGAAACGAGCAAGGAGAACACUUGAUCCAAAUAAAAGAAUACGAUCAACCUCAAAAACUUGAAUUGAGUCCACUGGAAAAGAAAAAGAGAUGGAGAAUGACGAACGAGACGAGAAUUCACCAGUUGAAAUAAUUGAGGGAAGAUUGAAGAGGCUCCACACGAAUGAAAUUGAUGGUCGAAAGAGACUCAAGCUCCGGGAGAAGAGGGUGGGAGGGCGGGAAAACAAAGGCAACUUGGAAGGGAAAACACCGGUUGAAAGAAUGCAAAGGCUUCGCAAGAGUAGGAUGGAUACUCGAUUACGGACUCCGGUUCCGAGAUGAAAAAGGGAGGGCGGGUGGGAAAGAAAACAACUGAGGAUUGAACUCAGAGAUGAAGAGGCUCGAGUCGACUUGAUGAGAAAUGCACCGGAUGAAAAGAGCUGAGGAACAACGAUCGGCAAACCAACUGCGUGAUCCUAAAAAAUUUGAAGGGGAAGAGAAGUAAUUCAAAACACCUACGCCAAGAUUCCUGACCACAGCGACGAAGGGGCUGAGGAGUAAAAAGAAUCCUACUCUCUGAUAUAACUAGACUCCGAAAACAGUUUUCUUCUAGACUCAACAACGACCAAACUACACGAUCAAUCAAGGGGGCUCCUAGGGUCGGUCGAGGCUCUGAUACCAACUUGUCACGCCCAAUAUGCGACCCUAUCCAAAAGGAACUCGAAGGUCCCACCAAGGAUAGACCCGUAUAUUGAAACGCUUUUGCAAGGUGGAUAUCAUUACAUCAACAUUACAUAAUAGUGGGCAUACAUACAAUAGGCACACAAUGCCACAUGAAUACAACAUCACAAUACAUAACAGCAUCAUCCGGCUACGGACGAAACACAAACAUAAACUCAAAUGACAUCCACCCUGCUAGCCCAGGCUGCCGACCUGGAACCUAUCCCCUGAUCGAAGAAGCAGAAAAAGAACUCCAAUACAAGCAAACAUCGCUCUCGCAUCAUGAUCAUCGCAUAACCUGUACCUGCAACUGUUGUUGUAGUAAUCUGUGAGCCACGAGGACUCAGCAAACCCAUUACCAUGGGUAUCAAGACUAGCAAAGCUUUAAAGGGAAAGGAAGGGGUAAAGUGGUGAGGCUGCAGCAGCGACUAAGCAUAUAAGGUGGCGAACAUACGCAAAUAAGAGCGAGAAGAGAGCAAACGGAACGGUCGUGAAGCUAGCAAUGAUCAAGAAGUGAUCCUGAACUCCUACUUACGUCAAACAUAACCCAGAAACCGUGUUCACUUCCCGGACUCCGCCGAAAAGAGACCAUCACGGUUACACACGCGGUUGAUGUGUUUUAAUUCGGAUCUGGUGUCAAGUUAUCUACAACCGGACAUUAACAAAUUCCCAUCUGCCUAUAACCGCAGGCACGGCUUUUGAAAGAUUAUACCCUGCAGGGGUGUCCCAACUUAGCCCAUGACAAGUUCUCGCGAUCAACGAAGGAUAUACCUUCUCCCCGGAAGACCCGAUCAGACUCGGAAUCCCGGUUUAAAAGAUAUUUCGACAAUGGUAAAACAAGACCAGCAAAGCCUCCCGCUGUGCCGACAAAUCCCAAUAGGAGCUGCACAUAUCUCGUUCUCAGGGCACACCGGAUGAGCCAGACGUCGGGUUGGCAUAGACCCUGGUUGCCCAGGGGGCGCCGGACAUCGCUCGGUUUGGACCAACACUUAGACAAGCAUUGGCUCGGGGGGGCUAAAAUAAAGAUGACCCUCGGGUUGGCCGACCCAAGGGAAAGGUAUAGGUGGUGGUGAGGCAAAUGGUAAAAGCAAGGUUGGGCCUUGCUGGAGGAGUUUUAUUCAAAGCGAACUGUCAAGGGGGUCCCAUAAAUCACGCGACCGCAUAAGGAACGCAAAAUCCGGGAACAUAACACCGGUAUGACGGAAACUCGGGCGGUAAGAGUGGAACAAAACACCAGGCAUAAGGCCGAGCCUUCCACCCUUUACCAAAUAUAUAGAUGCAUUAAUAAUAUAAGAGAUAUUGUGAUAUCCCAACCAAAAUCCUGUCCGCCAUGGAGUAAUCUUCAACUUCACCUGCAACUAGCAACGCUAUAAGAGGGCUGAGCAAAAGCGGUAACAUAGCCAAUCAAUGGUUUGCAUAGGAAAGGUGUCAAAGGUUAGAGGUUCAUGGCAAUAUGGGAGGCUUGAUAAACAGGUGAUAGGUAGGGCAACAAAACGAUAGAACGAAGCAACUAGCAUAGCAAUGAUAGUAGUGAGAUCCAGGGAGCGGUCAUCUUGCCUGAAAUCCCGCAAGGAAGAAGAACGAGUCCAUGAAGGAGAUGAAGCCACGAAGACGAACCAAGCGUAGACGAACGAAUCCUCACGAUCGCAACGAAACAGGAACUAUCGAGAAGAAGUACACAACAUAGUAAACACACCACACAUGAACAUGACAUGAUGCACAAUACAAGUAUGAUGCAAGACAAGGCUACAUGAAUCUACUCAUGGCAAGAGAUGAUGCAAACAAGAGCAACACAUCAAGACAAGUUUAAAUGAGGCCGGGAACAACAUAUAACAAUUCCGGUAAGUCCUCAUAUGCAAAUUUCGAAGUUGGUCCAGAUCUGAAUAAACCUUAUGUUCAAGUUGUUAAACAGCAAGUUAAUAUGCACAAAGAUGAUCUACACGAGAUUCUAGUCAAGUUAUAUAUAAAGUUCAUUUAGUUCGGAGCUACGACCUAGAAGAUAUGAGCAAAACAAGUUAAACAUGGCAUUGAUGCAAAAUGCAUACAAACAUCAAGCAAACACCUCAAAACAAGGAUGCAACAUGAUAAUAUGAAACUACAUGCAAAAUCAAGCAAGUUUCAUAUAGAGCACACUCAAAACGGAGCAACGGUUCAACACACACACAUGAAACAAGUUUAAAGGACAAGUUGUCCAAAACAGCAACUAGGCAUAUUGCAAGCAUCAAAACAACAUGCUACAGCACCCCAACAUGAAAAUAAAAGACAUGUGCAUGAUGUACAGGUAAAGCAUUACAAAACAUGAACACUGAGCUAACUCCAGAAAUCACUAGAACAUGCUCAAACACACAUGGAAAGAUUGCAAAUAAUAACAGUUCAGACUUUGCCGAAAAUAACAUCAGGUUGCAAUGUUUAGAGCUAUCAAACAACAUGUUACAGGAACUUAUCAUGGAAAACAAAGGCAUGGCAUGAUACUACUAAAUGCAUAGAACAAAAGUCCUUUACUGACCAUGAGCCAAAAAGGAUCAGAAAAUAUGAUGGCACCCAUGUAAACAUAGCAAGUUAUAAUACCGAUUCAUACAUGGCAGAAACAGAAUUAUGAAGGCAUGUAGAUGAGCUUGUGCAACUCACUACAGAGAAAAACAUGGCAUGGCUAGGCAACCAACAGUAAGAAGGCAUGUUUGAGAAGCUAAGCAUGACAAUAGGAAGUUCAUGGGGUGCAUGGAUCACUAGCAAAACACAUGGUAACAACUGAACUUAAUGUUAACAGGCUGACAGCAACAUUAUCAAGCAACUUUGGAGCAAGAUAUGAACAAGAUACAGCAAGAUAUAAAUGCAAACAGGGCCAUGGAUGGAUAGAGCAUGACAUGUAGAACAAAAAAUAUUUAGUGAUCAUCUCCAGAUUAUGCAUAGAUUGAUUUGUAGCAGCAGGUUUACAUAGCAUCACGAAAUAACAGAUUCAGCCUAGCAAAACAGCAACAGCAAGUACACUACUUAACAAGCUUGAUUCACUCACCACAAGUCAUUGCAUGGCAAGAUAAGCAUAGCAUUAGCAAUAAGACAUGUUUAUGAAACAAACCAAGGCAAGAACAAGUCCAUAGCAUGCAAGGAUCAACUAUAACAACCUUGGCAAAAUUGAAUAACUUGUAAACAAUCUUCCAGGAAACAUCUUGAAGCAAAAGUAGAGCACGAAAAUGACAUGCUAGACUACUCCAUAAUUACAAACAGGAGCAUGAAUGGAUAGAUAACAACCAUAUGUUCAAAACAUCCUUACUGAAGUAUCUCAAAAUAUGCAUGGAUCUCUCUGUAGCAUCAUGUUUACAUGGCAUCAAAAUAACAGCAGAACAGGGACUAAAAUCAGCAACAUCACGAUGCCUAGUUUGCAUGCUUGUGCUAGUCACCACAUUGAUCACAAAAAUACAUGGUAAUCACCACUGUAAAUAUGGCAUGGCAUAGAUCAAAACACAUGUAGACAUCAACCUCAUAGGAUGCACACAUCAAACAUGGCAAAAAUGACAAAUGAGCUCGUUCUGUUAACAGACAGCAGAAAACAUUAUGAAGCACUCUUGCAACGAUGAUUCAGGCAUCAAUAUGAACUCAAAUGAACAUGAUGAAAUGGAAUGAAAUGAUGUACUCGUUGAGACGAACAAUUUGACAUAUUACACGCACGAAACGGAGCUACAGAUGCAGAGAUACGAUGCGAUGAACAUGGCAUGAUAAUGUCAAAAUAUUUCGGGACUUGGUCAAUUUCAGGAAAAAAAUCAGGUGAGCGUCAUAUAGUCAUAUCGCGCACGGGCGGGGAAAAGAGGGGCCGCUCACCAUGGGCCGAGCCCAGGUCGUCGGGGUUGCUGGUGGCUGGGCCUUGGGCCGGCAGAUCCGGGGUGGGGAGAGACCGGCCCAUCAAGGGGUCACUCGACCUCCUCCUCUGCUCCAGACGAGCAGGAGGCCACGGCGGCGGCUGCCGGCAACGAGGAGGCGAGGACGGGGCGGGAACCGCCUGGAUCCAGGCGGAUCCGGUGUAGGGCGGCCGGAUCUGGCCAUCGGAGGCGCCGGUGGGAGGCUAAGGCGUGAGGCGGCGGGCGCGCGACGAGGAGGCGGAGGCGGGACGGCGGCGGGCGAANNNNNNNNNNNNNNNNNNNNNNNNNNNNNNNNNNNNNNNNNNNNNNNNNNNNNNNNNNNNNNNNNNNNNNNNNNNNNNNNNNNNNNNNNNNNNNNNNNNNNNNNNNNNNNNNNNNNNNNNNNNNNNNNNNNNNNNNNNNNNNNNNNNNNNNNNNNNNNNNNNNNNNNNNNNNNNNNNNNNNNNNNNNNNNNNNNNNNNNNNNNNNNNNNNNNNNNNNNNNNNNNNNNNNNNNNNNNNNNNNNNNNNNNNNNNNNNNNNNNNNNNNNNNNNNNNNNNNNNNNNNNNNNNNNNNNNNNNNNNNNNNNNNNNNNNNNNNNNNNNNNNNNNNNNNNNNNNNNNNNNNNNNNNNNNNNNNNNNNNNNNNNNNNNNNNNNNNNNNNNNNNNNNNNNNNNNNNNNNNNNNNNNNNNNNNNNNNNNNNNNNNNNNNNNNNNNNNNNNNNNNNNNNNNNNNNNNNNNNNNNNNNNNNNNNNNNNNNNNNNNNNNNNNNNNNNNNNNNNNNNNNNNNNNNNNNNNNNNNNNNNNNNNNNNNNNNNNNNNNNNNNNNNNNNNNNNNNNNNNNNNNNNNNNNNNNNNNNNNNNNNNNNNNNNNNNNNNNNNNNNNNNNNNNNNNNNNNNNNNNNNNNNNNNNNNNNNNNNNNNNNNNNNNNNNNNNNNNNNNNNNNNNNNNNACCCGAGCGGGCCGGCCGCGGCGCGGGCGACGGGGCACCACGUGGCGGUCCCGGAUUCGUCAGGCGGCGGCGGCGGACGCGUCCGGUCCGGGACGGACAUGUCCGGCGGACGAGAGGAGCGGGGCUAGGGUUUCAUCUGCGAUUUGGACGGGGGAGGCACAUAUUUAUAGGUUCUGGGAGCUAGGAGAGUCCAAAGGGAGCACGGUUUUCGCCCACACGAUCGUGAUCAAACGACCGAGAGCAUGGAGGGGAGUUUUCUGGGUUUUGGGCCACUUUGGAAGGGUGUUGGGCUGCAAAGAGAAAGGGGGGUUUCGGGCUACGCGGUUAACCGUUGUAGUAUCAAACGACCUCCAAAUGGCACGGAACUUGACAGACGGUCUACCGGUAUUAUACCAAGGCCGCUUGGCAAACCUCGGGCCAUUCCGAGAAAGUUUAACACCCGCUCACGAAGAGAGGCAAGAAGGGGAACGCCGGAGGACAUAGGAGUGUCGGAUUGCAAAACGGACAACGGGGAAAAUGCUCGGAUGCAUGAGACGAACACGUAUGCAAUGCAAUGCACAUGAUGACAUGAUAAAAUGCACCACGCAAGCAAAUGACAUGGCAACAACGGCGAAUAACUGGCGGACACCUGGCGCAUCGAAUCCGGGGCGUUACAUAUGCCAACCCAACAAACACCUUCGGAGACACCUGUAGAGCACCUUUAUAAUCACCCUUCUAUGUUGUGACGUUUGGUAGCACACAAAGUGUUCCUCCGGUAUUCGGGAGUUGCAUAAUCUCAUAGUCUGAGGAACUUGUAUAAGUCAUGAAGAAAGCAGUAGCAAUGAAACUAGCACGAUCAUAAUGCUAAGCUAACGGAUGGGUCAUGUCCAUCACAUCAUUCUCCUAAUGAUGUGAUCCCGUUCAUCAAAUGACAACAUAUGCCUAUGGUUAGGAAACAUAACCAUCUUUGAUUAACGAGCUAGUCAAGUAGAGGCAUACUAGGGACUAUAGGUUUUGUCUAUGUAUUCACACAUGUACUAAGUUUCCGGUUAAUACAAUUCUAGCAUGAAUAAUAAACAUUUAUCAUGAAAUAAGGAAAUAAAUAAUAACUUUAUUAUUGCCUCUAGGGCAUAUUUCCUUCAGUCUCCCACUUGCACUAGAUUCAAUAAUCUAGUUCACAUCGCCUUGUGAUUUAACAUCAAUAGUUCAUAUGUGUAUGUGAUUAACACCCAUAGUUCACAUCGCCAUGUGACCAACAACCAAAAGGUUUACUAGAGUCAAUAAUCUAGUUCACAUUGCUAGGUGACUAACACCCAAAGAGUACUAAGGUGUGAUCAUAUUUUUCUUGUGAGAGAAAUUUAGUCCAUGGGCCUGUCACAUUCAGAGCCGUAUGUAUUUUGCAAAUAUUCUAUGUCUACAAUGCUCUGCAUGGAGCUACUCUAGCUAAUUGCUCUCACUUUCAAUAUGUAUCCAGAUUGAGACUUAGAGUCAUCUACAUCAAUGUAAAAGCUUGCAUCGACGUAACUCUUUACAACGAACUCUUUAUCACCCCAUCACCGAGAAACAUUUCCUUAGUCCUCACUAAGGAUAAUUUUGACCGUUAUCUAGUGAUCUACUCUUAGAUCACUAUUGUACCCCCUUGCCAAACUCAUGGCAAGGUACACAAUAGGUCUGGUACACAGCACAACAUACUUUAUAAAACCUAUGACUAUGGCAUAGGGAAUGACUUUCAUUCUCUUUCUAUCUUCUGCCGUGGUCGGGCUUUGAGUCUUACUCAACUUUACACCUUGUAAUACAGACAAGAACUUCUUCUUUGACUGAUCCAUUUUGAACUCUUUCAAAAACUUGUCAAGGUAUUUACGCAUUGAAAAAUCUUAUCAAGCAUCUUGAUCUAUCUAUAGAUCUUGAUGCCCAAUAUGUAAGCAGCUUCACCAAGGUCUUUCAUUGAAAAACUUUUAUUCAAGUAUCCCUUUAUGCUAUCCAGAAAUUAUAUAUCAUUUUCAAUCAACAAUAUGUCAUCCACAUAUAAUAUUAGAAAUGCUAGAGAGCUCCCACUCACUUUCUUGUAAAUACAGGCUUCACCACAAGUCUGUAUAAAACUAUAUGCUUUGAUCAACUCAUCAAAGCGUAUAUUCCAACUCCGAGAUGCUUGUACCAGUCCAUAGAUGGAUCGCUGGAGCUUGCACACCUUAUUAGUACCUUUAUGAUUGACAAAACCUUCUGGUUGCAUCAUAUACAACUAUUCUUCCAGAAAUCCAUUCAGGAAUGCAGUUUUGACAUCCAUUUGCCAAAUUUCAUAAUCAUAAAAUGCAGCAAUUGCUAACAUGAUUCGGACAGACUUAAGCAUCGCUACAGGUGAGAAAGUCUCAUCGUAGUCAACUCCUUGAACUUGUCAAAAACAUUUUGCAACAAGUCGAGCUUUGUAAACAGUAACAUUACCGUCUGCGCCGAUCUUCUUCUUAAAGAUCCAUUUAUUUUCUAUGGCUUGCCGAUCAUCGGGCAAGUCCACCAAAGUCCACACUUUGUUCUCAUACAUGGAUCCCCUCUUAGAUUUCAUGGCCUCUAGCCAUUUCGCGGAAUCUGGGCUCAUCAUUGCUUCCUCAUAGUUCGUAGGUUCAUCAUGGUCUAGUAACAUGACUUCCAGAACAGGAUUACUGUACCACUAUGGUGCGGAUCUUACUCUGGAAGACCUAAGAGGUUUGGUAGUAACUUGAUCUGAAGCUUCAUGAUCAUCAUCAUUAGCUUCCUCACUAAUUGGUGUAGGAACCAUGGGAACUGAUUUCUGUGAUGAACUACUUUCCAAUAAGGGAGAAGGUACAACUUACCUCAUCAAGUUCUACUUUCCUCCCACUCACUUCUUUCGAGAGAAACUCCUUCUCUAGAAAGGAUCCAUUUUUAGAAACAAAGAUUUUGCCUUCGGAUCUGUGAUAGAAGGUGUACCCAACAAUUUCCUUUGGGUAUCCUAUGAAGACGCACUUAUCUGAUUUGGGUUCAAGCUUAUCAGGUUGAAGCUUUUUCACAUAAGCGUCGUAUCCCCAAACUUUAAGAAACAACAACUUUGGUUUCUUGCCAAACCACAGUUCAUAAGGCAUCGUCUCAACAGAUUUUGAUGGUGCCCUGUUUAACGUGAAUGUAGCUAUCUCUAAUGCAUAACCCCAAAACGAUAGUGGUAACCUGGUAAGAGACAUCAUAGAUCGCACCAUAUCCAAUAAAGUGCGGUUACGACAUUCAGACACACCAUUACGCUCUGGUGUUCCAUGUGGCGUGAUGUGUGAAACUAUUCCACAUUGUUUUAAAUGAAGGCCAAACUCAUAACUCAAAUAUUCUCCUCUACGAUCAGAUUGUCGAAACUUAAUUUUCUUGUUACGAUGAUUCUCCACUUUACUCUGAAAUUCCUUGAACUUUUCAAAUGUUUCAAACUUGUGUUUCAUUAAGUAGAUAUACCCAUAUCUGCUCAAAUCAUCUGUGAAGGUCAAAAAAUAACGAUACCCGCCAUGAGCAUCAACACUCAUUGGAUCGCAUACAUCGAUAUGUGUUAUUUCCAAUAAGUCACUAGCUCGUUCCGGUGAUACGGAGAACGAAGUUUUAGUCAUCUUGCCCAUAAGGCACGGUUAGCAAGCAUCAAAUGUUCAUAAUCAACUGAUUCCAAAAGUCCAUAUUUAUGGAGUUUCUUCAUGCGCUUUACACCGAUAUGACCCAAACAGCAGUGCCACAAAUAUGUUGCGCUAUCAUUAUCAACUUUGCAUAUUUUGGCAUCAAUAUUAUGAAUAUGUGUAUCACUACAAUCAAGAUUCAAUAAACCAUCAACAUUGGGUGUAUGACCAUAGAAGGUUUUAUUCAUGUAAAUAGAAUAACAGUCUAUUCUCUGUCUUAGAUGAAUAAUCGUAUCACAGUAAACAUGAUCUAAUCAUAUUUAUGCUCAACGCAAACACCAAAUAACAUUUAUUUAGGUUCAACACUAAUCUAGAAAGUAUAGGGAGUGUGUGAUGAUGAUCAUAUCAAUCUUGGAACCACUUCCAACACACAUCGUCACUUCACCCUCAACUAGUCUCUGUUUAUUCUGUAACUCCUGUUUCGAGUUACUAAUCUUAGCAACCGAACAAGUAUCAAAUACCCAGGGGCUACUAUAAACACUAGUAAGGUACACAUCAAUAACCUGUAUAUCAAAUAUACCCUUGUUCACUUUGCCAUCCUUCUUAUCCAACAAAUAUUCAGGGCAUUUCCGCUUCCAGUGACCAUUUCCUUUGCAGUAGUAGCACUCAGUUUCAGGCUUCGGUCUAGCUUUGAGCUUCUUCACGGGAGUGACAACUUGCUUGCCUUUCUUCUUGAAGUUCCCUUUCUUUCCCUUUGCCUUUUUCUUGAAACUAGUGGUCUUGUUUAAUCAUCAACACUUGAUGCUCUUUGUUGAUUUCAACCUUCGUCGAUUUCAGCAUCACGAAGAGCUCGGGAAUCGUUUUCGUCAUCCCUUGCAUACUAUAGUUCAUCAUGAAGUUCCAGUAACUUGGUGAUGGUGACUAGAGAACUCCGUCAAUCACUAUCUUAUCUGGAAGAUUAACUCCCACUUGAUUCAAGUAAUUGUAGUACCCAGACAUUCUGAGCACAUGCUCACUAGUUGAGCAAUUCUCCUCCAUCUUUUAGGCAAAGUACUUGUCAGAGGUCUCAUACCUCUUGACAUGGGCAUGAGUCUGAAAUACCAAUUUCAGCUCUUGGAACAUCUCAUAUGCUUCGUGACGUUUCAAAAACGUUUUUGAAGUCCCGGUUCUAAGUCGUAAAGCAUGGUGCACUAAACUAUCAAGUAGUCAUCAUAUUGAGCUAGCCAAAUGUUCAUAACGUCUGCAUCUGCUCCUGCAAUAGGUCUGUCACCUAGCGGUGCAUCAAGGACAUAAUUCUUCUGUGCAGCAAUGAGGAUAAAGCUCAGAUCACGGACUCAGUCUGCAUCAUUGCUACUAUCAUCUUCCAAUUUAGUUUUCUCUAGGAACAUAUAAAAAAACAUAGGAAAGCUAUAACGUGAGCUAUUGAUCUACAACGUAAUUUGCAAAAUACUAUCAGGACUAAGUUCAUGAUAAAUUAAAGUUCAAUUAAUCAUAUUACUUAAGAGCUCCCACUUAGAUAGACAUCCCUCUAGUCAUCUAAAUGAUCACGUGAUCCAAAUCAAGUAAACCAUGUCCGAUCAUCACGUGAGAUGGAGUAGUUUUCAAUGGUGAACAUCACUAUGUUGAUCAUAUCUACUAUAUGAUUUACGCUCAAUCUUUUGGUCUCCAGUGUUCCGAGGCCAUAUCUGCAUUUGCUAGGCUCGUCAAGUUUAACCCGAGUAUUCUGUGUGUGCAAAACUGGCUUGCACCUGUUGUAUGUGAACAUAGAGCUUAUCACACCCGAUCAUCACGUGGUGUCUCAGAACGAAGAACUGUAGCAACGGUGCAUACUCAGGGAGAACACUUAUACCUUGGAAUUUAGUAAGGGAUCAUCUUAUAAUGCUAUCGAUGUUCUAAGGAAAAUAAGAUGCAUAAAAGAUAAACAUCACAUGCAAUCAAAAUAUAUGACAUGAUAUGGCCAUCAUCAUCUUGUGCUCAUGAUCUCCAUCAUCGAAGCAUUGCUUGGUUCUCCUUGAAAUAUUUAUACCUUGAAAUAUUUGUUGUUUGUGUGCAGGUGAUGUUAACGACUCGUUGCUUGGUUCUCCUACUAGAUUGAUAACCUUGGUUUUAUUAAUGAGGGAAAUACUUAUCUCUACUAUAUUGCAUCCUCUCCUCUCCAGGAAAAUCCCAACGCAUCUCACAAGUAGCAGUCGUCCACAUCGACACCAUGACAAUCGCCAAGGUCACACGUCUAGAGUCUAGACAGAGCACCCCGAGCAGUUCCACAUGAACUGGACCAAUUCACCAGAGCUACCUUUGCUUAUUCACCACAGCACCCCAGUGCCGCUCCAUUGCCAUGAAUGUGUGACCCACACAGCUGUUUAGCCUCUGGCAUAAAAGACGACACCCACAGAAUCACAAUGCACCUAACCCUUCUCCUUGCACUGAAUUACUGCCUCAAGCAAAGGAGAGCACCGCAUUUUCAACCCCAUAGAGCCAAAGGAGCUCACUAGGGCCGCGAUAACCCUCAUCGGUAACCGCCACUCCAUUGCCUCACGUUUCUAUUCCUCUCGAUACCGAGCCUUGUCUGCACCGAGAAGCUAAUGUGAGGUCAUUGUUUGCUCUGGUUUACAAUGUAGAGAUCUCGAUCAAAGUUCUUCGUAUUUCAUCAAGACCAACUGUCAUAUGACCUAUCGUUCGGUAGCCCUUGGCGUUCCCAAGUCAACAAAUACCUCAUCGAGAAUAGACGUGACCCCAGUCGCCGGCCAUCACCUCGCUGGUGAGCUCUCACCGUUGUUCUAUUUUCUCUUAGGGAUAACCCUUUUGUUUAAACUGACCCAAUGCCACCUGUCAGUAACUCAUUUGCCUAUAACCUGCAUGGGCUUACCACUUCUUUGGAGGCAUAACCUGGUUUAUGCCUUCAAUGUCACCCCCUAUCAGUUUAGUUUUCUUUUACAUAUAAAUGGAUAACUUUACCAACUUUUAUUAGCUAUAAUUGCUCAUUUUUUAUCCAAAUGAAUUGAUUGUCUUUACAUUAGUUUUCUAUUGAAAUGCUCCUUCCAAUGGUAUGCUUGCUAGGAUUUUUCCUGCUAUGUAUGCUUUUGUGUAGAAUUUGUUGCUUGUAUGCUUAUUUAAAGUAAAUCAUUAUUUUUUAUUCGAGAAGGAUAUAAUGUUGGUUGCUAGUAAGACUAGCCCUACAAUCCCUCUGGUCAGGCAAGUCUUCAAAACUUCUGCUUACUAUGUCAUGAAAUAGAUCAUGGUAUUUUGCAGUUUUUGGACGAAUAAAAAUGUCUAUUACUUGUUAUAUAGAAAUGUUUCUAAAGAGAUAUUUUUGCUACUAGAAAAAAAUAUGGUUAUUCCUCUAAAUAAUUAUUUCAGAAACAUGACAUGCUAAAAACAAAAAACAUUUGGAUGUUUUCAUCAUGUCAUGGUUUUGUUUGAGCAUGUAUCUAUGAUGUUGUUUUAUUGAUGGAACAUGUCGAGACAAUGCUAGUUGAUGUGUAUGAUUUGUUGAGCACUACUGCUUUAUCUUGGAGUUGAUAUGUCGCUAGUGGAUAUGUCGAAAAGUUUAAUUUUUGUGAACAUUAAAUCUCCACCCGCUUGAUCUAUUCAUGUGCCACAAAACCAACAAGUAACCAAUAUGACCAUGUGAUGUUUUUGGGCAAUACUGAUAGAGGCUUCAUGCACACUAUUGUAUUUAUGAUACCUAUAGGUAAAGUGCAAUUAUGUGCUGAUUGGAGGGAUAGUCAUUGAUUGGCUUGAGGAGAAACUUGACCCGUCAAGUUGAGUACUUGAUAGAAUUUCGAGGGUUAUAUUUUACAUCAUGGGAACUGGUGAUGCGGUCAUUCUCUCUCUCUCUCUCUCAUCGUAAGGUUUGAGUCCUUACCUGUGAAUUAAUAAUAUGGGUGUUGUCGGUGUCAAAACCGACAGACCUCGGGUAGGGGACCCAAGAUGUAAGAUCGAAUCGAUGGGUAACAGGAGACAAGAGACACAAUGUUUUACCCAGGUUCAGGCUCUCUUUAGGAGGUAAAACCCUACGUCCUGCUCUUGCUUAUAUUGUUGAUGUAUCAAAGUACAUAGUUGAUCUACCUCGAGAUCGUAAGUUGUGCACUAAACCCUAAGGCUAAUGAUGAUGAUAAUAAAUGCCCCUCUACAUGCUAAACCCUCCACUUUAUAUAGGAACCAGGGGUAUCUAGGGUUACACAUGAUCGGUUGCCAUCUACGUGUUAUAUGUCAAACCCAAUGGAUACCCGUGGAGUACACAUCAAGUCUUUGGCGGCGUGGUUAAGGAUUGAGCCCCUUUCUGCAUAGUUGCACUUUUGUUACUAUUUACACUCUUGUGAUCAAACAAACCAUCAAACAAUCUUUGUAGCUUUUACAGUAAUUCCUUACUAUUUUCCACCAACCAAUUCCUUCUACUCCUUGUUGAGUUUGACACUCUUAAUUAUUAGAAAGUCUAUGAUAGAUCCCCUACAUUUUUGGGUUAUCAAGACUCUUUUCUAGUGCCAUUGCCAGAGAGUGUGGUGCUUCUAAUAGGUGGAAUUUGGCGAGAGAAACAUUUACUUUGCAUGUUGUUUUUUAUUUUUGUUACUACUUUAGUCCAUUAUGUAUUUGCUUGCUGCUAGUAAAUUGUUAGGAGGGGUUGCCUACAUUAAUGUGGUUAGUAGAUACGAACCUCCACCUUAUGAAAACCUUAUAAGAUACAUAUUGGCUUCCUUGAACAUAUGAGGGCUAACUGUUAUGCAGGUAACAAAACCGUUCCUCUUGAAGAACAUUGGCGUAAUCUUACCAAAUUAUGUGGUAUCUUUAAGCUUUCGAGUUUAUUAGGGAAUGGUGUUAUGAAGAAGAUAUUUCCUACUAUAUCUUUAGAAGGCAAUGUUUUUGCAUGGUUUAGGUUAUUGAGCAAUCCCUUUGCAAUGCAGUGUGGGAAUCUCUACUCUGAGUUUGUCUCCAAGUUUCAUCCUGCUCAAUAGGUACAUGAAGACAAGAAUUAUAUUUAUAUUUUUUGGCGUGAGUUUGGAGAAAGUAUGGCUUAAGCUUUGGGUGAACUUAAAUCAUUGAAGCUCAAAUGGUCCACUCAUUGGCUUUCGGAAGAGAAGAUUGUCACAAACAUCUAUGCGAGACUCCCUCAACAUGAUGAAGAAGCACCUGAUAUGUCUUCUAGAGGUUGCUUUAGUAAGAUGAAUACCGAUGAUAAAUGGAAUCUUAUUGAAAGAGUGCAACACUAAAGGUUGGGAAAUUGACCAAGGUAAAGAAUCAAGUAUAAAUUUUGAAUAUGGUUGCAUUAAGUCUUUCUAAAGCUCUUAAUUUUCACAAACUCGCUAAGUUUGGACUUGACUCUGAGAUAGUUGUCGCCUUUUGUAAAUUUUUGUUGCUCAUAUUAAUGUUCCUAAAGAAAACUGGAAGAAAUACCAUGAGCCUUUUAAAGAUUGAUAAAGAAAUAUGGCUAAAAAGGAAUUACAUUUCAAACUGUUAGUCACGUGUUACAUUAUGUUUAUGUUGAGAAACCUUUAUUCGCCAUUAGGAUUAAAUAACACUCUUUGGUAACUAUUGUAUGUAAGAAAGUGAACAUGGUACUUACAGACCUUAUGAUCAAACUAAAACACAACCUAAAAUAGUUAUGAUUAAAGACCUUCUGACUGGAGAUAUGUAUGGGCAUGUUAUUCAACUUUGUGAGGAAGCUGCUAACAUUGCAGGCAUAAAAUAAAUUUUAAUGUUGUUGGUAUGUUUGUUAUUUAUAUUAAGAUUGGUACUCAUUGUUAUUAUGGGUUAUGAGCUAGUGUAAGUCUUAUUCCCCUUUCUGUUUAUUAAGAAAUUACUAAAUAUUUCCCCCCUUUUUCAAUCGAGGACGUUUAUUUAACAAUUAAACUAGCAGAUAUGUCUAGUAUUCACCUAUAGGAACUGAUAGAGAUGUUGAAGUUCUAUGUGGUAAGUUCAAGUAUCCUGCUGAUUUCUUAAUACUUGGAACCGAAUAGGAUUUUGUCCCAUAAUCUUUUGUAGAUCCUUCUUGAAUACUUAUAGCAUUAUUGUUGACUGUAAAAAAAUACAAAGUUUAUGUUAAGUUUGGUGGAGAUGGAUCUUCCUUAAAUUUCUCUAAGUUCAUUAAACAACAUCAUGCCAAAGAUUUUCCUUGUGUAGAUGAGAUAGAGAGAAUUGUUGCAAUUGUACCUCCUAGUGAUUCAUUAGAAUAGUAUCUAUUGGAGCAUGAGAAUUGAUGUAAUAUGCAAGAGAGAAAAUAAAUAGUUGAAGUUUUCUUUAGGGAACCAUCUUUUCUUCUACAUGUUGAAACUUUAGGGGAACCUACUCCUUCCAAAGGUGAUCAUGUGUUUGAAGUUAAACCUUUACCUGAUAAAUCGAAAUAUGCUUAUUUGGAUGAUAAUAAGAUAUAUCACGUUAUUAUCAGUGCUAACAUUCAAUGCAUGAAGAGAGAUUGCUUACCGUCCUUAGAAAACAUCAUGUUGCAAUUGGUUAUAAUUUGGAUAAUCUCAAGGGCAUUAGCCCUACUCUAUUUAUGCAUAGGAUUCAUAUCAAAACUAAUGCUAAACCUGCUAUAGAUAAUUAACUUUGUUUGAAUCCUAAGAUCAAGGAUGUGGUAUGAAAUGAAAUUCUCAAACUUCCGGAAGCUAACAUAAUCUAUCCUACAUCCAAGAGUUGAUGGGGUGUUCAUUGUGUUCCUAAGAAAUGAGGUAUUAAUUUUGUUCCUAAUGAUGAAAAUGAACUUAUCUCACUAAGAAUUGUAUGGAUAUGUAUUGGUUAUAGAAAACUAAAUAUAGCUAUGAGAGAAUAUUAUUGCCCUUUGCCAUUUGUUCUUCAAAUUUUAAAAAGAUUAUCUAAGCAUACACACUUUUGUUAGCUUGAUGGGAUUCUUCAAAUAGUUGUUCAUACUGAAGUUCAAGAGAAAAUAAAUUUGAAGUGUCCUUUUGAAAUGUAUGCUUAUAGUUAUAUGCCAUUUGGCUUAUGUAAUGCACCUACUACUUCUCAAAGAUGCAUGACAUCUAUCUUUGUUGUUUUUGCAAAAAAUAUCAUAGAAGUCUUCAUGGACGAUUUCUCUGUCUAUGGAACUUCUUUCGAUGAUUGUUUGCACAAUCUUACCAUGGUUUUGCAGAGAUUUGAGGAAAACACCUCAUCUUGAACUGGAAGAAUUUCACUUUAUGGUGAAUGAGGUGUUGUCCUUGGGCAAAGAAUUUAUAAAAGAGGUAUUGAAAUUGAUAGAGCUAAAGUUGAAGCCAUUGAGAAAAUGCCUUAUCCUUCAGAUUGCUAACCCAAAUGCACAAGUCAAGCUUGGAAUGUUUGAACGGGUGUUAGGCAUGUGCUAGAAGCUAGAGCCUUAAUGCCUUAUGCCUCAGAGCUUGGAAGGAUGUUUGCACAACAAAGAAAGAGUGUGGCUUAGAGCAUCUCUAACCGAUCACUUAGAAUUUAGGCCCUAUGUGGCCUCUUAUCCUUUAACUUCUUAUAGUUGCUCCUCUAAAAAAUUGUGGUUCCUAACCUAACCCAUAAAACUUAGCUCCUUAAUUUUCUUUAACACAAAUUCAGUUACUUUUGGUUCAUCGAGUUAAACUUCACUAGUUCUUCGUUAAGAGAACUGCAAAGAAAACGACAAGAAAAAUUUCACACUUCAAUAGAAAGACAACAUCCUUGACUACUCAUACUAGUCCGAUCAAUACUUUCUCCAUCUCAUGUUCAUUGAUGUUGUUUCUCUUCUUUGUUGGCUCGUUGAGCUUCCAUGCUUGUUUCUUCUCUGCCUCCUCAAACUUAGACAUUGCAUCCUCUAUAGUCUCAUCUCUAGCAACUAGUGCACCAACAUCUGGUAGAUUUCUCUUUAUCAAUAGAUUAAUGUACUCUUCCCAAUACCAAUCCUUAUCCUUUCUACACAAAAUUUUAAGCAAAUAAUGAGUUCUAAAUUGCAAAAAAUCUAAGAACAACCUAUAAAAUUGCAGUCACUCAGUCAAUUUCAUACUUGUAGAAAACCCAUCCGGAAUGUUUUGGCAUGCUCGAGACACGGCGCAGUACCAGCCGCCACCAAUCAUCACACUUGAUGGCCAGUAGAGACUCGCAGACGAGUAGUUGGGCGAGGGCUGGACCCGGCAGACCGAAAGACGUGGUUGUGCCGACAGUCAAUCGACGUGUGAGAUGCGAGCUCCGAGAGGAGGAGGAGAUACCGCGAGGUGGCGUGGAGUGGUUGAGGUGGCUGCGCGAUUCCGUCCAUGAUGAAUUCGGCUGAAACGUGAUGGCAUCGGGGCCUGGGUACAUCGAUUCCAACAAUGACGGUGACGGGCGAAGAUCCGUCAAUUGAGGCAGUAGAGACGAUAGUCGACCGAAUCAAAGUGGGGAGGAGUGUGGCUGGUGCUAUUGGGUGUCGUCAGUGGCGUGUGGUGGCCGGUGAGGGCAAGUAGGGCGACCCCGGAGUCGACAACCAAGGGGGGAGGGGAAAUUUUUUGCUCCAUGGAUGAGCGGCCUAGUAUGUUUAAGAGUCAGAGCGGCCAUGGAGUAAAAAAAAUUACUCCUCUAACACUGAUAAGUGAUUGGCUAGGUGCAGUUUAGAGAAGUAAAACCGAAUUUAUACUCCUUUAAAGCUCUUGGCGCUUGGAUGACCGCAUCUCUUGGCAUCUAGAGCCUUCAAGCCAGUUCUCCACGAAAUCGCUUUACCAAGCUAUCGCGGCAGUUUUGGGCCCAGAGCCCCUCGUGGCGAUUUGGGCAAUAAGACUGCUAUUGAAGAUUAGGAUCUUCCUCUAGCAAUGGAUUCAUGGCUGGGUGCCUUCAGGAUGGAGGAACUUAAGAGAAAUGGCCCGGGUGAUGGGAUGUGCCCAUUGUGUGCGACGAUAGAGGACUCCAACCACAUCUUCCUCACCUACAUCUCUGCGUGUUUCUUGUGAAGCUGCUUCCGGGAGGUGGCCAGAGGAAAUCGGUGCAACACUAAUUUCCCCGACCUAUUCGCGGAACUCAUUGCCUCCCCGCUGCGGCUCGUCACAUUAGGUGGCUGGGCAUUGGGGUGCUUGCCUAGAUGCUUUGGACGAUUCACAAUAAGCUUAUGAUUCAGUGUGUGCCUCUUCAACGUGCUACUGACGCGAUCUUCAAAAUAUGUGGCUAUAUGCAGCUUUGGCGGUCGCUUAGCCGCCCGCAGGGCCAAGACAUUAUCGACAUCCUCAUCGCAGACCUAUGCGUGAUGUCCCUCCGCUUGGCGGCGCCGCUUCCAGAGCCGGAUUAGCCACUUGGUGGCCGUUGCUUCGAUGUUUGUGUUUUAUUUAGGGAUUGUUGAGUUGUGUCCUCAGCAGAACUCCUUUUGAACCUGUGUGUUUGUGCUACUUCGUGUGUGUGUGUGUGUGUGUCGUGAACUCUUGUCGGUUGUUGUGGCUUGGUGGUUUGCUUUAUAUAUAAAGUGGGGCAAAAGCCUUUUUCGGUAAUUAUUUGUGUUACAUGGAGAAUUGCAGAAAAUGCUUAUAGCCACCUCUCCACUUCAGAAAAUGUAUUCCAUCAUGAAAAUAUACAGACAUGAGGUAUACGUCACUAUGUACAUGCAUAUUUGUUUUUAGAAUGUUUUGAAACUAAUUUUUUUAGCUUCAUGGAGCUGCUCCCUGAGCCAAAAAUCUUCAUUCAGGAAAAAGGUGCUCAUGUUAUCCGCUUCAGGUUAUUCAGUGUGGUCCAUUCUAUUGUAAAUCUGGGUUUGGCCUGUCACAAAGUUUUGAGCAUGGACAGACCACCAUUCAAAAAUAAAUGGACUACCUGAGCAAAAGCAUCGAAAGACGAAAGGCACUCCAGGUUCCCUUGUAGUAUAAUCGUGUUGUUCAGAGGCUCGCGUCCUCUUACCUUUCCUACCAACUUGCUGCAUUGUAUAUCGAUUUCUUUUCCUUUGCCCGUUUGGCUGCUCCACAUCUUCUCCUCCACUGACCAUCUCCAACGAGCCCCUCCUGCCCUCCAAAUCUGAUGGCGGCAGCGAUUGCAUGGCUGGUGCAGACCAUCCUGUCAGUACUGCUACGCUGAAGGUUGCACCAGCACUGACGGAAGUACAUCUUCGAGGGAAGGAGGCGCAAUCGGGUGGCGGAACGGCGACUGAAGACUCAAACCAGGCACUGGGCCGUGUGCGAGUGUGAGCCCAGUGGGCUUGUAGGCACGGCUAUAUAACGUGCCGAGUAGAGAGUGGUAGGACAGUAGAGUUGAUUCCCCUUUUCGUCCUCCUCUGUAUCCAUCUGUAUCUUCUUCCUCCCCACGACACUCUUUCUCUGGAACUUGAGAUCUCUACCAAAAUCCCAAAUCCUAGGUUCGCCUAUGGCAAGGAUAUGACAGUUGGUAAUCAGAGCUUCGUCGGUCCCUGCUGCGCCUAAAUCCUCGAGAUCGAUCCGGUAACAUCAACUGGUUGGUGGGCUGAUUGCUGCGGCGAUCGGCUGUAAAUCCGAGAUCAGCGUUCGGAUCGAUUCAGAGCAGGCGGCAACGGCGCCGUUCAAGCCGAGUGCUCAGACAAGGUACCUGCGAGACGAGAUGGGAACAUUCGAGGAGCGCGUGAUGAAGGAGUUCGAGGCGCUGCGGCUCCUGCAGGCCAAGGUGGAUGGGAUCGAGGCGAUCCAGGCCAGACUUGAUGGAUUGGAUGCAAAAUUUGAGGAACAAGUGCAGCGCCUAGAUCAAGUGCAGAGCAAGGUGAAUCUGUCGGUGAGUUCGAUCGGGGAGAUUCAUCAGGAACAAGUUCAAGUGGCUCAUCAUCUGAAGCAGUCAAGCAAUGCACGGGAGGCUGAUUUGAACAGGUUGGCGGAUCCGGGAUGUUUGGCCGCAUCUUCGACUACGAGUCAGAGCGGUGGGCGACCGUUUUCGACGCAUGGGCAACCACCACCACCACCUCCUCCUCCGCCAUUACUUCCUCCGCGGGACCGCGCAUCUCAUCAGCAACAGGUACCAAAUUCCCCACGUCCCUUGGAGGAACAGCAAAACAAGCAGACUUGGAUGCCGAAAAUGGAGUUUCCAAAAUUCGAGGGAGAGGGAGUCCGUAUUUGGUUGGAUAAUUUUGAAGCAUAUUUCCAGUUAUAUCAGAUCCCUGAGUCCUUUAAGUUGAUGUCCGCAUCUCUGCAUCUGAUUGGUAAUGCAACACACUGGUUUCAGGCUUAUAAACUGACAGAUCAUUAUGGCACUUGGGAAAAUUUUUGUGCUGCUGUCAUACAGGAAUUUGAUGUGAAUGUGCAUAGGAACUGCAUGAGAGAGCUGCUUGUAUUGAAACAGGAAGGUACUGUGCAACAAUACAGAUCUACGUUCCAUUAGCUGGUGUACCAGGUCCGGAUGUAUGAGGGAGGAGUGAGUGAAACAAUGUUGGUCACUCAAUUCAUGUUGGGUCUUAAAGAAGAAAUUAGAGCUGCAGUAGAAAUUCAGUUACCAGCCACUGUUACUAUUGCAGUGGAGUAUGCUUUGGUGCAAGAAGCACUGUUAGAAAGAGCUAAACAGCAAGCCACUAAAACUAGCAAAUUCAGUUUUCACAAGGGAAGUACGACCAAAGGAGAUUAUAUUGGAAAAUCCCAGCUCUUCGCAGGAGAUAUGUGGAAAGCAAGGCAGCUCAAGGACUACAGGAGACAUAAUGGUCUCUGUUACAGCUGUGGAGAGAAAUUCAGCCCUGGCCAUGUUUGCACUAGCAAGCAAAAUGCCCAAGCCAAAGCAAUUGAAGCUGCAGAACAACAAGUGCAAUUAUUUGACCCUGUUCUUAAUGCCAUUGCAGUAGAAGAGGCUGCAGAGGAAGCAACUGCUUAUUUAUCUGUGAAUGCACUUUCGGGCACAACCAAUACUAAGUCCAUCAGAUUGAGAGCAUUGGUUGGCAAUCAAGUCAUGCUCCUCUUGUUGGAUUCGGGCAGUUCUCACACAUUUAUUGACCAACAGCUGGCAGACAAACUCAAGUACAAAGCUCAAGAUCUACCAACACCACUAACAGUCAAAGUGGCAAAUGGUGAAAAGCUACAGUGCACACAACACAUUCAUGGACUAGAGUGGUGGAUACAGGGCCACACAUUUACCACUGAUAUGAAAGUACUUGCUAUGGGAGGAUAUGAUGCAAUCUUAGGUAUGGACUGGCUGUCGCAGUGGGGCCCUAUGGUCUGUCAUUGGCAAGAUCAAUGGAUUCAGUUUCAGAGGGGAGAUAAAACAAUCAUGCUACAAGGGCUGCAGACUCCUCCAGUUAAAGAAUUGCAAAAGCUAUCCAUGGAGCAAGUGGUGAAGUGCCAGAAGGGCAAUGAUAUUUGGGCCACAACUGUAUUAUCCAGAAUGGCUGUGGUGGAAACAUCAGUUGUUCCUGAAUGCAUUCAGAAUACUAUUAAAACUUUUGAAGAUGUUUUUCAAGAACCUAAAGGAUUACCCCCUCACAGAGAAUUUGAUCAUGCUAUUUCUCUUCUUCCAAACAGUGUACCUGUGAAUUCCAGGCCCUAUAGAUACUCGCCCUUACAAAAAGAUGAGAUCGAGAGGCAAGUAGCGGAGAUGAUCCAAGCAGGAAUUGUGAAACCUAGCAUGUCACCCUAUGCAUCACCUGUCCUGUUGGUCAAGAAAAAAGAUGGAAUGUGGAGAUUUUGUGUGGAUUAUAGAAGACUGAAUUCAGUGACAGUAAAAAGCAAGUUUCCUUUGCCUGUCGUAGAUGAGUUGCUGGAUGAACUGGCAGGUGCAAAGUGGUUUUCCAAAUUAGAUCUCAGGUCUGGUUAUCACCAGAUACGAAUGGUGGAAAGUGACAAGGAAAAAACUGCCUUCAAAACACAUCAAGGACAAUAUCAAUUUAGAGUUAUGCCUUUUGGGUUCACAAAUGCUCCAGCUACCUUCCAAUGUUUAAUGAAUGCAACUUUUGCAAGAUUUAUCAGAAAAUUUGUGCUAGUAUUCAUGGACGAUAUUCUAAUAUUUAGUGAAGAUUUGGAACAACAUCAACAUCAUCUUCAAGAAGUCCUCUCAGUUUUAAGGGAGCACCAGCUGUUUGCUGAACUCAGUAAAUGCUCUUUUGCCCAACAGGAGUUGGAAUAUUUGGGUCACAUCAUUUCUGAUAAGGGGGUGUCCAUUGAUCCUGCCAAAACUACCGCUAUGGUACAAUGGCCAAGACCAACUACAGUUACUGAACUCAGGGGGUUUUUGGGUCUCACCGGCUACUAUAGGAAGUUUGUGCAGAACUAUGGCAUCUUGGCACAACCACUGACUAGUUUACUAAAGAAGAAAAGUUUUGAGUGGACCGAGCAAGCUCAAGCUGCAUUCGAUCAGUUAAAACAGGCUAUGUCCACUACUCCAGUCCUAGUAUUGCCAGAUUUUGCAAAACCCUUUUGCAUAGAAACGGAUGCUUGUGAUAGUGGCAUUGGAGCUGUUUUAACACAGGGAGGGCAUCCUGUGGCUUAUUACAGCAAAGCUUUAGGGCCAGCUAACCAGAAACUGAGUAUCUAUGAGAAAGAGUUCAUGGCAAUUAUUAUGGCCAUUGAAAGAUGGCGACAAUAUAUUUCCAGAGGUCCUUUUGUCAUCAAAACAGACCACAAGAGCCUCUGUCAGUUAGGAACACAAGAACUUACUUCAGAUCUUCAGAGAAAAGCAAUGACUAAACUAGUGGGAUUGCAGUUUUCUUUUCAGUACAAGAAAGGUCCGGAGAACAAAGCUGCAGAUGCACUUUCCAGAAUAGGCCAUGUAUUUGCAUUGCCUGUUGUGUCUACUUCUCGACCUGUUUGGAUUCAGGAAAUCCUCAAUUCCUAUGACAUCGAUACACAAGCUCAACAACUUUUGCAGAAGCUAGCUGUUAACCCUGAGGAAGAACCUGAAUAUUCUUUGGACAAUGAUCUAUUAAAACAUCAAGGAAGAAUUUGGGUGGGAGCCAAUGUAGGGUUACAGACUAAGAUCAUUGAGGCACUGCACUCUUCUCCUGUAGGAGGGCAUUCGGGUAGCUUGGCUACUUAUCAGAAAAUCAAGAAGCUAUUUCAUUGGGCCGGAAUCAAAACUGUAGUUAAGGAGUUUGUGCAACAAUGUCAGAUAUGUCAGCAAGCUAAACAUGAAAACUGCAAAUAUCCUGGGUUGUUGGCACCUUUACCAAUACCUAGGGGCCCUUGGGAGGAUAUCUCCAUGGAUUUUAUUGAGGGCCUUCCCAAGUCCAAUGGAUCCUCUUGCAUUCUGGUAGUUGUGGACAGAUACACUAAGUACAUUCACUUUAUACCACUUAAACACCCAUACACGGCAGCUCAGAUUGCUCAUAUCUUUCUGCAGCAAGUGGUAAAACUACAUGGUAUGCCCUACACCAUUACUUCAGAUAGAGACAAGAUCUUCACCAGUAAUUUCUGGAGAGAGUUGUUCAAACUGUGGGGCACUAAACUGCAGAUGUCAACUGCUUAUCACCCACAAACUGAUGGCCAGACUGAGAGGGUAAAUCAAUGCCUGGAAAUGUACCUGAGAUGUGCUGUCAAUGAUACUCCAAAGCAAUGGGCAGCUUGGCUUCCUUUAGCAGAAUUCUGGUACAACUCUACUUAUCACUCUUCCCUGGGAUGUACUCCAUUCAAAGCACUCUAUGGACAUGAGCCAAACUUGGGAAAUCUACCUCAACCCUUGCAAUCACAACAGUUGGAAUUGCAGGACUGGCUUAAUGAAAGGCAACAGUACUCUGAAUUUUUGCACCAACACUUGAACAGAGCUCAAACGAAGAUGAAGUCUGAUGCAGAUAAGAACAGGACUUUCAGGGAGUUCGUGGUGGGAGAUACAGUGUUCUUGAAGCUGCAACCUUAUUCUCAAGCUUCUGUGGUCAACAGACCUUACCCAAAGCUGGCAAUGAAGUUCUUUGGGCCGUAUAAAAUUCUCGAGAGAGUGGGAACAGUGGCUUACAAGCUGGAACUCCCACCCACUAGUCAGAUACAUCAUGUGUUUCAUGUGUCUCAAUUGAAAACUCACGUGCCAGAUCACACACCAGUUUACACGACAUUGCCAGAACCACCGCUGCUUAACAGGAUGAAUGUGGUUCCUGAGGAAAUUUUGGACAGACACCUGGUCAAGAAGGGGAAUGCUUCCUUGCUUCAGGUUCUUAUCAAAUGGUCUGGGUUGCCAGCAGCAAGUGCUACUUGGGAGGACUAUGACAUAGUCCACCAACAUUUUCCAUUGGCACCAGCUUGGGGACAAGCUGGAAUUUCAGGGGGAGCUCAUGUCAGUACUGCUACGCUGAAGGUUGCACCACACUGACGGAAGUACGUCUUCGAGGGAAGGAGGUGCAAUCGGGUGGCAGAACGGCGACUGAAGACUCAAACCAGGCACUGGGCCGUGUGCGAGUGUGAGCCCAGUGGGCUUGUAGGCACGGCUAUAUAACGUGCCGAGUAGAGAGUGGUAGGACAGUAGAGUUGAUUCCCCUUUUCGUCCUCCUCUGUAUCCAUCUGUAUCUUCUUCCUCCCCAUGACACUCUUUCUCUGGAACUUGAGAUCUCUACCAAAAUCCCAAAUCCUAGGUUUGCCUAUGGCAAGGAUAUGACACAUCCUUGCAACCCUCCAAAUCGACAAGCUCGACGCCUGGAUUCGGCAAGUCGGACUUGCCGAUGACAUCGAGAAGCUCAAGUCGGAGAUCAAGAGAGUGGUGUCUGCUGUGAAGGGGAGAGGGGCCGAUGAAUCUUUCGCUCUUCUCGUGGAGCGGCUCUAUGAAGCCGAGCGUAUGGUCGACGAGAUCGACUACUAUAGGCUCAAAGAUCAAGUUCAUGGAGGUACGCCCGCUGCCUCGUGGCCUGCAGAUCCAAGCAUACUACUCCAUGUAGAUCUUGUCUUGAUCCAACAGACAAAUUGAUUUUACCUCCUGCCUUUCUGGUCCAUGUUUUUGUGGGCACAGUUACAAGGGAUGGAGCUGAGCGAGUGGAUGAGAUAUCGGGUGGUGAUCCUAUUGCUGCUACACCGAAUAGACGUACUAGUGUUGGCAAACAGCGGUCCGUGGUAUGGGAACACUUUACAAUCGCAGAUAACGAAAAUCCUAACAAAGCAAAAUGUACAUACUGUGAAAAAGAGUUCAACUGCAAUACAAAGACGAACGGUACAUCAUCUACGAAGAAACAUUUGGAGAAAGAGCAUUCCAUCGCUUGUACGAAGAACCCUGAAGCACAUCCACCAAACCCUUCAAGUUCAAGGUACUUAAGAGAAUAUUCUUUCUAUGCUCAGGUGUACACACACCUCUUACCUUGUAUGAACACAUUUUCAAAAAUCGUUUAUAUACAUCUGCUGAGGCCAUUGUGGUCCUAAUAAGUGCCCUAUCUUUUUCUUACCGCACCACCGCUGAGCCUAUCGUAAUUGGUAGCUCAUCCAGCAGAAAAGGAAAGAGACAACAGUCCAAGGCAUGGGAACUUUUUGAUGUCAUAGAAGGAGAUAACGAACAUCCUAUGAAAGCAAAAUGUAAAUACUGCCCCACAGAGAUCAAGUGUGGACCAACGAGUGGAACAGCAGGUAUGCUCAACCAUAACAAGAUUUGUAGGAAGAAACCUGGACCAAUUGACCAGCCGCCAAACCCGCCAAGGUAGCUAAAGAAUAUACAUUGCACCGAUUUUUUCUUAGAAAUCAUUAAGUUUGGAGUCUCACUGUGGUUCUAAUAGCCAAUUCAUGGUUUUUUUCUUAUUGCAGCACUAGUGAUGCUAAUGCAGAUGUGACGCCAAUUACUGCGGCUAACACAGUCACCCCUUGGGACAAGACUGAAUUGUCCAAUAGGAUACAAAAAAUAUCUUGUCAGUUGCAAUGCAUCGGAGGGGAAGUGGGUGAGAUUCUCAAGCUACAUGGAUCGGACUCUACUUCAAGUUCACAUCAUCACCAGAGUACAACAUCAGAUCAGCACCUCAGAACAUCAAGUCUUGUUCCAAGGAUUUUGUAUGGAAGAGCUAAGGAGAAGAAACACAUCAUGAUGAUGACAGAAGGCAGAUCUGACAAAGUAAUUGUUGUGCCGAUUGUAGGCAUUGCAGGUGUUGGAAAGACAACUCUCACUCAACUUGUAUACAAUGAUGUAGAAGUGAAAAUGCAAUUUCACCCUAGAAUAUGGGUUUGGGUGUCUCGCAACUUUGAUGAAAUGAGGCUCACAAGAGAGAUGUUGAGCUUUGUUUCUCAAGAAAGACAUGAAGGAAUAGACUGCUUUGUGAAGCUUCAGGAGAUCUUUAAAAGUUAUGUUAAAUCAAAGAGGAUUUUACUUAUUUUAGAUGAUGUUUGGGAUGACAAGAACAAUUACCAACGGAACCAACUAUUGGCUCCUUUUCAGCACGAAAAUGCUAUUGGUAAUGUGAUUCUUGUGACAACUAGAAAACUGUCUGUUGCAAAAAUGAUUGGAACAACAAGACCAAUUAAGUUAGGUGCAUUGGAAAAUGAUGACUUCGAGUUAUUGUUCAAAUCAUGUGCAUUAGGUGAUGGAAACUAUGAAUUUCCUGGAAACUUUAGCACAAUUGGGCAGCACAUAAUAGAGAAGUUAAAGGGCAACCCCUUAGCAGCAAUAACUACAGGGUCGCUAUUAAGGGAUCAUCUUACCGCUGAUCAUUGGAGUAACAUUCUGAAGAAAGAAAGUUGGAAGUCACUGGGAGUCAGUGGAGGCAUCAUGCCUGGUUUGAAGCUUAGUUAUGAUGAGCUACCAUACGGUUUAGAACAAUGUUUUUCUUACUGUUCUAUAUUUCCUAACAAACAUAGGUUUCUUGGUAAGGAUUUGGUCUAUAUUUGGAUUUCUCAGGGAUUUGUGAAUUGCACCCAAAAUACGAGAUUGGAGGAUACAGGAUGGGAAUACCUGAAUCAAUUGGUAAACCUAGGAUUCUUUGAACAAACUGAAGAACAAGAAGAAUUGCAUCAGGAAGAAGAAUUCUGUUUACGCCGUCAGAUUUGGUACUCUAUGUGUGAUCUCAUGCUUGAUUUUGCAAGGAUGGUUUCAAGGACUGAAUGUGCGAUUAUAGAUGGUCUACAGUGCAAUAAAAUAUUGCCAACUGCACAACAUUUGUCAAUAGUAACCAGUUCUGCAUACAACAAAGAUCUGCACGGGAACAUUCCUCAUAAGGAGAAGUUUGAAGAAAAUCUGAGAAAUUCAGUUACAUCAGUUACCAAGUUGAGAACAUUGGUUAUACUUGGAAAAUUUGACUCUUCCUUUGUAUAGCUGUUCCAAGAUAUAUUCCAAAAGGCACAAAAUUUACGCCUGCUACGAGUAUCUUCAUUAUCCACUUAUCUAUUUCAAGUGCCUCAAGCAUCCACCGGUUUUAAUUCCUUCCUGUGCAGUUUGGCAAAUCCUUUGCAUCUUUGUUACCUAAAACUUGAGUUGGAUGGGAUUGUGCCACAAGUUUUGAGUACGUUUUUUCAUCUUCAAGUAUUAGAUGUUGGAUCAAGCAUGGAUACUUCUCUACCCAAUGGCUUGUUGCAUAAUCUUGUUAGCCUGCGACAUCUUGUUGCACACAAGAGAGUCCAUUCUUCCAUUACUAGCAUUGGUAACAUGACAUCUAUCCAGGAGCUACAUGAUUUUGAGGUUCGAAUUUCUAGCGACUUUGAGAUAACACAACUCAAAUACAUGAACGAGCUUGUUCAACUUGGGGUGUCUCAGCUUGACAGUGUUAAAACCUGGGAGGAGGCUUAUGGAGCAGGAUUAAGAAACAAGGAACACUUAGAAGAGCUUCACUUGUCCUGGAAGGAUGCAUAUUCAGAGUAUGAGUAUGUCAGUGACACUAGAUUUGAAUCUUCUGCAAACAUGGCAAGAGAAGUGAUUGAGGGUCUUGAACCACACAUGGAUUUAAAACAUCUACAAAUAUCUCGGUAUAAUGGUACCACUUCACCAGCUUGGCUUGUCAACAAUAUCUCAGUUACCUCAUUGCAGACGCUUCAUCUUGAUGAUUGUGGAGGAUGGAGAAUACUUCCAUCUCUGGGAAGUCUUCCAUUUCUUACAAAGCUGAAGUUGAGCAGCAUGCGAGAAGUAAAAGAAGUAUUGGUUCCUUCACUGGCGGAGCUAGUUUUAAUUAAAAUGCCGAAGUUAGUGAGAUGCUCAAGCACUUCUGUUGAGGGUCUGUGCUCCAGCUUAAGGGUACUGCAGAUCAAAGAUUGUGAAGCAUUGAAGGAGUUUGAUCUGCUUGAUAAUGAUGAUAAUUCUGGAAUCAGUCAGGGAUCAUGGCUGCCCAGUCUUAGGAAUUUGAUUCUGGAUUAUUGCCCUCAUUUGGAAGUGUUGAAGCCUCUUCCACCUUCAACUACCUUUUGUAAGGUACUCAUCAGAGAAGUUCCAAGAUUUCCGUAUAUGGAGGUAUCAUCUGGUGAAAAGUUAGAAAUUGGGAAUACUGAUGGCCACAGACGUGAUUUUUUUGAUGAAUCUUCUGAUGAGUUGAGGAUACUGGAUGACAAAACUUUGGCAUUCCAUAAUCUUGGAAACCUCAAAUUGAUGGAGAUAUAUGGUUGCAGAAAUCUAAGGUCUUUUUCGUUCAAAGGUUUUAGUCAUCUUGUCUCUUUAGCAAGUUUGACAAUAGAAGACGGCGAACAACUUUUCCCUUCAGAUGUGUCGCCAGAGUACCCUUGAAGAUGUGACAGCUAUGAACUGCAAUGCCUUCCCAUCUCUUAAAAGUCUCAAAGCAUCAUGCCUGGUUUGAAGCUUAGUUAUGAUGAGCUACCAUACCGUUUACAACAAUGUUUCUCUUACUGUUCUAUAUUUCCUAACAAAUAUAGGUUUCUUGGUAAGGAUUUGGUCUAUAUUUGGAUUUCUCAGGGAUUUGUGAAUUGCACCCAAAAUACGAGAUUGGAGGAUACAGGAUGGGAAUACCUGAAUCAAUUGGUAAACCUAGGAUUCUUUGAACAAACUGAAGAACAAGAAGAAUUGCAUCAGGAAGAAGAAUUCUGUUUACGCCGUCAGAUUUGGUACUCUAUAUGUGAUCUCAUGCAUGAUUUUGCAAGGAUGGUUUCAAGGACUGAAUGUGCGAUUAUAGAUGGUCUACAGUGCAAUAAAAUAUUGCCAACUGCACAACAUUUGUCAAUAGUAACCAGUUCUGCAUACAACAAAGAUCUGCACGGGAACAUUCCUCAUAAGGAGAAGUUUGAAGAAAAUCUGAGAAAUUCAGUUACAUCAGUUACCAAGUUGAGAACAUUGGUUAUACUUGGAAAAUUUGACUCUUCCUUUGUAUAGCUGUUCCAAGAUAUAUUCCAAAAGGCACAAAAUUUACGCCUGCUACGAGUAUCUUCAUUAUCCACUUAUCUAUUUCAAGUGCCUCAAGCAUCCACCGGUUUUAAUUCCUUCCUGUGCAGUUUGGCAAAUCCUUUGCAUCUUCGUUACCUAAAACUUGAGUUGGAUGGGAUUGUGCCACAAGUUUUGAGUACGUUUUUUCAUCUUCAAGUAUUAGAUGUUGGAUCAAGCAUGGAUACUUCUCUACCCAAUGGCUUGUUGCAUAAUCUUGUUAGCCUGCGACAUCUUGUUGCACACAAGAGAGUCCAUUCUUCCAUUACUAGCAUUGGUAACAUGACAUCUAUCCAGGAGCUACAUGAUUUUGAGGUUCGAAUUUCUAGCGGCUUUGAGAUAACACAACUCAAAUACAUGAACGAGCUUGUUCAACUUGGGGUGUCUCAGCUUGACAGUGUUAAAACCCGGGAGGAGGCUUAUGGAGCAGGAUUAAGAAACAAGGAACACUUAGAAGAGCUUCACUUGUCCUGGAAGGAUGCAUAUUCAGAGUUUGAGUAUGUCAGUGACACUAGAUUUGAAUCUUCUGCAAACAUGGCAAGAGAAGUGAUUGAGGGUCUUGAACCACACAUGGAUUUAAAACAUCUACAAAUAUCUCGGUAUAAUGGUACCACUUCACCAGUUGGCUUGUCAACAAUAUCUCAGUUACCUCAUUGCAGACGCUUCAUCUUGAUGAUUGUGGAGGAUGGAGAAUACUUCCAUCUCUGGGAAGUCUUCCAUUUCUUACAAAGCUGAAGUUGAGCAGCAUGCGGGAAGUAAAAGAAGUAUUGGUUCCUUCACUGGCGGAGCUAGUUUUAAUUAAAAUGCCGAAGUUAGUGAGAUGCUCAAGCACUUCCGUUGAGGGUCUGUGCUCCAGCUUAAGGGUACUGCAGAUCGAAGAUUGUGAAGCAUUGAAGGAGUUUGAUCUGUUUGAUAAUGAUGAUAAUUCUGGAAUCAGUCAGGGAUCAUGGCUGCCCAGUAUUAGGAAUUUGAUUCUGGAUUAUUGCCCUCAUUUGGAAGUGUUGAAGCCUCUUCCACCUUCAACUACCUUUUGUAAGGUACUCAUCAGAGAAGUUCCAAGAUUUCCGUAUAUGGAGGUAUCAUCUGGUGAAAAGUUAGAAAUUGGGAAUACUGAUGGCCACAGACGCGAUUUUUUUGAUGAAUCUUCUGAUGAGUUGAGGAUACUGGAUGACAAAACUUUGGCAUUCCAUAAUCUUGGAAACCUCAAAUUGAUGGAGAUAUAUGGUUGCAGAAAUCUAAGGUCUUUUUCGUUCAAAGGUUUUAGUCAUCUUGUCUCUUUAGCAAGUUUGACAAUAGAAGACGGCGAACAACUUUUCCCUUCAGAUGUGUCGCCAGAGUACCCUUGAAGAUGUGACAGCUAUGAACUGCAAUGCCUUCCCAUCUCUUAAAAGUCUCAGAGCAUCAUGCCUGGUUUGAAGCUUAGUUAUGAUGAGCUACCAUACCGUUUACAACAAUGUUUCUCUUACUGUUCUAUAUUUCCUAACAAAUAUAGGUUUCUUGGUAAGGAUUUGGUCUAUAUUUGGAUUUCUCAGGGAUUUGUGAAUUGCACCCAAAAUACGAGAUUGGAGGAUACAGGAUGGGAAUACCUGAAUCAAUUGGUAAACCUAGGAUUCUUUGAACAAACUGAAGAACAAGAAGAAUUGCAUCAGGAAGAAGAAUUCUGUUUACGCCGUCAGAUUUGGUACUCUAUGUGUGAUCUCAUGCAUGAUUUUGCAAGGAUGGUUUCAAGGACUGAAUGUGCGAUUAUAGAUGGUCUACAGCGCAAUAAGAUAUUGCCAACUGCACAUCAUUUGUCAAUAGUAACCGGUUCUGCAUACAACAAAUAUCUGCACGGGAACAUUCCUCAUAAGGAGAAGUUUGAAGAAAAUCUGAGAAAUUCAGUUACAUCAGUUACCAAGUUGAGAACAUUGGUUGUACUUGGAAAAUUUGACUCUUCCUUUGUACAGUUGUUCCAAGAUAUAUUCCAAAAGGCACAAAAUUUACGCCUGCUACGAGUAUCUUAUCCACUUAUCUGUUUCAAGUGCCUCAAGCAUCCAUCGGUUUUAAUUCCUUCCUGUGCAGUUUGGCAAAUCCUUUGCAUCUUCGCUACCUAAAACUUGAGUUGGAUGGGAUUGUGCCACAAGUUUUGCGUACGUUUUUGCAUCUUCAAGUAUUAGAUGUUGGAUCAAGCAUGGAUACUUCUCUACCCAAUGGCUUGUUGCAUAAUCUUGUUAGCCUGCGACAUCUUGUUGCACACAAGAGAGUCCAUUCUUCCAUUACUAGCAUUGGUAACAUGACAUCUAUCCAGGAGCUACAUGAUUUUGAGGUUCGAAUUUCUAGCGGCUUUGAGAUAACACAACUCAAAUACAUGAACGAGCUUGUUCAACUUGGGGUGUCUCAGCUUGACAGUGUUAAAACCCGGGAGGAGGCUUAUGGAGCAGGAUUAAGAAACAAGGAACACGUAGAAGAGCUUCACUUGUCCUGGAAGGAUGCAUAUUCAGAGUAUGAGUAUGUCAGUGACACUAGAUUUGAAUCUUCUGCAAACAUGGCAAGAGAAGUGAUUGAGGGUCUUGAACCACACAUGGAUUUAAAACAUCUACAAAUAUCUCGGUAUAAUGGUACCACUUCACCAGUUGGCUUGUCAACAAUAUCUCAGUUACCUCAUUGCAGACGCUUCAUCUUGAUGAUUGUGGAGGAUGGAGAAUACUUCCAUCUCUGGGAAAUCUUCCAUUUCUUACAAAGCUGAAGUUGAGCAGCAUGCGGGAAGUAAAAGAAGUAUUUGUUCCUUCACUGGCGGAGCUAGUUUUAAUUAAAAUGCCGAAGUUAGUGAGAUGCUCAAGCACUUCUGUUGAGGGUCUGUGCUCCAGCUUAAGGGUACUGCAGAUCGAAGAUUGUGAAGCAUUGAAGGAGUUUGAUCUGUUUGAUAAUGAUGAUAAUUCUGGAAUCAGUCAGGGAUCAUGGCUGCCCAGUAUUAGGAAUUUGAUUCUGGAUUAUUGCCCUCAUUUGGAAGUGUUGAAGCCUCUUCCACCUUCAACUACCUUUUGUAAGGUACUCAUCAGAGAAGUUCCAAGAUUUCCGUAUAUGGAGGUAUGAUCUGGUGAAAAGUUAGAAAUUGGGAAUACUGAUGGCCACAGACGCGAUUUUUUUGAUGAAUCUUCUGAUGAGUUGAGGAUACUGGAUGACAAAACUUUGGCAUUCCAUAAUCUUGGAAACCUCAAAUUGAUGGAGAUAUAUGGUUGCAGAAAUCUAAGGUCUUUUUCGUUCAAAGGUUUUAGUCAUCUUGUCUCUUUAGCAAGUUUGACAAUAGAAGACUGCGAACAACUUUUCCCUUCAGAUGUGUCGCCAGAGUACCCUUGAAGAUGUGACAGCUAUGAACUGCAAUGCCUUCCCAUCUCUUAAAAGUCUCAGAGCAUCAUGCUUGGUUUGAAGCUUAGUUAUGAUGAGCUACCAUACCGUUUACAACAAUGUUUCUCUUACUGUUCUAUAUUUCCUAACAAAUAUAGGUUUCUUGGUAAGGAUUUGGUCUAUAUUUGGAUUUCUCAGGGAUUUGUGAAUUGCACCCAAAAUACGAGAUUGGAGGAUACAGGAUGGGAAUACCUGAAUCAAUUGGUAAACCUGGGAUUCUUUGAACAAACUGAAGAACAAGAAGAAUUGCAUGAGGAAGAAGAAUUAUGUUUACGCCGUCAGAUUUGGUACUCUAUGUGUGAUCUCAUGCAUGAUUUUGCAAGGAUGGUUUCAAGGACUGAAUGUGCGAUUAUAGAUGGUCUACAGUGCAAUAAGAUAUUGCCAACUGCACAUCAUUUGUCAAUAGUAACCGGUUCUGCAUACAACAAAGAUCUGCACGGGAACAUUCCUCAUAAGGAGAAGUUUGAAGAAAAUCUGAGAAAUUCAGUUACAUCAGUUACCAAGUUGAGAACAUUGGUUGUACUUGNNNNNNNNNNNNNNNNNNNNNNNNNNNNNNNNNNNNNNNNNNNNNNNNNNNNNNNNNNNNNNNNNNNNNNNNNNNNNNNNNNNNNNNNNNNNNNNNNNNNNNNNNNNNNNNNNNNNNNNNNNNNNNNNNNNNNNNNNNNNNNNNNNNNNNNNNNNNNNNNNNNNNNNNNNNNNNNNNNNNNNNNNNNNNNNNNNNNNNNNNNNNNNNNNNNNNNNNNNNNNNNNNNNNNNNNNNNNNNNNNNNNNNNNNNNNNNNNNNNNNNNNNNNNNNNNNNNNNNNNNNNNNNNNNNNNNNNNNNNNNNNNNNNNNNNNNNNNNNNNNNNNNNNNNNNNNNNNNNNNNNNNNNNNNNNNNNNNNNNNNNNNNNNNNNNNNNNNNNNNNNNNNNNNNNNNNNNNNNNNNNNNNNNNNNNNNNNNNNNNNNNNNNNNNNNNNNNNNNNNNNNNNNNNNNNNNNNNNNNNNNNNNNNNNNNNNNNNNNNNNNNNNNNNNNNNNNNNNNNNNNNNNNNNNNNNNNNNNNNNNNNNNNNNNNNNNNNNNNNNNNNNNNNNNNNNNNNNNNNNNNNNNNNNNNNNNNNNNNNNNNNNNNNNNNNNNNNNNNNNNNNNNNNNNNNNNNNNNNNNNNNNNNNNNNNNNNNNNNNNNNNNNNNNNNNNNNNNNNNNNNNNNNNNNNNNNNNNNNNNNNNNNNNNNNNNNNNNNNNNNNNNNNNNNNNNNNNNNNNNNNNNNNNNNNNNNNNNNNNNNNNNNNNNNNNNNNNNNNNNNNNNNNNNNNNNNNNNNNNNNNNNNNNNNNNNNNNNNNNNNNNNNNNNNNNNNNNNNNNNNNNNNNNNNNNNNNNNNNNNNNNNNNNNNNNNNNNNNNNNNNNNNNNNNNNNNNNNNNNNNNNNNNNNNNNNNNNNNNNNNNNNNNNNNNNNNNNNNNNNNNNNNNNNNNNNNNNNNNNNNNNNNNNNNNNNNNNNNNNNNNNNNNNNNNNNNNNNNNNNNNNNNNNNNNNNNNNNNNNNNNNNNNNNNNNNNNNNNNNNNNNNNNNNNNNNNNNNNNNNNNNNNNNNNNNNNNNNNNNNNNNNNNNNNNNNNNNNNNNNNNNNNNNNNNNNNNNNNNNNNNNNNNNNNNNNNNNNNNNNNNNNNNNNNNNNNNNNNNNNNNNNNNNNNNNNNNNNNNNNNNNNNNNNNNNNNNNNNNNNNNNNNNNNNNNNNNNNNNNNNNNNNNNNNNNNNNNNNNNNNNNNNNNNNNNNNNNNNNNNNNNNNNNNNNNNNNNNNNNNNNNNNNNNNNNNNNNNNNNNNNNNNNNNNNNNNNNNNNNNNNNNNNNNNNNNNNNNNNNNNNNNNNNNNNNNNNNNNNNNNNNNNNNNNNNNNNNNNNNNNNNNNNNNNNNNNNNNNNNNNNNNNNNNNNNNNNNNNNNNNNNNNNNNNNNNNNNNNNNNNNNNNNNNNNNNNNNNNNNNNNNNNNNNNNNNNNNNNNNNNNNNNNNNNNNNNNNNNNNNNNNNNNNNNNNNNNNNNNNNNNNNNNNNNNNNNNNNNNNNNNNNNNNNNNNNNNNNNNNNNNNNNNNNNNNNNNNNNNNNNNNNNNNNNNNNNNNNNNNNNNNNNNNNNNNNNNNNNNNNNNNNNNNNNNNNNNNNNNNNNNNNNNNNNNNNNNNNNNNNNNNNNNNNNNNNNNNNNNNNNNNNNNNNNNNNNNNNNNNNNNNNNNNNNNNNNNNNNNNNNNNNNNNNNNNNNNNNNNNNNNNNNNNNNNNNNNNNNNNNNNNNNNNNNNNNNNNNNNNNNNNNNNNNNNNNNNNNNNNNNNNNNNNNNNNNNNNNNNNNNNNNNNNNNNNNNNNNNNNNNNNNNNNNNNNNNNNNNNNNNNNNNNNNNNNNNNNNNNNNNNNNNNNNNNNNNNNNNNNNNNNNNNNNNNNNNNNNNNNNNNNNNNNNNNNNNNNNNNNNNNNNNNNNNNNNNNNNNNNNNNNNNNNNNNNNNNNNNNNNNNNNNNNNNNNNNNNNNNNNNNNNNNNNNNNNNNNNNNNNNNNNNNNNNNNNNNNNNNNNNNNNNNNNNNNNNNNNNNNNNNNNNNNNNNNNNNNNNNNNNNNNNNNNNNNNNNNNNNNNNNNNNNNNNNNNNNNNNNNNNNNNNNNNNNNNNNNNNNNNNNNNNNNNNNNNNNNNNNNNNNNNNNNNNNNNNNNNNNNNNNNNNNNNNNNNNNNNNNNNNNNNNNNNNNNNNNNNNNNNNNNNNNNNNNNNNNNNNNNNNNNNNNNNNNNNNNNNNNNNNNNNNNNNNNNNNNNNNNNNNNNNNNNNNNNNNNNNNNNNNNNNNNNNNNNNNNNNNNNNNNNNNNNNNNNNNNNNNNNNNNNNNNNNNNNNNNNNNNNNNNNNNNNNNNNNNNNNNNNNNNNNNNNNNNNNNNNNNNNNNNNNNNNNNNNNNNNNNNNNNNNNNNNNNNNNNNNNNNNNNNNNNNNNNNNNNNNNNNNNNNNNNNNNNNNNNNNNNNNNNNNNNNNNNNNNNNNNNNNNNNNNNNNNNNNNNNNNNNNNNNNNNNNNNNNNNNNNNNNNNNNNNNNNNNNNNNNNNNNNNNNNNNNNNNNNNNNNNNNNNNNNNNNNNNNNNNNNNNNNNNNNNNNNNNNNNNNNNNNNNNNNNNNNNNNNNNNNNNNNNNNNNNNNNNNNNNNNNNNNNNNNNNNNNNNNNNNNNNNNNNNNNNNNNNNNNNNNNNNNNNNNNNNNNNNNNNNNNNNNNNNNNNNNNNNNNNNNNNNNNNNNNNNNNNNNNNNNNNNNNNNNNNNNNNNNNNNNNNNNNNNNNNNNNNNNNNNNNNNNNNNNNNNNNNNNNNNNNNNNNNNNNNNNNNNNNNNNNNNNNNNNNNNNNNNNNNNNNNNNNNNNNNNNNNNNNNNNNNNNNNNNNNNNNNNNNNNNNNNNNNNNNNNNNNNNNNNNNNNNNNNNNNNNNNNNNNNNNNNNNNNNNNNNNNNNNNNNNNNNNNNNNNNNNNNNNNNNNNNNNNNNNNNNNNNNNNNNNNNNNNNNNNNNNNNNNNNNNNNNNNNNNNNNNNNNNNNNNNNNNNNNNNNNNNNNNNNNNNNNNNNNNNNNNNNNNNNNNNNNNNNNNNNNNNNNNNNNNNNNNNNNNNNNNNNNNNNNNNNNNNNNNNNNNNNNNNNNNNNNNNNNNNNNNNNNNNNNNNNNNNNNNNNNNNNNNNNNNNNNNNNNNNNNNNNNNNNNNNNNNNNNNNNNNNNNNNNNNNNNNNNNNNNNNNNNNNNNNNNNNNNNNNNNNNNNNNNNNNNNNNNNNNNNNNNNNNNNNNNNNNNNNNNNNNNNNNNNNNNNNNNNNNNNNNNNNNNNNNNNNNNNNNNNNNNNNNNNNNNNNNNNNNNNNNNNNNNNNNNNNNNNNNNNNNNNNNNNNNNNNNNNNNNNNNNNNNNNNNNNNNNNNNNNNNNNNNNNNNNNNNNNNNNNNNNNNNNNNNNNNNNNNNNNNNNNNNNNNNNNNNNNNNNNNNNNNNNNNNNNNNNNNNNNNNNNNNNNNNNNNNNNNNNNNNNNNNNNNNNNNNNNNNNNNNNNNNNNNNNNNNNNNNNNNNNNNNNNNNNNNNNNNNNNNNNNNNNNNNNNNNNNNNNNNNNNNNNNNNNNNNNNNNNNNNNNNNNNNNNNNNNNNNNNNNNNNNNNNNNNNNNNNNNNNNNNNNNNNNNNNNNNNNNNNNNNNNNNNNNNNNNNNNNNNNNNNNNNNNNNNNNNNNNNNNNNNNNNNNNNNNNNNNNNNNNNNNNNNNNNNNNNNNNNNNNNNNNNNNNNNNNNNNNNNNNNNNNNNNNNNNNNNNNNNNNNNNNNNNNNNNNNNNNNNNNNNNNNNNNNNNNNNNNNNNNNNNNNNNNNNNNNNNNNNNNNNNNNNNNNNNNNNNNNNNNNNNNNNNNNNNNNNNNNNNNNNNNNNNNNNNNNNNNNNNNNNNNNNNNNNNNNNNNNNNNNNNNNNNNNNNNNNNNNNNNNNNNNNNNNNNNNNNNNNNNNNNNNNNNNNNNNNNNNNNNNNNNNNNNNNNNNNNNNNNNNNNNNNNNNNNNNNNNNNNNNNNNNNNNNNNNNNNNNNNNNNNNNNNNNNNNNNNNNNNNNNNNNNNNNNNNNNNNNNNNNNNNNNNNNNNNNNNNNNNNNNNNNNNNNNNNNNNNNNNNNNNNNNNNNNNNNNNNNNNNNNNNNNNNNNNNNNNNNNNNNNNNNNNNNNNNNNNNNNNNNNNNNNNNNNNNNNNNNNNNNNNNNNNNNNNNNNNNNNNNNNNNNNNNNNNNNNNNNNNNNNNNNNNNNNNNNNNNNNNNNNNNNNNNNNNNNNNNNNNNNNNNNNNNNNNNNNNNNNNNNNNNNNNNNNNNNNNNNNNNNNNNNNNNNNNNNNNNNNNNNNNNNNNNNNNNNNNNNNNNNNNNNNNNNNNNNNNNNNNNNNNNNNNNNNNNNNNNNNNNNNNNNNNNNNNNNNNNNNNNNNNNNNNNNNNNNNNNNNNNNNNNNNNNNNNNNNNNNNNNNNNNNNNNNNNNNNNNNNNNNNNNNNNNNNNNNNNNNNNNNNNNNNNNNNNNNNNNNNNNNNNNNNNNNNNNNNNNNNNNNNNNNNNNNNNNNNNNNNNNNNNNNNNNNNNNNNNNNNNNNNNNNNNNNNNNNNNNNNNNNNNNNNNNNNNNNNNNNNNNNNNNNNNNNNNNNNNNNNNNNNNNNNNNNNNNNNNNNNNNNNNNNNNNNNNNNNNNNNNNNNNNNNNNNNNNNNNNNNNNNNNNNNNNNNNNNNNNNNNNNNNNNNNNNNNNNNNNNNNNNNNNNNNNNNNNNNNNNNNNNNNNNNNNNNNNNNNNNNNNNNNNNNNNNNNNNNNNNNNNNNNNNNNNNNNNNNNNNNNNNNNNNNNNNNNNNNNNNNNNNNNNNNNNNNNNNNNNNNNNNNNNNNNNNNNNNNNNNNNNNNNNNNNNNNNNNNNNNNNNNNNNNNNNNNNNNNNNNNNNNNNNNNNNNNNNNNNNNNNNNNNNNNNNNNNNNNNNNNNNNNNNNNNNNNNNNNNNNNNNNNNNNNNNNNNNNNNNNNNNNNNNNNNNNNNNNNNNNNNNNNNNNNNNNNNNNNNNNNNNNNNNNNNNNNNNNNNNNNNNNNNNNNNNNNNNNNNNNNNNNNNNNNNNNNNNNNNNNNNNNNNNNNNNNNNNNNNNNNNNNNNNNNNNNNNNNNNNNNNNNNNNNNNNNNNNNNNNNNNNNNNNNNNNNNNNNNNNNNNNNNNNNNNNNNNNNNNNNNNNNNNNNNNNNNNNNNNNNNNNNNNNNNNNNNNNNNNNNNNNNNNNNNNNNNNNNNNNNNNNNNNNNNNNNNNNNNAAAAUUUGACUCUUCCUUUGUACAGUUGUUCCAAGAUAUAUUCCAAAAGGCACAAAAUUUACGCCUGCUACGAGUAUCUUCAUUAUCCACUUAUCUGUUUCAAGUGCCUCAAGCAUCCAUCGGUUUUAAUUCCUUCCUGUGCAGUUUGGCAAAUCCUUUGCAUCUUCGCUACCUAAAACUUGAGUUGGAUGGGAUUGUGCCACAAGUUUUGAGUACGUUUUUUCAUCUUCAAGUAUUAGAUGUUGGAUCAAGCAUGGAUACUUCUCUACCCAAUGGCUUGUUGCAUAAUCUUGUUAGCCUGCGACAUCUUGUUGCACACAAGAGAGUCCAUUCUUCCAUUACUAGCAUUGGUAACAUGACAUCUAUCCAGGAGCUACAUGAUUUUGAGGUUCGAAUUUCUAGCGGCUUUGAGAUAACACAACUCAAAUACAUGAACGAGCUUGUUCAACUUGGGGUGUCUCAGCUUGACAGUGUUAAAACCCGGGAGGAGGCUUAUGGAGCAGGAUUAAGAAACAAGGAACACUUAGAAGAGCUUCACUUGUCCUGGAAGGAUGCAUAUUCAGAGUAUGAGUAUGUCAGUGACACUAGAUUUGAAUCUUCUGCAAACAUGGCAAGAGAAGUGAUUGAGGGUCUUGAACCACACAUGGAUUUAAAACAUCUACAAAUAUCUCGGUAUAAUGGUACCACUUCACCAGCUUGGCUUGUCAACAAUAUCUCAGUUACCUCAUUGCAGACGCUUCAUCUUGAUGAUUGUGGAGGAUGGAGAAUACUUCCAUCUCUGGGAAGUCUUCCAUUUCUUACAAAGCUGAAGUUGAGCAGCAUGCGGGAAGUAAAAGAAGUAUUGAUUCCUUCACUGGCGGAGCUAGUUUUAAUUAAAAUGCCGAAGUUAGUGAGAUGCUCAAGCACUUCUGUUGAGGGUCUGUGCUCCAGCUUAAGGGUACUGCAGAUCGAAGAUUGUGAAGCAUUGAAGGAGUUUGAUCUGUUUGAUAACGAUGAUAAUUCUGGAAUCAGUCAGGGAUCAUGGCUGCCCAGUAUUAGGAAUUUGAUUCUGGAUUAUUGCCCUCAUUUGAAAGUGUUGAAGCCUCUUCCACCUUCAACUACCUUUUGUAAGGUACUCAUCAGAGAAGUUCCAAGAUUUCCGUAUAUGGAGGUAUCAUCUGGUGAAAAGUUAGAAAUUGGGAAUACUGAUGGCCACAGACGCGAUUUUUUUGAUGAAUCUUCUGAUGAGUUGAGGAUACUGGAUGACAAAACUUUGGCAUUCCAUAAUCUUGGAAACCUCAAAUUGAUGGAGAUAUAUGGUUGCAGAAAUCUAAGGUCUUUUUCGUUCAAAGGUUUUAGUCAUCUUGUCUCUUUAGCAAGUUUGACAAUAGAAGACCGCGAACAACUUUUCCCUUCAGAUGUGUCGCCAGAGUAUACCCUUGAAGAUGUGACAGCUAUGAACUGCAAUGCCUUCCCAUCUCUUAAAAGUCUCAGUAUUGAUUCAUGUGGAAUAGCGGGGAAGUGGCUAUCACUGAUGCUGCAGCAUGCGCUAGUCCUAGAGGAACUGAGUUUAAGAAGAUGCGCACAUAUAACAACAGUACUGUUACCGAUGGAAUAUGAAGAAAACAAUCUAUUAACGACAGUACUGUCAUCAGGAAAUCAAGAUGAGGCAUUGACCUGGUUAGUUCGUGACGGACUCUUGCACAUUCCAUCAAAUCUCGUCUCCUCUCUCAAGAAUAUGAGUAUUACUCAGUGCCCUCGUCUAAAAUUUAACUGGGGCAAGGACUGCUUCUCUGGAUUUACCUCGCUUGAGAAGCUUGAAAUCUGGGGAUCGUUGGCGGAUGAUGACCCGGAGAAUGGAAAAUCAUUUAUGUUCGAAGAGGAGGAUCAACCCCUAGGGGCGAACGGAAGAUGGCUCCUCCCGACAUCACUUCAGGAACUUAACAUCAGGUUCUUGUGUUACCAAGAAACGCUGCAACCCUGCUUUCCUAGAGAUAUCACCAGCCUUAAAAAGUUAAUUGUAGAUUGCAGCCCAGGUUUGCAAUCUCUACAGCUGCACUCAUGCACGGCACUGGAAGAAUUAACAAUUUCCGGCUGUGGAUCAGUCACCGUCACUGUACUAGAGGGCAUGCAACCCCCUGGCAGCUUCGGGCGUCUGAAUGCAUCAGAUUGUCCUGGCUUACCACCGCGUUUGGAGAGCAUUUCAACGCUGUGCCCUCGGCUGGAAAGGCUUUGCAUCGAUGACCCAUCUGUCCUUACUACGUCAUUCUGCAAGCACCUCACCUCCCUGCAAAGACUACAUCUUGGUUACAUGAGAAUGACGGGAUUCACAGAUGAGCAAGAGCGAGCGCUUGUGCUCAUCAAGUCCCUGAAAGAGCUCCGAUUCUAUGUGUGUAACGAUCUCGUAGAUCUUCCUGCUCGGCUGCACACCCUUCAUUCUCUCAAGAGUUUGGGAAUAGAACAGUGUGGACGCAUAUCAGGGAUGCCAGAAGCAGGCCUCCCACGUUCGCUGGAAGAACUGAAAAUCGACUCUCGCAUCCAGGAGCUAGAGGAUGACUUCGACAUAUCUGAAUUAACUACUGUAUGACUUGUUAUGGACAUGCUUCUGCAUGCACAACUCUGUACCGUUGGGUUGCUUUUGAGUUAAAAGUUGUGUCAUAUAUCAUGUUAUAUUCAGAGUCGACAUACCCCCUCAUAAUUCUGCAGUGUGUUCAUCCUAAAAUGAGCGUUUGGGUAGGCAUUCUAGCUGCUCAACAUAUAUCAUGUAACUCAUAAACUGGUAUGUUUUGUUGUUUGUUCUUCAUCUCGUCUUGUCAACUGAAAAUGAUGAAUUUCCAUUUCUUGUUUUCUUGCGUGGAGAAUUUUAAUUUCCUCGGCUAGAGAAAUAAUUGCAACAGAUAAAUCCGAAGAUGCAUCUUAUUAUUCGACAUUCGUCACACAAUUUGGUUUAUCCAAAAUUCGUUGCUACACCACGCACAUAUGCUUAGUGUGGUGAACAGAGCAGACAAACAUGUCGCAGACCUACAGUUUCAGAGAUCAGGAUGGACUUAUCAACAGAUACCUAAUGUUUGCUUAAAUUUGAAUACACAAAACUGGGACCUGUAGGGUCGAUACUGAUUACCGGUUAUAUUCCUUGUGAUAGAACCUGAAGGAAGGUAUGAUAUGAAUGUGUGAGUGCUGUUAUCCGCUCCCGCGACGCGCCCCGCGAGCGCGUCACGGGAGAUUCCCCUCCGUCGCCGGCGCAAGGCUCCGCCCUCGCUCACUCCUCCUCCUCGCCGCUGCCGGAGGGCGUCCGCACGGGCUGGCAGCGGCGGGGCUCUCUCCUUCCUCUCCUGGUCGGGAUCUCGGCGGCGCGGGCCGCCGCUCGUGGGGGAGCUGGGUCCGGCGGGGCCUCCGGCGGCGGAGACGUGCGGAUCUGGCAGCUUUGGUGCUGGGAGGCGGCGGUGCGGCCCCGCGGCGGCAGCGGCGGGGGUUUGGUCUGGCGCGGCCGAUCUGGCCCCCAGCGGCGGGCGUUGCGGGUGGCGGCGGCCACUGCUGGAGAGGGCGUCUUCCCCUUGUCGACGGGGUUUGGCGCCGGCACUCGGUGCGCUGUCUUGGCCGUGCUGGGCGGCGAGUCGGCGGCGGGCUUGGAUUCGAUCUGAAGUUGGCGGCUUCACCGCGCUUUCCUCCUCUGCUGGCCGGUCUGUGGGCUUCCUCCGGACGUCCUGCUCGGCUGGUUGGCGGAGCAAUGGCGAUGCAAGCUCUGGGUCGGGGGCAAACCCUUAACCGGCGGUGCCGGUCACGAUGUUGGCGACGCUCGCGGCGCCGUUCUCCCUCUGGUGGGCGACAUCGAGACCCUCUCCUCGCCUCCACCCCAUGGUCCCGGGCGAAAGCCUAAAAUCUCUUGAUUGGGCGGCGACGGCGCAUCGGCGUCGUUUUUUUCUUGAAGACGCUGCCUUGGGAGUCCAGGAUGGUCAGGGGAUCGGCGCGGUGGUGGUUUGCCUGUUUCUGUCGUGUCCCUGCUCGGCAAUGGCGAUGGGCUUCUUGGUCUUGGCCGGUGACGUGCGUGAUGUAUGGGUUCCUGUGAGAGGUGAGGUGGCCAGGGCUCGUCCUCUCCCCAGCAACAUGUUGGCCAGUCCAUCCGUGCUCAGGGGUGAGCUGUUCUGCCUCCUGACGGGUCGGCGUCCUUCGAUCCAGGACGAGAGGGCAGGGGUGCCCUCUUCGGAGGCAGCGGCGGAAGGUAGGGCAACAGGGUUGGCCCUUGGGAGUUGAUGGAGCGUGGCCUCCCUCCGGUGGCGAAUUGCUCCCUUGUCGCAGUUGCGUCGAUGGCAUGAUCGGAGGCCGUCGCUUGUUGUUCCGUAGUGUUUGUAUCCUUGUCGAUUUUGUUUUCUCUUCUUUUCCUUCUUUGUUGUGGUGAUGGCUGUAAUGUGUGGUUGGUGCUUUAUAUAUAAAGCGAGGCGAAAGUCUUUUUUGAUAGAACCUGAAGCCACCCGUGCGUGUAUAGUGUAGUACUGUCCUAUCUUGGUAAGAUGUUAGUCGUUUGUGAUGCCUGGAAUCCAUGUUGAACUUCAGGCAGUGCUUGGGUCUUUGGACAGUUUAGCUCCUGAUCUGGAUAUGUUAGUGGCAGUUUCCUUUGCUGGACAAGAGAUUAGCACAUGCACCGUUUGUGACUGCAGUGUUUUCAUACUAAAAUGAGCGUCUGGGUAGGCACUCAAGCUGCUCAACAUAUAUCAUGUAACCGAUAAACUGGUAUGUUUUGUUGUUUGUUCUUCAUCUCGUCUUGUCAAGUGAUGAAUUUCUUGUUUUCUUGCGGGGAGAAUUUUUAAUUUCCCUGACUAGGAAAAUAAUUGCAACAGAUAAAUCCGAAGAUGCAUCCUAUUAUUCAUCACAAAGUUAUUAAUAUUUCCGUGCCUCAUCAAUUAAUUAAGAAGAAGAGAAUUGCCCGGUCAAUUAAUAGAAAACCGGCCGAAACCGAUACAAACCAACCAUAUGUGUACUACUCACAGAGCAUGCAACCCUGUAAGUGGACGAUCAGUCCGACAACCACACCCAACACGCAACGACCACCAACCCCCACACUUUUGUCACACAAUUGGGUUUAUCCAAAAUUCUCUUACUGUGGUGAACAGAGCGAGUAAAUUGCAGAAAACCACCACUUUGAAGGCAAGCUUUGCAAAAACCACUACAAUACAUUUUUUUUUUUUGCAAAAAACACCGUGUCUACCGUAAUCUUUUUGCAAAUAACACUGAUCGGCAGAUUUGCCUCUGUUGAGUAUGUUUAUGACAGAUGGGGCCCACUAAUCAGGCUGAUGUGGCACCAAUUUCUAACACCGUUAAGUUCAACCAUUUUACUGGACAUGGAGCCCAGUUGUCAGCAUUUCAUCCUGAUUUCUCUCUCUGCCCCCGAGCCAGCAACAUGCAGCAGCGCCGCGCCGCCCAUCACCAUUGCCCCUGAGCUCCACGAAAUUCACCGCCGUUGACCAGCCCUCACCCAGAUCCGGCAAGAAUCGAGUCGCCGCCCUCUCUAUACAUCGGUUUCGUGCUCCUCCGCCGCGAGCGACGGCCGCGAGCGCCGGCUGGACUUGGAUGAGGUCGGCGACCCCGGCGAUGCACGGCGUCCUUGGCGCGUGGCGGAAGGCCGCCCCUCGGCCGGGGGCGGGACUGGCGGCGUCCUCUGCCUUCCCUCGAUGCGGCAACAGCGACGACGGCCCUUGCCUCGGCUGGGGUCGGGACGGGCGACGGCAACCGAGCCGCCGGCGACUUCCACACUCAGAUCUGUUCUCCCCGCUCCAAUCCAGCUGGUGCCGCUGCCUCUGCGCUCGAGCCGCCAUCGAUGUAGGAGCUGCAGCAGCCAGUGAGCAAGGUGGUUGCCGUGGCUGAGGAAGGAGACGGCGACUCCCUGCUCGAGCACCACAUCGGGUGCGGGCCUUCGGGCAUGCACCGUUGACCACGGGGGCAGGACGGGCGGCAGCGAGCUGGUGAAGAUAAGGCGAGAACCAGAUUUUUUUUUGUUUCAGUGACAGGUGGACCCCACAGGGCUCCACACAAGAGGAUAACGUCGCAAACAUCGCCGUUACAUGCGAGGUGUUAAGCGGUGCCACAUCAGCCUGACUGACGGGCCCCAUCUGUUAAAAACAUACUCAACAGAGGCAAAUCCGCCGAUCAGUGUUAUUUGCAAAAAGUUUACGGUAGACACGGUGUUUUUUGCAAAAAAAAUGUAUUGUAGUGGUUUUUGCAAAGCUUGCCUUCAAAGUGGUGGUUUUCUGCAAUUUACUCGAACAGAGCAGACAAACAUAUGCUUAUUGUGGUGAACAGAGCAGACAAACAUGUCGCAGACCUGCACUUUUAGAGAGCAGGAUGGAAUUGACAGCAGACACCUAAUGUGUACUUAAAUUUGAAUACGCAACCUGUAGUUUCGGUGCUGAUUACAAGUACCAUUCCUUUGUGAUACAAAUGAAGCUACUUCUCGUGUGUGUACUUUAGUACUAUCCUAUCUUGGUAAGAAGCUAAAACAGAGNNNNNNNNNNNNNNNNNNNNNNNNNNNNNNNNNNNNNNNNNNNNNNNNNNNNNNNNNNNNNNNNNNNNNNNNNNNNNNNNNNNNNNNNNNNNNNNNNNNNNNNNNNNNNNNNNNNNNNNNNNNNNNNNNNNNNNNNNNNNNNNNNNNNNNNNNNNNNNNNNNNNNNNNNNNNNNNNNNNNNNNNNNNNNNNNNNNNNNNNNNNNNNNNNNNNNNNNNNNNNNNNNNNNNNNNNNNNNNNNNNNNNNNNNNNNNNNNNNNNNNNNNNNNNNNNNNNNNNNNNNNNNNNNNNNNNNUGAUCGCCGCACCUCACGCAAGCAUCGCAGCUGCAGUGCUCCUUUCGACCAUGUAAGCACCUUGAUGAACAUUAGCACUCCCUGAAAAUUAGUUGCACUGGCAAACACUAGCAGAGGAACACAAUUAUUUUAGAUGUCAAAAAAUCACUCAGAAGUUUAUAUGUUAGGAAAAGCUUACAUCAACAUGAAGUUCUCCUACCCAGUACUAGCAUGCCAAUUUAAAAUAAUAGAGACACUUACUGAAAUCAAGGGUAUAAAUAUAGAGAAAGCGAGCAGCAUCAGCUGGAUGAAAGGGUCCCAAUCAACUCAGGUUGCAUGGUUAUUGAAUCUUUAUCAUUCAUAUCAUUAUAUGUCGCCAGAUAACCCUGAUUUCAAAAUUUUCUUACUCCGAUGCCAUAGUUAUAUCGCCCAUAAGCAUUACGUACACAAUAGAUGUGCUGGAGAAAACACAUCAAUACAAAAGCCACCUUCAGAUCAGAAGGCCAGAUGAACUACAACAUUUCUCAGUACCCUCCACUUUUCACUUCUAUAGACAUAGUCGAGCUGAGCUAUCAGAUUACCCACAAAGCCAGCCAUCCACUAGGAACUAAGUUAACUAAAUGCAAGCAGACAUGAACCUCCCAGAAAUAAGUACUCACAUCCUCCACCUACUCAAAUCCUACUGUUAGAACAACCUCCUCUAAACGAGAGAACGAGCAUCGCCAGCUUCUGAGACGCUGUCCCCUGAGCUCCCUGAUCCCGAAC